CAUUCCCAUUAUUCUGCGAUAAAUCUGCAGCGAAUAUCUUUAAUUUGUCACAACCAUGCACUAAAAGAAUUUCUAGUGCGGGCCAUUCCGAAGUAUGCAUUCCAGGGUACAAACAUCUAAGUUUUGGUAGAUCUUGGAGCUUCAGAGUGGUGAGCUGUGGAAAGACAAAAUAAGGGAUCAUUUGAUCUGCUCUGUUUUCAGAAAUGAUCUCCUGUAAAUUCUCACAGAAGUAUAUAUCCAGGUGUUGGAGCUGCUUAAGGCUUUCGAUCAUAGACGCUGAAAAUAUGUAUUUUAAUUUAUGACAACGCUGCACAAUCAAUCGUGUUAAAUUUUGAAAGCGAGGAAACAUGACCGGAAGAUGAUUGUAGUGCCAAAUCUUGUCGACAUUAAUUUCAGAUAUCUCCAAAGCCUCCAAGUUAGGCAACGCAACCUAAAAAAAGAAGAAUUUCUCGUUAGAUCCAAUAUCCAUAUGGGAAGUACUUGUUGAAAUUUUCUUCUUUGAUUACAAAUUAAUGCAAGUCAGAAUCAAUUUCAUACUACUUGUUAAGAGCUCAAUUAGUGAGCGCGUGAGAUUCUUUUUAUCCUUUUUUCCAUUUUCUUUCAAUUCUUUAAAUGAUUUAAUUAUUUUCCACGUAUAACAUCAAAACAGAACGCAUGAUAGAAUAAAAUGUGUUAUACAUUAAAGAAAAUGUUAGCCUACGCACCUUCUCGUUGAAAAGCAGAGUUGAAAUAUCCAAAGUGAUUUCGCUGGAGCUAUACAUAGUCGUCGAUUCCUCUUGCGACACUUGUCUGUUCGGUGAUGCUGAAGGAGUCUUCACCUCAUUGCGGCAAAAACUUGUAACCUCUGGAAGAUUCCCCAGACUCAAAGAUCUUAAUUGAGCAAACUCUAUCUUCUCAAUUGCAUUAUCAACUUCUUCCCCAAUUGCAAAAAUCUCUUUCAUCUUGCUGCAAUUAAUAACUGCAAUUCUCUCAAGUCUUGGAAGGCAUUUUGUAGUGGAGAGCCAAAAGAUAUUGCUCAACUUAUUACAACUAUAAGCUUCUAUGGUUUUGAGUUUGUUGAAAGACUCUACUUUGAGCCGAUCAAUACAUAUCCUCUCCAUGUUGAUCAAAUUGCGAAUGGUAAGUGACUCCAAAAGAGGAAAGGCAUCACAAGCGACCAUCUCCCUUGAAUCGACGAUACAAAAGAUGUCAGGAUUAUUUUGAACCAAGAGAAGCUUCAAUUGUGAAAAGCCAUCCGUGUCCAAAUUGAAAAGAACAUUCUCGAUGCCUUGCAGCUUGUCCAACCAUAAGUAUUCAACGUUAUUGAUGCCCUGCAAUUUCAUGGAGAAAAUGUCCAUAAAAUCAAGCUUGAGCUUCAAUGCUCUUAAACUCUUGCGAUCACGGUUGAUUGAAAAGUGCGGCCGACUUUGGAACCAUUUAUGUCUAGCAUACUUGUUGGGAGGCAUGAAUGACCCAUUUCCAAUAGAUAUUUUGAACCUUUCGAGCUUUCUGGCCAAAAAGCGUUCUGGUAAAAUACUAUCAUUUUUAACGUCAAUUUCUAGAGUGGUUAGCCUAGGUAAAUGCAUCAAUUCGUCGAGGCUAGCAUUACUUCUUUUGCUGUUGGCUCUUUCAACCUCCCAUUCAAUGAAGCAAUUACCCAUAUACAGCUCUUCUAAUCGACUUAAGCUUGAUAUGAGAUUGGGCGCAAUAACUUUUAGAUCGAAACAAUUGGUUAAAUCUAACAAUCUCAACUUAUUCAAUUGACCUAGUUCUUCUGGCAACUUCAUAAUAUCAGACAUCAAAAAGCUAAGGACUUCUAGAUUCUUCAACUUCCCAAUGAUUGCUAUGUCGCCCAACGCACUUUGAUCCAGACAUAGUGUGUGAAGAUAUGCUAGAAGAUCAAUUGAAGAUGGAAAAGAAGAAAACUGCAUUCGAGUAAAAUCUAGAACUCUAAGCUUUUUCAUCCCUACCAAAAAGUUCUCAGGAAUAUUGAUUUCAAGAGAAAAAUCUUUGAGAGAGAUAUAUAAAAAUUCAAGGUUUGGGCAUUCUAAUCGUCAGGAAAUCACGAUUACUAUUAUUUAUAAAGAAGAUAGCAUGCAGUUUCGAAGUGGCAUCUCAUCUGGCCAGUCCCACACAUCUCAUUUCUCACCGAAAACACAUGUUGGUGGCGGCAUGCAAUUGAUAUUGCGACAUCGCGAACAACAUCAUGCAUUGAAAAUUCUUCAUUGCUGUCACCCUCAAGCAACAAACAAGAGUCUCUAAGUUCAUGGACCGAUGCAUAUAAUUUGUCUCGUGCAUCUUCCAUCUUAUUGACUCCUUGAAAUAUACCCAAACCCAUGGAGUACUUAAACAAGUCCAAAGUAAGGAUACUGUUACCCAUUAGACUGCAGAGCUGAAAAAUGUUCUUGAGUUGCUCACCUUUUAAAUGGUUGAAACUCAGCUCAAUACUUGAAUAAGUCUCUGCAGACACUCCUUCGAAGUUUACCAUUGAAGGCGUUAGGAGUUCUCGCAAGGAAUUCUUCCAUUCAUGCAGACUCUUGCUUCUCAGUGCCUUUGCCACUGUAAUCAAGGCAAUGGGCAAACCUCCACAUGCCCUGGCGACGUCUAUUGCUGUAGAUUUCAACUCACGAUUUUCAACAUCAUCACCGGCCAUCAUCUUAAACAAUCUCCAGGCUUCUUCUUCAUUUAAAUUGUUAAUCAAGAAGUUGUCUUUAGAUCCCAUUUUUAAGAGGACACUACGAUCUCUUGCUGUCAGCAGUAGUUUGCAUCCUUUAUGAUCUUCUCCAAAAGGAAUUCCCACUGUCUCCAAAUCAAGGUGUUUCCAGAUGUUAUCUAAAACCACAAGGAUCUUCUUCUGAUUUCUCAAUCGCUCAAAUAGUCUACUUGCUCUUCUAGAUUCAACUUCCUCGUGCAACUCCAGGCCCAACUUCUCGGCAAUUUCCUGUUGAAUCUUUUUUAUGUCUGGAGUUUGCGAAACCUCUGAAAAGACCACCAUAUCAAAGAGCUUGUCUUCCAUAGCUUGCCUGGCGACCUUCUUCACCAGUGUCGUCUUUCCAAUGCCGCCCAUGCCGUACACCCCAACGACACUAACAUUAACAUCGAUCAAUGCUUUUUUUAUAGCCUCCAAAGAAGAAAGUCUUGACUCGAAGGCCUCGUAGCCUUUGUGAGACUUGAGCCAUAUCUCCUCCGGAAUGGUACGGUAGGAAAUUCUAUCAUCAAAUCUUGCAGCUUCUUCUCGGAUUUUGACGAGUGCCUUCACCUCUGCCUCUGCUUUCUUGCUAAGCUGAUAGCGAGUAAUCCAAUUAGGAAACAGCCCCAUGAGACAUCGUUCAUUUGCUUUCUCUUCGUCUUGAAUGAAUUUGGCUGCCUGCUCAAUGCUCUUGUUCGCAUUAACCAGCCAUUUCUCAACCUUCUCUUCAAUCUUUUCACUUUUUCUUUCAGCCUCAGAAACUCUGCGCUGAAUGCUUUCUCUUUCAUCCUUGAGCCUAUCGAGUUCUGCCUUGAGAUUCUCAAAGUUGGCAUCGGAGUUAUACCAGUAACUAAAUUCGCGUUGUGCGUGAGGAGACAAGCAGUUUACAACUGGAACAAUGCUUUUCAAAAUGUCCAUUUGUUUUUUUUUUUUGGGGGGGUGGGGGGUGAGUGAACGAAAUAGAAAUAGAACAGGGUCAACGACCGCGCAAUUAAUAAUCAAGUAGAAGCAAAACAAGGCAAAAUGGAGAAAAGAAAUUAUAUUUGUACAAAACAAGGGGAAAAUCAGUGUAACAGAAGAGAAUCAAAGUGUUUUUGAGAUCAGAAAAUUGAAUCAAGAAAAGGGUUGCUUGAUCCAAUGAAAAUGCAAAGAGGGAACAAACAUAAAUAAGAAAACGGCUAGCAGGAGCAGUGACCACGAUAAACAGAAGCAAAGUGUGUAUGAGAUCAAAAGAAGAAAAUCAGGAGAGGUUUUCUUGACUGAGAAUUGAAGGCAAAGAGUAGGAGCUGACGAAUACGGGGAUCAAGAGGGAAAAACUGCUUAAUAACAUUACGAUUGUCAUAAAACAUGUGAUCCUCAUCCAAUAUCCAUUAUUUGUGAUCCUUAAUCAAUAAAAUAUCUAACAAUAUCGAACAGUCGAUAUCCAACACAUGCACGAAGAUUCCAAGAAGUUGCGUGGCUGCCGACUUUUAAAUGCUAAGCCUGAUUGUGUCGAUGAUACACAAAAGAGAGCAGUCGGGGUAAUUGCCAAAACUUAGAACUAAACAGUAGCUUAGUCAGAAAAUCAAACGCCAGUACCGGUAAAAUGACCGAUAAAAAUAUAAAGAAAUAAAACUUUUAAAGUUUUACUUCAUUGCUUUUUUAAUGUUAUUACUAUUUCUCCUAGCACUUCUAAAGAAACCAAAGCUUUAAAAGAAAUCGGCCAAAGAAAUAAAGUUUUACUUCAUUGCAUUUUUAAUCUUAUUACUAUUUCUCCUUGCUCUUCUAAAGAAACCAAAGCUUUAAAAGAAUCAGCCAAAUCACCAAGAUUGAAGAGUAAAUCUAUUGUUUUAGAUUUUUAUUUUUAUUUUUUUAGAUAAUAGAUAUUAUUUUGAUGAAUUUUUUAAUAUUGGAAUAAUGUUAGGAAUUCCAAUAGAUGAAUUCUAACUUGACACCCAAUUGUUAUGUGUCAUUUUUUUAUUGGAUAAUGAAUUUCAUAACUAGUAAAAUUAAUAUUUUGAUCAUCUAAUAAAUAACUACUAUAUCAGUUGGGACUCAAUCAUUGGGAUGCUUAACAUUGCUCUUAGUAUUGUAUUGGACAUCUUAGUUAAAUCAGAUUAAAAAUCAAAUUAGAUUUUAGGCUUUAUUCAACAUCUCCUUUUCUUUAUUUUUUUUUCUUUUUUAGGUCUAUUUGAAGUGAACGAAUUAAAAAUACGACAAGGUCAACGAUUGGGCAAUUGAUAGUCAAGUAGAAGCAAAUGAAGGCUAAAUGGGAAAGAGAAAUUAUAUUUGUACAAAACACGGAGAAAAUCAGUGUAACAGAAGAGAAUCAAAGUGCUUUUGAGAUCAGAAAUUGAAACAAGAAAAGGGUCGCUUGAUCCAAUGAAAAUGCAAAGAGCUGAUGGCAAAAGGGAACAAAGUUAAAUAAGAAAACAGCUACCACUAGCAGCGACCACAAUAAACGAGAAAUUGGAGAUGGAUCUACAAUAUUUCUGCCUUUCUUUAUGCUUUAACAAAUAUUGCUCUAUCGAAAAAAAUAUUGUGGGUUUUUAUUAUUGGAGUCACAAAAGACCAACACAAUAUAGCAAGUGACUAGGAAUAAGAAUAUAUAACUCUCUCUCUAUUUCUCACUCUAGCUUUUAAUUGUCACUCAAAACCCAGACAGCGUAAGGAAAUAAGAGAUGACAGCGUCUGGUUGUCAUACGUGCCUUUUGGUUUCUGGAUGACAUGGCGUACACUUCUUUUGCAAACCAACACGACAUGUCGUACUCUUUGUUUUGAGAUCAUAUUUCAAACUCUUGAUGUUACGAAUGAAAGAUAAACUACAAUCAUCAAAAUAUUUAGUGUUUGUUUGGUAAUGUAAAGUCAUAGUUGUUGUGAAUUGAAAUUAUUUCUGUAAAAUAAAAGGAUUUGGGUCAUUGUUCGUUAUUUUUUGGCAAUAUUGCCUGGCUGUGACUAUUUAUUAAAUAUUAAAAAAAUAAAUUUAUAUUUAUUAAGUAUCAAAAAUAAAUAAACAACAAAAAUAAACGGAAAAAUUAUACAUUACGUAAAAUAAUAAGGACAAUAUCAAUAUUUCACACUCUAUAAUUGAGUGAUGUGUUAUCCAAUUGCAACACAUUUGUCCCAAACGGAGUCUUAAAUAUCAAAGUUAUUGCGAUGAUGACUUAUAAUCACCAAACUUGACAUACGGGUAAUCAUGCAUUAUAAGGUGUUGAUUUCUUACUAUCGGAACCUUAUAUUUCAUUUACAAAUAAAUAAAUGAUGUGACUUAACUGGUGGCGGGUCCUUUGUGCCAUUUGCGCAUUCCACUGAAUAGUUGAUUGUAGCAGAAACAUUCCUGGAGUUGCCAUUUGCCAAUGCUACUGACAUUUUCAAACUCGGAAAACCCUCCAAUCAAUCUUUUAGUGGUAGGCUUGGUAGCUUGGCUUGAUUAUGACAUAUGAUUAUUUGAUAAUAAAGUUAGAGGAUGUAUUAAUAUAAAAAUUAUUUAUCGGUGUUGAAAUUAUCUCAUUAAUAAUAGUAUGAAAAGUUAAUUCUUAAGAAAUACAUAAUAGUAGUUAAUUGGUGUAAUAUUAUUGAGAUUCUGGAAAUAAUUUUAUAUCAUAACUUUGUAGGUGUAUAAAUAUUACUCAUUAAAUUAAUAUAAUUAUUUUAAAAAAAUCAGUUGGAAAAAAUAAAUUAUAUUAUUUUUACUUCAAAUAAUCUUUAAAUUAACUCAAAAUAUAAUCAAGCUCAGAAUUAAAAAUUUAAACUAAUGCUACUAUAUCAGAGGAUUUUCUUUUUUUCUCCACUGAAUAGUUGAUUGUCGCAGAAACAUUCCUGGAGUUGCCAUUUGCCAAUGCUACUGACAUUUUCAAACUCGGAAAACCCACCCUCCAAUCAAUCUUUUAGUGGUAGGCUUGGUAGCUUGGCUUGAUUAUGACAUAUGAUUAUUUGAUAAUAAAGUUAGAGGAUGUAUUAAUAUAAAAAUUAUUUAUCGGUGUUGAAAUUAUCUCAUUAAUAAUAGUAUGAAAAGUUAAUUAUUAAGAAAUACAUAAUAGUAGUUAAUUGGUGUAAUAUUAUUGAGAUUCUGGAAAUAAUUUUAUAUCAUAACUUUGUAGGUGUAUAAUUACUCAUUAAAUUAAUAUAAUUAUUUAAAAAAAUUCAGUUGGAAAAAAUAAAUUAUAUUAUUUUUACUUCAAAUAAUCUUUAAAUUAACUCAAAAUAUAAUCAAGCUCAGAAUUAAAAAUUUAAACUAAUGCUACUAUAUCAGAGGAUUUUCUUUUUUUCUCCGAAGUUUCACUAGGAAAUUAUUGAUGUAUAGCUUUGUUGAGAAUUGAGAUCAUUUCAGUUCAGAAGACAAAUAAUUGAAAGACUAAACUAAAUAGACCGGCGAACAAAUUUGUACAUGAAAGUUAAAAAAUUAAGGUCAUGAGUUGGUAUUGCGGUUCUGUCUUGAGCAACUUUGCUGUCAUUGUUUAUUAUUUUUUGGUAAUAUUGCCUGGCGGUGACUGUUUAGUAAAUAUUAAGAAAUAAAUUUAUAUUUAUUAAGUAUAAAAAAUAAAUAAACAAACAAAAACACAAGGAAAAAUUUAUACUUUACGUAAAAUAAUAAGGACAAUAUCAAUACUUCACACUAUAAUUGAGUGAUGUGUGGCAUCUUAAUUGCCCAACUGCCACACAUUGGUUCCAAACGGAGACUUAAAUAUCAGAAAAAUUCCAAGUUAUUGCGAUGAUGACUUACAAUUGCCAAACUUGACAUAUGGGUAAUCAUGCAUUUCUUAUGAUCAUAACCUUAUUUUUCAUUCACAAAUAAAUAAAUGAUGUGACUUAACGGUUGACGGGGUCCUUUGUGCCAUUUUGGCAUUUCACUGAAUGGUUGAUUGUCGCAGGAAGAUUCCUGAAAGUUGCCAUUUUCCAAUGCUACUAACAUUUUCAAACUUGGAAAACCCUUUAAUCAAUCUCUUAGUAGUAGGCUGUGGUAGCUUGGUUUGAUUAUGAUUUAUAAUCAUUUGAUAAUAAAGCUAGAGGAUGUAUUAAGAUAAAAUUUAUUUAUUGGUGUUGAAGUUAAUUAUCUCAUUAAUAAUAGUAUAAAAGGUUAAUUAUUAAGAAACACAUAGCUGUAGUUAAUUGGUGUCAUAUUAUUGGAAUUCUGGGAUAUAAUUUUAUAUAAUAACUUUGUGAGUAUAUAAUUACUCAUUAAAUUAACAAACUUAUUUUAAAAUAUUUAGUUGGAAAAAAUAAAUUACAUUCUUUUUAUUUCAAAUAAUCUAUAAAUUAACUCAAAACAUAAUCAAGUUGAGAAUUAAAAUAAUGCUACUGUAUGAGAGGAUUUUUAUUUUUUCCCGAAGUUUCACUCGGAAAUUAUUGUUAUAUAGCUUUAUAUGCGAUCAUCCUCAGUUCAAACGACAAAUAAAUGAAAGACUAAGCUAAAUAGACCAGCCAACAACUUUGUAAAAUAGAGUUCGAAAAUUAAAUUAAGGUCAUGGUAGUGUUAUGUCUUGAAAAGUACAACGUAGUACUAAAAUAAAAACUAUUAGUCUUUGGUAAGAUAAUGACAUUUAAAUAAUAAUUUUCACAAAAAUACAAAGAAUAUUUAUAAAGUACUUCUAUAGUGAGGAGGCCCUCACUUUGUGAAAGUGAAAAUGUCGAUAAUAUACAAAAGCCAUAUAUUUUAACACAUUAAAAAUUGUAUUUUUUAUCUAUUGGUGUAUUAAAAUAUGUGUUACUUAGUUUGUUAGUGAUAUCAUCACUUUGUUAAAAUGAGGAUAUCGUCGCUAGAGAAUCAUUAUAUAUACAUAUCUAUAAAGUGCUUCUCUCCAAGACCUAGACUUUAUUAGAAUUUAAGAAAGCAAAUAUAUUUUAAAUGGUAUAAUAGUGUAAUAACAUCACACUAUUAUAUCAUAUAGAGUAAAAGUUUUUCGAACUUUAAUAAAGUUCAAGAUUAUAGAAUGAAUGAUUUAUAUAUAUAUAUUAUACAUUUUUUAUCAUAAAGUGGAGGACAAAAUUAACAUAUUUUUCAAAUUAUAAUAAGUAUUUAUCAAUAAUUUAACAUCAUAAUUUCUCCUAACUAGUAUAGUAAAUACAACCUAGGAGGUACAUUCAAAGCAUUUCAUAGGUUAGUUGUUCGCUCCAAAUUCAAUCACAGACAAGGAGCCUUUUUUGAGAAUAUUAAGCAUCAUCUUCAAAUGAAUUUUCAUGGCAAAGGUUUCAGGUCCAAAUUGUUGUUCCAGAUUAGUCCAAAGCUCAUGUGAGGUUUGAGAGUUUACCACAAGACUAAGGAUCUCGAUACUGAUGGAUGACAUUAACCAGCUCAACAACAAUUGAUCCUUUCUCUUCCAUGAAGUGAAUGCUAGAUUGAUCUGUGCUUUAGCUGUUGAAUCUUCAAUUUCAGUAAAAAGAAACUGAUUAGGACAUAGUUUUGAUCCAUCAAGUAGAUCUUCUAGUCCAUUGGCACGGACUUAAGACAAGAUUUGUAAUUUUCAGAUCAUUUAAUUCGACCGAUCCAGUUUGAUUGGUGAAGUGAAAGUAAACGAGGAAACAAAGAAGUUUGUAUUCUGAUUUGAGCUUGACGAAGCCAUUAGAAUUGAUAACUCAGGCUCUGAUACCAAGUUAAAGAUUCUAAUAUGUUUGGUAAGUAAGAAAAUGAGAGAAAAUGAAAGAAAGAACAGAGAUCAUCUAAGAGCUGGAUUUGAUGAAUAAACUUGAAUCAUACAUUCUUUAGCUGAUUACAAAUGUAUUUAUGCAAAAUUCCUGAACAUUUCAGAUUGUAUAUGCUUGACCUAAGCACCUGAGAGUUGAGCAGUGUGGACUGACAAACUGAUCACAAAAUAAGUAACUUAUGCCAGCUCAGCUAACACGUCAGUAACUCUAACUAUCUUGCUUAACAAACUGAAACAAUAACUAACCAUUUUAACUAUCUUAACAAUGCCAAUAAUUUCUUCAUUUGCGUAUUUCUUGAAUCAUAAUCAAAUGGGUAAAUUUUUCAACUAUUCUUUUAGAUAUUUUCACUUUGGGCUAUAAGGCCGGGGAAGUACGGGGGUCUGAGUUACUCAACUGAAAAUGUCGGCCAAGUUCUUGCCAUCUCAGGUGCAAAACUGAUACUUGUGUUCCCCAUUUAUACUUAUUACGAAACUGAUACUCGUUCCUCUUAACUUGUUUUCUCAUGCAUCAACUGUUGAGAAAAUGUGCUCUUUAAAAGCAUAUGUGUUUAUUUAAUUGUAAUGAAAAAAUGUGCUCUUUAAAACCAUAUGUGUUUAUUUAAUUGUAAUAAAUAUUUUUUCUGAUUAAUAAAAUAUAUGAGGUAUUUUAUUCAAGUAUAUUAAUUGCAUUGAUAUUUUGAGUAAAGUCCAUUUAAUCAUAUUAUAUGUAUUUAUGUGAUCACUAUGUGGAUUCACAAAAGACAUAAAUACAAGUUAUCUUAUGAUUAAAUAAAUUAUGUUCGCAGUUGAUAAAUAAAGUUGGACACUUUAUUUAGGUAUAGACUGUAAUAAAUUCAUUGAAUGAUUUGUCUUAAUCAUGUAUGAAUUUAUUGAUGUAGUGCGAUUACAUUGAAUAGGAUCACAUAUGAGAUUUAAUUAACUUUGUAAUAACUGUCAGACUUAUUAAAUCUCAUAGGCAUUGAUUUUACUGUAAUCUUAAUCUUGAGUUAGUUAUGAUUCCAUUAUUGUAAUUGUUAUUUCAUUUGAGUUACCAAUGGGCAUGACACAUACUUGUAUUCAAGAUUACCAGGUAUCUUGGUGAGAGCAAUUAUGAGUAUUGGAGUUAUAGAUUAACAAUAUAGAAUUUGUACAAUACAUCUCUUGAUGGGUUUUCGGUACUUGAUCAUAGAAUUCUCUGGCCAGAUUGUGUCGACAUAUUUAAUAUGUUGAAAAUGAUCAUUAGAGAAAAACCAGUAAGUAUCAAGGAACAAGAUGUAAUUAAAUUGAUUGGACAGUUGAGAUAUCGAUUUAAUUAAUGAUGUGGUACAAAUGAUUGAGCAGUCAAGAAAUCAUUGUGGUUUGGGACGAAUUAUUAUUCGAACAUACAAUUAGUGUGCGACCAGCAUUGGCCAGCGACAUGCGCUGCAUGCGCAGCGAGCUGCGCAGUCGAGUUUGGUUUGCUUUCGGUGAGGCGGCAGUGGUUAGCUCGGCAUCGGAGAUUGGUGGCAACUUUGAACAGCGGUUGAAGUUUGCGUUGAUGGCGGCUGGAGAAGAAGGGGAGAGAAAUAUAUGGAUUUAAGGCUUUAAUGGUUUUUAUCGUUGAGGUCUCUACGGUUUUACAAUUUUUCUUUCGGUCAGAUAAGGUUUAAUUUUUGCAUUUAAGUCCAACAACAGUUUUGGGCUUAAUGAAUCAUAAUUUUAGGCCCAAUUGAAAUUGGGUUUAAUGGAUUAAAAUGCAUAGAUAAAAUUGAAUAAAUUAAAUUUAUUUUUGGUCCAAACGUUUUAUUUAAAAAAGUUUAUUUAUUUAUUUAUUUCCUUUCAAAAUUAAAAUUGGACCAAUAAUAAAUUUAAAAGCCCAACUUCCUCUAGUCCAUUAACAAAGACAAGCCUAUGGAAGAUGGACAUUGACAAGAAGCCCAAUGAAGAUUAGGCUUAGGGUUAAUGUAUUUUUUUUAAUUUUAGGAAAGCCAUGAAUUCAGAUUAUUUAAUUAUUUUUCUAUAUGUUAUAUUUUGGAUGAUAACAUGCCAUGAUAACACGUCAUAUAGAAUAGGUAGUGCCACUCUAUGCAUAAUGAUACAUGAUGUUCAUUAAUUAUGAAUCUCAUUAUAUUGUUUGAAAAUUGAAUAUGCUUAAUAAUAUUGAAUAUCAUCUAGAUAAUAUUAUAGGAAGCAUGCAAUUAAAAAUAUUAUUUAUGUAUGUUUUAAAAAAAAACCAAUUUUUAAAUAUUGAGUGGGAGAGGGAAAAUUCAAGAUAAUUUUUCCCACGGGCUCCAUUGUUAGUUCAAUAAUAAAAUUAUAUAUAUACCUCGACUUCAUGAUACGGUGAUGCUCCCUUCGAAGGGUAUAUAUAUUAGAUAUUUUAUUUGAUGAACUUCUUCAAAGAUAAAAUUGAAAUAUUUUUCAAUCGAUUGUUCACCCCAACAGUGACUAUUGAUAUGAAAAAUACUUAGAUUGAAACAAUGGUUAUACACUCAACUAAAAUUUGUUAUUAACCUUCCCAACGAAGCUCUGUUAACAAAUUUAGGCCCAAAAGGAUAACAAUAAUUAUUUAUCAUGUCUCUACAUGAAAGUAAAUAAUCCAAUGGAUAAUUGGGUCUAGUAAGUGUAGACAUGACUUCCCCAACGGAUAGCUUGUCAAAGCGGUCCUAGAUUAUCGUUACAAUAAAUAAAAAUGCAGUUAUGGUUUUUUGCAUUUUUGUUAUUUAUUGUGAAUAUUAUAUCAAAUUAUUUAUGCAUGGAUGUUUUAUUUUUCAAAAAAAUGUCUUCCCUGAGCUCACUUACUAUUAUUCUGAGUCAAAACAAACUCACUGGAGAGAACUAUAUAGAUUGGAAAAAAAAAUAUAUUCAUUGUCCUGACUGCUGAAAAUUAUAAAUAUGUCUUAACCCAGCCAUGCCCUCUAGUUCCAGUGGAUGAUGCUCAUAGAAAUUAGAGGAGGCUUUAUGAGAAAUGGCAAAAGGCCAAUGAAAUGGCAAAAUGCUACAUUUUAGCCUCGAUUUCUAAUAUUUUGCAGACCAAACAUCAGAACUUGGAGACUUCCACUGAAAUAAUGGAUAGUCUCCAAGAGAUGUUCGGGCGGAAUACUCGCUCCGCGAGACAAGCAGCGCUGAAAGGCAUUAUGAACUGCAAAAUGGGGAAGGGCACAAGAGUUCGUGAUCAUGUCCUCAAAAUAAUGGACUAUUUGAAUGAGGCUGAGAUUCAGGGAGCACAAAUCGAUGAUAACUCAAAGAUUGACAUGGUGCUAGAAUCUCUGCCAAAAAAAUUUAAGGAGUUUAAGGUUAAUUAUAACAUGAACAAAAGAAACAUGACCUUAACUGAAUUGAUGAACGAACUCCAUUCUGCUGAAGAGAUCUAUUGCACUGAGAAAUCUCUAGGAAGCAUAAAGAUUGCUAACAAGGUUCUUCUUCUAGGCCCAAGCCGAAAGGCAAGGGUAAGAAGAAAGCUGGGAAAAAGAAACCGUCUACCAAGCAAGAUGGCAAGCCGAAAGGCAAAUGCUUCAAGUGUGGACAGAAAGGUCACUGGAACAAGGAUUGCCCUAAGAUUGUGAAAUCAGGAAUGAGAAAUCUUUUUGUAAUUGAGGUCUGUUUAGUUCAGAAUCCUAUUGACACUUGGGUGUUGGAUUCAUGAGCAACUAAUCAUAUUUUUAAUUCACUUUAUUGGUUUUAGGAAACUAGGAAAAUAAGUGAAGGAAGCGUCAAGCUGCAGUUAGGGACAAGACAGUUCGUGACAGUAGUGAAGACUGUAUCUAUUUUAUUAUCUUUUAAUAAUGAGAAUUUAGUUUUGAAUAUUUGUCUUUAUGUUCCAGACAUUAAGUGGAAUUUAAUUUCAAUAGCUUGUUUGUCAAAACAAGGGUACACUGUAAAUUUUGGAUCCUUUGUUUUUAUUUUUUAUAAUAAGAGACUUAUUUGUUCUGGAACAUGGGAAGAUAAUUUAUAUCAUUUAAGUCCUAUGAUCCAUUCUAUGCAUGACACAGUGAUCAAUAAUGAUGAGCAUACACAUUUAUCUAAGAAAAGAAAUAUUUCUUCCAACUAAUGUUACCUCUGGCAUUUGCGCUUGGGUCAUAUAAAGCAAAAUAGGAUACAGAGAAUGAUCAAAGAUGGGCUCUUGGGUCUAUUGGAAAAUGAAUCAUUGCCACUUUGUGAAUCCUGUUUAGAAGGGAAAAUGACCAAAAGACCGUUCUCGGCCAAAGGAGUGCAUGCAAUAGUACCACUUGAAUUGGUACAUACAGAUGUAUGUGGACUAAUCAAUAUACAAGCUUGAGGAGGUUAUGAGUAUUUCAUCACUUUCAUUGAUGAUUACUCAAGAUACGGUUAUGUUUAUCUGAUGCGUCACAAGUCUAAAACUCUUGAGAAAUUCAAAGAGUAUAGGGCUGAGACAGAAAAGCAAUUAGGUAAGAACAUAAAGCAACUUCGAUCUGAUCGAGGUGGUGAAUUUCUUUCUGGAGAUUUCAAAGAGUAUCUGGUAAAAAAUGGGAUUAUAUCUUAGUUAACUGCCCCAAGAACACCACAACAAAAUGGGGUAGCAGAAAAGAGAAAUAAAACUCUUUUAGAUAUGGUGAGAUCUUUACUUAGUUAUUUGUCAUUACCAAUCUCUUUUUGGGGACUAGCACUGGAAACUGCAGUUUACCUCUUGAACUUAGUUCCAUCUAAGUCAGUGCCUAAAACUGCAAUAGAAUUAUGGUAAGGUCACAAACCAAGUUUACGACAUGUCCAUAUUUGGGGAUCACCAACACAUGUGCUGAAACCAAAAGCAGAAAAAAUGGAUUCACGUUUUGAGGUUUGUAUGUUUGUGGGGUAUCUCAAAGGAACAAUAAGAGGUUUAUUUUAUAGUCCUUAAUAUAGAAAAGUGAUUGUGAGCACACAUUUCACUUCCCUCGAGGAAGACUAUAUGAAUAACUUCAAACCUAAGAGUAAGGUAAUACUUGAAGUACUGUCAGGUGAUCAGGUCUUUCAACACCUGUUAUAGAACAAGAAGAAGAACAACAACUAGCUGAUCAACACAGGAUUAUCCCUAAACAACCAUCACUUUUAGAACCUCGUCGUAGUGGGAGGGUAAGUAGGUUACCUGCGAGAUACAUGUUAUUGGGAGAAACUUAUACGACUAUCUCAGAUGAACAUGUACAAGAUCCCACUGGCUACAACGAAGCUCUAAUAAACAGAGAUGUUGAAUUCUGGAAAAAGGCCAUAAAUCAAGAAAUGGAAUCUAUGUAUUCCAAUAAAGUCUGGGAACUUGUAGAGGCACCAAAUGAGGUAAAACCUAUAGGGUGCAAGUGGAUCUAUAAGAGAAAAAGGGGAGUAGACGGAAGGGUGGAAACAUUCAAAGUAAGAUUAGUAGCCAAAGGUUUUACUCAGAAAGAGGGAAUCGAUUAUGAGGAAACAUUUUCUCCGAUUGCUAUGCUUAAAUCCAUUAGGAUUCUACUCCCUAUUGCUGCAGUACUAGAUUAUGAAAUUUGGCAAAUGGAUGUUAAGAUUGCCUUUCUUAACGGGCAUCUUGAAGAAGACAUCUACAUGCAGCAACUAGAUGGAUUCAUACAAAAAGGCCAAGAACACAUGGUAUACAAGUUGCAGAGAUCUAUUUAUGGAUUGAAGCAAGCAUCCCGGUCAUGGAACGCCAGAUUUGAUCAAGCGAUUAAAUCGUUUGGAUUCAUUCAGAACAUUGAUGAACCAUGUGUGUACAAGAAAAUUCAGGAAAAAUCUGUAGCCUUCCUAAUUCUUUAUGUAGAGGAUAUUCUCCUAAUUGGAAACGAUAUAGGAGUAUUGACUACAAUAAAAAGUUGGUUAGCAAAAUAAUUUGAUAUGAAAGACCUGGUAGAGGCAAGUUAUAUUCUUGGUAUCAAGUUACUAUGAGACAGGAAGAUUAAAACUUUAGCCUUGUCUCAAGCGGUCUUUAUCGAUAAAAUAUUGGCUAGAUUUAGCAUGGAAAAUUCCAAGACUGGUUUAUUACCAUUCAGACAUGAAAUUACAUUCUCUAAGGAUCAAUCAGCUAAAACAUAUGAAGAGAUAGAGAAAAUGAGACGAGUUCCGUGUGCAGAAGUUGUGGGAAGUCUCAUGUAUGCCGUGCUUUGCACUAGACCAGACAUCUGUUUUGCGGUAGGGAUGGUUAGCAAAUAUCAAUGUAAUCCUAGACCUGAACACUUGACUGCGGUCAAGCAUAUAAUAAAGUAUCUGAAAAGAACUAAAAAUUAUAUGCUUGUGUAUUCUGGUGAUGAACUCAUUCCAGUGAGUUAUACAGAUUCUGACUUUCUGUUAGAUAAGGAUUUCAGAAAAUCAACUUCUGGCUAUGUGUUUACAUUAGGAAGUGGAGCUAUUAGUUGGAGGAGUGUGAAACAAUCUUGUAUCGCAGACUCCACAACUGAAGCUGAAUAUGUGGCUGCAUCUGAAGCUGUAUGGCUCCACAAGUUCCUAUAAGAUCUUGAGGUGGUACCUGCUGUAACUGCACCCCUUAAACUAUUUUAUGAUAAUAGUGGUGUGGUAGCUCAAUCUAAGGAACCACAAGAAACAAAAACAUAUUGAGAGGAAGUAUCAUCUCAUAAGGGAUAUAGUGCAGAGAGGUGAUGUGGAGGUUACUCAGAUUGCGUCACAGCAAAACUUGGCAGAUCCUUUUACUAAGGCCAUACCUGGGAAACCUUUUAACUUGCACUUAGAAUCCAUGAGCAUGCGUGAGAUGCCAAAUAUGCUUUGAGAGUUAGUGGGAGAUUGUUGGGAAAAUGUGCUCUUUAAAAGCAUAUGUGUUAAUUUAAUUGUAAUAAAUAAUUUUUCUAAUUAAUAAAAUAUAUGAGGUAUUUUAUUCAAGUAUUUUAAUUGCAUUGAUAUUUUGAGUAAAGUCCAUUCAAUCCUAUUAUAUGUAUUUAUGUGAUCACUAUGUGGAUUCACAAAAGACAUAAAUACAAGUUAUCUUAUGAUUAAAUAAAUUAUGUUCGCAGUUGAUAAAUAAAGUUGGGCACUUUAUUUAGGUAUAGACUGUAAUAAAUUCAUUGAAUGAUUUGUCUUAAUCAUGUAUGAAUUUAUUGAUGUAGUGCGACUACAUUGAAUAGGUUUGGGACUACAUUGAUGUAGUCAAGAUUACCAGGUAUCUUGGUGAGAGCAAUUAUGAGUAUUGGAGUUAUAGAUUAACAAUAUAGAAUUUGUACAACACAUCUCUUGAUGGGUUUUCGGUACUUGAUCAUAGAAUUCUCUGGCCAGAUUAUGUCGACAUAUUUAAUAUGUUGAAAAUGAUCAUUAGAGAAAACCAGUAAGUAUCAAGGAAUAAGAUGUAAUUAAAUUGAUUGGACAGUUGAGAUAUCGAUUUAAUUAAUGAUGUGGUACAAAUGAUUGAGCAGUCAAGAAAUCAUUGUGGUUUGGGACGAAUUAUUAUUCGAACAUACAAUUAUGGAGGUUAGUUCCAAUCUUAUAGUGGGGUAGAGUUGGAAUUAAAUGAUUAGGCUUAUUUAACUACAAGCUUAAUUGUUGUAGCCACUAUUGUAUGUUCCAAAAUGAUCCCCGGGUUAGCUCAUUUAAUUGACUGCACCACUACUGGAUUAAUAAGCAAGAUAACUAGCUAUUUGGGUCAAAAGGCUAAAUAUAUCAUUUAGUGGGAGGCUCCAUUUAAUAUGCUUGUGUGUAAGGGACCUUAUGUUAUUUUACAAGGUGGACCCCCUAUAGAAAAAGCAAGUACCGUGGCUUUUGGUUUUUAUUAUUUGGAGCUAAGGAUUUUCACUAAAUGGAAAUAUAAAAAGGCUUAUUUUCUCUAAAGAAAAGAGAUAGAGCCACAUUAUACAGACCAAGAGAAAAAUAAUUUCUCUCUAAUUUUGAGAAAAAAUUUCUCCUGCUAGUUGCUUUUAGUGGUGAUAAAGGUGCCCACACGUUAAGUGCAGAUCAAACUUGAGUUAUAGCCUGGAAGGUUAUUUGAUGGCGGAUCGUGAUCUAAAAGGAGUGGUGGUGACGGAUCGUGAUCUGGGAGCCUAAAUCACUUCAGCGGAAAAAGCAAAAAUUGUUCAUCUUCUCGGAUUGUCAAGGUAUGAUUUUCUAGAUUAUGAAUUCCUAUAUAUUUUAUGAGAUUGGUCCUAAAAGUUUUUUAAAAAAAAUUUAAAAAACUGAUUUUUCCCCAACAUCAACCCCACAAAACUGCUUAUUGAUUGUCCUCAUUUUGAACUUACUAUAGGAUUCACCCUCCUUGUUUUACAACUUACUUUAUACCCUUACGUUGAGAGGAAGAUCAGGCCAAUAAUCAUAACACGCAUUGCAGGGGUAAAAUUUCGAACACACCAUGUGGCAUUUAGACCAUUUGAUAGUUUGUUUCAUACAUAUUUGUUUAUAAAAUACUUUUCUUCAUGGAUUUGGUGACGUAAUUUUCUAUGUAUGUACAGGUUUUAUCGAUACGUCUUUUGACAAGUUACACUUACAUAGCAAUGUUAUCUGUGUUCAGCCUUGCCUUAUUGAUACCUUAUUGAUAAACUGUGCUUCUGUGAUGAAGAAUGUUUUCUCUGUCAGUGGAUAUCCUAAUCAUUGAUCCAUAUACUUAGGUUAUAUUACCCAUUAGGAAGUAUGUAUAAAAAUUAUUUUAUAUCUUCUUUAUUAGAAAUGUUGUAAUUCUUUAUUACUUUUCCUGAAUUAUAACAUCAGAUGUCUAUAAUAACUGGAUUAUUCCUUCUGCAAAACAGAGCAGUGGUAAAUAUUUUUUUUCUUUUGUUUGUUUAGCACAUUUCCAUGAUUUCAGCUUUUUCAAAUUUUGUAUGUGUCAAAGUUUAAAUUUAAUUUGUUGGUUUAUCGUACAAUAACAGGAACAGCAUCAAAGAGGAGCUGCCAAUGGACUUGCUAUGACUGUAGUGUCGCUUACCAAAACUGCCGGUCCAGCUGUAGGAGGUGCUCUGUGAGUGUCCUAUUGAUUUUGUAAAAUUAUAUGUAAAUAAUGUUAUAAUUGUUUUUUCAUUAAUUGGGGUUCUGGCAGAUUUUCUUGGUCACAAAAGCGUCAAGAUGCUGGUUUCCUCCCAGGUAUGAUGAUUUACUGAUGAAAUUUCUGACGAGUUUGUGAAUUACUUUGUCCUAAUUAGCUUAGUUAGCUGCUUAAACUAAAGUGCAGGUAACCAGAUGAUUUUUUUCAUUCUGAAUUUGGUCGAGGCACUAGGAGUAAUAUUGACAUUCAAACCAUUUCUAACUCAACGUGUCCCGUGAGUAGAGAAAAGAUGCAUCUGUUGAAAUAUUCAAAUAUAUGUCAAGCAAAUUAAAGCUUUCAAAAUCUAUCAACAAUUUGAUUAUUUGAUGUGGUUUUCCACUUGCCGUAUUUUGUUUUGCUGUUCUAAAGGCUUAAAUAUGAAAAUGGUGGUUGGCGCUCACACCAAUCGAUUGCUGUUAACAUUGUUCAGUACUUUUCUCUGUCGACAUUUAUACUUGUUCAUUGUCAGAACUACGACAAUUUAUCUUUACAAUGAUGCAAGCUAGAAAGAAUUUUUCAUGUUAAGUAAAAUAUUGAAGCCACAAAGAGUCUGAAUUAAGUACUAAGUUUUCUGCCAUGCUUUCAACGGCAGCACAUUUGUAGCUCUUAUUCCAGGGGCUCCACAGUAGAGAGACCUGAUUUCGACCUUCUUCAGAACUUGGGGAUUCCGUAAUAACAGAGGACAACAGUUAUAUAAGAAUAUUAUUUUGUACAAUUUUCGUAUAACCUGACCAAUGCAAGUAUAAUUUUAUGAUCUUAACUCAUAUCAAAAGACCUUCAAUGAUGUAAAAUUUGCACAUAAAGAUGAGAACCAAACAUUAGAACUUAUGAUGAAACGGAAACAAAAACAUUGAGAUUGAAAAGAUAGAGAAACACAAGCUUUUUAAAAGGAAUAAAUGUUCAUUUAGUCUCUAUAUUUUGACUUAAGAGCGCAUUUAGUUCUUAUAUUUUAAAAAGUGCCUCAACCUCGAGUAGGGCUGGCAAAAAUCCCCACGGCGACGGGUACCCUUGGGGAUUUUCCCUAUUCGGGGAGGGUAUGGGGAUAAUUUCAUACCCAAUUUCUUAUUCAGGGAAGGAACGGGGAAAUUUUUUUACCCAAUUUCUUAUUUGGGGAGGGGACGGGGAUGAGGUGGAAUCCCCAUCCCCUACCCAUUUCCCCAUUUUAAUUUUUUAUUUUAUUUUUAUUUUUUAAAAUUACUAGUAAAUAAAUUAUAAAAUUUGAAUUAUAAAAUUAUAAAUAUUGGUAAAAAUAACAAAUAUCAAAAUAUUUAUAUUAUUAAACUUUUAGGCCUAAUUAACAAAUUAAAGUCCUAAAUUUUUAUUUAGGACAUUAAAAAGACCGGAUAUAUUCUAUUAGCCCAAAAAUUUUGUUUUAAUUUUAAUAUUCAUUAAAUAUUUUAAACUUAAAUCUAUUUAUUUAUUUAUUUUUAGAUGUUAUAAUUGCCCACAGCAAAUCACAAUUUUAAUAUCUAAUCUAAUCUAAUAUUUGCUCUUGAUUUGCUCGGACUUAACUAUUGUGCUGUAAAGGGAAUAGUCCACAUUUAUAAAGUGCCCACGCCACCAUUGAAAAAGUUAAUUUUGAAUCUAAAUUCGAUUUUAUCUGUAACAAUUUUGUAUUAGACUAUUAAUUUAUUCAUGAUAGUUUGUAUCCCUUGCAUGCUGCGUUACUUACUAAUUUAAUGUAUGUGACUUUUGUAAUAGAUAUUAAUGUAAGAUAUAUUUCGAACUUUACUUUUAUUUGAAUUUUUUUUAUUUUAAUAUGAUUAACUCAAAAUCGAAAAUAAAAAAAUGUAUUAGUUAUUCGGGGAUCGGGGAUCCUCUGUUAUUAUUCGGGGAGGGGAUGAGGAUUCUCUCAAGUAAUUCUGACGGGGACGGAGAGGGGAUGAGGACAUACGCAAAAUAUCGGGGAUGGGUACGGGGAGAUUGGUCCCCUCCCCUCCCCUCCCCUCCCCAUUGCCAUCCCUAACCUCAAGACACCCCUACUGUGUUGGAAUAAUAUUUUUGGGAAUAUCAAUGAAAAGAAAAAAAUGGUAAUUCAUCUAGCCAGCCUUAAACAAAAUAAAUAUUAAUAAAAACUUUUAUGUUAUUAUUUUAGUUUUAGGACUAAUUUCGUAAAUUAAAUUUUUUAUGCAUUUAUUAGUAAGAUUGCUUUAAGAAUAUUAAACAUUACUUUAAGAUGGCUGUUAUUAAUUUAUUUAUAAAGAAUUAUUAGCAAGAUUGUUGUAAAAGUACAAAAAAUACUGGUUAUUUCAUAUUGAUAUUUAUUGAUUAAUUUUCCAAUUAACUUUUUUAUAAAUAAAUAAAUUAAUUUAAGAAUAUUAUUGCCAAGAUAUUAUUGUAAAAGUAAAUAAAAUUUAAGGAAAAAUGUAACGUAUUUAAUAUCAAGGUAUAUUGAGGUAUUUUUUAAAAUAUAAAAACUAAACGAGCAUUGAAGUUAAAAUAUAGGUACCAGACGAGCAUUUUCUCUUUUAGAAAGUUUUAUAUUUUAUUAAUGAAAGUCUGAAUAACAAAAUUAAGGUUUUGGACUUCUUUUAAACUAAACUUAAAUAUCACAAAUUUACCAAAAUAAGUAAACCUAACAUAUUACUACAUAAUAACAUUCUCCUAACUGAAAUAAGAUAAAUGUUACUCAAAUUCUAUAUCUAGAAAAAAAAAGAUAAAAAUCCUGAAAACAAUAGGAAAAUAGAUCUUAAACUUGUAAAAUAAUAUGAAAUAAAUAUAAUUUUCAAUCGAACCACGAGACUAAUGCGGUGCUACAGUAUUAGAUUAGAUUCCCCUCGUCGCGAACUUCGAAAUGUAUAUUAUACACCCUAAAUAGAUACUUAUAGCUCAAGUUGUUACCCUAGAGAGAUACUCCACUCAUCCUACGCAACCAUCCGCUGCAUCAAAUUCGUUCCAAAAUUAAGAAUAAACCAGCUGAUGCAUUCCAAAUAAUUUAGAUGAAACGAUAAAAUAAACCUAGAGAUCAAAUAACAUGAAAUGAAAAAGAUAAUUACCUUGGACUGAAGCUCAUACAAAUUCAUUAUUUGACACCUGCAGCAAUUGUUGAAAUAAUAGUUAAUGAAAUAUAAAAUAAGACAAGUACAUAUUAAUGAAACACCACUGUGAAUCGAUAGCUAAGGACGGAGUAAAAUUUAAUUGUAAAUUAGGACAGUAGAGCAAGCAUCCAUAAACAUAACAUGAACGUAAUACAUCAAUUGAAAUAUCAUAGGAUAAAUUAGGACGUCAGAGAAAGAAAUAAGUAAAUAAAUCAGCAAAGGAAACAUGCAUAAACAAAUAAAAAAACAAAGACAAAAUAAGGAAGAGUUUGUGAUAAUUUUCUUCUAUGGUCAUUGAAGUCCAAAAACUAAUAAGGAUCGAGCAAUUGAACGGUUGCAAACUCAAUGGAACCUUAAAAAUGAACAGUGAAGGAAAAUGAAGAAAUCUGCAGGAAAUAAGGCGAUUGAGAGUGAAGAAUUAAUUACCACUGAGUAAAUGCGAAUGAAGAAUGGAGACAGAUCCUUCUUCGCCCCAUUGAAAAGUGAGAUUCAUAGAUUGUAUUGAAAUUGAGAGUUGAGAUCAAGAAGCGAUUCUUCUUCUCCGUAAUUUCCUUUUUCUUUUAAUGUUGUUAUUAUUAUUAUAUCUUUUUUGAUAUCUUUUUUGUUUUAAACGGUAUUGGCAUAUUCUAUUUAUUUAUGUUAAUUUUACAAUACCUCCCUUCAGAUUGCACAAAUUACAUAAAAAAAAAAAAAAGUGCUUUAUGUAUAAAACUUUCAAACAAAUUGGGCCAAAAUCUAACUUUACCAAGUUUAGAGUAAUUUUGGGCUCGACAUUCCAUUUCCGACAAACGAAUUUUCUUUAUCACCAAGGUAUGAUACUUUUCAUAUUUAUCCAACGGCUCGUCAAUGACAAUACCUUUGUAAAAAGUACUUAUUUUGAAUAGUAUAUUGUGGAAAUGUCUGGUCGGUAAUACAACUAUUUCUUAUAGUGUAAAAAUGAUACACUAAGCGUUCACAUUUUGAUGAGUAAAUUAAGGAUUUCAAGAUGAAGUACAUAAUUAGAUUAAUGCUAAGAAACUGAAGUUUGAUCGAUUGAAAAUGAAAAUAAUAAUGAAGGUAAUUAAGAAAAUGAACAAUAUAUGCAGAAGCGGUCCUUAUUAGGACUUCUAGAUUUUCUCUUGGGCUUUCCUUAUUAUUGUUAAAAAAUGAAACGAAGAACUUUGAGUUUAAAAAUCUGGCCCUGAUGCCUGGUAGCCCUCCAACAUAUGAAGCACCAGAUGUUUUGAUGAGAAAAUGACAAGACCAUUUAUCAAAUUUCUUGUGGAUAUAAAUACAUACACAUAGACGAGACCAACCUCCUCAAAUGAGAAUCAGAGUGAUUAAAAGACCUUGCAAUGAGACAAUGAUACACCAUCAAAUGUCAAAAUACAAUAGAAAUUCACGACAUAUAUAUAAUAAAAGACCUCUCAUUGAGUCAUAUAUAUUGAGAAAAAAAAAUGUUAUAAUACAUACACAGAGCUUAGUUAGAAUAAAAUGUCUUUGAACUUGCGAUGAUCAAACAAAGGAAACAGACAGGUUGUAACUCACACUAUCACAAGAAGAUCACGAAGAUGGAAAUGGGAACCCAUCAGAAUGGAAACUUUGAAUAGAGGAAAAAAGAAAAACGACCUUAUUCACAGAAGAAGAGUGACUUAAAUCUUCAUCAGUAUCCAGACAUUUUGCAAUCAUAGAGUAGAGAAAUUUUAACAGGAACAGCAGAGAAAAUAUUAUGAAUAUGCUAUAGACCAAUAUACUUGUUCAUAGCUGACGUUUGAUGGUUUAAGGAUUUGUUCUAGGAAUAAUGGGCUGAUUACUUUCUUUUUAUUUUUUUAUUUUUUAAUCCAAUGAAUGAUAUUCAGCUGUUAAUUAUGUGUUCAUAGGGAAGAACAUUUUCUAAGUACUUUCCUUGCCUUCUAACUUUCCGAAAAGCAAACCCAAUGAACAAACAGAGGACAAACUAAAAUAAAAGAACAGCAAUGAUGACAAUAAAUAAUUGGCAAAGAAAAAAAAGGAAAAAGUAUGCACGUUUUCAAGGAAUUAUAAAAUAUGAAGGCUUUUAAUGAAACUUAAUCAUAAAAAGUAUGCAAGGAAUUAUAAAAUUUUAGAAAACAAGGGGAGCUCUCAAAAAAAAAUGAAAAACUCAAAUUAAACUAGACUAAAAGACAUUCAAUUUUGCAAAAUCUGUCCAUAAAAGUCUGAAAGGAUCAUUAAAAUUGCAUUGCAAAUUUAACAGUAAACCGAGGGACCCAUUCUAAAUAAUUCAGAUGAAAUUGCGAAACAAGACAUGGGAUUAAAUAAAUGAAAUAAAAAUUAAUUACCAGUUGAGACUUUCUUCUAAAAAUUCGCAACUCCAAGUCAUAAGAAGCCUAUGAAAUUAGUCGUACUGCGUAGAGUAUGACGAUGACACCGCCAACAGUUGAAAGUAAAAUUCUUAUUCAUCAAUUUAAACUUACUUUAUAACAAAUAUCUUAUCUAUAUUGUAUUUAAGAAAUCAAAUUUUGUAAAAAUUUAUCAUGGGAGAUAGAGAGUAAUAUGUAUAUACGUACCUUCUCAGCAUGUAAUUGUUGUAUGGUUGUGUUUAGAUCAUUAUUAGCCCAGCGCCGUUGAUCCGCUGUCUCUCCAUAGCAGACGUUUACUCUUAGAGGCGUGAUUGAUUCUCCUGUAGUGAAAAUCUUCAUCUUGGGACAACCAAUCACCCACAAAUUUUGCAAAGAUGGCAAUUUGACGGUGUAAUUGGCAGAGCAGAAACAAUCUCUUCUUUUUCAACUCCAUCUUUGUCAUUUAUUACCACCUCUGUCAUUGCUCUGCAUCCAUAUAUUUCUAUUGCUACGAGUCGCACCAGAGUUUUUGCUGUGGAGGAUGUUACCAUGUGUAACAAUUUCUUGCAACCGAAAGCCACCACAGCUGUUAGGUUCUGAAAAGAUACCGAUGAUGAUGGCAAUAGAAUUAACAGACUUUGACAAUGAUAUGCUUUUAGAAUUUCAAGAUACUGAAAAAUGGGGCCAAGUUUGGAGUCUUGUUUGCACAGCUGCUUCAGAUGAUAGUGCCAGCGCAGCUCUAAUGUUUUUAUCAUUGCCAACUUUCCCGCAUGUUUCUCUAAGCUUCCUUCCUCCGAAAAUACCUCUUCGUGGAAUGAAAAUUGAAACAGUGAGAGCAUUUCAAGAUUGUGAAAUCUCUCAAGUACAUUCCAGAUUGGAAAACAAGCUGAGUUAUCUUCGGCAAUCUCUAGUUGUUUAAGACUGCCAAAAAGGUGUUGUGGGAAAUCGGCCUGCAAAAUCAUCUUCACGUCUUUUCCAUUCAAUGAUAGGUCCUUCAAGUUGGGUAAGAUCUGAUCAUCAUAAAUCAUAAUAACUAAUGAGGUCAAUUGAUGUUCUCUCAAAUGAUUUUGAGUAAUCCAAUCACAAGCAGUGACUUUAUAGUAUCUGUUUUAUAUUAAUUUUACCCCCCAAAAAAAAUUGAAUUAGUGAUAAAAUUCAUUAUAUGAUUUUUUUAUAUGUUAAUUUUAGAGGUAAAAAAGAAAUUAGGGAAAAAGAGUUGAUUUAUAUUUGCAUGAAAAUAUUUUAUUUCACAACAAUAAAUUAUUAAUUUAUUUUGUAAGUCGUUGUAUAAAGAAAAACUAAGGAUUCUUUACCUAAAAAAGUCCAUAUAAUUAUUAAUCUCCCACAUUGAUCCCUUAGUCAUGACUAGCAAAGAUUUUUAUGUAAUAAAAAUUUUCAAUUUAUUAAGUAUCAAUUUAUAAAUGUUUUGUUACAUUUUUCAAAGUCAAAAAUCGUCAAUGAGCUAUUGAAAAAAAUAUCUAGAAUAUGACUUCAUACCUUUUCCAACGGCAAUAAGGGCUGUUGUGCAGGAAUAUCAAGUUGAUUAUUCUCUUUAUUCUGCGAUAAAUCUGCAGCGAAUAUCUUUAAUUUGUCACAACGACACACUGCAAAAUUUUCUAGUGCUGGCCAUUCCGAAGUAUGCAUUCCUGGGUAUAAACAUCUAAGUUUUGGUAGACCUUGGAGAAUCAGAACGGUGAGCUGUGGAAAGACAAAAUAAGGGAUCACUUCAUCUGCUCUGUUUUCAGAAACGAUCUCCUGUAAAUCCUCACAGAAGCGUAUAUCUAAGUGCUGGAGCUGCUUGAGGUUUCCGAUCAUAGACGCUGAAAAUAUGAUUUAAUUAUUUUCCACGUAUGACAUCAAAAGAGAACGCAUGAUAGAAUAAAAUCUGUUAUAUAUAUAUAUAUAUAUAUGAAGAAAAUGUUAGCCUACUGUUGCGGACAGCCCAAUUCGCUAGCCCAAUUGCCCACAAUUUCGGGCUAGAGAGCCAACACAAGGCCAAGAGUGCUAGCUUGGCCCAAUUCCGGAAGGUUCUAGGCAACUCUAGCACAUGUGAACAUGUAAAUAUUCUAGAAUACUUUAUACAAUUCCAGCACAUGUAGAAUUCUCCAUAGAAUUCCAGCACAUGUAAAUAGCUAGGAAAUGGUAGAAUUCUCUAGAAUCUCUAGAGCUUGGCAAGCCUCCCCUAUAAAUAUGGGAUGACAUUAGGCAUUUGUAUCCAACAAGCAUUGUAAGCAACUCAAGCAUUGUAUUAUCUCUUUGUGCAAUACAAGUUUUCUUCUAUUGGCUCAAUUGCUCUCUCUCUCUUCUCUAGUUCGAGAAGCUCUAGGCUUACUUAGCAACAUUCGGCAAAGUUGUCUAAGUGCCGCACGGGUUAGCUGCGCAAAACACUCAUCCCGUGACAAGUGGUAUCAGAGUUAAGGUUUGCACGCACGCAAAUUAGCUCACGAGCAAUGGCCAACCCUUCGAAUCCAGCACAAGAGGGUGUUGUUGGUGUGGAUGUUCCACCGGAACCAAGCCGCGGCCGAGAGGGAGAACGCGCCCAAGGCAAGACUCGCGGCAAGUCCAAGGUCCCAUCCGUGGAUGCGUUGGAGCCUUGUGUGACUACUCUCGAAAUCGCAUUGUCCGCCGCUCAAGAUAGCCUCGAAGGAUUGGAGGAAAGAGUGGAUGGUCUCGAGGGGGAAUACGUCGAGUUCACGGUGGCCACAAAAGCUCUCAUCCAAGAGCAAGCGAACACUCUCAGAGGUGAGUUUCGUUCUUUCCAUGAUGAGUUGCUAAAACUUCGUAGUUUUGUUCAGGACGAACUACGCAAUGUCCGUGCGGAAGUGGAUGAAGUCCGCUCGGAUUGGGCAUGGCACAAGCGCACACUCUCCUCAAGUCCAGCUUCCGCAAACUCGAGUGAUGCGCGCUGCAUUGACGUGCCAAAGCCCGACACUUACGAUGGCACACGCAACGCCACAAUCGUGGACAAUUUUCUCUUUGGGCUUGAUCAAUACUUCGAUGCCAUGGGUGUCCGAGACGAGGCAUCGAAAGUGGGCACUGCACCCACCUAUCUUAGAGGCACUGCACAACUAUGGUGGCGUCACAAGCAUGGCGAGAUGGGCAAGGGCAUUUGCACCAUCGACACUUGGGCCGACUUCAAGCAAGAACUCCGAAAGCAGUUCGCCCCAAGCAAUGCGGAGAAGGAAGCGCGAGCGCGCUUACGUCGCCUCAAGCAAUCGAGUAGCAUUCAGGACUACAUCAACGAGUUCACUACCCUUAUGUUGGAGAUAAGCGACAUGUCCGACAAGGAUUCACUCUUCUACUUCCAAGAUGGCCUCAAGGAUUGGGCCAAGACCGAGCUUGAUAGGCGUGGUGUUCAAACACUUGACGACGCCAUUGCCGUUGCGGAGUCACUCACCGAGUACUCUACCCAAUCCAAGGACAAAAAGGCCAACCAAGGCAAAGGUGGGGGAGAGAGUCGCAAGGACAAGGGCAACAACCGCAAAGAUUGGGGGCAGAAAAAGCCGCCUAGCAACAAGAGCGGGCAAGGAAAAUCGGAGGGCAAGAAGGAAGUGCCAAAGCCGCGAAGCCCAUGCUUCAUAUGCAAUGGUCCUCAUUGGGUACGCGACUGUCCGGAGAAAAGGUCACUCAACGCUCUUGCUGCCCAACUCAAGAGCAACCCCACAAUGUCCGCGGAGGAACCCCAACUCAGCAUGGGUUCUCUCCAACGCCUCGGCGCACUCAAUCGCCAACAGCCCGCACUCGUCAAGAAAGGGCUCAUGUAUGUAAGCGCAAAGGUAAACGGUCAAUCCGUUCACGCGCUGCUAGACACGGGAGCGACGCACAACUUCGUGUCCAUAGACGAGGCCAAGCGCUUAGGCCUCAAGGCCACCAAGGAAGGAGGCACAAUGAAAGCGGUAAACUCACCCGCCAAGCCAAUUGCGGGGAUCGCACAAGGCGUGCACAUCACACUCGGUACGUGGAGCGGAAAGCUUGACUUCUCUAUUGUGCCCAUGGAGACUUCAAGAUGGUCCUCGGCAUGGAAUUCUUCGACCAAGUCCAUGCCUUCCCGCUGCCCGCUACAAACUCCCUAAGUAUCCUCGAUGGGAGCAAAGCAUGCAUGGUACCCACAGAGCGAGGCAAGUCCGAGGAGAAGACACUCUCCGCCAUGCAAUUCAAAAGGGCUUUCAAGAAGGACCCAAGCUUCUUGGUCUCCAUUCGGGAACUAAACGAGGAAGGAAAUAGCGGAACUUCGCCAAGCCAAGUCCCUCCGCGAGUUCAAGCCGUCCUCAAUGAGUACAAGGAUGUGAUGCCUCCAGAACUUCCGAAGAAGCUCCCACCUUGACGAGAGGUAGACCAUGCGAUCGAGCUGGAAUAAGGCGCGAAGCCACCAGCCUUGGAGCCCUAUCGCAUGGCGACCCCCGAAUUAGAGGAGUUGCGGAGACAACUCAAAGACUUGCUGGACGCAGGCUACAUUCGCCCCUCAAAGGCCCCAUUCGGUGCACCGGUCCUCUUCCAAAAGAAAAAGGAUGGAUCGCUACGGAUGUGCAUCGACUAUAGAGCACUCAACAAGAUCACCAUCAAGAACAAGUAUCUGAUUCCCUUGAUCGCGGACUUGUUCGACCAGCUUGGCAAAGCACGGUACUUCACCAAACUUGACUUGCGCUCCGGGUACUACCAAGUGCGCAUUGCCAAGGGAGACGAACCGAAGACAACAUGCACAACAAGGUAUGGGUCUUUCGAAUUCCUUGUAAUGCCUUUUGGCCUUACUAAUGCACCCACCACAUUUUGCACGCUCAUGAACAAGGUACUCCAACCAUUCCUCGAGCGCUUCGUGGUCGUGUACUUGGAUGACAUAGUGGUGUAUAGCACCACGCUCGAGGAUCAUGCCCAACACUUGCGACAAGUCCUCCAAGUACUUCGAGACAAUGAGCUCUUCCUCAAACUAGAGAAGUGCUCGUUUGCCCAACAAGAGGUGGAGUUCCUUGGCCACAAGAUUGCGGGCGGGAAGAUCAUGAUGGAGAAUGCUAAAGUAAAGGCCAUCCUCGAUUGGGAGCCUCCCUCGAAAGUGCCCGAGCUUCGCUCAUUCCUUGGGCUGGUGAACUACUACCGCCGCUUCAUUAAGGGCUAUUAAGCUAAGGCGGCACCCUUGACGGAUAUGCUCAAGAAAAACAGAACGUGGCAUUGGUCCGAAGAGUGCCAACGCGCAUUCGAGGAGUUGAAAAAGGCAAUUUCGGAGGAACCAGUCCUCGCCCUUCCGGACCACACAAAGCCCUUCGAAGUGCAAACGGAUGCCUCGGAUUUCACCAUAGGAGGAGUCCUCAUGCAAGAAGGCCACCCUAUAGCGUUCGAGAGUCGAAACCUAAAUGAUACCGAACGCCGUUACACGAUGCAAGAAAAGGAGAUGACCGCAAUCAUACAUUGCUUACGGGUGUGGCGACAUUACUUGCUUGGCUCGCACUUCACAAUCAUGACGGACAACGUGGCGACAAGCUACUUUCAAACUCAGAAGAAGUUGAGUCCGAAGCAAGCGCGGUGGCAAGAUUUCCUUGCGAAAUUUGAUUAUCGGCUCGAGUACAAACCGGGUAAAGCCAAUGUCGUUGCGGACGCUCUAAGCCGCAAGGCAGAAUUAGCAACACUUAGCAUGAGCCAACUGAAGUCCGACCUUGUCUCACGCAUCAAGGAAGGCCUCCAACAAGAUCAGCUAGCAAAGGAUUUGCUGGAGAAGGUGCUCGAGGGAAAGACAAGGCGAUUUUGGCAAGAAGAAGGCAUCCUCCUCACCAAGGGAGAUCGGCUGUUCGUGCCAAGGUGGGGAAACUUGCGGAAGGAAGUAAUCAAGGAAUGCCACGACUCCAAGUGGGCUGGUCACCCAGGAAUCGAGCGCACCAUCGCACUAGUCCAAGCCUCGUAUUUUUGGCCGCACAUGAGGGACGACAUCGAGGCAUAUGGAUCAUCAACUUCCAGCGGGAUUAUUGGAGCCGCUACCACUAGCAACAAGGCCAUGGGAAAGUGUCUCCAUGGACUUCAUCACAUCGCUGCCUAAGUCCAAAGGUUGCGGAAGCAUCAUGGUCGUUGUCGACCGAUACAGCAAGUACGCCACAUUCAUUGCCGCACCAGUUGAUUGCAAAGCGGACGAGACAACCCGCUUAUUUGUCAAGCACAUUAUGAAGCUUUGGGGAGUUCCGAAGAGCAUUGUGACUGACCGAGACCCUCGGUUCACUGGACGCUUUUGGACGAAGCUCUUCAAGAUGUUGGGGACCGAUCUUAAGUUCUCAAUAAGCUUCCACCCACAAACGGAUGGGCAGACCGAGCGCAUUAAUGGCCUCCUCGAGAUGUACUUGAGGCAUUAUGUGAGCGCUCACCAGCGGGAUUGGGCGAAGCUACUCGACGUCGCCCAAUUUUCUUAUAACUUGCAGCGAAGUGAGGCUACAGGCAAGAGUCCAUUCGAGAUCAUCAUGGGAUUCCAGCCCAUGACCCCCAAUGCCAUAGCCUCGACUUACGGAGGGAAAAGCCCUGCGGCACACAAGCUCGCCCGCGAAUGGCAUGAGGAAGCGGACAUCACGCGAGCCUAUCUCGACAAAGCCGCGAGGAAAAUGAAGAAAUGGGUGGAUACAAGGAGACGGCAUGUUGAGUACAAGGAAGGUGAUCAAGUCAUGAUUAAGCUCCUACCCCAACAAUUCAAGACUUUGCGGAAAGUUCACAAGGGGUUAGUGAGGUGCUACGAGGGACCCUUCCGAGUUGUUCGACGUGUGGGAAACGUCUCGUAUCAACUCCAACUUCCGCCAAGACUCAAGAUCCAUCCGGUCUUCCAUGUGAGCCUUCUCAAGCCAUAUCACGAAGACAUGGGAGAACCAAGUAGCGGAGAAUCGAGGCGCGUGCCAACUGCCGUUGUCACUGCGUUCGACAAAGAUGUGGACUACAUCAUUGCGGACCGCACGGUUUCGAGGAGGGGCGUGCCAGCACAUAGCGAGUACUUGGUGAAGUGGAAAAACCUCCCCGAGAGCGAAGCCACUUGGGAACGUGAAGAUGAUUUGUGGCAAUUCGCUGAGCACAUCCAGAAUUUCAAGCACGAGAGCGCGACGAGGACGCCGCGAGCUUAGGUGGGGGAGGAUGUUGCGGACAGCCCAAUUCGCUAGCCCAAUUGCCCACAAUUUCGGGCUAGAGAGCCAACACAAGGCCAAGAGUGCUAGCUUGGCCCAAUUCCGGAAGGUUCUAGGCAACUCUAGCACAUGUGAACAUGUAAAUAUUCUAGAAUACUUUAUACAAUUCCAGCACAUGUAGAAUUCUCCAUAGAAUUCCAACACAUGUAAAUAGCUAGGAAAUGGUAGAAUUCUCUAGAAUCUCUAGAGCUUGGCAAGCCUCCCCUAUAAAUAUGGGAUGGCAUUAGGCAUUUGUAUCCAACAAGUAUUGUAAGCAACUCAAGCAUUGUAUUCUCUCUUUGUGCAAUACAAGUUUUCUUCUAUUGGCUCAAUUGCUCUCUCUCUCUUCUCUAGUUCGAGAAGCUCUAGGCUUACUUAGCAACAUUCGGCAAAGUUGUCUAAGUGCCGCACGGGUUAGCUGCGCAAAACACUUAUCCCGUGACACUACACACCUUCUCGUUGAAAAGCAGAGUUGAAGUAUCCUCUUGCGAUGAUGGUCUGUUUGGUGAUGCUAAAGGAGUCUUUACUUCACGGCAGAGAUUUAUGAUAUUUUACAAUCAUGUAUUUAGAUUUACUUUAAUUUUAUGUUUAAAGCUUCUACAAUGAAUAGCGUAGCUUGGGCUUUAGUUUCAUUUUCUAAUUAACUUGUUUUAGUUUAUCUUAUAUGCUCGCCAAGUGCUUGUUAUAUUGUCUGAUAAGUUAUAUAACAUUGCUGAUUCUAUAUUAGUAAUGUCAUGUUCCAUUUUCGGAAAUUAUAACACAAAAGUUUUUACAAUGGCUUGCAUCUACAAACUGAAUUGACUUGUAGAGUAAGAGCUUGGAUUAGUGUUAUGUUCUUGAAUAAAUGAAAGUUCAUAUUGUGUAAGAGCAUGUAGAUAUAAAGCAUCACUACCAUUUCUACAAACUGCUUUCAUUCUGUUCAGAUGCUCCUCUUGAACUUUGAAAGGUGCCUCAUUCAAGUCCUAGCUAUAACUACUAGCUCUGAUUGCUUAAGUUCCUGUGCUAGCUGAAACAGAUUUAUUUAAUUAAUUAAUUGUGUAUGUACUAAUUAUAUUGAAAGUAUAUGAAGAAAUUGUUUAACAUGAAUGACUUCUAAAUGACUUAAAAGCCUAAAGGAUAUGUGAAAUAAUGCUCAUUUCACUUGAACGAGCCUAUUAAUACUUGUAUGUCUAUGAUUGUCAAUCUUGCUUAAGUGUUUCAGUUAAGUGGUUUACCUAACAGGGAAAAAAAUUUAAUGGAAAACUUUAGAGUUCUAACAGAAAUAUAGUUGACUGCAGAUAUAGUUAUUUUACGGUACAUAAAUCAUGUUGUCCUAUUCUCAAUGUCCUACGACCUAUUUUAUUUUAUAUGGUCAUUCAUUUUUGCGAUGGUUUUUUGUGCUUAUGAGUAUGGAAAUAGUGGGAUUUAGAGUGGCAAACAAAAAUAUACAUAUAAUCAAGUUUCUUAAUCAUAUAUAUUGGUUUUGGGUAUGAAUGUUUUCCUAUUCUAGUUCUAAGCAAAGUUUCUUCAUUUUGGUCUUCAGAUUUCCAGUAGGUUAAGUUAAGCAACUAUCAUAACUAGCUAGCUAGUUAUUGCCUGCCUUGUCGCCAUUACCGACGCCAUUACAUUGCAUGGCAUAAGGAAUAGUAACUAGGUGAUUAUUGGUGAUUCGUUGAGUUUAUUAUUGGCCAAACAAACAUAUUGGCCUUUACCCACAACUUAGUUUGAUUAGUUAUUAGAUAAUAAAGAGCCUUAAUCUAUGCAUUGCUUUAUUAUUUUUAUUUGGUUUUUCUUUCAACAAUAUUGUUGAUUUCUUAUAAACAGUACUAGUAGUGAAAAAAUGAUGACAACAACAAAAAUAGAAAAUUACAAGACUGCUGAUAAAAUUUCAUUUGCAUGCAUGUCUGACAAAAUUUCCGUGAUUUAAUGUGCUUUCAUGAACGCAAGUCCUAACGUUUCUGUGAUCACAAAAUGAAACUGAAGAUAAAACAGAACAACUACCAAACCUUUCAAGCUUGACGAAGCCAUGAGAAUUGAUAGCUCAGGCUCUGAUACCAAGUAAAAGUUUCUAAUCUGUUUGGUAAGUAAGAAAAUGAGAGAAAAUGAAAGAAAGAACAUAGAUCAUCUAAGAGCUGGAUUUGAUAAGUAAAUAUGAAUCAUCCAUUCAUUAGCUGAUUGCAAAUGUAUUUAUACAAGUGAUGGUUGUCGAAGCCAACAAAAAUAAAUUCCUACUAUAAAUAAAUUGUGUAUAGUGAUUGAGCAGGGUCGUGUCCACAGAGAUCGGUAAUUAUUUAAAUCCUUUUGAAACGUAAAACGUAAAAUGGGGGAAUUGUUGACAAUAAUAAAAAUCAAAUUAAAAUAACAAGAAUACAAAUUAAAGUUGUAAUUCAAAUUGGAGAAAGCUCUGGUUGAAGGAAUUAACUCAGCUUGAUUCGACUACUGAUCAUUGAUUCAAAUAUAGAUUAUUAUUACUUAUGAAUAGACCGGUUAUAGCUACUGAGACCCUCUAAUAGCCAAUCUCUCCUUAACUAGUCGAUAACCAAGGUAUGACCGUUGGUUAUUUCCCUAAUCAAUAGACAACCCUAGAUACGAUCAUAGGAUUUAAUCAAUUGACAACCUGAAAGACCAGAGAGACCCAAAUCCUAAUCAACACAUACGAUGAUUCAUUUAAAUUAGAUUGUUUAUUCUCAUAACACAACUCACUGCUAUGUUAUUCGUCACAAACAUUAAAAGCUUCAUACGAUGAAUCCUUUAAUUAACAAUAGAUUAAGUUGAUAAUUAAAUAGUGGCCAAUUACCUAAUUAACAAACAUAAUCAUGAAAAUAAUUCAGAGAAUAAACAAAUACCCAAAAAGUAAUAAAACAAUUAAAGUAUAAAAUAGAUCUCACAGUAGUGAUGAAUCAAAACUUCAUUAUCCUUCAACCAGAAAAAUAAGUUUAGUUCUUCAUAGAGAGAAGAGAAAAGUUUAGAUCUAGGGUUUCUCUCUUUUUCUCCAAUCCCCAUUUUUCACAAUAGAUUCCUCCCUUAAAUACUCUCUCUCUCUUCUCUUUUAGAAUUCUAUUUAAAAUAAAAUACUAAUAUCUGAAAUAUUAAAUUCGUAAUUACAAAAAUAACCAAAAAUACAAAACACGUUAAACUAAAAACUGCAGGUCCGCAGUUGACAGCACGUGCCCACGCCUUAUCAACAAAGUUCUUCUGACGCUCAUAAUUUCUCCAAGAGAACAAUCAUCCUUAAACAUCAUCUUGUAACUCAAUUUUAUCACCAAUCAAUAGAAUUGCACCUACAAAAGUAAAACACAAGUAAAUCACUAUUAUUAAGUGCAAAACAUCGAUAUUAAGGGAAGUAAACAAUGCAAAACUAGUGCAUAAAUUGCACUCUAACAACAAGGUUCCUGAACAUUUCAGAUUCUAUAUGCUCGAGCUAAGCACCUGAGAGUUGAGCAGUGUGCACUAACAAACUGCUAACAAAAUAACUAACUCAUGCCAGCUCAGCUAACACGUCAGUAACUCUAACUAUCUUGCUUAACAAACUGAAACAAUAACUAACCAUUUUAACUAUCUUAACAAUCCCAAUAAUUUCUCCAUUUGUGUACUUUUUUGAAUCAUAAUCAAAUGGAUAAAUGUUGCAACUAUUUUUUUAGAUAUUUUCACUUUAGGAUGUCAGCCCGAGGAAGUACGGGGGUCUGAGUUAUUCAACUGAAAAUGUCGGCCAAGUUCUUGCCAUCUCAAGUGCAAAACUGAAAAUGUUACUCGUUCUUCUUAACUUGUUUUCUCAUGCAUCAACCCCACAAAACUGCUCAUUGAAGGGGUAAAAUUUUGAACACACCAUGUGGCAUUUAGACCAUUUGAUAGUUUGUUUCAAACAUAUUUGUUUAUAAAAUACUUUUCUUCAUGGAUUUGGUUACGUAAUUGUCUAUGUAUGUACAGGUUUUAUCGAUACCUCUUUUGACAAGUUACAUAGCAAUGUUAUCUGGGUUCAGCCGUGCCUUAUUGAUAAACUGUGCUUCUGUAAUGAAGAAUGUUUUAUCUGUAAGUGGAUAUCCUAAUCGUUGAUCCAUAUCCAUAAGCAAGUAUGUAUAAAAUUAUUUUAUGUCUUUUUUAUUAGAAAUGUUGUAAUUCUUUUUUACUCUUCCUGAAUUAUAACAGCAGGUGUCUAUAAUAACUGGAUUGUUCCUUCUGCAAAACAGAGCAGUGGUAAAUAUUUUUUUCUUUUGUUUGUCUAGUACAUUUCCAUGAUUUCAGCUUUUUCAAAUUUUGUAUGUGUCAAAGUUUAAAUUUAAUUUGUUGGUUUAUGGCAACAACAGGAACAGAAUCAAAGAGGAGCUGCCAAUGGACUGCUAUGACUGUAGAGUCGCUUACCAAAACUGCUGGUUCAGCUGUAGGAGGUGCUAUGUAGGCGUCCUAUUGAUUUUGUAAAAUUAUAUGUAAAUGAUGUCAUAAUUUUUAUUGUCUCCCCCACCCCCUCUCCCCAAAAAAAAAAAUAUUAAAAAAUUAAAAAAUUAAAAACUAAGGCGUGAUUAAAUUGAUCAUUUGUUUGGUAACAACUUGAUUAAUCGGGUUCUGGCAGAUUUUCUUGGUCACAAAAAGCGUCAAGAUGCUGGUUUCCUCCCAGGUAUGAUGAUUUACUAAUGAAAUUUAUCACUAGUAUGUGAAUUACUUGGUGCUAAUUAACUUAAUCAGCUGCUUAAAUUAAAGUGCAGGUAACCUUAUUUUUUUUUCUUUUUACAAUAAUACUCUUGGAAUAAUAUUUCUGGGAAUAUUAAUGAAAAAAUGGUAAUUCAUCCAGCCAGCCUUAAACAAAAUAAAUAUUAAUAAAAACUUUUAUGUUAUUAUUUUAGUUUUAGGACUAAUUUCGUAAAUUAAAUUUUUUUAUGCAUUUAUUAGUAAGAUUGCUUUAAGAAUAUUAAACAUUACUUUAAGUUGGCUGAUAUUAAUUUAUUUAUAAAUAAUAUUAGCAAGAUUGUUGUAAAAGUACAAAAAAUACUAGUUAUUUCAUAUUGAUAUUUAUUGAUUAAUUUGGCAAUUAACUUUUUUAUAAAUAAAUUAAUUAAUUUAAGAAUAUUAUUGCCAAGAAAUUAUUGUAAAAGUAAAUAAAAUUUAAGGAAAAAAUGCAACGUAUUUAAUAUCAAGGUAUAUUGAGGUAUUUUUCAAAAUAUAAAGACUAAACAAGCACUGAAGUUAAAAUACAGAUACCAAAUGAGCAUUUUCUCUCUUAGAAAAUUUUAUAUUUUAUUAAUGAAAGUCUGAAUAACAAAAUUAGGGUUUUGGACUCCUUUUAAACUAAGCCUAAAUAUCACGAAUUUACCAAUAUAGUAAACCUAAAAUAUUACUGCAUAAUAACAUUCUCCUAACUGAAAUAAGAUAAAUGCUACUUAAAUUCUAUAUCUAAAUGAAAAAAAGAUAAAAAUCUUGAAAACAAUAGGAAAAUAGAACUUAAACUUGUAAACUAAUAUGAAAUAAAUAGAAUUCUCAAUCGAACCACGAGGCUACUGUGGUGCUACAGUAUUAGAUUAGAUUUCCCUCAUUGCUAACUUCAAACUGGUAUAUUAUACACCCUAUAUAGGUACUUAUAGCUCAAGUUAUUACCUUAGAGAGAUACCCUACGCAUCCUACACAACCAUCCACUGCAUCAAAGUCGUUCCAAAACAGUAGUUCACAGUUGGUACUGCACAUGAUGCUUGUUUCUCCUUUUGCAUCAACUUUUGUUGUUAACAUUAAUUUCAAUAGCAGCUCGUUAUGUAUGCAACAUUUCAAAAUUAAUCCAAAAAAACAAAAAUUAGUUCAGCUGACUAAAUUUGAAAGCAUGGAUUUGCUGUCGAUUAAAAAUCGUUUUCUAGGGAAAAUUUUUGGAUUGCAAUUCUCAUACAAUACAUAGAAUUAUCAUAAUCUAUAAAUUGUAUUUUUUCUUUUCUACGGUAGUAAGUCAAGAAUCCUUAGUGACAAUUUAAAUUGAAAAAAUAAAAUCAUAAAUAAGAAUUAUUUGAUAAGAAUUAAAAUAAUUGAUAAAUAUUUGAGAGGAACAAUUUUGGAAGACUCGAUCUAAUAGGAGGAGAAUUUGAAUUUUACAACCUUCCGUGAGGAAUCCAAAAUGCACAAUUUGAUGAAAAUUAAAUUUCAAUAGAAAUUGAAUUCCCAUAUAUUAGUGAAAACCAAACAACAGAAAAGUGAAAGGAAUUUGAAUUCAUUUCCUUCCUGUCUCAUCCCUCCAACUAAACACCAUCGAUACCCAAAGGUAUGGGAUUGGGAUUCCAUACUGAUCAGAAUGGGAUUUGUCCAUAUUAUUAGGACCAAUUUUAAAAGCAGUCGGAGUUUAAAAUUGAAAUUAAUCCCAAUUUUUUAUCAAUUUAUGCAUGAAUUUUUGUACGUUUACUUUGGUUUAUUAUUGUUACUUUUAGACAUUUUUAUUGGUUUGAUUUAGGGUCAUUUUGGUAAUCUUGUAAUUUUUAAAAUAGUUACAGUUAGUUAUGCUGUAGAAAUUGAUCAAUCAUGAAGAGAAUCAGCUGAACAUUUAGUAAAAUUUAUUUUUAAAAGUACUUUGUUUUAAAAGCAGUUGUAUGUGUUUCGUAAAUCUUAUUUUUAAACAGGUGCAAGAAUAUAAAUAACUAAAUUGGACAUAAUACUAAAUAAAAUUUAUUUACACAUUUACAAACAUGUAUAUAAAAUAUUUUUAUUAUGUACAUAUAAUUAUUGAUAACUAAAAUAAAUAUUUUAUAUUAUUAAAUUUUAUUCUUUAUUUUGUUAUCUCAAUAUAAUUGGUAAUAAUAAUAAUCUUUUAAAGUUAAUGAUUUUAUUUCUUAAUUAAUAAAGAUAAUUCUGGAUUUUUAUUAUAUAAUGAGGAUAUAUAUAUAUAUAUAUAGAAUUGGAUUAAGUAUAAAAGUGAUUUUCAAAAUCAAAUUUUGAAAAACUAUUCCUUCCAUACUUUUCAAAAUCCACUGUAUGAUGAGAUGAUUUUUCCAAAAAUAAUUACUAAAAAAUUAUAAAACACUAAAAAUUAGGUUUUAGUUUUUAAAAUCACUUUUGAGCUUCCCAAAAACAAUCCUAACGGGCCUUUAUUUGGGUGGUGUUGGAACUUGUAACUUUUGGAUCUUUUAGUUUUUAUUGGUUUGAUACAAGUGUUACACUAAAAAUUGAAUGCAUCUUAAACCCCAAACUUCUUCUUCUUCUUUUUUGAUUGCACAAAAUUAAAAACAAUAGUGAACGCAUUCUUUAAUAAACAAUAAGUAAUUACUAAAAUUGUGUUAAAGAAUUUAGUUGAAACAUAAAUUGAUUUCAAUGUUGUAUAUGCUAAAUUUCUUAAAAAUUUUCUUUCACAGUCUGCGGAAUAGUUUUAUUAGUAUUUUGAAUAAAUAAAAAUAAUUGAUUUAAUUUUUUAAAGAAAUUUAUUAGGUUCAUGUAAAUACGUUUUUGUUAUUUAAAAAGUGUACAAAGUAAAACUUAAUUUUUUAAAUUUAUUAGAUGAAUGGAUAAAAUAAUUGAGUGUUCAUAGUAAAUUUUAAAGUAUAGAUAGUCAGACCCUAAUAUUUUUAAUAAAUGGAAAUUUUUAAAAUAUGUUAAUGAGAAUUAAAAUGAUAAUUAAGGGAGGCAUUCGAGACAUUCAAGAUUGUUAGGAUAGGACAUGAUUGUGAGCGGUUUGAGAUUGGCCCUAAUUUUGAUCACAAAUAUAUAAGCAGGAUGAGUUUAUCCAUACUUACAUUCCAUUUGAUAAUUAAGAUGAGAGUGGAAUUGUCAAAUCCCAAAUUAUCCCGGACCAUUGCCACCAAAGGUACUCUCACUAAUAAUAUCUAAAGAAAAAUCUACAUCUAUUUCAUACUUUUUUUUUUAAACGGAAAGAGCCCUUAUGGGGCUUGAAAUGGUAUCCUAAAUAAUAUUCAGAAUAUCAGGCCAUGACUGGGUUUGUAACAAACAAAUAUUACAUAGUUGGGAUACGUAGUUGCUAGUGUCCCAAUUUAUGUAGUAUCUAUCAUUUAGUGCACAUAUAAAGUGUUUGGGAAAUGAAAUAGGGUGACCAAGAUAAGGUGUUUGCUCAUAUAUUAUCGUGCUCUCCUCAAAGUAAAAAGUGAAAAAAUAGUUGAUAGACUACUAGGAGUUUAUUUGGUCACCUCGACCAGGAUAUUAUUUGAUGAUCUCGAGCACAUCAUCUUGACUAAGAGAUUAUUUGGUCGCCUUGAGUAUAUCACCUCGACCAGGAGAUUAUUUGGUGACCUCGAGUAGAUCAUCUUGACCAGGAGGUUACUAGGAAGCACGACUCAGUCAAAACAAAUCUCACUUAUUUUCUUCGAAAUAUUGGGGACCAUAUUCUUAGUGGGCUGAAAAUUAGUGGUUUUCUUGAGAGUUUAGGUGAGAGGAUAAAAACCGCUAUAAUUUGCUCUAAAAAUCCUGGGAAAGGGGGGGAAAUAGGGAGAUUCUUUUUAUCUCUCUCUCUUUGGGUGACUGAACCCAUGGGAUCUUUUUCUCUCUACCACUGGGAAACUUCUCUUUCUCUCAUGAUUUAUUUUUCUUUAAGAUUGGUUAUUUUUUAUUCUUUUCCCAUAAAUUUACUUAAAAGCUUUUUGUUUAAAGUAUUCAUAAUUAAGCCGCGUGAAUUGUGGUACGGAUUUUUCCAAGUAGACCCAAAUCGCUGACUUGAGCAUCAGAGAAUUUUCUUUAAGAUUGAUUAUUGUUUCCAUAAAUUUGAACCAAGAAGGAUGACGCGAUAAAAUUUGUUUUUAUUGUAUGGUUGAUUUCAUAUCUCAUGCACUCAUUUCUUAAGAUAAUUAGAUUUCAUCUUUUGCAAAUGUGGAAAUAUCAAUUAUGAUCGAUCAAAACAAUCUCAAAACCUUUCAAUGAGACAUAUUUAUAAUACAAUAUUGUGAAAAUUACACCAAAAAUUUAAUUUAUGAUAUAUUAUUGUCCCACCAGCACACAAAAAUGAAUUCGUACAAAUCUAAAAUACUUAGCAAUUUUCAAAUAGAAUUUUAAAUUUAUUUCCAGUUAGAAAACUAUUCGCUGGACUCCGUAUUACUAGCCACCAUGGUAAGCCUAACCGGUUGCCGGCGAAUGGCGUAAAACACCAGCCAUCUUCUUCUUCAUCAUAUUCACCUUUCAUCUUUUGAGUUAAGCCUGUGAUUAUGAGUUUCUUCUCUUACUUAGCUUGUAAUUAUAGAUUUUGAUUCUUUUUAAUUCAUAUUGUAGCCGUUAUUGUCAAUUUUUGUCCCGCCAGCAAUAUUUUUUUAUUCCUACAAGUUGAAAAUGGAUUCAUUUGAAUUACUAUUGAAUUUAGCUUUAAUUUCAAUAUCCAUUCUAAUGUUUUGCUAUUAGAUUUACUUUAAUUUUAUGUUUAAAGCUUCUACAAUGAAUAGCGGAGCUUGGGUUUUAGUGUCAUUUUCUGUAACUUGUUUUAGUUUAUCUUGUACGCUCACCAAGUGCUUGUUAUAUUGUCUGAUAAGUUAUAUACAUUGCUGAUUCUAUAUUAAUAAUGUUAUGUUCUAUUUUCAGAAAUUAUAAUACAAAGUUUUUACAAUGGCGUGCAUCUACAAACUGAAUUGACUUGUAGAAUAAGAGCUUGGAGUAAAUGAAAGUUCAUAUUGUGUAAGAGCAUGUAGAUGUAAAGCGUCAUUACCAUUUCUAUAAAGGACUUUCAUUCUGUUCAGAUGCUCUUCUUGAACAUUGAAAGGUGCCUCGUUCAAGUCCUAGCUAUAACUACUAGCUUUGAUUAAUUAAGUUCCUAUACUAGCUGAAACAGAUUUAUUUAAUUAAUUAAUUGUGUAUGUACUGAUUAUAUUGAAAGUAUAUGAAUUUUUUUUUUUUUUAACAUGAAUGACUUAAAAACCUAAAGAAUAUGUGAAAUAAUGCUCAUUUCACCUGAAUGAGCCUAUUAAUACUUUUAUGUCUAUGAUUGUCAAUAUUGGCUUAAGCAUUUCAGUUAAGUGGUUUACCUAAUAGAGAAAAAAAUUUAAUAGAAAACUUCAGAGUUCUAACAGAAAUAUAGUUCACUAUGCAGAUAUAGUUAUUUUACGGUAUACAAAUCAAGUUGUCCUAAUCUCAAUGUCCUAUGACCGAUUUUAUUUUAUAUAGUCAUUAAUUUUUGCCAUGGUUUUUUGUGUUUAUGAGUUUGAAAUAGUGGGAUUUGGUGUACCUUAUCAUCUUUUGAAAAUUCUCUUUAAGUGUGGCCAACAGAAAUAUACAUAUAAUCAAGUUUCUUAAUCCUGUAUAUUAGUUUUGGGUAUGAAUGUUCCUAUUCUAGUUCUAGGCAAAGCUUCUUUGUUUUGGUCUUCAGAUUUCCAGUAGGUUAAGUUAAUCAACUAUCAUAACUGGCUAGCUAGUUAUUGUCUGCCUUGGCGCCAUUACCCAGGCCAUUAUAUUGCAUAGCAUAAGGAAUAGUGAUUAGGUGAUUAUUAGUGAUUUGUUGAGCUUAUUAUUGACCAAACAAAUGUAUUUGCCUUUGCCCACAACUUAGUUUGAUUAGUUAUUAGACCAUAAAGAGCCUUGAUCUAUUCAUUGGCUUUAUUAUUUUUAUUUGGUUUUUCUUUCAACAAUAUUGUUGAUUUCUUAUAAAAAUAUUCAUUGGUUUUUAAACACCUAAUCAUUGGCUAUAUGAAGCUAAUUAAAACUGAGGCUUUGGAUCAAUUUCUUCUAACAAGAUACAAAUGAGCAAAACCUUUCUCCUCUAAGUAAAUUUUUUUAAUAUCCCUUGAUUUGUAAGGAUCUGGAGGCCUGAAUCCUCUUGAUUUUUUUUAACACUGUCAUUGUUCUUUUUAUUCUGAGAAGGAAAUAAAAGGUUUUAUCUUUCAUACCCGAAUAGUAAGCUGGCCUUGUCUUAACAUGGCCUCCCGAGGACUUGCAAGAUUCAUAGUGCCCCCCACCCCAAAAAAAAAAUCAAAAACACAAAUAGGAAGAUUUUGCAAGAUUCACCACCAGGUUUUUUUUUAAUUUAUUAAUUGUGUGUACGUGCUAGUUAUAUGUUGAAAGAAUAGGAAGAAGUAUUUCAACAUGAAUGACUUAAAACUUAUUGCUCAGUAAAUAUAAUCUGCAUCAGUGCGAAAAUGUAUUUAUCGUUUGUAUUUUUUAUGGUUUUGCUAAAGAAAUGAUAUGUGAAAUAAUGCUACAUUGCAUCAGGAAUAAAUUGAAGAGAUUUAUGAUAUUUAUGUGUUAUUCAAAUUUCAGAUUCAAUUUUAAACUUUUGAUACAUGCAUUGAAAGCUUAGACUUGUUUAAGAAAUUAUUAAUAGACACAUGUUUUAUUAGUUUCAUCUUUGGAUGAUAGUGAGGAUCAUAUGUCUAUUAAUAAUUCUUGAAUUGUCCAGGCUUGGACAGUUUGGGAAUGCAUAGUUCACUCUGGUAGCUAGUAGCUGAAGUUUUUUCCCACGUAAAAAUGGGUUUUUCGGUAGCUGCUCCUCGUGUUCUCUGGGUACGUACUAGGUGAAUGGGUGUCAUGUGUUGUUUUGGCAUAACGCAUAAACACUUAUAUAGCUAUGUCGUGUGCUUGGAGAAUUAUAGGGAGAUGGUGCCGAAAUUUUUAUAAACGUGGAAGAAAACUUUAGGUACUUGAGAUUGAAGAAACUUAUGCAUUCUUGAGUGGGAUAUGUAGGAUUACUUACCUUCUGUAAAUAUGAAGGGAAUGUUGGAUAUAUUGGGGAUAGUGUAGGAGCUGAGUUGGAUGAAUGUAAUUGGUGAUGAUUUUGCUGAGCUGACCUUGGUUUUGAGCUUGUAAUUUUGUUUGUAAAUGGAGUGCUAUCACCAAUGUUGGUUUAUAAAAAUGUUUCAGGACUUGCUGACCUAAUUUUUUGUUUCUAGGUUACAGGCUUUAUAUAUCUGUAAUUGAUAGCCAAGUGAAGUUCUCAGCGCUUGGCGAGGAUAUUUCUUUACAGAAGGUAUUGGAAACUGUUUUUUACAUUAAUUAUCGUUGUUUAUAUACUUUGAUUGUCACAUCUUUUUCUCUGAUUCUUGUGGCUUUGCUUGCUUUCAUAUAUGUAAAUUCUAAUGAAAUUAACCAUAAAAUUGUAAAAUGAUCUUUUUAUUAUAUUGCAAAACUGUGCACACACGAAAAUAUGUUGUUUAGUAGUAGAAAUGAAGAACUAAUUUUUGUAGCGCAUUAAAAGGAGAUAGUCAUGGACAAGUGUUGGGUUGGUUUGCCAAAUAGAUAUCCAAGUCAUAUACUGAUGGCGUUGAAAAAUUUAUAGAUUUUGUAUUUGAGAAUGUUGUUGGUGGUACAAGAAUUUAUUGUCCUUCUUGAUAAGUGUUGUAAUCUAUAUUUCGUUAUAAGGGAAGUGGCUGAUGAUGAUAUGGUUGGAAUGAUACACUGCAUCACGUAAUCAAAUGUUCAAGUUACACGCAGCAUUGUUAUGAACUAUCAGUGGCAACUUGUCUGGGUGGAGUAUUAAAGGUAAAUGAGCAUGUCUUAUUUGCCAACAAAGCACUAGAUCUAAUUGGUUGAUACAGAAUUACAUAGUAGAAAAUUUUGUCACGUGGGUCACCGUCGAUUUUGCCCAACAAAUCAUAGGUUUCGAAAAUAUAGUGUCUUUUGAUAAAACUAGAGAGUAGGGACCAGCACCUUCUCGGUUGUCUGGAACUGAAGUGAAAAAGCAGUUUAAUAUAGUUACUGAGUAUAAGAUUGAAGACUUGAAAAGAGGAGAACGAAUAAAAUGAGAGAAAUGAUAAAAUUACUUGGAAGAAGAACAGCAUUUCUUAAGAUUACUUGGAAGAGAAAUGAUGUGGAAGAUGGCUAUAAAAUAUAAAAGGAAAGGCUUAAAAAGAAAAGCCAUGCCUGUCAAAAACAAAAAACAAUGGCAGCGUCAAAUUUAUAACAAAAAUCAAAACGGUGCGUUUGAGAGUGUAUAAAAUACAUUUAGAGUGGGAGUUGUGUUGUUGCUUGAAGGCAGAAUGUUUGUGAGAUAUUUGUCGACGAAGCCGAAACCAAAGAUGAAGCCCAUCAAAAGUAUUUAUAGUGUAAAAAGUAUAUUGUGGAAAUGUCUGGUCGGUAAUACAACUAUUUCUUAUAGUGUAAAUGAUACACUAAUUUGAAUUUAUAUGCUUUUAUGAUUAUUUUAUUAUCAAGUGGUGAUCAUAUGUGAUGAUAAACUUAGGUAGUACCUUUAUAUUUAUUGCCUUAGUUUUCUAAGCGUUCACAUUUUGAUGAGUAAAUUAAGGAUUUCUAGAUGAAGUACAUAAUUAGAUUAAUGCUAAGGAACUGAAGUUUGAUCAACUGAAAACGAAAAUCAUAAUGAAGGUAAUUAAGAAAAUGAACAAUGCAGAAGCGGUCCUUAUUAGGACUUCUAGAUUUUCUCUUGGGCUUCCUUAUUAUUGUUAAAAAAUGACACGAAUAACUGAGUUUAAAAAUCUGGCCCUGAUGCCUGGUAGCCCUCCAACAUAUGAAGCACUAGAUGUUUUAAUGAGAAAAUGACAAGACCAUUUAUCAAAUUUCUUGUGGAUAUAAAUACAUACACAUAGACGAGACCAACCUCCUCAACUGAGAAUCAGAGUGAUUACAAGACCUUGCAAUGGGACGAUAACACACCAUCAAAUCUCAAAAUACAAUAGAAAUUCAUGACAUAUGUAUAAUAAAAGACCUCUCAUUGAGUCAUAUAUAUUGAGAAUAAAAAUGUUAUAAUACAUACAAAGAGCUUAGCUAGAAUAAAAUGUCUUGGAACUUGCGAUGAUCAAACAAGGGAAACAGACAGGUUGUAACUCACACUAUCACAGAUGUAGCGACACGAUGCAGUGAAUCACAAGAAGAUCACGAAGAUGGAAACGGGAACCCCUCAGAAUGUAAACUUUGAAUAGAGAAAAAAAGAAAAACGACCUUAUUUCAAAUUGUGCACAGAAGAAGAGUGACUUAAAUCUUCAUCAGUAUCCAGGCAUUCUGCAAUCAUAAAGUAGAGAAAUUUUAACAGGAACAACAGAGAAAAUAUUAUGAAUAUGCUAUAGACCAAUAUACUUGUUCAUAUCUAACGUUUGAUGGUCUAAGGAUUUGUUCUAGGAAUAAUGGGAUGAUUACUUUUUUUUUUUUUUUAAUUUUUGUUAAUCCAAUGAAUGAUAUUCAGCUGUUAAUUAUGUGUUCAUAGGGAAGAACAUUUUCUAAGUACUUUCCUUGCCUUCUAACUUUCCGAAAAGCAAACCCAAUGAACAAACAGAGCACAAACUAAAAUAAAAGAACAGCAAUGAUGAGAAUAAAUAACUGGCAAAGAAAUAAUGGAAAAAGUAUGCACGUUUUCAAGGAAUUAUAAAAUACGAAGGCUUUUAAUGAAAUUUUAUCAUAAAAAGUAUGCAAGGAGUUAUAAAAUUUUAGAAGACGAGGGGAGCUCGCAAAAAAAAAAGAAGAAAAAGACUCAAAUUAAACUAGACUAAAAAGACAUUCAAUUAUGCAAAAUCUGUCCAUAAAAGUCUGAAAGGAUCAUUAAAAUUGCAUUGCAAAUUUAACAGUAAACCGAGGGACCCAUUCUAAAUAAUUCAGAUGAAAUUGCGAAACAAGCCAUGGGAUUAAAUAAAUGAAAUAAAAAUUAAUUACCAGUUGAGACUUUCUUCUAAAAAUUCGCAACUCCAAGUCAUAAGAAGACUAUGAAAUUAGUCGUACUGCGUAGAGUAUGACGACGACACCGCCAACAGCUGAAAAUAACAUUCUUAUUCAUCAAUUUAAACUUUUACUUUAUAACAAAUAUCUUAUCGAUAUUUUAUUUAAAAAAAGCAAAUUUUGUAAAAUUUUUCCAUGGGAGAUAGAGAGUAACAUGUAUAUCCGUACCUUCUCAGCAUGUAAUUGUUGUAUGGUCCUGUUAAGAUCAUUAUUAGCCCAACGCCGUUGAUUCGAUGUCGCUCCACACCAGACAUUUACUCUUGGAGGCGUGCUUGAAUCUCCUGUAGUGAAAGUCUUCAUCUUGGGACAACCAAUCACUUCCAGAUAUUCCAAAGAUGGGAAUUCAAAGGUGUAGUUGGCAGAGCAGAAACUUGUGAGACUUUCUAAAUCACGCAGGCCCAACGCCUUCAAUUUGCGGAAAACAAUCUCUUCUUUUUCAACUCCAUCUUUGUCAUUUAUUACCACCUCUGUCAUUGCUCUGCAUCUACAUAUUUCUAUUGCUACGAGUUGCACUAGAGUUUUUGCUGUGGAGGAUGUUACCAAGUGCAUCAAUCCCUUGCAACCGAAAGCUAAAAGUUUUGUUAGGUUCCGAAAAGAUACCGAUGAUGAUGGCAACAGAAUUAACAGACUUUGACAAUUAUAUACUCUUAGAAUUUCAAGAUACUGAAAAAUGGGGCCAUGUUUGGAAUCUUGUUUGCACAGCUGCUUCAGAUGAUAGGGCCGGUACAGCUUUAAUUCUUUUAUCAUUGCCAACUUCCCCACAUGUUUCUCUAAGCAUCCUUCCAUCGAAAAUACGUCUUCGUCGAAUGAAAAAAAAGACAGUGUGAGUAUUUCGAGAUUGUGAAAUCUCUCCAGUACGUUCCAGAUUGGAAAACAAGCUGAGUCAUCUGCAGCAAUAUCUAGUUUUCUAAGACUGCCAAAAAGGUGUUGUGGGAAAUCGGCCUGCAAAAUUAUCUUCAUGUCUUUUCCGCUUAGUGAUAGUUCCGUCAAGUUGGGUAAGAUCUGAUCAUCAUCAAUCAUAAUAACUAAUGAGGUCAAUUGAUGUUCUCUCAAAUGAUUUUGAGUAAUCCAAUCACAUGCAGUGACUUUAUAGUAUUUGUUUUAUAUUAUACUUUACCCAAAAAAAAAUUGAAUUAUUGAUAAAAUUUAUUAAAUGAUUUUUUAUAUGUUAAUUUUAGAGGUAAAAAAGAAAUUAGAGAAAAAAACGAAAUUAUAUUGCACGAUAAUAAAUUACUAAUUUAUUUUGUAAGUUCUUCUAUAGGAAAGACUAAGGAUUCUUUUACAAAUGUUAUACCUAAAAAAGUUCAUAUAAUUAUUAAUCUAUCACAUUAAUCCCUUAGUCUAGACUAGCAAAGAUUAUUGUAUAAUAAAAGUUUUUAAUUUAUUGAGUAUUAAUUUAUCAAUGCUUUGUUAUAUUUUUCAAAGUUAAAAAAAAAAAUGCUAUUGAUAAAAAAUCUAGAAAAUGGCUUCAUACCUUUUCCAACGGCAAUAGGGGCUGUUGUGCAGGAAUACCAAGUUGAUCAUUCUCAUUAUUCGGCGAUAAAUCUGCAGCGAAUAUCUUUAAUUUGUCACAACGAUACACUAAAAGAAUUUCUAGUGCGGGCCAUUCCGAAGUAUGCAUUCCAGGGUACAAACAUCUAAGUUUUGGUAGACGUUGGAGUCUCAGAGUGGUGAGCUGUGGAAAGACAAAAUAGGGGAUCACUUGAUCUGCUCUGUUUUCAGAAAUGAUCUCCCGUAAAUCCUCACAGUGGCGUAUAUCCAGGUGUUGGAGCUGCUUAAGGCUUCCGAUCAUAGACGCUGAAAAUAUGUAUUUUAAUUUGUGACAACGCCACACAAUCAAUCGUGUUAAACUCUGAAAGCGAGGAAACAUGACCGGAAGAUGAUUGUAGUGCCAAAUCUUGUCGACAUUAAUAUCAGUUAUCUCCAAAGCCUCCAAGUUAGGCAACGCAACCUAAAAAAAUAAGAAUUUCUCAUUAGAUCCAAUAUCCAUAUGGGAAGCACUUGUUGAAAUUUUCUUCUUUGAUUACAAAUUAAUGCAAGUCAGAAUCAAUUUCCAACUGACUGCUGAGUUUGAUGCAUUCUAAUUCAUACAACUUUUUAAGAGCUCAAUUAGUGAGCGUGUGAGAUUCUUUUUAUCCUUUUUUCCAUUUUCCUUCAAUUCUUUAAAUGAUUUAAUUAUUUUCCACGUACGACAUCAAAAGAGAACGUUAUAUAUGAAUAAAAUCUGUUAUAUAUGAAGAAAAUGUUAGCCUACGCACCUUCUCGUUGAAAAGCAGAGUUGAAGUAUCCAAAGUGAUUUCGCUGGAGCAAUACGUAGUCGUCGAUUCCUCUUGCGACGCUGGUCUGUUCGGUGAUGCUGAAGGAGUCUUUACUUCACGGCAGAAAUUUGUAACCUCUGGAAGAUUCCCCAGACUCAAAGAUCUUAAUUGAGCAAACUCUAUCUUCUCAAUUGCAUUAUGAUCAACUUCUUCCCCAAUUGAAAAAAUUUCUUUCAUCUUGCUGCAAUUAAUAACUGCAAUUCUCUCAAGUCUUGGAAGGCAUUUUGUAGUGGAGAGCCAAAAGAUAUUGCUUAACUUAUCACAAUUAUAUGCUUCUACGGUUUUGAGUUUGUUGAAAGACUCUACUUUGAGCCGAUCAAUACAUAUCCUCUCCAUGUUGAUCAAAUUGUGAAGGAUAAGUGACUCCAAAAGAGGAAAGGCACCACAAGCGACCAUCGCCCUUGAAUCGACGAUACAAAAGAAGUCAGGAUUAUUUUGAACGCAGAGGACCUUCAAUUGUGAAAAGCCCUCCGUGUCCAAAUUGAAAAGAACAUUCUCGAUGCCUUGCAGCUUGUCCAACCAUAAGCAUUCAACGUUAUUGAUGCCCUGCAAUUUCAAGGAGCAAAUGUCCAUAAAAUCAAGCUUGAGCUUCAAUGCUCUGGAAAUCUUACGAUCUCUGUCGAUCAAAAAGUGCUGCCGACUUUUAAACCAAUUUUGUCCAGCAAUCAUGGGAUGCAUGAAUGACCCAUUUCCAAUAGAUAUUUUGAACCUUUCGAGCUCUCUGGCCAAAAAGCUUUUUGGUAACAUACUCUCAUUUUUAACAUCAAUUUCUAGAGUGGUUAGCCGACGUAAAUGCAUCAAUUCGUCAAGGCUAGCAUUACUUCUUUUGCUGUUGGCUAUUUCAACCUCCCAUUCAAUGGAGCAAUUAUACAUAUACAAUUCUUCUAAUCGGAUUAAGCUUGAUAUGACAUUUGGAGCAAUAACUUUUAGAUGGAAACAGUCUGUUAAAUCUAACAGCCUUAGCUUAGUCAGUUGACCCAGUGCUUUAGGCAUAUCAGAUUGCAAAAAGCUGAGGAUUUCUAGAUUUUCCAACUUUCCAAUAAUAGCUAUGUCUAUGCCUCCCAAAAUGCUUUGAUUAAGACAGAGUGUCUGAAGAUUUACUAGAAGACCAAUUGAAGAUGGCAAUGACAAUAACCGCAUUCUAGUCAAAUCCAAAACCCGAAGCUUUUUCGUCCUUUUGAAGAAGUUCUCAGGAAUAUUAGGCACAGCAAAAGAGUUCUUGGGAGACAUGACUAGAAGUUCAAGUUGUAGAGAUUCGGACCCUUCAGGAAUGUCAUUAAUAGUACUAUCUUUUAAAGAAAUUGCAAGAUAUUUUUUUAAUUCAUCUGCAUUUGGCCAUUUCCAAUCAUCCUCAUUUCUCACCACAAAUCCAAUUUUGUCACGACAUGCAAUUGAAAUGGCAACAUCGCGAACAACGUCGUGCAUUGAAAAGUAUUUACUGCCACCAUCCUCAAGCAACAAACAAGAGUCUCUUAGUUGAUGGACCCAUGCAUGUAAUUUGUUAUGUGCAUCUUCUAGCUUAUGGACACUUUUAAAUGCACCCAAGCCCAUGCUAUAUUUGAACAAGUCCAUAAUAUAAGUUGGUGUAAUUAGACUACACAGUAAAAAAGUUUUCUUGAGUUGCUCACCUCUUAAGUACUUGUAACUCAGCUCAAUUGUUGAGUAUGCCUCUGCUGGUACUCCUUCGUCGAAGCUCGCCUCUGAAGGCGUUCGGAGUUCUUGCAAGGCAUUCUUCCACACAGGCAGCUCUUUUUUUCUCAGUGCCUUUGCUACUGUGGUUAGGGCAAUAGGCAAACCUCCGCAUGCCUUGGCUACACUUGUUGCUGUAGAUUCUAACUCACGAUUUUCAACAUAAUCACCAGCCAUUAUCUUGAACAAUCUCCACGCUUCUUAUUCAUUUAAAAUGCCAAUCGAGAAGUUUUUUUCAGAUUCCAUCCUUAACAGCACAUCAAGAUCUCUUGUUGUGAAUAAUAAUUUGCAUCCUCUGUGCUCAACUCCAAAAGGAAUUCCAAUAGUCCCCAAAUCAAGAGGUUUCCAGAUGUUAUCCAGAAUCACAAGGAUCUUCUUCUCAUUCUUCACUCUUUCAUAUAGUCUACUAGCUCUUCUAGACUCAGGUUCCUCGGACAACUGUAGGCCUAACGUUUCCGCAAUUUCCUCUUGGAUCUUUUUUAUGUCUGGACUUUGGGUAACCUCCGAAAAAGCCACCAUAUCGUAAAGCUUGUCUUCAAUGGCUCGCCUUGCAAACUCCUUCACCAGUGUCGUCUUUCCAAUGCCGGCCAUGCCGUAGACCCAAAUGAUGCUGACAUCAACAUCGAUCAAUGCAUUUUGUAUGGCCUUCAAAGCAGAAAGUCUUGAUUCGAAGGCCUCGUAGCCUUUGUGAGACUUGAGCCAUAUAUCCUCCGGAACGGUACGGUAGGAAAUUCUAUCAUCAAAUCUCCCAGCUUCUUCUCGGAGUUUAAAAAGGGCCUCCUUCUCUGUUUCUGCUUUCUUUCCAUGCUGAUAGCGAGUAAUCCAAUUAGGAAACAGCCCCAUGAGACAUCGUUCAUUUGCUUUCUCUUCGUCUAGAAUGAAUUUGGCUGCCUGCUCAAUGCUCUUGUUCGCAUUAACCAGCCAUUUCUCAACCUUCUCUUCAAUCUUUUCACUUUUUCUUUCAGCCUCAGAAACUCUGCGCUGAAUGCUUUCUCUUUCAUCCUUGAGCCCAUCGAGUUCUGCCUUGAGAUUCUCAAAGUUGGCAGCGGAGUUAUACCAAUAACUAAAUUCGCGUUGUGCGUGAGGAGACAAGCAGUUUACAACUCCUGGAACAAUGCUUUUCAAAAUGUCCAUUUUUUUUUUGGGUUGGGGGGGGGGGGGGGAGGGAACGAAAUAGAAAUAGAACAGAGUCAACGGCCGCGCAAUUGAUAAUCAAGUAGAAGCAAAACAAGGCAAAAUUGAAAAAAGGGAAAAUCAGUGUAACAGAAGAGAAUCAAAGUGUUUUUGAGAUCAGAAAAUUGAAUCAAGAAAAGGGUUGCUUGAUCCAAUGAAAAUGCAAAGAGCUGAUGGAAAAAGGGAACAAAGAUAAAUAAGAAAACGGCUAGCACGAGCAGUGACCACGAUAAACAGAAGCAAAGUGUGUAUGAGAUCAAAAGACGAAAAUCAGGAGAGGUUUUCUUGAUUGAGAAUUGAAGGCAAAGAGUAGGAGCUGACGAAUACGGGGAUCAAGAGGGAAAAACUGCUUGCUCAUAAAACUACUUUCAAGCGAAUCUGAUAAAAUUAUUUCAAUACUCGUGGGCGACUCCCUUUUAAACCGCAGAAGGAAAAAAAAAAAAAAAAGUUCUGAUUUUCAAUAUAUUAAUUUUUAUCCUAAUUUAUGUUGAGACUCGUAAUCUCGUCUCAAUGAUUAAUUAGUAGAUAAUCUUUCUAACAAAUAUGUGUUGAAUAGAUAUAUUUCUUGACUAUUAGUAGGUUAAAUAUAUUUUAGCAUAGGAAUGAAAGUACAAGUUGUGUCAUAUUAGAAUAAAAAUUUGACCUAAAAAUAUUGUUCUACGACCUUUUAAUUAUUUGUCAGCAAAUAAUUAAGUCAUAUAAAAAAAUUAAUAAUCUGAAUUAGUCUUUAAGUAUUAUAAAUAUUUUUAGAUUUUAAUUAUAAUAUCAUUAUUUAAAAAUAAUUGCUUGACUUACAUUAGUAACAUUACGAUUGUCAUAAAACAUGUGAUCCUCAUCCAAUAUCCAUUAUUUGUGAUCCUUAAUCAAUAAAAUAUCUAACAAUAUCUUCACCUAAAGUUUGAGACAUGUGAUCCUUAUUCCACUGCGUCAAAACAAGGAGAAAAUCAGUGUAACUGAAGAGAAUCAAAGUGCUUUUGAGAUCAGAAAUUGAAGCAAGAAAAGGGUCGCUUGAUCCAAUGAAAAUGCUAAGAGCUGAUGGCAAAAGGGAACAAAGUUAAAUAAGAAAACAGCUAGUGCUAGCAGCGACCACAAUACACAGAAAAUUUGAGAUGGAUUUACAAUAUUUCUGCCUUUCUUUAUGCUUUAACAAAUAUUGCUCUAUCAAAAAAAAUAUUUAGAAUUUUAUUAUUGGAGUCACAAAAGACCUACACAAUAUAGCAAGUGACUAGGAAUAAAUAAGAAUAUAUAACUCUCUCUCUAAUUCUCACUCUAGCUUUUAAUUGUCACUCAAAACCCAGAAUUCAUCCUUAAAGUGUAAGCAAAUCAGAGAUGACAGCGUCUGGUUGUCAUACGUGCCUUUUAGUUUUCGGAUGACAUGGCGUACACUUCUUCUGUAAACCGAACAUGACAUGUCGUACUCUUUGUUUUGAGAUCAUAUUUCAAACUCUUCAUGCUAUGAAUGAAAGAUAAACUACAAUCAUCAAAAUAUUUAGUGUUUAUUUUGUAAUGUAACGUCAUAGUUGUUGUGAAUUGAAAUUAUUUCUGUAAAAUAAAAGGAUUUGGGUCAUCGUUCGUUAUUUUCUAGCAAUAUUGUCUGGUCGUGACUAUUUGUUAAAUAUUAAAAAAAUAAAUUUAUAUUUAUUAAGUAUAAAAAAUAAAUAAACAAACAAAAAUAAAAGGAAAAGUUUAUACAUUACAUAAAAUAAUAAGAACAAUAUCAAUAUUUCACACUCUAUAAUUGAGUGAUGUGUUGUCCAACUGCCACACAUUGGUCCCAAACGGAGACUUAAAUAUUAAAGUCCAAAGUUAUUGUGAUGAUGACUUAUAAUCGCCAAACUUGACAUACGGGUAAUCAUGCAUUAUAAGGUGCUGAUUUCUUCCAAUCGAAACCUUAUUUUUCAUUUACAAAUAAAUAAAUGACGUGACUUAACGAGUGGUGGGGUCCUUUGUGCCAUUUGUGUAUUUCACUGAAUAGUUGAUUCAACUAUUCUGAUCGGAAGAUUCUUGGAAGUUGCCAUUUGCCAAUGCUACUAACAUUUUCAAACUUGGAAAACCCUUCAGUCAAUCUUUUAGUGGUAGGCUCUGGUAGCUUGGUUUGAUUAUGACAUAUGAUUAUUUGAUAAUAAAGUUAGAGGAUGUAUUAAUAUAAAAUUUGUUUAUUGGUGUUGAAGUUAAUUAUCUCAUUAAUAAUAGUAUAAAAUGUUAAUUACUAAGAAACACAUAGCAGUAUUCUGGGAUAUAAUUUUAUAUCAUAACUUUGUAAGUGUAUAAUUACUCAUUAAAUUAACAAAAUUAUUUUAAAAUAUUUAGUUAGAAAAAAUAUAUUAUAUUCUUUUUAUUUCAAAUAAUCUAUAAGUUAACUCAAAACAUAAUCAAGCUGAGAAUUAAAAUAAUGCUACUGUAUGAGAGGAUUUUUAUUUUUUCCCGAAGUUUCACAAGGAAAUUAUUGAUAGAUAGCUUUAUUCGGAUCAUCUCAGUUCAAACGACAAAUAAUUGAAAGACUAAGCUAAAUAGACCAGCCAACAACUUUGUACAAGAGAGUUCAAAAAUUAAAGUCAUGGUAUUAAAGUGUUCUAUCUUGAAAAGUACAGCGUAGUAAUAAAAUAAAAACUAAUAGUCUUUGGUAAGAUAUGACAUUUAAAUAAUAAUUUUCACAAAAAUACAAAGAAUAUUUAUAAAGUACUUCUAUAAUGAGGAGACCCUCACUUUGUUAAAGUGAAAAUAUCAAUAAUAUACAAAAGACAUAUAUUUUAACACAUUAAAAAUUGUAUUUUUUUUUAUCUAUUGGUGUAUUGAAAUGUGUGUUAUUUAGUUUGUUAAUAAUAUCAUCACUUUGUUAAAAUAAUGAUAUCAGAACCAUUAUAUAUACAUAUAUAUAAAGUGCUUCUCUCCAAAAUCUAGACUUUAUUAAAAUUUAAGAAAGCAAAUAUAUUUUGUAUGGUAUAAUAGUGUAAUAACAUCACCCGAGUAUAUCAUAUAGAGUAAUAGUUUUUGGACUUUAAUAAAGGUCAAGAUUAUAGAAUGAAUGAUUUAUAUAUAUUUUAAAUUUUUUAUCAUAAAGUGGAGGACAAAGUAACAUAUUUUUCAAAUUAUAAUAAUUAUUUAUCAAAUAAUUUAACAUCGUAAUUUCUCCUAACUAGUAUAGUAAAUACGACCUAGGAGGUACAUUCAAAGCAUUUCAUAAGUUAAUUGUUAAUAAUAAAUGAUACAUGCAGCUCCAACUAUUAUUGUACGGUGAGUAAUUUCAAUAGAUUUUUUAUGGCUUAAUAAUAAUGAACAUUGAAUGUCAAAAUAUUAAUGGCCAAACAGACCAGCUGCCAACGACUUAUUCCAAUGUGAAUAGUUCACAGUGGGUACUGCACAUGAUACUUGUUUCUCCUUUUGCAUCUACUUUUGUUGUUAACAUUAAUUUCAAUAGCAGCUCGUUAUGUACGCAACAUUUCAAAGUUAAUCCAAAAAAAAAAAAACAAAAAUUAGUUCAGCUGACUAAAUUUGAAAGCAUGGAUUUGCCGUCGAUUAAAAAUCGUUUUGUAGGGAAAAGUUUUGGAUUGCAAUUUUCAUACAAUACAUAGAAUUAUCAUAAUCUAUAAAUUAUUUUUUUGCUUUUCUGUGGUAGUAAGUCCGACUCCUUAGUGACAAUUUAAAUUGAAAAAAUAAAAUCAUAAAUUAGAAUUAUUUGAUAAGAAUUAAAAUAAUUGAUAAAAAUUUGAGAGGAACAAUUUUGGAAGAUUCGAUUUCUAAUAGAAAGGGUGAAUUUUACAGCCUUUGGUGAGGACUCCAAAAUGCACAAUUUGAUGAAAAUUAAAUUUCAAUAGAAAUUGAAUUCCCAUUUAUUAGUGAAAACCAAACAACAGAAAAGUGAAAGGAAUUUGAAUUCAUUUCCUUCCUCUCCUCCCUCCAACUAAACACCAUCGAAAUCCAAAGGUAUGGAUUGGGAUUCCAUAUUGAUUAGAAUGGGAUUUGUCCAUAUUAUUAGGACCAAUUUUAAAAGCAGUCGGAGUUUCGAAGUUUAAGAUUGAAAUUAAUCACAAUUGUUGAUUUGGGACUAGAUAAGAAUUUAUCUUAGAACUCCAAUUCUCCAAAAAAAGUACGCUAGCUUCGCCACUGCACUAGGGACAUAUUAAUCAGGUGGCUUAUAUUACAACCAGAGGAUUUAAAUUUGAUUUAAGAUAUGUGGGGUCUGCUUUUGGAUUUAGAAAAUUUGCUCAUUAAGAGUUGAACCCAAGUGACCUACCGUUAGAUUAGAUUAAUAGUGAUUUCUUGUAGUAAAUAUUUGUGAAUUUGAAAUAUGUGAAUUCUAUCCUGGUGAUACAAAACAAGCUUCUUGUACACGAGAACUAUUUAUUUUUAUGAUUUGGAAACCAAUCUAUAAAGAUGAAUUAAGUUGGCAUAAUGGUACAAAGCAACUUUAAUUUUUCAAUAAAUUCAAAAGUUGGCAAGUUGGUUAUGAUUAUUAUCUUUUCUUUUUUACUAUUUAAACUACAAUUAAUUGAAUCCAAAGACUAAAGGGUUGGAUCGAGAAGAAACUAAUUUUAAGUAGACAUUCCGGCGAAAAUCACUCCCAUGAUCGAGACACUCAUGCAAUCAAUGCAAAAAUGGACACAAAAAUUGUCUACUUAAGUUUGGUGGAAUGAUUUUAAAAAUAGUUUUAUUUGUUUCACACUCGAAUUUGUAUUUUGAAAAAGAGUGGGAGUUAAAAAUUGAUUUACACUUUAUCAAUUACUCUAUUUUAAAAAGAAAUAAAUAUUAAAAAAAUAAAAACAUUAAUUUCUUGUUUGUUUGUACUUACCAUUGUAGGAUAAAUAAAGUGGUUGACAAAAAUUAUAUAUCUUAAAAAUAAAUUCUAGAUUUAUAACUAAUGUAUAAUGAUUUCAAUUCACAUGUUUCAAUCCCAAAUAAAUUCUCCUUUGGUUAUUUGAAUCUUAGCGCGGUAAGAUUUCAUUCUCUUAUAUGCAUUUGUGUAAACUUCUCCCUUUACCUUUAUCAUUUUAUCAACUUUAUUGAUUGCCAAUCAACUUUAGGGUUUAGGCAUGAAUCACACAAGGGAAUGAUAUUGUGGCAAUUUUUUCCCCCUUCUUUUUUCUUUUUGAAAAAAAAAAUUAUUUAUAGCUUUGCUUUGAUGGUAGAAGACUAGAAGACCAAUUAAUUUCUUUUUGUUGCGUGGUGAUAAUAAUGAUGGAAAUUGCUAUGUGCGCGUUGGUGAUUGCAUUGCUAGUCACAUAUUGCUUCCCAUCAUGGAGACAAAGGGGACCCCUCUAUCAAAGCUAGCUGUUGAAAUAUCAUACCCAAAAUCACAUGAAUUCAAAGGUUGAAUGGGAAAACGAUCUUGCUUCUUUGUAUGUUUUAUUUUAUUUAAAGACUUAUUGUUUCCCAUAAGAGAUAAGCUUGGAUCUAUCUUUCCUUUUAAUCAUUUUAGCCUCCAACUCCCAUCUUUUUCAAAAGUUUCGUUUAGCCCAUUUUGAAUGGCAAGGUAAGCUUCAAUUAACGCAACAAGUUCCAGUGAUUCCCGUCAAUAUUCGAUUGCAUGUAUGUAGCUUUGAGUGCUCAAAUUUAUUUUAUUUAUUAGUUGUUAUCACUUAUCAUUUUCUUUUUAAUAAUGAGAUUUGGGCAUUUUCUUUUUAAUAAUGAGAUUCGGGUCCCUGGAUGGUGAUUAGCCAACAGUCUAGUUAUGAGAAAUUAAUGUCUUAAUUACAAUGACAAAAAAGGCAAGUGGGGAUCUCAUUUGCCAUUAGGUAACACAACAUCUUCAGCAUUGGAGCUUUUCUUCCUUUCUCUCCUUCUUUCUUUCUUUCUCAAAAUAAUUGAAAAUCUAAUGCAAUACAAUUAAAUUGAUCAACGAUCUAAUUUAAUCAAUACAUUAUAUUAAGAUAUUUAAAAUAAAAUCGGUUCAAAUGGAAUGAGAAGUUCUACUAAAAAAAUAACAACAUUUAUUCCUUAUUAUUAUUAUUCGAAUUCAAAUAACCUUGGAUUCCAAACGCAUUCAAGACUAGCCAGGCUGCAUAUCCAAGAAGAAAACAAAAUCAAAACUUUAGCCACAAACAUAUACGUGUGUGUGUAUGUGUGUGUGUGUAUAUGUGUGUGUGUGUGUGUGUCUGUGUAUAUAUAGAGAGAGAGAGAGAGUUCUUUCACUAGGUUCAUUUGCGUGAAACUUUUUGAUCAUUUAGGUUUAAGACUAUAUCAUAUAUCCUAUUGCACGAACAUUGAUUAAGAUGAAUGAGUCAAACCCACUAAGCUUGCAACAAAAUCUUUUCAUAGUUACUAGAGAAUAUUUAUAUUUUUUUCAAAUAUUAAUAAAAUUAUUGAAUUGCUUUAUUUAUAGUACGUAUACAAUUAAUAGUGUAUGGAUUUUUUUUUAUCUAUUGGUGUAUUGAAAUAUGUGUUAUUUAGUUUGUUAGUGAUAUAAUCACUUUGUUAAAAUGAGAAUGUCGUUACUAGAGAAUCAUUAUAUAUACAGGGUCCAGCUACAAUACCCAUGGGGUUUGGUACCCCAUUUUUUGUCUUUUUCAAAUCUACCGUUGGAUUUAACGUAAGAAUUGCAGAAUGGCUGAGAUGUAAUUUUUGGGUUAUUAACAACAAAGACCCUUAUUGUUCAUGGAAAAUAAAAAAAAUCAAAAGUUUUGAAAUUAUGACGUAUAAGUCCAUAAUAUUCUCUUUUUUUCUUUUUAACUAUUGAACUCGGUUUCUAAUUAAAUGAAUUUUUCUUACAUUUAUUAAUAUCUAUUUAAAUUAAUAUAUUUUUAAUUAAUAAAUUAACUACUUUAUUAUAUAGUUAAACUAUGUAUAUUAUUUACUAACCAUAAUUAACGAUAAGUAUAAAUAUGAUCUUUUUUUUUUUUUAACAUAAUGGCAACCAAUUUCCUCUCACCUAUGUGAACAAGGUUCAAAACCCAUAAUUUUUUUUUUAACACAAGAGAUUUUAUUAUCUCAAGUAGAUGAAAUAUACAAAAUACAAAAAUAAAUUUAAUUUCAUAUUCUAUAUAGUUAAUUUUUUUUGUAACAUAAUAUUUAUUAAACAUACUAUCAAUUAUUUAAUUAACUAGCAAAAAUAUGUUAAUUUACUAAUAAUAAUCAAAUGUUAGUUUAUGAACUUGUAAAAUCUUUUUUUUUAACAAUGAGUUUUUGUCCUUAAAAUAAAAAAUAACAAUUUAAUUGCACACUUAAAUAAAUUAGUAUUUGUUAAAAAUAGUAAUUUAAUUGCACACUUAAAUAAAUUGGUAUUUGUUACUCCACCCCAAUUAUUUAAAUAGUCAUUAACUUAUCUGAGAGAAGGGUAAAAAAAUUCUAAACAAUUACUCUAUUUGAAAAUAAUUUAAAUAUUUCUUUAGAAAAAUAAACUAAAAAUAAGUAUUUUCUAUUCUUUCUUCUUUCUUGCUAACAUCAAUCAUGGAUAACAAUAGAGAUGGCAAUUCAACACAUAUCUAUCAAUUAAAAUAGAAGUCAAUUAAUAUAAUUAAUUGAAUAAUUAAUUUGUGUCAUGAAUGAGUUAUCGUAUUAGGAGUUAUAAAACCAAACCCAAUAGAAUUAUUAAUCGAGUUAACAGCUAGAAAGAGCAAACAAAUCCAUUCAAGUUGGAUGUCUAAGUAUUUGAACCAAAUAGAUUAGAUAAUAUCCAUCUAAAAUACUCCAAAUUUGAUUUAUUCAAUAUCCAUCUAUGAACUUGAAUAUUAGUGAUAUUUAAGUGUAUGUGACUGAAAUUGAGUAUUAUAUUUAAUAUUUAAGUUUUGUAAGUCAAAUGAAAAAUCAAAAUAAUAUUGCUAAAAAUUAUUGCACCAUCAAUGACAACAAUGACGAUAUCAUCACUAAGAAAUAGAAAUGAGUGAACAGAGAAACAAAAACUAUCAACGUAAUCAAAACUCUCUGAUCAAUGUAAUGGUGGCAAUGUUGCCAGAUAAAUAGAUAUGCCGGCAAUAGAUGAGCAUUCCAAUGCAAACAACUAGAACAAGACCCUAUGAUUAGAUGACGUUUUAACGUAGAGUGGAAGCGAUACUAAAUUUCGUUCUAGUAUACGUCUUGAAAACUCAAGAAAGAGACUCUCACCAAAGAGAAGAUAUUUCAAUUGAGAAAAAACUAAAUAUUAUUAAUGAGAAGCUUGUGUCUGUUAUCAUAAAUUAAGAAUAACAAGCCUAUAUAUAUAAUAGUAGCUAACUUAAUCCUUAUCUUUCUCAAAUAAGAGAAAUAAUCUAAAAUCCUAAUUAAAUUAUAAUUACAAAUAUGACUCAAGUAAGCUUAAUAAAAUAAGAUAAAUCCUAAUAAAAUAUUAAAUUCUAAAUUGACCCAAAUAUUAUAAUUCCUAGUAAAUUCUAAUUUAUUUAUUUAUUUAUUUAUUUAUAAGUUUGUUUGGUUUUUGGGUUUUUUUUUUAAAGAACAGAAAAUUAUAGGUAAUAGUGUAAGUAUAGAAAAGUAAAGAGGCAAAAUUAAAAAUAGGCAAAAGUUGGUGUUGCCGUCGACGGUGGUCGAAAAAUUGGCCUAGGAUAGGUGGAUUUGGAAGAUUUGAUGGUGCUGAGUGUGAUGUUGGUGGUGGUUUGUCUCAAAUAGUUGUGAGUUGACCGAAAAGUUGAGCUAAAGUAGUGGGUGGAGGUUGGUUUCGGUUUCCGGCGAUCCGGCCGGGGGUUGGCAGCGUGAGUGGGUUGAAAAGAAAGAGCUAAUGAUGGUGGACGAAUGAGUGGUGGUGGAGGCUGUGAAUCGCGGCUGAUUGUAGCGAAUGGAGAGGCGGAUUUUCGUGGUGGUUCAGCGGCUGUUUUGGCUAGUUUCCCGUGGCUACGGUGACGAGAUGGUGGUGUUAUGGGUUGGGUUAUGAUUGGCGGCGUGUAGGCUUUCGGAUGGGAGAGAGGAUCGACCGAAAAGAAGAGAAACUGGUGGCGGCAGUAGCCGUGUGUGGCAGAUGUAAUGGCGGCUUCGGGUUUUGCUAGUUUUUUUUUUAACUUGAUGGAACUAAUGUACGGAGUUGGUGGUCAGGAAUGCUCUGCCUGCUACCAAAAAAAGCUCUAAUAUCAUUUGUCUUGAAAAUUAAAAAAAAAAUCCCACUAAGGAUUAAUAUCUUAAUUGUGAAAAUAUUGAAUAUUAUUAAUGAGAAGCUUGUGUCUGUUAUCAUAAAUUAAAAAUAACAAACUUACAUAUAUAAUAGUAGCUAAUUUAAUCUUAAUCUUUCUCAAAUAAGAGAAAUAAUUUAAAAUCCUAAUUAGAUUAGAAUUACAAAUAUAACUCAAGUAAGCUUAAUAAAAUAAGAUAAAUCUUAAUAAAAUAUUAAAUUUUAAAUUGACCCAAAUAUUAUAAUUUCUAGUAAAUUUUAAUUUAUUUUAUUUAAUAUGCUUCCUACAUCACGUUUUAAGGUUCAUUGCCUUUAACAACCAAUUUGAGGGUCUCUAAACUAAAAAAAAAAAAAAAAAAGGUGGUAGUAUAAUGUAACUCCUUGUGUUUUGAUGGUAUAGUUAUUGUUGCACCUAUUUUAGAAGGAGCAUGUAACUUUACAUAUCACCAUUUGCUAGCAUUGAGACUAUCUUUAUGUAAAUCAUUCAAUUUCAAGUCUAAUGGAAUCCUUCAUGUUCCAUUUCGGUUAAUAAUGUCAUUGCACAUGAAGAAACAAUAGUCACUAGUGAUUGUCUAUAUUUUUUAAUGCAAAAUAUCUUUUUGUAAUUAAUUAAAAAAUAAGAAUAAUUUUUUAUUAUUAUUAUGUUUCUAUAUGGAAAAUAAUUUUAAUUACCUUUUAAUUAAAAUGGGUGAGAAAAAUGAUGUCAUUGAUGGUGCAAAAUGGAUGAGAAAAAUGAUGUUAUGUAGGUGUAGGACUAAUGCGUAAAACUUUAAAAUUUUUUAACAUUUUUAUUUUUACAACAAAUAGCAGGACACUAUUAUAAUUAACCUUAAUAAAGACAAAAGAGAGGGGUACCAAACGUAUGUUGCAACAUAGCUUUGCCCAUAUAUACAUAUAUAAAGUGCUUCUAUCCAAGACCUAGACUUUAUUAAAAUUUAAGAAAGCAAAUAUAUUUUAUAUGGUAUAAUAGUGUAAUAACAUCACACUAUUAUAUCAUAUAGACUAAUAGUUUUUUGAACUUUAAUAAAGUUCAAGAUUAUAGAAUGAAUGAUUUAUAUAAAUUAUAAUUUUUUAUCAUAAAUGGAGGAGAAAAUUAACAUAUUUUCAAAUUAUAAUAAAUAUUUAUCAAAUAAUUUAACAUUGCAAUUUCUCCUAACUAGUAUAGUAAAUAAUACGACCUAGGAGGUACAUUCAAAGAUUUUCAUAAGUUAGUUGUUAAUAAUAAAUGAUAUAUGCAGCUCCAAUUAAUCAUCAUUGUACGGUGAGUAAUUUCCAGUUAUAAAUAGAUAUUACUCCCUUCCCAGCAAUUUUUGAUGGCUUAAUUUUGUGGGAUCAAAAUCAACAUUGAAUGUCAAAAUGUUAAUGGCCAAACAGACCAGCUGCCAACAACUUAUUCCAAUGUGAGUAGUUCACAGUGGGUACUGCACAUGAUGCUUGUUUCUCCUUUUGCAUCUAUUUUUGUUGUUAACAUUAAUUUCAAUAGCAGCUCGUUAAUGCCAAUUGUUGAUUUGGGACUAGAUAAGAAUUUAUCUUGGAACUCCAAUUCUCUGAAUUAUUUUAGUUGACAAUAUGUUUAACAUUAUUUUUUUUAACAUUAUUAAUUGCAUAUUAUUUAAUUAUCAAUAUAUAAUAUUCUUUAAUUUUUUAAUUUUAUAGGAUUAGACACAAAAUUGAUUAUACCUUUUGAAAUUUAAGGGUUAUGUCAAUUGAAUAGAAAACUUGGAGUUAAACUUUUGGAUGUUUUUGUUGAUUAUCAAUUUAUGCAUGAAUUUUUGUACGUUUACUUUGGUUUAUUAUUAUUACUUUUAAAUAUUUUUAUUGGUUUGAUUUAGGGUCAGUUUAAUAAUCCUGUAGCUUUUAAAAUAAUUAGAGUUAGCUAUGCUGUAGAAAUUGAUCAAUCGUUAAGAGAAUCAGCUGAACAUUUAGUAAAAUUUAUUUUUAAAAGUACUUUUAGUUUUAAAAGCGUCGUAUGUGUUUCGUAAAUCUUAUUGUUAAACUAGUGCAAAAAUGUAAAUGACUAAAUUGGACAUAAUGCUAAAUAAAAUUUAUUUACACAUUUAUAAACACGUAUAUAAAAUAUUUUUAUUACGUACAUAUAAUUAUUGAUAACUAAAAUAAAUAUUUUAUAUUAUUAAAUUUUAUUCUUUAAUUUGUUAUCUCAAUAUAAUUGGUAAUAGUAAUAACCUCUUUAAAGUUAAUCAUUUUAUUUCUUAAUUAAUAAAGAUAAUUUUGAAUUUUGAUUAUAUAAUGAGGAUAUGUAUAUAAAUAUAUAGAAUUUGAUUAAAUAUAAAAGUGAUUCUCAAAAUCAGAUUUUGAAAAAUUAUUCAUUCCAUACUUUUUCAAAAUCUACUAUACAAUGAGAUGAUUUUGCCAAAAGUAAUUACUAAAAAAAUUUAUAAAACACUAAAAAUUAAUUUUUAAUUUUUAAAAUCACUUUUGAACUUCCCAAAAAUAAUCCUAACGGACCNNNNNNNNNNNNNNNNNNNNNNNNNNNNNNNNNNNNNNNNNNNNNNNNNNNNNNNNNNNNNNNNNNNNNNNNNNNNNNNNNNNNNNNNNNNNNNNNNNNNGUGGUGUUAGAACUUGUGACUUUUGGAUCUUUUAGUUUUUAUUGGUUGAUACAAUUGUUACCUAAAAAUUAAAUGUAUCUUAAACCCAAACUUCUUCUUCUUUUUUUUGACUAACAAAAUUAAAAAACAAUAGUGAACACAUUCUUUAAUAAACAAUAAGUAAUAACUAAAAUCGUGUUAAAUUUCUUAAAAAUUUUCUUUCACGGUCUGCUAAAUAUUUUUAUUAGUAUUUUGAAUAAAUAAAAAUAAUUGAUUUAAUUUUUUUAAAGAAACUUAUUAGGUUCAUGUAAAGAUGUUUUUGUUAUUUUAAAAAGUGUAGAAAGUACUCCUAAAAAAAAAGUGUAGAAAGUAAAACUUAAUUUUUUAAAUUUAUUAGCUUACUGCAUAAAUAAUUGAGUGUUCAUAAUGAUUUUUAAAGUAUAGAUAGUCGGACCCUAAUAUUUUUAAUAUGGAAAUUUUGCUAAUAUGUUAAUGAGAAUUAAAAAGAUAAUUAAGGGAGGCAAUUGAGACAUUCAGGAUAGUUAGGAUGGGACAUGAUUGUGAGUGGUUUGAUAUUAGUCCUAAUUUUGAUCACAAAUAUAUAAACAUGACGAGUUUAUCUCUACUUACAUUCCAUUUGAUAAUUAAGAUGAGAGUGGAAUCGUCAAAUCCCAAAUCAUCCCGGACCAUUGCCAUCAAAGGUACUCUCACUAAUAAUAUCUAAAGAAAAAUGUACAUGUAUUUCAUUUUUUUUUUAAACGGAAAGAGCCCUCAUGGGGCUUGAAAUGUUAUCCUAAAUAGUAUUCAAAAUAUCAAGCCAUGAUUGGGUUUGUGACAAACAAAUAUUACAUAGUUAGGAUACGUAGUUACUAGUGUCCCCAUUUAUGUAGUAUCUAUCAUUUAAUGCACAUAUAAAGUAUUAAUCAGCUUAAUUAAUUUAUAAAAUCUAAAUCUAAUUAAUAAGUGACACAUAAAAGCCAAGUGCAAUAUAUGCAAGUCAUGUUUGUCGAUCAUUACAAAACUAGCUCUUGAAAACAAGCAAGAAAGCUUAAUUAAGAACUUAAAACAAAAAGAAAUUUAGAUUGAGAACAGUCAAGCCUUAUUUUUUUCAAGGAUGGAGCUUAUAAAUCUUCAAGUACCAACAUAUGCUUGGCCCAAUUGUUGUUAUUAAAAAUUCAAUAUAUAUAUAUAUAAGUAUGACAUAGCAAAAAUUUGAUGGUACAUAUGUCGGAAUAUACUAGUUCAUGGAUGCAUUUGAUUAUUGUUUCCAUAAAUUUGAACCAGGAAGGAUAACACGAUAAAAUUUGAUUUUAUGGUAUGGUUGAUUUCAUAUCUCAUGCACUCAUUUCUUAAGAUAAUCAAAUUUUCUCUGGCAUCUUUUGCAACUGUGGAAAUAUCAAUUAUGAUCAAUCAAAACGAUUUCAAAACCUCUCAACGAGACAUAUUUAUAAUACAAUGUUGUGAAAAUUACACCAAAUUUUAAUUUAUUAUAUAUUAUUAUCCAACGAGCACACAAAAAUGAAUUCGUACAAAUAGAGUUUACCAUGUACUACAAGAAACUAGGGUAUAAGUGACCCCUAAUGUGAAUGCAAAAGAAGCCAUUAUGUAUAUCACUAACUUCUAGGCUCUAGCUUUGUACCCCGACUUGCUUUUGUUACCCUUUAUGUGACGGCCACACCGCUAUCACAUAUGUUAGUUACUACCCGCGUGACGGUAAAGAGCCGUUCGGUAUAUUACUAUUUUAUAAUUUUAAAUUUAAAACUAUUUGCUGGACUCCGUGUUACUAGCCACCAUCGUAAGCCUAACUGGUUGCCGGCGAACUGCGUAAAACACUGGCCAUCUUCUUCUUCAUCGUCUUCUCCCUUCAUCUUUUGAGGUAAGCUUGUGAUUAUGAGUUUCUUCUCUUACUUAGCUUGUAAUUAUAGACUUUGAUUUUUUUUUUAAUUCGCAUUGUAGCCAUUAUUGUCAAUUUUUGUCCCGCGAGCAAUAUAUUUUUAUUGCUUCAAGUUGAAGCCCCUGUUUUCUUGUUCCAUUGGUGAGUUUGCUCACUCAAAUUAAUUUUGUUCUGCGGAAUUUGCAACGUUCAAAUGGAUUCGUUUGAAUUACUAUUGAAUUUAGCUUUAAUUUCAACAUCCAUUCUAAUGUUUUGCUAUUAGAUUUACUUUAAUUUUAUGUUUAAAGCUUCUACAGUGAAUAGCGGAGCUUGGGUUUUAGUUUCAUUUUCUAGAUAACUUGUUUUAGUUUAUCUUGUAUACUCACCAAGUGCUUGUUAUAUUGUCUGAUAAGUUAUAUACAUUGCUGAUUCUAUAUUAAUAAUGUUAUGUUCUAUUUUCAGAAAUUAUAAUACAAAAGCUUUUACAAUGGCGUGCAUCUACAAACUGGAUUGACUCGUAGAAUAAGAGCUUGGAGUAGUGUUAUGUUCUUGAAUAAAUGAAAGUUCAUAUUGUGUAAGAGCAUGUAGAUGUAAAGCAUCAUUAUCAUUUCUACAAAGUGCUUUCAUUCUCUUCAGAUGCUCUUCUUGAACUUUGAAAGGUGCCUCGUUCAAGUCCUAGCUAUAACUGCUAGCUUUGAUUAAUUAAGUUCCUAUACUAGCUGAAACAGAUUUAUUUAAUUAAUUAAUUGUGUAUAUACUAAUUAUAUUGAAAGUAUAUGAAACUUUUUUUUUUUCACAUGAAUGACUUCUAAAUGACUUAAAAACCUAAAGGAUGUGUGAAAUAAUGCUCAUUUCACUUGAAUGAGCCUAUUAAUACUUUUAUGUCUAUGAUGUCAAAAUUGGCUUAAGCAUUUCAGUUAAGUGGUUUACCUAGCAGAGAAAAAAAUUUUAAUAGAGAAACUUCAGAGUUCUAACAGAAAUAUAGUUCGCUAUGCAGAUAUAGUUAUNNNNNNNNNNNNNNNNNNNNNNNNNNNNNNNNNNNNNNNNNNNNNNNNNNNNNNNNNNNNNNNNNNNNNNNNNNNNNNNNNNNNNNNNNNNNNNNNNNNNNNNNNNNNNNNNNNNNNNNNNNNNNNNNNNNNNNNNNNNNNNNNNNNNNNNNNNNNNNNNNNNNNNNNNNNNNNNNNNNNNNNNNNNNNNNNNNNNNNNNNNNNNNNNNNNNNNNNNNNNNNNNNNNNNNNNNNNNNNNNNNNNNNNNNNNNNNNNNNNNNNNNNNNNNNNNNNNNNNNNNNNNNNNNNNNNNNNNNNNNNNNNNNNNNNNNNNNNNNNNNNNNNNNNNNNNNNNNNNNNNNNNNNNNNNNNNNNNNNNNNNNNNNNNNNNNNNNNNNNNNNNNNNNNNNNNNNNNNNNNNNNNNNNNNNNNNNNNNNNNNNNNNNNNNNNNNNNNNNNNNNNNNNNNNNNNNNNNNNNNNNNNNNNNNNNNNNNNNNNNNNNNNNNNNNNNNNNNNNNNNNNNNNNNNNNNNNNNNNNNNNNNNNNNNNNNNNNNNNNNNNNNNNNNNNNNNNNNNNNNNNNNNNNNNNNNNNNNNNNNNNNNNNNNNNNNNNNNNNNNNNNNNNNNNNNNNNNNNNNNNNNNNNNNNNNNNNNNNNNNNNNNNNNNNNNNNNNNNNNNNNNNNNNNNNNNNNNNNNNNNNNNNNNNNNNNNNNNNNNNNNNNNNNNNNNNNNNNNNNNNNNNNNNNNNNNNNNNNNNNNNNNNNNNNNNNNNNNNNNNNNNNNNNNNNNNNNNNNNNNNNNNNNNNNNNNNNNNNNNNNNNNNNNNNNNNNNNNNNNNNNNNNNNNNNNNNNNNNNNNNNNNNNNNNNNNNNNNNNNNNNNNNNNNNNNNNNNNNNNNNNNNNNNNNNNNNNNNNNNNNNNNNNNNNNNNNNNNNNNNNNNNNNNNNNNNNNNNNNNNNNNNNNNNNNNNNNNNNNNNNNNNNNNNNNNNNNNNNNNNNNNNNNNNNNNNNNNNNNNNNNNNNNNNNNNNNNNNNNNNNNNNNNNNNNNNNNNNNNNNNNNNNNNNNNNNNNNNNNNNNNNNNNNNNNNNNNNNNNNNNNNNNNNNNNNNNNNNNNNNNNNNNNNNNNNNNNNNNNNNNNNNNNNNNNNNNNNNNNNNNNNNNNNNNNGUUAUUCAAAUUUCAGAUUCAAUUUUAAACUUUUGAUAUGUGCAUUGAAAGCUUAGACUUGUUUAAGAAAUUAUUAAUAGACACAUGUUUUAUUAGUGUCAUCUUUGGAUGAUAGUGAGGAUCAUGUGUCUAUUAAUAAUUCUUGAAUUGUCCAGGCUUGGACAGUUUUGGAAUGCAUAGUUCUCUCUGGUAGCUAGUGGCUGAAGUUUUUGUCCCACGUAAAAAUGGGUUUUUCGGUAGCUGCUCCUCGUGUUCUCUGAGUACGUACUAGGUGAAUGGGUGUCAUGUGUUUGUUUUGGCAAAACACAUAAACACUUAUAUAGGUAUGUCUAGUGCUUGGAGAGCUAUCAUUUCAUAAGAGAGUGUAUUGCAAGAAAAGAAGUGCAAAUCAAGUAUGUAAAAUCACAAGAUCAAGCAGCUGAUAGCUUCACUAAGCCACUCAAGCAAGAAGACUUUGUAAGAUUCAGAAGUUUGCUUGGUGUCACAGGAUCAAGUUUAAGGGGAGAUGUUGGAUCAUAAACUUGAUCCAAGAUGAAUAAAUCAAGCCCAACUCAUGGAAGGUUCCAUGAGUAUGUAUGGUUGGUGAGGUUUGAAUUAUUUGUGUUAGGUGUGUUAGGUGUGGUUGGUGAAGUAGGUGAGUGGUAGGUUUUAAUGGAUGGUGAGAAUUUGUUUAUUAGUUGAAUAAAUGAAUGGUUGUGAUUAGUUUUUUUCAUGUAUAAAUACCCCCUCUCCCCUUUGGUUUAAACAUCAAGUGAAGUAGCAAAAUCUCUAAGGUGUAGAGAGUGAAAAAUAAGAGUUGUAAUUGGUGAGGAGUGUUGUUGAAGAAAUAAAAUAGUGUGUUUUAUGUGAGUUUUAUUUAUUAAUUCUCCAACAUGUAAUUGGUGAUGAUUUUGCUGAGCUGACCUUGGUUUUGAGCUUGUAAUUUUGUUUGUAAAUGGAGUGCUUUCUCCAAUGUUGGUUUAUAAAAAUGUUUCAGGACUUGCCGACCUAAUUUUUGUUUCUGCUAGGUUACAGGCUUUAUAUAGCUGUAAUUGAUAGCCAAGUGAAGUUCUCAGCACUUGGCGAGGAUAUUUCUUUACAGAAGUAUUGGAAACUAUUUUUUACAUUAAUUAUUGUUGUCUAUAUACUUUGAUUUUCACAUCUUUUUCUCUGAUUCUUGUGGCUUUGCUUGCUUUCAUAUAUGUAAAUUCUAAUGAAAUUAACCAUAAAAUUGUAAAAUGAUCUUUUUAUCAUAUUGCAAAACUGUGCACACACGAAAAUAUUCUUGUUUAGUAGUACAAAUGAAAAACUAAAAUGAUUUAUUUAACUAAUAUUUGAGCGCAUUAAAAGGAGAUAGUCAUGGACAAGUGUUGGGUUGGUUUGCCAAAUAGAUAUCCAAGUCAUAUACUGAUGGGGUUGAAAAAUUUAUAAAUUUUGCAUUUUAGAAUGUUGUUGCUGGUACAAGAAUUUAUUGUCCUUUUAAGAAGUGUUAUAAUCUAUAUUUCGUUAUGAGGGAAGUGGCUGAUGAUGAUAUGGUUGGAAUGAUACACUGCAUCACAUAAUCAAAUGUUCAAGUUACACUCAACAUUGUUAUGGACUAUCAGUGACAUGAGUGAACUAGACUGAGAAUACCUUCAGUUAUUGAGCUAAGAAGCCAGCUGAGUAAUGUUUGAUCUUGAGAUCUCCAAAUUGUGUAUUCAGGAUUCUCGAUCUGUUGAGAAGAUCCAGCAGCUCCAGCAGUUGUUGCAGCAAAGCUUGAUGAUGCUAUAAAUCGAUUUGGUGCAAUCUUUUCUCCAUUAAUGUAUCCUUCAAGUCGAUUUCCUCUAAUGGAGGCCAGGACUUGAUUUUUCCAAAGCAUGUAGUUAGAUCUAUCUAAUUUGAUUGGUGUGAUGAAAGAAAAAGUUGUUUGAUUUGCAGCUACUGUAUUUUGAUUGUUUGUGAUUGCCAUGAUUGGCUCUGAUACCAUGAAGAAAUUGUAAAAAUGAAUAAAUGCUGUUGUUUGGCAGCUGAGAAAAUACAGAGGAAAAUUUUAUUUCAUUAAUGAAACUGAUAUUUUGUACAUAACAACAAUCACGAACAUGUAGCUAUUUAUACAUGCUUAUGUUCACUAACUAGUUGCUCACUAACUAAUUAUUAAUCACAAGCUCACUCAGCUAAUUAAUAACCAAACACAGAGUGUGCAUUGUGAAGUUAGUUAGGCUGGUAACUGCUGCUGACGUGGAUCUUCUGACGUGGCACUAAUGACAGCUGGUAACUUGACAUGCUGAUUCUUCUUCUUCACUUCUGCAUAAUGACAUAUCUUCACACCAGUCAAGAAGUUAUUUUCAGAUCCCAUACUUAACAAGACAUUACAAUCCCUUGCUGUUAAUAAUAAUUUGCAUCCUCUAUGAUCAUCGCCAAAAGGAAUUCCAACAGUCUCUAAAUCAAGAUAUUUCCAGAUGUUAUCCAGAAUCACAAGGAUCAUCUUCUCUUUCUUCAAUCGUUCAUAAAGUCUACUAGCUCUUCUAGAUUCAGCCUCCUCGGAAAACUCCAGACCUAGUUUCUCUGCAAUUUCCCCAUGAAUCUUUUUUAUGUCUGGAGUUUGGGAUACCUCUGAAAAAACCACCUGAUCAAAGAGUUUCUCUUCACUGGCUUGCCUUGCAAACUCCUUCACCAGUGUUGUCUUUCCAAUGCCGCCCAUGCCGUAUACCCCAACGAUGUUGACAUUGACAUCAGUCAAUGCAUCUUGUAUAGACUUCAGAGUAGAAAGUCUUGAUUUAAAGGCCUCGUAACCUUUGUUAGACUUUAGCCAUACCUCCUCCGCAAUGGUACGGUAGAAAAUUCUAUCAUCAAAUCUCCUAGCUUCUGAUGAGAUAUAAUUAGUAAUCUAGUAAAUUGAGCAAGAAGUUUGAAGGGUUAUUUGGUUUGUUUUUCAACGUGAAGUAAAGGGUAAAAUUGAUGUUUGCAAUGUGGCUUUGGAAAUGUAAAGCAUGAUUAAUGUAAUCUCCAGAGUUGUCUAUAAUGCAUAUAAAUAUAGAACUCUGGUUGUAUGAAAAGGAAGAGAGAAACGAAAAAAUGAAUUAAGCAAUAAAGUUUCAGAAAUUUCCAGCAAAAUACUCUGUUCUUAAAUAAAAAAAUUUCUGCACUUCCGCUUGCACCCAACAAAUUUGGUAUCAGAGCUUUUCAAAACACCCUCAAAAUGACAUCAAAUACCCUACCCACAUUAUUUUCAUAUGCUCCCAGUCAAGUUCCAAUAUUUGAAGGGGUACAUUAUGAAUAUUGGAGUAAUCAAAUAGAAACCUUUUUCCUCUCUCAAAAUUUAUGGGAUGUUGUUGAAGAUGGAUAUGCUGAACCACCAGAAUUUGCAAGUUCUUCAGAUUGGACUCCAGCACAUCAACAGCAGUACAAAGAAAACAUACAGAGAAAUGCCACGACACUUCGAUAUAUCUAGUAAGGUGUUAGUAAGUCAAUUUUCCCAGAAUAUUUGGUGUCAAAAAGGCCAAAAAUGCUUGGGAAAUCCUAAAACAAGAAUUUCAAGGUUCCGAAAAGGCAGUCACCAUCAAGUUACAAACUUUGUGGAAAGAGUUCAAUAAUUUAUCAAUGAAAGACAGUGAAGGAGUUCAAGAUUUUUGCAGUAGAGUUACUGAGAUUGUGAACCAGAUUAAAGGUUGCGGGGACUCCAUUGAAGACAAGAAGGUGAAUGAAAAGGUGCUGAGAUGUCUUCCUCCAAAUUUUGAUCAUGUAGCAGCAGCCAUUAAAGAAUCAAGGGAUUUGUCCAGGAUGACUUUUUCAGAUUUGUCAGGAUCAUUACGGUCUCAUGAGCAAAGAAUCAAUCGACCUUCAAGUCAGCCUACAGAGCAAGCUUUUCAGUCAAAGAUUAAUAAUUUAGAUCAGAAUAAAAGCAGCAAGAAAGACCAGAAGAACGGAGGCUCGUCUCAAAGAAACGGACAGCGUGGCAAAGGGAAAAGAGAAUAGAACGACAACCGCAACAAGUGGAAAAAUGACAGAGGGAAUUCACAGCAAAAUUCAGAUUCUCGGUGCAUCAUUUGUAAUUGGUCUAAUCAUGAAUUAAAAGAUUGUCGUUAUAAAUGCACAAGGUGUCGCAUUCCUAACCAUUCUCAAAGGGAUUGUUGGUAUCAAAAUAAAAAAGGCAAAAAUGAGGCAAAUUUUACAAAAGAAGGUGAUGGAGAUUACUUGUUUUAUUCAAGUAAAGGUACUGAACGUGAAUCAUAUAAUUUUUGGUACUUGGAUAGCGGCUGCAGCAACCACAUGACUAGAGAACGUGACAUUUUCAUCAGCCUUGACUAAAGUUUUAAUUCGCAAGUGAAGCUUGGAGAUGGAAAGAUGCAGAAAGCUGUGGGAAAAGGCACUAUUGCUGUCCAUACAAAGGGAGGUAACAAAAAGCUCAUUUCUGACGUUCUUUAUGUUCCAAAUUUAACUCAAAACCUCUUGAGUGUGGGACAGCUAAUUCAAAAGGGUUUUUCAAUUUAUUUUGAUGAUGAAAAAUGCAAAAUUAUUGAUAAAACUAAUAAUCACACAGUGGCCGUUGUUGAAAUGUCAAAGAACAAAGUUUUUCCUCUUGUUAUGCCACUUGAUGAGAAUGUUGCUCUCAAAACUGAAAAUUCAGAUUUGUCAACUUUAUGGCAUCUCAGAUAUGGCCAUUUAAACUAUAAAGGGCUGAAUUUGCUCAAGCAAAAGAACAUGGUGAUUGGCCUACCUGAUGUUGGAAGAUAUGAAAAAGUUUGCGAGGGCUGUAUUUAUGGAAAAAUGCAUAGACUUCCAUUUCCUAAAAAUUCAUGGAGAGCCAAAGCUCCGUUGGAGUUGGUGCAUGCUGAUAUUUGUGGUCCUACAAGGACUUUCUCUCUCAAUAACAGGAGAUAUUUCAUUCUUUUUGUUGUUGACUAUACAAGGAUGAUGUGGAUUUAUUUUUUGAAUGAAAAAUCAGAAGCUUUCUCAACUUUUCUUCAGUUUAAAGCUCUUGCAGAAAGGCAAAGUGGAUGCAAAAUGAAGACCUUGAGAACUGAUCGUGGUGGUAAAUUUAUCUACACUCCAUUCAUGAAUUAUUGCGGGGAUAAUGGAAUUCAAAGACAACUUACUGUCAGCCGAAGUCCACAACAAAACGGAGUCGCAGAACGGAAGAACCGUACCAUUGUAGAGAUGGCAAGAAGCAUGUUAAAAGGCAAAGGCAUUCCUAACAACUUAUGGGCAGAAGCAUGUCAUACAGCUGUGUACAUCCUCAACAGGUCUNNNNNNNNNNNNNNNNNNNNNNNNNNNNNNNNNNNNNNNNNNNNNNNNNNNNNNNNNNNNNNNNNNNNNNNNNNNNNNNNNNNNNNNNNNNNNNNNNNNNNNNNNNNNNNNNNNNNNNNNNNNNNNNNNNNNNNNNNNNNNNNNNNNNNNNNNNNNNNNNNNNAUAGUGAUGAGUCUAAAGGGUAUCGGUUGUUGAAUCCUACAACAAAUAAGCUUGUUAUCUCAAGAGAUGUUGUAUUUGAUGAGGCAUCAGCUUGGCAGUGGGAAAACGAUCAAUCUCAAGCAUCUAGCUUUUUUGAAGCUCCUGUAUCUCCACCAAAUUCUUCACAGCAAAAUAAUUUGGAACCAAAUUCUCCAAAUUCAGCAGCAGAAAGUUCUUCGGAUGAUGAAAGCCCUCCAAGGAAGAUAAAGUCAAUGAGAGAAAUUUAUGAGUCAUGUGAACUUGCUUUAUUUUCUUGUGAGCCUCAAGACUUUGAGGAGGCCUCAAGAAAUGAAGAUUGGAUCAAAGCAAUGAACGAGGAAAUGGCCACCAUUGUGAAAAAUAAAACUUGGGAGAUGGUUAAUUUGCCAAAUGGAAAAGAAACAAUUGGGCUGAAAUGGAUCUUCAAAAUCAAGUACAAUGAAGAUGGUUCAGUUCAAAAAUAUAAGGCGCGGCUCGUUGCCAAAGGAUACUCUCAGCUGCCUGGAGUUGAUUUUACAGAAACAUUUGCUCCCGUAGCUCGAAUGGAGACUAUUCGAACUGUUCUUGCCUUGGCAGCCCAAAUGGAAUUAAAUGUGUUUCAGCUAGAUGUAAAAUCGGCAUUUCUAAAUGGUGAAAUUGAAGACGAGGUUUAUGUUGAGCAGCCUAAAGGAGACUAAACGCAACNNNNNNNNNNNNNNNNNNNNNNNNNNNNNNNNNNNNNNNNNNNNNNNNNNNNNNNNNNNNNNNNNNNNNNNNNNNNNNNNNNNNNNNNNNNNNNNNNNNNNNNNNNNNNNNNNNNNNNNNNNNNNNNNNNNNNNNNNNNNNNNNNNNNNNNNNNNNNNNNNNNNNNNNNNNNNNNNNNNNNNNNNNNNNNNNNNNNNNNNNNNNNNNNNNNNNNNNNNNNNNNNNNNNNNNNNNNNNNNNNNNNNNNNNNNNNNNNNNNNNNNNNNNNNNNNNNNNNNNNNNNNNNNNNNNNNNNNNNNNNNNNNNNNNNNNNNNNNNNNNNNNNNNNNNNNNNNNNNNNNNNNNNNNNNNNNNNNNNNNNNNNNNNNNNNNNNNNNNNNNNNNNNNNNNNNNNNNNNNNNNNNNNNNNNNNNNNNNNNNNNNNNNNNNNNNNNNNNNNNNNNNNNNNNNNNNNNNNNNNNNNNNNNNNNNNNNNNNNNNNNNNNNNNNNNNNNNNNNNNNNNNNNNNNNNNNNNNNNNNNNNNNNNNNNNNNNNNNNNNNNNNNNNNNNNNNNNNNNNNNNNNNNNNNNNNNNNNNNNNNNNNNNNNNNNNNNNNNNNNNNNNNNNNNNNNNNNNNNNNNNNNNNNNNNNNNNNNNNNNNNNNNNNNNNNNNNNNNNNNNNNNNNNNNNNNNNNNNNNNNNNNNNNNNNNNNNNNNNNNNNNNNNNNNNNNNNNNNNNNNNNNNNNNNNNNNNNNNNNNNNNNNNNNNNNNNNNNNNNNNNNNNNNNNNNNNNNNNNNNNNNNNNNNNNNNNNNNNNNNNNNNNNNNNNNNNNNNNNNNNNNNNNNNNNNNNNNNNNNNNNNNNNNNNNNNNNNNNNNNNNNNNNNNNNNNNNNNNNNNNNNNNNNNNNNNNNNNNNNNNNNNNNNNNNNNNNNNNNNNNNNNNNNNNNNNNNNNNNNNNNNNNNNNNNNNNNNNNNNNNNNNNNNNNNNNNNNNNNNNNNNNNNNNNNNNNNNNNNNNNNNNNNNNNNNNNNNNNNNNNNNNNNNNNNNNNNNNNNNNNNNNNNNNNNNNNNNNNNNNNNNNNNNNNNNNNNNNNNNNNNNNNNNNNNNNNNNNNNNNNNNNNNNNNNNNNNNNNNNNNNNNNNNNNNNNNNNNNNNNNNNNNNNNNNNNNNNNNNNNNNNNNNNNNNNNNNNNNNNNNNNNNNNNNNNNNNNNNNNNNNNNNNNNNNNNNNNNNNNNNNNNNNNNNNNNNNNNNNNNNNNNNNNNNNNNNNNNNNNNNNNNNNNNNNNNNNNNNNNNNNNNNNNNNNNNNNNNNNNNNNNNNNNNNNNNNNNNNNNNNNNNNNNNNNNNNNNNNNNNNNNNNNNNNNNNNNNNNNNNNNNNNNNNNNNNNNNNNNNNNNNNNNNNNNNNNNNNNNNNNNNNNNNNNNNNNNNNNNNNNNNNNNNNNNNNNNNNNNNNNNNNNNNNNNNNNNNNNNNNNNNNNNNNNNNNNNNNNNNNNNNNNNNNNNNNNNNNNNNNNNNNNNNNNNNNNNNNNNNNNNNNNNNNNNNNNNNNNNNNNNNNNNNNNNNNNNNNNNNNNNNNNNNNNNNNNNNNNNNNNNNNNNNNNNNNNNNNNNNNNNNNNNNNNNNNNNNNNNNNNNNNNNNNNNNNNNNNNNNNNNNNNNNNNNNNNNNNNNNNNNNNNNNNNNNNNNNNNNNNNNNNNNNNNNNNNNNNNNNNNNNNNNNNNNNNNNNNNNNNNNNNNNNNNNNNNNNNNNNNNNNNNNNNNNNNNNNNNNNNNNNNNNNNNNNNNNNNNNNNNNNNNNNNNNNNNNNNNNNNNNNNNNNNNNNNNNNNNNNNNNNNNNNNNNNNNNNNNNNNNNNNNNNNNNNNNNNNNNNNNNNNNNNNNNNNNNNNNNNNNNNNNNNNNNNNNNNNNNNNNNNNNNNNNNNNNNNNNNNNNNNNNNNNNNNNNNNNNNNNNNNNNNNNNNNNNNNNNNNNNNNNNNNNNNNNNNNNNNNNNNNNNNNNNNNNNNNNNNNNNNNNNNNNNNNNNNNNNNNNNNNNNNNNNNNNNNNNNNNNNNNNNNNNNNNNNNNNNNNNNNNNNNNNNNNNNNNNNNNNNNNNNNNNNNNNNNNNNNNNNNNNNNNNNNNNNNNNNNNNNNNNNNNNNNNNNNNNNNNNNNNNNNNNNNNNNNNNNNNNNNNNNNNNNNNNNNNNNNNNNNNNNNNNNNNNNNNNNNNNNNNNNNNNNNNNNNNNNNNNNNNNNNNNNNNNNNNNNNNNNNNNNNNNNNNNNNNNNNNNNNNNNNNNNNNNNNNNNNNNNNNNNNNNNNNNNNNNNNNNNNNNNNNNNNNNNNNNNNNNNNNNNNNNNNNNNNNNNNNNNNNNNNNNNNNNNNNNNNNNNNNNNNNNNNNNNNNNNNNNNNNNNNNNNNNNNNNNNNNNNNNNNNNNNNNNNNNNNNNNNNNNNNNNNNNNNNNNNNNNNNNNNNNNNNNNNNNNNNNNNNNNNNNNNNNNNNNNNNNNNNNNNNNNNNNNNNNNNNNNNNNNNNNNNNNNNNNNNNNNNNNNNNNNNNNNNNNNNNNNNNNNNNNNNNNNNNNNNNNNNNNNNNNNNNNNNNNNNNNNNNNNNNNNNNNNNNNNNNNNNNNNNNNNNNNNNNNNNNNNNNNNNNNNNNNNNNNNNNNNNNNNNNNNNNNNNNNNNNNNNNNNNNNNNNNNNNNNNNNNNNNNNNNNNNNNNNNNNNNNNNNNNNNNNNNNNNNNNNNNNNNNNNNNNNNNNNNNNNNNNNNNNNNNNNNNNNNNNNNNNNNNNNNNNNNNNNNNNNNNNNNNNNNNNNNNNNNNNNNNNNNNNNNNNNNNNNNNNNNNNNNNNNNNNNNNNNNNNNNNNNNNNNNNNNNNNNNNNNNNNNNNNNNNNNNNNNNNNNNNNNNNNNNNNNNNNNNNNNNNNNNNNNNNNNNNNNNNNNNNNNNNNNNNNNNNNNNNNNNNNNNNNNNNNNNNNNNNNNNNNNNNNNNNNNNNNNNNNNNNNNNNNNNNNNNNNNNNNNNNNNNNNNNNNNNNNNNNNNNNNNNNNNNNNNNNNNNNNNNNNNNNNNNNNNNNNNNNNNNNNNNNNNNNNNNNNNNNNNNNNNNNNNNNNNNNNNNNNNNNNNNNNNNNNNNNNNNNNNNNNNNNNNNNNNNNNNNNNNNNNNNNNNNNNNNNNNNNNNNNNNNNNNNNNNNNNNNNNNNNNNNNNNNNNNNNNNNNNNNNNNNNNNNNNNNNNNNNNNNNNNNNNNNNNNNNNNNNNNNNNNNNNNNNNNNNNNNNNNNNNNNNNNNNNNNNNNNNNNNNNNNNNNNNNNNNNNNNNNNNNNNNNNNNNNNNNNNNNNNNNNNNNNNNNNNNNNNNNNNNNNNNNNNNNNNNNNNNNNNNNNNNNNNNNNNNNNNNNNNNNNNNNNNNNNNNNNNNNNNNNNNNNNNNNNNNNNNNNNNNNNNNNNNNNNNNNNNNNNNNNNNNNNNNNNNNNNNNNNNNNNNNNNNNNNNNNNNNNNNNNNNNNNNNNNNNNNNNNNNNNNNNNNNNNNNNNNNNNNNNNNNNNNNNNNNNNNNNNNNNNNNNNNNNNNNNNNNNNNNNNNNNNNNNNNNNNNNNNNNNNNNNNNNNNNNNNNNNNNNNNNNNNNNNNNNNNNNNNNNNNNNNNNNNNNNNNNNNNNNNNNNNNNNNNNNNNNNNNNNNNNNNNNNNNNNNNNNNNNNNNNNNNNNNNNNNNNNNNNNNNNNNNNNNNNNNNNNNNNNNNNNNNNNNNNNNNNNNNNNNNNNNNNNNNNNNNNNNNNNNNNNNNNNNNNNNNNNNNNNNNNNNNNNNNNNNNNNNNNNNNNNNNNNNNNNNNNNNNNNNNNNNNNNNNNNNNNNNNNNNNNNNNNNNNNNNNNNNNNNNNNNNNNNNNNNNNNNNNNNNNNNNNNNNNNNNNNNNNNNNNNNNNNNNNNNNNNNNNNNNNNNNNNNNNNNNNNNNNNNNNNNNNNNNNNNNNNNNNNNNNNNNNNNNNNNNNNNNNNNNNNNNNNNNNNNNNNNNNNNNNNNNNNNNNNNNNNNNNNNNNNNNNNNNNNNNNNNNNNNNNNNNNNNNNNNNNNNNNNNNNNNNNNNNNNNNNNNNNNNNNNNNNNNNNNNNNNNNNNNNNNNNNNNNNNNNNNCUCAAGGAUUUGCAGUUCAAUCAAGAUGCUGCAACAACAAUUUAUUGUGACAACAUGUCAGCCAUUGCUCUAACAAAGAACCCCGUAUUUCAUGCUAAAUCUAAGCACAUUGAGCUGCGUUAUCACUACAUCCGUGACUUAGUAAGCAAAGGAGAAGUUAAUAUGGAGUUUAUCAACACUAAUGAGCAGCCAGCAGAUUUUGUCACGUGGGUCACCGUCGAUUUUUACCAACAAAUCAUAGGUUUCGAAAAUAUAGUGUCUUUUGAUAAAACUAGAGAGUAGGGACAAGCACCUUCUCGGUUGUCUGGAACUGAAGUGAAAAAGCAGUUUAAUAUAGUUACUGAGUAUAAGAUUGAAGACUUGAAAAGAGGAGAACGAAUAAAAUGAGAGAAAUGAUAAGAUUACCUGGAAGAAGAACAGCAUUUUUUAUGAACUAACGUAUUGGUUUUUGAUAUCAUGAUCUUGAUAUCAUGCACUGUUUUGAUUUUUGUUAUGAACUCAGAUCAAAAGUUUAAUGUGAUCAAAAUUUCUUAAAAAUAGUGACAACGACUCCUCCUAAUAACAUUGAAGAUGGCUAUAAAAGAUAAAAGGAAAGGAUUAAAAAGAAAAGCUACGCCUGUUUCAAAAAAAAAAAUGGCGGCAUCAAGUUUAUAACAAAAAUCAAAACGGUGCGUUUGAAAGUGUAUAAAAUACAUUUAGAGCGGGAGUUGCGUUGUUUCUUGAAGGCAGAAUGUUUGUGAGAUUUUUGUCGACGAAGCCAAAACCAAAGAUGAAGCCCAUAGAGCUCAAAACUCCACCGGAGCAAAUUCAGACAAUUACGAGGGUUAUAUUUGACAUGGUCAAGGAAGACGGUCCUCUCACCGUCGCCGAUUCUUGGGAACGCGUCAAGGUGUGUGUAUCUGUUAAAUUGAAUUUCAACCGUUUGGUCUGUAAUUAUAAUUAAUCCUAUCGAUCUGACAGUGAUGAUUGAUCAUAAUACUAGUAGUUGUUUUACAUUUUCUACAAGCUGGAGUGAGUGGAUUGACGGGCAAAAGCCACNNNNNNNNNNNNNNNNNNNNNNNNNNNNNNNNNNNNNNNNNNNNNNNNNNNNNNNNNNNNNNNNNNNNNNNNNNNNNNNNNNNNNNNNNNNNNNNNNNNNNNNNNNNNNNNNNNNNNNNNNNNNNNNNNNNNNNNNNNNNNNNNNNNNNNNNNNNNNNNNNNNNNNNNNNNNNNNNNNNNNNNNNNNNNNNNNNNNNNNNNNNNNNNNNNNNNNNNNNNNNNNNNNNNNNNNNNNNNNNNNNNNNNNNNNNNNNNNNNNNNNNNNNNNNNNNNNNNNNNNNNNNNNNNNNNNNNNNNNNNNNNNNNNNNNNNNNNNNNNNNNNNNNNNNNNNNNNNNNNNNNNNNNNNNNNNNNNNNNNNNNNNNNNNNNNNNNNNNNNNNNNNNNNNNNNNNNNNNNNNNNNNNNNNNNNNNNNNNNNNNNNNNNNNNNNNNNNNNNNNNNNNNNNNNNNNNNNNNNNNNNNNNNNNNNNNNNNNNNNNNNNNNNNNNNNNNNNNNNNNNNNNNNNNNNNNNNNNNNNNNNNNNNNNNNNNNNNNNNNNNNNNNNNNNNNNNNNNNNNNNNNNNNNNNNNNNNNNNNNNNNNNNNNNNNNNNNNNNNNNNNNNNNNNNNNNNNNNNNNNNNNNNNNNNNNNNNNNNNNNNNNNNNNNNNNNNNNNNNNNNNNNNNNNNNNNNNNNNNNNNNNNNNNNNNNNNNNNNNNNNNNNNNNNNNNNNNNNNNNNNNNNNNNNNNNNNNNNNNNNNNNNNNNNNNNNNNNNNNNNNNNNNNNNNNNNNNNNNNNNNNNNNNNNNNNNNNNNNNNNNNNNNNNNNNNNNNNNNNNNNNNNNNNNNNNNNNNNNNNNNNNNNNNNNNNNCAAGCCACAUGAAGAUUGUGUAGAGAUGGAUGAGGGAGAGACAAAAGCUCAGGCUCGUCUGCAACCAUGUGGGCCCUCAUUAGCAACUCCUGUACACAGCUUGGCUUACCAAGCCCAACAACUUGAAGCAGGCAAAGUCAGGGAAUGACCAUUCCCCUUCACAACCCUAGCUGCCUUAACCUUGUAUCUCUGAUAUUUAGUUAAAGAGUAAGAAGAUUGCUCCUCUGUCAAUUACCUUUAAGAGAGACUUUCUUUCUCAUUCAUUGAUGCUUGCUUGUGAACGCAAGGGUUUUAGUUACACUUUCAACGCUGUCAAUGUAGUGACACGAUGAAGAUGAAGUAAAGCAGUAGUAGAAUAAUGAAGUUGGAAGCCCCACAGCAUGAAAACUUUUAAACAGUAACACAUCUUUUAUUCCAGAGGCUGCACACGAGUGACCUGAAUCUUCUUCAGAACUUUCAAAUUUUAUUAAGCAAAGCUUUCAAAAUUUCUCAACAAAAUGAUUAUUUGGUGUGGUUGCGGCAUUUUGAGUAACUGCGAUUUGUUCUCAAGUACAAAAUCCUUGCCUUCCUAAGUUAGAAAAGAUAGAUGUGAAGCAAACCAAAUGAAAUAAAUGGGUAAACAGAACAAACAGGGCGAAAAUUAAAAAUGAUGGCAAUUAACAAAUUAAUAGCAACGUUACAUUUGACUCUUUAGCCCUUUGUUCCUUCUCUUAGCAUUCUUCAAAGUUUUUGAAAAUUGGAAGUGAAGCAAACAAAAUAAAAUAAAUUUAGACAACACAUGCCCUGUAUUCAGCAUCAUAUAUAUCUCGAAGACUAGAAUUUCAAACAGUACUAGUAGUAAAAAAAUGACGACAACAACAAAAAUAGAAAAUUACAAGACUGCUGAUAAAAUUUCAUUUGCAUGCAUGUCUGACAAAAUUUCCGUGAUUUAAUGUGCCUUCAUGCACGCAAAUCCUAACGUUUCUGUGAUCACAAAAUGAAACUGGAGAUAAAUCAGAACACCUACCAAACCUUUGGCUGAAAAUUCAGAAGAAUUUAUAUUCAAGAUGUCAAAGUAAACUGGAAAUUUAUGGCACAUAUUACAAGAAGCAGUACACACCAAUGGUAAAUUGAUUCAUCGUCUUUGAACUUAAGAUAGUCAAAUGAAAGAAACACAACGGAGGGUUAAUGCAAUACAGUAAAGUGAAAACCCUCAGCAUGUAAACUUAACUUCAAAGAACGGAGCACAAGUUUCACAGAAAAGUAGCUCUUAUUCCUGAUGCUGCAAACACAGAGGAGUGUUCUCAAUCUUCUUCAUAACUUGGGAAUUCUGCAAUUAUAGAGCACGACAUUGAGCACGAACUAAAAAAAAAAAUUAUUUUCUACAAUUUUCAUAUAACCUGACUAACCAAUAUUAAUUUUGUGGUAAUGUAUUGGGUCAUUAAUUCAUAUGUUUUUACAAUCAUCACUUUAGAAAAAAACUAAUUUCUCAAUGUGAAAUGGCCCAUUGAAAGUAUUCUCAUUUAAAAACUAAAUUUGACGGACCCCUCGAUUAAAGCAGGGAAAAAAAAAAAAGAGAUCUGAGGCUUUCCACAUGAAAAUGUUGUUUGUCACUUUGAAUGAUAUUUUGAAGGGAUUUCAUUCUAAAAAUAAAAUACCUGGGACCUCAUUCUUCAAAAUUGACAACUCGCCAGGUAUUAAAAGCGUAUGAGAUCAGUACUGCGACGAGUAAGAAGACGACCCCUCUAACAGCUGAAAACAAAAUUCGCAUUCAUCAAUUUAAAUUAAAAUUCAUAUUAUGAAACUAAAACUAAUGAUUAAUGAAUUUUCGAGGAAUUUAAUAAGAUUCUCAGAUAUAAACGUGAUAACAAAUUCACUCAUCAAUAACAAAUAUUCUAACAGUUGUCCGUACCUUUUCUUGAUGUAAUUGUUGUAUGAUUGCGUUAAGGUCAUUAUUAGACCAACGCAGGUUGUCCUCUCUCUGUCCGUACCGGAAGUUUACUCUGACAGGCGUGCUUAAUUCUCUUUUGGUGAAAAUCUUCAUCUUGGGACAACCAAUCACAGCAAGAUCUUCCAAAGAUGGGAAUUUGAAGGUGUAAUUGACAGAGGAGAAGCUUGUGAGACUAUCUAAAUCAAAGAGGGACAACGUAGUCAGUUUGCUGAAAACAAUCUCUUCUUUUAAAUUUGCUGUUUCAUCUUCGUCACUUAUUACGACUUCUGUGAUUGCUCUGCAUCCAAAUACACCCAAUGAUACGAGUCGGUCUAGACUUUUUGCUGUGGAGGAUGUUAGUAAGUUCAUCAAUUUCUUGCAAGCAAAAGCUUGCAGGCGUGUGAGAUUCCGAAAAGAUACCGAUGAUGAUGGCAAUGUUGGAACAUUUUCAAAAUAAAUGUGUCUUAUGGUAAAGACAUGUCCUAUUAAUUGUGCCUUAUAGAAAAUGUACCUUUCACUAAAGACAUGUCUAAUUAAAUGAUGUCUUGUUGUAAGGACAUGUCCAUUUAAUUGUGUCUUGUAGAAAAUGUAUCUUUUUACUAAAUGAUGUAACUUUUCAUGACAACAUUUCACUUAGAGAUGCAUCAUUUCAUGGUGACAUUUCAUUUGAAAUUGUGAUGAUUCAAUUUGGACCAUUGAUUAAAAUCAAAUCUAGAUCCAAUGGCCAUGAAUGAAGGGGUAUCAUGAAAGAUGACAACCCAAAUGAGGGGGCACAAGUAUAUCUAUAAAUAGGGAUCAUGUUUAAGCCAUUUAGACAUGAAAUAAAUGAUCCUACACCACUCUUUUCUUAGCAUUCUUUUCUAGUACGAAUUUCAACACAAAACACCCAUUUCUUUUGUGCAUUCACAUUCCAAUAUAUUGUUUUCUGCAGGAACAAUAUAUUGUUUCUUGGCAGGCUUGCAACAUUCAAGAGUAUUCUGGUUUGCUUUCGUCGAUGCACAGCGCAAGCAAACAAACAAGUGCUUCAUUGUAUCCUGGAGGCGUAUUUGCUUAACCUAUGUGCAUCACUCAAUUGGUGGGGGCAAAUAACGUCUUAAGGAAAGCGACAUUUGUAACGUGCCUUGAAGCACACAAAAUUUCUGCAGUUUCUUCCUAUAUACAGAGUUAGUUGUAAACACAUUACUUUACAUAAUAAAGUUCCACCAUUAUUGUUGUAUUUUUCUACAUUUGCCAUUCCCCAAAAAUUUUACCACCAACAAUCUUAAGACGUUAUUUCUACAACAAUGGCACCAAGUUCAUCUCUUCGACAAUUCACAGUAGAUUUUGUCAAAUUGGAGCGGUUCGAUGGUGGCAACUUUAUUCGUUGGCAGAAAAAGUUGCAUUUCUUGUUGACAAGCAUCAAUGUGGUCUAUGUUCUCACAACACCAAAGCCUCAAGAACGUGAGAAUGAGACAUUAGCGGAAACCAGAGUGCAACAUAAGUGGGAGCAAGAUGACUACGUGUGUAAGGGACACAUUUGCAAUGCCAUGUCUGAUACUUUGUUUGAUCAAUAUCACAACAAACCUACAGCAAAAGAGAUAUGGGACUCAUUAGAGGCUAAGUACAUGAUGGAAGAUGCCACAAGUAAGAAAUUAUUGGCUUCUAAAUUUUUUAAUUAUAGAAUGGUUGAUAAUAGAAUUGUGGUUGAACAACAUAAUGAGAUUUUGCAUAUUCUUGAUCAAUUCAACCAACAUAACAUGAAAAUGGAUGAGUCUAUUAUUGUCUCUUCAAUUAUUGAUAAACUUCCUCCCUCUUGGAAAGACUAUAAGAAAAGUCUUAAACAUAACAAAGAGGAAAUUAGUCUGGAUGGCUUAGGCCAAAGUCUUCGCAUUGAAGAGGAACUCAAGCUUAAUAGUUUUGAGGAUCAGACUACUACGUCCUCUAAAAUUAAUGUCGUAGAGGAAGGGAAGGAGUUUAAACAUUCUAAUCACCCUAAGAAUAAUCAAAAGAGAAAGUUUGAUUCCAAAGAGAAUCAAAACAAUAAGAAGAAAAAGAAGGGUACAUGCCACCACUGCGGAAAACCUGGCCACUUCAAAAGAGAUUGUCGACUUCUGAAGAAACAAAAGAAAGUUUCGAACACAAAUUUUGUGGCCAUGAUAUCUGAGAUUAAUGUUCUUGAAGAUGAUAAUGCAUGGUGGAUAGAUUCAGGUGCAACCAAGCAUGUAUGCAAGGAUCGUAGCCUUUUCAAAUCUUAUAAAGCAAUGGAUGAUGGAAGUGUUCUUUACAUGGGAAAUUCCUCCACUGCAAUAGUUAAAGGAAAAGGCAAUGUGCAACUAGAGUUUACUUCUGGAAAAACUUUAACUCUUAUUGAUGUUUAUCAUGUUCCUGAAGUUAGGAAAAACCUUGUAUCUGGUAGCCUUCUUAAUAAGUUUGGCUUCAAACUUGUUUUUGAGUCAAACCAAUUUAUAUUAUCUAAGGGUGGUACCUUUGUUGGGAAAGGAUACAUGUAUGAAGGAAUGUUUAAACUCAAUAUCAAUAAUAUGAAUGUUUCUUCUGCUUAUAUGGUUGAUUCAUUAUCUUUGUGGCAUAAUCGUUUAGGACAUGUGAAUAUUAGAAGAUUGCAUGAUAUGGCUAAUUUAGAGUUAAUUCCUAAGCAUGAAAAUGAUAUGCAUGAAAAAUGUAAAGUAUGUGCACAGACUAAAAUCACAAGAUCUCCUUUUCCAAAAAUUGAAAAAACAUCUUCUUUAUUGCAUUUAAUUCAUAGCGAUGUGUGUGAUAUGCAUAGUAAUCCUUCUAAAUGUGGUAAAAAAUAUUUUGUAACAUUUAUUGAUGAUUUUUCAAAAUAUUGCUAUGUGUAUUUAUUACAUUCUAAAGAUCAAGUGUUAGAAAAAUUUAAAACUUAUAAAAAUGAAGUUGAGAAUUUUUGUGACACUAAAAUUAAAUGCCUUAGAAGUGAUAAAGGAGGUGAAUAUGCUUUUUCUGAAUUUUGUGAAUCUGUUGGCAUUGUACAUGAAACUAGCACUGCAUGUACUCCACAACAAAAUGGCGUAGCUGAAAGGAAAAAUAGGACAUUAAUAGAAAUGGUUAAUGCUAUGCUUUUUAAUGCUGGGCUUGGUAAAGGUUUUUGGGGUGAAGCUAUUUUAACUGCAUGUCAUAUCUUAAAUAGAGUGCCUAAUAAGAAAACAAAGGUGACCCCAUAUGAAUUAUGGAAAAAGAGAAAGCCUAAUCUUUCUUAUCUAAGAGUUUGGGGUUGUCGAGCCAUUGUAAGACUACCAAAACCUAAGAUAAAGAAAUUAGGAGAAAGGGGCAUUGAAUGCAUAUUCUUGGGAUAUGCUGAGCAUAGUAAAGCUUAUAGGUUUCUUGUAACAGAACCUAAUAGCUUUGUUGAGAUCAAUACUAUAGUGGAAUCUAGAGAUGCAAUAUUAUAUGAAAAUAGAUUUUCCACUAUACCAAAAAGUAUUGAUUCUCAAGAGAAUGAUAAACAAAUAGAAAUUGGUCAAAAGCGUGAUGCUAAUAAUGAGCAAAAUCAUUUGAGAAGAAGUAAAAGAAUAAGGACUAUAAAAUCUUUUCCAGAUUUUAUAGUCUAUUUAGUUGAAGGGACAAGAGACUCACAAUCAAAACAGACCAUGAUCGUAUCUACUAUAGAGUCUGAUCCCCUCACCUAUGAAGAUGCAAUGAAGUCUCAAGAUGCUGCUUUUUGGAAAGAGGCCAUUAAUGAUGAAAUGGACUCUAUUGUGGGUAAUAAGACUUGGAAAUUAGUUGAUUUACCACCUGGCUCUAAUCCUAUAGGUUGUAAAUGGAUUUUCAAAAAGAAGAAGAAAGUUGAUGGAACAAUUGAAAGAUUUAAAGCAAGACUAGUAGCAAAAGGCUUUACACAAAAAGAAGGCCUUGAUUAUUUUGAUACUUAUGCACCUGUUGCAAGAAUUGCUACUAUUAGAGUCUUGAUUGCUUUGGCUUCAAUUUAUCAAUUUGAAAUCCAUCAAAUGGAUGUAAAAACAGCUUUCUUAAAUGGAGAAUUAGAUGAGGAAAUUUACAUGAAACAACCAGAAGGGUUUGUUAUGCCAGGACAAGAACAUAAAGUUUGUAAACUAGUCAAGUCUUUAUAUGGUCUUAAACAAGCUCCAAAGCAGUGGCACGAAAAGUUUGACAAAGUGAUUGUCUCAAAUGGAUUUAAUAUUCAUGAAUCUGAUAAAUGUGUCUAUAGCAGAUUCAAUGGAAAUAAAGGUGUGAUUAUUUGUUUAUAUGUAGAUGACAUGUUAAUUUUUGGUAUUGAUAGUGAGAGCAUUGAACUCACUAAAUUAUUAUUGUCAUCUAAUUUUGAUAUGAAAGACAUGAGACUUGCUGAUGUGAUUUUGGGGAUUAAAAUUAUAAAAAAUGAGAAUGGCCUAGUAUUGACCCAAUCACAUUAUAUUGAGAAAAUUUUAAAGAAAUUUAAUUAUUAUGAUUGUAAGUCUGUGUCAACACCUUUUGAUUCAAACAUAAGACUGUAUCCUAACACUGGCAUAUCAGUAUCUCAAUUAGAAUAUGCACGUAUUAUUGGGUGUUUUAUGUAUGCGAUGACUUGUACUAGGCCUGAUAUUGCUUUCGCUAUUGGAAAGCUCAGUAGAUAUACUAGUAAUCCAAGCCAAGCACACUGGCAAGCAGUGUACAAAAUUCUAAAAUAUUUAAAACAUACAAUGGAUUAUGGUAUAUACUACACUGGAUAUCCUUCAGUUUUGGAAGGAUUUUCAGAUGCUAGUUGGAUUACUGAUCGAGAUGAUCAUACAUCCACAAGUGGUUGGAUUUUUAAUCUUGGUGGAGGAGCUAUUUCAUGGGGUUCAAAGAAGUAAACUUGUAUAGCAGACUCCACCAUGGCUGCAGAAUUUGUAGCGUUGGCUUCAUGUUGCAAGGAAGCUGAAUGGUUAAGGAAUUUGCUUAUAGAAAUUCCUAUUUGGCCUAAACCAAUGCCUCCUGUAUCUAUUCACUGUGAUAGUGAGGCAACUUUAUCAAGAGCAUAUAGUCAAAUCUAUAAUGGAAAGUCUAGGCACAUUGGUCUGAGACAUAGUUAUGUAAGACAAUUACUUACAGAUGGAGUAAUCACAAUUGACUUUGUGAAAUCAUGCCAAAAUUUGGCAGACCCCUUAACUAAAGGUCUUGCAAGGGAUAUUGUAUUUAAAACUUCUAAGGGGAUGGGACUGAAGCCAACAUCAUCUUAUCACCAAUGAUGGAAACUCAACCCAACACUUGAAAUAUCAAGAUCUUGGGUUCAAUGAGCAAAAGUACAUCAUAUGUUGUGAUAGGAAGCACUAUAAUAUUUUUAGAUGCGUCCCAAAGGUUAGUGCUUGAUACUUGUAACAUAUGGGAAAGGUUAAGCUACUUAGCUUUUAAUGGACUUAUAAAUGUUUUAGUUACAGGGACAUUCUAGAUAAGUCUACCUAUGUGAGUGUAUGAGGUGGUGCCGCUUCCUAUGUAACUUGGCUGGUUACUAAAGCGCUAAUGAAAACAGGAUAUAGACACAGGGCCAAUCCACGUGUCGGCUAAGGAAUACUUGAGAAUUUGAAAACUUAUGUGUGAGGUAUAUCCGGUUAGUCGAUUAAGGUCGCUGGUUCAAAGCUUGCCUACCAUGCCACCUUGAUUAACUUUGAUGUAUUGUCACUAAGUGAAGGUUCAAGUCCACAAGACACCUUCAUCUAUGCAUAAGUUUUCCAAGCCUGUGUAAGAUAAUUUUUCAAAAUUCAUUUAUUUUGAAAAUGGUGGGGGAUUGUUGGAACAUUUUCAAAAUAAAUGUGUCUUAUGGUAAAGACAUGUCCUAUUAAUUGUGCCUUAUAGAAAAUGUACCUUUCACUAAAGACAUGUCUAAUUAAAUGAUGUUUUGUUGUAAGGACAUGUCCAUUUAAUUGUGUCUUGUAGAAAAGGUAUCUUUUUACUAAAUGAUGUAACUUUUCAUGACAACAUUUCACUUAGAGAUGCAUCAUUUCAUGGUGACAUUUCAUUUGAAAUGGUGAUGAUUCAAUUUGGACCAUUGAUUAAAAUCAAAUCUAGAUCCAAUGGCCAUGAAUGAAGGGGUAUCAUGAAAGAUGACAACCCAAAUGAGGGGGCACAAAUAUAUCUAUAAAUAGGGAUCAUGUUUAAGCCAUUUAGACAUGAAAUAAAUGAUCCUACACCACUCUUUUCUUAGCAUUCUUUUCUAGUACGAAUUUCAACACAAAACACCCAUUUCUUUUGUGCAUUCACAUUCCAAUAUAUUGUUUUCUGCAGGAACAAUAUAUUGUUUCUUGGCAGGCUUGCAACAUUCAAGAGUAUUCUGGUUUGCUUUCGUCGAUGCACAACGCAAGCAAACAAACAAGUGUUUCAUUGUAUCCUGGAGGCGUAUUUGCUUAACCUAUGUGCAUCACUCAAUUAGUGGGGGCAAAUAACGUCUUAAGGAAAUCGACAUUUGUAACGUGCCUUGAAGCACACAAAAUUUCUGCAGUUUCUUCCUAUAUACAGAGUUAGUUGUAAACACAUUACUUUACAUAAUAAAGUUCCACCAUUAUUGUUGUAUUUUUCUACAUUUGCCAUUCCCCACAAAUUUUACCACCAACAGGCAAUAGACUUAACAGAUUUUGACAGUGAUAUGCUCUUAGAAUUUCAAGAUGUUGAAAAAUGAAGUCCGGCUGUUUGGAAUCGUGUUUCCACAGUUGCUGUAGAUGAUUAAGUCUUGUCAGGUGUAACUCUUUUAUCAGUGCUAGCUUCCUCGCAUGUGUCUCCAAAUACCACUUCGUACGAACAAUCCGACAGGUGGAGAAAUUCCAGAUUGUGAAACCUCUCAAGUAAACCAAGUGGAAAGAAAGCUAAGUCAUCAUCCUCAACCUGUAGUCGUUUGAGACUGCCAAAGAUGUGUUGGGGGAAAUGGCCUUGCAAAAUCAUCGUGAUAUCUUUUCCACUUAAUGCCAGUUCCUCCAAGUUGGGUAAGAUCUGAUCAUCAUCGAGCUCAAAUUAUUAACUCAGCACAUUGAUCCAUAAUUCAAGACUGGCAAAAUUCAUUAUGUAAUCAAAGUUUUCAAUGAUUAUAUAUAUAUAUAUAUAGUGCUUUCGUUGGAAUUAAUUAUUAAAAGCUUUAAUCAAACAAUGUUUGGAUUGGGUCGGCCUAUCCAACUUUUAAAUAAGAUUACCAACUUUAAAUUAAAAUUGCUUUAGAUCGCGGUUGGUCAGGUUUUAGUGGAGGUACGUGGCGUUGUAUCUAGAUCGAUGCAGAGCCAAGUCUGUCCUUUGGAACCAGAUCUGACUUAGGACAGAUCAAUAUUCCGCACGCUCUAGUUUCCAGCCGAUAUACCAAUAUUAUUUACCAAAUAUUUAUUAAGUUCUUUAGUCAAGCCUAGCAACAACAUUCAUCUAAAGGCUUGGGUGCAUACACAGUACUAUUUCCUUCUGGUAUCAGAGCCAAGGGGAGGAUAGUGUAAUACAGUUUAGAGUUUUGUGUUUAAAGACUUGUGUUUUAUUUUGAAGUUUUGUUGUGUGGUGAAUUUUUACUGGUAGUAAGUCCCGUCCAAGGAUAAGUUUUUCGUUUAGGGCUGUAAAACCAUACCUGUAGCCAUUCUGACCAAACCAUAAAUAGACCAUAGGUUUGUAACCAUGGAUCCUCUACUCUGUAGAACAUCGUCCUUUUCUAGCUCUUCUUCCGGGAAGACUAGUGAUUCAAAGCAUGUUGUGAGUUCAGAAGAAUUCGUUAUUGAGAACUUUGAUAAAGCAAUUGAUUGUUGGGAACUUCCAAAAGUUUCUAAAGAAAAGAUUUACAAAACAAAAAAGCUUGAUUUUCUAAAAAAUGAUUAUGUAAUAAAGACUGAAGAAAGAGACAUAACUCUCUCAGAACCUUUUGAAACAAUUCAUUUGUUUUCAGAAAAAUCUUUAAAGAAAUUAAGAGAAAAGAAUUAUAAUUAUAUUCACAUUGGUUUAAUCCAAGUUGGAAUAAAACCUUUGACCAAAGAAGGCUUGGAUACUUCUAUCCUUACUGUCCUUAGAGAUGGGCGAUUCAUCUCUUUUGAUGAUUCUUUGCUAAGUAGCAUCGAAUCCAGUCUUUGUAAAUGUCCGAUCUCUUUUGAUUGUUAUCCAAACAUAACAAUUUCUCUUAAAGAUAAAAACAUUUUGAAAAACAUGAUCUUACAAAUCAAAACGCAUAAUUAUAAUAUGAUUAAGGGAUCUGUCCCAGUUGCCUUAAUUUUCAAAAUUUCUUAUAAAGCCAUGAUCUUUGCGUUCAGUACGCAACACAAAUUCCAGUCAGAAAGAGAUGAAACUCUUCUCUUGCAGACUGAUAUGUCUAAAGCCAAUACUGUCAUUCCAAAACCAAUCUAGUGGAAAGAUGUCAAUCUUCCAGAAGAAUGGAUUCUUGAAGGAGCUGCUCCACCAGCAAUUCCAAAACAACUUGAACCUAAUACGGAGUUGCAAAAAGUGACUCAGUAUUCUGAUGGUAGAGUUAAACUGUCUUUCAGGAGAUCUAACUCAACCAGAUUUUCUGAUAAAGAGUCGUGUUCAAGUAUUCCUUCAUUAGAAAGGAAAUUCACAAAAAUCCCUUCUGUCAUAAAUCUUCAUUUUCAAAGUCAACCUAGGUUUUCCACUUCGGCUAUACCUAGUUCUUCCAUUUGUUCUGUUGACUAUACUACAAACAUUCCUCAUCCUAUUUAUACUAGCAGUCAACAUGAACAAAGAUAGGAAGAGAAGUAACCUUCUCCUCCAACUUCCCCUACAUUCUCUGUUGUCACAGAAAAUGUAAUUAAUGUUAUUGAAAAAGAAUUUGAACUGGAUAAAACUCUCCUUCAUAAUGAUUUUUAUUCAGAUAAUAAUAAAGAAAAGAGACUUUGGUUUUUUAAACAUUUUUUAAAUCAAAGAAAAGAAAUCCAACAAUUUUAUUAUGAAUUUGUGAACCUUCACCAAGUUCAUAUAUUAUUUUUUGAUUGGUUCGAAAUACAUUCUUCUGAUAAUAACAUUUCUUACCCCUUCAAAGAGUCAAACCCUAUUACUAUUAGGAAGAAAACCACUGAAUGGAAACUUUCUGAUAGUGAUAAAACCAUAGAAUCUGAGCAUCCACCUCUUCGGAGCAUAACCGUUGAUCACGGCGAACCUCCUAUUCAAAUUAGAGCUUCACCUUAUAAAAUCCCUAAACCAAAUGAUUCUGAUGCAAAUUUAAGUAGUAUUAUUCAACAGAAUAAUUUCUGUAAUACUAACUUAAAUACAAUAGGAAAACAGUUGACUAGAAUAGAAAACCAAUUCCAACAGUCAACCAUAGCUAUUUCUCCUGUAGCAAAGCCAAUUCCUUCAAAAUCGGAUUCUGAUAAAAAGCUUAAGGAACCUAUUUUCAAACCUUUUCAGGUUUCGAAAACUAGCCAAAAGCUUGUCCAAGAAUCAAAAUCAGAUUUUGCUAAAGCCAUUAGGGAACAACUAGAUAGGAUAGAAGCUGUUUCUUCCUCAUCUAACAGAGUCCAAAUAGCCCCUGAUACUCCCUAAUCUAGCAAGAUUGGAGUAUUAGAACAAGACCAGGUUUUUAUUGCCUCUUCCAAUCUAGAAGCCUUUACAGAAGAACCUAUUCCUAAAGCCAAUAAAAUCCAUUGGGAUUUAGCUCUCCCAACUGUCAAGUCUCCACCUGAUUUGGCCAUAGACAAUAGGCCUAGUGCAUUAAACCAAUCACGUUUUAAUGCAUCCUCUGUCUAUGAGUGGAACAUUGAUGGUAUGUCAGAAUAUAACAUCUUAGGAUUGUUGCAACAGAUGACCAUGGCAGCCAAUGCCUAUAAAACCCAAUCGGGAACUUCUGACAAGGCCAUUGCAGAAAUUCUUAUUGCGGGUUUUACUGGUCAACUUAAAGGAUGGUGGGAUCAUCUUCUUACCAAACCGCAACAAUUAGAUAUCCUAAACUCCAUACAAAUAGAUGAGAAUGGUGCCCCCAUUCUUGAUGAGUUCAAUAGUCCUAUUCAGGAUGCUGUUGCUACCCUGAUUUUGACUAUAUCCCUCCAUUUCAUAGGUGACCCUGCUCACCUUAGAGACAAAAACGCCGAGUUACUAUACAAUUUGAGGUGUAGAAAACUUAGUGAAUUCCAAAGCUAUAAAACCUCUUUCUUCACUAGACUUUUCCUUAAGGAUGAUGCUAAUCAUACAACUUGGAAGGAGAAAUUCCUUGCAGGUUUACCAACCUUACUAGGAGAAAAGGUUAGAAAUUCCAUUAAAGCCCUUUAUGACAACCGUAUUCCUUAUGAUGAGCUCACCUAUGGUGAACUUGUCAGUUUCGUCAAUAAGGAAGGCUUAAAGAUCUGUCAAGAUUUGAAAUUACAGAAACGACUUAAAUGGGAGCUUAAAAAGUCUAAGCAAGAAUUGGGCAGUUUCUGUAAACAAUUCAAUUACGACCCCUUUAAGACUUCUACCUCCAAAGAUUGUAAUGGUAAGUGUUCUACAAAACCUUACAAGAAACAUUACAAGUCUAGAUUCCGUAAAAAACCCUUUCAAGACUUUAGAGAACUUCAUUAUAAGAAACCUUCGAGGCCUUAAAAGAAACCGAGUUCUUCUAAAAAGAAAGAGUUUAAAGCCAAACCAAAAACUCCGUACAAAACCCUAUUCAAUUACAGAGAAGCCAUAUGUCACAAAUGUGGUAUGAAAGGUCAUACUGCAAAAUAUUGCAGAAUGAGCAGAAAGCUCCAUGAGCUAGACCUAGAUGAGGAAACCCUCUCCAAAAUUACCUCUCUGCUCAUAGAGUCUUCUGACUCUGAGUCUUCCAUGUCGGGAGAUAGUGACCCUCUUCAAGUUGAUGAGAUAAUUGACUCAGAUGAUUCUGCAUCUAGCAGUAUUGAUUCUGAAUCAGAUCCUUAUUUAAAGAAAAUCAAUGUUUUAACUAAAGACCAAGAAAUUUUUCUUGAACUUGUAAAACAUAUUUCCGAUCCGAAUCUUCAAAAGGAAUACCUAGACAAACUUUUGAAAACUCUGGAUUCUAACAAAGCAGAAACUUCUAAAGUUCCAAUUGUUAAAAAGAAUUCUUACGAUCUCACUGAAAUUUUGGAUAAAAAGAAAACAAAAAAGUUAAUUCCUAAUAUCCAAGAUCUUCAUAAAGAAAUCAAAGAUAUCAAAAUUGAGAUUAAAGAAUUAAAAGAAAAACAAAAGAAAGAUUCUGAAACCAUCCAACUUCUUAUACAAAAACAAUUAGAAGAAAACUCAGAAAAAGAAGUUGAAUCUGAAAGCGAUAACAAUCAAAAUGUUGACAACAUUGAAUCUGUACCUAAUGAUUUUCUGUUUGUCCUAAAACAAAUCACCACUAGAAAAUACUUAAUUAAAAUAACUUUGAUUUUUUCCAAAGACUUUGCUAUUGACGCCAUUGCCCUUUUCGAUACUGGUGCCGAUUUAAAUUGUAUAAGAGAAGACAUUGUCCCCAAAAGAUUUCAUGAAAAAACAAGGGAAAGGCUUUCCACCGCCAACAAUUCAAAACUUAAAGUCAAUUCUAAAGUGGAAGCCUCAAUACAUAACAAUGGAUUCGAAUUUAAAACUUCAUUUCUUCUUACAAAUGACAUUCACCAUACUGUCAUUUUAGGAACCCCGUUCAUAAAUUUAAUUACCCCAUAUACUGUCAAUUAUGAUAGUAUAUCUUUCAAAGCAAAAUCUAAAAAACUUGUUUUCCCUUUUAUUGAGAAACCAAAAACAAGAAAUCUAAAUAUUGUUAAAGCCUGUUCUGUUUACCAAAAUCAAAUCAACGCCAUACUUAAAUCCAAACAAAAUGACUUGUUUUGUUUAAAAAAGAAUUUAAGUCUACAACGAAUUGAAAACCAAUUACAAAAUGAUUUUAUCCAAAGAAAAAUCAAUGAUUUUAGAGACCUCAUUGAAAAAGAAAUAUGUGCUGAUUUACCAUCUGCUUUUUGGAACAGAAAACAACAUUUGGUAGAUUUGCCCUAUGAAAAUUCUUUCGAUGAAAAAAAAAUACCCACUAAAGCCCGUCCAAUCCAAAUGAACAUGGAAUUGGAAAAACAUUGUAAAGAUGAGAUACAAGAUUUAGAAUCUAAAGGAUUAAUUACAAAAUCUAGAUCUCCAUGGUCUUGUGCCGCUUUUUAUGUAAACAAAAAUUCUGAGAUUGAAAGAGGAACACCGAGACUUGUAAUAAUUUACAAACCCUUAAAUAAAGCAUUAAAGUGGAUUAGGUAUCUCAUACCUAACAAAAAAGAUUUACUCCAAAAAUUGUGUUCCGCCUUUAUUUUUUCAAAAUUUGAUAUGAAAUCUGAAUUUUGGCAAAUUCAAAUCCAUCCUAAAGACCGUUACAAAACUGCUUUUACUGUUCCAUUCGGACAGUAUGAAUGGACUGUUAUGCCAUUCGGUUUGAAAAAUGCACCCUCAGAAUUUCAAAGAAUUAUGAAUGAUAUUUAUAAUCCUUAUUCUGAUUUUUGCAUUGUCUAUAUAGAUGAUGUUUUGAUUUUUUCUCAAACCAUCGACCAGCAUUUCAAACAUUUAAAGACUCUCUAUUUUGCCACUAGGAAGGCUGGCUUAGCCAUUUCUAGUUCAAAAAUUUCUCUAUUUCAAACUAAAGUCUGGUUCCUUGGUCAUUAUAUUUCUAGAGGAACUAUUACCCCAAUUGAAAGAUCUCUUGCAUUUGCUGAUAAAUUUCCUGAUAAAAUUCUUGAUAAAACUCAAUUGCAGAGAUUUCUUGGUAGUUUAAAUUAUGUUCUUGACUUCUGCCCUAAUAUCAAUAGGAUGUCUAAACCUCUGCAUGAUCGGUUAAAAAAGAAACCUGUUGCAUGGACAGAUGAACACACUAAAGCUAUUCGAUUAAUAAAAAAUUCUGUAAAGAAUAUUCCUUGUUUAUUUUUAGCCAAUCCUGCAUUACCUAAAAUAGUUGAAACUGAUGCAUCUGAUUUAGGUUUUGGAGGUAUUUUGAAACAAAAGGAAAAUGAUAAAGAACAGAUAGUACAAUAUGUUUCUGCACAUUAGAAUGAUUGCCAGAAAAACUAUUCUACUAUCAAAAAAGAAAUUCUUUCUAUUGUCUUAUGCAUAUCUAAAUUCCAAAGUGAUUUAUUAAAUCAAAAAUUUUUGCUUAGAAUUGAUUGCAAAGCUGCAAAACAUGUUUUAGAAAAAGAUGUUCAAAACAUUGCAUCAAAACAAAUUUUUGCACGAUGGCAAGCCAUUUUAAGUGUUUUUGAUUUCGAUAUUGAAUUUAUUAAAGGUGACACAAAUUCUGUUCCUGAUUUUCUAACCAGAGAAUUUUUACAAAACAGAUAAUGCCGCCAAGAAAGAAUAACAAAGGUAAAGUUGUUCUUAAAGAUACUGAGUCCCAAGCCACCUCUAAAGAACCUCAACCAACUCCCUCUAAAGAAAAACUACUUUCUUCUGCCAUGCCCAUCAAGUCCUGGAUUGAAAUGGUUGAAGAACAUGAAGCCCAAUACAAAACUAUUUCUUCUGAUGACCAAGUAAAGGAAUGGAUGAGUUCCAUUACAAAAUCGCCUGAGCUUAUGCUCGCCCUCCAAAGCUUUUCUCAAAGUCAAAUUUCUCCUAAAGAAGAAAUUGAAAAAGAAAAACCUAAGUCCAAAGAAAUGACAAAACCUUCUUCUCAAAACGUUGUUGUCUCCGGUGAAAGCUCAUCUUCUCAAAUUGUGCUUUCCCAACCAACACUUUCAAAGAAAUCAUCCGAUUGGUUUGAUAAAACCCAUUUUCAAAACAUUUUAUCUAUAGAAGAUGGAUUUUACCAUACUGAUCCUUUUCAAGCAAUUUCAAAGUUUUUCCCCAAAUGCUGGUUUUUUAAACCAUGUUAUUUAACAAAACCCCAGUCUUACUAUCAAAGCAUUUUAGAAAUUACUGAGUCAGUUAAAUUCAAACAUUUCUUUCUCAGUGAUACCCAUUCAGAGCCAGCCUAUUCCACGGCUACUAUUUUAAAAGUCCUGAGCCCAAACCAGUGGGGGGAUCUGCUCCACAAUUUUAAAACCUUCCCUUUAAACUUUCAAACACGUUUACCACAUUGUCGGACUUAUUCCUACUGGGAUUACCAAUAAGCCUGGUAUAACACAUUUUUUAUCCAAAACCCCAAAAAAUCCCACUCUUGGUUAUUUUUCUUCAAUUAAAAAAUAACCGUCCAAAGCCUCCCAAACUGGUUUCAUCAUUGGUGGAAUUCUUUUGGCCCAAUACCUCAAAUCCUAACUCCAAAUGCUACCCAAUGUUUAAACUUCUUUAAAGCCCACUACAUUCCUUCUGAAUCUGAGAAAAGGUUUCCACCCUUUCUCUGUUUCUGUACAAAUUUCUUCCUUCCAUGGGUAUGGAUGUGGAACCUCAGACUUCAUACCCAAGAUGCCCAGCUUAUCUUACAAAGAACAUUCAAAGUAAAAUGGUGGUCAAAAUUUGACGAACAAACCAAACUUACUGAUACCCUCAUCAGAAAUUGGCUUUGUUCCAAAGGCUUCCUCCAACCAACCAUUAAGGGAUCCAAAGCCCAACAAACCUUCCUUACUCAAAAGUCCAAAGCCCAAUCUCUUCUGGCAAGUGCCAAAACCGAAAAAGAAUACUUCAAAGCUAUGGAACAACUCCUCGCCUCCAGGUCAAAGUCAUCAGUGGCAGAUUCCUCUGAAGAUGAAGACAAUGAAGAAGAGGAAGAGCCGUUUAUCUCUCUUGGAGAUGAAAAUGAAGACGACUAUUUCAGAAUUUUCUCUCCUGUAAAGCAUUGUAAAUAAUUAUUGUUUAAUUAAUGUAAAAAAAAAGUAAAUACUCAUUUUUUUUAUUUAUAUCAUUCGGGUGGUCCCUUGGACACAAGUGAGAGCGCACAUGUCUCUUCACCCGUAUUGUAUGUCUACAAAGUCACUAUUUCAACAUACGCUCCAAAAGCUUAUUGUUACAUACGAUCCAAAGCUUACUGUUUGCUUCAACCCCGUUACAGUGAACAGUGCAGAGUUCCAAAGAUUACUGUAUGCUACAGCUCCGCUACAGUCUACAGUUUAAAAUUUCAUUUUGUAUAUAAUCUGAAGGAAGACUCAGACUCCUCAGAUUUUUUGAAUCUCCUCUCUCUCUAAUUUUCAUUUUCUCUCUCUCCUCCCUGGGAAUCAGGAAUCCGAAGGCACUAAGGAAAUUUUUCUGUUUACAGAAUAGUUCCUUACCUUCAGGAUUAAUUUCCCUUUUCUUUUCUACAAAGAAAAAGCAAUUGAUGUAAGCAUUUUAAUUUUCAGUAUUAUUUCAAAGCAUUUGUAAAUUUUAUUUAAGGCUUUCCAUGUAUGUUUAAAUUUCUGUACUUUAAUUUUCGCAAUUUACUUUAAAGCAUUUUUAAAUUUUUAUGCAGACUGAUCUCUAUCAGAUCUGCCAUAAAACUGCUACGUUCCUCUGAGGCAACGAGACCAGAUCUCAAUCCUCAGUUGUAUUCUUUCUCUUCUCCCUCCAUUCCUUUAGAGCACUAUUUCCGGGAACCGGAUCUAGUACUGUGUAUGCACCCAAGCCUUUAGACGAAUGUUGUUGCUAGGCUUGACAAAAGAACUUAAUAAAUAUUUGGUAAAUAAUAUUGGUAUAUCGGCUGGAAACUAGAGCGUGCAGAAUAUUGAUCUGUCCUAAGUCAGAUCUGGUUCCAAAGGCAGACUUGGCUCUGCAUCGAUCUAGAUACAACGCCACGUACCUCCACUAAAACCUGACCAACCGUGAUCUAAAGCAAUUUUAAUUUAAAGUUGGUAAUCUUAUUUAAAAGUUGGAUAGGCCGACCCAAUCCAAACAUUGUUUGAUUAAAGCUUUUAAUAAUUAAUUCCAACGAAAGCACAUCCAUCCUUCGAUCCUAUUUCCUUCUGGUAUCAGAGCCCAAUAAUUAAUUCCUUCAGAUUAAAUCAGAUGCAUCAGUUUCAACUAUUUUAGGUAAUGCGGGAUUGGCUAAAAUAAACAAGGAAUAUUCUUUACAGAAUUUUUUAUUAAUCGAAUAGCUUUAGUGUGUUCAUCUGUCCAUGCAACAGGUUUCUUUUUUAACCGAUCAUGCAGAGGUUUAGACAUCCUAUUGAUAUUAGGGCAGAAGUCAAGAACAUAAUUUAAACUACCAAGAAAUCUCUGCAAUUGAGUUUUAUCAAGAAUUUUAUCAGGAAAUUUAUCAGCAAAUGCAAGAGAUCUUUCAAUUGGGGUAAUAGUUCCUCUAGAAAUAUAAUGACCAAGGAACCGGACUUUAGUUUGAAAUAGAGAAAUUUUUGAACUAGAAAUGGCUAAGCCAGCCUUCCUAGUGGCAAAAUAGAAAGUCUUUAAAUGUUUGAAAUGCUGGUCGAUGGUUUGAGAAAAAAUCAAAACAUCAUCUAUAUAGACAAUGCAAAAAUCAGAAUAAGGAUUAUAAAUAUCAUUCAUAAUUCUUUGAAAUUCUGAGGGUGCAUUUUUCAAACCGAAUGGCAUAACAGUCCAUUCAUACUGUCCGAAUGGAACAGUAAAAGCAGUUUUGUAACGGUCUUUAUGAUGGAUUUGAAUUUGCCAAAAUCCAGAUUUCAUAUCAAAUUUUGAAAAAAUAAAGGCGGAACACAAUUUUUGGAGUAAAUCUUUUUUGUUAGGUAUGAGAUACCUAAUCCACUUUAAUGCUUUAUUUAAGGGUUUGUAAAUUAUUACAAGUCUCGGUGUUCCUCUUUCAAUCUCAGAAUUUUUGUUUACAUAAAAAGCGGCACAAGACUAUGGAGAUCUAGAUUUUGUAAUUAAUCCUUUAGAUUCCAAAUCUUGUAUCUCAUCUUUACAAUGUUUUUCCAAUUCCAUGUUCAUNNNNNNNNNNNNNNNNNNNNNNNNNNNNNNNNNNNNNNNNNNNNNNNNNNNNNNNNNNNNNNNNNNNNNNNNNNNNNNNNNNNNNNNNNNNNNNNNNNNNCGUUGGUCUCUAAUAGGAUGAGGAAUGUUUGUAGUAUAGUCAACAGAAUGAAUGGAAGAACUAGGUAGAGCCGAAGUGGAAAACCUAGGUUGACUUUGAAAAGAAAGAUUUAUGACAGAAGGGAUUUUUGUGAAUUUCCUUUCUAAUGAAGGAAUACUUGAACACGACUCUUUAUCAGAAAAUCUGGUUAAGUUAGAUCUCCUGAAAGACAGUUUAACUCUACCAUCAGAAUACUGAGUCACAUUUUGCAACUCCGUAUUAGGUUCAAGUUGUUUUGGAAUUGCUGGUGGAGCAGCUCCUUCAAGAAUCCAUUCUUCUGGAAGAUUGACAUCUUUCCACUGGAUUGGUUUUGGAAUGAAAGUAUUGGCUUUAGACAUAUCAGUCUGUAAGAGAAGAGUUUCAUCUCUUUUUGACUGGAAUUUGUGUUGCGUACUGAACGCAGAGAUCAUGGUUUUAUAAGAAAUUUUGAAAAUUAAGGCAACUGGGACAGAUCCCUUAAUCAUAUUAUAAUUAUGCGUUUUGAUUUGUAAGAUCAUGCUUUUCAAAAUGUUUUUAUCUUUAAGAGAAAUUGUUAUGUUUGAAUAACAAUCAAAAGAGAUCGGACCUUUACAAAGACUGGAUUCGAUGCUACUUAGCAAAGAAUCAUCAAAAGAGAUGAAUCGCCCAUCUCUAAGGACAGCAAGGAUAGAAGUAUCCAAGCCUUCUUUGGUCAAAGGUUUUAUUCCAACUUGGAUUAAACCAAUGUGAAUAUAAUUAUAAUUCUUUUCUCUUAAUUUCUUUAAAGAUUUUUCUGAAAACAAAUGAAUUGUUUCAAAAGGUUCUGAGAGAGUUAUGUCUCUUUCUUCAGUCUUUAUUACAUAAUCAUUUUUUAGAAAAUCAAGCUUUUUUGUUUUGUAAAUCUUUUCUUUAGAAACUUUUGGAAGUUCCCAACAAUCAAUUGCUUUAUCAAAGUUCUCAAUACCGAAUUCUUCUGAACUCACAACAUGUUUUGAAUCACUAGUCUUCCCGGAAGAAGAGCUAGAAAAGGACGAUGUUCUACAGAGUAGAGGAUCCAUGGUUAAAAACCUAUGGUCUAUUUAUGGUUUGGUCAGAAUGGCUACAGGUAUGGUUUUACAGCCCUAAACGGAAAACUUAUCCUUGGACGGGACUUACUACCAGUAAAAAUUCACCACACAACAAAACUUCAAAAUAAAACACAAGUCUUUAAACACAAAACUCUAAACUGUAUUACAGUAGUUUUCUGGUCAGGGAAUUUAAAGUGCGGGAAAGUCCGGGAAAGCUUUAAAACCACACGGCUUUAAAGGCUUACAAUUUUAAGCCUUUAAAACCAUGCGGUUUUAAAGGUUUCCCGUACUUUCCUGCACUUUAAAAUUCCUGACUGGAACAUUUCUAUAUAUAUAUAUAUAUAUAUAUAUAUAUAUAUAUAUAUAUAUAUGUAUGUAUAUUUCUUCUCUAGUGCGGACGCCCUCAUUUUCUUUUUCAUGCGGACCAGUUUUUAGACCCCAUGGUUUAAAAGACUUAGUUUUUAACUCUCUAAAACCGCAUGACUUUAUAAUUCAUUUAAAAACUAACUAUCUUAAACCGCACGGUUUAAAAGUGUGUCCCCAUUAAAAAAAAUGCGGACCCCCACACCUAAGAAUGAUUAUAUAUACAUACACGCUCUUAAACCGUGGGACUUGAAAGCUUCUCCGCAUGAAAAAAGUAAAAAAUGAGAGCAUUCCCACUAGAAAAAAACUCCAUAUAGGUAUUUAUUAAACCUCCUAAUCUGUGAGUGAGGAACAACAAAGAUAAUUGAUAAAAAAAAUCUAAAAUUUGGUUUCAUACCUUCUUGAACGAGAGCAGGGGCUGUUGUACCGGAAUACCAAAUUGAUCAUUCUCGUUAUUCUGGGACAACGUUAUUUUAUCACAAUUACAGGCUUCCAAUUUUUUUAGUGCUGGCCAUUCUGAAGUAUGCAUUCCAGGGUAUAAACAUCUGAGUUCUGGCUUUUGGAAAGACAAAAUAUGGGGUCACUUGAUCUGCUGUGUCUUUGGAGAUGAUCUCUUGUAAACCCAUACAUAUCCGUAUCUCCAGGUGUUGGAGGUGCUUAAGGCUUUGGAUCAUAGAAGCUGAAAAUAUGUAUUUUAAUUUGUCACAGCCCCACACUAUCAAUCUUGUCAAGCUUUGAAAGCAAGUAAUCAUGGCCGUAAGUUGAUUGUCAUGCCAAAUCUCGUCGACAUUAAUAGCAUUCAGCUCCAAAGCCUCCAAAUUUGGCAACACUACCUAAAGAUAAUUUUCUCUUUAGAUCCAAUAUCAGUAUGAAAAGCACUUGUUUUGACACAAUAUCCAUAUGAGAAGCACUUAAUUAAGAGCUUAAUUAGCGAGUGUAUCAGACUUUUUUUUUUCAAAUGCGAGUGCAUGAUAGAACUAAAAAAAAAAGAAGAAGCAUUGGCCUACGUACCUUCUUGUUGAAAAGCAGAGUUGACGUUUCGGAACUGAUCUCGUUGGAACUGGCUGUCAAUUCCUCUUGCGACUCUUGUCUGUUUGGUGAUGUGGAAGGAGUCUUCACUUCACCGCAAAACCUUGUAACCUUUGGAAGCUUUCCCAGACUCAAAGAUCUUAAUUGACCAAACUCUAUCUUCUCAUCAACAUCAACAUCAGCUUCUCCUCCAGUUGCAAAAAUCUCUUCCAUGCUGCUGCAAUUGAUAACUGCAAUCCUCUCCAGUCUUGGAAGGCAUUUUGUACUACUAGAGAGCCAGAAGAUAUUACUCAACUCAUCACAAUUUUCUACUUUUAUGGUUUUGAGUUCAUUGAAGGACUCUAUUUUGAGUCGAUCAAUACAUAUCCUCUCCGUAUUGAUCAAAUUGUGAAGAGUAAGGGACUCCAAAAGAGGAAAGGCGACACAAGGUUCUCUCUUCAUUGAAUCGACGAUACACAGGAUGUCUGGAUUAUUUUGAACAUGGAGAUGCUUCAAUUGUGAAAAUCCCUCGGUGUCCAAUUCUAAAACAACAUUCUUGAUUCCUUGCAACUUAUCCAAACAUAAGUAUUCAACGUUAUUGAUGCCCUGCAACUUCUUGGAGGAAAUGGCCAUAGAAUCAAGCUUGAGCUUCAAUGUUCUUAAACUCUCAAGAUUACUGAUCAUAAAGUGCGGCCGACUUUGAAACCAGUCUUUUCCAAAUAACCAUGGUAGAGUCGAAAGAUCCAUCUCCUAUUGAUAUAUCAAACCUUUCCAGCUUUUUGGUAAAAAAGCCAUCUGGUAAAAUGCUAUCAUCUUUAACAUCUAUUUUUAAGGCGGUCAGUCGCUGCAAAUGCAUCAAUUCAUCGAGGCUGGCAUUACUUCUUUCACUAUUGGCUUUUCUCACUUCCCAUUCAAUAGAGCAGUUACUCAUAUACAGUUCUUCCAAUCGAGUGAAGCUUGAUAAGAUAUUGGGCACAAUAAAUUUUAGUUGCAAGCAAUCUGUUAAAUCUAGCAUCCUUAACUUAGUCAGUUGACCUAGUUCGUCAGGCAACCGUACAAUAUCAGACUUUAAAAAGCUAAGGAUUUCUAGAUUCUUCAACUUUCCAACUAUGGCUAUGUCUCCCAACAUGCUUUGAUCAAGACACAGUGUUUGAAGAUUUGCUAGAAGACCGAUUGAAGAUGGCAAUGAAAAUAAUCGUACCCUUGUCAAAUCUACGACUCGAAGCUUUUUCAUCCCUUUGAAAAAGUUGUUAGGAAUAUUGACCUCGACAAAAGAGUCUUCGGGAUCAAUAUGUAAAAAUUCAAGUUGCGGACAUUCGAAUUCCUCGGAAACUUCAUGAAUGCUACUAUUUAGUAAAGGGAUUGCAUAGCAUUUUUUAAGUGCAUCCUCAUCUGGCCACUCCCACACAGCGUCAUUUCUCACCAAUGAAGCAUGUUGGUCUCGACAUGCAAUUGAUAUGGCAACAUCGCAGACAACAUCAUGCAUAGAGAAUUGUUCAGUACUAUCACCCUCAAGCAACAAACAACAGUCUCUAAGUUCAUGGACCAGUGCAUAUAAUUUGUUUCGUGCAUCUUCCAUCUUAUUGACUCCAUGAAAUAUUCCUAAACCCAUAGAGUAUUUAAGCAAGUCUAAAAGACAAAAACUGUUGCCUAUUAGACUGCAGAGCAGAAAAAUUUUCUUGAGUUGCUCACCUUUUAAAUACUUGAAACUCAGUUCAAUACUUGAAUAAGUCUCUGCAGGCACACCUUCGAAGUUUACCACUGAAGGCGUUUGGAGUUCUCGCAAGGCAUUCUUCCACUCAUGCAGACUCUUGUUUCUCAGUGCCCUCGCUACUGUAGUCAGGGCAAUGGGCAAACCUCCACAUGCCUGGGCUACAUUAAUUGCUGUAGACUUGAACUUACAAUUUUCAACAUCAUCACCAUUCAUUAUCUUAAACAAUCUCCAAGCUUCUUCUUCAUUUAGAUUGCCAAUCAAGAAGUUAUCUUUGGAGCCCAUACUUAAUAGCACAUUAUUGUCUCUUGCUGUCAGCAGUAGUCUACAUCCUUUAUGAUCAUUUCCGAUGGGAAUUCCAACCGUCUCCAAAUCAACAUGUUUCCAGAUAUUAUCUAGAAUCACAAGAAUCUUAUUCUCAUUCUUCAGUCGUUCAUACAGCCUGCUAGCUCUUCUAUAUUCAGCUUCAUCGGACAACUCCAGACCUAACUUCUCUGCAAUUUCCCCUUGAAUCUUUUUUAUGUCUGGAGUUUGUGAAACCUCUGAAAAAACCACCCGAUCAAACAACUUGUCUUCCCUGGCUUGCGUAGCAAACUCCUUCACCAGUGUCGUCUUUCCAAUGCCGCCCAUGCCGUACACCCCAAUAAUGCUGACAUUCACAUCAGUCAACGCAUUUUGUAUAGACUUCAAAGUAGAAACUCUUGAUUCGAAGGCCUUGUAACCUUUGUUAGACUUAAGCCAUAUCUCCUCCGGAAUGGUACGAUGGGAAACGAUAUCAAACUUCUUAACUCCUUCUCCAAGUUCAACAAGGGCCUUCACCUCUGUCUCUGCUUUCUUGCUAAGCUGAUAGCGGGUCUUCAAAUUAGGACACAAGCCCUUGAGACAGCGCUUGUUUGUUGACUCCUCAUCUUCAAUGAAUUUGGCUGCCUGGUCAAUGAUGCCGUUUGCACUGACCAGCCACUUCUCAACCUUCUCUUCAAUCUCUUCCCCUUUUUCUUUCGCCUUUGAAACUCUGCGCUGAAUGCUCGUACGUUCAACCUCAACUUCUCCAUUUCCGCCUUGAGAUUCUCAAGGUUGGCAUUGUAGUUCCGCUUGCGCAAAUAAACAAGUUGGCGUUCUGUCGGAGGAGCCAGGCAUUUUACAAGUUCCAAAACGAGAGUAACAAUGAUUUCCAGCAUCUUGAAUCCUGACAGCAAUGUAGAAGUGAAGAAGGCCAAAGGACAGUAAAAACAGAGAGACAACGAUACGACAAGCAGUUAUAGAGCUACAAAUAAAUAACAAACAAACAGAAGCAAAGUGUUCUUCGAAUGAGAAGAAGGAAGCAAGAAAAGGGUUUCUAUUUAGAUUAAGAAUAAAUGUAAAGAGCUAAAAAAGCUGAUGGGUACAGAAUAAGAAAUGAUUAAGAGAAUGGGGGAGCUAACAAGACUGUGGAGUGAGCAGGCGUAAAUAAACUUUUCUUAACCUUUUGUCAUACGUGUAUAUAAAAUAAUAUAAUUAAUUUUAUAUUUUUAUUCAAUAACUAUUAAUUAUAUUUUUUUCAAAAUUAAUAAAAAGAAUAAUUAAGUACUGAAUCCAAAUCCUAUCCUAAAUGGUUAGAUAAAAAUAAGGGAAUGAAAAGAGUAAUGGUAGAUUAAUGAGAAGGUGAUUGAUUAAUUUAUGAGGCCAAUUAACGAAACGACAGAUCUGGUUUCCAUGUUUGUAGUUUAAGUGUAUGAGUACGAGGUGAACCGAAGCUUUGUCGAGUCAGGCAAAUAGAAAGAGAAAUUACUAAAACAAGAACCAGCAACUUUUACUCACACAUGAGCUAAUAAUGUAUUGAGAUUGUGCAGAGUAAUAUAAAAGAUUAAAACUAGUAUAAUCAAUUUGUCAUCAAGUUUUAGCCUUCUUCUUCAACCAAUUACAGCACGAUCUUGAGCUCUGUGUUUCUUUUUUUAAAUCAUUCAAAAGAUCUCUGUCAUUAAUUUUUCAAUGAUAAAAAUUAUAUUUUUGUCUCAUAAAAUAUAAAAUAUAAAAAAAUCAAACAUAUAUUAUAAGUCCGUUUGAGAUUAUUUUUAAAUAAAGUAUACAAAUCUCUAAAUUAACUUCGUCCCCUUGAAAUUCAGCAUAAAUAUAAAUAGAAUUAUAGAAAUCUUACUACCUUUUAUGAGAAAUCCAACUUAUAUAUUUGAGACUUCUCUCUCUAAACACACGCUUCCUCUCUCUGUACACUUUCCACCUUUAAAUUCUCCUUCAUUAAGUCUACCUAAAUGAAUUUAGCAUUCUCUCAGUUUCUUCAGCAUUUUUCUCCGUGAAAAUAGGUGAAAAAGAGAAAGUGAUUUGAUUAUUUUAAUGUACGACAGAUCUGAUUUCCAUCUCUGUAAUUUAAGUGUAUCAAAACGAGGUCAACAACUCUUGGUCGAGUCAGUCAAAUAUAAAAGACAAAUUACUAAACCAAGCAGAGCCACAAAAAAAAAAAAAAAUCCAAUUAAAUAAUCAUCAAGUCUUUUUCAAUUAAAAUAGGGGGUGCAGAACAACUGUCAAGAGAUAAUCAUUGUUUAUUAUAUUUUCGAUUAAAAUAGUUGCGCGUGAACGAUUGUCCGAAUUCGUAUAAAUUGUUGUAAGGUCUAUUAUAAUUAACAAGUGGAAUGGCCAAUGGAUGAAGAACCACUGUAAUUUCGUUUAUGAAUUUAAAAUGCUAAAGAAACUGGACACCAACGCUAAACGUGAGUCUGCCCAAUCUAGAUAAAUAGGAUAAAAAAUUAUCCGUCGGCUAUCUGAUCUUUUAGCCAUUAUAAAAAAUAUUAAAAAAAUAUACAAACAAUUUUUUUUUUUUUUCAACAAUCCAUCUGAUAUUUAUGAAGUGCAUUAGUGCUCCACUACUAUCAUAACCCUUUAAAAAUAUCGCUUAAACACAAGAACGUAUUGCCUAAAAUUAUUUUUCAAGCAAAUGUAACGACAUAUUUGGUUUUGAUCUUCGUGACUUUUUAAGUGUACAAGAACAAGAUGUAUGACCCUUUGUCGAGUUGAAGAAUUAAAAUAAAUCAGUUACAAAUCCAGAACAAACUUACGGGUGACAUUUUAGUAUUAAGCAAACUAUAAUUGAUCAUCCAAUGAUAGGCUUAUUUUCAAUUAAAUUAGAGUAAAUAUAGACAUUCCAAAUUUUUUCUCUCAAAUUUAAUCCUAGAUAAUGUGUUAUUAAUUGAGUGCUUGGUAAUUCUUUCAAGAUCUAAGUGAAUUAAUUAUAUUAUCUCUCCAACCAAUUGAUGAAUAUUAUAUUAUUAAAUAAUCAUCAAGUAAUACGACACUUCUCAUGUUCCGUUAACAUUUCAGUUAUAUUAUUAAUUAUCAUUUUAAUUUGGAUAGUAUUUUUGUUUAGGAGAAUAUAUCAAUUAUGAAAUUUUUAAUUUUGAAAAUUAAAGAAAUAAUUGAACUGAUUUUUUCUUAUUAAUUGAUAGCUUAGAUGCAUUUUGUUACAUGUUAAAAAAUUAUGAAUACAUAUCCUUUUUGGUAAUUUAAUUACACAAAAGCACUUUUAGUUUUGCACAACCAAACCGUUUAAUGGUUCAAAAGUACUUUUUUAAUUGACAACCAAACACCCAAUGACUUUUUUGUCCAAAAACUCUAUUGGUAUAAGCUCUACUUCUAUAAGCUCUACUGCUAUAAGCUCUAUUUAAUAAGUUGUACCAAACGGAGCCUUAAAAUCUAAGUGAAUUAAUUAUAUUAUCUCUCCAACCAAUUGAUGAAUAUUAUAUUAUUUGAGUUUUUUUUUUGUCUCAAAUCCCAGCAAAGAAAACAGAACAAACGGAGCAAAAAUAUUUUUACAAACCUAAAAUAACAAAAAAAGAACUUUUUCUUGUUUUUCUUAUUUUCCACUGUUAAACUUCAAAAUGAACAACUUUAUUCUACCAUCUCUCAAAUAAUAAUAAUAAUAACAACAAUGUCAUCAUCAUCAAUAAUAAUAAUAAUAAUAUAUUAACUUUGUAGGAUGGAGCUCUCGCAAAUCUUCAAGACACAAAAUGUGCUUGACCCCAUUGUUGUUAAUAUAAUUUCAAAAUCAUAUGUAUUAUAUAAUAUUAGAGAAUAUGACAUAGCAAAAUUGAUGGUACAUAUGCUGCAAUAUACUUGUUCAUGUGGCGACACAUUGAAGUAAAGCACAAGCAGAACAACGAAAAAUGUAACGGGAGAGCUCUCAUUAUGUAGAUUUUCAAUAGAAGUAAUGCAAAUUUCACAAGGGCAAUGGCCUUAUUUCGAAUGCUGCACCUGAGGAAUGACUUGAAUCUUCUUUAGAACUCAGGCAUUCUAUAAUCAUAGAGUAUAGCAUUUCAACAAAAAUAUUAUAUAAACAAAAAUAUUAUAUAGGUGGUUCCUUUAUAUAUUUUCUGGGUACACCUACAAAAAUAUUAUUUUAGGUACAUUUCUUGCAAUAAAACCUGCCCAAUCUAGCGUUUUCGUAAGUUGGGUUUCUCAUUUACAUUUUUUUCCAUUGGUUAAUUAUCACAAACCUCCACUGAGAUUUAGCAUGUUUUUAGUUUGAUAGAUUGUAUUCGCAUAUUCUCAAAUACCUUUUAGUUUACCACUUCGUAUAAAUUAAGUUGGUGAGGAUAAAAUCGUAAAAGUACACAUUAAUGAUAAAAAAAUUCAAGUAAACUUGAAAUUUUCAAGGAUUAAUUUUUCGGGACCUCCCUUGAGGUUCGGUGUAUUAAAAGUCUCAUAGAAUGUAUUCAUGUAAUUAUAAGAACCUCCCCUGGCGUUAGUACACAGUUAACUUGACUGUUAGUGGACUGAUAAAAAGUCAAAAAUGCCCUUGGCUACAAAAAUGAGUGCAACAAUUUGGAGCUAAAUAGUAAACACCACACUGGAGCACUAAAAAGUCUACAAUAAUCAUGGAAAACAAAUCAUUGACAUUUACAUAAUAUAAAAAAAAAAAGUAAAAUAUAAAUUAAGAAAAUCAACAAAAUUGUCAACGUAUUGAAUAUUUACAGCAGCAGUGGCUAUAAAUACAACCAUCGUCAAAUUAAAAUAUCACCAUUAGUAAACUACUUCAAUAAGACAAUAAACCAUGAUUCAAUCUUCAAUGCAUUCAAAAUACACAACCCGCACAAUAGAAUCACAUACGCACACCUGCUAAUGAAAUAUAAGAACAAACGGGAAAUUGAACUGACAUGGCUAAGAUACUCCUUCCCGAUAUCUAUUAGAAAGAUAAUGAGCGAUUUAUGAAUCAUGAUGCUUGCUUUACUUUCUGGCAGUGUUAACUUCAAAUUCAAUGAUAGUAAAUGAACAAUGGUUCAUUCAUUAUGAAAGUAAUUGUAAAGCUAGGAAUUUAUAAUAUUCAGAUGUUGGAAUUAGAAAAAUAUUUCUUAAUCGUUUCAAUUGAAGCCAAGGAAGAAAAAGAAAUGAGUCUUCUUUUUUCAGGCCACAAGCCAUAUGAAGAAGGCAGACCAGAGCAUAAGAACGAAUGCUAUUGCCACAGUAAAAGCCUGGAUCAAUGGGUAAUGGCACCUGCCAUGUCAAUUUCAUGACAAACAAAAAUCAAUUAUCAUCCCCAGACCACAACACCACCAAACCAACCUUUUGCAUCUAAAAUAACAAGUUAAUAAAUCAAAGAUUUCAAUUCAUUUAAGUUUGAAAUCAACUAAAAUAGAAAAAAAAAAACCCAAUUUCUUUUUUGUUCAAUAUAACUCAUUCAGCAUCUUCUUCAACACAUUUUUAUCAUUCUUCAUCAUCACAACAAUAAAAAGAACAAAAAACUUUGAGUUCAACAUGCAAUUCUUUUUUUUUGGGAAACUAACCUUUUUUAGGUUCCAAUUCUAGUAGUCUUAAACAGUAGCCGCCGAUGAAAUUCGCUUGGCAACACCCUUUUGCCACCAUUGCAGCUUGUCAUGUUCAUACUCAACUUAAAAUUACUUGAAGGCAGCAGGGAUUUUAUAGUUACAAAAGUUUCUUCAGAGCUUUUCAAGCUUGAAAAUGGAGUUUUCAUUCAUCUUAGAUAAAUUGAAGAUAAUUUGCAUUGUGGGUAAUAAAUUGAUUAUCAGUGUCUAAAUCUGGGUCAUCGACGCAACAUUGGAUUUUGUUUUGAUUUUCUUUGAUUUUUUUUAUGAAACCACUAAUUUACCCUCAUAUACUAACAAUAUACGAAAUGGUAUACUAACGUCAGUUACGUCAGGGAGCUCCCUAUAAUUACAUGAAUACUUUUCAUGAGACUGUCAAUACACAAAACCUCAGGGGAGGUACCUAAACAUUACCCAAUGGUAUCAUUUCUUGUAUGGAUAAUGGAUGAUUAGAUUUUGUUUUUUUGUUAUCCGACGAAGGAUAUUCAGUUGUUCUUUAUGUGUUCAUAGGCAAGAGCAUGAGCAUAUGCAUGAUUUGAUAUAUGCUUCUUGCAUUUUCUAAUUAAGUGUUCUCUUUCCUUGCCUUCUUAGUUUUGAAAGAAAGAUGUGAAGCAAGACAAACCCAGUGAAAUACACAGAGCAACAGAACCAUCAGAGGAAAAACUAAAUAACAGAACUACAAUUAAACCAAACAAAAUCAAAUAAACCGACGCAACAGAUGCCCUGAAUCAGGCAUUCCUUUUUCUCGAAAGAAAAUAUGUUUGCAUGGGUGGGAACCCAGUAUUUACUCAAGAGUUGAGGAGUUGGAAAGAUUUGGUAUUCAUAUCUUCUCAAUUCAUAUGCUUUAAUGCAGAAUCGACAGCUUUAUAUUAUUUUAUACACUUGCACUUGCUUGAGUAUUUGUGCCGACAUUUUCAUAUGUGAUGCUACUUCUUAGCCAGUAGAUAUGUUGAAGUACUACAAAACAGAGUAUUUGAUGAAGUUUUGCUACUUUCGUAUCCCCUUUUUUGUUGAAUUCUUUAUAAACAAAAAUUAGAAAGCUACAAAUAAUACAGUAGCUUGAAUUUAUAUGCUUUUAUGAUUAUUUGAUAGUUUAGUGCUGAUCAUAUGUGAUGAUAAACUUAGCUAGUAGUUUUAUAUUUAUUUUCAUAGUUUCCUUAGCGUUCACAUUUUGAUGAGUAAAUUAAGGAUUUCCAGAUGAAGUACAUAAUUAGAUGAAUGCUAAGGAACUGAAGUUUGAUUAAUUGAAAACAAAAAUAAUAAUGAACGUAAUUACGAAAAUGAACAAUGCAGAAGUAGUCCCUAUAGUAUUUCUAUAUUUUCUCUUGGUGUUUCUUAGUAUUCCUCAAUAUUUUUAAAAAAUGACAUGACGAUCUUUGAGUUGACAAAUCUUGGCCUGCUGCUUAGUACCCUUCCAACAUAUAAAGUACUAGAUGUUUUACUGAGAAAAUGACAAGAUCAUUUUUCAAAUUUCUUGCGCAUAUAUACGUAUGUACACGAGAAAUGAGAAUCAGUGAUUAUAAGACCUUGCAAUGAGACAAUAAUACAUCAUCAAAUCUAAAAAUACACAAGAAAUUCGGGACAUAUAAAUAACAAAAGACCUCUCAUUGAGUCAUCCAUAUUGAGAAUAAAAUGUCAAAAUGCAUACAAAGAGCUUAUACAGAAAAUGAAUGUACACAUAUUUAGAAUAAACUGUCUUUGAACUUUCGAUGGUCAAACAAAAGAAACAGACAGGAUAUAACACACACUAUCAUAGAUGUAGCGACACGGUGAAGUAAAUCACAUGAAGAUGGAAACGGAAACCCUUCACAACAUAAAAUUUGAAUAGAGGGGGAAAAAAAGGCUUCAUUUCGAAUGUUGCACGAAAGAAGAGUGACUUGAAUCUCCAUCAGUAUCCAAACAUUCUGCAAACAUAGUGCUGAGAAUUUUAACAAGAAUAACAGACAAAAUAUUGUGCUUCUAUACUUGUCAAAAAACUAGACAAAAAUAGUUCCCUUUUUGGUUUGUGAAAACUUGAUAUUUUUGAAAAUUCUAUCCAAUGCUUUCAAACAAUAUUUCCAUAAUAUAGUUGUUCAUAGCUAACCUUUGAUGGUGUAAGGAUUUGUUGUAGGCAUAAUGGGCUAAUUAUAUAUAUAUAUAUAUAUUUUUUUUUUUUUUUUUUUUACCCGCUGAAUGAUAUUCAGCUUCUUAAUUAUGUGUUCAUAGGCAGGAGCAUUUUCUUAAGUACUUUCGUUGCCUUCCAAGUUUCCAAUGAACAAACAGAGCACAAACAAAUUUAACGGAACAGUAACGAUGACAAUAAAUAAUUGGCAAGGAAAGAAAGAAAAAAGUUUGCAUGAUUUCAGGGAAUUAUAAAAUCUGAACACUUUCAACAUGCAAGUGUUGCCCCUCUUAAUGAAAUUUCAUCAUAAAAUGCUUGCAAGGAAUUAUAAAAUUUUAGAGAACAAGGGAACUCUCAAAACAAAAUACUCAAAUUAAAUUACAAUAGGCCAAAAGACGCUCAAUGACGCAAAUCUGCCCAUAAAAGCUUGAACGAAUCAUGAAAAGUGCAUUCCAUAUUGAUAGUAAACCAAGUGACCCAUUCUAAACAAUUGAGAUGAAAUUGUGAAACAACCCACGAGAUCAAAUAAAUAAAAUAAGAAUUAAUUACCAGCUGGGACUUUCUUCUUCAAAUUCGUAACUCCAAGUCAUAAGAAGCCUAUGAAAUUAGUCGUAAUCCACAGAGUAUGACGACGACCCCGCCAACAGCUGAAAAUAAAAUUCUUAUUCAUCAAUUUAAACUAACUUUAUAACAAAUAUCUUAUCGAUAUUUUAUUUAAAAAGAAAAAGCAAAUUUUGUAAAAUUUUUCCAUGGGAGAUAGAGAAUAACAUGUAUAUCCGUACCUUCUCAGCAUGUAAUUGUUGUAUGGUCGUCUUAAGAUCAUUACUAGCCCAACGCCGUUGAUUCGAUGUCUCUCCAUACCAAACGUUUACUCUUGGAGGCGUGCUUGAUUCUCCUGUAGUGAAAAUCUUCAAUUUGGGACAACCAAUCACAGAUAGAUCUUGCAAAGAUGGGAAUUUGAAGGUGUAAUUGGCAGAGCAAAAACUUGUGAGGCUAUCUAAAUCAAACAGUUCCAACCUCUUCAAUUUGCGGAAAACAAUCUCUUCUUUUUCAACCCCGUCUUUGUCAUUUAUUACCACCUCUGUCAUUGCUCUGCAUCCGUAUACACAAAGUGAUACGAGUUGCACUAGAGUUUUUGCUGUGGAGGAUGUUACCAAGUGUAUCAAUUCCUUGCAACCGAUAGCUACAAGUUUUGUUAGGUUCCGAAAAGAUACCGAUGAUGAUGGCAAUAGAAUUAACAGACUUUGACAAUGAUGUACUUUUAGAAUUUCAAGAUACUGAAAAAUGGGGCCAAGUUUGGAAUCUUGUUUGCACACCUGCUUCAGAUGAUAGUGCCGGUACAGCUUUAAUUCUUUUAUCAUUGCCAACUUCCCCACAUGUUUCUCUAAGCAUCCUUCCUUCGAAAAUACCUCUUCGUCGAAUGAAAAAAAAAACAGUGAGAGUAUUUCGAGAUUGUGAAAUCUCUCAAGUACGUUCCAGAUUGGAAAACCAGCUGAGUCAUCUUCAGCAAUCACUAGUCGUUUAAGACUGCCAAAAACGUGUUGUGGGAAAUCGGCCUGCAAAAUCAUCUUCGCGUCUUUUCCGCUUAGUGAUAGUUCCGUCAAGUUGGGUAGGAUCUGAUCAUCAUCAAUCAUAAUAACUGAUAAGGUCAAUUGGUGUUUUCUCAAAUGAUUUUAAGUAAUCCAAUCACAUGCAGUGACUUUAUAGUAUUUGUUUUAUAUUAUAUUUUACAAAAAAAAAAUUGAAUUAUUGAUAAAAUUUAUUAAAUGAUUUUUUAUAUAUUAAUUUUAGAGGUAAAAAAGAAAUUAGGGAAAAAAAGAAAUUAUUUUAUUGGUAAUUAAGUGUUUGGUAAAUUUUGUUUCAAGAAGUACUGUAAAUUUUGAAAACAAUUAUGGUCGUUUGGUAAAUUUUACUGUUAAACUGCUGAGAGAAAAUAAAUGACUAAAAUAUCCAUAAUAUAAGAUAAAAUUUACUUAUAUAUCUCCUAAAAGCAAUCCCAAACGGGCCCUAAGGAUUCUUUUAUAAAUGUUAUACCUAAAAAAGUUCAUAUAAUUAUUAAUCUACCACAUUGAUCCCUUAGUCUAGACUAGCAAAGAUUAUUGUAUAAUAAAAGUUUUCAAUUUAUUGAGUAUUAAUUUAUCAUUGCUUUGUCAUAUUUUUCAAAGUUAAAAAUAUGCUAUUGAUAAAAAAAUCUAGAAAAUGGCUUCAUACCUUUUCCAACGGCAAUGGGGGCUGUUGUGCAGGAAUACCAAGUUGAUCAUUCUCAUUAUUCUGCGAUAAAUCUGCAGCGAAUAUCUUUAAUUUGUCACAACGAUACACUAAAAGCAUUUCUAGCGCGAGCCAUUCCAAAGUAUGCAUUCCAGGGCACAAACAUCUAAGUUUUGGUAGAUCUUGGAGUCUCAGAGUGGUGAGCUGUGGAAAGACAGAAUAAGAAUUUGUCACUUGAUCUGCUCUGUUUUCAGAAAUAAUCUCCUGUAAAUCCUCACAGUCUCGUAUAUCUAGGUGUUGGAGCUGCUUGAGGCUUCCGAUCAUAGACGCUGCAAAUAUGUAUUUUAAUUUGUGACAACGCCACACAAUCAAUCGUGUUAAACUUUGAAAGUGAGGAAACACGGCCACCAGAAUUUGAUUGUAGUGCCAAAUCUUGUCGACAUUAAUUUCAGAUAUCUCCAAAGCCUCCAAGUUAGGCAACGCAACCUAAAAAAAUAAGAAUUUCUCGUUAGAUCCAAUAUCCAUAUGGGAAGCACUUGUUGAAAUUUUCUUCUUUGAUUACAAAUUAAUGCAAGUCUGAAUCAAUUUCCAACUGACAGCUGAGUAUGCAUUCUAAUUCAUACUACUUGUUAAGAGCUCAAUUAGUGAGUGCGUGAGAUUCUUUUUAUCCUUUUUUUCCAUUUUCUUUCACUUCUUUAAAUGAUUUAAUUAUUUUCCACGUAUGACAUCAAAAGAGAACGCAUGAUAGAAUAAAAUGUGUUAUACAUUAAAGAAAAUGUUAGCCUACGCACCUUCUCGUUGAAAAGCAGAGUUGAAAUACCCAAAGUGAUUUCGCUGGAGCAAUACAUAGUCGUCGAUUCCUCUUGCGACGCUCGUCUGUUCGGUGAUGCUGAAGGAGUCUCCACCUCACAGCAAAAACUUGUAACCUCUGGAAGAUUCCCCAGACUCAAAGAUCUUAAUUGAGCAAACUCUAUCUUCUCAAUUGCAUUAUCAACUUCUUCCCCAAUUGCAAAAAUCUCUUUCAUCUUGCUGCAAUUAAUAACAGCAAUUCUCUCAAGUCUUGGAAGGCAUUUUGUAGUAGAGAGCCAAAAGAUAUUACUCAACGUAUCACAACUAUAUGCUUCUAUGGUUUUGAGUUUGUUGAAAGACUCUACUUUGAGCCGAUCAACACAUAUCCUCUCCAUGUUGAUCAAAUUGUGAAGGAUAAGUGACUCCAAAAGAGGAAAGGCAUCACAAGCGACCAUCUCCCUUGAAUCGACGAUACAAAAGAUGUCAGGAUUAUUUUGAACCCAGAGAAGCUUCAAUUGUGAAAAGCCCUCCGUGUCCAAAUUGAAAAGAACAUUCUCGAUGCCUUGCAGCUUGUCCAACCAUAAGCAUUCAACGUUGGUGAUGCCCUGCAAUUUCAUGGAGCAAAUGUCCAUAAAAUCAAGCUUGAGCUUCAAUGUUCUUAAACUCUUGCGUUUACUGUUGAUCCAAAAGUGCGGCUGACUUUGGAACCAAUGUUGUCUAACACACUUGGGAGGCGUGAAUGACUCAUUUCCAAUAGAUAUUUUGAACCUUUCGAGCUUUCUGGCCAAAAAACCUUCUGGUAAAAUACUGUCAUUUUUAACGUCAAUUUCUAGAGUGGUUAGCCGAGGUAAAUGCAUCAAUUCGUCAAGGCUAGCAUUACUUCUUUUGCUGCUGGCUCUUUCAACCUCCCAUUCAAUGAAGCAAUUACCCAUAUACAGCUCUUCUAAUCGAGUUAAGCUUGAUAUGAGAUUGGGCGCAAUAACUUUCAGAUGGAAACAAUUGGUUAAAUCUAACAAUCUCAACUUAUUCAAUUGACCUAGUUCUUCUGGCAACUGCAUAAUAUCAGACAUCAGAAAGCUUAGGACUUCUAGAUUCUUCAACUUCCCAAUGAUUGCUAUGUCCCCCAACGCACUUUGAUCCAGACAUAGUGUGUGAAGAUUUACUAGAAGAUCAAUUGAAGAUGGAAAUGAAGAAAACUGCAUUCGAGUAAAAUCUAGAACUCUAAGCUUUUUCAUCCCUACAAAAAAGUUCUCAGGAAUAUUGAUUUCAAGAGAAGAAUCUUUGGGAGAGAUAAAUAAAAAUUCAAGGUUUGGGCAUUCUAAUCCUUCAGGAAAUUCACGAUUACUAUAAUUUCUUAAAGAGAUAGCAUUGCAUUUUCGAAGUGCAUCCUCUUCUGGCCAGUCCCACACAUCCUCAUUCCUCACCGAAAACACAUGUUGGUGGCGGCAUGCAAUCGAUAUUGCGACAUCGCGAACAACAUCAUGCAUUGAAAAUUCUUCAUUGCUAUCAUCCUCAAGCAACAAACAAGAGUCUCUAAGUUCAUGGACCAAUGCAUAUAAUUUGUCUCGUGCAUCUUCCAUCUUAUUGACUCCUUUAAAUAUACCCAAACCCAUGGAGUACUUAAACAAGUCCAAAGUAACAAUACGGUUAUUCAUUAGACUACAGAGCAGAAAAAUUUUCUUGAGUUGCUCACCUCUUAAAUGGUUGAAACUCAGCUCAAUACAUGAAUAAGUCUCUGCAGACACUCCUUCGAAGUUUACCAUUGAAGGCGUUCGGAGUUCUCGCAAGGAAUUCUUCCAUUCAUGCAGACUCUUGCUUCUCAGUGCCAUUGCCACUGUAGUCAAGGCAAUGGGCAAACCUCCACAUGCCCUGGCGACGUCUAUUGCUGUAGAUUUCAACUCACGAUUUUCAACAUCAUCACCGGCCAUCAUCUUAAACAAUCUCCAGGCUUCUUCUUCAUUUAAGUUGUUUAUCAAAAAGUUGUCUUUAGAUCCCAUUUUUAAGAGGACACUACGAUCUCUUGCUGUCAGCAGUAGUUUGCAUCCUUUAUGAUCUUCUCCAAAAGGAAUUNNNNNNNNNNNNNNNNNNNNNNNNNNNNNNNNNNNNNNNNNNNNNNNNNNNNNNNNNNNNNNNNNNNNNNNNNNNNNNNNNNNNNNNNNNNNNNNNNNNNNNNNNNNNNNNNNNNNNNNNNNNNNNNNNNNNNNNNNNNNNNNNNNNNNNNNNNNNNNNNNNNNNNNNNNNNNNNNNNNNNNNNNNNNNNNNNNNNNNNNNNNNNNNNNNNNGGCUUCCAUAGCUUGCCUGGCGACCUCCUUCAUCAAUGUCGUCUUUCCAAUGCCGCCAUGCCGUACACCCCAAUGAUGCUGACAUUAGCAUCGAUCAAUGCGUUUUUUAUGGCCUCCAAAGUAGAACGUCUUGAUUCGAAGGCCUCGCAGUCUUUGUUAGACUUGAGCCAUAUAUCCUCCGGAAUGGUAGGGUCGGAAAUUCUAUCAUCAAAUCUCCCAGCUUCUUCUCGGAGUUUAAAAAGGGCCUCCUUCUCUGUUUCUGCUUUCUUUCCACGCCGAUAGCGAGCAAACCAAUCAGGAAACAGCCCCAUGAGACAUCGACCGUCAUUUGCUGUCUCUUCGUCUUGAAUGAAUUUGGCUGCCUGCUCAAUGCUCUUGUUCGCAUUAACCAGCCAUUUCUCAACCUUCUCUACAAUCUUUUCACUUUUUCUUUCAGCCUCAGAAACUCUGCGCUGAAUCCUUUCUCUUUCAACCCUCAGCCUAUCGAGUUCUGCCUUGAGAUUCUCAAAGUUGGCAGCGGAGUUAUACCAAUAACUAAAUUCGCGUUGUGCGUGGGGAGACAAGCAGUUUACAACUCCUGGAGCAAUGCUUUUCAAAAUGUCCAUUUUUUUUUUUUUAUGGGGAAGUGAACGAAAUGGAAAUAGAACAGGGUCAACGACCGCGCAAUUGAUAAUCAAGUAGAAGCAAAACAAGCCAAAAUGGAAAAAGAAAUGAUAUUUGUACAAAACAAGGGGAAAAUCAGUGUAACAGAAGAGAAUCAAAGUGUUUUUGAGAUCAGAAAAUUGAACCAAGAAAAGGGUUGCUUGAUCCAAUGAAAAUGCAAAAAGCUGAUGGCAAAAGGGAACAAAGCUAAAUAAGAAAACGGCUAGCACGAGCAGUGACCACGAUCAACAGAAGCAAAGUGUGUAUGAGAUCAAAAGACGAAAAUGAGGAGAGGUUUUCUUGAUUGAGAAUUGAAGGCAAAGAGUAGGAGCUGACGAAUACGGGGAUCAAGAGGGAAAAACUGCUUGCUUGUAAAACUACUUUCAAGCGAAUCUGAUAAAAUUAUUUCAGUACUAGUGGGCGACUCCUUUUUAAACUGCAGAAGGGAAAAAAAAAAGUUCUGAAUUUCAAUAUAUUAAUCUCGUAAUCAAUGAUUAAUUAGUAGAUAAUCUUUCUAACAAAUAUGUGUUGAAUAGAUAUAUUUCUUGAUUAUUAGUAGGUUCGAUAUACUUUAGUAUAGGAAUGAAAGUACAAGUUGUGUCGUAUUAGAAUAAAAAUUGGACCUAAAAAUAUUGUUCUAUGGCCUUUUAAUUAUUUGUCAGCUAAUAAUGAAGUCAUAUAAAAAAAUUAAUAAUCUGAAUUAGUCUUUAGUAUUAUAAAUGUUUUUAGAUUUUUAAUUAUAAUAUCAUUAUUUAAAAAUAAUUGCUUGACUUACAUUCGUAACAUUACGAUUGUCAUAAAACAUGUGAUCCUCAUCCAAAGGCCAGGUGAACAACUCUUUGUCAAGUCAGUCAAAUAUAAACGACAAAUUCUUUUCAAUUAAAUAAUCAUCAAGAAAUAAUCUUCUAUUUCAGUACAAAUGGCGAGUGCAGAACAGCUGUCAAGAGAUAAUCAUUGUUUACGGAGCCAUAUAUAUUUUCUAUUAAAAUAGUUGCGUCACUUGCGUGAACAAUUGCCAGAAUCCGUAAAAAUUGUUGAAAGGUCUAUUAGUUUCGAGUAGAAUAUUUUCGAUUAAAAUAGUUGCGUGAACAAUUAUCAUAGAUAGUGUUUAUAUUUUGGAUUGAAGUGAGAAUUUUGAGAAAUAAAAAUCUAAGAUUGAGAGUGUAGAGUGGAAGUGAGUGUAAGUUAUUUACUUACACUGAAAAAUAAGCAUGGAAUGGAGAUCAUAAUCCAAUUUAUGUGUUUAUUUUAUCUUCAAUUGAGAAUAAAUAGUUUCAAAUUACAAUUUUACCUUUAUUUAAAGAAUUAUAUAUAUUUAAUGAAUAAACAUUUAUUUUAUUAUAUUUGUAAAUUUAUAAUAAUUGUUAAUAUUCUUAAUUAUGUACAUCAUAAUUUUUUAUUAAUUUUAAUUUUAAUUAUAUAAAUUAAAAAUUAUUGAUAAGAGCAAUAUAAAUGAAACAUUUUUACUAUUAACAUAGUACAAAAUUAAUAUUUUCUUAUAAUUAACUAUUUAUUAUUACUAAUUAUUGAUAUUAAAUAAAUAUAAUACUAUUAUUUUUAAAUAAAUAUAAUAAUAUUAUAUUUUCAAAUAAAGAUAGUAUAUAGUAAUAUUAUUAAUUCUCUAUUAAUAUAAUAAUAAUAUUUAAAUAAAUAAAAUAUUUUUUAUUUUAUUUUAUUAAUAUAUAAUUAUAGUAAAUUUAAUAAAAGGGGGUUAAAAAAGGAAGGUAAAUAUAAAAUGAAAUAUUAUUUUAUUUAAUUAUAUUAAAUUUAUUAUUAUAUAAAUAAUAAUAUAAUAUUAUUUAGUAUAAAAUUAAUAUUUUCUUAGAAUAAACUAUUUAUUAUUAUUAAUUAUUAAUAUUAAAUAAAUAUAAUACUAUAUAUUUAAAUAAAUAUAAUAAUAUUAUAUCUUCAAAUAAAGAUAACAUAUAGUAAUAUUAUUAAUUCUCUAUUAAUAUAAUAAUAUUAUUUAUUUUAUUUUAUUAAAUAUUAAAUAUUAAAUUUAAUUAAAUAAGGUAGAAAAUGGAGAGGUGGGAAUGGGUUUCCCAUGGGAGUCCCACUCCCACUCCCACUCCCCACUCCAAAAAUGGGUGGAGUUUAUGGAGUGAGAUUCCCAAUUCCUCCUUAAAAUGGUAAAGUAAAUAUUGAAGUGGGAGGAAUUCACACUGCUCACACCCACUCUAGAAAAUAAACACCGAAAAGGCCAAAGGAUGAAGAACCACUAUAAGUUCUUUUAUGAAUUUAAAAUGCUAAAGAAACUUGAUUUUGAUGAUAACAAACUACAUAGGGUACAAUGGUAAAUUUAUUUCUCACAAUCUCACAAGUUUUUGAAGGGCAAAAAUCAUUCAAGUGAGAUCAAGAUCAAGAUACUCAAUGGACAAUGACAAUCAAGGACGAAUACUAAGGGUACUAGUUUAAGCAAUCUUUAUUGUUAAAUUUAUUGUAAAGCCAGUAUAAUUUAAUGUGUGCAUGAUUUAACAUUUAAAAGCUCAAGAUAUUUUUCAUGACAUUUUCAAAUUAAAUCAUCAUUUUCUAUAAUAUAAAAGUUUUAACGAUUUUAUAAAAUUAGUUGCUUUUUCCAAAUUUAUGGACUAACUUGAAAAGUUUUGAGAACUUGGAAAUCAACCAAUAAUGUUUUAAAUCCUAGAAAUUGACAUAUUUGUAAAUAUUUCAAACAUUUUGGGUUGUAAUAUAAUUUCAAAAAAAUUAGGUCUAAUCUAUAAAUCCUGGAACAAUAGUGGCUAAUCGCUUAACCAAUAGCGGCUAACUACUUCAAGUCCAAAAACAUAGCAGCUAACCGCUUAAAUCAAGUGGAAUCCGCUUGAACCAAAGUUUUCAAAUUUGAUUUGCAACUGUAACUUACCAUAUCAACAUAGUGGCUAACCGCCUCAUUUUAACGGCGAUCCAGCAAGUCCCUAGAAAAGCCAAUAAUUGCUAGUUUGAUUGUUUAAACUAUAAAAUUCAAAUUAAACUCAAAUCUAACAAUUUUUUUCAAUCUCAAUUAAGCUAAAACUUAUUCAUAUAUCUUGAGGUUUCAUUUUGCUUAUCUACAUACAUUAAUCAUUAUAGGGCUAUCAUUUGCUUAUACACUCUUAUAGAGUGUAAUCUUUGUAAUCUUCAAUUAAAUAUCAAAAUUGAGUGAGUAUAAGUGUGGGAAACACUUGGGAAAAGAGGCGUGUGUAUACAUAACUACUUGUAAAGGUUUAUUGACACCUUAGAAGUCAAUUGUAAAAUCUUGGAGUCUUGGAAGGUUUAGAUAGUAGAAUUCUCAAGUUUGGAUUGCUUGGAGGCGUAGUCAUAGGCGGGUUUGCCGAACCACAUAAAAAUUCAUGUGUUUGUUAUCUUCUCCCUUAUCUUUUUAAUUUCACGCAUUGUUAAAUUUACCAUUAUUAAAUUUCUUGAAGCAUUUGUUUAAUUUGUAUUGUGUUUUUGUUAGUAUAAUUUUUAAUACCUAAUUCACCCUCUCUUGGGUUGCUUAGCUAGAAUUUUAUUUGGUAUCAGAGGAAGUUCUCUUAUUAUAACUUAACCAUCUAGAGUAAAAGAUCUAUAGUAAUCCAAAAUGAUCCCAGAUUUGGGAAAGGUUAAUCCCUUACUAGAUCACCAUUCUUUGAUGGGAAUGAUUAUCCAUGUUGGAAAAUUAUGAUAAGAAUUUAUUUGCAAGCAUUAUAUUAUGAAAUAUAGGAAGUUGAUUGUGAUGGUCCAUUCAUGCCUACUACUAAAAAUGAAGAAGGGAAAGAAAUUCUAAAACUUUCACAAGAAUGGAAUGUGUCAGAAAAGAGAAAAAAUUCUCUUAAUUUCAAAGUCAUGAAUGCUUUGUUUUGUGCCUUAAGGUUGUUCCAAUGCUUAUGAAAUUUGGAAAAAAACAUAAACUCGUUUAUAAAGCUACAAAUCAAGUUAAAUAGUCUAAAAUUAGUAGAUAUACUAGGCAAUACGAAUUGCUAUAAAUGGAACAAAAUGAGAGUGUUAAUUCCAUAUACACUAGAUUUACAAACAUUAUAAACACUUUAGAAGCUCUUAGAAAGGCCUUUUCAAAUAGCGAGAAGGUAAAAAAAAUCAGUAGGUCUUUACCAAAAGAAUAGAGACCUAAGAAAAUUGCCAUUGAGGAAGACAAUGAUACUUUAUCUAUUGAUGAUUUAAUUAGUUCAUUUAUUUCUUAUGAAAAGGAUUUGACAACUUGAAAAGGCAAUGAAGACGAGAAGAAGAAGAGUAUUUCCUUAAAAGCAUCAAGAUCUAAAAGUGACAACGAAAGUGAGAUCGAAAAUGAAGACAUGGCUAUGAUAGCUGGAAAAUUCAAAAAAAAUUUCAAGAAAUCCAUCGAGCGAAGGAAUUCAAAAAUCAGAAAGAAAAGGAGGCAAUUAUUUGCUUUAAAUGCAGGAAGCCUAGACACAUAACACUAGCAUGUCCUUUUCUCAAUAAAGUAAAGAAGAAAGCUAUGGUAGCAACACGGGAUGAUAGUGAUAAGGAGACUAUAGAUGAAGAGUAGUCUCAUGAAGUGUCAAAUUUGGCACUUAUAGUUAUAGGAGAUGAUUAUAGGAGAUGAACUUGAUGAGGUAAACCUCUUAGGAUGAGUUGUUUGAAGUAUUCUCUAAAUUGCAUAAAGAUUUAAAGAAGAUUGGAAUGUAAAAUGUUUCUCUUGGAAAGAAAAAAGUAGAACUUUUAUAUGAGAAUGACACUUUGAAUAAAAAGAUUAAGUGCCUAGAAUUAUUUGUGAAGAAAUUGCAUCUUUUAAAGAAAAAACAAAGUGUUUCAUCUAAGAAUAAAGGUUUACCUGUAAAUGAUUUGAAAAAGAAAAAUAAAAGAUAUUGCUUUAGAAUUUGCUUAGUAUUAGUCAAUUGUGUGAUAAAGGUUACAAAGUUAUUUUUAUGUGAUAAAGGCUAUAGAGUUAUUUUUUUAUAAAACAAAAUGUGUUAUUAAAAAUGCACGUGAUGGCAAAGUUUUAUUUGUUAGAUAAAGAUAUGUUAAUGUAUACACCAUUGAUAUAGAUUGUGUAUCAACUCAUAAUAAAUGUUUUUUUCACAUUACAUGAUGAUAGUUGAUAUGGCAUGGAAGACUAGGUCAUGCGAGCAUGGAUUUUAUUUCAAAAUUUUUUUAAAAUGAUUUGGUUAUAGGUCUUCCAAAAAUUGGUUCUAAAAUAGAUAGAAUUUGUGAAGUUUGCCAAUUUAGAAAACAAAUAAAAUGUCCUUUAAAAAUAAAAUUCAUAUUUCUACUUCAAAACCACUUUAACUUUUUCACAUGGAUUUGUUUGAAUUUUCUAAAUAUGCUAGUCUAAGUGGUAAAUAUUAUGCAUUUAUAAUUAUAGAUGAUUAUUCUAUAUACACAUGGUAUUACUCUUAACUAAUAAAGAUGACACCUUUAAUGCUUUCAAAAUUUCUAUAAAAAGGUUCAAAAUGAAAAAUGAUAUGUUAUUUCUUGCAUUAGAAGUGAUCAUGGUGGAGAAUUUAAAAAUUGUAAUUUUGAAAAUUUUUACAAUAACUUUGGCAUUGAGCAUCAAUUCUUGUCACCAAGAACUCCACAAUAAAAUGGAGUAGUUGAGAGAAAGAAUUAGUCUAUCCAAGAAAUGACUAGGACCAUGUUAAAUAAAAAUGCUUUACUAGAAUAUUUUUAGGUUGGAGCCGUCAAUAUUGUUUGUUAUGUUUUAAAUCGUGCAUUGAUUAGACCUUACUUCAAUAAAACUCCUUAUGAGCUUUGGAAAAAUAGAAAAACAUUGACUAUUUCAAAGUUUUUGGUUGCAAAUGUUUUCUAUUGAAUACAAAAGAUAAUCUUGGUAAAUUUGAUCUAAAAUCUGAUGUUGAUAUUUUUUCUUGGGUAUUCAAAUACAAGCAGAACUUAUAGAGUGUAUAAUAAAAGAACCUUGGUCGCUAAAGAAUCUAUACAUGUUGUGUUUGAUUAAAUCUAACUUUUCUUCUACGAAGAAAGUUGUUGUUGAUAAUGAUGCAUAUGAAGAGUUACAAAAAAAAAAGUCUUUAAAAGACAAACAAGAUGAUUUACUAGGAAAAAAUCAAGAUGAGCAACAAGAAGAACCAGUUAAAUAUAUUCAAAAUGAAGGUAAUUCACAAACACUCUCUAAGGAGCUAAGGUAUGUCUCUUCAGACCCUAAAGACUUAAUCUUAGGAGAUCCUUCAUGAGGUGUAACUACUAGAUAAUCACUUAGAAAUACAUGUGAACAUACUGUAUUCGUAUCUCAAGUUGAACCAAAAUCCUUUUCAGAUGUGGAAAAUUAUGAAUCUUGGAUCAUAGCAAUACAAGAAGAGUUAAAUCAAUUUGAAUGAAACAAUGUAUGGAAACUUGUUCAUAAACCAGAACAUCAAUCUGUAAUAGGCAGUAAAUGGGUGUUUAGGAAUAAAAUUGAUGAAUCUGGUGUGGUUGUAAGGAAUAAAGCUAGAUUAGUAGCUCAAUGAUGCAACCAAGAAAAAGAAAUUGAUUUUGAUGAAACCUUUGCACAUGUAGCUAGAUUAGAAUCCAUUACAUGCUUUUAUCAUUUGCAUAUCAUAAUGAUUUUAUUUUAUAUUAAAUGGAUGCUAAAAGUGCCUUUCUAAAUAGUUGUAUUAUAAAGGAAGCUUAAGUGAAACAAUCCCCUCGUUUUAAAAACGAAAAAUAUUUUUGGAUCAUGUUUACAAGUUGUCCAAAGUUUUAUAUAGUUUAAAGUAAGCAUCUAGAGCAUGACAUGGUAUACUUAGUAAAUUUCUUGUAGAAAAUAGUUUUUCAAUGGGUAAAGCGAAUACUACUCUAUUUGUUAAAUACAAGGAUCAAGGUAUACUUGUUCAAAUUUAUAUUGAUGAUAUUAUCUUUAGUUCUACUAAUGAGUUUCUGUGUAAGGAAUUUUCAUCUUGUAUGAGUAGAGAAUUUGAGAUGAGCAUGAUGAGAGAAUUGAAGUACUUUCUUGGACUUAAAAUUUAAAAAAAAAAUCAUUAAUCAAGCCAAGUAUUUUAGAGAUCUACUCAAAAGAUUUUGCAUUCAGGACUAAAGACACUCCAAUGAGUACUACAAUCAAGAUCGAUAAGGAUAAAAAAAGUAAAGAUGUUGUAUCAAAAGAUAUCGAGGUAUGAUCAUAUCUUUACUUUACUUUACUGCUAGUAGACAUUACUUUAGUGUAUGUUUGUGUGCAUGAUUUCAACCAUAUCUCAAAGAAUCUCAUUUGCUUGCGGUUAAAAGAAUUUUUCAUUAUUUAUGAGGAACAAUUGAUCUUGGUCUAAGGGAACUCAUAUAGAUUAGUAGCUCAAUAAAUUUGUCAAAGAAUCCCAUUCAACAUUUUAGGACCAAACAUAUUGAAAUUAGGCAUUAUUUCUCACGUGAUCAUGUUUAAAUGAGAGAUAUUGCUUUAGAAUUUGUUUCUAUGGAAAAAUAACUUGCUCAUAUUUUUACAAAGCCUUUUUGUGAAGAAUAGUUUUCAAAGAUUUGGCUUGAGUUUGGAAUGAUGACAUUUUCACAUCAAUAUUUCAUUACAUGAUAUUGAGACUACAAAUUUGCUUGAUUUUCUAUCUUGAUUGAUUGUAUGAUAAAAACUUGAUUUUAAUGUGUUAUAUGCUUGAAUUUACUUCUUUGAAUGUUUAUCAUCAUAUCUUAUGCAUUAAAAAUGGCUUUUGAAAUACUUCGGGAUCACAAAAUGGUCUCAAAAUUAAUUAAAUUUUGGCCAAAAAGCAAAAUCGUGCAAAAUUCAGGGGAACUAGCUAACCGUUAACCACAAGCGACUAGCCAAUUGUGAGGCAGAAACUAGCUGGCCAGCCGGCUUAAAGCAAACGGUUAAUUGCUUGGUUUCUAAAAAUGAAACGGUUAACCGCUUUCUUCAAGUGGCUAGCUGGCUUCACGUUUUCAAAUGUUGUUCAUCUUCUUUUUCCCACUUUCAGUUGUUACCCUCUCUCUAUCACUGUCAUCUCUCAUUUCUUUUACUCUCUCUCUAAAAUCUUCCAUUUUUACAUCACUUUUGUGUCAAAUUAAACUUUCCAAAUCAUUUCCCAUCAAUUAAUCUUCACUCAUUCGCUUUUAAAACACAAUCUAAUCACUCUUUUCUCAAAAUCUUAAAGCCUAAGUCACCAGUUUCAACAUUCUCAAAUUUGAACCAUUAUUUGACCAUUUUCGACCAAAAUAAACCCAUACAUUCCUUAGAUAUUCUCAAAGAAUAUUUUAACAUUUUAAUCGGUUCAAAAUCAUCUAUUUCUUUAAAAACUUACUAAACUCAAAUUUGUGCAAUUUUGGACACAUUUUGAUAAUUUCUUAAUGGCUAGUGGUGAGAAGUCCAAGGGUUAGCAUAUGCCUAAAAUGUAAAAAAAAGAUUCAUAAAGACAUUAUGAAAUUUAUUUCCACCCACUUUCCAAAUCCACCUCAAUAGAAUGAUUCUAUGAUCGAUUUAUGACAAGGUCAGUCCUCCCAUCCUAUAUAUGUUAAUCUUGAUUAAUUAGAAAAUUUGUCAAGUUGUAGCAAAACUUUUAGAACUUUACUUGCUGAAUUGGGUUGGACAAAUGUCUUAGUUCUUAAGGAACAUAUUUGUCCUAAUUUGGUACGAUUAUUUUAUUCGAACAUGCUUAUUUAUACAAUUACUGCCAAUAUGAUUAUUACUAAUGUUGCUGGGAUUCCUAUUAAGUUUACAGUAGAAGAUUUAAACAUGAAUCUCAGGACUAGGAAUGAUAGGUUGCAUUUGUAUACAUCUAGGACUAAAAUUGAUUAUCCCUGGUAUUCAGGACUAGGAAUGAUAGGUUGCAUUUGUAUACAUCUAGGACUAAAAUUGAUUAUCCCUGGUAUUUAGUUGUAGAUGAUGUUUGAAACAUAGAUGUUCGAAAAAUAUGUAGGUGAUCUGAUCUAUCCAUGGAGCUUUUUAAUUCCUCUCUUAGAUCACAAAUGUUGCCUCUUCAAGUUCGGAUCCUACAUAGUGUUCUUCAGCUUGCGAUCAGUCCUCGCAAGGGACAUGGUGCUAAGGUUACACGCUUAGAUGUUACUUUAUUAGAUAGCAUCCUUGAGGGUAAAAGCUAAAUGUGCGAAUAUUAUCAUUCAGCACAUGCUUAAUACACUGAGUAUAGGAAACCGAUCCUUUUCAGUUGAUAGUGUCAUUACCCAUAUCCUUCAAUAUUUUUGGGUCCCUAUAGCUGAACCAUCUCAUGAUGAACCCAAGGAGUUAGGGGAUGAGGUCAUUGCUAGCUUAGGAUUUGGGUGGGUAGAUGACCAAUAGGUUAAGAAUCAGAACUUGUUGAGCAAACCCACAAAGCUGGCUCUUUUUUAUCAUUGCAUCUUUAACGAUGUGCUUCCCAUUACUGGGUUCUUGAUCUUAGCUCUUCCCUGAGGUCACAAGCUCUACAUUGGCCUUCUGAUGCUCCACCACCAUCAUCUUCAGCCAUUCCCAAUAACCCAAUCCAGCAGUUGUUGAAUAAAGUGUGUUCCAUAUCCGAGUAGUAGAGCAAACUUAAGAUACCGUUCGCAGCAUUCCAGGAUCAUUUUCUUUCUGAGCAGCAGCGUCUCUUUCUUCAACAAUAACAAAUUCUAGACCAUCAGCAGCUUAUUUUCAUUGCUCUCAAAUUUUUGCCACCAUCCUUGUUAUCAUGUUUGCCGCCUCAUCAGUGAUUUUCUUUUAUCUCUUUUGCUUCCUUGUUUUAUGCACCGACAUUAUUUAUCAUAUGCAUUUUCGUUUUUAGCAUUAUGGAUACUUGAUGGAUGUUAUUUUACUUAUGCAUUAUAGAUACUUGAGUUAAUAUGGAUUAUCUUUAUGCAUUCUAGUUAUUGAUCGUGGUAUCUUUAUUAGUUAUCUUUAUGGAUUAUCUUUAUUGAUUAUGGAUUAUGUAUAUGGAUACUUGAUUAAUGGUCAUGUGUGGAUUCUUGAUUGAUGAUCUUUGUGGGGGAUAAUUAUUGAUAAUAUUUGUAUAAUAGAGGAGUGAUUUUUCAUGAUGAAGGGAGAGAAGAUAUUGACAUGUAUUUUGAAGUGUUUUGACAUGUUUUUGGCUCAUGGGGGUUGAUUGAGUGUUUGUAGUAUUUUAGUUACUUUAUGAGUCACUCAAGGAGAGUUUACAAAUGUUGUACAAUUAUAUGGAUCAUGUACUUAGAGGGAGUGAGUUUAUAUAUUUGGUUAUAUUUUUUGAAUUAUGUCAUAUAUUCAGGGGCAAUAGAAAUGUCAAAAUACAUAGAGUGUUUGUCAUCAUAAAAAAAGUAGAGAUUGUUGGGGUAAACGACUAUAUGAUCCUUAAUUUUGAUGAUAACAAACCACAUAAGGUAAAAUGGUAAAUUUAUUUCUCACAAUCUGACAAGUUCUUAAAGGACAAAAAUCACUCAAGUGAGAUCAAGUUCAAGUCACUCAAUGGACAACAACAAUCAAUGAUGAAUGCUAAAGGUACUAGCUUAAGCAAUCUUCAUAGUUAUAUUUCUUGUAAAGCUAAUAUGAUUUAAUGUAUGCAUGAUUUAGUAUUUAAGAGUUCAAGAUAUUUUUCAUACAAUUUUCAAAUUAAAUCAUCAUUUUCUAUAAUAUAAAAGUUUUAAACGUAAAUAAAAAUGAUUUUAUAAAAUUAGUUGUUUUCAAAUUUAUGGACUAAAUUGAAAAGUUUUGAGAACUUUGAAAUCAACUAGUAAUGUAUUAAAUUCUUGAAGUGGACCUAUUUAUAAAUAUUUCAAAAUUUUUAGGCCAUAGUAUAAUUUUAGGAACUUUUAGUUUAAAUCUAUAAAUUUUGAAACAGUAGCGACUAACUGCUUAACGAAUAGUGGCUAACUGCUUCAGGUCCAAAAACAUAGCUGCUAACCAUUUAAAUCAGGCGACAAUUCGCUUAGGCAAAAAAGUUUUUAAAUUUUAUUUGUAACGGUAACUUACCACAUCAAUAUAGCGACUAACUUCUUUAUUUUAACAGCAAUCCGGUAGGUCCUCAGAAAGUCAAUUACGACUAGUUUGAUUGUUUAAACUAGAAGAACCCAAAUCAAACUCAAAUCUAACAACUUUUUCAAUCUCAAUUAAGUUAAACUUGUUCAUACAACUAAUCCUGAGCUUUCAUUUUACUUAUCUACAUGCAUUAAAUCAUUAUUGAGUUAUCAUUUGCUUAUACACUCUUAUAGAGAUUAAUCUUUGUAAUCUUCAAUUAAAUAUCAAAAUUUUGUGAGUAUAAGUGUGGGAAACACUUGGGGAAAGAGGUAUGUGUAAACAUCACUACUUAUAAAGGUUUAUUGACACAUUACAAGUCAAUUGUAAAAUCUUAGAGCCUGAGAAGGCUUGGAUAGUGGAAUCCUCAAACUUAGUUUGCUCGGCAGCAUAAACAUAGGCGGGUUUUGCCGAAACAUGUAAAAAUUCGUUUGUCUGUUAUCUUUUCCUUUAUUUUUUUAAUUGCAUUCAUUGUUAAAUUUACUGUUAUAAAUUUCUUAAAGCAUUUGUUCAAUUUGUUUUGUAUUUUUGUAAGUAUAAUUUUAAUACCCAAUUCACCACCCUCUUAGGUUGUGUAGAUAGAAUUUCACAUUUGUUGUACAACAACAACAACAGCAAUAACAAUAAUAAUUGUUAUAAUGGUUGUAACAAUUACUAUUGAAAAAAAUUUAUUGUUAAUAAUAGUAGAAAAUAAGAAAAAAAAAGGAAAUUAUCCACUAACCAUGUAGUCUUUGGGACUUUUUCAAAAAUACACAAAAAAAAACUUUCUUUGUAGAAAUCCACCUAGAGUUUAUUAAUUAUUCAUUGUCAUCUUAGCUCAUUAGAUUCUUGUUGAUGUCAUAAGAUUAAAAUUAUCAUUUUACUUGAACACCUAAGAUUAAAAUUAUCCUUUAGAGUUUCUUUCGCUGGGGCUGGUGACCUUAGUGGUUAGAUUUGCUAGAUAUGGUCGUGAGAAACUCGACAAUGACCGAGGAUUGGCUGGAUUCACGGUGGUUUGGUCAAAAAUCUGACUUGAAUUGGCAUUUGUGGUGCUUCAUUCAUGUUGGAGAUUUUGAUUGCGAUUUGGAUAUCGACAAUGAGAAAGUGGCAUUUGCGGUGGCGCUAGGUGAAGCCCGGGUUUUGGGUUAGCGUUGUGGCGAUUUAUGGCGGUGAUCAUUGUUGGGUUUUGUCAAGUUAUGACCAGUGGAAUGUAGCAAGUUUAGUGGUGGUGUUGGUUGACAGUGAAGAUGGUUGGUUUCACGGUGGCAGCUGGUGGAUGCUCCCAGUUUUAGGUCUAGAUGAUUUAUAGUAGGUACAAGCGGCGAUUGAUGGCAGGAGUGGCUAAGGCUUGGUCAGUAGUGGCUAAUGAGUUUGGUAGAGGGAUUAGCCAAUGGUGAACUAUUAGUGAAGAGUGGCAGUGGCGGUGGGCGGCUGCUAAGGUUUUGUAAUUUUGUAAUAUUUUUUUGUUGGAUAAACAGUUAUGAAUUUGGUGGGGAUGGAUAUGGGUAGCCAGGAAAACUGUGCAAUUGGCAUUGAACCACUCUAAUACAAACUAACAAAUUGGAAUAGCGGAAGUGGAAUUGAUAGAGUAGGAAAUAUUAGCUAUCAUUCUAAUACUGGCUAAGGUAAUGUGGAUAGUUUACGUCCUAAUCGAAACGUGAGUAGAUCUCAUUCUAACAAUGGCUCAAUGAGAUUUUAAUAACGCAUAAAGCAAGAUUAGACGACGUUCUAAUCCAAAUAACUUUGUAAGAGAGAUUUUGAUAAAUAAUUUUAGAGAGAAUUAUUAAAAAGGGCUUUAUUAGUUGAUCAAUAGUUGAAGUUACAAUAAUAAGAUUUUGAUUUAUAAUAUAAUAAACCUACUUCACUAAGUUAACUUAAAAAGAAAAACUAAAUCACAAUUUUAAUAGAAAUAAAAAACUAAGACAUAUACCAUAGUUGACUAUAAUUAAAAUAGAAAACAAUAAAAUAAUAAAAAUUAUAGAAUCCUAAAAUAAUGUCUACAUCGUAUCCUCACUAAAAUAAAAAUAUAAAAGUAAAGCAAAUUGUGGUAUAACAGACUUUAAUUCUAUCACUCUUCAAUUUUUUUGUUUAUUAAUUAAUAUUGGUGUCUAUGGUUAAAUUUGUUAUUUUUUAUAACAAUUUUAUUUGUUAAUUGAAAUAUUUAGUCUAUGUAAACAAAAAAAAAAUGGUUGGAAAGAAUGAGAGACGAAGGGGGAGAGAGAGAGAGAGAACAAAGUCAAACAAAUAAUUUAUUGAAUUAUAUUUUAAAAUUAAAUUUUAAUUUGAUUAAAUAAAUGAUGUAGUGAGAAAAUGAGUAGGUUCAAAUAGCUUUACUUAUAUUUAUUUCAUUAAUGGCUCAAAAUUUAAUGAAAAUAAAUGGUUUUAAAAAAAUUGCAUUUAAGUUGCAUAAUUCAAUGAGUAGUGCCACACAUCCUAAAUCUUUUAUCUUAAAAAAUUAUCUCAAAUGAUAUGGUAUUCAUCAAUAGAUUGAAGAGAUAAUACAAUUAAUUCACUCAAAUCUUGAAAGAAUUACCUACUAUUCAAGUAAUGACACACCAUUUGGGAUAAAAAAAAUUUGGAAUAUCUAUCAUUACUCUAAUUAAAAAUAAACCUAUCACUGGAUGAUUAAUUAUAGUAGGUUGCUUAAUACUAAAAUGUCACUCAUAAAUUUUGUUUUGGAUUUGUAAUUGAUUUAUCUUAAUUCUUCAACUUGACAUAAGGUCGUUCUCCUCGUUUCUGUACACUUAAAAGUCACCAAGAUCAAAACUAGAUCUGUCGUUGCAUUUGCUUGAAAAAUAAUUUACAAGCACUAGGUUCUCCUGAUUAAGCAACAUUUUUAAAGGGUUAUGAUAGUAGUGGAGCACUUUGUAAAUAUUAGAUGGAUUGUUGAAAACAAUAAAAAAUGUUUGUGUGUUUUUUAUAAAGGCUAAAAGAUGAAGUGGUCUAUGGAUAAUUACUUAUUUUUUCCCUUUUUAUCUUAAUCAUAUUUGAACGACAUCCUUUUAUAGUUCCCAGGCAUUCUGCAACUAUAAUAGACAAUUUUAAUAGGAACUACAGAGAAAAUAUUAAUAUUUUUAUACUUAUUUACUUACCUGAUGGAUAGCUAGAUAAGUGUUACUUUUCACACAACUAGACCAAAUUAGUACCCUUUUUGGUUGGUGAAAACGUGAUUUUUAUGAAUAUGCUAUAGAUGCUUUCAAACGUUUCCACAGUUUACGAAUUUACGCAUUAAACGAAAACCUCCAACUAUCAAACAAAAAGGUGAAAAUUCAAUAGAAUCGACAACUUCUCAGACUCACGUAGGUGGUGGUUCAAGUUUCUAAACUACUAUUAUUAUUAACAGUUUUGAAAAGCAAAUAGUAACUUCAUUUCACAGCAUCUGCUUUUGAGAAAGCUCAGAUGUAAUCAAAAUUCCAAAACCACUCUAAAUAUGUUAGGGAUAUGACCAUAAAUAGAAGUUAAAUAUGAUAGGAUAUAUAGUUGUUCAUAGCUAACAUUUGAUGGUUUAAUUAUUUGUUCUAGGGAUUAUGCGCUGAUUAGUGUUUUUUGUUAUCCACUGAAUGAUAUUCAGUUUUUCUUACAUGUUCAUAGGCAAGAGCAUUUUCUAAGUACUUUCCUUCCCUUAAAAUUUUGAAAGAAAGAUAGAUAUGAUAUGUGAAGCAAGCCCAAUGAAAUAAGCAAAUAAAAUAGAAUAAACGAAGCAAAAAUAUUUCUAGAAACAAGAAAUGACAAAGGAAACACGAAUACAACUUUUUUCUUGUUUUCCUUAUUUUCCACUGUUAAGCUCCAAAAUGAAUAACUUUAUUCUACCAUCUCUCAAAUAAUAAAAACAUCAACAGCACAUCAUCGUCAUCAAUAAUAAUAAUAAUAAUAAUAAUAAUAAUAAUAAUAAUAAUAAUAAUAACAACAAUAAUAAUUUAACUUUGUAGUAUGGAGCUCUCGCAAAUCUUCAAGACACAAAAUGUGCCUGACCCCGUUGUUGUUAUUAUAAUUUCAAAAUGAUUUGUAUUAUAUAAAAUUAGGGAAUAAGACAUAGCAAAAUUGAUGGUACAUAUGUUGCAAUAUACUUGUUCAUGUAGCGACACAUUAAAGUAAAGCAAAAGCGAAACAACGAAAAAUGUAACGGGAGAGCUCUUAUUAUGUAGAUUUUCAAUAGAAGUAAUGCAAAUUUCACAAGGGCAAUGGCCUUAUUUCGAAUGUUGCACCGGAGGAAUGACAUGAACCUUCGAUACGUCACAAAUGUAUCAUGAAAGUGUGAUAGAUUUGUGACAUAUAUUUAUUUAUUUAUUUAUUUUUUGGUCUUAACCACGAGGUAUUCUGGGGAGGGCUCCAACUGUGGAAAACAUCUUUAAGCCCGUACCACAACUCAGACUACAAGUUUCCGCUCGAACCGGGAGGCAUAAGUUCUCCCAACAAAAGCGACUUUCCUACAACUCGAACUAGGGAGCAAACCCAGUCAAGCCACUUAAGGGGACUCCAUUGCCAGUGGAGCCAACACUUUGUUGGUGUGGCAUAUAUUUAUAUGUUCAGAGUUUAUGACAUAUUCAUGACUUAUAACUUAACUAACAUAAAUAAAUGAUAGAUAUAAGUGAUGCUCAAGUUUUGUGGAUUUAUAAUAUCAUAAAAUGAUGACUAUUUAAACGACGUCGUUUUUAUGAAACUUAAAACAUACCAACACUUCAGCCAAAUAUCGACAAGUGUUGAAUAAACCCCUCUCUCGCUGCAACCUAAAAUCAAUGAACUUUGAGCCAUUCUCAACAACAUUGUGUAGAACCCUAGCCCUAACCCUCACUUCCACCACCGAUAAAGCUAAGAAAGUUUUCCGUAUAUCAGAACCAUGGCGAAUUGCCUUCAGCUCUUAGGACCCAUAAUAAAUCUUGUAUUCCCUCGCUUUCACUUUGCUAAUUUUUUGUAUUAUUCCAUCUCUUUCACUUUAAUAACCCAAAAUCUUUCUCUGUUUCAAUCGAAAGAAGACCCUAGCUUAAAUUAAGCUGAAAUUUACAUAUCAAAGCUCUCGCUCAGCUUCCCUCCUUCAAUUGAAACAAAACGAAGCCAUAAGACCCCAAUAUGCCACGCCCUUUUGUCUCAGGCCAACAUUCAUUUAAACCCUACCUUUCGGUUCAAUGCCAUUUAAUGCGAUUGCAGAUGCCGUUUCAACUCAUUAUUUAGUUAACGCCAUUCAGUUCUUUGCGGUAAGCCUUAACCCUAAUAACUAAUCAACUGUGGUAGCACGUUGCUGACUGGGGUGGGAAUACAUUAAUUGAAUAUAUGAAUUGGGUGAUGUCAGUGAUUCAUCCCCCUAUUUGCCGUUAAUGGAGAUUUGUGUAUAAUGUUUGUAAGAUUGUUAAAAAUUUCAUGUUCCAGUCGAAUUUCUUGCUUGUGGAAGAUAAAACAAAAGUUUAAUCUAUAUAUAUAUAUAUAUAUAUAUUAGCUUCUUUAUAGUCAGGCUCUGGCUUUGCUGCUAUGCUUAGUGCAGUUUAUGGUUUCAAGAUUAAAUUAGGUUUAUUUGACGACAUUGAUAUCUUAUCUAGCUCCGCUUGAAAAUGAAAAUGUUGUACUAGUAAUCAUAGACUUUGUUUAUUCAGUUGAUAUUUUAAUUAUACAUAUAAGAAUGAAGGUUUAUUUGGGAAAAAAAGAAAUAAAGAAAUAGGCUCUGUUGAAGCUAAUUAAUACUUCAUUCUUUCUAUACGUGCGACCUGUGGUGGAAACAUGAUAUGAAAAUGUGUUACUGGUGAGGUUGCUGCUUGAGAUGAGAAUGAUGAGAAUGCCUUCUAUUCGGAAAUCCUUGGUAGGUAUUAUAUAAUUAUAUUUGAUGGAAUAUUAAAUAGCUAAAGAAUCUGUGAUAUUGUCUUUGUUCAAUUGUUACUGUAGUAGUGUUUGUUGGUCUUUUUCUGGUUGGCGUUUGGAUGUUAAUGUCAUCAUCAGUUGUACUGGUGUGGGAUCCAGGAUGUUGUCCUCUUAAGAGCCUAUAAGCAAAGUGAAACAGAGAGUAUCUGAGAUUUUUCUGGGCCUUUCGUAGAAAAUCAAGGUGAUGAAUGACAGGAUUCAACAAAUGGGGAUGGGGAUGAUGUUCCUGUUGAAAAGUUAGAGAAUAGAGUGGAAGAUAAUCACGAAGAGAUGAAUAUGUAUGAGGGUGAUGGUGAGACGAGUGAAUCUAAGAAUAUGGUUAAUCAAAACCAGGAAGAGAAUUUAGUGAAGGAGAGUUUUGAUGAGAAUACUGAGUCUGAAGAGGAAUCUAGGGCGGUGUCUAAAAAUUAUGAUGUUAGAAAAAAGGAAGAUAAGGAAUCUAAAAGUGAAGGUGGAGAUUUGAAUUAAGAAGCUGGAGAAACAGAAGGCGGCGAAUUGAAUAAAAUUGAGCAAAUUGAAUCAGAGAAGAGCUUGGAUGAAAAUAAAUGGAUCAGGCUAGUCAGAUUGAAAAGGAGAAGGAUUCUCAAGAUCAAGAUAAUGACACUGAGAGUCGUUGAAAGGAUCAGGCUUCAACUGAGAUUUUUCCUUUUGGUGACUAGUCAGAAAUUCUGAAGGAAACUAAUGCUCAGAAUGGGGCUUGCUCAACUCAACCUAUUGAGUCAUAGAAUCAGAAAAUAUCACAACAAUCUUCUAUAUCUAAGGACCAGUAUGGUCGUCGCUGGAAAGUGUGUAAUGCCACUGCUAGGCCAGAUUGCAUCCCUUGCCUGGAUAAUUUGCAAGCAAUUAGAAUGCUUUCCAGCACAAAAGCAUUAUGAACAUCGAGAGAGGUAUUGCCCUGAAGAAGCUUGUACCUGUAUUGCUCCUUUACCGGAAGGAUACAAACACUCAAUUAAGUGGCCCCAAAGCAGGGAUAGGGUAUGAUCUUAUAUUAUGCAUUAUAAAAUAUAUACUUGACUACUUUUAAUUCACUUGGGCUAAGAUUUGUUCUCAUGCUGUGUGGGAUAGAUUUGGUAUUAUAAUUUUCCCCACACAAAGCUUGCAGAAGUUAAGGGUUAGCAAAAUGGGGUUAAAGUUACUGGUGAAUACCACAUUUUUCCAGGUGGCAGAACUGAAUUUGAGAAUGGUGCUCUUCAUUACAUUGACUUCAUUCUGAAGGUGAGCAUUUUUCAUUUAUCAUUUUAUGUCUGUUGUUAGCUUCAAUUAAUAGGUGGCUUAUUCUUUUCUUUGUAUGAACCAUGGGCGGUCCAUUUCAUCUUAUAAGCUAUUUCUUGGGUUUUAGCAAGACAACUUAUGGAGGGUAUACAGAGGCUCAAGAGCUCGAUUGCCAUUCAUUUUACACUUGGCUGGGCUAUAGUAUACCAACUAGUGAUUAAUAAAGAGAAGGUAUGAAGGUCCUGUUGCUGGUGGUAUUAUCAAUCAGAAUUGUUAUUUUACUUAGUCAUACUUACCAUGUAUACUAUUCGUAGGCUUUUUCAUUUUCAUGCAUUCGCAUCAUCUUCUGGUUAAGCUACAGAUGGUUGAUUUGUGUACUCAUUUGUAUCACUUGUAGCUCUUGAGGAAUAAAAUUUAAAAUUAUGUUGCAUCCCUUGUACUAAAUAGUAAUUUUGUUGGCUUUAUGCAUGGGAAAUGGUUUGUUGUCUUAUUUCUUUGAUGUGUAUGGUGUUACACUGUCUAAAGUUAAGAAGUAUUUCUAUCACUUGUGUAAAAAACAACCUACUUUUUUCAUUCUUCUUAUAUUGAAUAAAAGAGGGACACCAAGAUUGAACGAAAUUUGAUUCAGAAAGCAUAGCAAUUAGGCCAGUUCAAAACAGCUUCCUUCUGAUUCUUUGAUAUUUGACUUAAAUCUUUUGUUUGUUUCAUUUAUCAAAGUCAUUUUGGAAAGUAACGGGGGUGAUUUGAUAUUUUCAUUGCAUUCACAUCCCUUAGGCACCAAAACAAGCAUGCUGGUACUAACCAACAAUUUUUUAUUUUCAGUAUACAAAUUAUUUUUUUCUAAAUUAGGGGUAUUAAGAAAAGGUAUACUAGCACCAGGGGAGGUAUUUGAGAAUACACAAAUACAAUCUAUUAAACUAAGAAUAUGUCAAACUUCAGGGGAGGUUUCUGAUAAAUCUCUUUUACUUUUUCCUCCAUUCACCAUAGGUUCAAUUUAGAACAGUUGACCAAACCGAAGGUUUAGGUUGGUAAACGCACUAGUGUUAAUGUCAACAACCCAAGGGGCUUCAUGGUCCUCUGGGCUGAAAUAGCGUAAUUAUUAAUUCUCCUCCAGUGAAAAUCUUCAUCUUGGGACAAAUAAUUACAAAUUGACAUUAUGGCUAUGCAAAUUUUGAGGUGUAAUAACCGGAAAAAUAAAAAUCUUAAGAGACUUUUUAAAUAAAAAAGAUACAACACCUUUAAUUUGCUAAAAGUAAUGAUAUCAUUACUUGUAUGGAAAAUGGAUGAUUAGAUUUUCUUUUUUGUUAUCCGACGAAGGAUAUUCAGUUGUUCUUUAUUUGUUCAUAGGCAAGAGCAUGAGCAUAUGCAUGAUUUGAUAUAUGCUUCUUGCAUUUUCUAAUUAAGUGCUCUCUUUCCUUGCCUUCUUAGUUUUGAAAGAAAGAUGUGAAGCAAAGCAAACCCAGUGAAAUACACAGAGCAACAGAACCAUCAGAGGAAAAACUAAAUAACAGAACUACAAUUGAACCAAACAAAAUCAAAUAAACGGACGCAACAGAUGCCCUGAACCUAGUAAUUACUCAAGAGUUGAGGAGUUGGAAUGAUUUGGUAUUCAUAUCUUCACAAAUCAUAUGCUUUAAUGCAGAAUCGACAGCUUUAUAUUAUUUUAUUCAAAAAACGAUAAAGCAGGAAAACCACAAUAAUCCACCAACUUUUGAUACUUGUAGGAAUUUUUUUUAGUCAAAUUAAGUUUCAUGAUAACACAAGUGGCUCGUCCACACACUUGCACUUGCUUGAAUAUUUGUGCCGACAUUUUCAUAUGUGAUGGUACUUCUUAGCCAGUAGAUAUGUUGAAGUACUACAAAACAGAGUAUUUGAUGAAGUUUUGCUACUUUCGUAUCCCAUUUUGUUGCAUAACUAAAUUCUUUAUAAACACAAAUUAGAAAGCUACAAAUAAUACAGUAGCUUGAAUUUAUAUGCUUUUAUGAUUAUUUGAUAAUCUAGUGCUGACAAUAUGUGAUGAUAAACUUAGCUAGUAGUUUUAUAUUUAUUUUCGUAGUUUCUUUAGCAUUCACAUUUUGAUGAGUAAAUUAAGGAUUUCCAGAUGAAGUACAUAAUCAGAUUAAUGCUAAGGAACUGAAGUUUGAUUAAUUGAAAACAAAAAUAAUAAUGAAGGUAAUUACGAAAAUGAACAAUGCAGAAGUAGUCCCUAUAGUAUUUCUAAAUUUUCUCUUGGGGUUCCUUAGUAUUCCUUAAUAUUUUUAAAAGAUGACAUGACGAUCUUUGAGUUGACAAAUCUAGGCCUGCUGCUUAGUACCCUUCCAACAUUUCAAGUACUAGAUGUUUUACUGAGAAAAUGACAAGAUCAUUUAUCAAAUUUCUUGCGCAUAUAUACAUAUGCAUACAAGAAAUGGGAAUCAGAGUGAUUAUAAGACCUUGCAAUGAGACAAUAAUACAUCAUCAAAUUUAAAAAUACACAAGAAAUUUGUGACGUAUAUAUAACAAAAGACCUCUCAUUGAGUUAUACAUAUUGAGAAUAAAAUGUCAAAAUGCAGACAAAGAGCUUAUACAGAAAAUGAAUAAACCGUCUUUGAACUUCCGAUGGUCAAACAAAGGAAACAGGCAGGAUAUAACACACACUAUCAUAGAUGUAGCGACACGAUGAAGUAAAUCACAUGAAGAUGGAAAGGGGAACCCCUCACAGCAUAAAAUUUGAAUAGAAGGGGGAAAAAGGCUUCAUUUCAAAUGUUGCACAGAAGAAGAGUGACUUGAAUCUCCAUCAGUAUCCAGACAUUCUGCAAACACAGUGCUGAGAAUUUUAACAAGAAUAACAGACAAAAUAUUGUGCUCUCUAUACUUUCACAAAACUAGACCAAAUUAGUUCCCUUUUUGGUUUGUGAAAACUUGAUAUUUUUUAAAAUUCUAUCCAAUGCUUUCAAACAAUAUUUCCACAAUAUAGUUGUUCAUAGCUAACCUUUGAUGGUUUAAGGAUUUGUUGUAGGCAUAAUGGGCUAAUUAGAUUUUUUUUUUUAUCCGAUGAAUGCUAUUCAGCUGUUCUUAAUUAUGUGUUCAUAGGCAAGACCAUUUUCUUAAGUACUUUCGUUGCCUUCCAAGUUUCCAAAGAACAAACAGAGCACAAACAAAUAUAACGGAACAGCAAUGAUGGCAAUAAAUAAUUGGCAAAGAAAGAAAGAAAAAAGUUUGCAUGAUUUCAAGGAAUUGUAAAAUCUGAAGACUUUCAACAGGAAUUAUAAAAUCUGAAGACUUUCAACAUGCAAGUGUUGCCCCUUUUGAUGAAAUUUCAUCAUAAAAUGCUUGCAAAGAAUUAUAAAAUUUUAGAGAACAAGCGAACUCUCAAACAAAAUACUCAAAUUAAAUUAAAUUAGACCAAAAGACACUCAAUGACGCAAAAUCUGCCCAUAAAAGCCUGAACAAAUCAUGAAAAGUGCAUUCCAUAUUGACAGUAAACCAAGUGACCGAUUCUAAAUAAUUGAGAUGAAAUUGUGAAACAACCCACGAGAUCAAAUAAAUAAAAUAAGAAUUAAUUACCAGCUUUGACUUUCUUCUCCAAAUUCGCAACUCCAAGACAUAAGAAGCCAAUGAAAUUAGUCGUAACCCAUAAAGUACGACGACGACCCCGCCAAUAGCUGAAAAUAAAAUACUUAUUCAUCAAUUUAAACUAACUUUAUAACAAAUAUCUUAUCGAUAUUUUAUUUAAAAAAAGCAAAUUUGUAAAAUUUUUCCAUGGGAGAUAGAGAGUAAUAUGUAUAUCCGUACCUUUUCAGCAUGUAAUUGUUGUAUGGUUGUGUUAAGAUCAUUAUUUGCCCAACGGCGUUGAUCCUCUUACUCUCCAUACGAGACGUUUACUCUCGGAGGCGUGUUUGAUUCUCCUGAAGUGAAAGUCUUCAUCUUGGGACAACCAAUCACUUCUAGAUAUUCCAGAGAUGGGAAUUUGAAGGUGUAAUUGGCAGAGCAGAAACUUGUGAGACUGUCUAAAUCGCACAGAAUCAACGCCUUCAAUUUGCUGAAAACAAUCUCUUCUAUGUCAACUCCUUCUUUGUCAUUUAUUACCACCUCUGUCAUUGCUCUGCAUCCAUAUACUUGCACUGAUACGAGUCGCACCAGAGUUUUUGCUGUGGAGGAUGUUACGAAGUGUAUCAAUUCCUUGCAACCGACAGCUACCAGUUUUGUUAGGUUCCGAAAAGAUACCGAUGAUGAUGGCAAUAGACUUAACAGAUUUUGACAAUGAUAUACUUUUAGAAUUUCAAGAUAUUGAAAAAUGGAGUCAAGUUUGGAGUCUUGUUUACAUAGCUGCUUCAGAUGAUUAAGGUGGCCCAGCUCUAUACAUUUUAUCAUUGCCAACUUCCUCAAACGUUUCUCUAAGCAUCCUUCCGUUGAAAAUAGCUCUUCGUAUGAACAAUGAUACAGUAAGAGUAAUUCGAGAUUGUGAAAUCUCUCAAGUACAUUCCUGAUUGGAAAACAAGCCGAGUCAUCAUAAGUUAUGUCUAGUUUUUUAAGACUGCCAAAAAGGUGUUGAGGGAAAUCGGCGUCCAAAAUCAUCUUCACAUCUUUUCCGCUUAACGCCAGUGACUCCAAGUUGGGUAAGAUCUGAUCAUUAUCAAUCACGUAGUAACUAAUCAGUCAGUUGAUGUUCUCUCCAAUAAUUUUGAGUAAUCCAAUCAUAUGCAGCGACCUUAUAGUACUUGUUGUAGAUUAUAUAUAUUUUACCAAAAAAAAAAAAAAAAGAAAGGAAAAAUUGAAUUAGUGAUAAAAUUCAUUCUAGGGGCCGUUGAAUUAGUGAUAAAAUUGAAUUAGUGAUAAAAUUCGGUUAUAUUUUUCAAAGUCAAAAGUCGCUAAUGAUCUAAUUGAUAAGAAAUCUAGAAAGCGGCUUCAUACCUUUUUGAACAAGAAUAGGGGCCGUUGUGCAGGAAUACCAAGUUGAUCAUCCUCAUUAUUUUGUGAUGAAUCUGCAGCGAAUGUCUUCAAUUUGUCACAACCAGACACCACUAAAAUUUUUAGUGCAGGCCAUUCCGAAGUAAGCAUUCCAUGGUAUAAACAUUUAAGUUCUGGUAGCUCUUGGAGUAUAAGAGUGGUCACCCGUUGAAAGACAAAACGAGGGGUCACAUGAUCUACUCUGUCUUCCGAAAUGAUCUCUUGCAAACCCCUACAAUUCACUAUCUCUACUUGUUGGAGAUGCUCAAAGCUUUGAAUCAUAGAAACUAAAAAUAUGUAUUUCAAUUUGUUACAGUGGCACACAAUCAAUCGUGUUAAACUUUGAAAGCGAGGAAGCAUGACCGGACGAUGAUUGUAAUGCCAAAUCUUGUCGACAUUAAUUUCAGAUAUCUCCAAAGCCUCCAAGUUAGGCAAGCCUACCUAAAAAAAUAUUAAUUUCUUGUUAGAUCCAACAUCCAUAUGAGAAGGACUUAUUGAAAUUUUCUUCUUUGAUUGCAGAUUAAUAAUUCAAGUCAAAAUCAAUUUCCAACUGACAGCUGAGUAUGCAUUCUAAUUCAUAUUACUUGUUAAGAGCUCAAUUAGUGAGUGCGUGAGAUUCUUUUUAUCUUUUUUUUUUCACUUUCUUUCAAUUCUUUAAAUGAUUUAAUUAUUUUCCACGUAUGACAUCAAAAGAGAAUGCACAAUAGCAUAAAGAAAGUGUUAGCCUACGCACCUUGCCGUUGAAAAGCAGGGUUUCCAAAUUGAUUUCGUUGGAGCAAGAACUUGUCAAUUCCUCUUGCAGCCCUUGUCUGUUUAGUGAUGCUGAAGGAGUCUUCAAUUUACGGAAAAAAGUUGUAACCUCUGGAAGAUUUCCUAAACUCAAAGAUCUUAAUUGAGCCAACUCUAUCUUCUCAGUAGCAUUAUUGUUGUCAACAUCAGCUUCUCCCCCAGUUGCAAAAAUCUCUUUCAUCUUGCUGCAAUUAAUAACUGCAAUUCUCUCAAGUCUUGGAAGGCAUUUUGCAGUGGAGAGCCAGAAGAUAUUACUCAACUCAUUACAAUUUUCUACUUUUAUUGUUUUGAGUUUAUUGAAAGACUCUACUUUGAGUCGAUCAAUGCAUAUCCUCUCCAUGUUGAUCAAAUUGUGAAGAGUCAGCGACUCCAAAAGAGGAAAGGCAUCACAAGCGACCAUCUCCAUUGAGUCGACAAUACAAAAGAAGUCAGGAUUAUUUUGAACCCAGAGAAGCUUCAAUUGUGGUACGCCCUUUGUGUCCAAAUCGAAAAGAACAUUUUUGACACCUUGUAGCUUGUCCAACAAUAAGUAUUCAACGUUAUUGAUGGCCUGCAAUUUCAUGGAGCAAAUGUCCAUAAAAUCAAGCUUGAGCUUCAACUCUCUUAAACGCUCAUGAUUAUUGUUGAUCAAAAAGUGCGACCGACUGCGAAACCAAUCUUUUGUAACAGGCAAGGAAGCCAUGAAUGACUUAUUUCCAAUAGAUAUUUUGAACCUUUUGAGCUUUCUGGCCAAAAAGCCUUCCGGUAAAAUACUGUCAUUUUUAACAUCAACACUUCGGGAAUGUCAUUAAUAAUACUAUCUUUUAAAAAAAUUGCAGGAUAUUUUUUUAAUGCAUCUGCAUCUGGCCAUUUCCACAAAUGCAAUUUUGUCACGACAUGCAAUUGAAAUGGCAACAUCGCGAACAACAUCAUGCAUGGAAAAUAAUUUACUGCUACCAUCCUUAAGCAACAAACAAGAGUCUCUUAGUUGAUUGACCCAUGCAUCUAAUUUGUUAUGUGCAUCUUCUAGUUUAUGGACACUUUCAAAUGCACCCAAGCCCACGCUAUAUUUGAACAAGUCCAUAAUUGAAGUUGGUGUAAUUAGACUACACAGUAAAAAAGUUUUCUUGAGUUGCUCACCUCUUAAGUACUUGUAACUCAGCUCAAUUGUUGAGUAUGCCUCUACUGGUACUCCUCCGUCGAAGCUUGCCUCUGAAGGCGUUUGGAGUUCUUGCAAGGCGUUUUUCCACACAGGCAGCUCUUUGUUUCUCAGUGCCUUUGCUACUGUGGUUAGGGCAAUAGGCAAACCUCCACAUGCCUUGGCUACACUUGUUGCUGUAGAUUUUAACUCACGAUUUUCAACAUAAUUACCAGCCAUUAUCUUGAACAAUCUCCAAGCUUCUUGCUCAUUUAGAAUGCAAAUCAAGAAGUUAUUUUCAUAUCCCAUACUUAACGAGACAUUACGAUCCUUUGCUGUUAAUAAUAAUUUGCAUCCUCUAUGAUCAUCGCCAAAAGGAAUUCCAACAGUCUCUAAAUCAAGAUAUUUCCAGAUUUUGUCCAGAAUCACAAGGAUCUUCUUAUGAUUCUUCAAUCGUUCAUAAAGUUUACUAGCUCUUCUAGAUUCAGCCUCCUCGGACAACUCCAGACCUAGUUUCUCUGCAAUUUCCCCUUGAAUCUUUUUUAUGUCUGGAGUUUGGGAAACCUCUGAAAAAACCACCUGAUCAAAGAGUUUCUCUUCACUGGCUUGCCUUGCAAACUCCUUCACCAGUGUUGUCUUUCCAAUGCCGCCCAUGCCGUAUACCCCAACGAUGCUGACAUUGACAUCAGUCAAUGCAUCUUGUAUAGACUUCAGAGUAGAAAGUCUUGAUUUAAAGGCCUCAUAACCUUUGUUAGACUUUAGCCAUACCUCCUCCACAAUGGUACGGUAGAAAAUUUGAUCAUCAAAUCUCCUAGCUUCUUCUUUGAGUUCAACAAGGGCCUUCACCUCUGUUUCUGCUUUCUUGCUAAGCUGAUAGCGGGUCUUCAAAUUAGGACACAAGCCCUUGAAACAUCGCUUACUUGUUGUCUCCCCAUCUUCAAUGAAUUUGGAUGCCUGCUCAAUGGUGUUGUUCGCACUAACCAGCUAGUUCUCAACCUUCUCUUCAAUCUUUUCUCCUUUUCUUUCAGCCUUAGAAACUCUGUGCUGAAUGCUCUUACUUUCAUCCUUGAGCUUGUCUAUUUCUGCCUUGAGAUUCUCAAAGUUGGCUUUAUAGUUACGCAAAUAACCAAGUUGGUGUUCUGUUGGAGGAGCGAAGCAUUUCACAACUUCUAACAGAACAGUAACAAUGCUUUCCACCAUCUUCGAUCCUCUUUUUUUCAAAGUUCCGAAAUGAAAAUAAACGACGAGCGAAACACAGAGAGAAAGAGAGGCAAAAAAAAAAAAAAAAAAAAAAAGAAAAUGAAACAACAAAGAUGACAAGUGUAUCUGUUUGUGGAAGCGGAGAAAUCAAAGAAAGCUUAAAAACUGUUGUGAAUCUGGUGAGAAGAUGGAAACAAGGAAAAGGUUUCUAGUUCAAAAGUGAUUGAAUUGAUAUAAGGAAUGAUUUAGAUAAUAGAGGAAAAGUGAAUCAGUCAAAAUAACUUAUGUAUUGACCAGAAGAAAGAUGCAAACAAUAUUGGAGACAACAACAACGCUAUGUGUUGUGCGCAGAAUGCGGAAACAAGUGCACUGAAUAAUCACAGAAAAAUAAAGGACACAAGAAUUACAUGGUUCGGCAAUAUGCCUACGUCCAUGGGAACAAGAGAAAAAUAAUUGUAUUAUUAACAAUUAUAGUACAAAUUUGAGUAAAGAAAUCUCACUUUCCCAUAACCCAAAUACACCAGUACUCUCACACACACUCUCCAAUUGCUCACACUCUCACAACUCUCAAAACCUUAGAAACUUAUACGCUUAACAAUUUAGGGAUGAUUUACAAAUGAAGAAUGCAUCUAUAUUUAUAGCAAAAAACGUUGCACUAUUGCACCAUCCGCUUUGCAAUUUGUCAAUUCUCCUAUCUGUCAAUUUGACAAAUUUUACUAACCUUUUUCAUUUUUCUUCAUUUGGUGCAGGAUUGUCAAAAGUCAUAUAUUCUACAGCUUGCAAUUUUGGUGCCGACUUUGAAAAACAAAAGCAAUGCAUGUGGCUCACUUUUAUUUUUCAACCAAUUUGAAAAAAACUCUUUGACUUUUCAACAAUUCUCCACCUCGGCGAAGAUUUGUUCAAAUCUGAGCCGACUACCAACCAAUCAUCAUCCCCAAAGUGGCUGCAUCUCUGUGACUGCCUACGUACCCAAAAUUUGGGAUCAAGCCAACCGUAGUUUAAAAUUUCCGAAGGACAUAUCUUAACACAAUCGAAGGAUUUGAAUUAGUUUCAAGCAAUGUUGAAACUUAACUCCAGAAACUACCUUCGUCAACAUAUCUGAUGGAUUAUCUUUGGUAUCGAUCUUUCUCAACAACACAACACCGCUCUCGAUAAUCUCUCUCACAUAAUGAUAUUUCACAUCUAUGUGUUUCGUCCGAGCGUGAUAUGUUUGAUUCUUCGCAAGGAAUAUCGCACUUUGAUUAUCACAGAAGACCGCAAUGUUCUCUUGGAUUACUCCUAAAUCACCUAACAAGCCUUUCAACCAGAGAGCUUCUUUUACAGCUUCAGUUACUGCCAUAUACUCUGCUUCCAUAGUGGACAAAGCAAUUAUCGAUUGUAGAAUCGACCUCCAGCUAACCGGACCUCCACCCAAUGUGAAUACGUAGCCCGUUGUUGAUCUUCGCUUGUCAAGGUCUCCAGCGAAAUCAGAAUCACAAUACCCAACACAUUGUUGACCACAAUCAUUCUUGAACAAUAACCCAACAUCAACUGUCCCAUACAGAUAUCGGAGAAUCCACUUUACUGCAAGCCAUUGAUUUAUACCCGGAUUGUGCAUGUAUCUACUAACCAUGCUCACUGCUUGAGAUAUAUCAGGCCUUGUACAUACCAUAGCAUAUAUAAGACUACCCACAGCACUAGCAUAUGGAACACGAGCCAUAUAAUCGCGCUCCUCUUGAGAUCUAGGACAUAAAGAAGAGCUUAAUUUGAAAUGAGGAGCUAAAGAUGUACAUACUGGUUUAGUUUUGUCAUCCAUGCCUAAUCUUUUUAGCACUUUCUUCAAAUAAGACUUUUGAGUCAACCAUACGCUCCCAUUCUUCUUGUCUCUACGAAUCUCCAUCCCAAGUAUUCUCUGUGCAUCACCCAAGUCUUUCAUCUUGAACUCAGAAGCUAGCUGCUUCUUUAAUCUUUCGAUCUCAUCUCUAUUCUUCGAAGAUAUAAGCAUAUCGUUGACAUAGAGUAACAAAUAGAUAAAAGCUUUAUCUAGUAGUCUUCUAAAGUAAACACAAUGAUCGUGUUCGCUUCUAGUGAAUUUCUGCCCUUGUAUAAAUUGAUCAAAUCUUUUGUACCACUGCCUUGGCGAUUGCUUCAGUCCGUACAAAGAUUUAAUCAACCUACACACAUGAUUCUCCUUUCCAGCAACUUUGAAACCACAAGGCUGAAUCAUAUAGAUUUCCUCCACUAAAUCUCCAUGUAAGAACGUCGUCUUAACAUCCAAUUGAGCCAACUCUAACUCAUAUUCUGCAAGUAAGGUAAGUAGGAUACGAAUGGAAGUAUAUUUUACAACUGGAGAGAAAACUUCAUUAUAUUCAAUACCUUCCUUUUGAGCAAAACCUUUCGCCACGAGCCUUGCCUUGUAUCGAGGAAUUGAUUGCUUCAGAGAUCCUUUCUUCUUGGUGUAGACCCAUUUAUUCCCAAUAGCCUUUUUUCCUUUUGGUAACUUUACAAGUUCCUAUGUCUGGUAACUUUACAAGUUCCCAUGUCUGGUUUUGAUGGAGAGAUUUCAUCUCUUUUUCCAUGGCUAACUUCCAUUGAUCACUUUCACUGCCGCGUAAUGCUUCACUGAAAGUGUUGGGGAUGUCAUCAUCAAUAACUAGAAGUGCAUAGGCUACCACCAUGUAUUUAGUAAGCCAUCCGGGUUUCUUUAUCUCCCUUCUUGGCCUCCUUAUUGCUAUAAAAUCAUCAUUAUCUACAUCAUAAAUUGUUUCUUCAUUUUGUGGGACAUCAGAAGAAACAACCUCUUCUUCAACUGUAGGUGUCACCUCCAUAGUUGAACCCUUCUUUGAUGUAGAAUUAACUGGUACAUAUGAAGUUGCAUCAAACUUCACCCGCUGCAAUACCUCUUUGGUCUUGUUCUCCACCUACUGAGAACUUGAAGCUUUCAUCAUUAAAGCUUCAUCAAAUGUGACAUCUCUGCUACACACAAACUUUUUGUCUUCGAGAUUCCAAAGCUUGAAGCCCUUUACUCCAUCUUUGAAUCCCACAAAGAUAGCUUUUCUAGCACGAGGAUCCAGUUUACCAUCUUUGACAUGAUAAUAAGCUGGACACCUGAAUAUACGAAGGAAAUCAUAGUCUUGUGCAUGCUUUCCAGACCACAUUUCCAUAGGAGUUUUACCUCUAAUUACAGUAGAAGGAACUCGGUUUAUCAAGUGACUUGCAUAGCUCACAGCUUCAGCCCAAAACUUUUUAUCUAAACCAGCAUUAGAUAAUAUACACCGUACUUUCUCCAGUAAAGUACGAUUCAUGCGCUCAGCCACACCGUUCUGUUGCGGAGUAUGUCUCACCAUGAAAUAUCUUUUAAUACCCUCGUUCUGGCAUACUUGCAAGAAUGGAUCAGAAGUAUAUUCACCCCCAUUAUCAUAUCGUAAUACUUUGAUCUUUCUGCCAGUUUAAGUCUCUACCAAUUUCUUCCAUUUCACGAAAAUCUCUAGAACAUCAUCCUUUGCUCGCAUGGUGUACACCCACACACGUCUAGAGAAAUCAUCAACAAAUGUAACAAAAUAAUGGCUUCCACCAAUUGAUGCAGUCUUGGUUGGUCCCCAUACAUCACUAUGAACAUAUGCAAGGAUCUCACGAGUAUCGUGAUUAGCCGUACCAAACUUGACCCUUGUUUUCUUGCCUACUACACAAUGCUCACAGAAAUUUAAUUUACAGGUUUUGGGACCUUUUAAGAGUCCGUGCCUCAUCAGAGUUUGCAAGGACUUCUCUCCAGCAGUCACAGUCGUACAUGCCAUAGCUUGGUGGUGUCACUGUGCGCCUCAACAACAUUUGCUUCAUCAAUUGUACCUCCCUUCAAAUAGUACAGAUUAUGACGCCGAACCCCUUGUAGAAUCACCAUAGCCCCAUGUGUAAACUUCAUUAUACCAUCUUUAAUGGUAACCUUGUAGCCUUUACCUUCCAAAGUACCCACAGAAAUUAGAUUUUUCUUGAAAACUGGAAUAAAUCUAACCUUUUUGAGUUCUCUGACCGUUCCAUCAAACAUUUUGAGCUGAAUUAUUCCUAUCCCCAUUGUGCGACAAGGUUGAUCAUUCCCCAUCACAACUGCACCAGAUUCCAGAUUACGAAAACCCGUAAAUCAUUCCUUAAUAAGACACAAAUGAUAGGUUGCUCCAGUAUCAAGUAUCCACUCGCUCGAAUUAGCUACAUAUACUACAGGAGUAAUACUUAGUGAAUAAUCAGAGUCUUCAUCUUUCCAUGCCAUGUUUGCUGGUGCUGGUUUCUUCCCAUCUCUCUUUUGAACCUUUGGCCAAUCUUUCCUCCAAUGGCCAUUUUCAUGACAAAAUGCACACUCAUCUCGAGCUAUAUUUCUGCUUCUCAAUUUGGAUCGAGAAUUUUUUCCACCAAGCUUUUUCUUUUUCUCCAUCACCCAAUCUUUACUCACCAAAGCUUCAAACGAUACUCGUUCAGAAUUUUUAUCAUUAUUCUGCAUCUCCAAGUUAGUCAAUGUUGUGCAAACAUCUUUGAAGACGAUCACACUCUUCCCGUAUAUCAAGGUAGUCACAAAAUGACUAUAUUCCUCUGGUAGUGAGUGUAACAAAAUUAUAGCUUUGACUUCAUCCUUAAUAUCUUCAUCGAGAUUCUUCAAAUCAGCAGGUAACUUUUCAAAUCUUGAGAUAUGAUCGUGCAUUGACACCCCAUGCUUCAUUCGAAAGCCAUAUACUUGGCUCAUUGUAUAAAGACGAUUUUCAGGACUUUUCAGCAGGUACUUCUCCUCCAAUGUACGCCACAAAGUCACCGCACACUCCUCAUCUUUCACCAAGUAUUUCACCUCCUUGGUCAAACAAGAUCUGAUCUGACCACAAGCUUUCUCGUUCAUACGAUCCCAAAUUUCUUCAUCAUACAAGUGUCUUUUAUUUUUCAGAACAACAUCGAGAUCGAUUUGAAUAAGGACAUCCAUAACUUCGCGCCUCCACAUGCCGAAGUUGAUUUUCCCAUCAAAUUUUUCAACAUCGAUCUUCUGGCCUCCUAUAACAGGUGCUGAGUAGGGAUUUGACAAAUCUCGCCUCCCACUUGAACUGUCUCCUGAAAUAGUCUCGGUAGAUCUCUCCUUACUUCUGGAAGUUUCACCUUCUACCAUUUUCUCAACGAACUAUUUCCACUUGAAAAACAGCCUCUGUGAUGUUAAUUUCGCAUGAAUAAAUGCACCAGGAAAGUUCCCAGGAAACUGGAUGGGAACUCGGUCCCAAUUAAAAACCAAAAUCCUUAGACGCUUAUUGCCUUGUUGACAGAACUUUCCUAGACAUGCAAAAAGACACACUACUUACAAUAGACUGUCUCCUAAAUACAAAUGGCCGUCUCAACCGUAUUCGUGAACAGUACCGUAUGUGAACAAUACCGUAUACAAGAAUAGUACCAUAUGUGUGAAUAGUAUUGUAUAUGUGAACACUUCCGUAUAUUAGAAUAGUAUCGUUUACGUGAACAGUACCGUAUCCCCCCAAGUACGAACCUUCGGCUCUGAUACAACUUGUUGUGCGCGGAAUGCGGAAACAAGCGCACCAAAUAAUCACAAAAAAAUAAAGGACACAAGAAUUACGUAGUUCGGCAAUAUGCCUACGUCCACGGGAGCAAGAGAAAAAUAAUUGUAUUAUUAAUAAUUAUUUAAGUACAAAUUUGAGUAAAGAAAUCUCAUUUUCCCAGAACCCAAAUACACCCAGUACUCUCACACACACUCUCCAAUUACCCACACUCUCAUAACUCUCAAAAGUUUAGAACUUAUAAGCUUAACAAUUUAGGGAUGAUUUACAAAUGAAGAAUGCAUAUCUAUUUAUAGCAAAAAACAUUGCACUAUUGCACCAUCCGCUUUGCAAUUUGUCCAUUCUCCUAUCUAUCAAUUUGACAAAUUUUGCUAACUUUUUUCAUUUUUCUUCAUUUGGUGCAGGAUUGUCAAAAGUCAUAUAUUCUACAGCUUGUAAUUUUGGUGCCGACUUUGAAAAACAAAAGCAAUGCAUGUGGCUCACUUUUCUUUUUCAACCAAUUUGAAAAAACUCUUUGACUUUAAUUUCAACAAAUAGAGAUGGAGAAAAAGAAAUAUCUUCACACGGUGGAAGUACAAAGGGUAGAUAUGGAACCAAACAGAGACAACAACAGGCCACAACUAGAUUGGGAAUGGAGAGAAACAAAUUAACAAAGACUGGAGAUUACAACAGAACAGAUGCCAAGAGAAAAGGGUUUCUUCAUCCAGUGAAAUUCAAGUGAGUUGACAGCAAAAGGGAGCAUAUGUGUUUCUUGAUUGAGAACGAGUGCAAAGGAUGACUUUUUAAUGAGGUUCUGAAGCUGACGGAUAACGAUUUGCUAAAAUUUUGAGAAAGUUAUAUAUUUCGUAACUUCAACAAGUGAAGAAUAAAAGAAUAAUAGUUCGUCAUCUUCACAAUGAAGAUCAUGGCCGAGAUUAAAAGCUAAAACUAGUCCAUUUGAAAAGCCAAAGUUCAAGUUCCUUGGCUAAGUUCAGAAGUGAAGCAAAGAAUAAAUAAAUAAAGAUCAAGGGAUGGGAAUAAAGUCACCCCCAGACAGUUGCAGAAAGAUUAUUAUUUGGUAAGUGUAGUUGAUUAUUAGUACAAAACAGAGUAGGUGAAACACAUCCUUUCUAUUUAGACUGAUCAGCAUCUAAAAUUUUAUGAAUUAUGAGUUGCAUUUUACUUUGUACAUUAUGUUAACACAUUUUAAUUUAGCCAAUUUUGCAAUAAAUGUUAUUGAUGUAUUAAAUAGAAAAUGAAUUGAAUUCCACUCAUCGUCAUCUUGGCAAAUCAAGUCAAAAAAUAAAAAUCCAUAUGCUUUUGUUAAAGUUAAAAGCUACAUAAAUAAUAUCACAGAAGCUUCUGCUAAGGUUCAUGUGAAGUCACAGCUUUGAUACUUGUAAUACAAGGAGCACGGAGAAACCAUAAACUUCAGUUUAGGUAUAUACAUUGCUUGUCUUUCAAACUUGAAUUGAUAAGGGGGAAAAAAUAAUACUAAAGCAAACAGAAGGAUCAUUUAGUUGACAAAAUUAUUAGCUGAUAUGCAUUAACAACUCCUAUCCUAUACUAUCAGCCAGUAGGUUGUUGCUGCUUCCCGAUUUUUAAUGAUGCGAACAUCUCAUACUUAGAAAUAAGGGCGGAGCCUGGAGAUUGAUUUAUAAGAUAAGAAGCAACAUUGUGUACAAUAUCAGAUUUCCAAUGUGAGAAAAAUAAAAUUGCGUUAUAAAAUUAAUCCCACUAAGAAAGUGGUCUACGAAAUUGCCACAUUAAAAGAAAUUUUUUCCAUAAAUUAAAAUAAAAUUAAAUGAAAACUAUUUUUCAGUAAAGUCAAUUGCCCACGCUAGGCUAAGGCGUUUGUUUUUUUGUUUUUUUUUUUUUAAAUCUGAAUAGGUAUAAAUUUUUCGUAAGCAUGAAUGGGCUGAGUACAAAUAUAUGAAUGACAUAUUUAUUUUUAUUUUUCUUAAUACCCGAAUAUAAGUGACAUCUUAUUUAUCUUAAAUAUGGUUAUUUGAUAUUUAUAUUUUUACAAAUCAAAAUAAAAAAAAAAAAGUAGUUAGAUUUUAUAGUUUAAGAAAUAAAUAUAUUUUAUAAAAAAAAAUUUAGAAUAUAUAUUUACUUCUUAUUCAGACUUUUUUCUAUUCAAUAAAAUUCACAAAAGUUACUUUUUCUAUUCAAAUGUAAAUGCUUAAAAAUCAUAUAUAAGUUACAAAAAAAAAUUUGGAAAAAGUCAUAAAUUAAUAAAAUUUCAGAUUUUAUAUAUUUAACUCCCAAUGCAGAUCCGUCCCUAUUAGUGUUAGGAAAUUGACUGGUGAAUGUUGAGUGUUAGAAAAUAGGAGAAAAUCGUCAUUUUACACUUCAAGUUUUACUAACAUCCUUACUUUUACGUAUUUAACCUUCUUGUGAUUUAAUUACGUGUUUUUUUAUUUUAAUUAAGUAUUUUAUGUAUUUUAGUGGCAUUAUAGUCAUUUCACAAUGAACGAGAGAUCAGACGGCAAAACGGACAUCACUUUUGAACUCAGGACGGUCGAAAACCUUAGGAGGAGCAUAAAAGGAAAAAUGACACUGUUCAUAUGUACGGUACUAUUUACAUGUACAGUACUGUCUACGUUACUGUUCACGACACUGUUCACAUAGACGGAUCGAUGAUGUGGCAUUGACCGAUGAUAUGGCAUUGACUGAUGAGGUGUCACGAUCUUGUUGGACUAAAAUUCUUAUGCACUGUUGAUUGGUGACGUGGCAGCAUGUUAGUGGACCAAAAAUUGCGCGUACGGUACAUGCAUAUACACAGGAUUAUUUUCAACCAAACCGCGUUACUGUUCAAGCCGGGUCAAACCGUGUUACUGUUCAAACCGCGUGGUCAAACCGCGUACUGUUGACUGAUGACGUGGCGCAAUCCUAAACGUCCAAACUGUUUUUAAUCCGAUGGCCAUGAUUUACUCAAUGUAUCUAUAAACAAGAUCCUUGUUUAUGGCUCUGAUACCAUAAAUCUUGUUGGUACGUGGCGUUGUUUUACCAUAAACAAGGAUCUUGUUGGUACGUGGCGUUGUUUUACCAGAUCAAUGCAAAAGUUAAUCUGCCUUAGGGACCAGAUCUGACUUAGAACAGAUCAAUAUCCCGCAUGUUCGGGUUUUCAGCCGAUAUACCACAAAGGCUCAACGAUAGUACUAGAUCUGGAUCCCAGAAAUAGUACUCUGAUUGAAUGGAGGGAGAAGAGAAAUACAACUAAGGUCAGAGAUCCGGUCUCUAUGCCUUAGAGGAUAUGUAACAGUUUAUAAAGAAAUUUAAAUAGACGUAAAAUAAAUUACAAAAUUUAAAACAUACAUGCUUUAUAAAAUUAAAAUAUUAAACUUACAUAUUAUUCUUGCUUGAAUCCAAGAAACCUUUACGUUACAAUAUAGUUUUACAGAAUAGGAAAGAUGAGAAAGUUCGGAGACAGGAAAAUUUCCUCCAAGUCUCUGAUUUCUUUCCAGAGGAGAAUACAAGAAGAAGUAAAAAAGAGAAGUGUCCUCCCCUUCUGCUCGAGGCCUCGAUUUAUAGAAUCAGAAGUGCCUUGGUAGCUGCAUCAGACCACUACUUGGAGAAACGUGCUUGUGGAGACAGCAUCGUCUGCUUUAUCACGUGGAGACAGCAUCUUCUGCUUUAUCACGCGGAGACAACAUCUUUUGCUUUAUCACGUGGAGACAGACAUCUUUUGCUUUAUCACGUGGAGACAGCAUCUUCUGCUUUUUGAAAAGCGUUGACGUGGACCAAAAAGUGAAAAUGAAAAUACAAGGAAAAAUACAUAAAUACAAAUUAUUUACAUAAUACUAAAUGAACAAUACAUAUGAUAAUUACUUUUUUUUUUAAAUGGUAACUUUAAAAGUGCUUUAUGGGAGAAAGAAUCCCGAAACAAUCAUCUUUAUUGUCGUCUCCCAGGGAAAUGAAUGGUUCAGCUUCUUCAUCGGUAGAACCUGCUGCAGAUGGUUCAGAUCUUGAGGCAAGGAGGUGUUCUAUAACUUGAAAAUAUUCGUUUUCAGUCUUUGCACUGGCCAAAAGAGAUUGGGCUUUUGACCGUUGGGCUAAGAAAGUACUCUGGGUUUUAACAUCUUGAAUGCUUGGCGCGAGAAGGCCUUUUGAGGAGAGCCAUUUCUGAACUGUGGCUACAGACAGCUUUGACUGUUCAUCAAACUUUGACCACCAUUUGACUUUAAAGGUUCUUUGUAGAAUGAAUUGGGCUUCCUGUUUGUGGUAUUGGAAAUUCCACAUCCAGACCCAAGGAAGGAAAAAGUUUGUACAGAAACAAAGAAAAGGAGGAAACCUUUUCUCGGACUCUGAAGGAACAUAAUGGGCUUUAAAAAUGUUUAAACAGUGAAUGGCAUUUGGAGUUAAAAUAUCGGGGCAUGGCCCAAAAUAAUUCCACCACUGUUGGAACCAGUUUGGAAGACUCUGAACGGUUAUUUUUGAAUUAAAGAAAAAUAACCAAGAAUGGGUCUUUUUUGGGUUUUGAAUAAAGAAUGUGUUAAAUCAGGCCUGUUGAUAGUCCCAGUAAGAGAAAAAUAAACAGUGGUUUAAACUCCGUUGGAAAUUGGCAGGAAAGGUUUUUAGUUUGUGAAGUUCAUCACCCCACUGUUUUGGACUCAAGACUUGUAAUAUGGUGGCUGUGGAAUAGGCGGGUCUUUAUGGGAUUCACUGAGGAAGAAAUGUUUGAAUUUUACAGACUCAGUGUAUUCCAGAAUGCUUUGGUAGAAAGACUGGGGUUUUGUCAAAUCCCAAGGUUUGAAAAACCAGCCUUUCGGAAAAAUCUUUGAAAUGGCUUGAAAUGGAUCAGAGUGAUAAAAUCCAUCUUCUAUAGAUAAAACAUUUUGAUGAUGGGUUUUAUUAAACCAAUCCGAAGAUUUUUUAGGAAGAUUUUGUUGUGAAACAAUAAUUUGAGAACUGGAACUUUCUCCAGAAAGAACUAUAUUUGAAGAGGAUUUUGAAAUAUCUUUAGAAAUAGUCUUUGAAACAGUUUUUUCUUCUUCAGGAUUUUUAGAAAAAGCUUUAUUUUGAGAAAUGCUUUGAAGAGCUAAUAAGAGUUCAGGAGAAUUGGAAAUGGAGUUCAUCCAUUCUUUUACCUGUACUUCCGAGGCGAUAGCUUUAGAAUGAGCUUCAUGCUCCUCAACCAUAUCAAUCCAAGAUUUAAUAGGCAUGGCUGAGGAUAAAAUUUUGUCUUUAGGAGGAGUUGAUAAAGAUUCUUUAGAAGCGGGUUGAGGUGGAGGGUCUUUGAGGACACCUUUUCCUUUGUCUUUUUUGGGCGGCAUUAUCUGUUUUGAAGAAAUUCCCUAGUUAGAAAGUCAGGGAUAGAAUUUGUAUCUCCUUUAAUAAAGUCAAUAUCAAAGUCAAAAACACUUAAAAUAGUUUGCCAUCGUGCAAAAAUUUGUUUUGAUGCAAUGUUUUGAACACCUUUUUCUAAAACAUGUUUUGCAGCUUUGCAAUCUAUCCUAAGUAAAAAAUUUUGAUUUAAUAAAUCACUUUGAAAUUUGGAUAUGCAUAAAACAAUGGAUAAAAUUUCUUUUUUAAUAGUAGAAUAAUUUUUCUGACAUUCAUUCCAAUGAGCAGAAACAUAUUGAACUAUUUGUUCUUUAGUACCAUUCUUUUGUUUUAAUAUUCCUCCAUAACCUAAAUCUGAAGCAUUGGUUUCAACAAUUUUAGGUAAUACAGGAUUUGCAAGAAACAAACAAGGGAUUUCUUUGACUGUAAGUUUUAUUAAUUUAACAACUUUAGUGUGUUCAUCAGUCCAAACAACAGGGUGUUUCUUUAAUCUAUCAUGCAACGGUUUUGAAAUCCUAUUAAUGUUAGGACAGAAAUCAAGAACAUAAUUCAAACUACCUAAAAAUCUAUGUAGUUGAGUUUUAUCAAGAAUUUUAUCAGGGAAUUUGUCGGCAAAUGCAAGAGAUCUUUCUAUAGGUGUUAUAGUACCUUUAGAAAUAUAAUGACCAAGAAAUCUAAUUUUGGUCUGAAAUAAAGAAACUUUAGAAUUAGAAAUAGCUAAGCCAGCUUUUCUAGUCGCAAACUAGAAAGUCUUUAAAUGUUUGAAAUGUUGAUCAAUAGACUGAGAAAAGAUUAAUACAUCAUCAAUAUAAACAAUGCAAAAUUCUGAAAAAGGAUUAUAAAUAUCAUUCAUUAUCCUUUGAAAUUCGGAAGGUGCAUUUUUUAAUCCGAAUGGCAUUACUGUCCAUUCAUACUGUCCAAAAGGAACAGUAAAAGCAGUUUUGUAUCUAUCUUUAGGAUGGAUUUGAAUUUGCCAAAAUCCUGAUUUCAUAUCAAAUUUUGAGAAAAUGAAAGCAGAGUGCAGUUUUUGGAGUAAAUCUUUUUUAUUAGGUAUGGGAUCCCUAAUCCAUUUUAAUGCUUUAUUAAGAGGUUUGUAAUUAAUAACUAAUCUAGGUGUUCCUCUUUCUAUUUCAGAAUUCUUAUUGACAUAGAAAGCGGCACAAGACCAAGGAGACCUAGAUUUGACAAUGAGUCCUUUAGACUCUAAAUCUUUGAUUUCGUUUUUACAGUGUUGUUCUAAGUCCAUGUUCAUUUGGAUUGGACGAGCUUUAGUGGGAAUUUGUCUUUCAUCAAAGGAAUUUUCAUAAGGCAAAUCAACCAAAUGUUGUUUUCUAUUCCAAAAGGCAGAAGGCAAAUCAGCACAUAUUUCUUUUUCAACUAGGGUUUUAUAUUCAGAAAUUUUUCUCUUUGAAAAAUCAUUUUGCAAUUGGCUUUCAAUUUUUUGUAAAUUCAAGUCUUUUGUAAACAAACCAAGUCAUUUUGUCUAGACUUGAGUAAAAUAUUGAUUUGGUUCUGAUAAACAGAACAUGCUUUUACAAUAUUCAAAUUUCUUGUUUUAGGUUUUUCAAUAAAAGGAAAAAAUAAUUUUUUGUUUUUUGCGUUAAAAGAUAUACUAUCAUAAUUGACAGUAUAAGGAGUAAUAAGGUUAAUGAAAGGAGUUCCUAAAAUAACAGUGUGAUGUAUGUCAUUUGUUAGGACGAAGGAAGUCCUAAAUUCAAAACCAUUAUUAUAAAUUGAGGCAUCAACUUUAGAUUUGACUUUUAACUUCGAGUUAUUGGCGACAGAAAGUCUUUCAUUGGUUUUCUCAUGAAAUCCUUUAGGGACAAUAUCUUCUCUAAUGCAAUUUAAAUCGGCACCUGUAUCAAAAAGGGCAAUUGUGUCAAUCUCAAAAUCUUUAGAAAGAAUUAAGGUGAUUUUAAUCAAAUAUUUUCUAGUGGUGAUCUGUUUUAAAACAAAAAGGAAAUCCUUGGGUAAAGAUUCAAUGUUUUCAAGGUUUUGUCCUUCAUUAUCACCAUCGGAUUCUGAUUCUUUAUUAUAAUUAUCUUGUAAUUGUUUUUGUAACAGAAGUUGGAUGGUUUCAGAAUCACUUUUCUGUUUUUCUUUCAAGUUUUUUAUCUCAAGUUUGAUUUCUUUUAUCUCUUUUUGGAGAUCUUGGAUAUUUGGUAUUGUUUUCUUUAUUUUCUUAUUGUCAAGGAUUUUUGUAAGAUCAUAAGUAUUCUUUUUAAUAGUAGGGGCUUUAGAGGUUUCUGCUUUAUCUCCUAAAUCUAAAGUUUUUAGGAGUUUAUCAAGGUACUCUUUUUGAAGAGUAUGGUCAGAAAUGUGUUUAACUAACUCAAGAAAAGUUUCUUGAUCUUUAGUUAACACAUUAACUUUCUUAAAAUAGGAAUCUGUUUCAGCAUCACUAUUACUAGUUACAGAUGUAUCUGAGUCAAGUAAUUCAUCAAUCUAUAAGGGCUCACUAUCUCCCGUCAUGGAAGAUUUAGAAUCAGAAGAUUCUACAAGUAAAGGGGCAACUUUAGAAAGUGUCUCUUCAUCAAGACCAAGUUCGUGAAGUUUUGUAUUUACUCUACAAAAUUUCUUGGUGUGGCAUUUUCUUCCACAUUUAAAACAUGUGGCUUCUUUGUAAUUGAAAGGAGGUUUUGUUGUGGCCUUAGGAUCCUUUCGUUUAGAGAAGCGAGGCUUCCUAUAAAAUUUCGAAGGUUUUUUAUAGGAAGAUUCCCUAAAAUCCGGAAAAGCUUUUUUACGAUUCUUAGAAUUGUAAUGUUUUUUGUAAGGUUUUGUAGAACAUUUACCAUUACAAUCCCUGGAAGUAGAGGCUUUAAAAGGAUCAUAGUUAAACUGUUUACAGAAACUGCCUAAUUCUUGCUUAGAUUGUCUAAGCUCCCAUUUUAGACGCUUCUGUAAUUUCAUAUCUUGGCAAAUCUUUAAUCCUUCUUUAUUGACAAAACUGACCAAUUCACCAUAGGUGAGUUCAUCAUAUGGAAUACGGUUGUCAUAAAGAGCUUUAAUGGAAUUCCUAACUUUUUCUCCUAAGAGAGUGGGUAAACCAGCAAGGAAUUUUUCUUUCCAAGUAACAUGGUUUGCAUCAUCUCGGAGAAAAAGUCUAGUGAAGAAAGUGGUUUUAUAACUUUGGAAUUCACUAAGUUUCCUACAUCUUAAGUUGUGUAGUAACUCAGCAUUUUUAUCUCUAAGGUGUGAAGGAUCACCUAUGAAGUGUAGAGAAAUAGUAAGGAUCAGGGUAGCUACAGCAUCUUGAAUAGGGCUAUUGAAUUCAUCACAGAUAGGUGCUCCAUUUUCAUCUGUUUAAAUAGCAUUAAGAAUAUCUAAUUGUUGUUGUUUGGUGAGAAGAUGAUCCCACCAGCCUUUAAGUUGACCAGUAAAACCAGCAAUGAGGAUCUCUGCAAUAGCUUUGUCAGAGGUUCCUGACUGGGUUUUAUAAGCAUUAGCUGCCAUGGUCAUCUGUUGCAACAAUCCUAAAAUAUUAUAUUCGGACAUACUAUCAAUGUUCCACUCAUAGACAGAGGAGGCAUUAAAUCGUGAUUGGUUUAAUGCGCUUGGUCUGUUGUCUAUGGCUAAGUCAGGAGGAGAAUUGAUAGUAGGAAGGGCUAAUUCCCAAUGAAUUUUAUUGGCGUUAUGAAUAGGUUCAUUUGUAAAGGCUUCUAUAUCUAAAGAGGCUAUAGACACUUGGUCUUGUUCAAGUACACCAAUUUUGCUAGAUUGGGCACUAUCAGGAGCUAUUUGUAUCUUACUAGAUGCAGAAGAAGAAGCUUCGAUCCUAUCUAGUUGUUCUCUAAUGGCUUUAGCAAAAUCUGAUUUUGACUCAUGGGCAAGCUUUUGACUAGUUUUCGAAACUUGGAAGGGUUUGAAAAUAGGCUCUUUAAGCCUUUUGUCAAUAUCCGAUUUUGAUGAACUAAUAGGGGAAACAACUAUUGUUGACUUUUGGAAUUGGUUUUCUAUUCUAGUCAACUGCUUUCCUAUUGUAUUUAGGUUAGUAUUACAGAAAUUAUUCUGUUGGAUAAUGUUACCUAAAUUAGUCUCUGGAUCAUUAGUUUUAUGGAUUUUAUAAGGUGAGGCUUUAAUUUGGACAGGAGGUUCACCAUGGUCAAUGGUCAGACUCCUAAGAGGUGGAUGCUCAGAUUCUAUAGUUCUGUCACUGUCAGAAAGAUUCCACUCAGUGAUCUUUUUUCUAACUGUGAUCGGGUUAGAUUCUUUAAAAGGAUAUGUAAUGUUAUUAUCAGAAGCAUACAUAGUCAACAGAAUGUAUAGAAGAGCUAGGUAUAUCCGAUGUGGAAAACCUAGGUUGACUUUUUACAGGUUGGAAAGGAAGAUUUAUAACAGAGGGAAGUUUUGAGAAUUUUCUCUCUAAAGAGGCGAUACUAGAACUUGAAUCUUUAUCAGAAAACCUAGAUGAUGUGGACCUUCUAAAAUAUAGUUUGACUUUACCAUCAGAAUAUUGAGUCACAUUUUGUAACACUGUAUUUGGUUCAAGUUGUUUUGGAAUCACUGGUUCAGUGGCUCCUUCAAGAAUCCAUUCUUCUGGAAGAUUGACAUCUUUCCAUUGGAUUGGUUUGGGAACAACAGUGUUGGCUUUAGACAGGUCAGUCUGCAAGAGAAGAGUCUCAUCUCUUUUUGACUGAAAUUUAUGUUGUGUAUUAAACGCAGAAUUCAUGGCUUUGUAUGAAAUUUUGAUAAUUAAGGCAACUGGGACAGAUCCCUCAAUCAUGUGAUAAUUAUGGGUUUUGAUUUGUAAAAUCAUGCUUUUCAAAAUGUUUUUGUCUUUUAAAGAAAUUGUUAUGUUCGGGUAACAGCUAAAUGAGAUGGGACCUUUACAAAGACUUGAUUCUAUACUACUUAAUAAAGAAUCAUCAAAAGAGAUGAAUCGCCCAUCUCUUAGGAUAGCAAGAAUAGAGGUAUUAAGACCUUCUUUAGUUAAGGGUUUUAUGCCAACUUGUAUUAAGCCGAUGUGAACAUAAUUAAAGUUCUUUUCUUUUAGUUUCUUUAAAGAGUGUUAUGAAAACAGGUGAAUUGUUUCAAAUGGCUUUGAAAGGGUUAUGUCACGUUCUUCAGUUUUUAUAACAAAAUCAGUCUUUAAAAAAUCAAGCUUUUUUAUUUUGUAAAUCAUGUCUUUAGAAAUCUUUGGUAAUUCCCAAUUAUCAAUUGCUUUAUUAAAGUCUUCAAUAAAAAAUUCUUCUGAAUUUACAACAUUCUUAGAAUCACUAGUCCUUCCAGAAGAAGAGCUAGAGAAAGAUGAUGCUCUACAGAGUAGAGAAUCCAUAUAAGCUGGAACCUAUAAAUGAUCUAGUUUUACAGGAAUGGAAAAUCAAUCCUAGGCUAAGAGUUGGUUUUACUGCCCUUCAACCAAAUCGGGACUUACGACCAAAUACUACCAAGGCACCCAAAGGUAACACCCUUUACCACUCAAGCAAAAGUUUAAUCACAUACAACUUCAGCCUACACAAAAACUCUAAACGAUAAAACACGACCCCCCUGGCUCUGAUACCAUAAAUCUUGUUUAUGGUAUAUAUAUAUAUAUAUAUAUAUAUAUCUUUUUAAUAUAUUCCAUUACUUUAAUAAUCAAUUUAAAAUAGUUUGUGAUAUUUUCAGCUAUUUACUUAUCUACUUUUAGCUAGUUAUUUACACCGAAUGAAGUGCUAGGGUCCAAAUUUUAGUAUCCUUCUCAGCUGUUUGGGGUUAGUAAAUACUAAUUAGCAUAUUCGUCCCGAACAGCUGUGUAAAUGCUGUUAGAUUUCGGAGAGAUGCUGAGGAUGGUACAAGAUUUAUCAAAUUGUGGCGACAUUUUUAUACCUUUAGAAUUUCAAGAUUUUGAAGAAAUAAAUGGGAUCUGUUUUCCAUAAGUGCUCCACUAUCCACCAGGAGGAAUUCUAAAAUACAUUACAGAUUAGUGAUUUCUCAGAAUAAAUAAACACAUAUUAUAACAUUAUUUACUUAUUGUAUGACUGAUAUGAUAUUUCUGAGAUAUUUUAGAAUUUUUAACGCACCAAAGUUCAUUUUUAGCUUUAAAGGUUUUUAUGUGUGAGCCUCUCAGCAUGUUCCCCAACCUCCUCACGUGAAAAUAUUUCUAUGUACGGUUACAAGCUUUUCCAGAUUGUGAGUAUUCCGAAGCAAUCCAACUUGAAAAACAGCUGGUUCGUAGAAAAUGACAGUUUACGAAGCUGGCCCUGCUGCCAUACAUAUGAUGAUGAAGACCAUUUGGCUUUAUGUCAAUUCCUCCAAGUUGAAAUCUUUCUCGGUCUGGGACACUUCCAACACAUAAAGUACUACUAGGCUAGAUGAUUUUAAAAAAUGUCCAGGUCCUUUAUCAAAUUUCAUUUGCAUUCAAGACCAAUCCCCUUUGAUGAAAAUCAAUAAUUAAAGGCUUUCCAAUGAGAAAUUAUUACGUCUUCAAAUCUCAAAAAACGCCAGAAUAUUAAUUCGCUACAUAUAAUCAAGAUAUCUCAUUGAGACGCAUUAAUAAAAAAUGUCAAAAUGCAUAGAAAGAGCAGACACACGGAUGAUGAAUUUACUCAUCUUUAGUAGUAUUUGAACUUGAGAGACAGAAUGAAGUACAUGUCAAGAAUAUCAUAAAGAUGGAAACCGGAAGUCCUCCGCACAUAAACUUUGAAGAAACUGGAAAACGACUUUANNNNNNNNNNNNNNNNNNNNNNNNNNNNNNNNNNNNNNNNNNNNNNNNNNNNNNNNNNNNNNNNNNNNNNNNNNNNNNNNNNNNNNNNNNNNNNNNNNNNNNNNNNNNNNNNNNNNNNNNNNNNNNNNNNNNNNNNNNNNNNNNNNNNNNNNNNNNNNNNNNNNNNNNNNNNNNNCCAUUUGGAGUCUUGUUUCCACAAUUGCUUCAGAUGAUUAAAUUUGUGCAGAUCUAAAUGUUUUAUCAUUGUAAACUUCCUCACUUGUUUCUUCAAGUAUCCUCCAUUCGAAAAUACCUCUUCGCAUGAACAACGACGCCGUAUGAGAGUUUCCAGAUUAUGAAAUCUCUCAAGUAAAUCAAGUGGAAAACAAGUUGAUUCAUCAUCCACUGUUUGUAGUAGUUUAAGACUGCCAAAGUCAUCCUCGAGUAUUUUCCACUUAAUGCCAGUUCCUUCUAAGUUGGGUAAGCUCUGAUCAUCAUCAAUCACGUAAUAACUUAUUAAGUCAAUUCAUAUUCUCUCAAAUAACUUUUAAUAAUCCAAUCAUACACAGUGACUUUAAUAUAAAUGCAUAAUAUUUUACAAACAAGAAGAAAAAAUCGAAUUAGAGGUAAAAGUUAUUCUACGAUUUUAUUUUUUAUAUAUAUCUUGCAUGCUAUUCCCAAAAGCAAUCCCAAACGGCCUUUAAAGCAAUUUUACAAAAGCGGCCUGCACAUAUAUUGCCAACUUUGUUGGGAAUGGCAAUGGGGAGAGGAGGGGAAGAGACCGAACUCCCCGUACCCAUUCAUGAUAUUCUGCAUAUAUCCUCGUCCUCUCCUCAUUUCUCACAAAAUUGCUUUAGGAAAUCCCCCUCCCCUCCCCAAAUAAUAAUAGGGGAUCCUUGAAGGCCCUCGAUCCUCGAAUAACUGAUACGUUUUUUGUUUUAAAUUUUAAUUUAAUCAUAUUAAAAUAAAAAAUAAAAAUAAAAAUAAAGUUUGACGAUAUAUCUUAUAUUAACAUUAAUCUAUUACAAAAGUCACAUUACAAAGUAUAAAUCACCAUAAUAAUUAUCUUCGGCAAUCUUCAAAAUCAUAUAAUAAAAAAAAGAAAUUACUUUUAUAUCAACAAUGAGAUAAAUGAAAUGAAUAUAGAUACUUAAUCAAUAUUUCUAAUAAAAGUAUUUACCUCUGCGUCUCCUACUCUUCUUGUUCUUCCUCGAGGAAUGUGACAAAUUGAGAGAUAGCCUCAGAUUUCAAAUUUAAAACAAUAAAAAUGAUAUAAGUAAUGUAAAUUCUAAUUAAAAUAAACUCAUACUGCCAUUGUAAGCUUGUGGUCAACUUUGACAACAUAUUAAAGCCUCCAAUGUGCUUGAAUAAAGCGUGUUACGGUACUCUACCACUGGUGCUAAAAGCUAAUUCAGAAGCAACAUUUGUAAUUAGAAUUGCCAAAAUAUCUCUAGGUGCCAAUAUAGGAUAUCUAUAGACAUUUAUUUUACAAAAACUCAAAAUAUUAAAAUCUUUCAUCCUAAGCAUAACUUUCUCAUCCAAAUAUUAAUGUAGUCAAUUAGGCCUAAAUUUUAAUAAUAUAAUUUUUUUAAUUUUUUUAUUUAUACUAAUAUUUAAUAUUUUAUUAUUUAUUUACAAAUAAUUUUAAAAAAAUUAAAAUUAAAUCAAAAAAUUAGAAGGGGAUAGGGAUUCCGCCGCAUCCCCGUUCUUUCUCUGAAUAAGAAAUUGAGUAAAAAAACUAUCUCCGUCCACUUUCCAAAUAAAAAAUUAAGUAAAAAAUUAUGUACCCUCCUGAAUUGGGAAAAUCUCGAGGGUCAUGUCCCCGCGGCAAUAUCUGCCAUUCCUAAACUUGUAACAGCCAGUUGCUUUUGUGACUGUUUAUGUGACGGCUAGACUGCUCUCACUUAUGUUACUAACCACGUGACGGUAGAGAGCCAAUUGGCAUACUAUUUUGACGGUAGAGUUAUAAAUUUGUUUCUAAAUAGAAAACUAUUUGCUGAAGUCAAUAUUUUGAAAACCAAAGUCCCAAAUUCUCUCUCGUGCGUGCCUGGUCAUCCUAAACCUUACUGGUAGCCGGAGAAUGGCGUAAAACGGCAGCGAUCUUCUUCUUCAUCUUAUUCUCUCUCUCAUCGUUUCAGGUAAGCUUGUGAUUAUGAGUUUCUUCUCUUUCUUAGCUUGUAAUUAUAGGUUUUGAUUUCUUUAAUUCGUAUUGUAGCCAUUAAUGUCAAUUUUUGUCCCACCGGCAAUUUUUUUUUGUUCCUAGAAGUUGAAGCCCUUCUGUUCUUGUGCCAUUGGUGAGUUUGCUCACUCAAAUUAAUUUUGUUCUGCGGAGUUUACAAAGUUCAAAUGGAUUCAUUUGGAUUACUAUUGAAUUUAGCUUUAAUUCCAACAUCCAUUCUAAUGUUUUGCUAUUAGAUUUACUUUAAUUUUAUGUUUAAAGCUUCUACAAUGAAUAGCGGAGCUUGGGUUUUAGUUUCAUUUUCUCAUUAACUUCUUUUAGUUUAUCUUAUAUGCUCGCCAAGUGCUUGUUAUAUUGUCUGAUAAGUUAUAUAACAUUGCUGAUUCUAUAUUAGUAAUGUCAUGUUCCAUUUUCGGAAAUUAUAACACAAAAGUUUUUACAAUGGCUUGCAUCUGCAAACUGAAUUGACUUGUAGAGUAAGAGCUUGGAUUAGUGUUAUGUUCUUGAAUAAAUGAAAGUUCAUAUUGUGUAAGAGCAUGUAGAUGUAAAGCAUCACUACCAUUUCUACAAACUGCUUUCAUUUUGUUCAGAUGCUCCUCUUGAACUUUGAAAGGUGCCUCAUUCAAGUCCUAGCUAUAACUACUAGCUCUGAUUGCUUAAGUUCCUGUGCUAGCUGAAACAGAUUUAUUUAAUUAAUUUAUUGUGUAUGUACUAAUUAUAUUGAAAGUAUAUGAAGAAAUUGUUUAACAUGAAUGACUUCUAAAUGACUUAAAAGCCUAAAGGAUAUGUGAAAUAAUGCUCAUUUCACUUGAACGAGCCUAUUAAUACUUGUAUGUCUAUGAUUGUCAAUCUUGCUUAAGUGUUUCAGUUAAGUGGUUUACCAAACAGGGAAAAAAAUUUAAUGGAAAACUUUAGAGUUCUAACAGAAAUAUAGUUGACUGCAGAUAUAGUUAUUUUAUGGUACAUAAAUCAUAUUGUCCUAUUCUCAAUGUCCUACGACCUAUUUUAUUUUAUAUGGUCAUUCAUUUUUGCGAUGGUUUUUUGUGCUUAUGAGUAUGGAAAUAGUGGGAUUUGGUGUGGCAAACAAAAAUAUACAUAUAAUCAAGUUUCUUAAUCAUUGUGCUUAUGAGUAUGGAAAUAGUGGGAUUUGGUGUGGCAAACAAAAAUAUACAUAUAAUCAAGUUUCUUAAUCAUGUAUAUUGGUUUUGGGUAUGAAUGUUUUCCUAUUCUAGUUCUAGGCAAAGUUUCUUCAUUUUGGUCUUCAGAUUUCCAGUAGGUUAAAGUUAAGCAACUAUCAUAACUAGCUAGCUAGUUAUUUGCCUUGCCUUUGUCGCCAUUACUGACGCCAUUUACAUUGCAUGGCAUAAGGAAUAGUAACUAGGUGAUUAUUGGUGAUUCCUUGAGUUUAUUAUUGGCCAAACAAACAUAUUNNNNNNNNNNNNNNNNNNNNNNNNNNNNNNNNNNNNNNNNNNNNNNNNNNNNNNNNNNNNNNNNNNNNNNNNNNNNNNNNNNNNNNNNNNNNNNNNNNNNNNNNNNNNNNNNNNNNNNNNNNNNNNNNNNNNNNNNNNNNNNNNNNNNNNNNNNNNNNNNNNNNNNNNNNNNNNNNNNNNNNNNNNNNNNNNNNNNNNNNNNNNNNNNNNNNNNNNNNNNNNNNNNNNNNNNNNNNNNNNNNNNNNNNNNNNNNNNNNNNNNNNNNNNNNNNNNNNNNNNNNNNNNNNNNNNNNNNNNNNNNNNNNNNNNNNNNNNNNNNNNNNNNNNNNNNNNNNNNNNNNNNNNNNNNNNNNNNNNNNNNNNNNNNNNNNNNNNNNNNNNNNNNNNNNNNNNNNNNNNNNNNNNNNNNNNNNNNNNNNNNNNNNNNNNNNNNNNNNNNNNNNNNNNNNNNNNNNNNNNNNNNNNNNNNNNNNNNNNNNNNNNNNNNNNNNNNNNNNNNNNNNNNNNNNNNNNNNNNNNNNNNNNNNNNNNNNNNNNNNNNNNNNNNNNNNNNNNNNNNNNNNNNNNNNNNNNNNNNNNNNNNNNNNNNNNNNNNNNNNNNNNNNNNNNNNNNNNNNNNNNNNNNNNNNNNNNNNNNNNNNNNNNNNNNNNNNNNNNNNNNNNNNNNNNNNNNNNNNNNNNNNNNNNNNNNNNNNNNNNNNNNNNNNNNNNNNNNNNNNNNNNNNNNNNNNNNNNNNNNNNNNNNNNNNNNNNNNNNNNNNNNNNNNNNNNNNNNNNNNNNNNNNNNNNNNNNNNNNNNNNNNNNNNNNNNNNNNNNNNNNNNNNNNNNNNNNNNNNNNNNNNNNNNNNNNNNNNNNNNNNNNNNNNNNNNNNNNNNNNNNNNNNNNNNNNNNNNNNNNNNNNNNNNNNNNNNNNNNNNNNNNNNNNNNNNNNNNNNNNNNNNNNNNNNNNNNNNNNNNNNNNNNNNNNNNNNNNNNNNNNNNNNNNNNNNNNNNNNNNNNNNNNNNNNNNNNNNNNNNNNNNNNNNNNNNNNNNNNNNNNNNNNNNNNNNNNNNNNNNNNNNNNNNNNNNNNNNNNNNNNNNNNNNNNNNNNNNNNNNNNNNNNNNNNNNNNNNNNNNNNNNNNNNNNNNNNNNNNNNNNNNNNNNNNNNNNNNNNNNNNNNNNNNNNNNNNNNNNNNNNNNNNNNNNNNNNNNNNNNNNNNNNNNNNNNNNNNNNNNNNNNNNNNNNNNNNNNNNNNNNNNNNNNNNNNNNNNNNNNNNNNNNNNNNNNNNNNNNNNNNNNNNNNNNNNNNNNNNNNNNNNNNNNNNNNNNNNNNNNNNNNNNNNNNNNNNNNNNNNNNNNNNNNNNNNNNNNNNNNNNNNNNNNNNNNNNNNNNNNNNNNNNNNNNNNNNNNNNNNNNNNNNNNNNNNNNNNNNNNNNNNNNNNNNNNNNNNNNNNNNNNNNNNNNNNNNNNNNNNNNNNNNNNNNNNNNNNNNNNNNNNNNNNNNNNNNNNNNNNNNNNNNNNNNNNNNNNNNNNNNNNNNNNNNNNNNNNNNNNNNNNNNNNNNNNNNNNNNNNNNNNNNNNNNNNNNNNNNNNNNNNNNNNNNNNNNNNNNNNNNNNNNNNNNNNNNNNNNNNNNNNNNNNNNNNNNNNNNNNNNNNNNNNNNNNNNNNNNNNNNNNNNNNNNNNNNNNNNNNNNNNNNNNNNNNNNNNNNNNNNNNNNNNNNNNNNNNNNNNNNNNNNNNNNNNNNNNNNNNNNNNNNNNNNNNNNNNNNNNNNNNNNNNNNNNNNNNNNNNNNNNNNNNNNNNNNNNNNNNNNNNNNNNNNNNNNNNNNNNNNNNNNNNNNNNNNNNNNNNNNNNNNNNNNNNNNNNNNNNNNNNNNNNNNNNNNNNNNNNNNNNNNNNNNNNNNNNNNNNNNNNNNNNNNNNNNNNNNNNNNNNNNNNNNNNNNNNNNNNNNNNNNNNNNNNNNNNNNNNNNNNNNNNNNNNNNNNNNNNNNNNNNNNNNNNNNNNNNNNNNNNNNNNNNNNNNNNNNNNNNNNNNNNNNNNNNNNNNNNNNNNNNNNNNNNNNNNNNNNNNNNNNNNNNNNNNNNNNNNNNNNNNNNNNNNNNNNNNNNNNNNNNNNNNNNNNNNNNNNNNNNNNNNNNNNNNNNNNNNNNNNNNNNNNNNNNNNNNNNNNNNNNNNNNNNNNNNNNNNNNNNNNNNNNNNNNNNNNNNNNNNNNNNNNNNNNNNNNNNNNNNNNNNNNNNNNNNNNNNNNNNNNNNNNNNNNNNNNNNNNNNNNNNNNNNNNNNNNNNNNNNNNNNNNNNNNNNNNNNNNNNNNNNNNNNNNNNNNNNNNNNNNNNNNNNNNNNNNNNNNNNNNNNNNNNNNNNNNNNNNNNNNNNNNNNNNNNNNNNNNNNNNNNNNNNNNNNNNNNNNNNNNNNNNNNNNNNNNNNNNNNNNNNNNNNNNNNNNNNNNNNNNNNNNNNNNNNNNNNNNNNNNNNNNNNNNNNNNNNNNNNNNNNNNNNNNNNNNNNNNNNNNNNNNNNNNNNNNNNNNNNNNNNNNNNNNNNNNNNNNNNNNNNNNNNNNNNNNNNNNNNNNNNNNNNNNNNNNNNNNNNNNNNNNNNNNNNNNNNNNNNNNNNNNNNNNCCCCCCCCCCCCACCACCAAAAAAAAAAACAAAACAAAUAGGAAGACUUUGCAAGAUUCACAACCAGGUUACAUUUAAUUUAUUAAUUGUGUGUACGUACUAGUUAUUUGUUGAUAGAAUAGGAAGAAGUAUUUUAAUAUGAAUGACUUAAAACUUAUUGCUCAGUAAACAUAAUGUGCAUCAGUGCUAGAAAAUGUAUUUAUUGUUUGUAAUUUUUUAUGGUUUUGCUUAAGAAAUGAAAUGUGAAAAAAUGCUACAUUGUAUUAGGAAUAAAAUGAAGAGAUUUAUGAUUUUUAUGUGUUAUUCAAGUUUCAGAUUCAAUUUUAAACUUUUGAUACAUGCAUUGAAAGCUUAAACUCCUUUAAGAAAUUAUUAAUAGACACAUGUUUUAUUAGUGUCAUCUUCUGGAUGAUAGUGAGGAUCUUAUGUCUAUUAAUAAUUCUUGAAUUAUCUAGGCUUGGACAGUUUGGUAAUGCAUAGUUUUCUAUGUUAGCUAGUGCCUGAAAUUUUUUUCCCACGUAAAAAUGGGGUUUUCAGCAGCUGCUCCUCAUGUUCUCUGGGUGCAUACUAGACAAAUGGGUGUCAUGUGUUGUUUUGGCAUAACACAUAAACACUCAUAUAUCUAUGUCGUGUACUUGAAGAACUAUAGGGAGAUGCUUCCGAAGUUUCUAUAAACGUAGAGGAAAACUUUAGAUACUUAAGAUUGAAGAAACUUAUGCAUUCUUGAGUGGGAUAUAUAGGACCACUUACCUUUUGUAAAUAUGAAGGGAAUGUUGGAUAUAUUGAUGGGAGUGGAGGAGCUGAGUGGGAUGAAUGUAAUCGGUUAUGAUUUUGCUGAGUCGACUUGGUUUUGAGUCUUGUAAUUUUUUUUAUAAAUGGAGUACUAUCUCCAAUGUUGGUUUAUAAAUAUGUUUCAGCUGGCUGACCUAAUUUUUUGUUUCUAGGUAACAGGCUUUAUAUAUCUGUAAUUGAUAGCCAAGUGAAGUUCUCAGCAGUGGGUGAGGAUAUUUCUUUACAGAAGGUAUUGCAAACUGUUUUUUAGAUUAAUUAUUAUUGUAUAUAUACUUUAAUUUUCACAUCUUUUUCUCUGAUUCUUGUGGCUUUGCUUGCUUCCAUAUAUAUAAAACCAUAAAAUUGUAUAAUAAUUUUUUUUAUUAUAUUGCGAAACUGCGCACACAUGAAAAUAUCUUGUUUAGUAGUAGAAAUGAAGAAUUAAAGUGAUUUAUUUAACUAAUUUUUCUAGUGCAAUAAAAGGAGAUAGUCAUGGACCAGAGUUGGGUUGGUUUGCCAAAUAGAUAUCCAAUUCAUAUACUGAUGGGGGUCAAAAAAUUUAUAGAUUUUGCAUUUGAGAAUGUUGUUGGUGAUAAAAGAAUUUAUUGUCCUUCUAAGAGGUGUUGUAAUAUCGAUAUUUCAUUAUAAGGAAAGUGGCAAGAGACCAUAUCAUUAUAAAUGGCUAUUGGUUAAAGUAUUAAAACUGGAUAUUGGAGGGUGAGCCAUCUUCAUCUUUGAAAUCUAACUAAGAAACAGGUUAGUCAUGACUCGGGUAGUGAUGCUAGUAUGGUUGGAAUGAUGCAUAAUGCAUCACGUAAUCAAAUGUUCAAGUCACACGCAGCAUUGUUAUGGACUAUCUCCGACUUUCUAGCAUAUGCCAACUUGUUUGGGUGGAGUAUUAAAGGUAAAUAAGCAUUUCUUGUUUGCCAACAAAACACUAGAUCUAAUUGGUUGAUACAUAGUAGAAAAUUGUCACGUGGGUCACUGUCGAUUUUUACCAACAAAUCAUAGGUUCCGAAAAUAUAGUGCCAUCUGAUAAAACUGGAGAGUGGGGACAAGCACCUUCUCGGUUGUCUGGAGCUGAGGUGAAAAAGCAGUUCAAUAAUGUACUUACUGAGUAUAAGAUUGAAGAUUUGAAAAGAGGAGAAUGAAUAAAAUGAAAGAAAUGAUAAGAUUACUUGGAAGAAGAAAAGCAUUUUUAAUGAACUAACGUAUUGGGAGUUCAAUUUGAUUCAUCAUAAUCUUGAUGUCAUACACCGUUUUUAUUUUUGUUAUGAACUCAGAUCAAAAGUUUAAUGUGAUCAAAAUUUCUUAAAAAUAGUGAAAAAGACUCCUAAUAAUAUGGAAGAUGGCUAUAAAAGAUAAUUUCUUAAAAGUUUAAUGUGAUCAAAAUUGCUUGUGAACGCAAGGGUUUUAGUUACACUGUCAACGCUGUCAAUGUAGUGAUACAAUGAAGAUGAAGUAAAGCAUUAGUAGAAUAAUGAAGUUGACCAGUAACACAGUAAAGCAUAUUUUAUUCCAGAGCAUGAAAACUUUUAAACAGUAACACAGCUCUUAUUCCAGAGGCUGCACACGAGUGACCUGAAUCUUCUUCAGAACUUUCAAAUUUUAUCAAGCAAAGAUUUCAAAAUCCUUGCCUUCCUAAGUUGGGAAAAAUAGAUGUGGAGCAAACCAAAUGAAAUAAAUGGGUAAACAGAACAAGCAGGGCAAAAAUUAAAAAUGAUAGCAAUUAACAAAUUAAUAGCAAUGUUACAUUUGACUCUUUAGCCCUUUGUUCCUUCUCUUAGCAUUCUUCAAAGUUUUUGAAAAUAGGAUGUGAAGCAAACAAAAUAAAAUAAAUUUAGACAACACAUGCCCUGUAUUCAGCAUCAUAUAUAUCUCGAAUAUCUAACAUAAUAAAUUUCACAUCUAAAAUACUAGAAUUUCAAACAGUACUAGUAGUGAAAAAAUGAUGACAACAACAAAAAUAGAAAAUUACAAGACUGCUGAUAAAAUUUCAUUUGCAUGCAUGUCUGACAAAAUUUCCGUGAUUUAAUGUGCUUUCAUGAACGCAAGUCCUAACGUUUCUGUGAUCACAAAAUGAAACUGAAGAUAAAACAGAACAACUACCAAACCUUUCAAGCUUGACGAAGCCAUGAGAAUUGAUAGCUCAGGCUCUGAUACCAAGUAAAAGUUUCUAAUCUGUUUGGUAAGUAAGAAAAUGAGAGAAAAUGAAAGAAAGAACAGAGAUCAUCUAAGAGCUGGAUUUGAUAAGUAAAUAUGAAUCAUCCAUUCAUUAGCUGAUUGCAAAUGUAUUUAUACAAGUGAUGGUUGUCGAAGCCAACAAAAAUAAAUUCCUACUAUAAAUAAAUUGUGUAUAGUGAUUGAGCAGGGUCGUGUCCACAGAGAUCGGUAAUUAUUUAAAUCCUUUUGAAACGUAAAACGUAAAAUGGGGGAAUUGUUGACAAUAAUAAAAAUCAAAUUAAAAUAACAAGAAUACAAAUUAAAGUUGUAAUUCAAAUUGGAGAAAGCUCUGGUUGAAGGAAUUAACUCAGCUUGAUUCGACUACUGAUCAUUGAUUCAAAUAUAGAUUAUUAUUACUUAUGAAUAGACCGGUUAUAGCUACUGAGACCCUCUAAUAGCCAAUCUCUCCUUAACUAGUCGAUAACCAAGGUAUGACCGUUGGUUAUUUCCCUAAUCAAUAGACAACCCUAGAUACGAUCAUAGGAUUUAAUCAAUUGACAACCUGAAAGACCAGAGAGACCCAAAUCCUAAUCAACACAUACGAUGAUUCAUUUAAAUUAGAUUGUUUAUUCUCAUAACACAACUCACUGCUAUGUUAUUCGUCACAAACAUUAAAAGCUUCAUACGAUGAAUCCUUUAAUUAACAAUAGAUUAAGUUGAUAAUUAAAUAGUGGCCAAUUACCUAAUUAACAAACAUAAUCAUGAAAAUAAUUCAGAGAAUAAACAAAUACCCAAAAAGUAAUAAAACAAUUAAAGUAUAAAAUAGAUCUCACAGUAGUGAUGAAUCAAAACUUCAUUAUCCUUCAACCAGAAAAAUAAGUUUAGUUCUUCAUAGAGAGAAGAGAAAAGUUUAGAUCUAGGGUUUCUCUCUUUUUCUCCAAUCCCCAUUUUUCACAAUAGAUUCCUCCCUUAAAUACUCUCUCUCUCUUCUCUUUUAGAAUUCUAUUUAAAAUAAAAUACUAAUAUCUGAAAUAUUAAAUUCGUAAUUACAAAAAUAACCAAAAAUACAAAACACGUUAAACUAAAAACUGCAGGUCCGCAGUUGACAGCACGUGCCCACGCCUUAUCAACAAAGUUCUUCUGACGCUCAUAAUUUCUCCAAGAGAACAAUCAUCCUUAAACAUCAUCUUGUAACUCAAUUUUAUCACCAAUCAAUAGAAUUGCACCUACAAAAGUAAAACACAAGUAAAUCACUAUUAUUAAGUGCAAAACAUCGAUAUUAAGGGAAGUAAACAAUGCAAAACUAGUGCAUAAAUUGCACUCUAACAACAAGGUUCCUGAACAUUUCAGAUUCUAUAUGCUCGAGCUAAGCACCUGAGAGUUGAGCAGUGUGCACUAACAAACUGCUAACAAAAUAACUAACUCAUGCCAGCUCAGCUAACACGUCAGUAACUCUAACUAUCUUGCUUAACAAACUGAAACAAUAACUAACCAUUUUAACUAUCUUAACAAUCCCAAUAAUUUCUCCAUUUGUGUACUUUUUUGAAUCAUAAUCAAAUGGAUAAAUGUUGCAACUAUUUUUUUAGAUAUUUUCACUUUAGGAUGUCAGCCCGAGGAAGUACGGGGGUCUGAGUUAUUCAACUGAAAAUGUCGGCCAAGUUCUUGCCAUCUCAAGUGCAAAACUGAAAAUGUUACUCGUUCUUCUUAACUUGUUUUCUCAUGCAUCAACCCCACAAAACUGCUCAUUGAAGGGGUAAAAUUUUGAACACACCAUGUGGCAUUUAGACCAUUUGAUAGUUUGUUUCAAACAUAUUUGUUUAUAAAAUACUUUUCUUCAUGGAUUUGGUUACGUAAUUGUCUAUGUAUGUACAGGUUUUAUCGAUACCUCUUUUGACAAGUUACAUAGCAAUGUUAUCUGGGUUCAGCCGUGCCUUAUUGAUAAACUGUGCUUCUGUAAUGAAGAAUGUUUUAUCUGUAAGUGGAUAUCCUAAUCGUUGAUCCAUAUCCAUAAGCAAGUAUGUAUAAAAUUAUUUUAUGUCUUUUUUAUUAGAAAUGUUGUAAUUCUUUUUUACUCUUCCUGAAUUAUAACAGCAGGUGUCUAUAAUAACUGGAUUGUUCCUUCUGCAAAACAGAGCAGUGGUAAAUAUUUUUUUCUUUUGUUUGUCUAGUACAUUUCCAUGAUUUCAGCUUUUUCAAAUUUUGUAUGUGUCAAAGUUUAAAUUUAAUUUGUUGGUUUAUGGCAACAACAGGAACAGAAUCAAAGAGGAGCUGCCAAUGGACUGCUAUGACUGUAGAGUCGCUUACCAAAACUGCUGGUUCAGCUGUAGGAGGUGCUAUGUAGGCGUCCUAUUGAUUUUGUAAAAUUAUAUGUAAAUGAUGUCAUAAUUUUUAUUGUCUCCCCCACCCCCUCUCCCCAAAAAAAAAAAAAAAUUAAAAAAUUAAAAACUAAGGCAUGAUUAAAUUGAUCAUUUGUUUGGUAACAACUUGAUUAAUCGGGUUCUGGCAGAUUUUCUUGGUCACAAAAGCGUCAAGAUGCUGGUUUCCUCCCAGGUAUGAUGAUUUACUAAUGAAAUUUAUCACUAGUAUGUGAAUUACUUGGUGCUAAUUAACUUAAUCAGCUGCUUAAAUUAAAGUGCAGGUAACCUUAUUUUUUUUUUCUUUUUACAAUAAUACUCUUGGAAUAAUAUUUCUGGGAAUAUUAAUGAAAAAUGGUAAUUCAUCCAGCCAGCCUUAAACAAAAUAAAUAUUAAUAAAAACUUUUAUGUUAUUAUUUUAGUUUUAGGACUAAUUUCGUAAAUUAAAUUUUUUAUGCAUUUAUUAGUAAGACUGCUUUAAGAAUAUUAAACAUUACUUUAAGUUGGCUGAUAUUAAUUUAUUUAUAAAUAAUUAUUAGCAAGAUUGUUGUAAAAGUACAAAAAAUACUAGUUAUUUCAUAUUGAUAUUUAUUGAUUAAUUUGGCAAUUAACUUUUUUAUAAAUAAAUUAAUUAAUUUAAGAAUAUUAUUGCCAAGAAAUUAUUGUAAAAGUAAAUAAAAUUUAAGGAAAAAAUGCAACAUAUUUAAUAUCAAGGUAUAUUGAGGUAUUUUUCAAAAUAUAAAGACAAAACAAGCACUGAAAUUAAAAUACAGAUACCAAACAAGCAUUUUCUCUCUUAGAAAAUUUUAUAUUUUAUUAAUGAAAGUCUAAAUAACAAAAUUAGGGUUUUGGACUCCUUUUAAACUAAGCCUAAAUAUCACGAAUUUACCAAUAUAGUAAACCUAAAAUAUUACUGCAUAAUAACAUUCUCCUAACUGAAAUAAGAUAAAUACUACUUCAAUUCUAUAUCUAAAUGAAAAAAAGAUAAAAAUCUUGAAAACAAUAGGAAAAUAGAACUUAAACUUGUAAACUAAUAUGAAAUAAAUAGAAUUCUCAAUCGAACCACGAGGCUAAUGCGGUGCUACAGUAUUAGAUUAGAUUUCCCUCAUUGCUAACUUCGAAAUGGUAUAUUAUACACCCUAUAUAGGUACUUAUAGCUAAGGGUGGGCAUGUGUUGGUUUGGGUUAGGUUUUAAGUCAAUCCAAACCAAACCAUAAAAUUUUGGGUUCAACCCAAAUUAACCCAAAUAUUUUUAACCCAACCCAAACCAACCCAUUUGGGUUUGGUUUGAAUUUUAUAAUUAAAAUAUUUUUUAUUUUAAUAAAUUUAACUAUAUCAAAUUAUAAUACUUAUUAAUUAAUAUUAAUUAUUAAAUUAAUAUUAAAAUACGAAAAAAUGUAGUGGAUAAAAAUUAUGAAUAAUGGAUUUUACAAUAACUUUGUUCUUAAAUAUUAACCAUAUUACAACAUAAAUUCUACCAAUGUCAAUACAAAUUAAAGUAAGAUAAGAUAUCUCAACUCAAGUAUCAAAGCAAUCCAUCAAAAUUAAAUUAUUUAAUUUUAUAAAUUUAAAUCUUCCGAGAAAUAAAUCUAAAAUUUAUUGUAAUUAGAAAAAAUGCCAAAAUUUUAAAUGCAGUAAGAAAAAUUAGACAUGAAAUCUAAUUAGGUUUAAAUUUAAUUAAAAAAUAACAAUAGAAUCAUAUUUUAUUUGAUAAAAUCUUAUAAUCAAUUACAUUUUUAAUUUUAGUAAGUUACAAUACAAAUAGGAUUAUAAAAUUAUAUUAGAGGAUUUCAUAAAAAUAUUGUUUGAGUAAUUUAUUAAAAUGUUAAUUUAGUCUUUUAACUCAAGUUGAGACCGUAAAAAAUUGUUAUAUAAUAGUGUAUUGUACAACCAAUUGCAUAUGUAUUUGCCCUAUGCAGCACUUCUAUUAUUAUUAUAUAAUAAUAAUUAGUAGUAGUAUAAUUACUAUAUAAUAAUAAUUAUUAGUAGUAUAAUUAUUAUAUAAUAAUAAUUUUAAUAAAAAAUUAUUAUUAAAAUAUUGAUUUAUCCUUUUAUUUUGUUUAAUUUAUUUUUCAUUAAUAUGUUAUUUUGAAUUUGUUCAUGACCCAUGGGUAAACCAUACCCAAGCCAUUGUAAAAUAAUUUCUUUCAUAAAAAUCCAAAUUUAACUCAUUUCAUGAUUUAUCCAACCCAAACCAUUUUAUUUGGUUUGGGUUUGGGUAAACCCAUGGGUUGUGGGUUUAUGCCCACCCCUACUUAUAGCUCAAGUUAUUACCUUAGAGAGAUACCCUACGCAUCCUACACAACCAUCCACUGCAUCAAAGUCGUUCCAAAACAGUAGUUCACAGUUGGUACUGCACAUGAUACUUGUUUCUCCUUUUGCAUCUACUUUUGUUGUUAACAUUAAUUUCAAUAGCAGCUCAUUAUGUAUGCAACAUUUCAAAAUUAAUCCAAAAAAACAAAAAUUAGUUCAGCUGACCAAAUUUGAAAGCAUGGAUUUGCUGUCGAUUAAAAAUCGUUUUGUAGGGAAAAUUUUUGGAUUGCAAUUCUCAUACAAUACAUAGAAUUAUCAUAAUCUAUAAAUUGUAUUUUUGCUUUUCUACGGUAGUAAGUCAAGAAUCCUACUUGUAUUUUUGCUUUUCUACGGUAGUAAGUCAAGAAUCCUUAGUGACAAUUUAAAUUGAAAAAAUAAAAUCAUAAAUAAGAAUUAUUUGAUAAGAAUUAAAAUAAUUGAUAAAUAUUUGAGAGGAGCAAUUUUGGAAGACUCGAUUUCUAAUAGGAGGGGAAUUUGAAUUUUACAACCUUCCGUGAGGAAUCCAAAAUGCACAAUUUGAUGAAAAUUAAAUUUCAAUAGAAAUUGAAUUCCCAUACAUUAGUGAAAACCAAACAACAGAAAAGUGAAAGGAAUUUGAAUUCAUUUCCUUCCCGUCUCAUCCCUCCAACUAAAUACCAUCGAUACCCAAAGGUAUGUGAUUGGGAUUCCAUACUGAUCAGAAUGGGAUUUGUCCAUAUUAUUAGGACCAAUUUUAAAAGCAGUCGGAGUUUAAAAUUGAAAUUAAUCCCAAUUUUUUAUUUGGGACUAGAUAAGAAUUUAUAUUGGAACUCCAAUUCUCCCAAUUAUUUUAGUUGAUAAUAUGUUUAACAUUAUUAAUUGCAUAUUAUUUAAUUAUCAGUAUAUAAUAUUCUUUAAUUUUCCAAUUUUAUAGGAUUAGACACAAAAUUGAUUAUGCCUUCUGAAAUUUAAGGGUUAUGUCAAUUGAACAGAAAACUUGGAGUUGAACUUUUGGAUGUUUUUGUUGAUUAUCAAUUUAUGCAUGAAUUUUUGUACGUUUACUUUGGUUUAUUAUUGUUACUUUUAGACAUUUUUAUUGGUUUGAUUUAGGGUCAUUUUGGUAAUCUUGUAAUUUUUAAAAUAGUUACAGUUAGCUAUGCUAUAGAAAUUGAUAAAUCGUGAAGAGAAUCAGCUGAACAUUUAGUAAAAUUUAUUUUUAAAAGUACUUUAGUUUUAAAAGCAGUUGUAUGUGUUUCGUAAAUCUUAUUUUUAAACAGGUGCAAGAAUAUAAAUAACUAAAUUGGACAUAAUGCUAAAUAAAAUUUAUUUACACAUUUACAAACAUGUAUAUAAAAUAUUUUUAUUAUGUACAUAUAAUUAUUGAUAACUAAAAUAAAUAUUUUAUAUUAUUAAAUUUUAUUCUUUAUUUUGUUAUCUCAAUAUAAUUGGUAAUAAUAAUAAUCUCUUAAAGUUAAUGAUUUUAUUUCUUAAUUAAUAAAGAUAAUUCUGGAUUUUUAUUAUAGAAUGAGGAUAUAUAUAUAUAUAUAUAUAUAUAUAUAUAUAUAUAUAGAAUUGGAUUAAGUAUAAAAGUGAUUUUCAAAAUCAAAUUUUGAAAAACUAUUCCUUCCAUACUUCUCAAAAUCCUCUGUAUGAUGAGAUGAUUUUUCCAAAAGUAAUUGCUAAAAAAUUAUAAAACACUAAAAAUUAGGUUUUAGUUUUUAAAAUCACUUUUGAGCUUCCCAAAAACAAGCCUAACGGGCCUUUAUUUGGGUGGUGUAGGAACUUAUAACUUUUGGAUCAUUUAGUUUUUAUUGGUUUGAUACAAUUGUUACACUAAAAAUUGAAUGUAUCUUAAACCCCAAACUUCUUCUUCUUCUUUUUUGAUUGCACAAAAUUAAAAACAAUAGUGAACGCAUUCUUUAAUAAACAAUAAGUAAUUACUAAAAUUGUGUUAAAGAAUUUAGUUGAAACAUAAAUUGAUUUCAAUGUUGUAUAUGCUAAAUUUCUUAAAAAUUUUCUUUCACGGUCUGCUGAAUAGUUUUAUUAGUAUUUUUAUUAUAUAAAAAUAAUUGAUUUAAUUUUUUAAAGAAAUUUAUUAGGUUCAUGUAAAUACGUUUUUGUUAUUUAAAAAGUGUACAAAGUAAAACUUAAUUUUUUAAAUUUAUUAGAUGAGUGGAUAAAAUAAUUGAGUGUUCAUAGUAAAUUUUAAGUAUAGAUAGUCAGACCCUAAUAUUUUUAAUAUAUGGAAAAUUUGAAAAUAUGUUAAUGAGAAUUAAAAUGAUAAUUAAGGGAGGCAUUCGAGACAUUCAGGAUUGUUAGGAUAGGACAUGAUUGUGAGCGGUUUGAGAUUGGCCCUAAUUUUGAUCACAAAUAUAUAAGCAGGAUGUUUAUCCAUACUUACAUUCCAUUUGAUAAUUAAGAUGAGAGUGGAAUUGUCAAAUCCCAAAUUAUCCCGGACCAUUGCCACCAAAGGUACUCUCACUAAUAAUAUCUAAAGAAAAAUCUACAUCUAUUUCAUACUUUUUUUUUAAACGGAAAGAGCCCUUAUGGGGCUUGAAAUAGUAUCCUAAAUAAUAUUCAGAAUAUCAGGCCAUGACUGGGUUUGUAACAAACAAAUAUUACAUAGUUGGGAUACGUAGUUACUAGUGUCCCAAUUUAUGUAGUAUCUAUCAUUUAGUACACAUAUAAAGUGUUUGGGACAUGAAAUAGGGUGACCAAGAUAAGGUGUUUGCUCAUACAAUAUCGUGCUCUUCUCAAAGUAAAAAGUGAAAAAAUAGUUGAUAGGCUACUAGGAGUUUAUUUGGUCACCUCGAGCACAUCAUCUCGACCAGGAUAUUAUUUGGUGAUCUCGAGCACAUCAUCUUGACUAAGAGAUUAUUUGGUCACCUUGAGUAUAUCACCUCGACCAGGAGAUUAUUUGGUGACCUCGAGUAGAUCAUCUUGAUCAGGAGGUUACCAGGAAGCACGACUCAGUCAAAACAAAUCUCACUUAUUUUCUUCGAAAUAUUAGGGAUCAUAUUCUUAGUGGGCUGAAAAUUAGUGAUUUUCUUAAGAGUUUUAGGUGAGAGGAUAAAAACCGCUAUAAUUUGCUAUAAAAACCCUGGGAAGGGAGGGAAAUAGGGAGAUUCUUUUUAUCUCUCUCUCUUUGGGUGACUGAACCCAUGGGAUCUUUUUCUCUCUACCACUGGGAAACUUCUCUUUCUCUCAUGAUUUAUUUUUCUUUAAGAUUGGUUAUUUUUUAUUCUUUUCCCAUAAAUUUACUUAAAAGCUUUUUGUUUAAAGUAUUCAUAAUUAAGCCGCGUGAAUUGUGGUACAAAUUUUUCCAAGUAGACCUAAAUCGCUGACUUGAGCGUCGGAGGAUUUUCUUUAAGAUUGAUUAUUGUUUCCAUAAAUUUGAACCAAGAAGGAUGACGCGAUAAAAUUUGUUUUUUAUUGUAUGGUUGAUUUCAUAUCUCAUGCACUCAUUUCUUAAGAUAAUUAGAUUUCAUCUUUUGCAAAUGUGGAAAUAUCAAUAAUGAUCAAUCAAAACGAUCUCAAAACCUUUCAACGCGACAUAUUUAUAAUACAAUAUUGUGAAAAUUACACCAAAAAUUUAAUUUAUGAUAUAUUAUUAUCCCACCAGCACACAGAAAUGAAUUCGUACAAAUCUAAAAUACUUAGCAAUUUUCAAAUAGAAUUUUAAAUUUAUUUCCAGUUAGAAAACUAUUCGCUGGACUCCGUAUUACUAGCCACCAUCGUAAGCCUAACCGGUUGCCGGCGAACGGCGUAAAACACCAGCCAUCUUCUUCUUCAUCAUAUUCUCCUUUCAUCUUUUGAGUUAAGCCUGUGAUUAUGAGUUUCUUCUCUUACUUAGCUUGUAAUUAUAGAUUUUGAUUCUUUUUAAUUCGUAUUGUAGCCGUUAUUGUCAAUUUUUGUCCCGCCAGCAAUAUUUUUUUAUUCCUACAAGUUGAAAAUGGAUUCAUUUGAAUUACGAUUGAAUUUAGCUUUAAUUUCAAUAUCCAUUCUAAUGUUUUGCUAUUAGAUUUACUUUAAUUUUAUGUUUAAAGCUUCUACAAUGACUAGCGGAGCUUGGGUUUUAGUUUCAUUUUCUGUAACUUGUUUUAGUUUAUCUUGUAUGCUCACCAAGUGCUUGUUAUAUUGUCUGAUAAUUUAUAUACAUUGCUGAUUCUAUAUUAAUAAUGUUAUGUUCUAUUUUCAGAAAUUAUAAUACAAAAUUUUUUACAAUGGCGUGCAUCUACAAACUGGAUUGACUCGUAGAAUAAGAGCUUGGAGUAGUGUUAUGUUCUUGAAUAAAUGAAAGUUCAUAUUGUGUAAGAGCAUGUAGAUGUAAAGCAUCAUUACCAUUUCUAUAAAGGACUUUCAUUCUGUUCAGAUGCUCUUCUUGAACAUUGAAAGGUGCCUCGUUCAAGUCCUAGCUAUAACUACUAGCUUUGAUUAAUUAAGUUCCUAUACUAGCUGAAACAGAUUUAUUUAAUUAAUUAAUUGUGUAUGUACUGAUUAUAUUGAAAGUAUAUGAAUUUUUUUUUUUUAACAUGAAUGACUUAAAAACCUAAAGGAUAUGUGAAAUUAUGCUCAUUUCACCUGAAUGAGCCUAUUAAUACUUUUAUGUCUAUGAUUCUCAAUAUUGGCUUAAGCAUUUCAGUUCAGUGGUUUACCUAACAGAGAAAAAAAUUUAAUAGAAAACUUCAGAGUUCUAACAGAAAUAUAGUUCACUAUGCAGAUAUAGUUAUUUUAUUUUAUAUAGUCAUUAAUUUUUGCCAUGGUUUUUUGUGUUUAUGAGUUUGAAAUAGUGGGAUUUGGUGUACCUUAGCAUCUUUUGAAAAUUCUCUUUAAGUGUGGCCAACAGAAAUAUACAUAUAAUCAAGUUUCUUAAUCCUGUAUAUUAGUUUUGGGUAUGAAUGUUCCUAUUCUAGUUCUAGGCAAAGCUUCUUUGUUUUGGUCUUCAGAUUUCCAGUAGGUUAAGUUAAUCAACUAUCAUAACUGGCUAGCUAGUUAUUGUCUGCCCUGGCGCCAUUACCCAGGCCAUUAUAUUGCAUAGCAUAAGGAAUAGUGAUUAGGUGAUUAUUAGUGAUUUGUUGAGCUUAUUAUUGACCAAACAAAUGUAUUCGCCUUUGGCCACAACUUAGUUUGAUUAGUUAUUAGACCAUAAAGAGCCUUGAUCUAUUCAUUGGCUUUAUUAUUUUUAUUUGGUUUUUCUUUCAACAACAUUGUUGAUAUCUUAUAAAAAUAUUCAGUGGUUUUUAAACACCUAAUCAUUGGCUAUAUUAAGCUAAUUAAAACUGAGGCUUUGGAUCAAUUUCUUCUAACAAGAUACAAAUGAGCAAAACCUUUCUCCUCUAAGUAAAUUUUUUUAAUAUCCCUUGAAUUGUAAGGAUCUGGAGGCGUGAAUCCUCUUGAUUUUUUUUAACACUGUCAAUGUUCUUUUUAUUCUGAGAAGGAAAUAAAAGGUUUUAUCUUUCAUACCCGAAUAGUAAGCUGGCCUUGUCUUAACAUGGCCUCCCGAGGACUUGCAAGAUUCAUAGUGUCCCCCACCCCAAAAAAAAUAUAAAAAACACAAAUAGGAAGAUUUUGCAAGAUUCACCACCAGGUUUUUUUUAAUUUAUUAAUUGUGUGUACGUGCUAGUUAUAUGUUGAAAGAAUAGGAAGAAGUAUUUCAACAUGAAUGACUUAAAACUUAUUGCUCAGUAAACAUAAUCUGCAUCAGUGCGAAAAUGUAUUUAUCGUUUGUAUUUUUUAUGGUUUUGCUAAAGAAAUGAUAUGUGAAAUAAUGCUACAUUGCAUCAGGAAUAAAUUGAAGAGACUUAUGAUAUUUAUGUGUUAUUCAAAUUUCAGAUUCAAUUUUAAACUUUUGAUACGUGCAUUGAAAGCUUAGACUUGUUUAAGAAAUUAUUAAUAGACACAUGUUUUAUUAGUGUCAUCUUUGGAUGAUAGUGAGGAUCAUAUGUCUAUUAAUAAUUCUUGAAUUGUCCAGGCUUGGACAGUUUGGGAAUGCAUAGUUCACUCUGGUAGUUAGUAGCUGAAGUUUUUUCCCACGUAAAAAUGGGUUUUUCGGUAGCUGCUCCUCGUGUUCUCUGGGUACGUACUAGGUGAAUGGGUGUCAUGUGUUGUUUUGGCAUAACGCAUAAACACUUAUAUAGCUAUGUCGUGUGCUUGGAGAAUUAUAGGGAGAUGGUGCCGAAAUUUUUAUAAACGUGGAAGAAAACUUUAGGUACUUGAGAUUGAAGAAACUUAUGCAUUCUUGAGUGGGAUAUGUAGGAUUACUUACCUUUUGUAAAUAUGAAGGGAAUGUUGGAUAUAUUGGGGAUAGUGUAGGAGCUGAGUUGGAUGAAUGUAAUUGGUGAUGAUUUUGCUGAGCUGACCUUGGUCUUGAGCUUGUAAUUUUGUUUGUAAAUGGAGUGCUAUCUCCAAUGUUGGUUUAUAAAAAUGUUUCAGGACUUGCUGAUCUAAUUUUUUGUUUCUAGGUUACAGGCUUUAUAUAUCUGUAAUUGAUAGCCAAGUGAAGUUCUCAGCACUUGGCAAGGAUAUUUCUUUACAGAAGGUAUUGGAAACUGUUUUUUACAUUAAUUAUCGUUGUUUAUAUACUUUGAUUGUCACAUCUUUUUCUCUGAUUCUUGUGGCUUUGCUUGCUUUCAUAUAUGUAAAUUCUAAUGAAAUUAACCAUAAAAUUGUAAAAUGAUCUUUUUAUUAUAUUGCAAAACUGUGCACACACGAAAAUAUCUUGUUUAGUAGUGGAAAUGAAGAACUAAUUUUUGUCGCGCAUUAAAAGGAGAUAGUCAUGGACAAGUGUUGGGUUGGUUUGCCAAAUAGAUAUCCAAGUCAUAUACUGAUGGCGUUGAAAAAAUUAUAGAUUUUGUAUUUGAGAAUGUUGUUGGUGGUACAAGAAUUUAUUGUCCUUCUUGAUAAGUUUUGUAAUCUAUAUUUCGUUAUAAGGGAAGUGGCUGAUGAUGAUAUGGUUGGAAUGAUACAGUGCAUCACGUAAUCAAAUGUUCAAGUUACACGCAGCAUUGUUAUGAACUAUCAGUGGCAACUUGUCUGGGUGGAGUAUUAAAGGUAAAUAAGCAUGUCUUGUUUGCCAACAAAGCACUGGAUCUAAUUGGUUGAUACAUAGUAGAAAAUUUUGUCACGUGGGUCACCGUCGAUUUUUCCCAACAAAUCAUAGGUUUCGAAAAUAUAGUGUCUUUGAAUAAAACUAGAGAGUAGGGACAAGCACCUUCUCAGUUGUCUGGAACUGAAGUGAAAAAGCAGUUUAAUAUAUUUACUGAGUAUAAGAUUGAAGACUUGAAAAGAGAAGAACGAAUAAAAUGAGAGAAAUGAUAAGAUUACUUGGAAGAAGAACUGCAUUUCUUAAGAUUACUUGGAAGAGAAAUGAUGUGGAAGAUGGCUAUAAAAGAUAAAAGGAAAGGCUUAAAAAGAAAAGCCAUGCCUGUCAAAAACAAAAAAACAAUUGCAGCGUCAAAUUUAUAACACAAAUCAAAACGGUGCGUUUGAGAGUGUAUAAAAUACAUUUAGAGUGGGAGUUGUGUUGUUGCUUGAAGGCAGAAUGUUUGUGAGAUAUUUGUCGACGAAGCCGAAACCAAAGAUGAAGCCCAUCAAAAGCAUUUAUAGUGUAAAAAGUAUAUUGUGGAAAUGUCUGGUCGGUAAUACAACUAUUUCUUGUAGUGUAAAUGAUACACUAAUUUGAAUUUAUAUGCUUUUAUGAUUAUUUGAUUAUCAAGUGGUGAUCAUAUGUGAUGAUAAACUUAGGUCGUACCUUUAUAUUUAUUGCCUUAGUUUUCUAAGCGUUCACAUUUUGAUGAGUAAAUUAAGGAUUUCAAGAUGAAGUACAUAAUUAGAUUAAUGCUAAGAAACUGAAGUUUGAUCGAUUGAAAACGAAAAUAAUAAUAAAGGUAAUUAAGAAAAUGAACAAUAUAUGCAGAAGCGGUCCUUAUUAGUACUUCUAGAUUUUCUCUUGGGCUUUCCUUAUUAUUGUUAAAAAAUGACACGAAGAACUUUGAGUUUAAAAAUCUGGCCCUGAUGCCUGGUAGCCCUUCAACAUAUGAAGAACCAGAUGUUUUGAUGAGAAAAUGACAAGACCAUUUAUCAAAUUUCUUGUGGAUAUAAAUACAUACACAUAGACGAGGCCAACCUCCUCAAAUGAGAAUCAGAGUGAUUACAAGACCUUGCAAUGAGACAAUGAUACACCAUCAAAUGUCAAAAUACAAUAGAAAUUCACGACAUAUAUAUAAUAAAAGACCUCUCAUUGAGUCAUAUAUAUUGAGAAUAAAAAUGUUAUAAUACAUACACAGAGCUUAGUUAGAAUAAAAUGUCUUUGAACUUGCGAUGAUCAAACAAAGGAAACAGACAGGUUGUAACUCACACUAUCACAGAUGUAGCGACACGAUGCAGUGAAUCACAAGAAGAUCACGAAGAUGGAAACGGGAACCCCUCAGAAUGUAAACUUUGAAUAGAGGAAAAAAGAAAAACGUCCUUAUUUCAAAUUGUGCACAGAAGAAGAGUGACUUAAAUCUUCAUCAGUAUCCAGGCAUUCUGCAAUCAUAAAGUAGAAAAAUUUUAACAGUAACAGCAGAGAAAAUAUUAUGAAUAUGCUAGACCAAAUUAGUCCCUUUUUUGGUUUGUGAAAACUUUAUUUUUUAUGAAUACGCUAUCCAAUAUUUUCAAUCAAUAUUUCCACAAUAUAGUUGUUCAUAGCUAACGUUUGAUGGUUUAACGAUUUGUUCCAAGAAUAAUGAGCUGAUUACGUUUUGUUUUAUUUUUAUUUUAUUUUUUUUAAUCCGAUGAAGGAUAUUCAGCUGUGUCUUUAAUUAUGCAUUCAUAGGGAAGAACAUUUUCUAAGUACUUUCCUUGCCUUCUAACUUUCCAAGGAAAGAUAGGUGUGAAGAAAAGCAAACCCAAUGAACAAACAGAGCACAAACUAAAAUAAUUAGCAAAUAAAGAAAGGAAAAAGUAUGCACGUUUUCAAGGAUUUAAAAAAUACGAAGGCUUUUAAUGAAAUUUUAUCAUAAAAAAGUAUGCAAGGAGUUAUAAAAUUUUAGAAGACGAGGGGAGCUCGCAAAAAAAAAAAAGAAAAAAAAAAGAAAAAGACUCAAAUUAAACUAGACUAAAAAGACAUUCAAUUACGCAAAAUCUGUCCAUAAAAGUCUGAAAGGAUCAUUAAAAUUGCAUUGCAAAUUUAACAGUAAACUGAGGAACCCAUUCUAAAUAAUUCAGAUGAAAUUGCGAAACAAACCAUGGGAUUAAAUAAAUUAAAUAAAAAUUAAUUACCAGUUGAGACUUUCUUCUAAAAAUUCGCAACUCCAAGUCAUAAGAAGCCUAUGAAAUUAGUAGUACAGCGUAGAGUAUGACGACGACACCGCCAACAGCUGAAAGUAAAAUUCUUAUUCAUCAAUUUAAACUUACUUUAUAACAAAUAUCUUAUCUAUAUUGUAUUUAAGAAAACAAAUUUUGUAAAAAUUUAUCAUGGGAGAUAGAGAGUAAUAUGUACAUACGUACCUUCUCAGCAUGUAAUUGUUGUAUGGUUGUGUUUAGAUCAUUAUUAGCCCAGCGCCGUUGAUCCGCUGUCUCUCCAUAGCAGACGUUUACUCUUAGAGGCGUGAUUGAUUCUCCUGUAGUGAAAAUCUUCAUCUUGGGACAACCAAUCACCCACAACUCUUGCAAAGAUGGGAAUUUGAAGGUGUAAUUGGCAGAGCAGAAACUUGUGAGGCUGUCUAAAUCACGCAGUUCCAACGUCUUCAAUUUGCGGAAAACAAUCUCUUCUUUUUCAACCCCGUCUUUGUCAUUUAUUACCACCUCUGUCAUUGCUCUGCAUCCAUAUAUACUCACUUUGACGAGUUGCACUAGAGUUUUUGCUGUGGAGGAUGUUACCAAGUGUAUCAAUUCCUUGCAACCGAAAGCUACAAGUUCUGUUAGGUUCCGAAAAGAUACCGAUGAUGAUGGCAAUAGAAUUAACAGACUUUGACAAUGAUAUACUUUUAGAAUUUCAAGAUACUGAAAAAUGGGGCCAAGUUUGGAGUCUUGUUUGCACAGCUGCUUCAGAUGAUAGUGCCGGUGCAGCUUUAAUUCUUUUAUCAUUGCCAACUUCCCCACAUGUUUCUCUAAGCAUCCUUCCAUCGAAAAUACCUCUUCGUGGAAUGAAAAAUUAAGCAGUGUGAGUAUUUCGAGAUUGUGAAAUCUCUCCAGUACGUUCCAGAUUGGAAAACAAGCUGCGUCAUCUCCAACAAUCUCUAGUUGUUUAAGACUGCCAAAAAGGUGUUGUGGGAAAUCGGCCUGCAAAAUCAUCUUCACAUCUUUUCCACUUAGUGAUAGCUCCUUCAAGUUGGGUACGAUCUGAUCAUCAUCAAUCGUAAUAACUAAUGAGGUCAAUUGAUGAUCUACGGUCACAGGCAGUGACUUUAUAGUAUUUGUUUUAUAUUAUAUUUUUAAAAAAAUUGAAUUAUUGAUAAAAUUUAUUUUAUAUGUUAAUUUUAGAGGUAAAAAAGAAAUUAGGGAAAAAGGUUGAUUUAUACUGGCUCGAAAUUAUUUUAUUGCACAAUAAUAAAUUACUAAUUUAUUUUGUAAGUUCUUCUAUAUGGAAAGACUAAGGAUUCUUUUAUAAAUGUUAUACCAAAAAAAGUUCAUAUAAUUAUUAAUCUACCCCAUUGAUCUCUUAAUCUAGACUAGCAAAGAUUAUUGUAUAAUAAAAGUUUUCAAUUUAUUGAGUAUUAAUUUAUCGAUGCUUUGCCAUAUUUUUCAAAGUUAAAAAUAAGCUAUAGACAAAAAAUCUAGAAAAUGGCUUCAUACCUUUUCCAACGGCAAUGGGGGCUGUUGUGCAGGAAUGCCAAGUUGAUCAUUCUCAUUAUUCUGCAAUAAAUCUGCAGUGAAUAUCUUUAAUUUGUCACAACAAUGCACUGAAAGAACUUCUAGCGCGGGCCAUUCCGAAGUAUGCAUUCCAGGGUACAAACAUCUAAGUUUUGGUAGACCUUGGAGUCUCAAAGUGGUGAGCUGUGGAAAGACAAAAUAAGGGAUCACUUCAUCUGCUCUAUUCUCAGAAAUGAUCUCCUGUAAAUCCUCACAGAAGCGAACUUCUAGGUGUUGGAGCUGCUUAAGGCUUCCGAUCAUAGACGCUGAAAAUAUGUAUUUUAAUUUGUGACAACGCCACACAAUCAAUCGUGUUAAAUUUUGAAAGCGAGGAAACGUGACAGGAAAAUGAUUGUAGUGCCAAAUCUUGUCGACAUUAAUUUCAGAUAUCUCCAAAGCCUCCAAGUUAGGCAACGCAACCUAAAAGAAUAAGAAUUUCUGGUUAGAUCCAAUAUCCAUAUGGGAAGCACUUGUUGAAAUUUUCUUCUUUGAUUGCAAAUUCAUGCAAGUCAGAAUCAAUUUCCAACUGACAGCUGAGUAUGCAUUCUAAUUCAUACUACUUGUUAAGAGCUCAAUUAGUGAGCGCGUGAGAUUCUUUUUAUCCUUUUUUCCGUUUUCUUUCAAUUCUUUAAAUGAUUUAAUUAUUUUCCACGUAUGAUAUCAAAAGAGAACGCAUGAUAGAAUAAAGAAAAUGUUAGCCUACGCACCUUCUCGUUGAAAAGCAGAGUUGAAAUAUCCAAAGUGAUUUCGCUGGAGCAAUACAUAGUCGUCGAUUCCUCUUGCGACACUUGUCUGUUCGGUGAUGCUGAAGGAGUCUCCACCUCACGGCGGCAAAAACUUGUAACCUCAGGAAGAUUCCCCAGACUCAAAGAUCUUAAUUGAGCAAACUCUAUCUUCUCAAUUGCAUUAUCAACUUCUUCCCCAAUUGCAAAAAUCUCUGUUAUCUUGCUGCAAUUAACAACUGCAAUUCUCUCAAGUCUUGGAAGGCAUUUUGUAGUAGAGAGCCAAAAGAUAUUACUCAACUUAUCACAAUUAUAUGCUUCUACGGUUUUGAGUUCGUUGAAAGACUCUACUUUGAGCCGAUCAACACAUAUCCUCUCCAUGUUGAUCAAAUUGUGAAUGGUAAGUGACUCCAAAAGAGGAAAGGCAUCACAAGCGACCAUCUCCCUUGAAUCGACGAUACAAAAGAAGUCAGGAUUAUUUUGAACCCAGAGAAGCUUCAAUUGUGAAAAGCCCUCCUUGCAGCUUGUCCAACCAUAAGUAUUCAACGUUAUUGAUGCCCUGCAAUUUCAUGGAGCAAAUGUCCAUAAAAUCAAGCUUGAGCUUCAAUGAUCUUAAACUCUUGCGAUCACUGUUGAUCGAAAAGCGGGGCCGACUUUUAAACCAAUGUUGUCCAACACUCAUGGGAUGCAUGAAUAACCCAUUUCCAAUAGAUAUUUUGAACCUUUCGAGCUUUCUGGCCAAAAAACCUUCUGGUAAAAUAUUGUCACUUUUAACGUCAAUUUCUAGAGUGGUUAGCCGAGGUAAAUGCAUCAAUUCGUCAAGGCUAGCAUUACUUCUUUUGCUGUUGGCUCUUUCAACCUCCCAUUCAAUGAAGCAAUUACCCAUAUACAGCUCUUCUAAUCGAGUUAAGCUUGAUAUGAGAUUAGGCGCAAUAACUUUUAGAUGGAAACAAUUGGUUAAAUCUAACAAUCUCAACUUAUUCAAUUGACCUAGUUCUUCUGGCAACUGCAUAAUCUCAGACUUCAAAAAGCUAAGGACUUCUAGAUUCUUCAACUUCCCAAUGAUUGCUAUGUCCCCCAACGCACUUUGAUCCAGACAUAGUGUGUGAAGAUUUUGUAGAAGAUCAAUUGAAGAUGGAAAAGAAGAAAACUGCAUUCGAGUAAAAUCUAGAACUCUAAGCUUUUUCAUCCCUACAAAAAAGUUCUCAGGAAUAUUGAUUUCAAGAGAAGAAUCUUUGAGAGAGAUAAAUAAAAAUUCAAGGUUUGGGCAUUCUAAUCCUUCAGGAAAUUCACGAUUACUAUUAUUUCUUAAAGAGAUCGCAUUGCAUUUUCGAAGUGCAUCCUCAUCUGGCCAGUCCCACACAUCCUUAUUUCUCACCAAAAACACAUGUUGGUGGCGGCAUGCAAUUGAUAUUGCGACAUCACGAACAACAUCAUGCAUUGAAAAUUGUUCAUUGCUCUCACCCUCAAGCAACAAACAAGAGUGUCUAAGUUCAUGGACCAAUGCAUAUAAUUUGUCUCGUGCAUCUUCCAUCUUAUUGACUCCUUUAAAUAUACCCAAACCCAUGGAGUACUUAAACAAGUCCGAAGUAAGAAUACGGUUAUCCAUUAGACUACAGAGCAGAAAAAUUUUCUUGAGUUGCUCACCUUUUAAAUGGUUGAAACUCAGCUCAAUACUUGAAUAAGUCUCUGCAGAUACUCCUUCGAAGUUUACCAUUGAAGGCGUUCGGAGUUCUCGCAAGGAAUUCUUCCAUUCAUACUCUUGCUUCUCAGUGCCUUUGCCACUGUAGUCAAGGCAAUGGGCAAACCUCCACAUGCCCUGGCGACGUCUAUUGCUGUGGAUUUCAACUCACGAUUUUCAACAUCAUCUCCGGCCAUCAUCUUAAACAAUCUCCAGGCUUCUUCUUCAUUUAAAUUGUUUAUCAAAAAGUUGUCUUUAGAUCCCAUUUUUAAGAGGAGACUACGAUCUCUUGCUGUCAGCAGUAGUUUGCAGCCUUUAUGAUUUUCUCCAAAAGGAAUUGCAGUAGUCCCCAAAUCAAGAGGUUUCCAGAUGUUAUCCAGAAUCACAAGGAUCUUCUCAUUCUCCAAUCUUUCAUAUAGUCUACUAGCUCUUCUAGACUCAGCUUCCUCGCGCAACUCCAAGCCCAACUUCUCGGCAAUUUCCUGUUGAAUCUGUUUUAUGUCUGGAGUUUGCGAAACCUCUGAAAAGACCACCAUAUCAAAGUGCUUGUCUUCCAUAGCUUGCCUGGCGACCUUCUUCACCAGUGUCGUCUUUCCAAUGCCGCCCAUGCCGUACACCCCAAUGAUGCUGACAUCAACAUCGAUCAAUGCGUUUUUUAUAGCCUCCAAAGUAGAACGUCUUGAUUCGAAGGCCUCGUAGCCUUUGUGAGACUUGAGCCAAAUCUCCUCCGGAAUGGUACGGUAGGAAAUUCUAUCAUCAAAUCUCCCAGCUUCUUCUCGGAGUUUAAAAAGGGCCUCCUUCUCUGUUUCUGCUUUCUUUCCAUGCUGAUAGCGAGUAAUCCAAUUAGGAAACAGCCCCAUGAGACAUCGUUCAUUUGCUUUCUCUUCGUCUAGAAUGAAUUUGGCUGCCUGCUCAAUGCUCUUGUUCGCAUUAACCAGCCAUUUCUCAACCUUCUUUUCAAUCUUUUCACUUUUUCUUUCAGCCUCCGAAACUCUGUGCUGAAUGCUUUCUCUUUCAUCCUUGAGCCUAUCGAGUUCUGCCUUGAAAUUCUGAAAGUUGGCAGCGGAGUUGUACCAAUAACUAAAUUCGCGUUGUGCGUGAGGAGACAAACAGUUUACAACUCCUGGAACAAUGCUUUUCAAAAUGUCCAUUUUUUUUUCUUUUUUGGGGAAGUGAACGAAAUAGAAAUAGAACAGGGUCAACGGCCGCGCAAUUGAUAAUCAAGUAGAAGCAAAACAAGGCAAAGUUGAAAAAAGAAAUGAUAUUUGUACAAAACAAGGGAAAUCAGUGUAACAGAAGAGAAUCAAAGUGUUUAUGAGAUCAGAAAAUUGAAUCAAGAAAAGGGUUGCUUGAUCCAAUGAAAAUGCAAAGAGCUGAUGGAAAAAGGGGACAAAGAUAAAUAAGAAAACGGCUAGCACGAGCAGUGACCACGAUAAACAGAAGCAAAGUGUGUAUGAGAUCAAAAGACGAAAAUCAGGAGAGGUUUUCUUGACCGAGAAUUGAAGGCAAUUAGUAGGAGCUGACGAAUACGGGGAUCAAGAGGGAAAAAUUGCUUUUAAGCGAAUCUGAUAAAAUUAUUUCAAUACUCGUGGGCGACUCCUUUUUAAACUGCAGAAGGAAAAAAAAAAUUCUGAAUUUCAAUAUAUUAUUUUUUAUCCUAAUUUAUGUUAGGACUCGUAAUCUCGUCUCAAAUAAUUAAUUAGUAGAUAAUUUUUCUAACAAAUAUGUGUUGAAUAGAUAUAUUUCUUGACUAUGAGCAGGCUAGAGAUAUUUUAGCAUAGGAAUGAAAGUACAAGUUGUGUCAUAUUAUAAUUAUCAAUUGACCUAAAAAUGUUGUUGUGAAUUGAAAUUAUUUCUGUAAAAUAAAAGGAUUUGGGUCAUUGUUCGUUAUUUUCUGGCAAUAUUGUCUGGUCGUGACUCUUUGUUAAAUAUUAAAAAAAUAAAUUUAUAUUUAUUAAGUAUAAAAAAUAAAUAAACAAACAAAAAUAAAAGGAAAAGUUUAUACAUUACGUAAAAUAAUAAGAACAAUAUCAAUAUUUCACACUCUAUAAUUGAGUGAUGUGUUAUCCAACUGCCAUACAUUGGUCCCAAACAGAGACUUAAAUAUUAAAGUCCAAAGUUAUUGUGAUGAUGACUUAUAAUUGCCAAACUUGACAUACGGGUAAUCAUGCAUUAUAAGGUGCUGAUUUCUUCCGAUCGGAACCUUAUUUUUCAUUUACAAAUAAAUAAAUGAUGUGACUUCACGGUUGGCGGGGUCCUUUGUGUCAUUUGGGCAUUUCACUAAAUGAUUGAUUGUAGCAGGGAGAUUCCUGGAAGUUGCCAUUUGCCAAUGCUACUAACAUUUUCAAACUUGGAAAACCCUUCAAUCAAUCUUUUAGUGGUAGGCUCCGGUAGCUUGGUUUGAUUAUGACAUAUGAUUAUUUGAUAAUGAAGCUAGAGGAUGUAUUAAUAUAAAAUUUGUUUAUUGGUGUUGAAGUUAAUUAUCUCAUUAAUAUUAGUAUAAAAAGUUAAUUACUAAGAAACACAUAGCAGUAGUUAAUUGGUGUCAUAUUAUUAGGAUUCUGGGAUAUAAUUUUAUAUCAUAACUUUGUAAGUGUAUACUUACUCAUCAAACUAAUAAAAUUAUUUAAAAAUUUCAGUUGGAAAAAAUAAAUUAUAUUAUUUUCAUUUCAAAUAAUCUAUAAGUUAACUCAAAACAUAAUCAAGCUGAGAAUUAAAAUAAUGCUACUGUAUGAGAGGAUUUUUAUUUUUUCCCGAAGUUUCACUAGGAAAUUAUUGAUACAUAGCUUUAUUCGGAUCAUCUCAGUUCAAACGACAAAUAAUUGAAAGACUAAGCUAAAUAGACCAGCCAACAACUUUGUACAAGAGAGUUCAAAAAUUAAGGUCAUGGUAUUAAGGUGUUCUAUCUUGAAAAGUAUAGCGUAGUAAUAAAAUAAAAACUAAUAGUCUUUGGUAAGAUAUGACAUUUAAAUAAUAAUUUUCACAAAAAUACAAAGAAUAUUUAUAAAGUACUUCUAUAGUGAGGAGACCCUCACUUUGUUAAAGUGAAAAUAUCAAUAAUAUACAAAAGACAUAUAUUUUAACACAUUAAAAAUUGUAUUUUUUUUAUCUAUUGGUGUAUUUGAAUAUGUGUUAUUUAGUUUGUUAGUGAUAUCAUUACUUUGUUAAAAUGAGAAUGUCGUUACUAGAGAAUCAUUAUAUAUACAUAUAUAAAGUGCUUCUGCCCAAGACCUAGACUUUAUUAAAAUUUAAGAAAGCAAGUAUAUUUUAUAUGGUAUAAUAGUGUAAUAACAUCACACUAUUAUAUCAUAUAGAGUAAUAGUUUUUCAAACUUUAAUAAAGUUCAAGAUUAUAGAAUGAAUGAUUUUUAUAUAUUAUAAAUUUUUUUAUCAUAAAUGGAGGACAAAAUUAACAUAUUUUCAAAUUAUAAUAAGUAUUUAUCAAAUAAUUUAACAUUGCAAUUUCUCCUAACUAGUAUAGUAAAUAAUACGACCUAGGAGAUACAUUCAAAGCAUUUCAUAAGUUAGUUGUUAAUAAUAAAUGAUAUAUGCAGCUCCAAUCAUCAUUGUACGGUGAGUAAUUUCCAGUUAUAAAUAGAUAUUACUCCCUUCCCAGCAAUUUUUGAUGACUUAAUUUAGUGAGAUCAAAAUCAACAUUGAAUUUUUGACCAGCUGCCAACAACUUGUGAGCAGUUCACAGUGGGUACUGCACAUGAUGCCUGUUUCUCCUUUUGCAUCUAUUUUGUUGUUAACAUUAAUUUCAAUAGCAGCUCGUUAAUCCCAAUUGUUGAUUUGGGACUAGAUAAGAGUUUAUCUUGGAACUCCAAUUCUCCCAAUUAUUUUAGUUGACAAUAUAUUUAACAUUAUUUUUUUAACAUUAUUAAUUGCAUAUUAUUUAAUUAUCAGUAUAUAAUAUUCUUUAAUUUUCUAAUUUUAUAGGAUUAGACACAAAAUUGAUUAUGCCUUUUGAAAUUUAAGGGUUAUGUCAAUUGAAUAGAAAACUUGGAGGUAAACUUGUGGAUGUUUUUGUUGAUUAUCAAUUUAUGCAUGAAUUUUUGUACGUUUACUCUGGUUUAUAAUUAUUACUUUUAAACAUUUUUAUUGGUUUGAUUUAGGGUCAAUUUAGUAAUCAUGUAGCUUUUAAAAUAAUUACAAUUAGCUAUGCUGUAGAAAUUGAUCAAUCGUCAAGAGAAUCAGCUGAACAUUUAGUAAAAUUUAUUUUUAAAAGUACUUUUAGUUUUAAAAGCGUUGUAUGAAUAAAACUGUUACACUAAAAAUUAAAUGUAUUGCCCACUUGGGUAAAUAAAGCUAUAUAUUACAACUGUUACACUAAAAAUUAAAUGUAUCUUAAACCCAAACUUCUUCUUCUUCUUUUUGACUAACAAAAUUAAAAACAAUAGUGAACACAUUCUUUAAUAAACAAUAAGUAAUAAAUAAAAUCGUGUUAAAUUGCUUAAAAACUUUCUUUCACGGUUUGCUAAAUAUUUGUAUUAGUAUUUUAAAUAAAUAAAAAUAGUUGAUUUAAUUUUUUUAAAUAAACUUAUUAGGUUCAUGUAAAGAUGUUUUUGUUAUUUUAAAAAGUGUAGAAAGUACUCCUAAAAAAAAGCGUAGAAAGUAAAACUUAAUUUUUUAAAUUUAUCAGCUGAGUGCAUAAAUAAUUGAGUGUUCAUAAUGAUUUUUAAAGUAUAGAUAGUCGGACCCUAAUUUAAUAUAUGCAAAUUUUGCUAAUAUGUUAAUGAGAAUUAAAAAGAUAAUUAAGGGAGGCAAUCGAGACAUUCAGGAUAGUUAGGAUGGGACAUGAUUGUGAGUGGUUAGAUAUUGGUCCUAAUUUUGAUCACAAAUAUAUAAACAGGACGAGUUUAUCUCUACUUACAUUCCAUUUGAUAAUUAAGAUGAGAGUGGAAUUGUCAAAUCCCAAAUCAUCCCGGAUCACUGCCACCAAGGGUACUCUCACUAAUAAUAUCUAAAGAAAAAUCUACAUCUAUUUCAUACUUUUUUUUAAUGGAAAGAGCCCUCAUGGGGCUUGAAAUGGUAUCCUAAAUAAUAUUCAGAAUAUCAGGUCAUGAUUGGGUUUGUGACAAACAAAUAUUACAUAGUUGGGAUACGUAGUUAUAGUGUCCCAAUUUAUGUAGUAUCUAUCAUUUAGUGCACAUAUAAAAUAUUAAUCAGCUUAAUUAAUUUAUAAAAUUUAAAUCUAAUUAAUAAGUGAUACAUAAAUGCCAAGUGCAGUACUGUAUAUGCAAAUCAUGUUUGUGGAUCAUUACAAAACUGGCUCUUGAAAACAAGCAAGAAAGCUUAAUUAAGAACUUAAAACAAAAAGAAUUAGAUUGAGAAUAGUCGAGCCUUAUUUUUUCAAGAAUGGAGCUUAUAAAUCUUCAAGUACCAACAUACGCUUGGCCCAAUUGUUGUUACUAAAAUUUCAAUAUACAUAUAUAAGUAUGAUAUAGCAAAAAUUUGAUGGUACAUAUGUCGGAAUAUACUAGUUCAUGGGUGCAUUUGAUUAUUGUUUCCAUAAAUUUGAACCAGGAAGGAUGACACGAUAAAAUUUGAUUUUAUAGUAUGGUUGAUUUCAUAUCUCAUGCACUCAUUUCUUAAGAUAAUCAAAUUUUCUCUGGCAUCUUUUGCAACUGUCGAAAUAUCAAUUAUGAUCAAUCAAAACGAUUUCAAAACCUUUCAACGAGAUAUAUUUCUAAUACAAUAUUGUGAAAAUUACACUAAAAAUUUAAUUUAUUAUAUAUUAUUAUCCAACGAGCACACAAAAAUGAUUUCGUACAAAUCUAAAAUACUGAGCAAUUUUCAAAUAGAAUUUACUAUGUACUACAAGAAAAUAGGGUAUAUGUGACCCCUAAUAUGAAUGCAAAAGCAGCCAUUACGCAUAUCACUAACUUCUAACUUUGUAACUCCGAGUUGCUUUUGUUACCCUUUAUGUGACGGCCACACUGCUGUCACAUAUGUUACGAACCGCGUGACGGCGAAGAGCCGUUCGGUAUACUAAUAUUUUAGAAUUUUAAAUUUAUUUCCAGUUAGAAAACUAUUCGCUGGACUCCGUGUUGCUGGCCACCAUCGUAAACGUAACUGGUUGCCAGCGAACGGCGUAAAACGCCGGCCAUCUUCUUCUUCAUCGUAUUCUCCCUUCAUCUUUUGAGGUAAGCUUGUAAUUAUAGAUUUUGAUUUUUUUUAUUUUGUAUUGUAGCCGUUAUUGUCAAUUUUUGUCCCGCCAGCAAUAUUUUUUUAUUCCUACAAGUUGAAGCCCCUGUGUUCUUGUUCCAUUGGUGAGUUUGCUCACUCAAAUUAAUUUUGUUCUGCGGAAUUUACAAAGUUCAAAUGGAUUCAUUUGAAUUACUAUUGAAUUUAGCUUUAAUUUCAACAUCCAUUCUAAUGUUUUGCAAUUAGAUUUAAUUUAAUUUUAUGUUUAAAGCUUCUACAAUGAAUAGCGGAGCUUGGGUUUUAGUUUCAUUUUCUGGAUAACUUGUUUUAGUUUAUCUUGUAUGCUCACCAAGUGCUUGUUAUAUUGUCUGAUAAGUUAUAUACAUUGCUGAUUCUAUAUUAAUAAUGUUACGUUCUAUUUUCAGAAAUUAUAAUACAAAAGUUUUUACAAUGGCGUGCAUCUACAAACUGAAUUGACUUGUAGAAUAAGAGCUUGGAGUAAAUGAAAGUUCAUAUUGUGUAAGAGCAUGUAGAUGUAAAGCAUCAUUACCAUUUCUACAAAGUGCUUUCAUUCUUGAACUUUGAAAGGUGCCUCGUUCAAGUCCUAGCUAUAACUACUAGCUUUGAUUAAUUACGUUCCUAUACUAGCUGAAACAGAUUUAUUUAAUUAAUUAAUUGUGUAUGUACUAAUUAUAUUGAAAGUAUAUGAAUUUUUUUUUUAACAUGAAUGACUCCUAAAUGACUUAAAAACCUAAAGGAUGUGUGAAAUAAUGCUCAUUUCACUUGAAUGAGCCCAUUAAUACUUUUAUGUCUAUGAUUUUCAAUAUUGGCUAAAGCAUUUCGGUUAAGUGGUUUACCUAACAGAGAAAAAAAUUUAAUAGAAAACUUCAGAGUUCUAACAGAAAUAUAGUUUACUAUGCAGAUAUAGUUAUUUUACGGUAUACAAAUCAAGUCGUCCUAAUCUCAAUGUCCUAUGACCGAUUUUAUAUUAUAUAGUCAUUAAUUUUUUCCUUGGUUUUUUGUGUUUGUGAGUAUGAAAUAGUGGGAUUUGGUGUACCUUAGCAUCUCUUGAAAAUUCUCUUUCAGUGUGGCCAACAGAAAUAUACAUAUAAUCAAGUUUCUUAAUCCUGUAUAUUAGUUUUGGGUAUGAAUGUUCCUAUUCUAGUUCUAGGCAAAGCUUCUUCAUUUUGGUCUUCAGAUUUCCAGUAGGUUAAGUUAAUCAACUAUCAUAACUGGCUAGCUAGUUAUUGUCUGCCUUGGCGCCAUUACCCAGGCCAUUAUAUUGCAUAGCAUAAGGAAUAGUGAUUAGGUGAUUAUUAGUGAUUUGUUGAGCUUAUUAUCGACCAAACAAACAUAUUCGCCUUUGCCCACAACUUAGUUUGAUUAGUUAUUAGACCAUAAAGAGCCUUGAUCUAUUCAUUGGCUUUAUUAUUUUUAUUUGGUUUUUCUUUCAACAAUAUUGUUGAUUUCUUAUAAAAAUAUUCAUUGGUUUUUAAACACCUAAUCAUUGGCUAUAUGAAGCUAAUUAAAACUGAGGCUUUGGAUCAAUUUCUUCUAACAAGAUACAAAUGAGCAUAACCUAUCUCCUCUGAGUAAAUUUUUUUAAUAUCCUUGAUUUGUAAGGAUCUGGAGGCCUGAAAUCCUCUAGAUUUUUUUUAAUACUGUCAAUGUUCUUUUUAUUCUGAAAAGGAACUAAAAGGUUUUAUCUUUCAUACCCUAAUAGUAAGCUGGCCUUGUCUUAACAUGGCUUCCCGAGGAUUUGGAAGAUUCAUAGGCCCCCCCCCCCCCCCCCCCCCCCACACACACACACACAAAAAGGAAGAUUUUGCAAGAUUCACCACCAGGUUAUUUAUUUAUUUAUGAAUUGUGUGUACAUACUAGUUAUAUGUUGAAAGAAUAGGAAGAAGUAUUUCAACAUGAAUGACUUAAAACUUAUUGCUCAGUAAACAUAAUAUGCAUCAGUGCGAAAAUGUAUUUAUCAUUUGUAUUUUUUAUGGUUUUGCUUAAGAAAUGAUAUGUGAAAUAAUGCUACAUGCCUACAUUGUAUCAGGAAUAACUUGAAAAGAUUUAUGAUAUUUAUGUGUUAUUCAAAUUUCAGAUUCAAUUUUAAACUUUUGAUACGUGCAUUAAAAGUUUAGACUUGUUUAAGAAAUUAUUAAUAGACACAUGUUUUAUUAGUGUCAUAUUUGGAUGAUAGUGAGGAUCAUAUGUCUAUUAAUAAUUCUUGAAUUGUCCGGGCUUGGACAGUUUGGGAAUGCAUACUUCUCUCUGGUAGCUAGUAGCCGAAGUUUUCUUCCCACGUAAAAAUGGGUUUUUCGGUAGCUGCUCCUCAUGUUCUCUGGGUACGUACUAGGUGAAUGGGUGUCGUGUUGUUUUGGCAUAACGCAUAAACACUUAUAUAGCUAUGUCGUGUGCUUGGAGAAUUAUAGGGAGAUGGUGCUGAAAUUUUUAUAAACGUAGAAGAAAACUUUAGGUACUUGAGAUUGAAAAAACUUACACAUUCUUGAGUGGGAUAUGUAGGAUUACUUACCUUUGGUAAAUAUGAAGGGAAUGUUGGAUAUAUUGAGGGUAGUGUAGGAGCUGAGUUGGAUGAAUGUAAUUGGUGAUGAUUUUGCUGAGCUGACAUUGGUUUUGAGCUUGUAAUUUUGUUUGUAAAUGGAGUGCUAUCUCCAAUGUUGGUUUAUAAAUAUGUUUCAGGACUUGCUGACCUAAUUUUUUGUUUCUAGGUUACAGGCUUUAUAUAUCUGUAAUUGAUGGCGAAGUGAAGUUCCCAGCACUUGGCGAGGAUGUUGGUUUAUAAACUGUUUUUUAUAUAUACUUUGAUUUUCACAUCUUUUUCUCUGAUUCUUGUGGCUUUGCUUGCUUUCAUAUAUGUAAAUUCUAAUGAAAUUAAACAUAAAAUUGUAAAAUGAUCUUUUUAUUAUAUUGCAAAACUGUGCACACACGAAAAUAUCUUGUUUAGUAGUAGAAAUGAAGAACUAAAAUGAUUUAUUUAACUAAUAUUUGUAGCGCAUUAAAAGGAGAUAGUCAUGGACAAGUGUUGGGUUGGUUUGCCAAAUAGAUAUCCAAGUCAUAUACUGACGGGGAUGAAAAAUUUAUAGAUUUUGCAUUUGAGAAUGUUGUUGGUGGUACAAGAAUUUAAUGUCCUUUUAAGAAGUGUUGUAAUCUAUAUUUCGUUAUAAGGAAAGUGGCUGAUGAUGAUAUGGUUGGAAUGAUACAAUGCAUCACGUAAUCAAAUGUUCAAGUUACACUCAACAUUGUUAUGGACUAUCAGUGACUUUCUAGCAUUGCCAACUUGUUUGGGUGGAGCAUUAAAGGUAAAUAAGCACGUCUUGUUUGCCAACAAAACACUAGAUCUAAUUGGUUGAUACAUGGUAGAAAAUUUUGUCACGUGGGUCACCGUCGAUUUUUACCGACAAAUCAUAGGUUUCGAAAAUAUAGUGUCUUUUGAUAAAACUAGAGAGUAGGGACAAGCACCUUCUCGGUUGUCUGGAACUGAAGUGAAAAAGCAGUUUAAUAUACUUACUGAGUAUAAGAUUGAAGACUUGAAAAGAGGAGAACGAAUAAAAUGAGAGAAAUGAUAAGAUUACUUGGAAGAAGAACAGCAUUUUUUAUGAGAACUACCGUAUUCAUCAUGAUCUUGUUGUCAUGCACUGCUUUGAUUUUUGUUAUGAACUCAGAUCAAAAGUUUAAUGUGAUCAAACUUUCUUAAAAAAAGUGAAAACGACUCCUAGUAAUAUGCUUUGAUUUUUGUUAUGAACUCAGAUCAAAAGUUUAAUGUGAUCAAACUUUCUUAAAAAAAGUGAAAACGACUCCUAGUAAUAUGGAAGAUGGCUAUAAAAGAUAAAAGGAAAGGCUUAAAAAGAAAAGCCAUGCCUGUCAAAAAAUAAAAAAAUAAAAAUGGCAGCGUCAAAUUUAUAACAAAAAUAAAAACGGUGCGUUUGAGAGUGUAAAAAAUACAUUUAGUGGGAGUUAUGUUGUUGCUUGAAGGCAGAUUGUUUGUGAGAUUUUUGUCGACGAAGCCAAAACCAAAGAUGAAUUACGAGGGUUAUGUUUGCCAUAGUCAAGGAACACGGUCCUCUCACCUUUGCCGAAACUUGGGAACGCGUCAAGGUGUGUGUAUCUAUUAAAUUGAAUUUCAACCGUUUGAUCUGUAAUUAUAAUUAAUCCAAUCAAUCUGACAGUGAUCGCUGACCAUAAUACUAGUAGUUGUUUUACAUUUUCAGCAAGCUGGAGCGAGUGGAUUGACGGGCAAAAGCCACAUGAAGAUUGUGUUGAGAUGGAUGAGGGAGAGACAAAAGCUCAGGCUCGUCUGAAAUCACGUGGGCCCUCAUAAGCAAAUCCUGUACACAACAACUUGAAGCAGCCAAAGUCAGGGAAUGAUCCUUCUCCGUCACAACCCUAGCUGCCUUAAAGUGAGACUGUGAAGAUGAAGUAAAGCACCAGUUGAACAAUGAAGAUGGAAACCCCUCAGCAUGUAAACUUUUCAACAGUGACACAGCUCUUAUUCCAGAGGCUGCACAGAAGAGCGACCUGAAUCCUCUUCAAGACUUUCAAAUUUUUAUCAAGUAAAGCUUCCAAAAUUUCUCAACAAAUUGAUUAUUUGGUGUGGUUGACACAUUUUGUGUAAUAACAGAAAAUUGAUUAUUUGGUGUAACAACAGAAAAUUACAAGAUCGCUGACAAAAUGACAAAAUGACAAAAUGACAAAAUGAAACUGAAGAUAAAUCAGAACAACUACCAAACCUUUGACUGAAAAUUCAAAAGAAUUUAUAUUCAAAAUGUCAAAAUAAACUGGAAAUUUAUUGCAUAUAUUACAAGAAGCAGUACACACCAAUUGUAAAUUGAUACAUCGUUUUUGAAAUUAAGAUAGUCAAAUGAAAGAAACACAACGGAGGGUUAAUGUAACACUUUCAAAGCUGCAUUAGUGAUACAGUAGAGUGAAUACCCUCAGCAUGUAAACUUAACUUCAAAGGACGGAGCACAAGUUUCACAGAAAAGUAGCUCUUAUUCCUGAUGCUGCAAACACAGAGGAGUGACCUCAAUCUUCUUCAUAACUUGGGAAUUCUGCAAUUAUAGAGCACGACAUUGAGCAUGAACUAGAAAAAAUAUUUAUUUUGUACAAUUUUCAUGUAACCUGACUAACCAAGAUUAAUUUGGUGGUAAUGCAUUGGGUCAUUACUUUAUAUGUUUUUACUGUCAUCACUUUAGAAAAAACUAAUUUCUCAAUGUGAAAUGGCCCACAAAAGUAUUAUCGUUUAAAAACUAAAGAUUAAAGCCCCCGGGGGGGGGGGGGUGUCUGAAGGCUUUUUACAUGAAAAUGUUGUCACUUUGAAUGAUAUUUUCAAGGAAUUUUAUUCUAAAAAUAAAAUACGUGGGACCUUAUUCUUCAAAUUGACAGCUCGCCAAGUACUAAAGGCGUAUGAGAUCAGUACUGCGGCGAGUAAGGAGACGACCCCUCCAACAGCUGAAAAUAAAAUUAGCAUUCAUCAAUUUAAAUUAAAAUUCAUAUUAUGAAAUAAAAACUAAUGAUUAAUGAAUUUCCGAGGAAUUUCAUAAGAUUCUCAUAUAAAAACGUGAUAAAAAACUCACUCAUCAAUAACAAAUAUUCUAACAGUUACCCGUACCUUUUCUUGAUGUAAUUGUUGUAUGAUUGUGUUAAGGUCAUUAUUAGACCAACGCAGUUUGUCUUCACUCCUUCCGUACCAGACGUUUACUCUCGGAGGCGUGGUUGAUUCUCCUUUGGUGAAAAUCUUCAUCUUGGGACAACCAAUCACCGACAAAUCUUGCAAAGAUGGGAAUUUGAAGGUGUAAUUGGCAGAGGAGAAGCUUGUGAGACUAUCUAAAUCAAGCAGGGACAAUGUAAUCAAUUUGCUGAAAACAAUCUCUUCUUUUAUAUUUGCUGUUUCAUCUUCGUCACAUACUACGACUUCUGUCAUUGCUGUGCAUCCAAAUACCUUCAAUGAUAAGAGUCGCUCCAGACUUUUUGCUGUGGAGCAUGUUAGUAAGUUCAUCAAUUUCUUGCAAGCAAAAGCUUGCAGGCGUGUGAGAUUCCGAAAAGAUACCGAUGAUGAUGGCAAUAGACUUAACAGAUUUUGACAGUGAUAUGCUCUUAUAAUUUCAAGAUGUUGGAAAAUGAAGUCCAGCUGUUUGGAGUCAUGUUUCCACAGUUGCUGCAGACGAUUAAGUCUGGUCAGGUUUAACCUUUUUAUCAGUGCCAACUUCCUCCCAUGUUUCUCCAAAUAUCCUUCAUUUGAAAAUACCACUUCAUACGAACAAUCCGACAGGAAGAGAAGUUCCAGAUUGUUAAACCUCUCAAGUAAACCAAGUUGAAAGCAAGCUAAGUCAUCAUCCCGAACCAGUAGUAGUUUAAGACUGCCAAAGAGGUGUUGUGUUGAACCUCGCAAAACCACCAGGGCUAGGAAGCCUAAUCCAAAGUAUCUGGCAUUUCUGGAUGUGAGCAAUACUAAUGACGUGGGGGCUAAAAGGCUUGGUCAAGUGUUGGAUGCAUAAAGGACCGAGUCUUGUGCUGGAAAAUCUCUAUAUCUUGUUAGUAGCUUCAGUAGUUGAGUUAAAAUAGGAGUUAGCCGUUGCCUUGCUUCAUUAUUUAAUAAGUUGUAAAACAAGUAGUUGGGGGAGAAAAAAAUAAGAUUUGUCAUUGUGGUUUACUCCAAACCCGAAUUGGAGAACUUUGAAAUAACAGAAGAAUUAUCAAAUUUAUUAAUUCUUGUUGCUGAGAUAAGAAUCUUCUUUCAUUCUAACUUGAGUUCUAACAUGUUGUGGAAAAUCGCCUUGCAAAAUCAUCGUGAUGUCUUUUCCACUUAAUGCCAGUUCCUCCAAGUUGGGUAAGAUCUGAUCAUCAUCGAGCUCAAAUUAUUAACUUAGCACAUUGAUCCAUAAUUCAAGACUGGCAAAAUUCAUUGUGUAAUCAAAGUUUUCAAUGAUCCAACUAAUAUAUAUAUAUAUAUAUAUAUAUUCCUUCUCUAGUGCGGACAUCCUCAUUUUUUUUCAUGUGGACCAGUUUUUAGACCCUAUGGUUUAAAAGAGUUAGUUUUUAACUCUCUAAAACCGCAUGGCUUCAUAAUUCAUUUAAAAACUAACUCUCUUAAACCGCACGGUUUAAAAGUAUGUCUACAUUAAAAAAAAUGCGGACCCCCACACUUGAGAAUGAUUAUAUAUAUAUAUAUAGAGAGAGAGAGACACACACACACACACGCUCUUAAACCGUGGGAUUUGAAAGUUUCUCCGCAUGAAAAAAGUAAAAAAUAAGGGCAUUCCCACUAGAAAAAAACACCAUAUAGGUAUUUAUUAAACCUCCGGAUCUGUGAGUGAGGAACAACAAAGAUAAUUGAUAAAAAAAAUCUAAAAUUUGGUUUCAUACCUUCUUGAACGAGAGUAGGGGUUGUUGUGCCGGAAUACCAAAUUGAUCAUUCUCAUUAUUCUGGGACAACGUUAUUUUAUCACAAUUACAGGCCUCCAAUUUUUUUAGUGCUGGCCAUUCUGAAGUAUGCAUUCCAGGGUAUAAACAUCUGAGUUCUGGUAGACCUUCGAGAUUCAGAGUGGUCACUUGUGGAAAGACAAAAUAUGGGGUCACUUGAUCUGCUCUGUCUUUGGAGAUGAUCUCUUGUAAACCCAUACAUAUCCGUAUCUCCAGGUGUUGGAGGUGCUUAAGGCUUUGGAUCAUAGAAGCUGAAAAUAUGUAUUUUAAUUUGUCACAGCCCCACACUAUCAAUCGUGUCAAACUUUGAAAGCAAGGAAUCAUGGCCGUAAGUUGAUUGUAAUGCCAAAUCUCGUCGACAUUAAUAGCAUUCAGCUCCAAAGCCUCCAAAUUUGGCAACACUACCUAAAGAUAAUUUUCUCUUUAGAUCCAAUAUCCGUAUGGAAAGCACUUGUUUUGACACAAUGUCCAUAUAAGCACUUAAUUAAGAGCUUAAUUAGCCUACGUACCUUCUCGUUGAAAAGCAGAGUUGACGUUUCCGAACUGAUCUCGUUGGAACUGGCUGUCAAUUCCUCUUGCGACUCUUGUCUGUUUGGUGAUGUGGAAGGAGUCUUCACUUCACCGCAAAACCUUGUAACCUUUGGAAGCUUUCCCAGACUCAAAGAUCUUAAUUGACCAAACUCUAUCUUCUCAUCAACAUCAACAUCAGCUUCUCCUCCAGUUGCAAAAAUCUCUUCCAUGCUGCUGCAAUUGAUAACUGCAAUCCUCUCCAGUCUUGGAAGGCAUUUUGUACUACUAGAGAGCCAGAAGAUAUUACUCAACUCAUCACAAUUUUCCACUUUUAUGGUUUUGAGUUCUUUGAAGGACUCUAUUUUGAGUCGAUCAAUACAUAUCCUCUCCAUAUUGAUCAAAUUGUGAAGAGUAAGGGACUCCAAAAGAGGAAAGGCGACACAUGGUUCUCUCUCCAUUGAAUCGACGAUACACAGGAAGUCCGGAUUAUUUUGAACAUGGAGAUGCUUCAAUUGUGAAAAGCCCUCAGUGUCCAAUUCUAAAACAACAUUCUUGAUUCCUUGCAACUUAUCCAAACAUAAGUAUUCAACGUUAUUGAUGCCCUGCAACUUCUCGGAGCAAAUGGCCAUAGAAUCAAGCUUGAGCUUCAAUGUUCUUAAACUCUCAUGAUUACUGAUCAUAAAGUGCUGCCGACUUUCAAACCAAUCAUUCUCAAUAACCAGGGUAGAGUCGAAUGAUGCAUCUCCUAUUGAUAUAUCAAACCUUUCCAGCUUUUUGGAAAAAAAGCCAUCCGGUAAAAUGGUAUCAUUUUUAACAUCUAUUUCUAAAGUGGUCAAUCGCCUCAAAUGCAUCAAUUCGUCGAGGGUGGCAUUACUUCUUUCACUAUUGGCCUUUUCAACUUCCCAUUCAAUAGGGGAAUUACCCAUAUACAGUUCUUCCAAUCGAGUGAAGCUUGAUAAGACGUUGGGCACAAUAAAUUUUAGUUGCAAACAAUCUGUUAAAUCUAACAGCCUUAACUUAGUCAGUUGACCUAGUUCGCCAGGCCACCGUACAAUAUCAGAAUUUAAAAAGCUAAGGAUUUCUAGAUUCUUCUACUUUCCAAUUAUGGCUGUGUCUCCCAACAUGCUUUGAUCUAGACAGAGUGUUUGAAGAUUUGCUAGAAGACCGAUUGAAGAUGGCAAUGAAAAUAAUCGCAUUCGUGUCAAAUCUAUAACUCGAAGCUUUUUCAUCCCUUUGAAAAUGUUGUCAGGAAUAUUGACCUCGACAAAAUAGUCUUUGGGAUGCAUAUGUAAAAAUUCAAGUUGCGGACAUUCAAAUUCCUCAGAAACUUCAUGAAUGCGACUAUUUAGUAAAGAGAUUGCAGAGCAUUUUUUAAGUGCAUCCUCAUCUGGCCACUCCCACACAGCCUCAUUUCUCACCAAGAAAGCAUGUUGGUCUCGACAUGCAAUUGAUACGGCAACAUCGCAGACAACAUCAUGCAUGGAAAAUUGUUCACUGCUAUCACCCUCAAGCAAUAAACAAGAGUCUCUAAGUUCAUGGACCAAUGCAUAUAAUUUGUUUCGUGCAUCUACCAUCCUGUUGACUCCUUGAAAUAUGCCCAAACCCAUGGAGUAUUUAAACAAGUCUGUAAACCAAAAACUGUUACCUAUUAGACUACAGAGCAGAAAAAUUUUCUUGAGUUGCUCACCUUUUAAAUACUUGAAACUCAGUUCAAUACUUGAAUAAGUCUCUGCAGGCACACCUUCGAAGUUUAUCACUGAAGGCGUUUGGAGUUCUCGCAAGGCAUUCUUCCACUCAUGCAGACACUUGUUUCUCAGUGCCCUCGCAACUGUAGUCAGGGCAAUGGGCAAACCUCCACAUGCCUGGGCUACAUUAAUUGCUGUAGACUUGAACUUACAAUUUUCAACAUCAUCACCAUUCAUUAUCUUAAACAAUCUCCAAGCUUCUUCUUCAUUUAGAUUGCCAAUCAAGAAGUUAUCUUUGGAGCCCAUACUUAAUAGCACAUUAUUGUCUCUUGCUGUCAGCAGUAGUCUACAUCCUUUAUGAUCAUUUCCGAAGGGAAUUCCAACCGUCUCCAAAUCAAGAUGUUUCCAGAUAUUAUCUAGAAUCACAAGAAUCUUAUUCUCAUUCUUCAGUCGUUCAUACAGCCUGCUAGCUCUUCUAUAUUCAGCUUCAUCGGACAACUCCAGACCUAACUUCUCUGCAAUUUCCCCUUGAAUCUUUUUUAUGUCUGGAGUUUGUGAAACCUCUGAAAAAACCACCCGAUCAAACAGCUUGUCUUCCCUGGCUUGCCUAGCAAACUCCUUCACCAGUGUCGUCUUUCCAAUGCCGCCCAUGCCGUACACCCCAAUAAUGCUGACAUUCACAUCAGUCAACGCAUUUUGUAUAGACUUCAAAGUAGAAACUCUUGAUUCGAAGGCCUCGUAACCUUUGUUAGACUUAAGCCAUAUCUCCUCCGGAGUGGUACGGUGGGAAACGAUAUCAAACUUCUUAACUUCUUCUCCAAGUUCAACAAGGGCCUUCACCUCUGUCUCUGCUUUCUUGCUAAGCUGAUAGCGGGUCUUCAAAUUACGACACAAGCCCUUGAGACAGCGCUUAUUUGUUGACUCUUCAUCUUCAACGAAUUUGGCUGCCCGGUCAAUGAUGCCGUUAACACUAACCAGCCACUUCUCAACCUUCUCUUCAAUCUCUUCCCCUUUUUCUUUCGCCUCUGAAACUCUGCGCUGAAUGCUCGUACGUUCAACCUUCAACUUCUCCAUUUCCGCCUUGAGAUUCUCAAGGUUGGCAUUGUGGUUCCGCCAUCGCAAAUAAACAACUUGGCGUUCUGUUGGAGGAGCCAAGCAUUUUACAAGUUCCAAAACGAGAGUAACAAUGAUUUCCAGCAUCUUGAAUCCUGACAACAAUGUAGAAGUGAAGAAGGCCAAAGGACAGUCAAAACAGAGAGACAGCGUUACGACAAGCAGUUAUGAAGCUAAAAAUAAAUAACAAACAAACAGAAGCAAAGUGUUUUUCGAAUGAGAAGAAGGAAGCAAGAAAAGGGUUUCUGUUUUAGAUUAAGGAUAAGAAAUGAUUAAGAGAGUGGGGGAGCUAAUAAGAGAGUGGAUUGAGCAAACGUAAAUAAAUUUUUCUUAACCUUUUGUCACACGCGUGUGACAAAUAAUAUAAUUAAUUUUAUAUUUUUAUUCAAUAACUAUUAAUUAUAAUUUUUAAAAAUUAUUAAAAAGAAUAAUUAAGUACUGAAUUCAAAUCCUAUCCUAAAUGGUUAGAUAAAAAUAAGUGAAUGAAAAGAGUAAUGGUAGAUUAAUGAGAAAGUGAUUGAUUAAUUUAUGAGGCCAAUUAACGAAACGACAGAUCUGGUUUCCAUGUUUGUAAUUUAAGUGUAUCAGUACGAGGUACACCGACUCUCCCAGUUUCUUUAGCAUUUCUCUCCGUGGAAAUAAGUGAAAAGCCAAAGUGAUUUGAUUAUUUUUAUGGCCAACUAAUGUAUGACAGAUCUGGUUUCAAUCUCUGCAAUGUAAGUGUAUCAAAACGAGGUCAACAACUCUUUGUCGAGUCAGUCAAAUACGCAAGCAGAGCGAACAAAUUUUUUUUCCAAUUAAGUAAUCAUCAAGUGAUAACCUUCUUUUUCUAUUAAAAUAAGGAGUGCAGAACAACUGUCAAGAGAUAAUCAUUGUUUAUUAUAUUUUCGAUUAAAAUAGUUGCGCGUGAACGAUUGCCCGAAUUCGUAUAAAUUGUUGUCAGGUCUAUUAUAAUUAACAAGUGGAAUGGCCAAUGGAUGAAGAACCACUGCAAUUUCGUUUAUGAAUUUAAAAUGCUAAAGAAACUGGACACCAACGCUAAACGUGAGUUUGAGGCCCUUGCCUCAGUGUCUUUCAGGCGUUACUCGGGGUAGUUGAUAUACUGACGGCCCCGUUAUCAAUUAAUCAUCGAAAUAGAUUAAAAUAUGAAUGGAUUGGAAUGGAAUGAGUUGGAAUUAAAAUAUGAAAUGAUAGUCAGAUUAAUUUAUUUUUUUUUAAAUUAGAAAAUUAGAAUAAAAAUAAAUUAUAUUAUUAUUGAUGCAUUUGCUUUAUCUUAAAAUUACGAUGAGUUAUUACAAGUUACUAAUAUGCCUUUGAUUUUUUAUUAUAAUUAUAGUUAUUUAUUAUAACAUUUGUCAUAUAAUAAUAAUAAUAAUAAUAAUAAUAAUAAUAAUAAUAAUUGUAACAAUUAAUAUUGAAAAAAAAUUUAUUGUUAAUAAUAAAUAGGCAAUUAUCCAUCGACCAUGUGAUCUUUCGAACUUUUUCAAAAAUAGAUAAACACUUUUUUCUUUGCAGAAAUCCACCUGAAAUUUACAAAGCGUUUCAAUUGUUUAUUGUCAUCUUAACUCUGUUAGAAUUUUGUUGAUGUCAUAAGGACAAAAUUAUCAUUUUCACCUAAAUAUCCAAAAAGGGUAUCUUUCAAACAUGAUUAAGAUAAAAAAGUAAAAUAAAUUAUCCAUUGACUAUAUAAUUUUUUAACCUUUAUAAAAAAUAUUAAAAAAAUAUAUGAACAUUUGUUUUUAUUUUUCAACAAUCUAUCGGAUAUUUGUGAAGUGCAUUAGUGCUCCACUACUAUCAUAACCCUUUAAAAAUAUCGCUUAAACACGAGAACCUAUUGCCUAAAAUUAUUUUUCAAGCAAAUGCAACGACAUAUCUGGUUUUGAUCUUCGUGACUUUUAAGUGUGCAAGAACAAGAUGAAUGACCCUUUGUCGAGUUGAAGAAUUAAGAUGAAUCAAUUACAAAUCUAGAACAAACUUACAUGUGACAUUUUAGAAUUAAGCAAACUAUAAUUGAUCAUCCAGUGAUAGGCUUAUUUUCAAUUAAAUUAGAGUAAAGAUAUACAUUCCAAAUUUUUUAUCUCAAAAUUAAUCUUAGAUGAUGUCAUUAAUUGAGUACUUGGUAAUUCUUUCAAGAUCUAAGUGAAUUAAUUAUAUUAUCUCUCUAACCAAUUGAUGAAUAUCAUAUUAUUUUGGAUAAUUUUUUAUCUCAAAUCCUAGAAAAGAAAACAAAAGAAAGGGAGCAAAAAUAUUUUUAGAAACGUAAAAUAACCAAAAAAACACCUUUUCUUGUUUUUCUUAUUUUCCACUAUUAAGCUUCAAAAUGAACAACUUUAUUCUACAAUCUCUCAAAUAAUAUUAAUAACAACAACGUCGUCAUCAUCAAUAAUAAUAAUAAUAGAUUAAUUUUGUAGGAUGGAACUCUCUCAAAUCUUCAAGACACAAAAUGUGCUUGACCCCAUUGUUGUUAUUAUAAUUUCAAAAUCAUAUGUAUUAUAUAAUAUUAGGGAAUAUAACAUAGCAAAAUUGAUGGUACAUAUGUUGCAAUAUACUUGCUCAUGUGGCGACACAUUGACGUAAAGUACAAGCAGAACAACGAAAAAUGUAACGGGAGAGCUCUCAUUAUGUAGAUUUUCAAUAGAAGUAAUGCAUAUUUCACAAGGGCAAUGGCCUUAUUUCAAAUGCUGCACCUGAGGAAUGACUUGAAUCUUCUAUAGAACUCAGGCAUUCUGUAAUCAUAGAGUAUAUCAUUUCAACAAAAAUAUUAUAUAGGUCGUUCCUUAUAUAUUUUAUGGGUACACAUACAGAAAUAUUACUUUGGGUACAUUUUUUGCAAUAAAGCCUGCCCAAUCCAGCGUUUUCAUAAGUUGGGUUUCUCAUUUACUUGUUUUUUCCAUUGGUUAAUUAUCACAAACCUCCACUGAGAUUUAGCAUAUUUUUAGUUUAAUAGAUUGUAUUCGCGCAAAUAUCUUUUCAGACAUUAGUUUACCACUUCGUAUAAAUUAAGUUGGUGAGGAUAAAAUCGUAAAAGUACACAUUAAUGAUAAAAAAAUUCAAGUAAACAUGAAAUUUUCACGUUGUGUUCUGAAAUUGGUCUCAACUUUUUAAAUGUCCAUUAGGUAAAGAACAGAAGCAAGCUUUACCCAGCACACAAAAGCAAGCUUUGCGCAGCACGCAUUAACGCCCGCAAAAAUGAAAAAGGAAAAAUGGUCAUCUCUUUCCUCCAUUCGAAUUGAAGCCAUGAAACGCAACAUCCCUUUCAUCUUCUCUCUAAUGCUUUGAUUAAAAAACUUGCUUACGAACGGGAGACCAUGACACUGAAUCCGGAGACGGCAAUACCAGAGACGAUUGAUCGAUUUGGAAGAAUACCAACCAGUGACUUUCGCCGUCGACCCACAAACAGUCCCAGUGUUUUCGAGCCGUGAAUGAGGUAUGAAUCAGAUUAUUUCCGUGCAUGUCAGUUUUGUUAGGUGAUUUGGUUUAAAAAAAGAAUAAUGGGUCUCGAAAAUUUUUUGAGAGUAUUUCUGUUGCUUACAUUUUUUUUCCAUUGAUUAAUGUUAGUUGUAGGUGAAUGAUUGUUUCAAAUGCAUGUUCGCGUGUGACUGAUUGAAAAUGGCUUGUGAUUUGUCAUGCUGCCGUAUGACUGAUUGAAAAUGGCUCUAAAAUUUUUUUUAUUUGUUUAAGCUACUGAUUCUGAUUAUUGAACAGGAAUUCAUGCUAGCUUUUGUGAAAUUAAAGAUGAGACUAUUUUUUAAGAGAUCUGCCAAACCUUCUCUACUAUAGAUUUGGCUUCUGACAUACCUGGUUGGCUGGAGAUAAUUGUUUAUAUAGUCAUUGUUGCCCGUAUUAUUUAGGAAUAUUGAUUAGCAAUGUACUGGAUUAGAGAUUGGUAUAAUUUUGGAAAAUUAGUCGUAGAUGCAACCUGAUUAUGGUCUCAAAUAGUGUGAUCUGUCAAUUUCGUCUGCUAUGGCCUAACAACCUUGAAUCUGAGCUAUGCUACUAUACAAAGUCCUGACCUAAUCAAGCUUGUUAGCCAAUGUCCAAAAUUGCAGUGUCUUUAGAUAAGUCCCAUCUUAUUUGUUUGAAUUAUAAAUGAAAAUUGCAGUGUCUUUGGAUAAUCACGCUGAAUGUUCAAGUUAUUGACAAGAAGGGACCCCCAGAUUCAAGGCCGGAGCUCCCUGUUGAGAAGCUUUAUAUAUAUAGGAUUGUCGCUGGGUGGAGGAUCGAUAUGCCCGGUUUUGUUUGGAAUAAGGAUGAAGAUUUUGCAUUGAGGCUUUCUUGACAGAUCAUUCUGCAAAUCAAGCUCCAUGUACCUAUCUUCAAACUCUAGGAUAUGUAUAAAGCAAGUGCAUGCUCUAUAUGUCACUUAUUGUAUCCCGAUUAUUUUUCUAUUACUUAAUAUAAUUGCAGUCCUUGAUGAAGUUGGAGACAACUUAUGGAGGGUAUCCAGGAGCUCGAGAGCUCGAUUGCCAUUCAUUUUACACUUGGCUGAGCUAUAGAAUACCAACUAGUGAUUAAUAAAGAGAAGGUAUGAAGGUCCUAUUGCUGGUGGUAUUAUCAAUCAGAAUUGUUAUUUUACUUGGUCAUAGUUACCAUGUAUACUAUUCAUAGACUUUUUGCAUGUUUAUGUAUUUGCGUUCAUCGUUUUGUUAAGCUAGAGAUGGUUGAUUUGUGUACUCAUUUGUAUCACUUGUAGCCCUUGAGGAAUAAAAUUUAAAAUUUUGUUGCAUCUCCUGUACUAAAUACUAAUUUUGUUGGCUUUAUGUAUGUGAAAUGGUUCAUUAUGUUAUUUCUUUGAUGUGUGUAUAGUGUUACGCUGUCUAAAGUCGAAAAGUAUUUCUAUCACUUGUGUAAAAAACAACCUACUUUUUUUCACUCUUCUUAUAUUGAAUAAAAGAGGAACACCAAGAUCUUCACCAAGAUUGAACGAAAUUUGAUGCAAAAUGCAUAGCAAUUAGGCCAGUGCAAAACAACUUCCUUCUGAUUCUCUGAUAUUUGACUUAAAUCUUUUGUUUGUUUCAUUCAUCAAAGUCAUUUUGGAAAGUAGCAGGGGUGAUUUGAUAUUUUCAUUGUAUUCACAUCCCUUGGCACCAAAACAAACAUGCUGGUACUAACCAACAAUUUUUUUUAAUUUUCAGUAUACAAAUUAUCUUUUUUUUUCUAAAUUAGGGGUAUUAAGAAAAGGUAUACUAGCAUCGGGGGAGGUAUUUGAGAAUACACAAAUACAGGCUAUCAAACUGAGAAUACGCCAAAUCUCAGGGGAGGUUUCUGAUAAAUCUUUUUUUUUCCUUUUCCUCCAUUUACUAUAGGUUCAAUUUAGACAUUGUUGACCAAACAGAAGGUUUAGGUUGGUAAACGCACUAGUGUUAAUGUCAACAACCCAAGGGGCUUCAUGGUCCUCUGGGCCGAAAUAGCGUAAUUAUUAAUUCUCCUCCAGUGAAAAUCUUCAUCUCGAGACAAAUAAAUACGAAUUGACAUUAUAGCUGUGCAAAUUUGGAGGUGUAAUAACCGGAAAAGUAAAAAUCUUUAGAGACAUUUCAAAUAAAAAAGAUACAACACCUUCAAUUUGCUAAAAGUAAUGGUAUCAUUUCUUGUACGGAUAAUGGAUGAUUAGAUUUUGUUUUUUGUUAUCCGACGAAGGAUAUUCAGUUGUUCUUUAUGUGUUCACAGGCAAGAGCAUGAGCAUGUUUAUGAUUUGAUAUAUGCUUCUUGCAUUUUUUAAUUAAGUACUCUCUUUCCUUACUGUGAAGCCGAAAUUAGUUAUAAUCUGUUAUGGACAUGCUGAGGUGGCAGGUGAGCUGGCAUAAGUGGGAUCCAAAUCAAGAGUUGGUUAGUUAGUUAAAUAACAGACUGACUCAUUGCAAGUGGAAACACACGUGAGAAGCAUACAUUUAUAAGCUGUCUCUAAGCUAGCUAAACAUACAUAGAAUCAUAGAGAAUUUACAGAGAGGAAACACUCGAUAGGUUUUAAUCUGUAAUUGGUGACUCAGUUGUAAACCAUCUUCUUCUUGUUGUUCAAUAAAGCCUCUGCCCUUGCUGGUUUUACAGCCGUGGAUGUAGGUUCCUUUGUGGAGCUUAACCACGUUAGUUUCUUGGUGUGUUGUGAAUCUUUGAUUGCUUGGUUCUUCUUUGUUCUUUUCUUAAUGUUGUUUCUGUAAACUCUGGUUUUGUGGGUUGCUUAAUUCUUGUUCAAGUAAGCGAAGUAAACACGUUUGCCAUAACAAACUGGUAUCAGAGCCUGGUAUUGGUUGGGAUCAGACUCAAAGAUGGCAAGCACCAGAGUUGAUCUUGAAAAGUUCAAUGGAGAUAAUGAUUUUUAUCUCUGGAGUUUGAAGAUGAGAGCAAUACUUAUUCAAUAAGGGCUUGACAGUGCCCUCGAUGAUGGAGAAGAUCCGAUGGCCAAGAAAGAAAAGGCAGAAGGCUCUUCAAGCCUUGGUGCAGAUCAGAGGAUCAUAAACAAUAAGGCCCAUAGCACCAUUAUCUUGCAUCUCUCUGAUGAAGUCUUGAGAGAAGUAUCCAAAGAAAGAACUGCAGCUGGUUUAUGGGCAAAACUAGAAGAAAUGUUUCUGAAGAAAUCAUUGGCAAAGAGGAUGUACAUGAAGAGGAGAUUGUACACAUUCUCAAUGAAAGAUGGAGUAGCCAUGAAAGAUCACGUGGAUGAGUUUAAUAAACUCAUUCUUGAUCUCGAGAAUGUCAACAUAAUUCUUGAAGAUGAAGACAAGGCACUCAUCCUCUUAAGUUCUCUUCCAGAAUCUUAUGAACAUUUUGUAGAUACCCUCAUCUAUGGCAGACAAACCCUCUCUUUGAAAGAUGUCAAAGAUGCUCUGAAAUCCAAGGAUUUGAAGAAAAGAUCAGACAUGAAAGAUCAAAACAAUGCAGAAGGUUUGGUUGCCAAAGGAAAGCCAGAAAAGAAACACAAUAAGCAGAAAAAGAACAACAGCCAGAAAGAUAAAGCUGAAAAGAAGAAGAAGAAGAAGAGAAAGUGUUACUUCUGUCAGAAAGAGGGACACUACAUUAAAGAUUGCUUUGAGAAAAAGAAACUAGAAGAACUGCAAAAGAAAUCAAAUGGGAAGACUGCUGUUGCCUCUGAAGAUGAAUGUGACUACGAUGAAGCAGAUGUCUUGGUGGCUGCAGAAAGGCACCCAACUGGUGAGUGGAUUCUGGACUCUGGUUGCUCAUUCCACAUGUGUCCAAAUAAAAGUUUCUUUAAGACCUUUGAAAGUGUAAAUGGUGGAAAGGUAUUGUUGGGAAAUAACCUAGCUUGCAAGGUGGCUGGAAUAGGAACCAUUAGCUUAAAAUUGCAUGAUGGUGUCACUAGAGACUUGCACCAAGUAAGAUUUGUCCUUGAACUGAAAAGAAACUUGAUAUCUCUAGGAAUGGUUGACCAAUCAGGGUGUACUAUUAAGGCUAAAAAUGGAGAGAUACAGGUCUUGGAUCAGGGUAAAAUUGUAAUGAAAGGGGUUAGGAAAAAUGGGCUGUACAUACUAGUUGGAUCCUCACUUGUGCAAGGGAUCUCAGCAAGUGUGACCAGAGAUAAAACCAAGCUCUGGCACAUGAGACUAGCUCAUAUCAGUGAGAGAGGUCUCAAGGAGCUAAGCAAUCAAGGUUUGCUUGGUGAUGACAAAGUUACUUCCUUAAAAUUCUGUGAGAAAUGUGUGUUUGGGAAGGCCACAAGACUAAAAUUCAGUUUAGGGAGAAAAGAAACCAAACAGACUCUAGAUUACAUCCACUCAAACCUUUGGGGGCCAUCACAAGUUCCAUCUUUAGGUGGAGCUAGGUACUUUGAGUCCUUAAUAGAUGACUACUCUAGGAAGGUUUGGAUCUAUGUGUUGAAACACAAAAGUGAAGCACUAGGGAAGUUCAAAGAGUGGAUUACUCUCAUUGAAAACCAAACUGAUAAGAAAAUAAAGAGGCUCAGAACAGACAAUGGGCUGGAGUAUUGCAGCAAAGAGUUUGAAGAUUUCUCCAAAUAUAAGGGCAUUACAAGGCAUAGAACUGUCACCUACACUCCACAGCAAAAUGGGUUGGCAGAAAGAAUGAACAGAACCAUAAUAGAGAGGGUAAGAUGCAUGCUGCUGAAUGCAAACCUAUCCAAAGGUUUUUGGGCAGAAGCAGUCACCACAACUGCCUACUUGAUAAACAGAAGCCCAUCCUCAGCUCUAGGUUUCAAGACACCUCAGGAGCUUUGGUCUGGAAAGCCACAAGACUUGAGCAAUUUGAGGAUCUUUGGAUGUCCAGCUUAUGCACACUUAAAGCAAGGUAAGCUUGAACCAAGGGCUGUUAAAGGGUAUUUCUUGGGCUAUCCUGAGGGCAUUAAGGGAUACAAGAUAUGGACCCUCAAUGGCAAACCAUCUAGGAUAUUAAUCAGUAGGGAUGUCACCUUUGAUGAAGAGCAAAUGCUUCAGUCAAAGGUAGAAACUGAGAUUGAAGCUGCUGAAAUAGAGGAAGAAGAAAGUGCUGGACAGAUGGUAAAGCAUUCUGAUAGUUGUAAGCCUUCUGAACAACCAUAAGACCAGACCAAGGAAAGAAAACAACCAUCAGAACUGGAAACAUAUCAGCUUGCUAGGGACAGAGAGAGGAGAGCCAUCAAAAUGCCAAAGAAGUAUGGCAUAGCUGACCUCAUUUCCUAUGCACUGACAGUAGCUGAUGAAGUAAAUGGUGGAGAGCCUUUGAGCUAUAAAGAAGCUAUGAGAUGUGAGGAUAAGCUGAAAUGGUAUGCUACAAUGCAGGAUGAAAUAGUCUCUUUAAAGAAGAAUAAUACCUGGAUCUUAGUGGACAGACCAUCUAAUAAGAAACUAGUUGGCAGCAAGUGGAUUUUCAAGUUGAAGGCUGGAGCUUCAGAGAAUGAACCACCAAGACAUAAAGCCAGACUUGUGGCAAAGGGAUUCACACAAAGAGAGGGAGUUGACUUCAAUGAAGUGUUCUCACCUGUAGUCAAAUACAGCUCAAUUAGGUUGCUGUUGGCCUUCUCUGCAUAUCAUGACCUGGAGCUGGAGCAGACGGAUGUUAAAACUGCCUUCUUACAUGGCAGUCUUGAUGAAGAGAUUUUCAUGGCACAGCCAGAAGGGUUCAUUGAGAAAGGAUCAGAGGACAAAGUGUGCUUAUUAAAGAAGAGCUUGUAUGACCUCAAGCAAUCUCCAAGGCAAUGGUAUUUAAAGUUUGAUGAGUUUAUGCUAAGCCAUGGAUACUGCAGAAGCAGAUUUGAUAAUUGUGUGUAUUAUAAAUUCCUGUCAAAUGGUGGUGGCAUCUACUUACUUAUGUAUGUGGAUGACAUGCUUAUUGCAUGUAAACAAAAUGAAAAGUAAAGAAGCUUAAGGUGGAGCUCAGCACUGAAUUUGAAAUGAAGGAUUUGGGUGCAGCUACAAAGAUUCUGGGAAUGCAGAUAAAGAGAGAUAGAGAGUCCAAAGUUUUGUAUCUGUCUUAGGAGGAUUAUGUGAAGAUGGUGUUAACCAGGUUCAAUAUGAAAGAUUCAAAGCCUGUUUCAACACCUCUGUCAGCUCACUUCCAGUUAUCUAAGUCACUGGAACCUACAACUGAUGAUGAUUUUAACUACAUGAGGGAGAUACCUUGCUCCAGUGCAGUUGGCAGCAUCAUGUAUGCCAUGGUGUGCACCAGACCUGACUUGGCUCAUGGAGUUGGAGUCAUCAGUAGGUUUAUAGGGAAUUCAGGGAAGGGUCACUGGAAUGCAGUGAAAUGGGUACUAAGAUAUCUUAAAGGGUCUGCUGUCACUGCCAUCAUGUUUGGUAAAAUAAGUGGAGCAUCACCUGUAGUGGCUGGAUUUGUGGACUCAGACUAUGCAGCAGACAAAGAUAGAAGGAGGUCCAUCACAGGUUUUGUGUUUACUAUAUGUGGAGGUGCUAUAAGUUGGAAAUCUUCCCUGCAGUCAGUGGUUGCCCUCUCAACAACAGAAGCUGAAUAUAUUGCACUUACAGAAGCUGUCAAAGAGGCAAUAUGGCUGAGAGGGCUGGUCUCUGAAUUGGGGUUUAAACAAGAAGUUGUUGUAGUUGGCUGUGAUAGCUUAAGUGCUAUUCAGCUAAGUAAAAAUCCUAAGUAUCAUGAGAGAACUAAACAUAUUGAUGUUAGAAUGCAUUUAAUUAGGGAUGAAAUCAGCAAAGGAGUAGUGAAUGUGGUUAAGGUGCCAUCUGAAGUAAAUCCAGCUGACAUGUUAACCAAGCCUUUGCCAUCAGUCAGGUUCAGGGACUUACUGAAUCUGAUUGGAAGUGUUAGCUUGUGAAACAAGCUUACUGGUGCUGUGUUGCAGUGAAGGGAGAAGCAUAAACAGAUUAGAACUAAGGUGGAGAUUUGUGAAGCCGAAAUUAGUUAUAAUCUGUUAUGGACAUGCUGAGGUGGCAAGUGAGCUGGCAUAAGUGGGAUCCAAAUCAAGAGUUGGUUAGUUAGUUAAAUAACAGACUGACUCAUUGCAAGUGGAAACACAUGUGAGAAGCAUACAUUUAUAAGCUGUCUCUAAGCUAGCUAAACAUACAUAGAAUCAUAGAGAAUUUACAGAGAGGAAACACUCGAUAGGUUUUAAUCUGUAAUUGGUGACUCAUUUGUAAACCAUCUUCUUCUUGUUGUUCAAUAAAGCCUCUGCCCUUGCUGGUUUUACAGCCGUGGAUGUAGGUUCCUUUGUGGAGCUGAACCACGUUAGUUUCUUGGUGUGUUGUGAAUCUUUGAUUGCUUGGUUCUUCUUUGUUCUUUUCUUAAUGUUGUUUCUGUAAACUCUGGUUUUGUGGGUUGCUUAAUUCUUGUUCAAGUAAGCGAAGUAAACACGUUUGCCAUAACACUUGCCUUCUUAGUUUUGAAAGAAAGAUGUGAAGCAAAGCAAACCCAGUGAAAUAUACAGAGAAGCAGAACCAUCAGAGGAAAAACUAAAUAACAGAACUACAAUUGAACCAAACAAAAUCAAAUAAACCGAGGCAACAGAUGCCCUGAAUCAGGCAUCGCUUUUCCUCGAAAGAAAAUAUGUUUGCAUGGGUGGGAACCUAGUAAUUACUCAAGAGUUGAGGAGUUGGAAAGAUUUGGUAUUCAUAUCUUCACAAUUCAUAUGCUUUAAUGCAGAAUCGACAGCUUUAUAUUAUUUUAUUCAACCAAAAACGAUAAAGCAGUAAAACCACAAUAAUCCACCAACUUUUGAUACUUUUAGGAAUUUUUUUAGUCAAAUUAAGUUUCAUGAUAAAACAAGUGGCUCCUCCACACACUUGCACUUGCUUGAAUAUUCGUGCCGACAUUUUCAUAUGUGAUGGUACUUCUUAGCCAGUAGAUAUGUUGAAGUACUACAAAACAGAGUAUUUGAUGAAGUUUUGCUACUUUCGUAUCCCUUUUUUUGUUGCAUAACUAAAUUCUUUAUAAACACAAAUUAGAAAGAUACAAAUAAUACAGUAGCUUGAAUUUAUAUGCUUUUAUGAUUAUUUGAUAAUCUAGUGCUGAUCAUAUGUGAUGAUAAACUUAGCUAGUAGUUUUAUAUUUGUUUUCGUAGUUUCCUUAGCGUUCACAUUUUGAUGAGUAAAUUAAGGAUUUCCAGAUGAAGUACAUAAUUUGAUGAAUGCUAAGGAACUGAAGUUUGAUUAAUUGAAAACAAAAAUAAUAAUGCAGGUAAUUGCGAAAAUGAGCAAUGCAGAAGUAGUCCCUAUAGUAUUUCUAAAUUUUCUCUUGGGGUUCCUUAGUAUUCCUUAAUAUUUUUUAAAAAUGACAUGACGAUCUUUGAGUUGACGAAUCUUGGCCUGCUGCUUAGUACCCUUCCAACAUAUAAAGUACUAGAUGUUUUACUGAGAAAAUGACUAGAUCAUUUACCAAAUUUCUUGCGCAUAUAUACGUAUGCAUACGAGAAAUGGGAAUCAAUGAUUAUAAGACCUUGCAAUGAGACAAUAAUACAUCAUCAAAUCUAAAAAUACACAAGAAAUUCGGGACAUAUAUAUAACAAAAGACCUCUCAUUGAGUCAUACAUAUUGAGAAUAAAAUGUCAAAAUGCAUACAAAGAGCUUAUACAGAAAAUGAAUUUACACAUAUUUAGAAUAAACUGUCUUUGAACUUUCGAUGGUCAAAUAAAGGAAACAGACAGGAUAUUGUUAACAUAUAUGUUUCCAUAAUGUUGAUUUUGAUGAUAACAAACAUGAUUAAGAAUAAUUAAUCUUUUAAGCUCAAAUUAUUUUCUUUUUAAAUAAAUCAUUAUUUUCACAUUUUAAAGGUUUUAUAUUUAAUGGAAAAAUGAUUUUAAGAAAUUGAUUGUUUUUAUUCUUUUUAAAUAAAUCAUUAUUUUCACAUUAUAAAUGUUUCAUAUUUAAUGGAAAAAUGAUUUUAUGCAAUUGGUUGUUUUUCAAGUUUAUGGUUUAUUUGAAAGAGUUUUGAAAACUUUGAAAUCAACAAGUAUUGCUUGAAAUUUUGGAGAAGGAUUUAUUUGAAAAGUAUUCAUAGCAUUUUGGGCUAUAUUAUAAUUUCAUAAAGUUUUGGAAAUAGUAAGUAUUAUUUAGAAAUUCUGAAAUUGGACUUAUUUGCAAAGUUUCAUAACAUUUUGGGCCGUAAUACAGUUUUAUAAAGUUUUGGGGUCAAACGAUAAUUUUAGAAAAUAUGUCACUGUAGCAGUUACUGUAGAAAACGGCGAUCCGACAUCUUGAUAACGGCUCGCCGACAUCUAACAGAAUUGAAGAUUAGUCUCUGGACCUAAACGGCGAACCGACAUGUGUGAUAAACGGCUCGCCGAUAUCAACCAGUAGCCUCUGGACCUAAACGGCGAUCCGACAUAUAGUUAACGGCGAGCCGACAAUUUGAAAAAUCAGCCCAACGGUCAUAUUGACCAGUCAAACGGCGAUCCGACAUCUAGCUAACGGCGAUCCGACAGUGUGCAGAAAGUCAAUAACGGCUAGUUUUCAGCUCUAACUAUAAAUAAGCUCAAUCCAAUUCAAACAAGGAGUGAUCCAAGAGUUAUCAUUGAGCUUGCCAUUGAGCAUAAAAUUAUUAUUGAGCUUUGAACUUGUUUUUGUUUCUUUGAUUCACACAUUGAGCAUUCAUUUGUAAUCAAACACAUUGUGUGAGAGAAAAUUCAUUUGUAAUAUUUAUCCUUGAGAGGUUGUAAGUGUUGGGAUACACUUGGGUUAAGAGAUUGGAGAUAAUCUCUUGUUGUAAAGGUCCAUUGACACCUUGAAAGUCAAUUGUAAGCGUUUGAAGCAUUGGGAGGCUAGCUUAGUGAAAUCCUCAAGCCCGGUGAGCUUGGAGGCGUGGACGUAGGCGGAGAUUGCCGAACCACGUAAAAAUCAUUGUGUUUGUUUUCUCUUCCCUUACUCUUUUAUAUUGUGAUUGAUUUAUUUGUUAUUGCUUUAAAUUAGUUUUGGAUUUUCAUUGUGUUUUGUUUUAGAAUUGAAUAAUUUUUUAAUAUCCCAAUUCACCCCCCCUCUUGGGUUGCAUAACUAGAAUUUCAGAUAUAACACACACUAUCAUAGAUGUAGCGACACGGUGAAGUAAAUCACAUGAAGAUGGAAACGGAAACCCUUCACAACAUAAAAUUUGAAUGGAGGGGGGAAAAAAGGCUUCAUUUCGAAUGUUGUACAGAAGAAGAGUGACUUGAAUCUCUAUCAGUAUCCAGACAUUCUACAAACACAGAGUUGAGAAUUUUAACAAGAAUAACAGACAAAAUAUUGUACUUCUAUACUUGUAACAAAACUAGACCAAAUUAGUUCCCUUUUUGGUUUGUGAAAACUUGAUAUUUUUUAAAAUUCUAUCGAAUGCUUUCAAACAAUAUUUCCAUAAUAUAUUUGUUCAUAGCUAACCUUUGAUGGUUUAAGCAUUUGUUGUAGGCAUGACGGGCUAAUUAGAUUUUUUUUUUUUUAUCCGAUGAAUGAUAUUCAGCUGUUCUUAAUUAUGUGUUAAUAGGCAAGAACAUUUUCUUAAGUACUUUCAUUGCCUUCCAAGUUUCCAAUGAACAAACAGAGCACAAACAAAUUUAACGGAACAGUAACGAUGACAAUAAAUAAUUGGCAAGGAAAGAAAGAAAAAAGUUUGCAUGAUUUCAAGGAAUUAUAAAAUCUGAACACUUUCAACAUGCAAGUGUUGCCCCUCUUAUUGAAAUUUCAUCAUAAAAUGCUUGCAAGGAAUUAUAAAAUUUUAGAGAACAAGGGAACUCUCAAAACAAAAUACUCAAAUUAAAUUAAAUUAGACCAAAAGACGCUCAAUGACGCAAAAUCUGCCCAUAAAAGCCUGAACGAAUCAUGAAAAGUGCAUUCCAUAUUGACAGUAAACCAAGUGACCCAUUCUAAACAAUUGAGAUGAAAUUGUGAAACAACCCACGAGAUCAAAUAAAUAAAAUAAGAAUUAAUUACCAGCUGGGACUUGCUUCUUCAAAUUCGUAACUCCAAGUCAUAAGAAGCCAAUGAAAUUAGUCGUAAUCCACAGAGUAUAACGACGACCCCGCCAACAGCUGAAAAUAAAAUUCUUAUUCAUCAAUUUAAACUAACUUUAUAACAAAUAUCUUAUCGAUAUUUUAUUUAAAAAGAAAAAGCAAAUUUUGUAAAAUUUUUCCAUGGGAGAUAGAGAGUAACACGUAUAUCCGUACCUUCUCAGCAUGUAAUUGUUGUAUGGUCGUGUUAAGAUCAUUACUAGCCCAACGCCGUUGAUUCGAUGUCUCUCCAUACCAGACGUUUACUCUCGGAGGCGUGCUUGAUUCUCCUGUAGUGAAAAUCUUGAAUUUGGGACAACCAAUCACAGAUAGAUCUUGCAAAGAUGGGAAUUUGAAGGUGUAAUUGGCAGAGCAGAAACUUGUGAGGCUGUCUAAAUCACGCAGUUCCAACCUCUUCAAUUUGCGGGAAACAAUCUCUUCUUUUUCAACCCCGUCUUUGUCAUUUAUUACCACCUCUGUCAUUGCUCUGCAUCCGUAUACACAAAGUGAUACGAGUCGCACUAGAGUUUUUGCUGUGGAGGAUGUUACUAAGUGUAUCAAUUUCUUGCAAUCGAAAGCUACAAGUUUUGUUAGGUUCCCAAAAGAUACCGAUGAUGAUUGCAAUAGAAUUAACAGACUUUGACAAUGAUAUACUCUUAGAAUUUCAAGAUACUGAAAAAUGGGGCCAAGUUUGGAGUCUUGUUUGCACAGCUGCUUCAGAUGAUAGUGCCGGUACAGCUCUAAUUCUUUUAUCAUUGCCAACUUCCCCACAUGUUUCUCUAAGCAUCCUUCCAUCGAAAAUACCUCUUCGUGGAAUGAAAAAUAACACAGUACGAGCAUUUCGAGAUUGUGAAAUCUCUCCAGUACAUUCCAGAUUGGAAAACAAGCUGAGUCAUCUCCAACAAUCUCUAGUUGUUUGAGACUGCCAAAAAGGUGUUGUGGGAAAUCGGCCUGCAAAAUCAUCUUCACGUAUUUUCCGCAUAGUGAUAGUUCCGUCAAGUUGGGUAAGAUCUGAUCAUCAUCAAUCAUAAUAACUAAUAAGGUCAAUUGAUGUUCUCUCAAAUGAUUUUGAGUAAUCCAAUCAGACGCAGUGAGUUUAUAGUAUUUGUUUUAUAUUAUAUUUUAAAAAAAAUUGAAUUAUUGAUAAAAUUUAUUAAAUGAUUUUUUAUAUGUUAAUUUUAGAGGUAAAAAAGAAAUUAGGGAAAAAAGGUUGAUUUAUACUGACUCGAAAUUAUUUUAUUGCACAAUAAUAAAUUACUAAUUUAUUUUGUAAGUUCUUCUAUAUGGAAAGACUCAAGAUUCUUUUACAAAUGCUAUACCUAAAAAAGUUUAUAUAAUUAUUAAUCUACCACAUUGAUCCCUUAAUCUAGACUAGCAAAGAUUAUUGUAUAAUAAAAGUUUUUAAUUUAUUAAGCAUUAAUUUAUCGAUACUUUGUCAUAUUUUUCAAAGUUAAAAAUAAGCUAUAGAUAAAAAAUCUAGAAAAUGGCUUCAUACCUUUUCCAGCGGCAAUAAGGGCUGUUGUGCAGGAAUACCAAGUUGAUCAUUCCCAUUAUUCUGCGAUAAAUCUGCAGCGAAUAUCUUUAAUUUGUCACAACGAUACACUAAAAGAAUUUCUAGGGCGGGCCAUUCCGAAGUAUGCAUUCCAGGGUACAAACAUCUAAGUUUUGGUAGAUCAUGGAGUAUCAAAGUGGUGAGCUGUGGAAAGACAAAAUAAGGGAUCACUUGAUCUGCUCUGUUUUCAGAAAUGACCUCCUGUAAAUCCUCACAAGAGCGUAUUUCUAGGCGUUGGAGCUGCUUAAGGCUUCCGAUCAUGGACGCUGAAAAUAUUUAUUUUAAUUUGUGACAACCCCACACAAUCAAUCGUGUUAAACUUUGAAAGUGAGGAAACACGGCCGCUGGAAUUUGAUUGUAGUGCCAAAUCUUGUCGACAUUAAUUUCAGAUAUCUCCAAAGCCUCCAAGUUAGGCAACGCAACCUAAAAAGAUAAGAAUUUCUUGUUGAAAAUUUCUCUUUGAUUACAAAUUAAUGCAAGUCAGAAUCAAUUUCCAACUGACAGCUGAGUAUGCAUUCUAAUUCAUACUACCUGUUAAGAGCUCAAUUAGUGAGUGCGUGAGAUUAUUUUUUUCCCCAUUGUUUUCAUUUUCUUUCAAUUCUCUAAAUGAUUUAAUUAUUUUCCACGUUUGACAUAAGAGAACGCAUGAUAGAAUAAACUCUGUUAUAUAUAUAUAUGAAUAAAAUGUUAGCCUACGCACCUUCUCAUUGAAAAGCAAAGUUGAAAUAUCCAAAGUGAUUUCGCUGGAGCAAUACAUAGUCGUCGAUUCCUCUUGCGACACUUGUCUGUUCGGUGAUGCUGAAGGAGUCUCCACCUCACGGCAAAAACUUGUAACCUCUGGAAGAUUCCCCAGACUCAAAGAUCUUAAUUGAGCAAACUCUAUCUUCUCAAUUGCAUUAUCAACUUCUUCCCCAACUGCAAAAAUCUCUUUCAUCUUGCUGCAAUUAAUAACUGCAAUCCUCUCAAGUCUUGGAAGGCAUUUUGUAGUAGAGAGCCAAAAGAUAUUACUCAACUUAUUACAACUAUAAGCUUCUAUGGUUUUGAGUUUGUUGAAAGACUCUACUUUGAGCCGAUCAAUACAUAUCCUCUCCAUGUUGAUCAAAUUGUGAAGGGCCAGUGACUCCAAAAGAGGAAAGGCAUCACAAGCGACCAUCUCCCUUGAAUCGACGAUACAAAAGAAGUCAGGAUUAUUUUGAAUGCAGAGGACCUUCAAUUGUGAAAAGCCCUCCGUGUCCAAAUUGAAAAGAACAUUCUCGAUGCCUUGCAGCUUGUCCAACCGUAAGUAUUCAACGUUAUUGAUGCCCUGCAAUUUCAUGGAGCAAAUGUCCAUAAAAUCAAGCUUGAGCUCCAAUUCUCUUGAAAUCUUGCGAUCACUGUUGAUCGAAAAGCGCGGCCGACUUUUAAACCAAUGUUGUCCAACACUCAUGGGAUGCAUGAAUAACCCAUUUCCAAUAGAUAUUUUGAACCUUUCGAGCUUUCUGGCCAAAAAACCUUCUGGUAAAAUAUUGUCACUUUUAACGUCAAUUUCUAGAGAGGUUAGCCGAGGUAAAUGCAUCAAUUCGUCAAGGCUAGCAUUACUUCUUUUGCUGUUGGCUCUUUCAACCUCCCAUUCAAUGAAGCAAUUACCCAUAUACAAUUCUUCUAAUCGGAUUAAGCUUGAUAUGACAUUUGGGGCAAUAACUUUCAGACGGAAACAGUCUGUUAAAUCUAACAGCCUUAGCUUAGUCAGUUGACCCAGUGCUUUAGGCAACUCUACAAUAUCAGAUUGCAAAAAGCUAAGGAUUUCUAGAUUUUCCAACUUUCCAAUAAUGGCUAUGUCUAUGCCUCCGAAAAUGCUUUGAUUAAGACAAAGUGUCUGAAGAUUUACUAGAAGACCAAUUGAAGAUGGCAAUGACAAUAACCGCAUUCUAGUCAAAUCCAAAACCCGAAGCUUUUUCGUCCUUUUGAAUAAGUUCUCAGGAAUAUUAGGCACAGCAAAAGAGUUCUUGGGAGACAUGACUAGAAGUUCAAGUUGUAGAGAUUCGGACCCUUCAGGAAUGUCAUUAACAAUACUAUCUUUAAAAGAAAUUGCAAAAUAUUUUUUAAUUCAUCUGCAUUUGGCCAUUUCCAAUCAUCCUCAUUUCUCACCACAAAUGCAUUCAUGUCACGAAAUGCAAUUGAAAUGGCAACAUCGUGAACAACAUCGUGCAUAGAAAUGUAUUUACUGCCACCAUCCUCAAGCAACAAACAAGAGUCUCUUAGUUGACUGACCCAUGCAUCUAAUUUGUUAUGUGCAUCUUCUAGCUUAUGGACACUUUUAAAUACACCCAAGCCCAUGCUGUAUUUGAACAAAUCCAUAAUUGGUGCUGGCGUAAUAAGACUACACAGUAAAAAAGUUUUCUUGAGUUGCUCACCUCUUAAGUACUUGUAACUCAGCUCAAUUGUUGAGUAUGCCUCUGCUCGUACUCCUUCGUCGAAGCUUGCCUCUGAAGGCGUUUGGAGUUCUUGCAAGGCAUUCUUCCACACAGGCAGCUCUUUUUUUCUCAGUGCCUUUGCUACUGUGGUUAGGGCAAUAGGCAAACCUCCGCAUGCCUUGGCUACACUGGUUGCUGUAGAUUUUAACUAACGAUUUUCAACAUAAUCACCAGCCAUUAUCUUGAACAAUCUCCAGGCUUCUUGUUCAUUUAAAAUGCCAAUCGAGAAGUUUUUUUCAGAUCCCAUCCUUAACAGCACAUCAAGAUCUCUUGUUGUGAAUAAUAAUUUACAUCCUCUGUGCUCAACUCCAAAAGGAAUGCCAAUAGUCCCCAAAUCAAGAGGUUUCCAGAUGUUAUCGAGAAUCACAAGGAUCUUCUUCUCAUUCUUCAAUCUUUCAUAUAGUCUACUAGCUCUUCUAGACUCAGCUUCCUCGGACAACUCUAGGCCUAACGUUUCCGCAAUUUCCUCUUGGAUCUUUCUUAUGUCUGGACAUUGGGUAACCUCCGAAAAAACCACCAUAUCGUAAAGCUUGUCUUCAAUGGCUCGCCUUGCAAACUCCUUCACCAGUGUCGUCUUUCCAAUGCCGCCCAUGCCGUAGACCCCAAUGAUGCUGACAUCAACAUCGAUCAAUGCAUUUUGUAUGGCCUUCAAAGUAGAAAGUCUUGAAUCGAAGGCUUCGUAGCCUUUGUGAGACUUGAGCCAUAUAUCCUCCGGAAUGGUACGGUAGGAAAUUCCAUCAACAAAUCUCCCAGCUUCUUCUCGGAGUUUAACAAUGGCCUUCACCUUUGUUUCUGCUUUCUUGCUAAGCUGAUAGCGGGUCUUCAAAUUAGGACACAAGCCCAUGAGACAUCGUUUAUUUGUUGUCUUCUCAUCAUCAAUGAAUUUGGCUGCCUGCUCAAUGAUGAUGUUCGCACUAACCAGCCACUUCUCAACCUUCUCUUCAAUAUUUUCCCCUUUUCUUUCAGCCUCAGAAACCCUGUGCUGAAUGCUUCUCCUUUCAUCCUUGAGCUUGUCUAUUUCUGCCUUGAGUUUCUCAACGUUGGCUUUAUAGUUACGCAAAUAACCAAGUCGGCGUUCUGUUGGAGGAGCCAAGCAUUUCACAAAUUCUAAAACACUAGUAACAAUGCUUUCCACCAUCCUGGAUCCCUUUUCUUUUUUUCGAAGUUUCUGACAAGAAAAUAAACAAUGAGCGAAACACAGAGAGAGUGAGGAGAAAAAGAAAAAGAAACGCAAAGAUGGACAGUUUAUCUGGUUGUGGAAGCGGAGAAAUGAAAGAAAUCGUAAUAGCUGUUAUGGAUAUGCUGAGAAGAUGGAAACAAGGAAAAGGUUUCUAGUUCAACAACUGGAUUGCGAGCGGAGAGACUAAUUAACAAAGACUGGAGAUUACAACAAAGCAGAUGCCAAGAGAAAAGUUGAUCCAGUGAAAUUCAAGAGAGUUGACAGCAAAAGGGAGCAAAGAUUAAUAACAAAACAGCAGUGACUACAAUGAACAAAAGCAUAUGCGUUUCUUGAUUGAGAAUGAGUGCAAAGAAUGAUCCUUAAUCAAUAAAAUAUCUGACAAUAUCUUCACCGAAAGUUUGAGACAUGUGAUCCUUAUUCCACUGCGUCAAUUACACUCCAGACCAAUGCUGCCGUCAUUAUCGAACGGUCGAUAUCCAACACUUGCACGAAGAUUCCAAGAAGUUGCGUGGCUGCCGACUUUUAGAUGCAAAGCCUCAUUGUGUCGAUGUUACACAAAAGAGAGCAGUCCGGGUAAUUGCCAAAACUUAGAACUAAACAGUAGCUUAGUCAGAAAAUCAAACGCCAGUACCGGUAAAAUGACCGAUAAAAAUAUAAAGAAAUAAAAAUUUUAAAGUUUUACUUCAUUGCUUUUUUAAUCUUAUUACUAUUUCUCCUUGCACUUCUAAAGAAACCAAAGCUUUAAAAGAAAUCAGCCAAAUCAAGAAGAUUGAAAAGUAAAUCUAUGGUUUUAGAUUUUUAUUUUAUUUUUUUAGAUAAUAGAUAUUGUUGAGUAAUGAAAAGUACCAGCUCCGCUAUCCCCUCUUUCCUCACCCUGGGGCGAAUUUCCCCAUAUGAAUGGCACGAGCAGAUUCCUGGUAAUACAUCCUGUACAAGGCAUAUGCCGACUAGAAACGAAUACCGACCAGAUGUACAUACCGACCAAGUACUCAUUAUUCAAAGAAAGAGGACACGAUCUCACAAACUCACGACAAUUUUGUCAUGCCCCAAACUGUUGGGGAGAACAUGACGCCCCACGUUUACCCACGAUUCGGUGGUUGGAAACCCAUGAAGGUCCGUCAUCACCCGAAAAUGAGGGGCAUGAAUAAUACUCAGAAAACAUGGGAUGAUUGCCUAUAAAAGGCCAAGAAAUCGAUGAAAAAGGGGAGACAAAAAUUGAGAGUAAAGGGGAAACUCUGUCAAAUUAUAAUCAGAAAUUCAUAUAUCAAAAUCCUUGAUACAUUUGGUAUUGAGAAUAUUGCAACUAAUAUGUACAACACAAAUCAUUCACUUUUCUCGUAAACACCUUGUACUAAAUUAAGUAUUGAAGGGUUUAUGCCCGAAAAACCACUGGCGUCUCUGAUUUGUUUCUGUGAACGCAGGCCUGGAAGGAAGAAGACGGGUGAUUUGGGUCCCAGAAGCUCGGGAAAUUGCUGAAGCUGAUGGAUCGCAGCCUCCGUUCCUUUGUCGAUACAAGCGUUGGUGAACCAAUCUAGUCGGUCCAAAGGCGACCAGAUUUUAGCAUCAACAUAUAUUAUUUUGAUGAAUUUUUUAAUAUGAGAAUAAUGUUAGGAAUUCCAAUAGUAAAAUUCUAAUUGAGACCCAAUUGUUAUGUGUUAUUUUUUUAUUGAAUAAUGAAUUUCACAACUAAUAAAAUUUAUAUUUCCAUCAUCUAAUAAAUGACUACCAUAUCAGUUGGGACUCAAUUAUUAGGAUCCUUAACAUUGCUCUUAGUAUUAAAUUGGACAUCUUAGCUAAAUCAGAUUAAAAAUCAAAUUAGAUUUUAGGCUUUUAUUCAACAUCUCUUUUUUUUUUUUGGUCUAUUGGAAGUGAACGAAAUAAAAAUACAACAGGGUCAACGACUGGGCAAUUGGUAGUCAAGUAGAAGCAAAUCAAGGCUAAAUGGGAAAGAGAAACGAUGUUUGUGCAAAACAAGGAGAAAAUCCAUGUAACAGAAGAGAAUCAAAGUGCUUUUGAGAUCAAAAAUUGAAACAAGAAAAAGGUCGCUUGAUCCAAUGAAAAUGCAAAGAGUUGAUGGCAAAAGGGAACAAAGUUAAAUACGAAAACAGCUAGCGCUAGCAGCGACCACAAUAAACAGAAAAUUUGAGAUGGAUUUACAAUAUUUCUGCCUUUCUUUAUGCUUUAACAAAUAUUGCUCUAUCAAAAAAAAUAUUGAACAUUUUUAUUAUUGGAGUCACAAAAGACCUACACAAUAUAGCAAGUGACUAGGAAUAAAUAAGAAUAUAUAACUCUCUCUCUAAUUCUCACUCUGGCUUUUAAUUGUCACUCAAAACCCAGAAUUCAUCCUUAAAGUGUAGGCAAAUCAGAGAUGACAUCGUUUGGUUGUCAUACGUGCCUUUUAGUUUUCGGAUGACAUGGCGUACACUUCUUCUGUAAACCCAACACGACAUGUCGUACUCUUUUGUUUUGAGAUCCUAUUUCAAACUUUUCAUGCUAUGAAUGAAAGAUAAACUCCAAUCAUCAAAAUAUUUAGUGUUUGUUUGGUAAUGUAAUGUCAUUGUUGUUGUGAAUUGAAAUUAUUUCUGUAAAAUAAAAGGAUUUGGGUCAUUGUUUGUUAUUUUCUGACAAUAUUUAUUAAAUAUUAAAAAAUAAAUUUAUAUUUAUUAGUUAUUAAAAAUAAAUAAACAAACAAAAAUAAAAGGAAAAGUUUAUACAUUACGUAAAAUAAUGACAAUAUCAAUAUUUCGCACUCUAUAAUUGAGUGAUGUGUUGUCCAACUAGCAUACUUUGGUCCCAAACGGAGACUUAAAUAUCAAAGUCCAAAGUUAUUGUGAUGAUGACUUAUAAUCGCCAAACUUGACAUACGGGUAAUCAUGCAUUAUAAGGUGCUGAUUUCUUCCGAUCGGAACCUUAUUUUUCAUUUACAAAUAAAUAAAUGAUGUGACUUCACGGUUGGCGGGGUCCUUUGUGUCAUUUGGGCAUUUCACUAAAUGAUUGAUUGUAGCAGGAAGAUUCUUGGAAGUUGCCAUUUGCCAAUGCUACUAACAUUUUCAAACUUGGAAACCCCUUCAAUCAAUCUUAUAGUGUUAGGCUCUGGUAGCUUGGUUUGAUUAUGACAUAUGAUUAUUUGAUAAUAAAACUAGAGGAUGUAUUAAUAUAAAUCUUGUUUAUUGGUGUUGAAAUUAAUUAUCUCAUUGAUAAUAGUAUAAAAAGUUAAUUACUAAGAAACACAAAGCAGUAGUUAAUUGGUGUCAUAUUAUUGAGAUUCUAGGAUAUAAUUUUAUAUCAUAACUUUGUAAGUGUAUAAUUACUCAUUAAAUUAACAAAAUUAUUUAAAAAUAUUUAGUUGGAAAAAAUAAAUUAUAGCCUUUUUAUUUCAAAUAAUCUAUAAGUUAACUCAAAACAUAAUCAAGCUGAGAAUUAAAAUAAUGCUACUGUAUGAGAGGAUUUUUAUUUUUUCCCAAAGUUUCACUAGGAAAUUAUUGAUAUAUAGCUUUAUUCGGAUCAUCUCAGUUCAAACCACAAAUAAUUGAAAGACUAAACUAAAUAGACCAGCCAACAACCUUGUACAAGAGAGUUCAAAAAUUAAGGUCAUGGUAUUGAGGUGUUCUUUCUUGAAAAGUACAGCAUAGUAAUAAAAUAAAAACUAUUAGUCUUUGGUAAGAUAUAAUUUUUAAAUAAUAAUUUUCACAAAAAUACAAAAAUAUUUAUAAAGUACUUCUAUAGUGAGGAGACCCUCACUUUGUUAAAGUGAAAAUAUCAAUAAUAAACAAAAGAAAUAUAUUUUAGCACAUUAAAAACUGUAUUUUUUUUAUCUAUUGGCGUAUUAAAAUAUGUGUUAUUUAGUUUGUUAAUGAUAUCACCACUUUGUUAAAAUGAGGAUGUCCGUCUCUAGAGAAUCAUUAUAUAUAUAUAUAUAUAUAUAUAUAUAUGUAUGUAUAUAUAUAAAGUGUUUCUCUCCAAGGCCUAGACUUUAUUAAAAUUUAAGAAAGCAAAUAUAUUUUAUAUGGUAUAAUAGUGUAAUAACAUCACACUAUUAUAUCAUAUAGAGUAAUAGUUUUUCGAACUUUAAUAAAGCUUAAGAUUAUAGAAUGAAUGAUUUAUACACAUUAUAAUUGUUUUUAAUCAUAAAGUGGAGGAUAAAAUUAAUAUAUUUUUUAAAUUAUAAUAAAUAUUUAUCAAAUAAUUUAACAUUGUAGUAUCUCCUAAUUAGUAUAGUAAAUACGACCUAGGAGGUACAUUAAAGUAGUUGUUAAUAAUAAAUGAUAUAUGCAGCUCCAAUCAUCAUUGUACGAUGAGUAAUUAUAUAUGAAUCUUCACUUAUAGGUGAAAGCACUUUGUCAGACAUCAAAUCUCUGCAAAAGAUACCCGUCUUUAUUCGCUCAUUAUCCACACACACACAUAUUUAAUCUCACCUUUUUUUUUCCAAUCAAACCGAACAGAAAAAGAAAAAAAAUAAUUUUUCUUUUAAAAAAAAUGUAAAUUGAGGUUAUGUGAUUGUAAAGGCUGAUGUUACAAUACCUGCAUGUAUCAGAUACAUGCAGGUUUUAUGGCCGUUGGAUUCAUUGUAUUGAAUCCAACGGCCAUAAAUGAAUUUAAACAAUAAAUAAUUAAAAAAAUAAAAAAAACUUGAAACCUAUAGAAUCGGUCUCAACACACACCAAACCCCCUCAACACACAUCAAACCCAGGCAAAUAUAUUUGUUGGGAAAAAAAACAAACAAAAGGCUCUCACCUCACGCGGGAAAUCAAUUUGUUCUUCCCUCCAUCCUCACUCACGGCUCACGACUCCUGAUAACUCUAUGAAAUGAGAGUUAUCAUAGCACUUUUAGACUUAAAUUAAUAUUACUUAGAGAGUAAAUGAUGUGAUUCUAUUGCAUUUUUGUUACAUUUUGCAUAAAUAUUCAUUUGAGUUUAGUCUUAAUGAGUUUUGCUUGAUUUAAAGUAAUUUGUGCUCAAAUUGUGUACAUAAUUGUAGGUUUCCAGAAGCUUAUAAUUCAUGGAAGGAAUGCUAUGCAAUAGGCUUGCAAAAUAAAAUCCACUGGAAAAAUAAAUUUAUCCACCUUCACCAACACAUCUUCAAUCUUCCCUUCUGGAUAUGCAUGAGAUCUGUCAGCAAGUUGUAAAGUCACUGUUGUUGGUCUACAUUCACCAACUCCCAAUUGCUUAAACACUGAUAAAGGCAUGAGAUUGAUGCUAGCCCCUAAAUCACAAAGUGCUUUGCCACUGUAUUCAGUGCCUAUGGAGCAUGGAAUUGUGAAGCUUCCUAGAUCCUUCAUCUUCUGUGGUAUCUUACUCUGAAGCAUUCGGCUGCACUCUUGUGUUAAAGCAACUGUCUCAAAUUCUCCAAGUCUUCUUUUCUUUGACAAGAUAUCCUUAAAAAUUUUUGCAUAAUUUGGCAUUUGCUCUAGAGCUUCCACAAAAGGGAUAUUGAUAUGUAGCUGUUUCAGCACCCCCAAAAUUUUGCUGAACUGCUUGUCUUAUUGUUGCUUCUGAAAUCUUUGAGGGAAUGGUGGUGGGUGUCUAAACUGCUGUGCUGCAGCAGGUUGUACAGACUGCUUCUCUUUUGCUCUACUCAGGUCUGUUACUAUUGGUGUUGUAGCUUCCUUACCACCAGAUGCUGGAUCAUAACUUUCUGUAAAUGUUGUAGCAGAGCUGUGUUGAUUUGCAUUCCGAAAAGUGGAAGACUGUGACUCAUUCUCUACUUGAGUGUCUUCUUGGCCUUUGUUGGACUCAAUUUUUCUUUUUGGUACACCAACGGGACUAUGAACAUCUUUUCCAGAUCUCAAGUUAAUUACUUUGCAGUGCUCUUUCCCUUCUCUUCUUGGGUCCUCUGUAUUAAUGGGUAAACUACCGUGAGGUCUGUUGCUUACUGCUGUAGCAAGCUGUCCAAUUUGAUUUUCCAAGUUUUUCAAAGAUGCAGCAUGACUUUGGACAACCACUUCAUUUUUCACAAUAUAAUCCUUAAUCAAACCUUCAAGGGAGCUAAGUUGAUCAUUGUUGAUACUUCUUUGCUCUUGAUUUUACUGAUAAAAUCCAGGUGGUUGAGCAAGUCUGUUAUGUCCACUGGGUGCUGCAGUAGUCUGGUUCUGAUAACUCCAUGAAAAGUUCGGGUGCUGUCUCCAUCCAGGGUUGUAAGUGUUUGAAUAUGGAUUGUCCUGGUUCUGUCUAUUAAAGCUGCCCAUAUAGUUAACCAAAGCUGGAUUACCAGGACAAUUGUCAAAUAAAUGCCCUUCUCCACAAUAAACGCAAGACAUAUCAGAAAUUUGGUUAACAGUUGCUGGAGCAGUAGUCAUAGCCUUUACCAUCCUUGUUAAUGAAGUUACUUGGGCUGACAAUGUUCUCAAGGCAUCUACGUUAUGAACUCCUGCAGUUCCUCUUGCUGCAGCUUGUUUGGUUGAUGGCCACUGAUAAUUGUUGUUAGCAAUCCUCUCUAAAAUUUCAUAAGCCUCAUUGUAAGACUUAGAUAACAAAGCCCCAUUUGCUGAAGCGUCCACCAUCAAUCUAGUGCUUGGGUUGAGACCAUUAUAGAAAGUUUCCAACUGUAUGCAUCAAGGAAUACCAUGAUGAGGACAUCUCCUAAGUAACUCCUUAAAUCUUUCCCAUGCAUCACCAAGCUCUCAUCUUCAAGUUGAUGGAAAGAUGUGAUCUCGUUCCUCAACUUUGCAUUCUUGGUUGGCGGGAAGUAUUUCAACAAAAAUUUGUCAGCCAAGUCACUUCAUGUAGUGAUAGAAUCUGGUGGUAGAGAAUUCAACCAUGCUCUUGCUCGAUCUCUCAAAGAAAACGGGAAAAGUCCGAGUCUCAAUGCUUCCUGCGAUGCUCCAGCAAUCUUGAAAGCAUCACUUACUUCCAAAAAUAACUUAAGGUGUAAAUGAGGAUCUUCGGAUGGCAAACCAUUAAAUUGCCCCACUGUUUAAAGCAUCUGAAACAUCACGAGUUUGAGUUCAAAAUUGUCAGCUUGAACGUCGGGUCUAACUAUUCCUGGAUGUAUGGCUUGAGGAGUCAACACUGCGUAAUCUCAAAUGGCUCUAUCUCUAUCGUUCACCAUGUGAAUAAUGUCGUUGUUCCCUGGUGGAUAAAUUUAUUUUUCCAGUGGAUUUUAUUAUGCUAGACUUUGAGGCAGACAAAGAAGUGCCAAUCAUUCUAGGGAGACCUUUCUUAGCUACGGGAAAGACUUUAAUUGAUGUUCAAAAAGGAGAAUUAACCAUGAGGGUGAAUAACCAGCAAGUUACAUUCAAUGUGCUGGAUGCCAUGAAGAGUCCCGAUGAGAUUGAAGAUUUUAAUUUUAUCAGUGCUGUGGACUUUGUUGUAACUGAGAGAUUACACAGUUGCUGCUGUAAGGAAGAAAUCAAUGCUGUAACAAUUGAAGGACUUGAUGAUGAAGAUCAUGGAGCAGCUAACAUAGCAUGGUUAAGGAAGAAGCAACCAUUCAGAAUUGACGAGCAAAUCCAGCAAAGGGAACUCACUCCAGAACAACAAGAAUUCAAGGUUAAUGGGCCAAGAGUAAAGCACUAUAUGGGAGAUGGUGUGAAUAGCCUAAAGAGGGAUCGGUUCUUGAAAGAUCUAGGUUGAGGAAACAAGAAAGGUCAGGCUGAAGGACCUAAAAUCAAGCGCUAAUUGGGAGGCAACCCAAUAAGGGAAGUUGUUUCAAGUUUUUAUGGCAUUGAAUUUAGCUUUUAAAUUAUUUAAUUUGUCUUUUUGUUAUUUUAAGUGUGCAUCUAAUUUUUUAUGUCUUUAUGUUACAUUGUAGCAAGUACAAAAAAAAAUGUGGGCAAAAAGAGCAGGAGGGAAUUGCUGCAGCAUCACUUACAGCAUGACAUAUAACAGAAGAUUCUCAAACAAUAGAGACAUUUCUUGCUUUUGCAGCAGCAAAUGGAUUGAUCAUAUUUUAUGAUAAGGAGCGUUUGAGAAGUGGAUCAAAGAAGAAGUGACCCUUUACAGCCUGUGCUACAGCAGUGCUUCCAGCAACAGGGCAGUGCCCCUAACCGCUAGUUUAUUUUACUUCUUGCUGUAAAACUUUUCUUUCAUUUAGUUUUAAUUUUCUAAUUCAUUUUGCAUGUCAUUUUAUUUAGUGUAUGCAUGUCUGGUUUAUGUGGUUUUGUUUUGUGUGCUUGUGAGGACACAGCACCACUCAAGUUUGGGGGGGUUGUGUUUAUGAGUGCAUGUGUUUAUGCUUGUGUUGUGUGAAGCUCUGUUAUCUAAUAUUUGUGUAUGGAUUUGAAAACCUAAUGAAGAUAAAUUGAGUGUUAUUCAGUAUUUAUGAGAAAGCCAAGUAGAGAUAGUUAUAGAUGGAGGUUGAACUUCAGUCCCGACACUUAGACUUUGGUUGAGUUUUAUGAGAAUGUUGUAGCAGAGCCAUGAAAACCAAAAAAAGAGUAGAAAAUAUCUCAAGUUUGGGGAAAACUUUUUGUUGGACUGUGCUUGUUAUGAAAUAAAUUCUGCUCCAAUGGUUUAAGUUGCUGAGUAACCAGGGUUGAGUAUGCACCCCAUAUGCAAACUUGAGUCCAAAGGCAACACGAGCUACGAGCAGUGCUGCAGCAAUUAUAAAAAAAAGAGAAAUGAUGAUAAAGUGGUCCGCUACCUAGAAUACUGAGUAACCUGGUCUGUUCAUGAGCCCCAUGUUCAGCCUUGAGUCAAAGGCGUCCAAAGGUAUGACCUAGAUAUAACAUCCUGAAUGCGUUGCUGUAGCAACUCUGACAUGUACUUUGAAUGAGUAAUUGGGUGUCGUCAUUACAAGUGAUAGGCAUUCACAUGAAAGCUCAAUGUUGCAUUGAAGGGUUUAACUGAAAAAAAAAUUAUUAUUGUUGUAGCACAGUUUGAAUAUAAUUGUGAGUUCUGAUCCCCCAUAUGUGAAUAUAUUUGUGUUCUACCUCUGAAUUGUAUACAAAGUUUGUGCAAUGCUGUAGCACCUCUGGAAUUUGAUCAAAGUGGAACAUACACACUUUGGACAGAAUGAACCCUAAGUCUAGAACUGAACUACUAUGGCUAUUUUGUAUGAUUAAGAGUGUGAUCUGAGGGUGGAAGAAUCCUUGCAAAUUUGAUGACAGAGCUAAGUUAUUUGUUGCAUGAUUGUGUGAUUGAAGUGUGAAUGUUGUUGUCAUUACUUGAGGACAAGUAAUGGUUUAAGUUUGGGGGUGUAAUAACUCUAUGAAAUGAGAGUUAUCAUAGCACUUUUAGACUUAAAUUAAUAUUACUUAGAGAGUAAAUGAUGUGAUUCUAUUGCAUUUUUGUUACAUUUUGCAUAAAUAUUCAUUUUAGUUUAGUCUUAAUGAGUUUUGCUUGAUUUAAAGUAAUUUGUGCUCAAAUUGUGUGCAUAAUUGUAGGUUUCCAGAAGCUUAUAAUUCAUGGAAGGAAUGUUAUGCAAUAAGCUUACAAAAAUGAGGAAGAACAUGGCUAUAAAAGAAUUGAAACAAAUCUGGAACAGUUCAGUUGCUGUAGCCAUUGCUGUAGAAAUCUUGGAACAACGACAGAAAAAAUUCCGUGCGGGAUACUUGCAGAAUUGCGAUCUGCAGUUUCCUAAUCUGACUUAUGCGCGACAAAGGCUUCCGUUUACCCUAAUUUUCAACUAUAAAAGAAGCACACAUCAUAAGGAAAAGGGAGAGCCGUCACCCAAGGAGAAAAACACAAAGAAACAUAAGAAAUACAAGAUUCAAGAGAGAGAUUAAGGGCUGCACAAGAGGAGAAUUUGCAGAAAUCAAUUGGGAGCUCAAUCCUUCUUAUUCUUCUCUUGUUUUCUCGUUUUCUAUUUAUUUAUGGGGAUGUGUUUCAUGGCUGAAACUUUGUUCUUUAUUUUUCUUUUGCAAACCACGAACUAAAUUUAUUUGUGGUUGAGUGAUAAACAAUCUUGAUGGUUUAUUGACUGAAUUUAUGUGUUGCUACAUGUUUGCUGUAGCAGUUUGUUUUGAUAGUAUAUAUUUUUAUUCAUUAUUUUGGUUGAUCACCCAUUUAAUGAUACAAGUUAGGAGAGAGCCGUAAAAGGGCCUAUCUUAGUGGAGCAUAUCAUAACAAUACUUGAUCUUAAAUUGAGUUUCCCGGAUUGAGUUUUACUUGAGUCCCAAAAAGGCCAUGCUUGAUUUAAGAUUAGUGAUGAACUAGACAUAAGGAUUCACCUUGUAGGGUAAAUAGAACCUAAGCAUGUAAUGCUAUAUCUUAUGUUGGCAUAGCAACUGAUCACUGUUAGGUUGCAUAUAGAUAUAAGAUAUCCAACAUGCGACGGUUGAGGAUAUAUAAGGAUUCUGCCCAGUGCUGUAGCAAAUACUAUAGCAACCGAGCCAACCAUUAGAAAAUAGUCAAGACCAUUAGGAGAGUUUAUUCACUCAACUACUAUAUACUCCCAUUAGUUUUAUCCUUGAGCUUGACGUAAUAGUUUACUUUAUUGCAUUUAUUUAUUGCGUUUUUAUUUUAAUUAGUACAUUAGUUUCAUUAAUUGUUUAUUUUAUUUUAGCACAAAAUCUGCACUGUUAAGAUUGUUGUAGCAAAUCUAAUAACAUCAAUCCCUGUGGAGACGAUCUUGAAUACUCAUCACUUUAUUACUUGUUGUGUACACUUGCACAUUGACACCAAUAGCAUUAGUAUUUAUACACCAACAACUCCUUCUCCCUCUCCCUCUUCACUCACCCUCACGGCUCCCUCUCUCUCUCCCUCUCCCUCUUCACUCACCCUCACGGCUCCCUCUCUCUCUCCCUCUCCCUCUUCACUCAUCCUCACGGCUCCCUCUCCCUCUCCCUCUCCCUCUCCCUCAUCAUUCACUCUCUCGCCUGCAGUCCCUCACGAGACGCCUCAUCAGGGCCACCAACGACGGCGCUAUCCGGCGAAGACACGCGGAGGUUGAUCUCUAUUGCCGGCAAGGAUUUGCAGUUACAGAUUCACAACCCACUCAGUUCCCGUCAGCCCAUUCUGAGUCGUUGUCAGGCCAUAUCUGCAGUCCACCUACGGUAAUGAGACAUGGGUAUCAUGGGUUUUGUUUGGUAUCAUUAUAUUUGUUGAUUGAGUGUUUUAUUUGAUGUGGUAAGAAGAAUCAUUCGCCUCUCAUAUUUAAAAAUUACAGGUUUUAUCAUGUAAGUUUAUUAGUGCGUAUUGUUGGGUAAUGUAAUAAUUUACAUGGAUUUAGAAUUCGCGGAGAGAGUUUGAUGACAUUAUCUGUGUGUAUUGACAGGGGACAUAAUUUUUAGUGUACACAGUAUAAUGGGUAAGCGUAAGGCCAAUGUCGCAGAUGACAUUAAUAUUCAGUCUGAAGCUGGAUCCUCCGAGGCCGGGCAAGCAUUCGUACAUAUACUACUUGUAAGAAACUAAUUCAUUGUUGAAUUUUAUUAUUGACAUUCUGUAGUCAUUUCAGUUUAAUAGUGCAAUAAUUUUAAUUGACAUAUAAAGAACUGAUAUUUCAUAUUAUUUUUCUAUCUACAGCAAGAUAGAAUCCCAAAAGUUAAAGGAGGAAUGUGUGAAGGUGGAUGAAACGGUUUGUAGACAACUUUUCUAUGUUGCAACCUACUAACUAAUAGUUUGGUUAAUGAUUGGCCAAUGAAUAUAUAUAUUUUUUUAGUGUAGGUUAAGGGGCGUAUACGUGACAAAUGGUUGAAACUCAGCGCGAAAGAUAAAGUCGAAUUCAUCAACAGUUAUAAUGAAAAGGCUGAAAUGAACUCGAGAUUGGCCAGUGGAUUGUUAAGUGAACCGAUUCCAACAGUGGAGAACAAUUCUGAUAAGGGUAAUCACCUAUCUCGAUGUAGUGUUUUACGGUUCUCCAACAUUGUUUCUUCGUUAUCUAUUGAACAGCAAGAUGCCGUGAGAGAAAUUGGUUUCGGAAGCUUGUUAGGUUUAAAAUGUGGGCGACUUAGGCAAGAUUUAUGUAGAUUGUUAGUUAAGCAAUGUAACGUAGAUAAGCGGUCGAUAACAGUCCAUGGAAUGGAAUACAAGCUUACUCCGAAAACUUUUACAAGCGUGAUGGGUGUUGGUGACGGAGGAACACCGAUUGUGCUUGGUGGUGAAGAUAGUGAAAUUACUGACUUACGAGCCAAGUAUUGCUCAGGAAAGAAAGGCAUCCCAAUAGGUAGUUUAGAUGAAAAAUUAAAGACAAAUAGUUGUGCAGAUGAAGAUUUCUGUAUUCUAUUUAGUCUAUUUGUGAUUGAAACUAUUUUGUGUCCAACUACAGCUACAUACAUCAACCCAUCAUACCUUUAUGCUUUAAAAGACGUGAAUAACAUUCGCGAUAAAAAUUGGGCCAACUGGUCUUUCAAUUUUUUAUGGGAAGAAGUUUCAAAGUUCAACGAAAAUAAAAUUUCCUCGAUGAGCGGAUGCGUUAUAUUUUUAAUGGUAUGAUUUAUUUAGUAAUUUGUAUUCUCGUUAGUUAAACGAUUAUGGUAUUAUCGAUCAUUAUUUCCGUAUUAACUAAUUUGUUGUUGUUUGCAACUGUUCUACAUGUCAUCAACUAAGUUUCAACUUUCUUCUGUUGCGGAGAAUGGAUGUCCUCUUAGUGCAUGGAUUGAUAGUGAAAUAAAAAGAUUCCUCAAGUGGUGACAAAAGUAUGGUGACUUUGAGAGCAAUGCGGUUUGUUCCCUUCCAUAAUUGUAUAGUGUUUUGUAGUUAUGUUAUUAAAUUGAAUAGAUUAUUUAUGGAUAUUUGUAGUUAAUGCAGGUUUCGAUGCGAGAAAUCAGUUGCAGCUCAUCAGGUGCUCAAAGUGAAGAACAAAUUGACGAUGUUGACACUGCAAGGCAGCAUCCAUUUCAUGCUAUAUUAGCAGUAAUGGAUAGAAUGGAGGAACAUAUGAGAAGAAAUAAUGAUUUACUAUAAAGAAUGGGCUUGAAAAUGGAUUCUCUUACUGAAAAGGUUGAAAAGUUGGAACGAGCAUAUUUUCGUCAAGAAGGAGCGAAUGUCGCUGAUGAUAGUCAAUCACCUCCUACAUGUACUGGUGCCGAGGCAACUGAUGGUCCAAUCUUUUCCUCUCCGAAUAUGAAGAUGCACCCACCUAUCCCAGAGUUGUCACGCUUUUAGAUCUAGUACAGGAAAAGCGUACGCCCAUCGAAGUUAAAGAACGAAAAGCUGUGUACCUCAGCACAUCCACUGAUGAAGAGGCUAUCCUAAAAGAAAAGUUGGCAGAAGUAUUGCAAGACGCGAUGAAGCCUAAAUUGGUGCCGGAACUUCAAGAUGAGGUAUACAUAGAGUAAUAAUUUGUUAACUUUUGUCUAAACUAUAUAUGAUUUAGUCUAAUCGAAACAAGAGAAGAAAUGUCAACAGCCGUAAGAUUUUAAUCCGCUGUCUUUAGGCCCUCCUCGGCCAUACAGAAAUCGAAAGCCGGGGCGGUACCAGUUGUCCCCGUAUGAUCAAGUCUCACGCGGUCCAAAGCCAAAAUAUCGAGCGGGCCCUUUUUUAGUGAAUGAGCCGGUGACCCUCGAUCAAUUGAAAAUGCUCUAGUAUGGAUUUGACAAAAGCACUAGCCUAGAGUAACAAUACCUUCAUGGCCACUCAUCAAGCUCUUUUCGUUUAAUAUGUUGUCAUAGUUGUUUGAUUUUGUUAAUAUAUCAUGUGAUUAACAUACAGUGAAAUAAUUGUGCGAUCAAGUCAUGAGGAUAUCACUCGGCGAGGCUUGUUAUCACUUUUGCCCGAUGCAUCACUUGACGAGGAGGUUUAUUCGUAAUUUGACUUUAAUGAUAAAAUUGUAGUUAAUAAAACCAAUUAUAAUUGUUCUUGUGUUUAGAUUAUUUGCAUGAUGAGUGAUUACCUUACACGACGUGAGUCGUGCAAAAGCCACGGGCAACCAAUCAGUUGGUUCCUACCAACAAGAUAUGCAGUUACUGAUCCGUUCCUGUUUUUUUUUUUUUCAUAUCCUUUUUUUCAUCAUUAACUAUGGUAAUUUCAGUUGUGUUCUAUAUGAAUUUGAUGUGAUGAAUAUGUAGCAAUUUGCUACAAUGCCAAAUGCACAUUUAGAUGGUUUCAAGGCUGCCUCCCAAUACCGCAAACGUUACAUGUAUGACCUGCACCGGUGCCAUCAGGUAGCGUGUGUGUUUGUUGAAAUGAUUUUUCGUUAUGAUCGAUAUUAUGUAUGGUAAAAGUGACCCUAAGUUGUUCUUGAAUAGAUCAUUGUUCCCAUGCAUGAUGGUGGCCACCAUUGGUUUAUGCUGUUGGUUAAAAUUAAAGACAAACAAGCAGAGAUCUGGGAUCCACUAUCGGAUGCACAACGGACACGAGAUCGAGAAAUCCAAGUGAAUAGUAUUGUAAGUCCAACUAAUUUUUUUAUAAAAACGAUGAGUUUAGUUUUCUAGGUAUUGUGUUAUUAAUACAUGUGAUGUAUUUUUGCACUUGAAAAUAGUUACACUCGUUGGAUGCUAUACUUCAUGGCGUUGUGGAUGCUACAUAUUCAGUAUCUUGGAGUUUCUUGUCAUUUGUAGUGACCCAUGGGGAAGGAGUUCCACGGCAACCUAACGGUUUUGAUUGUGGAGUUUACGUCAUCAAAUUUAUGGAUACUCCUGGAAUCAUCACCAACAAAUCGUAUGUGGUACGCUCCCUUAUUCGCCUUAUGUGGUUUUUUGGUUGAUUUUACUACUGUUGUUGGGCCACUGACAUGAUGAAAGUGCAUGAUUAUUUCUGCAGCAUGACUCACAGAAUGUUCGGGCGUAACUUGCGUUACAACUUAUAGACUCUCCGUUCAACAAACAACGCGAUCAAUUAUUGACGUUGGCUAAUGCACACUACAGUAACGCUGCAACGUACAUAAAUGAAUCGAAUCGAAGCUUGCAUCAACAGUGAAGCCUCGUAAUGUGUCCACCAAAAAAGGUCAUAAGAAUAGUUCCACAAAACGUCAUUUCAGGCGGAAGGUCUAAGAUUGUUGUGAAUAUAGAUUAUGAUAAUUUUUUGCUGACUUCAUUCACAACCCUAAACUUUUGCUAAAUUUACCUUGUAACUGGCGUUGACGUACGAGUCAUGUAAAUUGUUUUGGUGAUCCAAAGACGUAGAGGGAUUAAUGGGGCAAUUAUGAUUUUUUCCUUCGGCAACCGGUUGUCUUAAUUAAUAUAUGUUGAAAGGAAGAUAAUUGUUGUAAAUGUUGCUAUUAUCACUAAGUAUGCAAAAUAUAUUAUUACAUUGCCAUUGUUCACUUCUUACAUGAUAAUAUAACUCAAUGAUUUCCAAAAAGUUCAUUCUACCCCUCAGUUCAGAUCCAAAAAUUGUAUCAUUAGCGAUCAUCCUCCAUCCUCCAAGUAUGUGUACCGUCCUCAACUAAGCAUAAUGUUACUGCUGUCGUAAUGGUCGUCAAUUCCUUCUGAGAUGUUAAGCCUCCAAGGACAAGUUGUCUCGAACGUAAAUGUUGGGGAACUUGGCGAGCUUGAUUCCAUUGAAACAGGCGGUGUUAACACAUUAUAAGAACAAUGCCUUGGAUGAUCGUCAGUCGAAACACAACCAAUACCGCUAACGCUGCAAUGAAGGUCAUUGGGCUGUAUGUCCUUUGGCAGAUAUAGCGGGCAAGUCCGUUUAGUAUGGCCAGGCUGAAAACACUGACUGCAUUUGCGAUUUUUAGCCCCAUCGUGUUUAACGGUUUUAGAGCAACCUUUACUAUUAACCGUAACCGGGUCUUUCAACUUCAUACCUGCUUGAAGUACACAAUUCCUGGCUCGUUUAGCUGAUUCAUCAUCCGCAACCAUCUGUUCAACGCGAAGCGUCAGCCGUUGAAUCUCAUCUAUCGCUAUCAUAUAACUUUGUUCAUUCUUUGCGGCAAAAAGACAAAGAUUAGUACAUGCCGCUGAAAGUGAGGCAAACUUUGCUGUUUCUAACACUCCUUUAUCGAGGUGUGACGCUGCAGCGGUUAUUUUCAUCACUUUACUCACCUUCGCUGAUUUGGUCCAGCGACCAAGAAUCAAUAGUGGUGGUAUGCGAACUAGUUGCUCGAACUUCAUGACGUGAAAUAUAUCCCUACAUGGAAUACCUGCUGAUUCCAUCAUCUUACAUGAACAAGUAAUUGCAACUUCUUUACUAUAAAAUACCACUGUCCAUUUUUGUUCUGGAUGCUGAAAUUUCAUUAAAGUAUAGAUAUUGGAAUUAGCUGUCUUGGCACACUCAAGCAUAAUUAGCGUGGCUUCUCCGAGGAUCUCCAUCCGAACCCACUUCAAUACAUUCCUUGUAUAUAUUUCGGACGCAUGUUUUUCAAUGCUUAGCAGAUGUGUUGUAAGAACUGGGGCUGUGUGGUUUGUCUCAUACUCAUCUUGGACUUCUUUGUGCCGUAUGCAAUACAUUGCACGAUGAAUUUGUCUAAUGAAAUCAUACAGUUUUAACUUCUUCUCAACAAAGCGACGCAAGUAAGAAUUCAAGCUCUCACACCUUUAUGUGGUUCGCAUUCCGGCGAAAAAGGUUCCUUUCAAAUAAGCCACUGCCCAUUUUCUACGCUUUGCAUACAUUUUUUCCACCCAAGAAUUUUGUUCCAGUCCCAGAUCAUAGAGAACCAAUCUCGAUCAAACUCCUCCAUGGUCAUUGGAUUCAACAUUAACUGCCGAAACUUCGACGUGAACUUAUUUCUCUUCACAUUUGCUUGUGCAUUCCGCUCAAGAUGCCAGCAGCAGAGUCGAUGUACACAUCCAGGCAUAACAGUUUUAAUCGCUUUCGACAUAGCUUUAUCACCAUCUGUUAUGACACUUAUGGGUUUUUUUUGUUUCAUUGCCGAUAAGAAAGUCUGUAGCAGCCACACAUAUGAUUCAACAGUUUCGUCAAUCAGUAUCGUAAAUCCAAAAACAGUAGUUCUUUUAUGAUGAUUUACACCAACAAAUGCGACCAAAGGUUUGUUGUAUGCAUUUUUCUUGUACGUUGCAUCAAAACCUAAAACAUCUCCAAAUUGUUCAUAGUCGUACCGAGCAACAGUGUCGGUCCAGAACAAGUUUCGCAGUCGAUUUUCCUCAUCAAGAGUAUACUCGAAGUACACUCCAGCAUCAUAAUCAACCCUUGCAGAUAAGUACGCAAUGGUAGCCUUUGUGUCGGUGUCAAUAAUUUGUGCAUGGUGAUCUGCGUCUAUUCUAUUCCGCAUGUCCUUACCCAUAUACCCAACAUGAUGGAACCCUCCUGCUUGAUCAGACUUGUAGUUCAUGAGCUGGCACACUUUCACCCCAACUUGUCGCAAUGCCUUUGCGUGAGCCAAAUCAGCUUCGUUGACAAGUCUAUGCAAACGAAGAAAUUGUGUCUCGUGCGGUUCAACCAAGCGAUGAGUGUGCUCAAAAACGAAUUUAGUUACCACGUACUUCCCUUUAAACUUAUCAUAGUUCACGCGAAGUUCCGCCUUGCACCCGUUACGAGUAAUGCCCCUCGGUUCCCUGAUUCUGUCUGUUUUCUCCAUCCAUUUUUUUAGCUUGUAUCCCUGUCCUGAGCAAACCCAUCGCCGACUUGCUACUUCACCACUUUUGCCGUCACAACGAAGUUCAUCUUUUCUCACAGAGAAUCCAACCGACUUAGCAUACUUUUUAUACCAUAUGUGGGCAUCAUUGACAUUUUCAAAACAGGAUCCGACACCCACUUCAAUGAGUUCACUUUUUUUAGGCAAACUGUAGGUCGUAUGACUAGAUGAUCUUGUAGCAGAUUUGUCCCCAAAAUAAUCACUGAUUUCGCUAGUUUGUGGCGGUAAUGACGUACCUGCACUUGCACAAAUUUCCAUCCCAUUAUCAUAUGACGGGUUGUCGGGGGGUCCACUUAUUUUCUGUUCUGAUGGCUGGUUAUCAUUGAGGUCUAACACCCAUGCAGAAAUGCUUCCCACGUCUAAAGAUGUUGUCAUGCUCUCUGGUUAUCUUCUCUCAAGAUUCUAGCAUUUGAAGACCAUCAAAAGGACCUAGUUGAAGACUUAAAAGAGUACUGCGUGGGUUAUGUUUGUUGGCAUUCAAUGUCUUCAUUAAAUGAUGGGGUUUGGUUGGUGCUUGGGUUGGUGGAUACAACAUUUAAACGCCUAGCCUAUUACCUAUAAAAGGUUAGCCGGUUUCGCAUUUGUGCUCUCUGGACAUUAAACGGCAAGCCUUUUAAACUCAUGCGGCUAGCCUUUUUCGAAUUGAUGCUAACUGGAGGGGAAACGACUGGCCUCUAAAAUUUAAGAGGCUAGCCUUUUUCGCGUUGGGGCUCAUUGGAGGGGAAACAGCUAGCCUCGAAAAUUUAAGAGGCUAGCCUUUUUCGCGUUGGGGCUCACUGGAGGGGAAACAGCUAGCCUCAAAAAUUUAAGAGGCUAGCCUUUUUCGCGUUGGGGCUCACUGGAGAGGAAACGGCUAGCCUCGAAAAUUUAAUAGGCUAGCCUUUUUCGCAUUUGUGUAUGGGAUGCUCACCAUUAGCGAAAACGGCUAACCUUUAAAAUUUAGAGGCUAGCCGUUUUCGCUUUUGGUGCUCUCUGGACAUUAAACGGCUAGCCUCUAAAAAUAAAAGGCUAGCCGUUUUUUCUUACUAGAGUUUCUGGAACAUGAACGGUCACCCUAUUAAUUUGUAAAAGGUUAGCCGGGUUCAAAGGAAUCAAACUGUUUCGUCUUCACAAAACUGGUCAGCCGCUUCUAUCUCUAAAAGUCGAAUCCUCUCUCCUACGUUCUCAGCCGAAAGAUCCACCGUUUAUAAUCAGUUCAUAGCCCAAAUUCAACCUUAGAAAUCAUUUCCCACCAUUUGCUCUUGCUAAAUUUAACCCUCGAAACCGAAAAACCCUAAGUUGUAAACCCCUUUGACUUCGGUAAAUGUUUGCCGAAAUUGAACUCACAUAUCCCUUUUAAGCAUCAUUAUCUUCCAUUUAAUCGGUUUAUUCCUCUUCAAAUCGCUGAAAAAUCAUAAUGUCAACUUCAAGGCCACGUAGAGCGAAAGACAACGGGAAAGAUGCGAUUCCACCACCCAAACGGAAACGGAAGGACGGCGGCCCUGUAGAACAACCUGAUUUUGAAUCAAGACACUUCCCGGACAAGCGUUUGGCCACCCGUUUUUGCCAAAGAUUCAUGACCCGUAAGGUACUUGAUACAUUCUAUAUUGUGUCUGAUUGGCUUCGUAGCCUUAGUAUCAGUAAUGGAAAUUUGUUGCAAUUGUUGGAGGAAGUUGGUUGGAUUAAUGCCCUUACGAUUAAUGAGAAUGUGUAUCCUGACUUGGUGAAAGUAUUUUACUCGAAUAUGGAUACUUCCACGGAGAAAGAGAAUCGAGUAAUCACCAACGUUAGAGGAGUUUUGAUUGAAUUUGAUGAUACUAAUUUGAAUUCUAUCCUAGGAACCUCCGAAGAUGGGUUAGAAAUAUAUUCUGCUAGGAAAGUUCCUACGAUUGAUAACUUUGUUCAUGUUGAUGCCGUUAGAAACAUUUGUAGGCGCAUUGAUCUUUCUGAUGAGGUCUGUACAAUCGAUUUUCGUGCUCAAUGUCUAUGCCUUCAAUCGCGUAUUUUACAUCGUAUAAUUCAGAAUAUUGUCCUUCCUAGGUCGAGCCACUUAGAUGAUGUUACCCACAUGGAUGUUGCUUUGAUUGAUUCUAUCCUCAGGCAUCGUCCGGUUAGCCUCGGAUACACUAUUAUACGCACCAUGCUUUCCAUACCUAACUUGAUCAGUCGUGCUCUUCCAUACGGAAAUUUCAUCACGCAGAUCCUUAAAUACUUUAGGGUGCCCAUAAACGAACCGUCUUGUAAACCCUGUAGGAGUAUAGGAGAUGAGGCCGUGUAUGCCUUAGGAUUUUUGUGGCGUAAUGGAGCAUGGGUGAAGUAUACUGAAGCUAAGUACACAAUGCUUGCUCCGAAUGAUGAUCGUCCUUUGAAUUUUGUAGUUCCUGCUAAUCAGCUGCCUAAUUUUUCACUUCCUUUCUAGGGUCAACGUAGACGUGAGGACCCUCCUACAUGUGAACCUGAUCAUGAUGCUUCUGCAUCUGCUGUACCACCUGUAGAGCCACAUGACUCCAGCGAAGUUACUCUUCAAUAACUUAUGGACGAGGUGAGGACACUUUAUGUACAGCAGACCAGCUUUCAGCAGCACGUUUUGGAGGAGCACCGGCAUCUGUCACAGCAGCAUCAGUAGUUCCUUCACGGACAACGCCUCAUGUUCGAGCACUUUGGCAUUCCUUAUCCGUUUCCACCUCCACCACCACCAUCCCCACCGCCUCAGUAGUUUCCAUUUCUUUAUUCCAUUAUGUAUGUUUGGAUGUUAGUUUUAUGUUCAGAUGAUUGUUUUAUAUGUUCAGAUGGUUGUUUUAUAUGUUCGGAAGUUUGUUUGACAAGUUCGUUUAUAUGUUCGGAAAUUUGUUUUAUAUGUUUGGAUGGUUGUUUUACGUGUUCGGAUAUGGAUUUAAAGAGUUCGGAAGUUUGUUUAACAUGUUCGGAAGUUUAUUUUAUAUGUUUGGAUGGCUGCUGCUUAUUGUAGCAAUAACAUCAGCUGUCGGGUGCUUAUGACAGCAACUGUUAUUGCUGUUGCUGUCAUAAGGCAGCAGCUGCUGCUGGCAGCUAGCAGCAGCAGCAAGAAUUCGCAGCAAUUGUGUUUGCUGCUGCAACUACUUAUGCAGCAACAGCUACUGCUAGAAUGCCAGCAGCAGCUGGUAUAAUGCACACUACAGCUGCUUAUGCAGCAACAGCAGUUGGUGCCUGAAAAAGCAGCAGCUACCGUUGCUGGUUCUGCACUUGCCUGUUGCAGCAUAACCAGCAGCUGCUGGCAGCUAGCAGCAGCAGCAUCUGCUGCUGGUGUUGUUGCUGCUGCAUCUGCUUAUGCAGCAACAGCUGCUGGCAUUCCAACAACAGCUAGUGCCUGUAAAAGCAGCAGCUUCUCUAUCCAUUAUGUCUGCUGCUGGUGUUGUUACUGCUGUUGGUGCUUAUGCAGCAACAACUGCUGGCUACUUUUACAGCAGCAGCAGCUGGUGGAUGCAUAAGCACCAGUUACUGGCUACUGCAGUUGCUGGUUCUGCAGCUGGUGGCUGCUGCUGCUGUUGAUUCUACAGCUGCUGCAGCUACUGGCUGCAGCUGCUGGCUGCUUUUGCAGCAGCAGCAGCUGGUGGAUGCAUAAGCACCAUCUGCUGGCUACUGUUGUUGCUGGUUCUGCAGCUGGUGGCUGCUGCUGUUGUUGGUUCUGCAGCUGCUGGCUGCUUAUGCCAACAGCAACAGCAACUGAAAUCCCCAAAAUAAGCAUUAGCAGUAGGGCCAUUAGUAGCUGCCACUGCUGGCUGCUUAUGUCAACUCCUCAUUCACUUCUUAUUGCUGAAAUUACUCACGCACAUUGAUUUCAAACCAGUUUGCAUGCUAUUUAAUCGAUUCAUAUUCACCUAAAACACAAUAUUUGUUAUUCAGCGGAAGCAAAGGAAACUAAAGGAACAUUAAAUCAUUAACUUCAAACAUGUGAUCAUUAACUUGCACUAUGGAAAUCAUGCAGAUAAAAAUGAACUCAGGACUAUUAACUUGAUACCGGGACCAUUAAACUUGAAACCGAAGGAACCUGAAACUUAGGGCAACAAACAUGAAAUAGGAUCUCAUUAACGUGCAACCUUAAAAAUUAUAUAUUUAAUGGACCAAUAAACAUGAAACCAUCACCAUUAACUUGAUAUCGAAACCAUUAAACAUUAAACCAGUGAACUUGAAACAUAGGCCAAUAAACCUGAAAUAUGAGAUCAUUAAAUUGCAACCAUAAAAAUAAUUAAAUUAAUGAACUUGAAACUUAGGGCAAUGAACAUGAAACAUCGGAUCAUUAACUUGCAACCUUCAAAAUUAUAUAAUUAAUGGACCAAUAAACAUGAAAUCAUGACCAUUAAUGUGAUACCUAAACCAAUAAACUUGAAACUAAUGAACUUGAAACUUAAGGCAAUAAACCUGAAAUAUGAGAUCAUUAACUUGCAACCAUAAAAAUGAUUAAAUUAAUGAACUUGAAACUUAGGGCAAUGAACAUGAAACAUAUGAUCAUUAACUUGCAACCCAAAAAAUUAUAUAAUUAAUGGACCAAUAAACAUGAAAUCAUGACCAUUAACGUGAUACCUAAACCAAUAAACUUGAAACCAGUAAACUUGAAAUUUAAGGCAAUAAACCUGAAAUAUGAGAUCAUUAACUUGAAACCAUAAAAAUGAUUAAAUUAAUGAACUUUAAAUUUAGGGCAAUGAACAUGAAACAUCUGAUCAUUAACUUGCAACCAAAAAAAUUAUGUAAUUAAUGGACCAAUAAACAUGAAAUCAUGACCAUUAACGUGAUACCUAAAUCAAUAAACUUGAAACCAGUGAACUUGAAACUUAAGGCAAUAAACCUGAAAUAUGUGAUCAUUAACUUGCAACCAAAAAAUGAUUAAAUUAAUGAACUUGAAACUUAGGGCAAUGAACAUGAAACAUCUGAUCAUUAACUUGCAACCGAAAAAAUUAUGUAAUUAAUGGACCAAUAAACAUAAAAUCAUGACCAUUAACGUGAUACCUAAAUCAAUAAACUUGAAACCAGCGGACUUGAAACUUAAGGCAAUAAACUUGAAAUAUGAGAUCAUUAACUUGCAACCAUAAAAAUGAUUAAAUUAAUGAACUUGAAACUUAGGACAAUGAACAUGAAACAUCUGAUCAUUAACUUGCAACCGAAAAAAUUAUGUAAUUAAUGGACCAAUAAACAUGAAAUCAUGACCAUUAACGUGAUACCUAAAUCAAUAAAUUUGAAACCAAUGGACUUGAAACUUAAGGCAAUAAACCUGAAAUAUGAGAUCAUUAACUUACAACCAAGAAAAUUAUUUAAUUAAUAGACCAAUAAACAUGAAACCAUAAUCAUUAACUUGAUACCCGAACCAUUAAACAUGAAACCAAAGGAACAUGAAACGGAAGGCAAUAAACAUGAAAUAUGUUAUCAUUAACUUACAACUAUGAAAAUCAUUAAAUUAAUGAACCAAUAAACAUGAAACCGUGAUCAUUAAGUUGAUACCUUGACCAUUAAACUUGAAACUCCUUUUUUAUUAUUAUAAAAUUAAUUUUUUUGUUAUGUCCUUUACUAUUAAAAUAGUGAUUAUUUUAUUAUUAUUUAAUUUAUUUAAGGGGCAACCGGUUGCAAAAACCGGUUGCUCCCAUUUAUUUUUUUUAGGGAAAUUAUCACUGGUAUACCCUUAAAUGUCACCGGUAUCAAACGUAUUAUAACACUUUUUGCUUAUAUCACUCGUAUACCCUAAAUUGACAAAAGAGUUCUGGCGUCCACCUUUCUGUUUACUACCGUUAAGAACUUAACAAAAUUUGAGCAAAAUGACUAUUUUACCCUUUAAACUCAAAAUGAUGUAAAAAAACAAAUUUGCCUUGAAAAUUAAAGUAAAUUUUCAAUACACAAUUUUUUUAAUUUUGUUAUUAACAAUACAUUUUUUUAUUAAAAAAAUGAAUUAUUAAUGGUACAUAUUAUUAACAAUUAUCCAUAAAAAAAUAUUCAUCUUAUACCAUAAAAAAUUAUUAACAACAUAUUAUUUAUAAUUAUACAUAUUAUACCAUAAAAAAAAUAAUGAUGCUUGGAGGAGUAGAUCUUCAAUAAUUUAGGUUAAAUUUGGAGGAGUAGAUUCAGUUGUAAAGUAGCUUUUUUUUUUUUAGCAAUUAUUAACAAUUAUCCGAUAAAUGGGAUGACAUGUCAUUUUUAUCAAAAUAUAUCAUAUGACAUAUCGUUUUUUACUAGGUAAAUGGGAUGACAUGUCGUUUUUUUAAAAAGACUAAAUUACCCUUAUGAUGUCAGUGUUGUGCAAAUUUUAAUGUACUCGCAAGCGCACGAAUCUAUUGUAGUAUAGAUCAUGGUGACGAGUGUCGAUCCCACGAGGAGGUGGAUUUUAAUUGUGUGUAGAAUUAAUUUUGUAAAUGGGUGAUUGGAUUUGUGGUGGAAAUGGUUUGGAAUAUGCUAAAACUUAAAUUAAAAUGGCGAGAAUAAAUUCUAAAAUUGGAAUUGCAAUGGCGAGAAUAAAUUGAAGAUAAUUCUAUUGAAAUGACGUACUUGGGUAUUCGGAUCCGUAUCAACAUGCAUCAUGGGCUAAAUAAUCCUUAUUAAUGCCAAUUAAAUCAUGAGGGGGGAAUCCACACCUCAUGAACCACGCUCUAAUCAAUAUGGUGCUAAGGGCUUAUCGUGCCAAAUAAUAAUAACCUUGUACUAGAGAGCCGGUGUAACCAAGGCGGUAUCUAGACAAGAUUAUUAUUAUUUGUCGACGAAAAGUCAAAUCAUCCACAAAAACUAGAGGGGAAGAGAAAAUAAAUUUACCAAAUAAAGCCCAUGACACAUGUUGAGACUUCACCUUCAACCCAAGCUUGAAAGAAAAUUAGCCACUCAUAAUUGAACUAAGGGCAAAAUGGGAAUUUAUUAAAAUAUGUAGAAAAUACAAGAUGGAGAGAGAAUUACAGAAAAUGGAGUCCAAAAAUGGAUUCAGAGAUAUCAAAUUACAGUAGCGCGGUUUGGUUGAAAAUAAUCCUGUGUGAUGCAUGUACCGUACGCGAGAUUUUUCGUCCACUGAUAUGCUGCCACGUCACCAUCAACAGUACAUAAGAAUUUUAGCCUAACAGGAUCGUGACACCUCAUCAGUCAAUGCCACAUCAUCGGUCAAUGCCACGUCAUCGAUCCGUCUAUAUGAACAGUGUCGUGAACAGUAACGUAGACAGUACCGUACACGUGAAUAGUACCGUACAUGUGAAUAGUGUCAUUUUUCCUUUUAUGCUCCUCCUAAGGUUUUCGACCGUCCUGAGUUCAAAAAUGAUGUUCGUUUUGCCGUCUGAUCUCUCCUUUAUUGUGAAAUGACUAUAAUGCCCCUAAAAUACAUAAAAUACUUAAUUAAAAUAAAACACACGUAAUUAAAUCACAAGAAGUUUAAAUACAUAAAAGUAAGGGUUGUUAGUAAGACUUGAAAUGUAAAAUGACGGUUUUCUCCUUUAUAAAUAUACAUUUUCUAACACUCAAUACACCCCCCAACCAGCUUAUUGCUAGUCCCUAGCAAAUAAAGCGAAAACAAAAUUCAAAUUCAAAAUGAUUUUUUUUAUUUAUUUUUAGAAACACUCGUGUUUAUUCAAUCAGAUUAAUGAUAGCAAUCAAAUAAAAGUAUAAGUAUUAUCUCCAGUCUAAAGCAACAUCACACCCACAUCAACCAUCCACAUGAAUUAGCCCAGUAGACUUUGUUAUAGCUACUUUCAAGAAUGACAUGUCAAACCCCAAAAUCUCACUAGAAGUAGUGACACUCUCACAAAGAAAUUAAAACCAAUAAAAAUAGUCACUCCAAUGAAUGGUAAUUGAGAGAGAAAAUAAUAAAGAAGUGAUAUCACAUGCUCUCACCAAGAUGAAAUAAAUAUGCCCUCAGCUUAGAAAUAAUACGAUCUCAAGUCAAACAAAAAUGCUAGUCAACCCAAUUUAUUUAUCUUUUUUUUUCUUUUAUUUAUUUAUUUAUUUUUAUUAUGCACCACUACAUCUUUUUAGCCCACAUAACUAGCUUCUACUUCAAACUAUAGUUCCCUAAAAUCAAGAAGGACUUUUAUUAGGACGUAACGUAGGCUAGGGAUAUGGCUAACAAAGAAAGGAAAUAAGGAAAACAAAGUGUAUGUUUGAGAAAAAUGCAGGGAAAUUUUUUUUUUUUUUUUUGGAAGUUGCAAGGUAGAUUUCACCUAUUAUUGUUAUUUUUAUUCUUUUGAAACAACAACUUUUUUUUUCUUUUUGUUUGUUUUUUUUUUUUUGCUUUUAUUUGGCAUAACUUCACUGAACAACAUAAUUAUUUACAUUUUCUCAAACAUAAAUAGGUAAUGGAACUUAUAAGACAUCGGGUAAUACUCCAAAUCGGAGUGGGUCAAGAUGAUAAGUUGACAAAGAAAAGGUUUUUUUUUUUUUUUUAAAGGCUCAAAAGGGUUAACUAUAGAUAUUUAAUAAAAGGGAUGGCUAGAAAGGCUCAAACGGAUCAAAGAUGGCCUUUCCAUCGUCUUUUAGGGCUCUAAAUAAUCAUCCAUAUCUACUAGUUAGACGGGCCUCCCAAUGUAGCAACACACAUUUUUUUUUCUUUUUCUUCUUUUUUUUUUUUUAAUUUUACCAUUUUUUUUAAGGGUUAACUCAAAAGAAAUCUAGAGAUCGUGUAUAAAAUAAUAAACUGCUAAGCUGUAUGAAAAAUGGGCAAAAGAGUUAUUCUCCAAGAAAAAUAAUAGGCUCAAAAACUCACUUGGUACUUAUUACGACAUGUUCAUUCCUUCAAGCAACUCAUAUUUGUCUUCGACAUCAACAUGUAAAGUAGCAAACAUGACGUAACAUCACUUAAGACCAAAGAUAAUACAAAUACUAAAAUUUGAAAUUCAUCAUGUCAUCCAAUGUUAAAACAAAUCACACAUUUUUUUUUUCAAACAACAUUCUACCCCCCAACCUAUUCUAAACAUGAAAGGAAAAUAUGAAUGCAGAAAUGUGAAAAUGAUGUAGAAAAACUAAUUAGAAACGUUACACUUAAAAUGAUAGAAAAAGAAAAUGAUUUUUUUUUUUAAGAAGAUGUGUUUCUAGAGGCACUACACUCCAUAUUCAGCCAUCUUCGACUCAAAAGUUGGGAAAUGUAUAUUUAUAGAGGAGAAAUUAAAAAGAAGAAGAAAAAUGAACAUCAAAACUUAAUUAAGAAAAAGAAAAUGUCUGAAUUUUUUAUUAUUAUUAUUAUUUUUUAUUAUUUUAUUUAUUUAUUAUUUUUUUUAAACGAAGAAGAUGCGUUUCUAGAGUCACUACACUCCAUAUUCAGCCAUCUUCAACACAAAAAGUUAGCAACAGUUAGUUUCUACAACAAAAAAUCAGUAAAAACUUAACCAAGAUUCCACAAUUGUCGACUAUUCCCUCCCCCCAACCAGAACGAAACAUUGUCCUCAAUGUUUUAAAGGAAAGAAGUAGAGUUUAGAAGACAUCACCUGGGUGGUGCAACACAAAAGAAAAUAUUUACAGGCGGAGAGUUAAAUCUAAUUUGUACUUCUUAUUGCUGCUACUGUUACCAUCAUUAUUUGGUCUCUCCAACACAAAGGUCCAGGGGUUUGGCUCCGGUCUAUAAGCUUGUAACAGAUCAAGUAGCUCAUUAGCAGUGUGAGCACAAAUAAAAAGUUUUUUCGCAUGGGAAGGAAUGAAGUAGUUUUUUAUUGCAUGGUUAAGAAAUGCGAUAAAGCCAUCAUAAAAGUUAUUGACAUUUAACAAACCGAUGGGUUUUUGGUGGAUGUGCAGAUGGGCCCAAGAUGCUAGUGUGAUAAGUGCCUCUAGUGUUGCAAGAUCUCCUGGAAUGAAAAUAAAAGCAUCAGCAUGAUUAAGCAUUUCAGUUAUUCUUUCUUGCAUACCUGAGACGACUAACUCUUCUCCAGUUGAUGAGUCAGACGAACUGCCCAAUGGUUUUAAGACUCUUGGGAUGAUGCCUAACACUUGACUUUCUCUGAUAAAAGCUGCUUCUGAGACCAUUUUUUAUAACCCUCGGUUACCUCCUCCAUACACCAAGUGUAAUUUUCUCGCUGCUAUGCUUCGACCAAGAUCUAUGGCUGCCUCCACAAACUCUUUAUGUUUGCCAUAGUUAAAUCCAGAAAGCACACAAAUGUUCUUGAAUUAUCUAUUGGGAGUAGCUGCCAUUGUGAUACUUCUCAAAAACAAUUUGUGAGUGCUUGACAAAAAAGAAAUCACAUUUAAGAGUCUUGGUGACAGUGGGUCACAAUUGUGUAGGAGGUAACAUGUCAGUGUCAAAUAACGCGUAAAGCACGUGGCUCGCGAGUCAAAAAGGAAACAGUAAAAAGGAAAAAGCAAAUAGUAAUAAGGAAAAAAGCAAACAGUAAUAAAAUUAUUAAAGACAAUAAUGCACACAAUAAAACAACAGUGAAAUGAAAUAAAAUAACAGUAAAGUAAAAUGAUAUUUACACAUAGUUGCGACUGUGGCUCACAUCUUCCUCUGGUUUUACGUCCAGAAACGGCUUGAACGCCCUCUAUAGGUCGAGGAUAGGCUUCCUAUCCAGUUUUCUUAUAAACUGGCAAACAGGGUCGUUUAUAGUCAGAUUCCCGAGACUAUAUCGUGCAUGCUCUUUCUGGAAUAAUGGUCAUAACUGGAGAAUCGCUCCUUGCACAUAUCCACUGGGAUGCGUUUCAAGAGACAGAAGGAUAUCAUCCAAUGACUCCUUAUUCAAGCCAUCCCUAAUGAAUUGAAUCUUAUCUUCCCUGUUAUCAGACACCAUUCCUAAAGAACAUGGGUUUUUAUUGCAACUCAUUCUGGCACACUUAUGACAAGCAACAGAAAUUCUUCGAGCUCGUCGUUUUCUUGCAUAAUUUCCUUUACCACAACCAGGCAUGUAUGCAAUAAAUUUUGGAGGUAACUCACCUGCCGAUCGUACUUUAGCCUCGAUUGACCAACGGAUGUCAGCAGGUAUGUUAUUCAUCAUGAGUAAUCGCAUGCGUUCGGACCGAGCUUUAUAGAUCGUAAGGAGGGCAUUCUGAGGAAGUGAAGGGAAUCGCUUGUGAAGUUUCGCUAGAAUCUCGUUUCUGUCCAUACCUUCGCCUCAGAAUAUCAAUUAUUAUGCGAAACUGAAGUAACCGACUUGAUUGUCACGGAGUACCGUUAUCCGCCACUUCACCGGGGUAACAAACUAAAGCACACAAACAGAAAAACAAAUUAAACACACAAAGAAAAUUAAAAUCGUCCUCUUAUGGAAUUUACCUCAAGCUCCAACUGGAUGUCGUAAACACUUCUCUCAAUGUCUCUGAGUUGGCGUUCUAAACCCUCAACAUAGGCUACUAACUCUGGUGGUUGUAGAGCCCAAAUGCAAUGUGUUUUACAAAAUUGAAUCUGCCUUUUGAGAUGAGUUUUGACACGUUGAAGUGGUUUAAGAAUGUUCAGGAGGAACGGUCUUAGUAAGGUACUCAUGAUUAAAAAUGAUAAAAGAAAACUUAAUAGUUAAACAAACACACUUAUGCAAAAAUAAUUUCAAUUAGCAGAAGAAUAACAUAAAGAAAGAAAAAAAUCAAAUCAACGAAAAGAAAAAAAAGUCAAUUCAAAUCUGGUGGGUCACUCAAAUUUAUUUCGGUGUCUUCUCCAUGUGGUUGGUACUCUAGAUAUGGCUUUAAUCUUUGACCAUUAACUUUAAACGUGACACCGUUCUUGGGGUCCUUAAUUUCAAUUGUCCCAUGUGGAAAAACAGUAUGAACAAUAAAGGGACCAGACCAUCGAGAGCGUAACUUACCUGGGAAUAGGUGCAAGCGAGAAUUGCAUAAAAGCACUUUCUGACCUGGAGUGAACGAUUUUCUCAUAAUUUGCUUAUCAUGGAAGACUUUCAUUCGUUGCUUGUAAAUCUUGGCAUUUUCGUAUGCGUCAUUGCGAAUUUCUUCAAGUUCUGCCAGUUGUAAUCUUCUUUCUGAGCUGGCUUGCUGCAUGUCAAAGUUGAAUUUCUUGAUGGCCCAAUACGCACGAUGCUCGAGUUCCACAGGUAGGUGGCAAGCUUUUCCAUACACUAGCAUGUAGGGUGACAUCCCAAUCGGGGUCUUGAAAGUCGUUCUAUAUGCCCAUAAUGCAUCAUCAAGUCUUAAUGACCAAUCUUUUCUGUCCGGCCUCACCGUCUUUUCUAAUAUGUGCUUUAUUUCUCGAUUGGAGAUCUCAACUUGGCCACUGGUUUGCGGAUGACACGGGGUCGCCACUUUGUGUGUGAUUGAAUACUUUGUCAAAAGAGCUUUGAAUGCUUUGUUACAAAAGUGGGCACCACCAUCACUGAUUAUUGCUCGAGGGAAUCCAAAGCGCGAAACAAUGUUGCUUUUAAAAAAUCCUAUCACCACCUUGUGAUCAGUGGUUCUACAUGGAAUUGCUUCUACCCAUUUUGAGACAUAGUCAACAGCAACCAAUAUGUAUUGAUGGCCAAAAGAAGUGGGAAAUGGUCCCAUGAAGUCGAUACCCCAUACAUAAAAAAUCUCAACCACUAAAAUUGGAUUUAGUGGCAUCAUGUUCCUUCGUGUAAUGCUCCCCAUUCGUUGACACUUAUCACAUGAAGAACAAAAAGUGUAAGCAUCUCGAAAUAUAGUUGGCCAAUAAAAACCACAUUGUAAAACUUUAGUUGCUGUUUUCUUAGCACUGAAAUGGCCUCCACAAGCUUAUUCAUGGCAGAAUGAAAGAAUAUUCUGAAUUUCAAUUUCUGGGACACAUCGUCUAACAAUUUGAUCAGCACAAUACUUGAACAAAUACGGGUCAUCCCAAAAGAAAUUCUUUAUCUCUGCAAAGAAUUUAGCCUUGUCUUGCUUGGUCCAAUGCUCUGGAAGUUUACCUGUAACAAGAUAAUUAACUAUAUCAGCAUACCAAGGUAAUACUUCCACAUUCAUUAAUUGUUCAUCUGGAAAUGACUCAUUCAAUAUUAAUGGCUCUGUAAUUGUGUCAAAAUGGAGACGAGAGAGAUGGUCCGCCACAACAUUUUCAGUGCCUUUCUUAUCUUUGAAUUCCAAGUCAAAUUCCUGCAAAAGUAACACCCAACGAAUUAAUCUAGCUUUUGCAUCUUUCUUUGUGAGAAGAUAUUUAAGAGCAGCAUGAUCUGUGAAUACAAUUAUUUUACAACCAAUGAGAUAAGAUCGAAAUUUUUCUAAUGCAAACACUAUGCUAGCAUUUCUUUUUCAGUAGUUGAAUAGUUCAACUGUGCAUCAUUCAAUGUCAUACUAGCAUAGUAAAUAACAUGGGGAACUCGAUCAACUCUUUGUCCUAAUACUGCUCCUAUUGCAUAAUCAGAUGCAUCACACAUGAGCUCAAAUGGUAAACUCCAAUUUGGGGGCUGAAUGAUGGGUGAUGAUGUCAACAACUGCUUUAAUUUUCCAAAUGCCACAAGACAUGAAUCAUCAAAGACAAAAGGUACAUCCUUAGCAAGUAGAUUGCAUAAGGGUCUAGAAACUUUGCUAAAAUCUUUAAUGAAACGUCUAUAAAAACCAGCAUGCCCAAGGAAAGAUCUUACUUCUCUGACUGUUUUAGGUGGAGGAAGAUUAGAAAUGAGAUCCACCUUGGCUUUGUCAACCUCAAUACCUUUGCUUGAAAUGAUGUGACCGAGAACAAUACCUUGUUUUACCAUAAAAUGGCACUUCUCCCAAUUUAAGACUAAAUUCUUCUCGAUACAUCUCUGCAGAACUAGCGUUAGAUGAUGUAAACAUUGAUCAAACGAAUCACCAAAGACAGAAAAGUCAUCCAUAAAGACUUCAAGAAAUCGUUCAACCAUAUCAGAAAAAAUGCUCAACAUGCAUCGUUGAAAUGUAGCAGGUGCAUUACAUAAUCCAAAUGGCAUUCUCCUAUAUGCAAAAGUGCCAAAAGGGCAAGUGAAAGUAGUUUUCUCUUGAUCUUUUGGUGCUAUGGGGAUCUGAUUGUAUCCUGAGUAGCCAUCUAGAAAGCAAUAAAAUUCAUGGCCUACUAAUCUAUCAAGCAUUUGAUCGAUAAAUGGUAAAGGAAAAUGGUAUUUACGUGUGACAGAAUUCAACUUUCUAUAAUCAAUGCAUACACGCCAUCCUGUAGUCACUCUAGUGGGUAUCAAUUCAUUAUCAGCAUUCGUAACUACUGUGACUCCUAACUUUUUGGGGACAACUUGUACAGGACUGACCCAUGAACUAUCAGAAAUUGGGUAAAUGAUACCUGCGUCUAAUAGCUUAAGGACUUCAGUUCUAACAACUUCUUUCAUAUUAGGAUUUAAUCGCCGUUGCAUUUCCCUAGUAGAUUUAGUAUUUUCAUCAAGGUGAAUGUAAUGCAUGCAGUCUACUGGGUUUAUACCUUUUAUGUCUGCUAUGGUCCAUCCUAAUGCUCCUUUGUGCUCUUUUAAAACAUCCAACAACUUACCUUUUUGUUCGUCAUUUAGGGAUGAUGAGAUGAUUACCGGUAGAGUACUUUCUUCUCCCAAAAAUGCAUAUUCCAAUGUGUUGGGUAAUGGUUUGAGCUCGAGUUUUGGUGGUGAUUCUGAUGAUGGGAUGAGUUUCUUUUCUGAUGGUGCUAGUUGUUCAACUCUUGACUUCCAUUUAUUAGUGUCCAUAGAUGGUGCUGAGUCAAGUAGGGCGUUGACCUCAUCGACUGAUCUGUCAAUAUCAAAAUCCAAACCAAAGUGAGUUAAACAUGUUUGUAAAGGAUCAUCACUAAGGUUUGAAAGAAAAGUAUUAUCAACUAUUGUUUCUAUUAAAUCCACAUCAACAAUUCCAUCAUCUGCACUGUGAGGUUGUUUGGCAAUGUUGAAAAUAUUUAGCUCCAUAGUCAUGUUGCCGAAGGACAACUGCAUAUUUCCAGUCCUGCAUUGAAUGUGAGCAUCCGCAGUUGCCAAGAAAGGUCGGCCUAAGAUAAUGGGGAUAUGCUUCCUUGAAUCCUGUAUUGGUUGAGUGUCAAUUACAAUGAAAUCAACAGGAAAAUAAAACUUAUCUACCUGGAUAAGCACGUCCUCCACAAUGCCACGAGGUAUUUUCGUGGACCGAUCUGCAAGCUGUAACACCACUGGAGUUGGGUGUAAUUCUCCAAGUCCAAGUUUCAAAAAUACUGAGUAAGGCAACAGAUUUACACUAGCUUCUAAAUUCAACAAAGCAUUCUCAAUUGUGUGGUUCCCUAUGCUACAUGAGAUAGUGGGGGAGCCUGGGUCUUUGCAUUUUAAAGGAAUUUUGUGUUGGAGUAUAGAACUAAUGUUUCUGUUAAAAAUGCCUUCUUUUGAACAUGCAUAUUUCUUUUUUUAGUACAAAGGUCUUUAAGAAACUUGGCAUAAGAUGGAACUUGCUUUAUAGCAUCAAGUAAAGGGAUGUUAACACUUACCUGUUUGAAGAUUUCAAGAAUCUCACCUGUGGAUUUUCCCUUCUUUCCUUUCGCUAACCUCUGAGGAAAUGGAGCUUUCGGAAUGUAUUCUCGUGGGUUGGUUUCUUCUUUCUCCUCCGGUGAUGAGUCCUCAACACUUACAGGUACAAUUUGAUUUUCUUUUGCCACCGGCAUCUCCACUUUGUUGUCGACUUCUUUUCCUUUUCGCAAAGUCAUGACUGCUUUGACUUCUCCAUGCUGCUGUGGUGAACUGGUACUUGCUUCAUGCACUCCUUUAGGAUUAGGCACUGGUUGACUUGGAAACUUACCUUUCUCAACGGUCAUUGCCAAGGUCUGAACUGAAGAAGCAAGUUGUCCCACCAUCUUCUCGAGGCUUGAAACUGAUUGAGCUUGUGAGUUGAAGCCUGCUCUCAACUCAUUUCGUAGUCCAUCAAUGGUGCGGUUUUGUUGCUCAAUCAUGGAGUGAGUAAGAUUCUUGAGAUUCUGGAAUGAAUCCUCCCAUGGUAUGGGUUGAGAGUAGUUCUGGUUCUGAUUGUAUGGUCUAAAUGGUGGCUGGGAGGCUUGAGGAACUUGAGGAAUUUGUUGCAUUGGUGGAGUUGGAGCUUCUGGUCCAUUCUGUUGGAAUCCUUGAGACCAUGAAAAAUUGGGGUGGUCUCUCCAUCCAAGGUUAUAUGUGUUGGAGUAUGGGUUGUAAUUUGAUGGUUUUCUCAUUACACCUAUGGCAUUGGCUUGAUCUGAGUAUGAGUCAAGGUCAUGUGGUUCAGUUGAUUUAGCAGUCGAUAACGAUGCUAUUUGUCGAGCAAGACCUUCAACCAUCUCCUUGACUUCUUUGAUUCCCGAAGUUGACUCGCCAAUGUGAACCUCAUUCACUCCUUUAAUUCUUUUAGUAUUCCUGAGUGAUCGACUCCGUUGUUGGGAAUUAUCUGCUUGUCGCUGGAAGAAUUCUCAAAUUUCUGAUGCACUUUUUGACAUUAGCUCUCCUCCACUUGUUGCCAUUAGCCAUUCUUGCACAUUCGGCAAUAAUCCCUCCAAAUAGUAUUGGCAUUGGUGCCAUUUCUCGUACCCAUGAUGUGGACACUUCAAGAGUAGCCCAUUGAAUCGCUCCCAUGUUUCGAAAAAUUGCUCGUCCUCUCUCUGGGUAAACUCCGAGAUUUCCCUGCGAAUAGCAUUGGUUUUAUGCACUGGGAAAUAUUUAUUCAAAAAUUUUGUUACCAUUUGUUCCCAUGAUGAAAUGCUAUUAGCAGGUAAUGUAUUAAGCCAUGAACGAGCUCUAUCCUUUAAAGAAAAUGGGAAUAAUCUGAGUUUAACAUCAUCGUCUGAAAAAUUUUCGUAUUUAAAAGUUUGACAAAUAGCAUGAAAAUCAUUCAGAUGAUUAUAUGGAUCCUCAUUUUCUAAGCCAUAGAAUGUGGGGAGACAAUUUAGCACACUAGGUUUUAACUCAAAGCUCCUAGCAGCUACAUUUGGGUAUCUUAUGCAUGAUGUGCUCAAAUUAGCUAAGGGACUAAAAUAGUCCUUAAAUGGCCUCUCCUGUGGUUGCAAAUCCAUUUUAUUUUUAAUUUGUUUGUGUGUGCGAAGUGUUUUUCCUAAUUCAAGGUCUAUAGGUUCAAGAUUAGGAAAUAAUGACCUACGACCAUGCAUGCAAAACAAAUAAAAUAAAAAUAAAGAUGGGAACAAAACAAAUAAAAAUAAAGAAGAGGGAGAAAUUACGAUACUAACCUUAUUGCGCUAUUACAACCUUACUAUAAAAAUACACAAAAAAAAUACGUGAAAUAAAUUAACUAAAAAUAAAUUAAUAAGAUAAACAAAAAAAAAUUACAAAGAAAAAUAAAUUAAAAAUUAAAUUACAGAAUUUUAAAGAAGAGAAAAAGAAAAGAAAUACUAACCUUUAAAUGUAGAUUCACUUUUUUUUUUAAUAAGAAAAAACAAAUACAAGAAAACAAAUAAAAGAAAUUAUUCACAAAAAUUAAUUCUAUGAAUUAAAAUUACUUACCUCCCCGGCAACGGCGCCAAAAACUUGUUGUGCAAAUUUUAAUGUACUCACAAGCGCACGAAUCUAUUGUAGUAUAGAUCAAUGGUGACGAGUGUCGAUCCCACGAAGAGGUGGAUUUUAAUUGUGUGUAGAAUUAAUUUCGUAAAUGGGUGAUUGGAUUUAUGGUGGAAAUGGUUUAGAAUAUGCUAAAACUUAAAUUAAAAUGGCGAGAAUAAAUUCUAAAAUUGGAAUUGCAAUGGCGAGAAUAAAUUGAAGAUAAUUCUAUUGAAAUGACGUACUUGGGUAUUCGGAUCCGUAUCAACAUGCAUCAUGGGCUAAAUAAUCCUUAUUAAUGCCAAUUAAAUCAUGAGGGGGGAAUCCACACCUCAUGAACCACGCUCUAAUCAAUAUGGUGCUAAGGGCUUAUCGUGCCAAAUAAUAAUAACCUUGUACUAGAGAGCCGGUGUAACUAAGGCGGUAUCUAGACAAGAUUAUUAUUAUUUGUCGACGAAAAGUCAAAUCAUCCACAAAAACUAGAGGGGAAGAGAAAAUAAAUUUACCAAAUAAAGCCUAUGACACAUGUUGAGACUUCACCUUCAACCCAAGCUUGAAAGAAAAUUAGCCACUCAUAAUUGAACUAAGGGCAAAAUGGAAAUUUAUUAAAAUACAUAGAAAAUACAAGAUGGAGAGGGAAUUACAGAAAAUGGAGUCCAAAAAUGGAUUCAGAGAUAUCAAAUUAGGGGGGAGAGGCCCCCUUUUUAUAGAUACAUGGAGUAAAUCAUGACCAUCGGAUUAAAAACAGUUUGGACGCUCAGGAUUGCACCACGUCAUCAGUCAACAGUACGCGGUUUGACCAUGUGGAUGAACAGUAACACGGUUUGACCCGGAUGAACAGUAAUGCGGUUUGGUUGAAAAUAAUCCUGUGUGAUUCAUGUACCGUACGCGAGAUUUUUCGUCCACUGAUAUGCUGCCACGUCACCAUAAACAGUACAUAAGAAUUUUAGCCCAACAGGAUCGUGACACCUCAUCAGUCAAUGCCACAUCAUCGGUCAAUGCCACGUCAUCGAUCCGUCUAUAUGAACAGUGUCGUGAACAGUAACGUAGACAGUACCGUACACAUGAAUAGUACCGUACAUGUGAAUAGUGUUAUUUUUCCUUUUAUGCUCCUCCUAAGGUUUUCGACCGUCCUGAGUUCAAAAAUGAUGUCCGUUUUGCCGUCUGAUCUCUCCUUUAUUAUGAAAUGACUAUAAUGCCCCUAAAAUACAUAAAAUACUUAAUUAAAAUAAAACACACGUAAUUAAAUCACAAGAAGAUUAAAUACAUAAAAGUAAGGGUUGUUAGUAAGACUUGAAAUAUAAAAUGACGGUUUUCUCCUUUAUAAAUAUACAUUUUCUAACACUCAACAGUCAGCGCUCGCAAACGGCAGUUAACGGAUCGGUGGACGGCAGAAGUGUUUUGUCAACUUAGGGUAUACGAGUGAUACACUUGAAAAAUAUUGUAGCACGUUUGAUACUGGUGUCAUUUAAGAGUAUACGGCUGAUAAUUUCCCUUUUUUUUAUUGCUUGCAUGUAUCAUAUACAUGUAUAUACUGUAGCCGUCCCCUAUUGUGAAAGGUUGUUAUUCUUUAGUCUUUACUACACAAAUAGUAGUUUUUUUUUCCUUCUUUUUUCAAAUUUUGGGUUUUCUUUUACGGCUUCUGAGAGAAGUACCUGCGAAUGGAUCAAAACAAGGGAAUUUCAAUUUAAUGAUUUGACUCUUCUGCCAUGCUUUGCUUUUCAAAUCAUUUGAUAUGGAGCGGAGCAGUGAUGAGCUACAGAAAAUUCUUGACUCUGAGUGCGAGGAGAGGGAGAUGUGUGUGUCACUGUUUGUAAUUUUUUUGUAUUACCAAUGAAAUAUAUUUAGCAUGAGUGUGAUAAAUAUAUGUGGGUCCAGUUACCUUGCAACAAUUGCAAUACACCAUUUAUUUUUGUCUUAUGUGACGUUACAUUUCAUUUAACACCUUGUUUUUUUUCUUAUUUACAUUUUAUUUAUAAGUUUAUAUGUUUUAACUAGUGAACUUUUAAAAUGUAAACUUAUUUUUUUAAUAUUAUUUAUUUUUUUACAUUUAUUUAUAAUUUGUAUGCUUUAGCUGGUAACUUUUAUAAAAUGUAAUUUUAUUUUAUUUAACAUUAUUUAUCUUUAAAAAAAAAGAAUAAAUAUAAUAAUAAGCCUAUGACUAAAUAAUAUUAAAUAAAAUAAAUAAUAUUAAAUAAAUUAAAUUAAAUAAAUAAUAUUAAAAUUUUAACUUAAAUAAAAUAAAUAAUAUUAAAAAUGAUAUUAUUUUUAAGACACUAUUGAUUUUUUAAUGUUAUUCAGUUUUUAAAGAAUAAAUAUAAUAAUAAGCCAAUGAUUAAAUAAUAUUAAAUAAAACAAAAAUAAAAAUAUUAAAAAUAAUAUUUAUUUUUAAAGCUCCCUAAUGAUUAUUUUAUUUUAUUUAAUGUUAUUUAGUUUUUUGAAAGAAUAAAUAUAAUAAUAAGUAUAUGACUAAAUAAUAUUAAAUAAAAUGGAAUAAAUAAUAGUUAUUUAUUCUUUUAAAUAAAAUAUAUAAUAUUAAAAAUAAAAUUUAUUUUUUAAUACUCACUACUAAUUAAACAAUAUAAAUUGUAAACAAUCCGGACUUAUGUGCUAAAAUUUUUAACUCUUUAAUUUGUUUGUGUCUUUAAUAAAUAUCAGGGAGUGCAAUGUUAAUAUUUAAAUGAACAAAUCUCUACCAUUGAAACAACCUUUUCACUAAAUCCAACGUUUUGUCUAAAACUACCUUUUCACUAAACUACCUUUUGUCUGAAAUCAAGAAAAGACAAAACUUGAGGGUACCUUGCAACUGUUGUAAGGUAGCUGAGUCCAAUAUAUAUUGCCAUAAAACGAAAUAUCAUAUCCAAAAUAAUAAUAAUAAUAAGUGUGUCAGAUGACACAAACAGCUGAAAAACGAGGAAACGUCUUCUUCUAACAAAGUUUGUAAUUAAAAAUUUAUAAACGAAUACAUACAUAUAUAUGAAAGGAAAGAUGAUGAUGAUAAUGAUAAAGAGAAUAGGGUUGAAUUUGGCGAGAGGGGUCCCCCUAUUUGUUGAAUUUCAUAUUAAAUAAAUAUCCGUUUGUCUCUUUAAUGGCCAAACAGACCAGCUGCCAACAACUUAUUCCAAUGUGAGUAGAUCACAGUGGGUACUGCACAUGAUGCUUGUUUCUCCUUUUGCAUCUAUUUUUGUUGUUAAUAUUAAUUUCAAUAGCAGCUCGUUAUUAUGUAUGCAACAUUUCAAAAUUAAUCCAAAAAAAACAAAAAUUAGUUCAGCUGACUAAAUUUGAAAGCAUGGAUUUGCUGUCGAUUAAAAAUCGUUUUGUAGGGAAAAUUUUUGGAUUGCAAUUCUCAUACAAUACAUAGAAUUAUCAUAAUCUAUAAAUUGUAUUUUUGCUUUUCACUUAUAUUUAGAUAGUUCAACAUUUUUAUUGGUUUGAUUUAGGGUUAGUUUGGUAACGUUAGUUUAAUACUCUGAUUAUUAUUAUUCGAUUCGUUUACUUUGAUUAUUAUUAUUUUUUAAUAGAGAAUAAAUUAUUCGAUUAAAAAAGUGAUUUUUUCUCUAUUAACAAGUGAUUUUUCUCUAUUAAAAAAUAAUAAUAAUCAAAGUAAACGAAUCGAAUAAAAAAAUAAUAAUAAUCAAAGUUCACAUAAUCUAUAAAUAUCAUGUUUAUUUAUUUAAGAUAGUUCAAAAUUUUUAUUGGUUUGAUUUAGGGUUAGUUUGGUAAUCCUGUAGCUUUAAAAUUAAUUACAGUUAGCUAUGCUGUAGAAAUUGAUCAAUCGUAAAAAGAAUCAACCGAACAUUUAGUAAAUUUUAUUUUUAAAAGUACUUUUAGUUUUAAAAGCAGUCGUGUGUGUUUCAUAAAUCUUAUUAUUAAACUGGUGAAAAAAUAUAAAUGACUGAAUUGAACAUAAUGCUAAAUAAAAUUUAUUUACACAUUUACAAACAUGCAUAUAAAAUAUUUUUAUUACGUACAUAUAAUUAUUGAUAACUAAAAUAAAUAUUUUAUAUUAUUAAAUUUUAUUCUCUAUUUUGUUAUCUCAAUGUAAUUGAUAAUAAUAAUAAUAAUCUAUUUUAAGUUAAUGAUUUUAUUUCUUAAUUCAUAAAGAUAAUUUUAGAUUUUUAUUAUAUAAUGGGGAUAUAUAUAGAAUUGGAUUGAGUAUAAAAGUGAUUCUCAAAAUCAAAUUUUGAAAAACUAUUCAUUCACUACUUUUCAAAAUCUACUGUAUUAUGAGAUGAUUUUACCAAAGUAAUUACUAAAAAAAUUUAUAAAACACUAAAACUUAGCUUUUAUGGUGUGUUUACUUCAUGGAAUGGGGAAUGGGAAUAAAAUGUGUGGGUCUCACACAAUUUGGGAAUAAGGAAUGAGAAUCCCAUGCCCAUGAGUGGUUGGGAAUAAAAGUGAGGGAAUGAGAAUGGAAUAUAUAUUUACUUUUGUAUCCCUCUAAUUUUUUCAUAUUUUCCAAAUUACCCUCAUUCAAAUCACAAUUAAUUUUAUUAUUUAAAAUGUCAUUAAUAAUAAUAAUAUUAUUAUUAUUAAAUUUUAUUAACUUUAUUAUUUUAGUUAUUAUUAAUUAUUUUUAUUAAUAUUAUUAUUAUUAACAAUAAAAAUAAUAAUUGAUAAAAAAUAAUUAAUUUAUCAUUAUUAACAAUAUUAUCAUUAUUUUUGUUAUUAUUAUUAUUAUUAAAAAUAAAAAUAACAAUAAUUAAUAAUAACUAAAAUAAUAAAGUUAAUAAAAUUUAAUAAUAAUAAGUUAAUAAUGAUAAUUUUAAUAAAAAUAAUAUUAACAAUAAUUAGUAAUAACUAAAAUAAUAAAGUUAAUAAUAUUUAAUAAUAAUAUCUAAUAUUAUUAUUAUUAAAUAUUAUUAACUUUAUUAUUUCAGGUAUUACUAAUUAUUGUUAAUAUUAUUUUUAAUAAUAAUAAUAGUAAUAAUAACAACAAUAAUGAUAAAUUAAUUAUUAAUACUAUGGGUAUUUUGGUAAAUUGAUUCUCAUUCUCAUUCCUCAUUCUCAUUUAUUUUGCCAAGUAAACAUAUCAAUAGCAUUCCAGCACAUUCUCAUUCCCAUUUAUUUUUGUCAAGUAAACAUUGAAAUCUCAUUCAUAUUUCUCAUUUCCAUUCCAGUCCAUUCUCAUUCCCAAUCCACUCACAUUCCACCCCAUUCCACUUCCAUGAAGUAAAUGCACCAUUAAUUUUUAAAAUCAAUUUUGAGCUUCCCAAAAACAAUCCAAACAUGCCUUUAUUUGGGUGGUGUUAGAACUGUUAGCCUAAAGGACUAUACAUAAUGUGAUUUUGAUGAUAACAAACAUAUGUAUUAAGUGAUUUAAUAAAUAUUGUAUUUCACAUUUUCACUAGUUUUUGAAGGAUAAUAUUUAUGCAAGUGAAUCAAGUGAAAUCAAGAUUGAAGACACUCAACGGACAACGGUGACAUCAAGAAUAGUCUAGAGCUCCACGAACAAAUUAGUGCGAUAAAUUCUUGUAAAGCCGGUAUGAUUUAAUUGAUGUAUGAUUUAGCAUUUGAGAAGCUCAAGAGAUUAAUUUAAUUAAAUACUUUUCAUAAACUAAAAGUUUUAUUUUUAUAAAGUAAAGUAUUUUGUGGAUUUAAGUAAUUUGGACUUAAAUGCUAAUAUUUGAAAUCUUUGAUUUUAAAUAAGUAUUAAAUUUCAGAGUUGGACGUUUUUACAAAUAUUUGAAAUGUUUUGGGCCAUACUAUAAUUUAUGAAUAUGUUGGACUAAAGUGAAAGGUUUUGAGAACUUUGAAAAAUAUGGGUAUUAUGUUGAAAAGGACCUUUGUGCGAAAUAAUAAAAUCUUUGGGGCCAUAUCAUAAUUUUAGAAAGUUUGGGAAAGACGACUAUUCUUAGGAAGUUCUGAAAUUGGAUCUAUUUGUAAAGUUUUAUGACAUUUUGAGCCAUAGUAUAAUUAUAGAAAGUUUUGGGUCAAAGUAUAAAUUUAGUGAACAGAGUUACUGUAGUAAAUUCAAAAAUAACGGUAAUAUCACUGUUCCUGAGCGGCUAGCCGGAUAAUCAAGCGGCUAACCGCUUGGGCGCGGGAAUUUACCUAUAACGGCUAGUUUUCGGGCUUUCACUAUUAAAACUCAACUCAAACUUCAUUCCUUAAACGAAUGCAAGGAAAAACAAGAUCAUAUAACAUAUAUUGAGCUUCCAUUUCGCAAAUCAUCAUUGAUUGAAUGAUCAUUGAGCUAUAAUUUGUUAUCUACUCUUAAAGAGAGUUUCAUUGUUGUGAUUUUCAUUUCUCAUCAAAUUGUGAGUGUACAAGUGUGAGAAACACUUGGGGUGAAGAGAUUGGGGAGAUAAUCUCUUGUUGUAAAGGUUCAUUGACACCUUAGAAGUCAAUUGUAAACAUUUGAAGCCUUGGGAGGUUUGGAUAGUGAAAUCCUCAAGCCAGGUGUGCUUGGAGGCGUGGACGUAGGCAGGGAUAGCCGAACCACGUAAAAAUCCUUGUGUUUGUUUUAUCUUCCCUUACUCUUUUAAUAUUGUGCUUGAUUGAAUUUAUUAUUUUUUUAUUUGAUUAAGGCAAUAGAUUCAAUUGUUGUGCGAAUUGUAUUGCAUAAUUUUAAAAACCCAAUUCACCCCCCUCUUGGGUUGCAUAACUUGCAUUUCAUUUGGUAUCAGAGCGAGGUGCUCUUGUGUAGACUUAACCGUCUAGAGUAAAAGAUCCAUGGCAACCCAUAAUGAUUCAACCUUUAGGGAAGGACAAUCCACAAUUAGACCACCGUUCUUUGACGAUAAUGACUACCCAUAUUGGAAAACUAGGAUGAGAAUUUAUUUACAAGCUUUAGAUUAUGAAAUUUGGGAAAUUGUUUGUGAUGGUCCAUUUAUGCCUUUGACUAAAAACGAAGUCGGGGAAGAUAUUCCAAAACCUUCACGGGAAUGGAAUGAAUUGGAAAAGAGAAAAGCUUCUCUAAAUUCCAAAGCCAUGAAUGCCUUGUUUUGUGCACUUGAUAAGAAAGAGUUUCAUAGAGUGUCAAGUUGUGAAAGUGCUAAUAAAAUUUGGCACAAACUUGAAGUUGUUUAUGAAGGCACGAAUCAAGUGAAAGAGUCUAAAAUUAGUAGGUACACUCGACAAUAUGAAUUGUUUCAAAUGGAACAAAAUGAGAGUGUGUAUUCUAUGUAUACUAGAUUUACGGACAUAGUGAACACUCUAUGAGCCCUAGGAAAGACCUUUUCAAAUAGCGAGAAAGUUAAGAAAAUCAUUAGGUCUCUACCUAAGGAAUGGAGACAAAAAAAGACUGCCAUUGAGGAAGCCAAAGAUUUAAAUAUUUUACCUAUUGAUGAUUUAAUUGGUUCUCUUAUUUCUUAUGAGGAAGACUUGGCAGCUGAAAGAAGCAAUGAGGAGAAGAAGAAAAGUAUUGCUCUCAAAGCCUCGAAACACGAGAGUGAUGAGGAAAGCGAGCUGGAUGAGGAGGAGAUGGAUAUGCUGGCGAGGAGGUUUAGAAAACUUUUUAAGAAAUCCGGUGAGCGAAGAAAAUUUAGAGACCUCAAGAAAUGAAAGGAGAAGAAUGAAGUAAUCAAAUGUUAUGAGUGCAAAAAGCCUGGCCAUAUAAGAACGGAUUGCCCUCUUCUCAACAAACUCAAGAAGAAAGCAAUGGUAGCCACAUGAGAUGAUAGCGAUGAGGAAACAAGUGAUGAUAAAGAGCAUCAAGAAAUGACAAAUCUAGCUCUCAUGGCAAUUGGAGAUGAAUCGGAUGAUGAACUUGAUGAGGUAAAUGAUAUUUCUACUCAUGAUGAAUUAUAUGAUGCUUUUAAAGAAUUGCAUGAUAAUUGGAUAAAAAUUGGUAAAAAGAAUGCAUGUUUUAAAAAGAAAAUGGUAAAGCUCACAAAUGAAAAUGAAUCUCUAAGUGCAAAGAUUACAUGCCUAGAAUUAGAGAAUAAAACAUUACAUGAUAGAGUUGUAUUAUCAAAUGAGAAACCUAGCACUUCACAUGAGCAUCUAGAAUCAUAUGUAGAUGACUUGAAAAAUGAAAAUGAUGCUUUACAAAAAUGCAAUGAUUCAUUAAAUGAAAAGCUUAAAGGACUAGAGUUAGAUAAUAAAAUGUUGCAUGAUAGAAUUGUAUCAUUUAAAUGCAAACAAAGUACUUCAUAUGAGCAUGAGAAAUCACAUGUUGGUGAAUUAAUGAAAGAAAAUGAAGUGCUUAAGAAGAAGAGUAAUGAACUAAAUCAAAUUGUGUUAAAAUUCACAAAUUGGCAAAAGAUGUUGGAUAACUUGCUUAAUUCACAAAAAUGUGUGUUUGAUAAAGGAGGUAUUGGUUAUAAGCCAAAUUUGAAACAAAAAUAUUAUAAGAGUUAUUUUGUUAAAACUACCUCCAUUAAUGAUCAAAUUGUAUGUCAUUAUUGCAAUCAAAAUGGUCACAUAAAGAAUAGAUGUCCAGUUAAAAUAAAUGCAUAUUAUGGAGCAAAAUGUAUUUGGGUUCCAAAAGGAACCAUUACUAACACUCAGGGACCCAAGAAUAUUUGGGUACCAAAGUACACAACUUGAAUAAUUUUUGUAGGUACCACAAACAAGGAAGGGUGGAGAGUUCCUUGAUGAAACUUGUGAGGAUAAUCACUUGAUCAUGGUCUAGGCAAAAAUAAUGAGGCAAGAUGGUUUAAUUGUUUUGGUAACAAUUAUUGCCUUAUUGAUUAUAAGUUACGGUCUUUUAAUCUUAGUAAAUAUUUCAUAUUUCAUUAUAUCAUUAAGUGCUUUAUCAUGAUGGAUUUGUUUGAUUUUAAUGAUUAUGUAAUGCCUAAGUAUGAUAAAUGAGUAAUAUGCUUGAAUUAUUAAUCUUUGAAUGCUUAUAUGUUUCAUGAUUGAGUAAAAUAUAUACAUGAUGGAUGAAUUAUAUGUGUGAAUUAAUCAUGUCUUAAAUGUUUAUAAUUUCAACCAUAAAGGUUAUUGUAUCUCAUAAUUGUGAUGGAUAUGCAUGAUGAAUAUGUUAUAAAUUUGAGUUUUAUGAUUUUUUGGAUGUUAAUUAUAUUGAUCCAUGCAUUAAAAUGGUUUUUGAAAAUGUUUGGAUCACGAAAUGGUCUUAAAAUCGAUCAAAAAUAGCCAGAGAGCAAAAAUUGGUGCAGAUGGGCAGCCAUGAGGUAGCUAGCCGCCUGCCCCAAGCGGCUAGCCGCUUUGUCACGGGUUGGAGUAAUUGUUUUUGCUUCUUCUUCUUCCUUCGUUAUUUUUCUGCACUUGUUCCUCUCUCUCUCAAAACCGUGAGCCACCCUCUUCCAUUUCCAAUCAAUUUCUCUUUAUUUCUCAACCAUUUUUAUGCCAAAAUUAAUCAUUCAAACCAAUACCCAUGCAUUUCACUCUCAUUAAACACUUCCCAAUCAUCAUUUCUUCACUUGUUCUUGAUCAUUUCAUCAUCAUCUCUCACGCGUGAACAGUACCUCUCCAUUUCUCUCUCAAAUUUCUUCAUCUUUCACUCAUUCUCUUGCCAAAAUCAAUCAUCCAACUCAUUAUUCAUCCAUUACUCCUUCAAUUUUCACUCUCAAAACAUGAUUUCAUUAUCUCUCCACAUAAAACCCAAAAUCAAAAACCUAACUUACCCAUUUCUUUCUCUUCCAAUUUAAGCUCUUUUUAGUCCACUUUUGAUCCAAUCAACACCAUCCAUUAUCUUAAAUCAUCUCUUGGAUCAAUAUAAUCAGUUUAAAAUAAUCCAUUUCACUCAUUAUUUUACAAAACCGAGUUUGUGCAUUUUGGGUAUUUUAAAUUACCAUGGUUCCUUAUUAUAUUAUGCACCUACAUUUUCAUAUGCAUAAUUGUUUUAAUUGUAGAUUACGGAUGAUGGUUGUUUAAUAUUUGGAUAACUUAUAUUUGGAUGAUAUUUUCUGAAUUCUUAGAAUGAAUAUGACUCUUUAGUUAAUUGAAUGCUUAAUUUUUAUAUGUUUCUUGAUUAAUCAUUGAGAUAUUCUUUUUGGUAUAAGCAUAGAUUUAUAGUACUUUUGAUGAUUGAUGAUUAUAUGUGUGUUGCUUGAUGAAUUAAUGGAGUUGUUAGUUUGUUAUAAUUGUUUCAGCUUAUAUGGAAGUGUUUUUAACCAUGUUGUAUAUUUAAGGAUUUGUUCAUUUUAAGGGGAGAUUCUGCCGAAAUUUUUGCUCGCACAAAAUUGGUAAUAUCUUUAUCGAAUUAUUUUUGAUGCUCUUGUUUCGAUUGCAUCUAUCUAUUUUUUAUGAAGGGGAAGAUAAAUAUGAUAUGUUUUUGGAUAAUAUCAUUUUGGUUAAAUUUUUUAAUUGGCCAUAUAUUUAGGGGGAGCAUACAAUAUGAUUUUGGAUAAUAUGCAUUUUGAGCAUUCUUUUGAUGGGUUGAUGGUUCAUGAUCAUUUUAUGGUUAAUUGGAUGUUUGGUUAUUAUAUGUUUCUUGAUUAACCAUUGACAUAUUAUCGAUCUUCACAUGAAUUUCUAGUAAUUUUGAUGAUGAAGGGGGAGAAGUCAUGUAUUUUGAAUAUGAAGACAUAUAAUACGUAUUUUGUAUUUCAAGUAUUUAUGCAUGGUUUUGAAAUAUUAAGGGGGAGCUUACAAAUUAUCAUAAAUCAAAUAUUCAGGGGGAGUUUUUGUUUUGAAUUUGAUUUAUAUGUUUAAUUAUAUAUGCCAUGUAUUAAGGGGGAGUACAAAUGUCAAAAUACAUGAGAUGUUUGUCAUCAUCAAAAAGGGGGAGAUUGUUAGCCUAAAGGGCUAUACAUAAUAUAAUUUUGAUGAUAACAAACAUAUGUAUUAAGUGAUUUAAUAAAUAUUGUAUUUCACAUUUUCACUAGUUUUUGAAGGAUAAUAUUUAUGCAAGUGAAUCAAGUGAAAUCAAGAUUGAAGACACUCAACGGACAACGGCGACAUCAAGAAUAGUCUGGAGCUCAACGAAUAAAUUAGUGCGAUAAAUUCUUGUAAAGCCGGUAUGAUUUAAUUGAUGCAUGAUUUAGAAUUUGAGAAGCUCAAGAGAUUAAUUUAAUUAAAUACUUUUCAUAAACUAAAAGUUUUAUUUUUAUAAAGUAAAGUAUUUUGUGGAUUUAAGUAAUUUGGACUUAAAUGCUAAGAUUUGAAAUCUUUGAUUUUAAAUAAGUAUUAAAUUUUGGAGUUGGACGUUUUUACAAAUAUUUGAAAUGUUUUGGGCCAUACUAUAAUUUAUGAAUAUGUUGGACUAAAGUGAAAGGUUUUGAGAACUUUGAAAAAUAUGGGUAUUAUGUUGAAAAGGACCUUUGUACGAAAUAAUAAAAUCAUUGGGGCCAUAUCAUAAUUUUAGAAAGUUUGGGAAAGACGACUAUUCUUAGGAAGUUCUGAAAUUGGAUCUAUUUGUAAAGUUUUAUGACAUUUUGAGCCAUAGUAUAAUUAUAGAAAGUUUUGGGUCAAAGUAUAAAUUUAGUGAACAGAGUUACUGUAGCAAAUUCAAAAAUAACGGUAAUAUCACUGUUCCUGAGCGGCUAGCCGGAUAAUCAAGCGGCUAACCGCUUGGGCGCGGGAAUUUACCUAUAACGGCUAGUUUUCGGGCUUUCACUAUUAAAACUCAACUCAAACUUCAUUCCUUAAACGAAUGCAAGGAAAAACAAGAUCAUAUAACAUAUAUUGAGCUUCCAUUUCGCAAAUCAUCAUUGAUUGAAUGAUCAUUGAGCUAUAAUUUGUUAUCUACUCUUAAAGAGAGUUUCAUUGUUGUGAUUUUCAUUUCUCAUCAAAUUGUGAGUGUACAAGUGUGAGAAACAAUUGGGGUGAAGAGAUUGGGGAGAUAAUCUCUUGUUGUAAAGGUUCAUUGACACCUUAGAAGUCAAUUGUAAACAUUUGAAGCCUUGGGAGGUUUGGAUAGUGAAAUCCUCAAGCCAGGUGUGCUUGGAGGCGUGGACGUAGGCAGGGAUAGCCGAACCACGUAAAAAUCCUUGUGUUUGUUUUCUCUUCCCUUACUCUUUUAAUAUUGUGCUUGAUUGAAUUUAUUAUUUUUUGAUUUGAUUAAGGCAAUAGAUUAAAUUGUUGUGCGAAUUGUAUUGCAUAAUUUUAAAAACCCAAUUCACCCCCCCUCUUGGGUUGCAUAACUUGCAUUUCAAGAACUUGUAACUUUUGGAUCUUUUAGUUUUUAUUGGUUGGAUACAAUAUUAUGACUUGAGCGUCGGAAGGUUUUCACCGAAAUAACUUCCAGCACCCCCUGACUGUUCUUUGUGCUUGCAUGCUCGCGGGUUAUUUGCUCAUGGAUCAUCUGCUCAUAGAACAUCUGCUCACGGUGCUCACUGAUCAGCAGCUCGUGGAUUAUCUGCUCAUGGUGCUCACUGAUCAGCAGCUCAUAGAUUAUCGGCUCAUGGAUUAUCUGUUCAUGGUUAGAGGAUUUUCUUGGAGAUUAAUAAGUCGCUUCUCCACCAAACAAAUUUAUUGCUGAUGCGGGGAUGUGGUAUUGAGUCAACAACUGACUCGACUUUAUUUCUGCAUCAAUAUAAAGUAUUAAUCAGCUUAAUUAAUUUAUAAAAUUUAAAUCUAAUUAAUAAGUGACACAUAAAUGCCAAGUGCAAUAUAUGCAAAUCCUGUUUGUCGAUCAUUACAAAACUGGCUCUUGAAAACAAGCAAGAAAGCUUAAUUAAGAACUUAAAACAAAAAGUAUUAGAUUGAGGAUAGUCAAGCCUUAUUUUUUCAAGGAUGGAGCUUAUAAAUCUUCAAGUACCAACAUAUGCUUGGCCCAAUUGUUGUUUUUAAAAUUUCAAAAUAUAAGUAUGACAUAGCAAAAAUUUGAUGGUACAUGUGUCGGAAUAUACUAGCUAGUUCAUGGAUGCAUUUGAUUACUAUUUCCAUAAAUUUGAACUAAGAAGAAUGACACGAGAAAAUUUGAUUUUAUUAUAUGGUUGAUUUCAUAUCUCAUGCACUCAUUUCUUAAGAUAAUUAGAUUUUCUCUGGCAUCUUUUGCAAAUGUGGAAAUAUCAAUUAUGAUCAAUCAAAACGAUCUCAAAACUUUUUAACGAGACAUAUUUAUAAUACAAUAUUAUGAAAAUUACACCAAAAAUUUGAUUUAUUAUAUAUUAUUAUCCAACGAGCACACAAAAAUGAAUUCAUACAAAUCUAUAAUACUUAGCAAUUUUCAAAUAGAAUUUACCAUGUACUAUAAGAAAAUAUGGUAUAUGUGACCCCUAUUGUGAAUGCAAAAGCAGCCAUUACGUAUAUCACUAACUUCUAACUUUGUAACCCUGAGUUGCUUUUGUUACCCUUUAUGUGACGGCCAUACUGCUGUCACAUAUGUUACUAACCACGUGACGGUAAAGAGCCGUUCCGUAUACUACUAUUUUAGAAUUUUAAAUUUAUUUCCAGUUGGAAAACUAUUCGCUGGAUUACGAGUUUAAAUGCUGUCACCAUCGUAAACCUAACUGGUUGCCGGCGAACGGCGUAAAACACCGGCCAUCUUCUUCUUCAUCGUAUUCGCCCUUCAUCUUUUGAGUUAAGCUUGUGAUUAUGAGUUUCUUCUCUUACUUAGCUUGUAAUUAUAGAUUUUGAUUCUUUUUAAUUCGUAUUGUAGUCGUUAUUGUCAAUUUUUGUCCCGCCAGCAAUUUUUUUUAUUCCUACAAGUUGAAGCCCCUGUGUUCUUGUUCCAUUGGUGUGUUUGCUCACUCAAAUUAAUUUUGUUCUACAAAGUUCAAAUGGAUUCAUUUGAAUCACUAUUGAAUUCAGCUUUAAUUCCAACAACCAUUCUAAUGUUUUGUUAUUAGAUUUACUUUAAUUUUAUGUUUAAAGCUUCUACAAUGAAUAGCGGAGCUUGGGUUUUAGUUUCAUUUUCUAGAUAACUUGUUUUUCUUGUAUGCUCACCAAGUGCUUGUUAUAUUGUCUGAUAAGUUAAUAUAUUGCUGAUUCUAUAUUAAUAAUGUUACGUUCUAUUUUCAGAAAUUAUAAUAUAAACUGAAUUAACUUGUAGAAUAAGAGCUUGGAGUAGUGUUAUGUUCUUGAAUAAAUGAAAGUCCAUAUUGUGUAAGAGCAUGUAGAUGUAAAGCGCAUUGCCAUUUCUAUAAAGGACUUUCAUUCUGUUCAGAUGCUCCUCUUGAACUCUGAAAGGUGCCUCAUUCAAGUCCUAGCUAUAACUACUAGCUUUGAUUAAUUAAUUUCCUGUACUAGCAGAAACAGAUUUAUUUAUUUAAAUAAUUGUCUAUGUACUAAUUAUAAUGAAAGUAUAUGAAGAAAUUUUUUAACAUGAAUGACUUCUAAAUGACUUAAAAACCUAAAGGAUAUGAGAAAUAAUGCUCAUUUCACUUGAACGAGCCUAUUAAUACUUGUAUGUCUAUGAUUCUUAAUAUUGGCUUAAGCAUUUCAGUAAAUGGUUUACAUAACAGAGAAAAAAAUUUAAAUGAAAACUUUAGAGUUCUAACAGAAAUAUAAUUGACUAUGCAGAUAUAGUUAUUUUAUGGUAUACAAAUCAUGUUGCCUUAAUCUCAAUGUCCUAUGACCUAUUUUAUUUUAUAUAGUCGUUCAUUUUUGCCAUCGCUUUUUGUGUUUAUGAGUAUGGAAGUAGUGGGAUUUGGUGUAUCUUAGCAUCUUUGGAAAAUUCUCUUUAAAUGUGGCAAACAAAAAUAUACAUAUAAUCAAGUUUCUUAAUCAACUAUCAUAACUGGCUAGCUAGUUCUUGCCUGCCUUGCUGCCAUUACCCAGGCCAUUACAUUGCAUAGCAUAAGGAAUAGUGAUUAGGUGCUUAUUAGUGAUUCGUUGAGCUUAUUAUUGACCAAACAAACAUAUUCGCCUUUACCCACAACUUAGUUUGAUUAGUUAUUAGACCAUAAAGAGCGUUAAUCUGUUCAUUGGCUUUGUUAUUUUUAUUUGGUUUUUCUUCCAACAAUACUGUUGAUUUCUUAUAAAAAUACUCAUUGGUUUUUAGUUAUUAGACCAUAAAGAGCAUUAGUCUGUUCAUUGGCUUUGUUAUUUUUAUUUGGUUUUUCUUCCGACAAUACGGUUGAUUUCUUAUAAAAAUAUUCAUUGGUUUUUAAACACCUAAUCAUUGGCUAUAAUGAAGCUAAUUGAAACUGAGGCUUAUCAAUUUCUUCCUACAAGAUACAAUUGAGCAUAAACUAUAUCCUCAGUAAAUUUUUCUAAUAUCCUUGAUUUGUUAGGAUAUGGAGGCCUGAAAUCCUCUAGAUUUUUUUAACACUGUCAAUGUUCUUUUUACUCUGAAAAGGGAAAAAAAAGGUAUAUCUUUCAUACCCUAAUAGUAAGUAGGCCUUGACUUAACAUGCCUUCCCGAGGAUUUGCAAGAUUCACAAGCAGCUCACCCCCCCCCCCCCUCCCCCAACCCAAAAAAAAAAAAGAAAAACAAAUAGGAAGAUUUUGCGAGAUUCACAACCAGGUUAUAUUUAAUUUAUUAAUUGUGUGCACGUACUAGUUAUAUGUUGAAAGAAUAGGAAAGUAUUUUAACAUGAAUGACUUAAAACUUAUUGCUUAGUAAACAUAAUCUGCAUCAGUGCUAGAAAAUGUAUUUAUUGUUUGUAUUUUUUAUGGAUUUGCUUAAGAAAUGAUACGGGUAAUAAUGCUACAUUGUAUUAGGAACAAAUUGAAGAGAUUUAUGAUAUUUAUGUGUUAUUCAAAUUUCAGAUUGAAUUUUAAACUUUCAAUACAUGCAUUGAAAGCUUAGAUCGUUUAAGAAAUUAUAAAUAGACACAUGUUUUAUUAGUGCCAUCUUUGGAUGAUAGUGAGGAUCAUAUGCCUAUUAAUAAUUCUUGAAUUGUCUAGGCUUGAACUGUUUGGGAAUGCAUAGUUUUCUAUGGUAGCUAGUAGCUGAAGUUUUUUUCCCACAUAAAAAUGGGUUUUUCGCUAGCUGCUUCUCAUCUUCUUUGGGUGCAUACUAGAUAACACAUAAACACUCUUAUAUCUAUGUCGUUGCUUGGAGAACUAAAGGGAGAUGCUGCCGAAAUUUCUAUAAACGUAGAAGAAAACUUUAAAGUACUUGAGAUUGAAGAAACUUAUGCAUUCUUGAGAGGGAUAUAUGGGACCACUUACCUUUUGUAAAUAUGAAGGGAGUGUUGGACAUAUUGAUGGGAGUGGAGGAGCUGAGUUGGAUGGAUGUAAUCGGUUAUAGUUUUGCUGAGUUAACUUGGUUUUGAGCUUGUAAUUUUGUUUAUAAAUGGAGUACUAUCUCCAAUGUUGGUUUAUAAAUAUGUUUCAGCUGGCUGACCUUAUUUUUUGUUUCUAGGUAACAUGCUUUGUAUCUGUAAUUGAUAGCCAACUGAAGUUCUCAGCUGUGGGUGAGGAUAUUUCUUUACAGAAGGUAUUGGAAACUGUUUUUUACAUUAAUUAUUGUUGUAUAUAUACUUUAAUUUUCACAUCUUUUUCUCUGAUUCUUGUCACUUUACUUGCUUUCAUAUACAUAAAUUCUAAUGAAAUUAACCAUAAAAUUGUAUAAUGAUUUUUUAAUUAUAUUGCAAAACUGUGCACACACGAAAAUAUCUUGGUCAGUAGUAGAAAUGAAAAACUAAAAUGAUUUAUCUAACUAAUUUUUGUAGUGCAUUAAAAGGAGACGGUAAUGGAGAAGAGUUGGGUUGGUUUGGCAAAUAGAUAUCUAAGUUAUAGAUUUUGCAUUUGAGAAUGUUGUUGGUGAUGCAAGAAUUUAUUAUCCUUGUAAGAAGUGUCGAAUAUUUCGUUUUAAGGGAAGUAGCAAGAGACCAUAUCAUUAUAAAUGGUUUUUGGUUAAAGUUUUAAAACUGGAUAUUGCAUGGUGAGCCAUCUUCAUCUUUGGAAUCUAACCAAGAAACAGGUUAGUCAUGACUCGGGUGCUGAUGAUGAUAUGGUUGGAAUGAUACAUGAUACAUCACGUAAUCAAAUGUUCAAUUCACAGACAGCAUUGUUAUGGACUAUCAGUGACUUUCUAGCACAUGCCAACUUGUCUGAGUGGAGUAUUAAAGGUAAAUAAGCAUUUCUUGUUUGCCAACAAAACACCAGAUCGAAUUGGUUAAUACAUAGUAGAAAAUUGUCACGUCGGUAACGUCGAUUUUUACCGACGAAUCAUAGGUUUCGAAAAUAUAGUGCCUUUCGAAAAUCUGGAGCUGAAGUGAAAAAGCAGUUGAAUAAUAUCCUUACUGAGUUUAAGAUUGAAGACUUGAAAAGUGGAGAAUGAAUAAAAUGAGAGAAAUGACAAGAUUACUUGGAAGAAGAAAAGCAUAUUUUAUGAACUACCGUGUUGGGAGUUCAAUUUGAUUCAUCAUAAAAUGUGAGACAUGAGGGAGAGACAAAAGCUCAGGCUUGUCUGCAACCAUGUGGGCCCUCAUAAGCAAUUCGUGUACACAACUUGGUUCACCAAGCCCAACAACUUGAAGCAGGCAAAAUCCGGGAACGAUCCUUCUCCUUCGCAACCCUAGCUGCCUUAACCUUGUAUUUCUGAUAUUUAGUUAAAGAGUAAGAAGAUUGCUCCUCUGUCAAUUACCUUCGAGAGAGACUUUCUUUUUCAUUCAUCGAUGCUUGCUUGUGAAAGCAAGGGUUUUAGUUACACUUUCAACGCUGUCAAUGUAGUGAAGUAAAGCAUUCGUAGAAUAAUGAAGAUGGAAGCCCCACAGCAUGAAAACUUUUAAACAGUAACACAGCUCUUAUUCCAGAGGCUGCACGCGAGUGACCUGAAUCUUCUUCAGAACUUUCAAAUUUUAUCAGGCAAAGCUUUCAAAAUUUCUCAACAAAUUGAUUAUUUGGUGUGGUUGCCACAUUUUGAGUAACUGCUAUUUGUUCUCAAGUACAAAAUCCUUGCCUUCCUAAGUUAGGAAAUAUAGAUGAGAAGCAAACCAAAUGAAAUAAAUGGGUAAACAGAACAAACAGUGCAAAAAUUAAAAAUGAUGGCAAUUAACAAAUUAAUAGCAAUGUUACAUUUGACUCUUUAGCCCUUUGCUCCUUCUCUUAACAUUCUUCAAAGCUUUUGAAAAUUGGAUGUGAAGCAAACAAAAUAAAAUAAAUUUAGACAACACAUACCCUGUAUUCAGCAUCAUAUAUAUGUCGAAUAUCUAAUUUAAUAAAUUUCACAUCCAAAAUACUAAAAUUUUAUUUGCAUGCAUGUCUGUCAAAAUUUCCGUGAUUUAAUGUGCUUUCAUGCACGCAAGUUCUAACGUUUCUGUGAUCACAAAAUAAAACUGAAGAUAAAACAGAACAACUACCAAACCUUUCAAGCUUGACGAAGCCAUGAGAAUUGAUAGCUCAGGCUCUGAUACCAAGUUAAAGUUUCUAAUCUAUUUGAUAAGUAAGAAAAUGAGAGAAAAUGAAAGAAAGAACAGAGAUCAUCUAAGAGCUGGAUUUGAUGAAUAAAUCUGAAUCAUCCAUUCUUUAGCUGAUUACAAAUGUAUUUAUACAAGUUUUCUAAGCACCUGAGAGUUGAAUAACUUAUGCCAGCUCAGCUAACACGUCAGUAACUCUACCUAUCUUGCUUAACAAACUGAAACAAUAACUAACAAUUUUAACUAUCUUAACAAUCCCAAUAAUUUCUCCGUUUGUGUAUUUUUUUGAAUCAUAAUCAAAUGGGUAAAUGUUGCAACUAUUUUUUUAGACAUUUUCACUUUGGGAUGUCAGCCCGAGGAAGUUCGGGGGUCUGAGUUAUUCAACUGAAAAUGUCGGCCAAGUUCUCGCCAUCUCAGGUUCAAAACUGAUAAUCUUGCUCGUUGCUCCCCAUUUAUACUUAUUACGAAACUGAAAAAGUUACUCGUUCCUCUUAACUUGUUUUCUCAUGCAUCAACCCCACAAAACUGCUUAUUGCAGGGGGUAAAAUUUUGAACACAUCAUGUGGAAUUUGGACUAUUUGAUAGUUUGUUUCAAACAUAUCUGUUUAUAAAAUACUUUUCUUCAUGGUUUUGGUCCCAUAAUUUUCUAUGUAUGUACAGGUUUUAUCCAUACCUCUUUUGACAAGUUACACUUACAUAGCAAUGUUAUCUGGGUUCAGCCUUGCCUUUUUCAUAAACUGUGCUUCUGUGAUGAAGAAUGUUUUAUCUGUAAGUGGAUAUCCUAAUCAUUGAUCCAUAAACUUAGGUUAUAUUAUCCAUCAGCAAGUAUGUAUAAAAUUAUUUUAUGUCUUUUUUUAUUAGAAAUGUUGUAAUUCUAUUUUAAUCUUCCUGAAUUAUAACAUCAGGUGUCUAUAAUAACUGGAUUAUUCCUUCUGCAAAACAGAGCAGUGGUAAAUAUUUUUUUCUUUUGUUUGUUUAGUACAUUUACAUGCUUUCAGCUUUUUCAAAUUUUGUAUGUGUCAAAGUUUAAAUUUAAUUUGUUGGUUUAUGCCACAACAAAAGGAACAGCAUCAAAGAGGAGCUGCUAAUGGACUUGCUAUGACUGUAGUGUCGCUUACCAAAACUGCCGGUCCAGCUGUAGGAGGUGCUCUGUGAGUGUCCUGUUGAUUUUGUAAAAUUAUAUGUAAAUGAUGUUAUAAUAUUUUUUUUCAUUAAUUGGGGUUCUGGCAGAUUUUCUUGAUCACAAAAGCGUCAAGAUGCUGGUUUCCUCCCAGGUAUGAUGAUCUACUAAUGAAAUUAUAUUCUUUUUAUUUCAAAUAAUCUAUAAGUUAACUCAAAACAUAAUCAAGCUGAGAAUUAAAAUAAUGCCACUGUAUGAGAAGAUUUUUAUUUUUUUCCCGAAGUUUCACUAGGAAAUUAUUGAUAUAUAGCUUUAUUCGGAUCAUCUCAGUUCAAACGACAGCUAAUUGAAAGACUAAACUAAAUAGACCAGCCAACAACUUUGUACAGUAGAGUUAAAAAAAUAAAGUCAUGGUAUUGAGGUGUUCUGUCUUGAAAAGUACAGCAUAGUGAUAAAAUAAAAACUAUUAGUAUUUGGUAAGAUAUGACUUUUAAUUAAAAAAUUUCACAAAAAUAUAAAAAUAUUUAUAAAGUACUUCUGUAGUGCGGAGACCCUCACUUUGUUAAAGUGAAAAUAUCAACAAUAAACAAAAGACAUAUAUUUUAACACAUUAAAAACUGUAUUUUUUUAUCUAUUGGUGUAUUGAAAUAUGUGUUAUUUAGUUUGCUAAUGAUAUCAUCACUUUGUUAAAAUGAGGAUGUCAUCACUAGAGAAUCAUUAUAUAUACAUAUAUAUAAAGUGGUUCUCUCCAAGACCUAAACUUUAUUAAAAGUUUAGAAAGCAAAUAUAUUUUGUAUGGUAUAAUAGUGUAAUAACAUCACACUAUUAUAUCAUAUGAGUCCCAUAUAGAGUAAUAGUUUUUCGAACUUUAAUAAAGUUCAAGAUUAUAGAAUGAAUGAUUUAUAUAUAUUAUAAAUUUUUUAUUAUAUAGUGAAGGACAAAAUUAACAUAAUUUUCAAAUUAUAUUAAGUAUUUAUCAAAUAAUUUAACAUCAUAAUUUCUCCUAACUAGUAUAGUAAAUACGGCCUAGGAGGUACAUUCAAAGCAUUUCAUAGGUUCCUUGUUCGCUCCAGAUUCAGUCACAGACAAGGAGCCGUUUUUUGAGAAUAUUAAGCAUCAUCUUCAAAUGAAUUUUCUUGGCAAAGGUUUCAGAUCCAAAUUGUUGUUCCAGAUUAGUCCAAAGCUCAAGUAAGGUUUGAGAGUUUACCACAAGACUAAGGAUCUCGAUACUGAUGGAUGACAUUAACCAGCUCAACAACAAUUGAUCGUUUCUCUUCCACGAAGUUGAAUCUUCAAUUUCAGUAAAAAGAAAUUGGUUAGGACAGAGUUUUGAUCUAUCAAGUAGAUCUUCUAGUCCAUUGGCACGGACUGAAGACAAGACCUGUGAUUUCGAGAUCCUAUAAUUCGAUCGAUCCAGUUUGAUGGGUGAAGUGAAAGUAAACGAGGAAACAUAGGAGUUUGUAUUCUGAUUUGAGCUUGACGAAGCCAUGAGAAUUGAUAGCACAGGCUCGGAUAUCAAGUUAAAGUUUCUAAUCUGUUUGGUAAUUAAGAAAACCAGCGAAAAUGAAAGAAAGAACAGAGAUCAUCUAAGAGCUGGAUUUGAUGAAUAAAUCUGAAUCAUACAUUCUUUAGCUGAUUAAAAAUGUAUUUAUACAAGUUCCUGAAUAUUUUAGAUUCCAUAUGCUUGAGCUAAGCACCUGAGAGUUGAGCAGUGUGCACUAACAAACUGCUAACAAAAUAACUAACUUAUGCCAGCCCAGCUAACACAUCAGUAACUCUAACUAUCUUGCUUAACAAACUGAAACAAUAACUAACCAUUCCAAUAAUUUCUCCAUUUGUGUAUUUCUUGAAUCAUAAUCAAAUGGGUAAAUGUUGCAACUGUUCUUUUAGAUAUUUUCACUUUGGGCUGUCAGGCCGGGGAAGUGCGGGAGGUCUGAGUGACUCAACUGAAAAUGUCGGCCAAGUUCUUGCCAUCUCAGGUGUAAAACUGAUACUCUUGCUCCCCAUUUAUACUUACUACGAAACUGAAAAUGUUACUCGUUCCUCUUAACUUGUUUUCUCAUGCAUCAACCCCACAAAGCUGCUUAUUGCAGGGGUAAAAUUUUGAACACACCAUGUGGCAUUUAGACCAUUUGAUAGUUUGUUUCAAACAUAUUUGUUUAUAAAAUACUUUUCUUCAUGGAUUUGGUUACGUAAUUGUCUAUGUAUGUACAGGUUUUAUCGAUACCUCUUUUGACAAGUUACACUUCCAUAGCAAUGUUAUCUGGGUUCAGCCGUGCCUUAUUGAUAAAUCUGUAAUGAAGAAUGUUUUAUCUGUAAGUGGAUAUCCUAAUCAUUGAUCCAUAUCCAUAAGCAAGUAUGUAUAAAAUUAUUUUAUGUCUUUUUAUUAGGAUUGUUGUAAUUCUUUUUUACUUUUCCUGAAUUGUAACAUCAGGUGUCUAUAAUAACUGGAUUAUUCCUUCUGCAAAACAGAGCAGUGGUAAAUAUUUUUUUUCUUUUGUUUGUUUAGUACAUUUACAUGCUUUCAGCUUUUUCAAAUUUUGUAUGUGUCCAAGUUUAACUUUAAUUUGUUGGUUUAUCCCACAACAAAAGGAACAGCAUCAAAUUUUGUUGGUUUAUGCCAAAACUACCGGUCCAGCUGUAGGAGGUGCUCUGUGAGUGUCCUAUUGAUUUUGUAAAAUUAUAUGUAAAUGAUGUUAUGAUUUUUAUUGUCCCCCCCCCCCCCCCCCCAACACAAAAAAAAGCAUGAUUAAAUUGAUCAUUUGUUGGGUAACAACUUGAUUAACCGGUCCUGGCAGAUUUUCUUGGUCACAAAAGCGUCAAGAUGCUGUUUCCUCCCAGGUAUGAUGAUUUACUAAUGAAAUUUCUCACGAGUUGGUGAAUUACUUUGUGCUAAUUAGCUUAAUUAGCUGCUUAAACUAAAGUGCAGGUAACCAAAUGGUUUUUUUUUUCAUUCUGAAUUUGGUUGAGGCACUUGGAGUAAUAUUGACAUUCAAACCGUUUCUAACUCAACGCGCCCCGUGAGUUGAGAAAAGAUGCAUCUGUUGAAAUAUUCAAAUAUAUUUCAAGCAAAUUAAAGCUUUUCAAAAUCUAUCAACAAUAUGAUUAUUUGAUGUGGUUGCCACUUGCCAUAUUUUGUGUUACUGUUCUAAAGGGUUAAAUAUGAAAAUGGUUGUUGGUGCUCACACCAAUCGAUAGCUGGUAACAUUAACUCCUCAAUACUUAUACUUGUUCAUUUUCAGAACUACGACAAUUUAUCUUCACAAUGAUGCAAGCUAGAAAGAAUUUUUCAUGUUAAGUAAAACAUUGAAGCCAUAAAGAGUCUUAAUUGAGUACUAAGUUUUCUACCAUGCUUUCAACGGUAACAUAUUUGGAGCUCUUAUUCCAGGGGCUUCACAGUAGAGAGACCUGAUUUCGAUCUUCUUCAGAACUUGGGGAUUCCGUAAUAACAGAGGACAACAGUUAUAUAAGAAUAUUAUUUUGUACAAUUUUCGUAUAACCUGACCAAUGCAAGUAUAAUUUUAUGAUCUUAACUCAGAUCAAAAGACCUUCAAUGAUGUAAAUUUGCACAUAAAGCUGAGAUCCAAACAUUAGAACUUAUGAUGAAACGCAAACAAAAACGGUGAGAUUGAAAAGAUAGAGAAACACAAGCUUUUUAGUAGGAAUAAAUGCUCAUUUAGUCUCUAUAUUUUGACUCGAGCGCAUUUAGUUCUUAUAUUUUAAAAAGUGCCUCAACCUCAAGACACCCCCUAUUGUGAAAUAUAUUUUGUUUCUACCUUUUUUUUUUACAAUAAUACUCUUGGAAUAAUAUUUUUGGGAAUAUUAAUGAAAAUAAAAAAAUGGUAAUCAUCUAGCCAGCCUUAAACAAAAUAAAUAUUAAUAAAAACUUUUAUGUUAUUAUUUUAGUUUUAGGACUAAUUUCGUAAAUUAAAUUUUUUAUGCAUUUAUUAGUAAGAUUGCUUUAAGAAUAUUAAACAUUACUUUAAGAUGGCUGAUAUUAAUUUAUUUAUAAAGAAUUAUUAGCAAGAUUGUUGUGAAAGUACAAAAAAUACUGGUUAUUUCACAUUGAUAUUUAUUGAUUAAUUUGCCAAUUAACUUUUUUUAUAAAUAAAUUUAAGAAUAUUAUUGCCAAGAUAUUAUUGUAAAGGUAAAUAAAAUUUAAGGAAAAAAUGUAACGUAUUUAAUAUCAAGGUAUAUUGAGGUAUUUUUUAAAAUAUAAAAACUAAACGAGCAUUGAAAUUAAAGAGCAAUGAUAUAGCCACAAACUCUUGUACAAACUUAUUUUGUACAAACUGAUGUGGCAUGAUAAGAUUAGUUGAAUUAAAUAUCACUUUGCCCACAUGAUUUGUUUUUAUUAUUUUAUAUUUUCAUUCAACCAAUGAAUUAAUGCCACGUCAGUUUGUACAAAAUAAGUUUGUACAAGAGUUUGUGACUGUAUCAUUACUCGAAAUUAAAAUACAGGUACCAGACAAGUAUUUUCUCUUUUAGAAAGUUUUAUAUUUUAUUAAUGAAAGUCUGAAUAACAAAAUUAAGGUUUUGGACUUCUUUUAAACUAAACUUAAAUAUCACAAAUUUACCAAAAUAAGUAAACCUAAAAUAUUAAUACAUAAUAACAUUCUCCUAACUGAAAUAAAGAUAAAUGCUACUCAAAUUCUAUAUCUAGAAAAAAAAAAAGGUAAAAAUCCUGAAAACAAUAGGAAAAUAGAUCUUAAACUUGUAAAAUUAUAUGAAAUAAAUAUAAUUUUCAAUCGAACCACGAGACUAAUGUGGCGCUACAGUAUUAGAUUAGAUUCCCCUCGUUGCAAACUUCGAAAGGUAUAUUAUACACCCUAAAUACAUACUUAUAGCUCAAGUUGUUACCCUAGAGAGAUACUCUACUCAUCCUAUGCAACCAUCCGUUGCAUCAAAUUCGUUCCAAAAUUAAGAAUAAAUCAGCUGAUGCAUUCCAAAUAAUUUAGAUGAAACGAUAAAAUAAACCUAGAGAUCAAAUAAAAUGAAAUGAAAAUGAUAAUUACCUCGGACUAAAGCUCAUACAAAUUCAUUAUUUGACACCUCCAGCAAUUGUUGAAAUAAUAGUUAAUGAAAUAUAAAAUAAGACAAAAGUACAUAUUAAUGACACACCACUGUGAAUCGAUACAUCAACGUAAUACAUCAAUUGAAAUAUCAUACGAUAAAUUAGUCAGAGAAAGAAAUAAGUAAAUAAAUCAGCAAAGGAAACAUGCAUAAACAAAUUAAAAAAAAAACAAAGACAAAAGAAGGAAGAGUUGUCUGUGAGAAUCUUCUUCUAUGGUCAUUGAAGUCCCAAAACUAAUAAGGAUCGAUCAAUUGAACAGUUGCAAACUCAAUGGAAAUACAAUGGAACCUUAAAAAUGAACAGUGAAGGAAAAUGAAGAAAUCCGCAGGAAAUAAGGCGAGUAAGAGUGAAGAAUUAAUUACCACUGAGUAAAAUUGAGAGUUGUGAUCUAGAAGAGAUUCUUCUUCUCCGUAAUCCCCUUUUUUCUUUUAAUGUUGUUAUUAUUAUUAUUAUAUAUAUAUUUUCAAUUUCAUGAUUUCUUUUUUGUUUUAAACGGUAUUGGCAUAUUACAUUUAUUUAUGUUAAUUUUACAAUACCUCCCUUCAGAUUGCACAAAUUACAUAAAAAAAAAGCGCUUUAUGUAUAAAACUUUCAAACAAAUUGGGCCAAAAUCUAACUUUACCAAGUUUAGAGUAAUUUUGGGCUCGACAUUCCGUUUCCGACAAACGAAUUUUCUUUAUCACCAAGGUAUGAUACUUUUCAUAUUUAUCCAACGGCUCGUCAAUGACAAUACCUUUGUAAAAAGUACUUAUUUUGAAUAGUAUAUUGUGGAAAUGUCUGGUCGGUAAUACAACUAUUUCUUAUAGUGUAAAAAUGAUACACUAAGCGUUCACAUUUUGAUGAGUAAAUUAAGGAUUUCAAGAUGAAGUACAUAAUUAGAUUAAUGCUAAGAAACUGAAGUUUGAUCGAUUGAAAACGAAAAUAAUAAUGAAGGUAAUUAAGAAAAUGAACAAUAUAUGCGGAAGCGGUCCUUAUUAGUACUUCUAGAUUUUCUCUUGGGCUUUCCUUAUUAUUGUUAAAAAAUGACCCGAAGAACUUUGAGUUUAAAAAUCUGGCCCUGAUGCCUGGUAGCCCUUCAACACAUGAAGCACCAGAUGUUUUGAUGAGAAAAUGACAAGACCAUUUAUCAAAUUUCUUGUGGAUAUAAAUACAUACACAUAGACGAGACCAACCUCCUCAAAUGAGAAUCAGAGUGAUUACAAGACCUUGCAAUGAGACAAUGAUACACCAUCAAAUGUCAAAAUACAAUAGAAAUUCACGACAUAUAUAUAAUAAAAGACCUCUCAUUGAGUCAUAUAUAUUGAGAAUAAAAAUGUUAUAAUACAUACACAGAGCUUAGUUAGAAUAAAAUGUCUUUGAACUUACGAUGAUCAAACAAAGGAAACAGACAGGUUGUAACUCACACUAUCACAAGAAGAUCACGAAGAUGGAAAUGGGAACCCCUCAGAAUGGAAACUUUGAAUAGAGCAAAAAAGAAAAAACGACCUUAUUCACAGAAGAAGAGUGAUACAACUUGGCCAAUUGUUGUGAAUCAGAUCGAGCACAAUGAGACAGCAAGGGAAGAGACCCAGCCUGCAGAAAUAGAAGAAGUCCAACCCUUGAAUGAGACACAAGCUAAAGAGCAGCUCAAGACAGGUCCAGCUCGCGCGAGAAAGAAACCAGGAUGGCUCAAAGACUUUGUCAUUUGAGGAAUGUUCGAGAAUGCUUGAGAUAUCAUAAUAACGAAUAUUGUUCUGUUUUCAAUUAUUGUUUUGUUGUUAUCAAUUUUAUUCUAUUUAGUUAGUUAAGGGUGCGUGGCUGUUUUUGGAAGGGAGAAUAUAUUGUACUGUCAAGGGACCCAUGAGGGCAUGAAAAGAAAGGAUAUCAUUUUGUCUUUUUUCAGCUUCGUCUUCUUUCUCUUCUCUGUAACUCCCCUGUCCCAUUUCUCUUUCUUCAAAUUAUUUUCUCCACGAAUUGGAGCUUGCACUCGCUCAAAGAGUGUCGUAUCAACUGGUGCUUUCAUUGCAUUUAAUCUCUUUACACAAAACAAAAAAAAAAUGUCUCUCACAGAACCAACGACUGAUUCAGCAGUUCUCUCCACCAUGAAGACGCUCAUUGAAAAUCAAAUGCUUGCUGUUCAUCAGACCUUAUAGCAAUAUAUGUCCACGGUGGAUUCUCGAUUUGAGGAGCUACGUUCCCAAAUCAAUGGUUCCGUCGGAGGGUCAGUGGGUUCUUCCCGCCCAAUGGCGCCAGAACCAGCGUCUUCGACUGUACUGUCAGGUGUUACUGAUAUCUCUCCUCUGUUGCGUUCUAUGAAAAUGAAUGUCCCAAAAUUUGAUGGCACUGAUCCGAAUGGUUGGGAUUUUUGAAUCAAUGAGUUCUUUGAUUUUCACGGCACCCCUGACCAUUUACGCCUUCGUAUUGUAUCUUUUCACAUGGAGGGAAAAGCAGCAGCAUGGUAUCAAUGGAUGAAGGCCAACAACUUGCUGAGCACUUGGCAGAAUUUUUUACUCAAUCUUAAGCAAAGAUUUGGUACAUCCUGUUGAAAAGUCAAAGAGGUUUGGUUGAAAAAGAAAAGUGAGUCACAUGCAUUGCUUUUGUUUUUCAAAGUCAGCACCAAAUUGCAAGCUGUAAAAUAUUUGGCAUUUGACAAUCCUGCACCAAAUGAAGAAAAAUGGAAAAGUAAGCAAAAUUUGUCAAAUUGACAGAGAUGGAGAUUGACAAAUUGCAGAGGGAUUAGGUGGAAUAGUGCAUGCUUGAAGCCUAUAAAUUGAAGCCAUUUUUUUUCAUUCUAAAUCAUCCCAAAAUUUGUUAAGCUUAUAAGUUUCUAAGCUUUUGAGAGUUCUGAAAGUGUGAGCAAUUGGAGAGUGUGUGUGAGAGUACUGGGUGUAUUUGGGUUCUGGAAAAGUGAGAUUUCUUUACUCAAAUUUGUACUCAAAUAAUUGUUAAUAAUACAAUUAUUUUUCUCUUGCUCCCAUGGACAUAGGCAUAUUGCCGAACCACGUAAAUUCUUGUGUCCUUUAUUUUUCUAUGAUUAUUCGGUGUGUUUGUUUCCGCAUUCCGCGCACAACAAGUGGUAUCAGAGCCGACGGUUCGUACUUGGGGGGAUACGGUACAAUUUACGUAUACGGUACUAUUCAUGUAUACGGUACUGUUCACGAAUACGGUGGAGACGGCCAUUUGUACUUAGGAGACAGUCUAUUGUAAGUAGUGUGUAUUUUUGCAUGUCUAGGAAAGUUCUGUCAACAAAGGCGAUAAGAGUCUAAGGAUUCUGGUUUUUAAUUGGGACCAAGUUCCUGUCCAGUUUCCUGGAAACUUUCCUGGUGCAUUUAUUCACGCGAAAUUAACAUCAUAGAGACUGUUUUUCAAGUGAAAAUAGUUCGUUGAGAAAAUGGUAGAAGGUGAAACUUCCAGAAUUGGGGAGAGAUCUGCCGAGACUAUUUCAGGAGACACUUCAGGUAGGAGGCGAGAUUUGUCAAAUCGCUAUUCAGCACCUGUUAUAGGAGGCCAGAAGAUCGAUAUUGAAAAGUUUGAUGGGAAAAUCAACUUCGGCAUGUGGAAGCGCGAAGUUAUGGAUGCCCUUAUUCAAAUCGAUCUCGAUGUUGUUCUGAAAAAUAAAAGACACUUGUAUGAUGAAGAAAUUUAGGAUCGUAUGAACGAGAAAGCUUGUGGUCAGAUUUGAUCUUGUUUGACUAAGGAGGUGAAAUACUUGGUGAAAGAUGAGGAGUGUGCGGUGACUUUGUGGCGUACAUUGGAGGAGAAGUACCUGCUAAAAAGUCCUGAAAAUCAUCUUUCGAAUGAAGCCUGGGGUGUCAAUGCACGAUCAUGUCUCAAGAUUUGAAAAGUUACUUGCUGAUUUGAAGAAUCUUGAUGAAGAUAUUAAGGAUGAAAUCAAGGCUAUGAUUCUGUUACACUCACUGCCAGAGGAAUAUAGCCAUUUUGUGACUACCUUGAUAUAUGGGAAGAAUGUGAUCGUCUUCAAAGAUGUUUGCACAACAUUGACUAACUUGGAGAUUCGGAAUAAUGAUAAAAAUUCUGAACGAGCAUCGUCUGAAGCUUUAGUGAGUAGAGAUUGGGUGAUGGAGAAAAAGAAAAAGCGUGGUGGAAAGAAUUCUCGAUCCAAAUCGAGAAGCAGAAAUCUAGCUCGAGAUGAGUGUGCCUUUUGACAUGAAAAGGGCCAUUGGAGGAAAGAUUGUCCAAAGGCUCAAAAGAGAGAUGGGAAGAAACCAGCAGCAGCAAACAUGGCACGGAAAGAUGAGGACUCUGAUUAUUCACUAAGUAUUACUCCUGCAGCAUACGUGGCUAGUUCGAGUGAGUGGAUACUUGAUACUGGAGCAACCUAUCAUUUGUGUCCCAUUAAUGAAUGGUUUACGAAUUUUCGUAAUCUGGAAUCCGGUGCAGUUGUGAUGGGGAAUGAUCAACCUUGUCGCACAAUGGGGAUAGGAACAAUUCGGCUCAAAAUGUUUGAUGGAAUGAUCAGAGAACUCAAAGAGGUUAGAUUUGUUCCAGCUUUAAAGAAAAAUCUAAUUUCUGUGGGUGCUUUGGAAGCUAAAGGCUACAAGGUUACCAUUGAAGAUGGCACAAUGAAAUUUACACAUGGGGCUAUGGUGAUUCUGCAAGGGGUUCGGCGUCACAAUCUGUACUAUUUGAAGGGAGGUACAACUGAUGAAGCAAAUAUUAUUGAGGCGCACAGUAACACCACCAAGCUAUGGCAUGUACGGCUGGGACAUACUGGCGAGAAGUCUUUGCAAACUCUGAUGAGGCACGGACUCUUAAAAGGUACCAAAACCUGUAAAUUAAAUUUCUGUGAGCAUUGUGUAGUAGACAAGAAAACAAGGGUCAAGUUUGGUACAGCCAAUCACGAUACUCGUGAGAUCCUUGAAUAUGUUCAUAGUGAUGUAUAGGGAUCAACCAAGAUUGCAUCAAUUGGUGGAAGCCAUUAUUUUGUUACGUUUGUUGAUGAUUUCUCUAGAUGUGUGUGGGUGUACACCAUGCGAGCAAAGGAUGAGGUUCUAGAGAUUUUCGUGAAAUGGAAGAAAUUGGUGGUGACUCAAACUGGCAGAAAGAUCAAAGUAUUACGAUUUGAUAAUGGAGGUGAAUAUACUUCUGAUCCAUUCUUGCAAGUAUGCCAGAACGAGGGUAUUAAAAGACAUUUCACGGUGAGACAUACUCCGCAACAGAACGGUGUGGCUGAGCGUAUGAAUCGUACUUUACUGGAGAAGGUACGGUGUAUGUUAUCUAAUGCUGGUUUAGAUAAAAAAUUUUGGGCUAAAGCUAUGAGCUACGCAAGUCACUUGGUAAACCAGUUGCCUUCUGCUGCAAUUAGAGGUAAAACUCCUAUGGAAAUGUGGUCUGGAAAGCAUGCACAAGACUAUGAUUCUCUUCGUAUAUUCGGGUGUCCAGCUUAUUAUCAUGUCAAAGAUGGUAAACUGGAUCUUCGUGCUAGAAAAGCUAUCUUUAUGGGAUUCAAAUGUGGAGUAAAGGGCUUCAAGCUUUGGGAUCUCGAAGACAAAAAGUUUGUGUGUAGCAGAGAUGUCACAUUUGAUGAAGCUUCAAUGAUGAAAGCUUCAAGUUCUCAGCAGGUGGAGAACAAGACCAAAGAGGUAUUGCAGCGGGUGGAGUUUGAUGCAACUUCAUAUGUACCAGUUAGUUCUACAUCAAAGAAUGGUUCAACUAUGGAGGUGACACUUAGAGUUGAAGAAUAUGUUAUUUCUUCUGAUGUCCCACAAAAUGAAGAAACAAUUGAUGAUGUAGAUAAUUAUGAUUUUAUAGCAACAAGGAGACCAAAAAGAGAGAUAAAGAAACUCGAAUGGCUUACUAAAGAUAUGGUGGUAGCCUAUGCACUUUCAGUUAUUGAUGAUGACAUCCCCAACACUUUCGGUGAAGCAUUACGCAACAGUGAAAGUGAUCAGUGGAAGUUAGCCAUGGAGGAAGAGAUGAAAUCUCUCCAUCAAAACCAGACUUGGGAACUUGUAAAGUUACCAAAGGGGAAAAGGGCUAUUGGCAAUAAAUGGGUCUACACCAAAAAGCAAGGAUUUCCGAAUCAAACAACUCCUCGAUAUAAGGCAAGGCUCGUGGCAAAAUGUUUUGCUCAAAAGGAAGGUAUUGACUACAAUGAAGUUUUCUCUCCAGUUGUAAAACAUACUUUCAUUCGUAUCCUACUUGCCUUAGUUGCAGAAUAUGAGUUAGAGUUGGCUCAAUUGGAUGUUAAGACAGCGUUCUUACAUGGAGAGUUGGAGGAGGAAAUCUAUAUAAUUCAGCCUUGUGGUUUCAGAGUUGCUGGAAAGGAGAAUCAUGUGUGUAGAUUGAUUAAAUCUUUGUACGGACUGAAGCAAUCAUCAAGGCAGUGGUACAAAAGAUUUGAUCAAUUUAUACAAGGGAAGAAAUUCACCAGAAGUGAACACGAUCAUUGUGUUUACUUUAGAAGACUACUAGAUGGAGCUUUCAUCUAUUUGUUACUCUAUGUCGACGAUAUGCUUAUAGCUUCAAAGAAUAGAGAUGAGAUCGAAAGAUUAAAGAAGCAGCUGGCUUCUGAGUUUGAGAUGAAAGAUUUGGGUGAUGCACAGAGAAUACUUGGGAUGGAGAUUCAUAGAGACAAGAAGAAUGGGAGCGUAUGGUUGACUGAAAAGUCUUAUUUGAAGAAAAUGCUAGAAAGAUUCGGUAUGGAUGACAAAACUAAACCGGUAUGUACACCUCUAGCUCCUCAUUUCAAAUUAAACUCUUCUUCAUGUCCUAAAUCUCAAGAGGAGCGCGAUUACAUGGCUCGUGUUCCAUAUGCUAGUGUUGUGGGUAGUCUUAUGUAUGCUAUGGUAUGCACAAGGCACGAUAUAUCUCAAGCAGUGAGCAUGGUUAGUAGAUACAUGCACAAUCCGGGUAAAAAUCAAUAGCUUGCGGUAAAGUGGAUUCUCCGAUAUCUGUAUGGGACAGUUGAUGUUGGGUUAUUGUUCAAGAAGGAUUGUGGUCAACAAUGUGUUGGGUAUUGUGAUUCUAAUUUCGCUGGAGACCUUGACAAGCGAAGAUCAACAACAGGCUGCGUAUUCACAUUGGGUGAAGGUCCGGUUAGCUGGAGGUCGAUUCUACAAUUGACAAUUACUCUAUCCAGUACGGAAGCAGAGUAUAUGGCAGCAACUGAAGCUGUAAAAAAAGCUAUCUGGUUGAAAGGCUUGUUAAGUGAUUUGGGAGUAAUCCAGGAAAACAUUACGGUCUUCUGUGAUAAUCAAAGUGCGAUAUUCCUUGCGAAGAAUCAAACAUAUCACGCUCGGACGAAGCACAUAGAUGUGAAAUAUCAUUAUGUGAGGGAGAUUAUCAAGAGCGGUGUUGUGUUGUUGAAAAAGAUCGAUACCAAAGAUAAUCCAUCAGAUAUGUUGACGAAGGUAGUUUCUGGAGUUAAGUUUCAACAUUGCUUGAAACUAAUUCAAAUCCUUCGAUUGUGUUAAGUUAUGUCCUUCGAUAAUUUUGAACUACGGUUGGCUUGAUCCCAAAUUUUGGGUACGUAGGCAGUCACAUAGAUGUAACCACUUUGGGGAUGAUGAUUGGUUGGUAGUCGGCUCAGAUUUGAACAAAUCUUCGCCGAGGUGGAGAAUUAUUGAAAAGUCGCCGAGGUGGAGAAUUGUUGAAAAGUCAAAGAGAUUUGGUUGAAAAAGAAAAGUGAGUCACAUGCAUUGCUUUUGUUUUUCAAAGUCGGCACCAAAUUGCAAGCUGUAAAAUAUUUGGCAUUUGACAAUCCUGCACCAAAUGAAGAAAAAUGGAAAAGUAAGCAAAAUUUGUCAAAUUGACAGAGAUGGAGAUUGACAAAUUGCAGAGGGAUUAUGUGGAAUAGUGCAUGCUUGAAGCCUAUAAAUUGAAGCCAUUUUUUCAUUUUUUCUUACUUUUCCAUUUUUUAUGCAGAGGGAUUAGGUGGAAUAGUGCAUGCUUGAAGCCUAUAAAUUGAAGCCAUUUUUUUCAUUCUAAAUCAUCCCAAAAUUUGUUAAGCUUAUAAGUUUCUAAGCUUUUGAGAGUUCUGAAAGUGUGAGCAAUUGGAGAGUGUGUGUGAGAGUACUAGGUGUAUUUGGGUUCUGGAAAAGUGAGAUUUCUUUACUCAAAUUUGUACUCAAAUAAUUGUUAAUAAUACAAUUAUUUUUCUCUUGCUCCCAUGGACGUAGGCAUAUUGCCGAACCACGUAAAUUCUUGUGUCCUUUAUUUUUCUGUGAUUAUUCGGUGCGUUUGUUUCCGCAUUCUGCGCACAACACAUCCAUGUAUGAAGAUCAUCCAGGUAACCUCUCCAAGCUCUCCCAAACGUCGACUGUUGCUGAUUUUCAGUCUGCCUUUGAGGAUUUGAUGAACAAGGUCACGGGCAUCUCCGAGCCAUUGUUGGUUAAUUUCUUUAUCACGGGCUUAAAACCCGAUAUCAGGCGAGAAUUAUUAUUUGCAAGACCCACAUCUCUCAUGGAGGCUUUUGCUUUAGCCAUAGCUUAUGAGGCACGAUCGGAAGAAAUCAAGACCUCUAGCCGUUCUUGGACAAAGUGGACACCCUCAUCUACUUACACCCACCAAUCCACCAUUACUGCCUCCCCACAUCCUGCAUCAUAUAAAACCCCAACAACAACUACUCUUCCGAGUUUGUUAGCCACUAAACAGCCACCUCAACCCCCAUUAUUGCCUACUCCCACCUUGCCUAUUCAUCGAUUAACUCCAACAGAAUUAAGAGAGAAAAGAGAAAAAAGGGCUCUGUUACAACUGUGACAAAAAAUAUAGCGCCACACAUCGCUGUCGUAGCAAGUUUUUGUUAUUAAUGGGUACGGAUGAUGAAGAUGAUGAGCCAAGUGAGGACGCUUUUAUUCAUGCACAACCAGACGAAGUAGUCACAGCGGACAUAUCUAGUUUGCAUGCCUUGGCUGGGCAAACUAAUCCACGAUCUUUAAGGGUGAUGGGCACCGUUGUCAACUAUCAGUUUCAGGUGUUAAUUGACAGUGGCAGUACCCACAAUUUUCUUAAGCCGCCAUUGGCUAAACGCCUUGGCCUUUCCGUUCAAGCUAUAACUCCUUUUCGAGUUUACAUUGGCAAUGGCAAUUUUCUUACUUGUCGAUUUCUCUGCCCUAAAGUGCCUAUCAAUAUGCAGGGGCAUGAAUUUCUUUUGGAUUUCUUCCUUUUGCCAAUCGAAGGCCCUGAUGCUUUCCUUGGGAUUCAAUGGUUACAAAGCUUGGGAAGAAUUUCUACGGAUUAUUCCGAGAUGACGAUGGAGUUUCAGUAGGAGGGAAAAUCUGUCAUUUUACGAGGAGACCCAAUUCCAAAUCCGAAUUUAAUCUCUUUUAACCAGUUUCAUGCCUUGCUAUCCAACUCCAAAAUCGACAACGUAUUUGAACUUCAUUCUUUACCAACUGAACCAUCAACAACUCACACAUCUACCAACACAUUGCCGGAUAAUGACUUAGAAUUUCCGAGGUCGUUGCCUGAACCUAUUACUACUCUCCUUCAAAAAUUUAAGGCAUUAUUUGCUCCACCCACUGGUCUUCCCCCUCAACGGCUAUUUGAUCACAAAAUACACCUUAUUCCCAAUUCCAAACCAGUCAACGUUCGCCCAUAUCGGUAUCUUUAUUUUCAGAAAACCGAAAUGGAGAAAUUGGUGAGAGAAAUGUUAAAUCAAGGCAUCAUAAAACCCAGCCAAAGCCCAUUUUCUUCACCGGUAAUGCUAGUAAAGAAAAAGGAUGGCUCCUACAGAUUCUGUGUGGAUUACCGCGCUGUGAAUACGGUGACAGUGAAGGACAAAUUUCCCAUCCCCACUAUUGAUGAAUUGUUUGACGAACUUGGCGGUGCUAGGAUUUUCAGCAAACUUGAUCUAAGAGCCGGUUAUCACCAGAUAAGAGUUCACAAGAGGGAUACUUAUAAAACAGCGUUUCGCACGCAUGAUGGACACUACGAGUUUCUUGUUAUGCCGUUCGGUUUGACCAACGCGCCGUCCACUUUUCAAGCAACAAUGAACCAAUUAUUUGCUUCCUUUUUACGUAAAUUUGUUAUUGUCUUUUUUGAUGAUAUAUUGGUCUAUAGUGCAUCAUUGGCUGAUCAUGUGUAUCAUUUGGAGCAGGUUAUGAGUUGUUUAUACACAUAUCAAUUUUAUGUCAAAUUCUCCAAAUGUUUGUUUUGCCAGGAAUCAAUUGAUUAUUUGGGCCAUAUUGUGUCGGCUCGAGGAGUGCACGCUAAUCCGCAAAAGAUCACAGCCAUGGUAGAUUGGCCCUUGCCUAAAUCGGUGAAGCAACUGAGAGGGUUCUUGGGGCUGACAGGGUACUACUGACGUUUUAUUCAAGGCUAUGCAACCAUCGCAGCUUCUCUCACUGAGUUGCUUUGUAAGGAGGCUUUUUAUUGGAAUCUGGCAGCUACUCAAGCUUUUCAAGCAUUAAAGAAGGCUCUUGUGGAAGCCCCUGUACUUCACUUGCCGAAUUUUGCCUUGGAGUUUGUCAUUGAGACCGAUGCUUCUAAUGUCGGGAUCGGUGCUGUGCUAAUGCAAGUCGGGCAUCCUCUAUCUUAUUUUAGCAAAAAGUUGGGUCCUCGAAUGCGUGCAUCCUCGACAUAUUUGAAGGAAUUAUAUGCUAUUGUAGCUGCGGUUCAAAAAUGGCGUCAAUACCUCCUUGGUCGAUUUUUCCUUAUACGCACUGACCAUAAAAGCAUAAAGGAACAGUUUCAACAAGUUAUUCACACCCCAAAGCAGUAAUUUUACAUUCGCAAGUUGAUGGGUUAUCAAUACAGAAUCGAUUAUAAAGCUAGUAACUUCAAUAAAGUUGCUGAUGCUUUAUCGCGAAUUCAUGGGGACAACGUGACUGAAGAACCCAAACCAACAGCACUCUGUUUGUCAUUUGUAAGCCAACCUUCUAGUGAACUAUUGACAGCUCUGCACAAGGAAAAUUGCACUCUUCCUGAUAUGAAAUAACUCCAUCAGAGGUAUGCAGCCGGUUCACUUUCUUCUGACUUCUCGGUUCCUGCUAUUUCGACAUCGAUAUUACCUCAGCCCCAACUCAUCAUUAAAAGCCGUGCUACUCAAAGAGUUUCACGAGACACCUAUGGCAGGACAUGCUGGUAUUAAAAAGACAUUGGUACGUCUUUCAUCGACUUUUUUUUGGCCUAAGAUGAGGAAAGAUGUUGAGCAAUAUGUAGCCGCUUGCCUUGUUUGCCAGCAAAUUAAAUACUCAACUCAAGCGCUGGCGGGUCUGUUACAACCUUUGCCCGUCCCUUCAUUAGUUUGGGAUGAGUUAACCAUGGAUUUCAUUACAGGGCUGCCACUUUUGAGAGGAUUUGAAGCAAUUCUGGUUGUUGUGGAUCGUUUAUCAAAGUCAGCUCACUUUGGAGCCUUGCCUUCUCAAUUUACUGCCAUCAAAACAGCAGCUUUAUUUGCUGACAUGGUUGUAAAAUUACAUGGAUUUCCUAGCUCUAUAAUUUCAUAUCGUGAUCCUAUAUUCAUGAGCAACUUUUGGCAAAAAUUGUUUGAUUUAAGUGGGACAUAGUUAUGCCACAGCACGGCUUAUCACCCUCAAACGGAUGGCUAAUCCGAAGUAGUUAACCGAGGGCUUGAGCAAUAUUUACGAGCCUUCGCACAAGACAAGCCACAGACAUGGUCUUCAUUUUUAGGCUGGGCUGAAUUUUACUACAAUACCAGUUAUCACAGCAGCUUGCGUAUGACUCCCUUUCAAGCCCUUUAUGGACGUCUUCCUCCCACAAUUCCAAGUUACUCAAGGGGCUCUACUUCAAUCCAAGCGUUAGAAGACAUGUUAAUUGAGAGGGAUGCCAUGCUUUGCUCAUUGAAAGAGAACUUACGACAAGCUCAGCAUCGAAUGGCUCAAAAGGCUAAUUUACAUCGCCGAGAAAUUCAAUUGCAGGUAGGUGAUAAAGUGCUGGUACACCUUCAACCAUAUCGCUAGACAUCAGUUGCUAAGCGCUCAUCUCACAAGCUGGCAAGGCACUAUUAUGGACCAUUCACAGUGGUAAAGCGUAUUGGACCCGUUGCUUACAAGUUAGAGUUACCCACAAAUUGUAGAAUUCACUCGGUGUUCCAUAUUUCCUUACUAAAACCUUAUGUGGGAAACUUCCUCAUUGAUGUUUAUUCACUGCCUCCAGGAAGUGUGGAUAACAAGCCCCUGUCAUCGCAAAUUGCAGUAUGUGCUGAGCGAAAGAUACUUCAACAAGGCAAAGUAAUUCCACAAAUUUUGGUGCAAUGGUCUGAUAGCUCACCAGAAAAUUCGACUUGGGAGGACUUUGAGGAAUUUCGUAAACUCUACCCUGCACUACACCUUGAGGACAAGGUAAGCUUUCAAGGAAUGGGGAAUGAUACAACUUGGCCAAUUGUUGUGAAUCAGAUCGAGCACAAUGAGACAGCAAGGGAAGAGACCCAGCCUGCAGAAAUAGAAAAAGUCCAACCCUUGAAUGAGACACAAGCUAGAGAGCAGCUCAAGACAGGUCCAACUUGCGCGAGAAAGAAACCAGGAUGGCUCAAAGACUUUGUCAUUUGAGGAAUGUUCGAGAAUGCUUGAGAUAUCAUAAUAACGAAUAUUGUUCUGUUUUCAAUUAGUGUUUUGUUGUUAUCAAUUUUAUUCUAUUUAGUUAGUUAAGGGUGCGUGGCUGUUUUUGGAAGGGAGAAUAUAUUGUACUGUCAAGGGACCCGUGAGGGCAUGAAAAGAAAGGAUAUCAUUUUGUCUUUUUUCAGCUUCGUCUUCUUUCUCUUCUCUGCAACUCCCCUGUCCCAUUUCUCUUUCUUCAAAUUCUUUUCUCCACGGAUUGGAGUUUGCACUCGCUCAAAGAGUGUCGUAUCAAAGAGUGACUUAAAUUUUCAUCAGUAUCCAGACAUUCUGCAAUCAUAGAGUAGAGAAAUUUUAACAGGAACAGCAGAGAAAAUAUUAUGAAUAUGCUAUAGACCAAUAUACUUGUUCAUAGCUAACGUUUGAUGGUUUAAGGAUUUGUUCUAGGAAUAAUGGGUUGAUUACUUUUUUUAUUUUAAUUUUUUUUAAUCCAAUGAAUGAUAUUCAGCUGUUAAUUAUGUGUUCAUAGGGAAGAACAUUUUCUAAGUACUUUCCUUGCCUUCUAACUUUCCGAAAAGCAAACCCAAUGAACAAACAGAGCACAAACUAAAAUAAAAGAACAGCAAUGAUGACAAUAAAUAAUUGGAAAAGAAAAAAAGGAAAAAGUAUGCACGUUUUCAAGGAAUUAUAAAAUACGAAGGCUUUUAAUGAAAUUUUAUCAUAAAAACGUAUGCAAGGAGUUAUAAAAUUUUAGAAGACGAGGGGAGCUCCCAAAAAAAAAAAAAAAAGAAAAAGACUCAAAUUAAACUAGACUAAAAAGACAUUCAAUUAUGCAAAAUCUGUCCAUAAAAGUCUGAAAGGAUCAUUAAAAUUGCAUUGCAAAUUUAACAGUAAACUGAGGGACCCAUUCUAAAUAAUUCAGUUGAAAUUGCGAAACAAGCCAUGGGAUUAAAUAAAUGAAAUAAAAAUUAAUUACCAGUUGAGACUUUCUUCUAAAAAUUCGCAACUCCAAGUCAUAAGAAGCCUAUGAAAUUAGUCGUAAUACGUAGAGUAUAUCGACGACACCGCCAACAGCUGAAAGUAAAAUUCUUAUUCAUCAAUGUAAACUUACUUUAUAACAAAUAUCUUAUCUAUAUUGUAUUUAAGAAAGCAAAUUUUGUAAAAAUUUAUCAUGGGAGAUAGAGAGUAAUAUGUAUAUCCGUACCUUCUCAGCAGGUAAUUGUUGUAUGGUUGUGUUUAGAUCAUUAUUAGCCCAGCGCCGUUGAUCCGCUGUCUCUCCAUACCAGACAUUUACUCUUGGAGGCGUGAUUGCUUCUCCUGUAGUGAAAAUCUUCAUCUUGGGACAACCAAUCACCCACAAAUCUUGCAAAGAUGGCAAUUUGAAGGUGUAAUUGGGAGAGCAGAAACUUGUGAGGCUAUCUAAAUCAAACAGUUCCAACGUCUUCAAUUUGCGGAAAACAAUCUCUUCUUUUUCAACUCCAUCUUUGUCAUUUAUUACCACCUCUGUCAUUGCUCUGCAUCCAUAUAUUUCUAUUGCUACGAGUCGCACCAGAGUUUUUGCUGUGGAGGAUGUUACCAUGUGUAACAAUUUCUUGCAACCGAAAGCCACCAGAGCUGUUAGGUUCUGAAAAGAUACCGAUGAUGAUGGCAAUAGAAUUAACAGACUUUGACAAUGAUAUGCUUUUAGAAUUUCAAGAUACUGAAAAAUGGGGCCAAGUUUGGAGUCUUGUUUGCACAGCUGCUUCAGAUGAUAGUGCCAGCGCAGCUCUAAUGUUUUUAUCAUUGCCAACUUCCCCACAUGUUUCUCUAAGCUUCCUUCCUCCGAAAAUACCUCUUCGUGGAAUGAAAAUUGAAACAGUGAGAGUAUUUCGAGAUUGUGAAAUCUCUCAAGUACAUUCCAGAUUGGAAAACAAGCUGAGUUAUCUUCGGCAAUCUCUAGUUGUUUAAGACUGCCAAAAAGGUGUUGUGGGAAAUCGGCCUGCAAAAUCAUCUUCACGUCUUUUCCAUUCAAUGAUAGGUCCUUCAAGUUGGGUAAGAUCUGAUCAUCAUAAAUCAUAAUAACUAAUGAGGUCAAUUGAUGUUCUCUCAAAUGAUUUUGAGUAAUCCAAUUACCAGCAGUGACUUUAUAGUAUCUGUUUUAUAUUAAUUUUACCCCCAAAAAAAAUUUAAUUAGUGAUAAAAUUCAUUAUAUGAUUUUUUAUAUGUUAAUUUUAGAGGUAAAAAAGAAAUUAGGGAAAAAGGGUUGAUUUAUAUUUGCAUGAAUUUCACAACAAUAAAUUAUUAAUUUAUUUUGUAAGUCGUUGUAUAAAGAAAAACUAAGGAUUCUUUACCUAAAAAAGUUCAUAUAAUUAUUAAUCUCCCACAUUGAUCCCUUUGUCAAGACUAGCAAAGAUUAUUAUGUAAUAAAAAUUUUCAAUUUAUUAAGUAUUAAUUUAUCAAUGUUUUGUUACAUUUUUCAAAGUCAAAAGACGUCAAUGAGAUAUUGAAAAAAAUAUCUAGAAAAUGACUUCAUACCUUUUCCAAUGGCAAUAGGGGCUGUUGUGCAGGAAUACCAAGUUGAUCAUUCCCAUUAUUCUGCGAUAAAUCUGCAGCGAAUAUUUUUAAUUUGUCACAACGACACACUGCAAAAUUUUCUAGUGCUGGCCAUUCCGAAGUAUGCAUUCCUGGGUAUAAACAUCUAAGUUUUGGUAGACCUUGGAGUAUCAGAACGGUGAGCUGUGGAAAGACAAAAUAAGGGAUCACUUCAUCUGCUCUGUUUUCAGAAAUGAUCUCCUGUAAAUCCUUACAGUCUCGUAUAUCUAGGUGUUGGAGCUGCUUAAGGCUUCCGAUCAUAGACGCUGAAAAUAUGUAUUUCAGUUUGUCACAGUACCACACAACUAAUCGUGUUAAACUUUGAAAGUGAGGAAACACGGCCGCCGGAAUUUGAUUGUAGUGCCAAAUCUUGUCGACAUUAAUUGCAGAUAUCUCCAAAGCCUCCAAGUUAGGCAACGCAACCUAAAAAAAAUAAGAAUUUCUCGUUAGAUCCAAUAUCCAUAUGGGAAGCACUUGUUGAAAUUUUCUUCUUUGAUUACAAAUUAAUGCAAGUCAGAAUCAAUUUUCAACUGACAGCUGAGUUUGAUGCAUUCUAAUUCAUACUACUUGUUAAGAGCUCAAUUAGUGAGCGUGUGAGAUUCUUUUUAUCCUUUUUUCCAUUUUCUUUCAAUUCUUUAAAUGAUUUAAUUAUUUUCCACGUAUGACAUCAAAAGAGAACGCAUGAUAGAAUAAAAUCUGUUAUAUAUAUAUAUAUGAAGAAAAUGUUAGCCUACGCACCUUCUUGUUGAAAAGCAGAGUUGAAGUAUCCUCUUGCGACGAUGGUCUGUUUAGUGAUGCUGAAGGAGUCUUUACUUCACGGCAGACAUUUGUAACCUCUGGAAGAUUCCCCAGACUCAAAGAUCUUAAUUGAGCAAACUCUAUCUUCUCAAUUGCAUUAUCAACUUCUUCCCCAAUUGCAAAAAUCUCUUUCAUCUUGCUGCAAUUAACAACUGCAAUUCUCUCAAGUCUUGGAAGGCAUUUUGUAGUAGAGAGCCAAAAGAUAUUACUCAAUUUAUCACAAUUAUAUGCUUCUACGGUUUUGAGUUAGUUGAAAGACUCUACUUUGAGCCGAUCAACACAUAUCCUCUCCAUGUUGAUCAAAUUGUGAAGGAUAAGUGACUCCAAAAGAGGAAAGGCUUCACAAGCUACCAUCUCCAUUGAGUCCACGAUACACAGGAAGUUAGGAUUAUUUUGAACAUGGAGAUGCUUCAAUUGUGAAAAGCCUUCUGUGUCCAAAUAAAAAAGAACAUUCUUGACACCUUGCAGCUUGUCCAACCAUAGGUAUUCAACGUUAUUGAUGCCCUGCAAUUUCAUGGAGCAAAUGUCCAUAAAAUCAAGCUUGAGCUUCAAUUCUCUUAAACUCUCACGAUUACUCUUGAUCAAAAAGUGCGGCCGGCUUUGAAACCGUUCUCUUGUAACAUUCUUGGGAGGCAUGAAUGACUCAUUUCCAAUGGAUAUAUUGAACCUUUCGAGCUUUCUGGCCAAAAAGCCUUCCGAUAAAAUACUGUCAUUUUUAACAUCAAUUUCUAGAGUGGUUAGCCAAGGUAAAAGCAUCAAUUCAUCAAGGCUAGCAUUACUUCUUUCACUGUUGGCUCUUUCAACCUCCCAUUCAACGGAGCAAUUACCCAUAUACAAUUAUUCUAAUCGGAUUAAGCUUGAUAUGACAUUUGGGGCAAUAACUUUCAGACGGAAACAGUCUGUUAAAUCUAACAGCCUUAGCUUAGUCAGUUGCCCUAGUGCUUUAGGUAACUGUACAAUAUCAGACCGCACAAAGCUAAGGAUUUCUAGAUUUUCCAACUUUCCAAUAAUGGCUAUGUCCAUGUCUCCCAAAAUGCUUUGAUUAAGACAAAGUGUCCGAAGAUUUACUUGAAGAUCAAUUGAAGAUGGCAAUGACAAUAACCGCAUUCUAGUCAAAUCCAAAACCCGAAGCUUUUUCGUCCUUUUGAAGAAGUUCUCAGGAACAUUGGGCCCAACAAAAGAGUUAUUGGGUGACAUGAAUUAAAAUUCAAGUUGUGUAGAUUCCAACACUUCAGGAAUGUCAUUAAUAAUACUAUCUUUUAAACAAAUUGCAAAAUAUUUUUUUAGUGCAUCUGCAUCUGGCCAGUUCCACACACCCUCAUUUCUCACCGCAAAUGCAAUUUUGUCACGACGUGCUAUUGAAAUGGCAACAUCGCGAACAACAUCAUGCAUGGAAAAGAAUUUACUGCUACCAUCCUCAUGCAACAAACAAGACUCUCUUAGUUGAUGGACCCAUGCAUGUAAUUUGUUUGUUAUGUGCAUCUUCUAGCUUAUGGACACUUUCAAAUGCACCCAAGCCCAUGCUAUAUUUGAACAAGUCCAUAAUUGAAGUUGGUGUAAUUAGACUACACAGUAAAAAAGUUUUCUUGAGUUGCUCACCUCUUAAAUACUUGUAACUUAGCUCAAUUGUUGAGUAUGCCUCUACUGGUACUCCUUCAUCGAAGCUUGCCUCUGAAGGCGUUUGGAGUUCUUGCAAGGCAUUCUUCCACACAGGCAGCUCUUUGUUUCUCAGUGCCUUUGCUACUGUGGUUAGGGCAAUAGGCAAACCUCCACAUGCCUUGGCUACAUUUGUUGCUGUAGAUUUUAACUCACGAUUUUCAACAUAAUUACCAGCCAUUAUCUUGAACAACCUCCAAGCUUCUUGCUCAUUUAGAAUGCCAAUCAAGAAGUUAUUUUCAGAUCCCAUACUUAACAAGACAUUACGAUCCCUUGAUGUUAAUAAUAAUUUGCAUCCUCUAUGAUCAUCGCCAAAAGGAAUUCCGACAGUCUCUAAAUCAAGAUAUUUCCAGAUGUUAUCCAGAAUCACAAGGAUCAUCUUCUCUUUCUUCAAUCGUUCAUAAAGUCUACUAGCUCUUCUAGAUUCAGCCUCCUCGGACAACUCCAGACCUAGUUUCUCUGCAAUUUCCCCUUGAAUCUUUUUUAUGUCUGGAGUUUGGGAAACCUCUGAAAAAACCACCUGAUCAAAGAGUUUCUCUUCACUGGCUUGCCUUGCAAACUCCUUCACCAGUGUUGUCUUUCCAAUGCCGCCCAUGCCGUAUACCCCAACGAUGCUGACAUUGACAUCAGUCAAUGCAUCUUGUAUAGACUUCAGAGUAGAAAGUCUUGAUUUAAAGGCCUCGUAACCUUUGUUAGACUUUAGCCAUACCUCCUCCGCAAUGGUACGGUAGAAAAUUCUAUCAUCAAAUCUCCUAGCUUCUUCUUUGAGUUCAACAAGGGCCUUCACCUCUGUUUCUGCUUUCUUGCUAAGCUGAUAGCGGGUCUUCAAAUUAGGACACAAGCCCUUGAAACAUCGCUUACUUGUUGUCUCCCCAUCUUCAAUGAAUUUGGCUGCCUGCUCAAUGGUGUUGUUCGCACUAACCAUCCACUUCUCAACCUUCUCUUCAAUCUUUUCUCCUUUUCUUUCAGCCUCAGAAACUCUGUGCUGAAUGCUCUUACUUUCAUCCUUGAGCUUGUCUAUUUCUGCCUUGAGAUUCUCAAAGUUGUCUUUAUAGUUACGCAAAUAACCAAGUUGGCGUUCUGUUGGAGGAGCGAAGCAUUUCACAACUUCUAACAGAACAGUAACAAUGCUUUCCACCAUCUUCGAUCCUAUUUUUUUCAAAGUUCCGAAAUGAAAAUAAACGACGAGCGAAACACAGAGAGAGAGAGAGAGGCAAAAAAAAGAAAAACGAAAAAAAGAAAAUGAAACAACAAAGAUGACAAGUGUAUAUGGUUGUGGAAGUGGAGAAAUCAAUGAAAGCUUAAAAACUGCUGUGAAUCUGGUGAGAAGAUGGAAACAAGGAAAAGGUUUCUAGUUCAAAAGUGAUUGAAUUGAUAUAAGGAAUGAUUUAGAUAAUAGAGGAAAAGUGAAUCAGUCAAAACAACUUAUGUAUUGACCAGAAGAAAGAUGCAAACAAUAUUAGAGACAACAACCGCGCUAUUGACUGGUAAUAGAGAUGGAGAAAAAGAAAUAUCUUCACACGGUGGAAGUACAAAGGGUAGAUAUGGAACCAAACAGAGACAACAACAUGCCACAACUAGAUUGGGAAUGGAGAGAAACAAAUUAACAAAGACUGGAGAUUACAACAGAACAGAUGCCAAGAGAAAAGGGUUUCUUCAUCCAGUGAAAUUCAAGAGAGUUGACAGCAAAAGGGAGCAUAUGUGUUUCUUGAUUGAGAACGAGUGCAAAGGAUGACUUUUUAAUGAGGUUCUGAAGCUGACGAAUAACGAUUUGCUAAAAUUUUGAGAAAGUUAUAUAUUCCGUAACUUCAACAAGUGAAGAAUAAAAGAAUAAUAGUUCGUCAUCUUCACAAUGAAGAUCAUGGAUGAGAUUAAAAGCUAAAACUAGUUUUCAAAAUAAUUCCUUAUGAANNNNNNNNNNNNNNNNNNNNNNNNNNNNNNNNNNNNNNNNNNNNNNNNNNNNNNNNNNNNNNNNNNNNNNNNNNNNNNNNNNNNNNNNNNNNNNNNNNNNUCUUUUUUCUUUAAUACACGAAUAUACGCGACAUCUUAUUUAUCUUAAUAUGGUUAUUUGAUAUUUAUAUUUUCACAAAUCAAAACAAAAAAAAAGUAGUUAGAUUUUAUAGUUUAAGAAAUAAAUAUAUUUUAUAAAAAUAUUUUUAGAAUAUAUAUUUACUUCUUAUUCAAACUUUUUUCUAUUCAAUAAAAGUCACAAAAGUUACUUUUUCUAUUCAAAUGUAAAUGCUUAAAAAUCAGAUAUAAGUUACAAAAAAUGUUUUUAGAAAAAGUCAUAAAUUAAUAAAAUUUCAGAUUUUAUAUAUUUAACUCCCAAUGCAGAUCCGCCCCUAUUAGUGUUAGGAAAUUGACCGGUGAAGUAGGUCCACAACUAAAAUGAAAUUGAAAGAAAAUGAAGAACAAGCACACAGAGAACACCAAAAAUUACAUGGUUCGACUUUUAGCCUACGUCUACAGGUAAAGACAGAAGGAUAAAACUUUACUGGUGAAAUGAGGAUUACUAGUAUUAUAAUAUUUUGUUUCACUUCCCAGAACCUCAAUCCACUCAAUCUCUUAAAACACUAAUCACUCAAGAGCAUUAAAACUCUUAGUCUCUCACUCUAGAAUUGAAGAAGAAAAGAAUGAAAUGCGGGGGUGAACCCCUCAUUUAUAGUUAAAAAUUUGGGCACUAUUUAUAUAUUUAUAUAUUUUUUUUUAAAUUCAAAGUUUGAACUUGACAUUCAAACUUUGAAUAUCAAAAGGUAUUGGUCGCUCUUCUAGAAAAGCGAUAUUGACUUUGACAUUCUCCCACUUAGAAAUUUAAUUGAGAAUCAAUCAAUCUCCACACCAUCCUUUCUACUUCGCCGCUAUCAUGUUGCUUAUGUCUCUACUAGGCCAUAAAAUGAUCUACUCCAAACAAAUUUAUCAACAUUGAUAGGCUUGGGCAAAACAUUUGUUAGGUUCUCCUUGGUAUCCACUCUUGUAUCUUUCACUACUUCAUGAAGAAGUGAUAUUGUACUCCUAUAUUCUUUGUCCUGGAAUGAAAGGUUGGAUUCCUUGCAUCCUAACUAUCACAAGCCAUAAAAAAUUUUAUGCCCAAGCUCCUUCAGUAACCUUUGUAUCCAAAUAGCCCUUCCAAGCUUGUGUAGCUGCUAUGUAAUCUACUUCUGUUGUUGAUAAAACCACAACGGUCUGCAAUUUUGAAAUCCAACUAACAAUUUCUCCUUCUGGUGUAAAUACUUAGCCAGUAGUGGAUUUCCUUUUAUUAAGAUUUUCUGUAAAAUCUAAAUGCACAUAGCCCUUGACAGUAAAUUCUAAUCCUUCGUAACAUAAUGCAACAUCUAAUGUUCCUCUGAUAUAUCUCAGAAUCCUCUUAAUAGUCUUCCAAUGUUCUUUGCAAGGAUUCGCUAUGUAUCGACUAACCGCUCCCACUACUUGUACAAAUCAUAGUGAACCUUAAAUUUUCCACUGCUGAUGCAUACAGUGCUCAAGACAUCUCUUCUUCUCUACUUCAUUACCAGAUGAAUACUUAAGAAUAACUUAAAAUUAAUAGGAGGCGGGGUAGAAAGCCAAAUCUUCUUGCUAUUACUAUCUCGGUGAAUUUGCAUCCCUAAAAUCUUGUUUACUAGUUCUAAGUCUUUUAUUUCAAACUCCCUAGUUAACUGUGCCUUCGGUUCUUGGACUCGGUCUUUGUUGGGGUCUGCUACCAAUAUGUAAUCCACAUACCACAAUAAAAUGAUGAAAUCAUUAUUAUCAAACUUGUUGUAAUAUGUACAACAAUCUGAACUGAUUCUAUUGUAUCCAAUGUUUAUGAUGAAGGGAUUAAAAUCUCUUAUUUCAACAUUUCGGUGCACGUUUGAGAUCGUAUAGAGAUUUGUUCAACUUGCAAACCAAGUGUCCCUUUUUAGUAAAAUCUUCUAGUUAGAACAUAUAAAUCUUUGUUUCAAGUUCUCCAUGAAGAAAUGAAAUUUUCACAUCUAACUGCUCCAAAUAUAGGUCAAAUGUAGCACACAUUGACAAGACCACUCUGACUGUCCUAGGUCAAAUCACUGGAGAAAAUAUGUCAUUGAAGUUAAUACAUUCUUUCUAAGCAUAUUCUUUCACCACCAAUCUUUCACGAUACCGCUCCACUAAGUUAUUACCAUCACAUUUGAUCUUGUGGACCCAUUUGCAACCAAUGGUUUUUUUUUUUUCAUAUGGUAGUAGUACGAGUUCCUAUGUCAUAUUCUUGUGUAGAGCCUUAAUUUCUUCCUGCAUUGCUAUCAUUCACAAAGUAACAUCUGAGCUGUUUAAAGUUUCAUGGAAAGUUGAUGGCUUUCCAUUCUCUGUUAAAAGACAGUAUGCAAAAUUGAUAUCUAUGACAUAAUCCAAAUGCCACACUGACAGUUAUCUAUCACGAGUUGACCAACAAACUUUUGGGGCCUCAGACUCGAUUGGUUCUUGUUCUCAUACUUUGGUGUUGCUUCAAAAAAAUAUGAAUCUUCAUUUUCCAGAUUAUUUUCAACAUAUAUUAGCACAAUCUCUGAAUUUUUAUAGUGCUAUCAUCCAUAUCUCUCUUUUGCAUUUGAUCUUCUACAAAGAUAAUAUCUUUGCUGAUAACGAUCUUGUGAGCAUUGAGGUCCCAUAGAUAAUACCCUUUCACUCCAUCAAUAUAUCCUAAGAAGAUACAUCUCUAGGAUUUUGGAUCCAUCUUUAAUCUCACUUGGGUAUUGUAUAUCACGUAAAAGGACAUCAAAAUGCCUGAGAUGAGAGUAAUCAAUUGGCUUUCCUGUCCAUUUUUCCAUUGGAAUCUUCAACCUGAUUGCCUUGAAUGAUGACCCAUUUACCACAUAACAAGUAGUUUUUGCUACUUCCGCCUAGAAUGAGUUGAUAGACCAGCAGUUCUCAACAUAACUCUUAUUUUUUCUAUAAGAGUCCUGUUCUUUCACUCUACUACUCUAUUUUAUUGAGGAGUGUAUGCCACCGUGAACUAUCUCUAGAUACUUUCUUGCUUACAUAUGCAAGAAACAUGUUAUCUGUAUACUCUCCACCAUUGUUUGUCCUCAGGCACUUGAUCCCUUGCCCUGAUUUAAGUUCAAUCUACGCUUUGAAUUCUUUGAACAAUAGAAAUACAUUUGACCUUUUCUUGAUUGGAUACACCAAAUAUCUCCUAGAAUAAUCAUCAAUAAAAGUCACCAAGUACUUUGCACCUCCUAUAGAUAUAUCAAGUUAUUCCCAAACAUUAGAAUGAAUCAAGUCUAAAUACAUUUACUUUUGAAAGUGGAUCUGCUAAACUUUCAUCUAUGAUGCUUCCUUGUUUCGACAUGUGGCCAAGUUUAAGAUACCACAUCAUCGUUGAAUUUUCUCUAUUUGAUGUGACACACAUAAAAGCUUUCUGUAGUGUUUCCCUUUAAGUAUGAAUAGAUUAGCACCGAUCUUUUCCACUUUCAUUAAUGCAAGUGCGCCUUUGACUAUCUUUAUGAUCCCAUUUUCUACAUGAGUUUUGCGCGCAAGACUAUUUAUUUGUCCUAAAGAUAAGAGAUAUUUUUCAAGUCUUUGACAUGUCUUACCUUCUCAAUUGUGUGAACCGUACUAUUAAACAUAUUUAUUUUGACAGUACCAAUAUCAGUAAUCUCAAAGGCAUGAUCAUUACCUAUGUAUACAAAUUCUCUUGAAAUAGGUUCAUAUUUGUGAAAUCAUUCUCUUGGAGAGAUCAUGUGCCAGGCAACUAUUAAGUCUAUAAGCCAGACGUCAUAUAGUGGUUUUCUGCCUUUUGAAGUAGUUGUUGCCUUACUGUAGAGAAUUUUGCCCUCAUACGAGGUACUUACUACAUACCCUUGAGCAUUUGAUGACUUAGGAUCUUUACCCUCUCUUCUCUUCUAGUUGUUCCAAUACUCUUCCUUGCCACGCCCUUUCUUGCCACAAUUGUUGCAUUUGACAUUCUUCUUACUUCUUGAUUUUGAUCUACCGUGAUUGUGGCUCUCACUAGGGCCACGUUCCAUGGAUCUUCCUUUCAUCACCAAUAGUGCUUCUACUUGUUGCGAACUCGUUUGUCUAUCUUUUUUAUUUUUUGCUACUCUCCUCAUUUAAUACGGAGGCUGCCAUAUUGUCAAAGACUAACUUGUCUGCUCGAUUGUUAUUAGUUAGAUUAAUGACGAAUUGAUCAUACGAAUCUGGUAAACCUUGAAGUAGAAGCUCCACAUGUUCAUUUUCCUCUAUUUUAUGACCUAACGUUGUAAGUUAUGAAAAUAAAGUCUUUAAAGUGUUGAUAUGGUCGAUCACUGAUGUAGAUUCCGCCAUUCGAAGAGUAUAAAGCCUCCUCUUUAAAAAGAUUUUAUUUUGUAGUGAUUUGACCUCGUAUAGUCUUGUGAGAGUAAACCAUAUUUCCUUUGCUUUCUUUUACUCUACCAUAUUGAAUAAUACCCUAUCUGAAAGUGGGAAGUGUAGAUCUGCAAUGGCAUUAUUGUCUAUUUGAAAGUGGUAAGUGUAGAUCUGAAAUGGCAUAAUACCACUAUUAGAAAAUUGAUUGGUGAAGUAGGGUCACGAUUAAAAUAAAAUUGUAAGAAAAUGAAGAACAAGAACACAGAGGACAUCAUCAAUUAUUUAGUUCGGCUUUUAACUUAUGCCCAUAGGCAAGGACAAAAGGAUAAAACUUUACUAGUGAAAUGAGGAUUAUAAGUAUUUUAGUAUUUUGUUUCACUUCUCAAAACCUUAAUACACCCAAUCUCUCUAAACACUCUUAAUCACUCAUUAUAGAACUAAAGAAGAAAAGAAUGGAAUGAAUGAAAUGAGGGGGUGAACCCCUCUAUUUACAGCUAAAAAUUUGGGCAUUUUUAUAUUUAUUAUUAUUAUUAUUAUUUCUAAAUUUAAAGUUUGAACUUGAUAAUCAAACUUUGAAUAUCAAAAGAUAACGGCACCAACCUUGACUCUUAGGCUGACCUUUAGAGCUUUAAAUAAAGAAAAAGCUUUUAAAAAUGUCAUGUGUACUUGAUUAUACAAAAAUCUCCACCACAUAGAAUGAUUUGAUAAAAGAAAAUUUUUAUUUUUAAUUUUACUUUUAUCAGGCACAGUGCAUUUCCCCUUGGGCUCAUAUGUAAGGAUGUCAAUAAGAAGGGAAGGAGAGGGGAUUGAUUUCCCCAUACUCAUCUUUAAUACUCUGUCUAUCUCUUUGUACUCUAGACAUUUCCUUCAAAAUUACUUGAAAUGAGGGGAUGGAUGUUUCUAAAUAAUACAAAGGGAUCUCCGAUGGUAUCCGAUCGCUGAUUAUUUAAUUUCUUUUUUUUUCUUAAUUUAAUCAUCUUAAAGUAAAAAUAUAAAAUCAUAUUAACACAAAAAUAUCAAAUUAACUAAAGUGAUUAAAAUCAUUUCCAUCAAAUUAAGUCAAUGUCAUCAAAUUAGAACAUAAUCUUUGAACUAAUUAAGCAAAAGUAAAUCUUCAAAGUUGAACUCAUCCAUAAAUGUCAUAUAGUAUAAACCAUCAAUUAAAUUAUCUUUGUCAAUUUUAAAUUGUUUAUAUUUACUUUAUAUUGGCUGUUAUUUAUAUUAUUUUUAUAAAUGUAUUAUAAUAUUUUUUAUUUACAUCACACUAUUACAAUUGAAAUUUUAAAUGUAUUUACUAUAAAUUUGAAAAAAAUGAAUUAAAAAUAGAAACUAAAGAUAGAAAUAGAAAAAUGUGGAGCCAAAUAAAAUAUUAGGGCAAACACCAAGUUAUAUUUCAUGUAACUUACACCCACACAUAUUAAUUUAUCAGAUUCUUGUCUCCACAUAGAAAAAUUAGAUCUAAAAUUAUCAAACUCCCGAAUGAGGAAGAUCCCUCGGGGCCAUCGUCCCUGUGGAAAUUUCUGCAUCCCUGCAGUCUACAACGCCUAAUAAUGAAUUGAACGGUUGAAAUCCCUCUAAAUUUUUGAUAAUUUCUAAUCGCCCCUCCGUAUUUGAUUGAACAUCAAAACUAUUGAGUCCAAAUUUAUAACUUUGAUUUAUCUUCCAUUCCAUAGUUUUCAAGUUCUCUCUCUCUCUCUCUCUCUCUCUCUCUUAAUCCUUUUUACUGCAACCACCAUCAAAGCCUAGUAGUUAAUAUGUAUGCUGCUUUGCUUUCAAAAUCGGACACUACUGCUAUUUAUGGUUUUUAUUCUUUAUUUGACACAAAAUUUGGUGAUAUCUCCGUGGAAAAACACUACUGGUGUAUUCAAUUUUAUCCGGUAAUGGUUAAAUUGAUUAGUUAUAUGAACGGUAACUUCGCCAAGACGAAAAUACAUAUUAAGUUAUAAAGUGUUGGCACUCAUUAUUUUUCGCAAAAAGUUUCGCCCAAAAUACAUAUAUUUUUUUAUUGUUUUAUUUGACACAAAAUAUUGACAAAUUUUUCUGUGAAAAAACACUACUAUUAUAUUCAAUUUUAUCAUUAAAGUUGUUAGUUACAUGAACCUUAAAUUUGUUGGAUCAUAAACUUGAUCCAAGAUGAAUAAAUUCAAGCCCAAUUCAUGGAAGAUUCCAUGAGUAGGUAUGGUUGGUGAAGUAGGUGAGUGGUAGGUUUUAAUAAAUGGUGAUGAUUUAUGUAGUAGUUGAAUAAAUGAAUAGUUGUGAUUAGUUUGUAUCAUGUAUAAAUACCCCCUCUCCCCUUUGGUUUAAGCAUCAAGUGAAGUAACAAAAUCUCUAAGGUGUAGAGAAUGAAAAAUAAGAGUUGUAAUUGGUAAGGAGUGUUGUUGAAGAAAUAAAAUAGUGUGAUUUGUGUGUUUUAUUUGUUAAUUCUCCAACAAAAUUAACACGAACCGUAACUUAGCCAAGCCCAUAAUACAUAUUUCAUAUUUGUAUGAACUUUAAAGUUUUUCCACUUAUUAUUUUUCGCUAAAAGUUUCUAAAUUGUAUUGUAGUUUGAACUUGCCCAUCAUUCAAUUUUUUAACUCCACAAUUAUUUGACCUUACCAAGCUUGAAAAUAUCCUUCCAUACAUAUUUAAUUUUCUCCAAGUAUGAUCAAGAUUUAAUCAAGAGCCUCCGGGAUCUUAAAGUAUAAGAAAGGUCCGGAAAAUCUUUAAAACCCCACUGUUUAAAGUUUUUUUGGACUUUCCUGUACUUUAAAAUCUUGAAUUGAUAUAUAUAUAUAUAUAUAUUAUCAUUGUUAGGUGCUAGUACCCUCAUUUUUUUUUUUAAUGCAAACACCCUCUUAAGCAGUAGGGUUUAAUAGGAUUAUUGUUGAAUAAACUAUAAAGUCGUGCAUCUUAAUAACAUUAAAAACUAACUUUCAACUAGCUCUCUUAAAUUGUACGGCUUAAAAGCAUGUCCGCAUGAAAAAAUAAACAUGCCUGCACCAAAAAAGGACUAUAUAUAUUAUUUAUUUUAUAUAUACAUACGUGUGCACGCUCGUGUAUAUAUAUAUAUAUAUAUAUAUCUUUUUAAUAUAUUCGAUUACUUUAAUAAUCAAUUUAAAAUAGUUUGUGAUAUUUUCAGCUAUUUAUUUAUCUACUUUUAGUUAGUUAUUUACACCGAAUGAAGUGCUAGGGUCCAAAUUUUAGUAUCCUUCUCAGUUGUUUGGGAUUAGUAAAUACUAAUUAGCUUAUUCGUCCCGAACAGGCGCGUAAAUGCUGUUAGAUUUCGGAGAGAUCGAUGCUGAGGAUGGUACAAGAUUUAUCAAAUUGUGGCGACAUUUUUAUACCUUUAGAAUUUCAAGAUUUUGAAGAAAUAAAUGGAAUCUGUUUUCCAUAAGUGCUCCACUAUCCACCAGGAGGAAUUCUAAAACACAUUACAUAUUCGUGAUUUCUCAUAAUAAAUAAACACAUGUUAUAACAUUAUUUACUUAUCGUAUGACUGAUAUGAUACUUUGGAUUGCAAUUCUCAUACAAUACAUAGAAUUAUCAUAAUCUAUAAAUUGUAUUUUUGCUUUUCUACGGUAGUAAGUCAAGAAUCCUUAGUGACAAUUUAAAUUGAAAAAAUAAAAUCAUAAAUAAGAAUUAUUUGAUAAGAAUUAAAAUAAUUGAUAAAUAUUUGAGAGGAGCAAUUUUGGAAGACUCGAUUUCUAAUAGGAGGGGAAUUUGAAUUUUACAACUUUCGGUGAGGAAUCCAAAAUGCACAAUUUGAUGAAAAUUAAAUUUCAAUAGAAAUUGAAUUCCCAUAUGUUAGUGAAAACCAAACAACAGAAAAGUGAAAGGAAUUUGAAUUCAUUUCCUUCCCGUCUCAUCCCUCCAACUAAACACCAUCGAGACCCAAAGAUAUGGGUUUGGAAUUCCAUACUGAUCACAAUGGGAUUUGUCCAUAUUAUUAGGACCAAUUUUAAAAGCAGUCGGAGUUUAAAAUUGAAAUUAAUCCUAAUUUUUUAUUUGGGACUAGAUAAGAAUUUAUAUUGUAACUCCAAUUCUCCCAAUUAUUUUAGUUGAUAAUAUGUUUAACAUUAUUAAUUGCAUAUUAUUUAAUUAUCAGUAUAUAAUAUUCUUUAAUUUUCCAAUUUUAUAGGAUUAGACACAAAAUUGAUUAUGCUAAUAUUCUUUAAUUUUCCAAUUUUAUAGGAUUAGACACAAAAUUGAUUAUGCCUUCUGAAAUUUAAGGGUUAUGUCAAUUGAACAGAAAACUUGGAGUUGAACUUUUGGAUGUUUUUGUUGAUUAUCAAUUUAUGCAUGAAUUUUUGUACGUUUACUUUGGUUUAUUAUUGUUACUUUUAGACAUUUUUAUUGGUUUGAUUUAGGGUCAUUUUGGUAAUCUUGUAAUUUUUAAAGUAGUUACAGUUAGCUAUGCUGUAGAAAUUGAUCAAUUGUGAAGAGAAUCAGCUGAACAUUUAGUAAAAUUUAUUUUUAAAAGUACUUUAGUUUUAAAAGCAGUUGUAUGUGUUUCGUAAAUCUUAUUUUUAAACAGGUGCAAGAAUAUAAAUAACUAAAUUGGACAUAAUGCUAAAUAAAAUUUAUUUACACAUUUACAAACAUGUAUAUAAAAUAUUUUUAUUAUGUACAUAUAAUUAUUGAUAACUAAAAUAAAAAUUUUAUAUUAUUAAAUUUUAUUCUUUAUUUUGUUAUCCCAAUAUAAUUGGUAAUAAUAAUAAUCUCUUAAAGUUAAUGAUUUUAUUUCUUAAUUAAUAAAGAUAAUUCUGGAUUUUUAUUAUAUAAUGAGGAUAUAUAUAUAUAUAUAUAUAUAGAAUUGGAUUAAGUAUAAAAGUGAUUUUCAAAAUCAAAUUUUGAAAAACUAUUCCUUCCAUACUUUUCAAAAUCCACUGUAUGAUGAGAUGAUUUUUCCAAAAAUAAUUGCUAAAAAAUUAUAAAACACUAAAAAUUAGGUUUUAGUUUUUAAAAUCACUUUUGAGCUUCCCAAAAACAAUCCUAACAGGCCUUUAUUUAGGUGGUGUUGGAACUUGUAACUUUUGGAUCAUUUGGUUUUUAUUGGUUUGAUACAACUGUUACACUAAAAAUUGAAUGUAUCUUAAACCCCACACUUCUUCUUCUUCUUUUUUGAUUGCACAAAAUUAAAAACAAUAGUGAACGCAUUCUUUAAUAAACAAUAAGUAAUUACUAAAAUUGUGUUAAAGAAUUUAGUUGAAACAUAAAUUGAUUUCAAUGUUGUAUAUGCUAAAUUUCUUAAAAAUUUCUUUCACGGUUUGCUGAAUAGUUUUAUUAGUAUUUUGAAUAAAUAAAAAUAAUUGAUUUAAUUUUUUAAAGAAAUUUAUUAGGUUCAUGUAAAUACGUUUUUGUUAUUUUAAAAGUGUACAAAGUAAAACUUAAUUUUUUAAAUUUAUUAGAUGAGUGGAUAAAAUAAUUGAGUGUUCAUAGUAAAUUUUAAAGUAUAGAUAGUGAGACCCUAAUAUUUUUAAUAUAUGGAAAUUUUGAAAAUAUGUUAAUGGGAAUUAAAAUGAUAAUUAAGGGAGGCAUUCGAGACAUUCAGGAUUGUUAGGAUAGGACAUGAUUGUGAGCGGUUUGAGAUUGGCCCUAAUUUUGAUCACAAAUAUAUAAGCAGGAUGAGUUUAUCCAUUCUUACAUUCCAUUUGAUAAUUAAGAUGAGAGUGGAAUUGUCAAAUCCCAAAUUAUCCCGGACCAUUGCCACCAAAGGUACUCUCACUAAUAAUAUCUAAAGAAAAAUCUACAUCUAUUUCAUACCUUUUUUUUAAACGGAAAGAGCCCUUAUGGGGCUUGAAAUGGUAUCCUAAAUAAUAUUCAAAAUAUCAGGCCAUGACUGGGUUUGUAACAAACAAAUAUUACAUAGUUGGGAUACGUAGUUACUAGUGUCCCAAUUUAUGUAGUAUCUAUCAUUUAGUGCACAUAUAAAGUGUUUGGGAAAUGAAAUAGGGUGACCAAGAUAAGGUGUUUGCUCAUACAUUAUCGUGCUCUCCUCAAAGUAAAAAGUGAAAAAAUAGUUGAUAGGCUACUAGGAGUUUAUUUGGUCACCUCGAGCACAUCACCUCGACCAGGAUAUUAUUUGGUGAUCUCGAGCACAUCAUCUUGACUAAGAGAUUAUUUGGUCACCUUGAGUAUAUCACCUCGACCAGGAGAUUAUUUGGUGACCUCCAGUAGAUCAUCUUGACCAGGAGGUUACCAGGAAGCACGACUCAGUCGAAACAAAUCUCACUUAUUUUCUUCGAAAUAUUAGGGACCAUAUUCUUAGUGGGCUGAAAAUUGGUGGUUUUCUUGAGAGUUUUAGGUGAGAGGAUAAAAAUCACUAUAAUUUGCUAUAAAAACCCUGGGAAAGGGAGGGAAAUAGGGAGAUUCUUUUUAUCUCUCUCUCUUUGGGUGACUGAACCCAUGGGAUCUUUUUCUUUCUACCACUGGGAACCUUCUCUUUCUCUCAUGAUUUAUUUUUCUUUAAGAUUGGUUAUUUUUUAUUCUUUUCCCAUAAAUUUACUUAAAAGCUUUUUGUUUAAAGUAUUCAUAAUUAAGCCGCGUGAAUUGUGGUACGGAUUUUUCCAAGUAGACCCAAAUCGCUGACUUGAGCAUCGGAGGAUUUUCUUUAAGAUUGAUUAUUGUUUCCAUAAAUUUGAACCAAGAAGGAUGACGCGAUAAAAUUUGUUUUUAUUGUAUGGUUGAUUUCAUAUCUCAUGCACUCAUUUCUUAAGAUAAUUAGAUUUCAUCUUUUGCAAAUGUGGAAAUAUCAAUUAUGGUCAAUCAAAACGAUCUCAAAACCUUUCAACGAGACAUAUUUAUAAUACAAUAUUGUGAAAAUUACACCAAAAAAUUAAUUUAUGAUAUAUUAUUAUCCCACCAGCACACAAAAAUGAAUUCGUACAAAUCUAAAAUACUUAGCAAUUUUCAAAUAGAAUUUUAAAUUUAUUUCCAGUUAGAAAACUAUUCGCUGGACUCCAUAUUACUAGCCACCAUCGUAAGCCUAACCGGUUGCCGGCGAACGGCGUAAAACACCAGCCAUCUUCUUCUUCAUCAUAUUCUCCUUUCAUCUUUUGAGUUAAGCCUGUGAUUAUGAGUUUCUUCUCUUACUUAGCUUGUAAUUAUAGAUUUUGAUUCUUUUUAAUUCAUAUUGUAGCCGUUAUUGUCAAUUUUUGUCCCGCCAGCAAUAUUUUUUUAUUCCUACAAGUUGAAAAUGGAUUCAUUUGAAUUACUAUUGAAUUUAGCUUUAAUUUCAAUAUCCAUUCUAAUGUUUUGCUAUUAGAUUUGCUUUAAUUUUAUGUUUAAAGCUUCUACAAUGAAUAGCGGAGCUUGGGUUUUAGUUUCAUUUUCUGUAACUUGUUUUAGUUUAUCUUGUAUGCUCACCAAGUGCUUGUUAUAUUGUCUGAUAAGUUCUAUACAUUGCUGAUUCUAUAUUAAUAAUGUUAUGUUCUAUUUUCAGAAAUUAUAAUACAAAAGUUUUUACAAUGGCGUGCAUCUACAAACUGAAUUGACUUGUAGAAUAAGAGCUUGGAGUAGUGUUAUGUUCUUGAAUAAAUGAAAGUUCAUAUUGUGUAAGAGCAUGUAGAUGUAAAGCGUCAUUACCAUUUCUAUAAAGGACUUUCAUUCUGUUCAGAUGCUCUUCUUGAACAUUGAAAGGUGCCUCGUUCAAGUCCUAGCUAUAACUACUAGCUUUGAUUAAUUAAGUUCCUAUACUAGCUGAAACAGAUUUAUUUAAUUAAUUAAUUGUGUAUGUACUGAUUAUAUUGAAAGUAUAUGAAUUUUUUUUUUUUUUAACAUGAAUGACUUCUAAAUGACUUAAAAACCUAAAGGAUAUGUGAAAUUAUGCUCAUUUCACAUGAAUGAGCCUAUUAAUACUUUUAUGUCUAUGAUUGUCAAUAUUGGCUUAAGCAUUUCAGUUAAGUGGUUUACCUAACAGAGAAAAAAAUUUAAUAGAAAACUUCAGAGUUCUAACAGAAAUAUAGUUCACUAUGCAGAUAUAGUUAUUUUACGGUAUACAAAUCAAGUUGUCCUAAUCUCAAUGUCCUAUGACCAAUUUUAUUUUAUAUAGUCAUUAAUUUUUGCCAUGGUUUUUUGUGUUUAUGAGUUUGAAAUAGUGGGAUUUGGUGUACCUUAGCAUCUUUUGAAAAUUCUCUUUAAGUGUGGCCAACAGAAAUAUACAUAUAAUCAAGUUUCUUAAUCCUGUAUAUUAGUUUUGGGUAUGAAUGGUCCUAUUCUAGCUCUAGGCAAAGCUUCUUUGUUUUGGGCUUCAGAUUUCCAGUAGGUUAAGUUAAUCAACUAUCAUAACUGGCUAGCUAGUUAUUUGUUUGCCUUGCGGCCAUUACCCAGGGCAUUAUAUUUGCAUAGGCAUAAGGGAAUAGUGAUUAUUAGUGAUUUGUUGAGCUUAUUAUUGACGAAACAAAUGUAUUUCGCCUUUGCCCACAACUUAUUUGAUUAGGUAUUAGACCAUAAGGAGCCUGGAUCUAUUCAUUGGCUUUAUUAUUUUUAUUUGGUUUUUCUUUCAACAAUAUUGUUGAUUUCUUAUAAAAAUAUUCAUUGGCUUUUAAACACCUAAUCAUUGGCUAUAUGAAGCUAAUUAAAACUGAGGCUUUGGAUCAAUUUCUUCUAACAAGAUACAAAUGAGCAAAACCUUUCUCCUCUAAGUUAAUUUUUUUAAUAUCCCUUGAUUUGUAAGGAUCUGGAGGCCUGAAUCCUCUUGAUUUUUUUUAACACUGUCAAUGUUCUUUUUAUUCUGAGAAGGAAAUAAAAGGUUUUAUCUUUCAUACCCGAAUAGUAAGCUGGCCUUGUCUUAACAUGGCCUCCCGAGGACUUGCAAGAUUCAUAGUGCCCCCCACCCCAAAAAAAAACAUAAAAAACACAAAUAGGAAGAUUUUGCAAGAUUCACCACCAGGUUUUUUUUAAUUUAUUAAUUGUGUGUACGUGCUAGUUAUAUGUUGAAAGAAUAGGAAGAAGUAUUUCAACAUGAAUGACUUAAAACUUAUUGCUCAGUAAACAUAAUCUGCAUCAGUGCGAAAAUGUAUUUAUCGUUUGUAUUUUUUAUGGUUUUGCUAAAGAAAUGAUAUGUGAAAUAAUGCUACAUUGCAUCAGGAAUAAAUUGAAGAGAUUUAUGAUAUUUAUGUGUUAUUCAAAUUUCAGAUUCAAUUUUAAACUUUUGAUACGUGCAUUGAAAGCUUAGACUUGUUUAAGAAAUCAUUAAUAGACACAUGUUUUAUUAGUGUCAUCUUUGGAUGAUAGUGAGGAUCAUAUGUCUAUUAAUAAUUCUUGAAUUGUCCAGGCUUGGACAGUUUGGGAAUGCAUAGUUCACUCUGGUAGCUAGUAGCUGAAGUUUUUUCCCACGUAAAAAUGGGUUUUUCGGUAGCUGCUCCUCGUGUUCUCUGGGUACGUACUAGGUGAAUGGGUGUCAUGUGCUGUUUUGGCAUAACGCAUAAACACUUAUAUAGCUAUGUCGUGUGCUUGGAGAAUUAUAGGGAGAUGGUGCCGAAAUUUUUAUAAACGUGGAAGAAAACUUUAGGUACUUGAGAUUGAAGAAACUAAUGCAUUCUUGAGUGGGAUAUGUAGGAUUAGUUGCCUUUUGUAAAUAUGAAGGGAAUGUUGGAUAUAUUGGGGAUAGUGUAGGAGCUGAGUUGGAUGAAUGUAAUUGGUGAUGAUUUUGCUGAGCUGACCUUGGUUUUGAGCUUGUAAUUUUGUUUGUAAAUGGAGUGCUAUCUCCAAUGUUGGUUUAUAAAAAUGUUUCAGGACUUGCUGACCUAAUUUUUUGUUUCUAGGUUACAGGCUUUAUAUAUCUGUAAUUGAUAGCCAAGUGAAGUUCUCAGCACUUGGCAAGGAUAUUUCUUUACAGAAGGUACUGGAAACUGUUUUUUACAUUAAUUAUCGUUGUUUAUAUACUUUGAUUGUCACAUCUUUUUCUCUGAUUCUUGUGGCUUUGCUUGCUUUCAUAUAUGUAAAUUCUAAUGAAAUUAACCAUAAAAUUGUAAAAUGAUUUUUUUAUUAUAUUGCAAAACUGUGCACACACGAAAAUAUCUUGUUUAGUAGUAGAAAUGAAGAAAUAAUUUUUGUAGCGCAUUAAAAGGAGAUAGUCAUGGACAAGUGUUGGGUUGGUUUGCCAAAUAGAUAUCCAAGUCAUAUACUGAUGGCGUUGAAAAAUUUAUAGAUUUUGUAUUUGAGAAUGUUGUUGGUGGUACAAGAAUUUAUUGUCCUUCUUGAUAAGUGUUGUAAUCUAUAUUUCGUUAUAAGGGAAGUGGCUGAUGAUGAUAUGGUUGGAAUGAUACAGUGCAUCACGUAAUCAAAUGUUCAAGUUACACGCAGCAUUGUUAUGAGUGGCAACUUGUCUGGGUGGAGUAUUAAAGGUAAAUAAGCAUGUCUUGUUUGCCAACAAAGCACUGGAUCUAAUUCGUUGAUACAUAGUAGAAAAUUUUGUCACGUGGGUCACCGUCGAUUUUUCCCAACAAAUCAUAGGUUUCGAAAAUAUAGUGUCUUUGAAUAAAACUAGAGAGUAGGGACAAGCACCUUCUCAGUUGUCUGCAACUGAAGUGAAAAAGCAGUUUAAUGUAUUUACUGAGUAUAAGAUUGAAGACUUGAAAAGAGAAGAACGAAUGAGAAAUGAUAAGAUUACUUGGAAGAACAACAGCAUUUCUUAAGAUUACUUGGAUGAGAAAUGAUGUGGAAGAUGGCUAUAAAAGAUAAAAGGAAAGGCUUAAAAAGAAAAGCCACGCCUGUCAAAAACAAAAAUCAAUGGCAGCGUCAAAUUUAUAACAAAAAUCAAAACGGUGCGUUUGAGAGUGUAUAAAAUACAUUUAGAGUGGGAGUUGUGUUGUUGCUUGAAGGCAGAAUGUUUGUGAGAUAUUUGUCGACGAAGCCGAAACCAAAGAUGAAGCCCAUCGAAAGUAUUUAUAGUGUAAAAAGUAUAUUGUGGAAAUGUCUGGUCGGUAAUACAACUAUUUCUUGUAGUGUAAAUGAUACACUAAUUUGAAUUUAUAUGCUUUUAUGAUUAUUUGAUUAUCAAGUGGUGAUCAUAUGUGAUGAUAAACUUAGGUCGUACCUUUAUAUUUAUAGCCUUAGUUUUCUAAGCGUUCACAUUUUGAUGAGUAAAUUAAGGAUUUCUAGAUGAAGUACAUAAUUAGAUUAAUGCUAAGGAACUGAAGUUUGAUCAACUGAAAACGAAAAUAAUAAUGAAGGUAAUUAAGAAAAUGAACAAUGCAGAAGCGGUCCUUAUUAGGACUUCUAGAUUUUCUCUUGGGCUUCCUUAUUAUUGUUAAAAAAUGACACGAAGAACUGAGUUUAAAAAUCUGGCCCUGAUGCCUGGUAGCCCUCCAACAUAUGAAGCACUAGAUGUUUUAAUGAGAAAAUGACAAGACCAUUUAUCAAAUUUCUUGUGGAUAUAAAUACAUACACAUAGACGAGACCAACCUCCUCAAAUGAGAAUCAGAGUGAUUACAAGACCUUGCAAUGGGACGAUAACACACCAUCAAAUCUCAAAAUACAAUAGAAAUUCAUGACAUAUGUAUAAUAAAAGAUCUCUCAUUGAGUCAUAUAUAUUGAGAAUAAAAAUGUUAUAAUACAUACAAAGAGCUUAGCUAGAAUAAAAUGUCUUUGAACUUGCGAUGAUCAAACAAAGGAAACAGACAGGUUGUAACUCACACUAUCACAGAUGUAGCGACACGAUGCAGUGAAUCACAAGAAGAUCACGAAGAUGGAAACGGGAACCCCUCAGAAUGUAAACUUUGAAUAGAGGAAAAAAGAAAAACGUCCUUAUUUCAAAUUGUGCACAGAAGAAGAGUGACUUAAAUCUUCAUCAGUAUCCAGGCAUUCUGCAAUCAUAAAGUAGAGAAAUUUUAACAGGAACAACAGAGAAAAUAUUAUGAAUAUGCUAGACCAAAUUAGUCCCUUUUUUGGUUUGUGAAAACUUUAUUUUUUAUGAAUACGCUAUCCAAUAUUUUCAAUCAAUAUUUCCACAAUAUAGUUGUUCAUAGCUAACGUUUGAUGGUUUAACGAUUUGUUCCAAGAAUAAUGGGCUGAUUACGUUUUGUUUUAUUUUUAUUUUAUUUUUUUUAAUCCGAUGAAGGAUAUUCAGCUGUCUUUAAUUAUGCAUUCAUAGGGAAGAACAUUUUCUAAGUACUUUCCUUGCCUUCUAACUUUCCAAGGAAAGAUAGGUGUAAAGAAAAGCAAACCCAAUGAACAAACAGAGCACAAACUAAAAUAAAAGAACAGCAAUGAUGAGGAUAAAUAAUUAGCAAAUAAAGAAAGGAAAAAGUAUGCACGUUUUCAAGGAUUUAAAAAAUACGAAGGCUUUUAAUGAAAUUUUAACAUAAAAAAGUAUGCAAGGAGUUAUAAAAUUUUAGAAGACGAGGGGAGCUCGCAAAAAAAAAAGAAAAAGACUCAAAUUAAACUACACUAAAAAGACAUUCAAUUAUGCAAAAUCUGUCCAUAAAAGUCUGAAAGGAUCAUUAAAAUUGCAUUGCAAAUUUAACAGUAAACUGAGGAACCCAUUCUAAAUAAUUCAGAUGAAAUUGCGAAACAAGCUAUGGGAUUAAAUAAAUUAAAUAAAAACUAAUUACCAGUUGAGACUUUCUUCUAAAACUUCGCAACUCCAAGUCAUAAGAAGCCUAUGAAAUUAGUCGUACAGCGUAGAGUAUGACGACGACACCGCCAACAGCUGAAAGUAAAAUUCUUAUUCAUCAAUUUAAACUUACUUUAUAACAAAUAUCUUAUCUAUAUUGUAUUUAAGAAAGCAAAUAUUGUAAAAAUUUAUCAUGGGAGAUAGAGAGUAAUAUGUACAUACGUACCUUCUCAGCAUGUAAUUGUUGUAUGGUUGUGUUUAGAUCAUUAUUAGCCCAGCGCCGUUGAUCCGCUGUCUCUCCAUAGCAGACGUUUACUCUUAGAGGCGUGAUUGAUUCUCCUGUAGUGAAAAUCUUCAUCUUGGGACAACCAAUCACCCACAACUCUUGCAAAGAUGGGAAUUUGAAGGUGUAAUUGGCAGGGCAGAAAUUUGUGAGGCUAUCUAAAUCAAACAGUUGCAACGACUUCAAUUUGCAGAAAACAAUCUCUUCUUUUUCAACUCUAUCUUUGUCAUUUAUUACCACCUCUGUCAUUGCUCUGCAUCCAUAUACUUGCACUUUGACCAGUCGCACUAGAGUUUUUGCUGUGGAGGAUGUUACUAAGUGUAUCAAUUCCUUGCAACCGAAAGCUACAAGUUUUGUUAGGUUCCGAAAAGAUACCGAUGAUGAUGGCAAUAGAAUUAACAGACUUUGACAAUGAUAUACUCCUAGAAUUUCAAGAUACUGAAAAAUGGGGCCAAGUUUGGAAUCGUGUUUGCACAGCUGCUUCAGAUGAUAGGGCCGGUACAGCUUUAAUUCUUUUAUCAUUGCCAACUUCCCCACAUGUUUCUCUAAGCAUCCUUCCAUCGAAAAUACGUCUUCGUCGAAUGAAAAAAAAGACAGUGUGAGUAUUUCGAGAUUGUGAAAUCUCUCCAGUACGUUCCAGAUUGGAAAACAAGCUGAGUCAUCUGCAGCAAUCUCUAGUUCUCUAAGACUGCCAAAAAGGUGUUGUGGGAAAUCGGCCUGCAAAAUCAUCUUCACAUCUUUUCCACUUAGUGAUAGUUCCAUCAAGUUGGGUACGAUCUGAUCAUCAUCAAUCAUAAUAACUAAUGAGGUCAAUUGAUGAUCUACGGUCACACGCAGUGACUUUAUAGUAUUUGUUUUAUAUUAUAUUUUAAAAAAAAUUGAAUUAUUGAUAAAAUUUAUUAAAUGAUUUUUUAUAUGUUAAUUUUAGAGGUAAAAAAGAAAUUAGGGAAAAAGGUUGAUUUAUACUGGCUCGAAAUUAUUUUAUUGCACAAUAAUAAAUUACUAAUUUAUUUUGUAAGUUCUUCUAUAUGGAAACACUAAGGAUUCUUUUAGAAAUGCUAUACAAAAAAAAGUUCAUAUAAUUAUUAAUCUACCACAUUGAUCUCUUAAUCUAGACUAGCAAAGAUUAUUGUAUAAUAAAAGUUUUCAAUUUAUUGAGUAUUAAUUUAUUGAUGCUUUGCCAUAUUUUUCAAAGUUAAAAAUAAGCUAUAGACAAAAAAUCUAGAAAAUGGCUUCAUACCUUUUCCAACGGCAAUGGGGGCUGUUGUGCAGGAAUGCCAAGUUGAUCAUUCUGCGAUAAAUCUGCAGUGAAUAUCUUUAAUUUGUCACAACAAUGCACUGAAAGAAUUUCUAGCGCGGGCCAUUCCAAAGUAUGCAUUCCAGGGUACAAACAUCUAAGUUUUGGUAGACCUUGGAGUCUCAAAGUGGUGAGCUGUGGAAAGACAAAAUAAGGGAUCACUUCAUCUGCUCUAUUCUCAAAAAUGAUCUCCUGUAAAUCCUCACAGAAGCGAACUUCUAGGUGUUGGAGCUGCUUAAGGCUUCUGAUCAUAGACGCUGAAAAUAUGUAUUUUAAUUUGUGACAACGCCACACAAUCAAUCGUGUUAAAUUUUGAAAGCGAGGAAACGUGACCGGAAGAUGAUUGUAGUGCCAAAUCUUGUCGACAUUAAUUUCAGAUAUCUCCAAAGCCUCCAAGUUAGGCAACGCAACCUAAAAGAAUAAGAAUUUCUGGUUAGAUCCAAUAUCCAUAUGGGAAGCACUUGUUGAAAUUUUCUUCUUUGAUUGCAAAUUCAUGCAAGUCAGAAUCAAUUUCCAACUGACAGCUGAGUAUGCAUUCUAAUUCAUACUACUUGUUAAGAGCUCAAUUAGUGAGCGCGUGAGAUUCUUUUUAUCCUUUUUUCCGUUUUUUUUCAAUUCUUCAAAUGAUUUAAUUAUUUUCCACGUAUGAUAUCAAAAGAGAACGCAUAAUAGAAUAAAGAAAAUGUUAGCCUACGCACCUUCUCGUUGAAAAGCAGAGUUGAAAUAUCCAAAGUGAUUUCGCUGGAGCAAUACAUAGUCGUCGAUUCCUCUUGCGACACUUGUCUGUUCGGUGAUGCUGAAGGAGUCUCCACCUCACGGCGGCAAAAACUUGUAACCUCAGGAAGAUUCCCCAGACUCAAAGAUCUUAAUUGAGCAAACUCUAUCUUCUCAAUUGCAUUAUCAACUUCUUCCCCAAUUGCAAAAAUCUCUUUCAUCUUGCUGCAAUUAACAACUGCAAUUCUCUCAAGUCUUGGAAGGCAUUUUGUAGUAGAGAGCCAAAAGAUAUUACUCAACUUAUCACAAUUAUAUGCUUCUACGGUUUUGAGUUCGUUGAAAGACUCUACUUUGAGCCGAUCAACACAUAUCCUCUCCAUGUUGAUCAAAUUGUGAAUGGUAAGUGACUCCAAAAGAGGAAAGGCAUCACAAGCGACCAUCUCCCUUGAAUCGACGAUACAAAAGAAGUCAGGAUUAUUUUGAACCCAGAGAAGCUUCAAUUGUGAAAAGCCCUCCGUGUCCAAAUUGAAAAGAACAUUCUCGAUGCCUUGCAGCUUGUCCAACCAUAAGUAUUCAACGUUAUUGAUGCCCUGCAAUUUCAUGGAGCAAAUGUCCAUAAAAUCAAGCUUGAGCUUCAAUGAUAUUAAACUCUUGCGAUCACUGUUGAUCGAAAAGCGAGGCCGACUUUUAAACCAAUGUUGGCCAACACUCAUGGGAUGCAUGAAUAACCCAUUUCCAAUAGAUAUUUUGAACCUUUCGAGCUUUCUGGCCAAAAAACCUUCUGGUAAAAUAUUGUCACUUUUAACGUCAAUUUCUAGAGUGGUUAGCCGAGGUAAAUGCAUCAAUUCGUCAAGGCUAGCAUUACUUCUUUUGCUGUUGGCUCUUUCAACCUCCCAUUCAAUGAAGCAAUUACCCAUAUACAGCUCUUCUAAUCGAGUUAAGCUUGAUAUGAGAUUAGGCGCAAUAACUUUUAGAUGGAAACAAUUGGUUAAAUCUAACAAUCUCAACUUAUUCAAUUGACCUAGUUCUCCGGGCAACUGCAUAAUAUCAGACUUCAAAAAGCUAAGGACUUCUAGAUUCUUCAACUUCCCAAUGAUUGCUAUGUCCCCCAACGCACUUUGAUCCAGACAUAGUGUGUGAAGAUUUGGUAGAAGAUCAAUUGAAGAUGGAAAAGAAGAAAACUGCAUUCGAGUAAAAUCUAGAACUCUAAGCUUUUUCAUCCCUACAAAAAAGUUCUCAGGAAUAUUGAUUUCAAGAGAAGAAUCUUUGAGAGAGACAAAUAAAAAUUCAAGGUUUGGGCAUUCUAAUCCUUCAGGAAAUUCACGAUUACUAUUAUUUCUUAAAGAGAUCGCAUUGCAUUUUCGAAGUGCAUCCUCAUCUGGCCAGUCCCACACAUCCUUAUUUCUCACCAAAAACACAUGUUGGUGGCGGCAUGCAAUUGAUAUUGCGACAUCACGAACAACAUCAUGCAUUGAAAAUUGUUCAUUGCUCUCACCCUCAAGCAACAAACAAGAGUGUCUAAGUUCAUGGACCAAUGCAAAUAAUUUGUCUCGUGCAUCUUCCAUCUUAUUGACUCCUUUAAAUAUACCCAAACCCAUGGAGUACUUAAACAAGUCCGAAGUAAGAAUACGGUUAUCCAUUAGACUACAGAGCAGAAAAAUUUUCUUGAGUUGCUCACCUUUUAAAUGGUUGAAACUCAGCUCAAUACUUGAAUAAGUCUCUGCAGAUACUCCUUCGAAGUUUACCAUUGAAGGCGUUCGGAGUUCUCGCAAGGAAUUCUUCCAUUCAUGAAGACUCUUGCUUCUCAGUGCCUUUGCCACUGUAGUCAAGGCAAUGGGCAAACCUCCACAUGCCCUGGCGACGUCUAUUGCUGUAGAUUUCAACUCACGAUUUUCAACAUCAUCUCCGGCCAUCAUCUUAAACAAUCUCCAGGCUUCUUCUUCAUUUAAAUUGUUUAUCAAAAAGUUGUCUUUAGAUCCCAUUUUUAAGAGGACACUACGAUCUCUUGCUGUCAGCAGUAGUUUGCAGCCUUUAUGAUCUUCUCCAAAAGGAAUUGCAAUAGUCCCCAAAUCAAGAGGUUUCCAGAUGUUAUCCAGAAUCACAAGGAUCUUCUUCUCAUUCUCCAAUCUUUCAUAUAGUCUACUAGCUCUUCUAGACUCAGCUUCCUCGCGCAACUCCAAGCCCAACUUCUCGGCAAUUUCCUGUUGAAUCUGUUUUAUGUCUGGAGUUUGCGAAACCUCUGAAAAGACCACCAUAUCAAAGUGCUUGUCUUCCAUAGCUUGCCUGGCGACCUUCUUCACCAGUGUCGUCUUUCCAAUGCCGCCCAUGCCGUACACCCCAAUGAUGCUGACAUCAACAUCGAUCAAUGCGUUUUUUAUAGCCUCCAAAGUAGAACGUCUUGAUUCGAAGGCCUCGUAGCCUUUGUGAGACUUGAGCCAAAUCUCCUCCGGAAUGGUACGGUAGGAAAUUCUAUCAUCAAAUCUCUCAGCUUCUUCUCGGAGUUUAAAAAGGGCCUCCUUCUCUGUUUCUGCUUUCUUUCCAUGCUGAUAGCGAAUAAUCCAAUUAGGAAACAGCCCCAUGAGACAUCGUUCAUUUGCUUUCUCUUCGUCUUGAAUGAAUUUGGCUGCCUGCUCAAUGCUCUUGUUCGCACUAAACAGCCAUUUCUCAACCUUCUCUUCAAUCUUUUCACUUUUUCUUUCAGCCUCAGAAACUCUGCGCUGAAUGCUUUCUCUUUCAUCCUUGAGCCUAUCGAGUUCUGCCUUGAGAUUCUCAAAGUUGGCAGCGGAGUUAUACCAAUAACUAAAUUCGCGUUGUGCGUGAGGAGACAAGCAGUUUACAACUCCUGGAACAAUGCUUUUCAAAAUGUCCAUUUUUUUUUUCUUUUUUGGGGAAGUGAACGAAAUAGAAAUAGAACAGAGUCAACGACCGCGCAAUUGAUAAUUAAGUAGAAAACAAGGCAAAAUUGAAAAAAGAAAUUAUAUUUGUACAAAACAAGGGGAAAAUCAGUGUAACAGAAGAGAAUCAAAGUGUUUUUGAGAUCAGAAAAUUGAACCAAGAAAAGGGUUGCUUGAUCCAAUGAAAAUGCAAAGAGCUGAUGGCAAAAGGAAACAAAGCUAAAUAAGAAAACGGUUAGCACGAGCAGUGACCACGAUCAACAGAAGCAAAGUGUGUAUGAGAUCAAAAGACGAAAAUGAGGAGAGGUUUUCUUGAUGGAGAAUUGAAGGCAAAGAGUAGGAGCUGACGAAUACGGGGAUCAAGAGGGAAAAACUGCUUGCUUGUAAAACUACUUUCAAGCGAAUCUGAUAAAAUUAUUUCAGUACUCGUGGGCGACUCCUUUUUAAACUGCAGAAGGGGGAAAAAAAAAGUCUGAAUUUCAAUAUAUUAAUCUCGUAAUCAAUGAUUAAUUAGUAGAUAAUCUUUCUAACAAAUAUGUGUUGAAUAGAUAUAUUUCUUGAUUAGUAGUAGGUUCGAUAUACUUUACUAUAGGAAUGAAAGUACAAAUUGUGUCAUAUUAGAAUACAAAUGGGACCUAAAAAUCCCGUUUUAUGGCCUUUUAAUUAUUUGUCAGCUAAUAAUGAAGUCAUAUACAAAAAUUAUUAAUCUGACCUAGUCUUUAAGUCUUAUAAAUGUUUCUAGAUUUUUAAUUAUAAUAUCAUUAUUUAAAAAAUAUUGCUUGACUUACAUUAGUAACAUUACGAUUGUUCAUAAAACAUGUGAUCCUCAUCCAAAGGCCAGGUGAACAAAUAUAAACGACAAAUUCUUUUCAAUUAAAUAAUCAUCAAGAGAUAAUCUUCUAUUUCAGUACAAAUAGCGAGUGCAGAACAGCUGUCAAGAGAUAAUCAUUGUUUAUGGAGCCAUAUAUAUUUUCUAUUAAAAUAGUUCGUGAACAAUUGCCAGAAUCCGUAAAAAUUGUUGAAAGGUCUAUUAUUUUCGAUUAAAAUUGUUGAAAGGUCUAUUAGUUUCGAUUAAAAUAUUUUCGAUUAAAAUAGUUGCGUGAAUAAUUACCAUAGAUAGUGUUUACAUUUUGGAUUGGACUGAAAAUCUUGAAAAGUAGAAAUCUUGGGAUUGAGAGUAUGGAGUAAAAGUGGGUGUAAGUUGUUUACUUACACUGGAAUAUCAGCAUGGAAUAAAGAUUAUAAUCCAAUUUAUGUGUUUACUUUAUCUUGGAUUGGGAGUAAAUAGUUUCAAAUUAUAAUUUUAUCUUUAUUUAAAGAAUUAUAGUUUUUAAUUACAAAGUUAAUAAAAAAAUAUAUUUAAUGAAUAAAAAUUUAUUUUAUUAUAUUUGUAAAUUUAUAAUAAUUAUUAAUAUUCUUAAUUAUGUACAUCAUAAUUUUUUAUUAAUUUUAAUUUUAAUUAUAUAAAUUAAAAAUUAUUGAUAAGAGCAAUGUAAAUGAAACAUUUUUACUAUUAACAUAGUACAAAAUUAAUAUUUUCUUAUAAUUAACUAUUUAUUAUUACUAAUUAUUGAUAUUAAAUAAAUAUAAUACUAUUAUUUUUAAAUAAAUAUAAUAAUAUUAUAUUUUCAAAUAAAGAUAGUAUAUAGUAAUAUUAUUAAUUCUCUAUUAAUAUAAUAAUAUUAUUUUUAAGUAAUUUAAACUUAGAAUCAAACCAAAUUAUUAUUUAGUUAAAUAUAAUAAUAUUAUUUAAAUAAAUAAAAUAUUAUUUAUUUUAUUUUAUUAAAUAUAAUUAUAGUAAAUUUAAUAAAAGGGGGUUAAAAAAGGAAGGUAAAUAUAAAAUGAAAUAUUUUUUAUUUAAUUAUAUUAAAUUUAUUAUUAUAUAAAUAAUAAUAUAAUAUUAUUUAGUAUAAAAUUAAUAUUUUCUUAGAAUAAACUAUUUAUUAUUAUUAAUUAGUAAUAUUAAAUAAAUAUAAUACUAUUAUUUUUAAAUAAAUAUAAUAAUAUGAUAUCUUCAAAUAAAGAUAGCAUAUAGUAAUAUUAUCAAUUCUCUAUUAAUAUAAUAAUAUUAUUUAUUUUAUUUUAUUUUAUUAAAUAUUAAAUAUUAAAUUUAAUUAAAUAAAGGUAGAAAAGGGAGAGGUAGGAGUGGGUUUCCCAUGGGAGUCCCACUCACACUCCCCACUCCAAAAAUGGGUGGGGUCCACGGAGUGGGAUUCCCAAUCCCUCCUUAAAAUAGUGAAGAAAACACUGAAGUUAGAGGAAUUCACACUGCGCACACUCACUCCAGAAAGUAAACAUCGAAAAAGCCAAAGGAUGAAGAACCACUAUAAGUUCUUUUAUGAAUUUAAAAUGCUAAAGAAACUUGACACCAACGCUAAGCUAACAAGUGCAUAUUUUUCUGUGGCCCUUGCCUCAAUGUCUUUCGGGCAUUGCUCGGGGGUAGUUGAUAUACUGAUUAAAAUAUGAAUGAAUUGGAAUGGAAUGAGUUGGAAUUAAAAUAUGGAAUGAUAAUUAAUUAAUUUAUUUAAAUUGUAAAAAUUAAAAUUAAAAUAAAUUAUAUCAUCAUUGAUAUAUUUAUUUUAUUUUAAAAUCACGAUGAGUUGUUACAAAUUACAAAAUAUCUUUAAUUUUUUAUCAUAAUAAUUAUUAUUUAUUAUAAUAUUUUGUUGGCCUAAAUGGUUAUAUAAUCCUUGAUUUUGAUGAUAACAAACUACAUAGAGUACAAUGGUAAAUUUAUUUCUCACAAUUUCACAAGUUUUUGAAGGGCAAAAAUCAUUCAAGUGAGAUCAAGAUCAAGAUACUCAAUAGACAAUGACAAUCAAGGAUGACUACUAAGGGUACUAGUUUACGCAAUCUUUAUUGUUAAAUUUCUUGUAAAGCUAGUAUAAUUUAACGUGUGCAUGAUGUAACAUUUAAAAGCUCAAGAUAUUUUUCAUGACAUUUUCAAAUUAAAUCAUCAUUUUCUAUAAUAUAAAAGUUUUAACGAUUUUAUAAAAUUAGUUGCUUUUUCCAAAUUUAUGGACUAAAUUGAAAAGUUUUGAGAACUUUGAAAUCAACUAAUAAUGUUUUAAAUCAUAGAAAUUGACAUAUUUGUAAAUAUUUCAAACGUUUUGGGUCGUAAUAUAAUUUCAAAAAAUUAGGUCUAAUCUAUAAAUCCUGGAACAAUAGUGGCUAAUCGCUUAACCAAUAGCGGCUAACUACUUCAAGUCCAAAAACAUAGCAGCUAACCGCUUAAAUCAAGUGGUAAUCCACUUGAACCAAAGUUUUCAAAUUUGAUUUGCAACUGUAACUUACCAUAUCAACAUAGUGGCUAAUCGCCUCAUUUUAACGGCGAUCCAGCAAGUCCCUAGAAAAACCAAUAAUUGCUAGUUUGAUUGUUUAAACUAUAAAAUUCAAAUCUAACAAUUUUUUUCAAUCUCAAUUAAGCUAAAACUUAUUCAUAUAUCUUGAGCUUUCAUUUUGCUUAUCUACAUACAUUAAUCAUUAUAGAGCUAUCAUUUGCUUAUACACUCUUAUAGAGUGUAAUCUUUGUAAUCUUCAAUUAAUAUCAAAAUUGAGUGAGUACAAGUGUGGGAAACACUUGGAAAAAGAGGUGUGUGUAUACAUAAUUACUUGUAAAGGUUUAUUAACACCGUAUAAGUCAAUUGUAAAAUUUUAGAGCCUUGGAAGGUUUGGAUAGUAGAAUUCUCAAGUUUGGAUUACUUGGAGGCGUAGUCAUAGGCGGGUUUGCCGAACUACAUAAAAAUUCAUCUGUUUGUUAUCUUCUCCCUUAUCUUUUUAAUUUCACGCAUAGUUAAAUUUACCAUUAUUAAAUUUCUUGAAGCAUUUGUUUAAUUUGUAUUGUGUUUUUGUUAGUAUAAUUUUUAAUACCUAAUUCACCCCCUCUUGGGUUGCUUAGCUAGAAUUUCAUUUGGUAUCAAAGGAAGUUCUCUUGUUAGGACUUAACCAUCUAGAGUAAAAGAUCCAUAGUAAUCCAAAAUGAUCCCAGAUUUGGGGAAGGUUAAUCCCUUCUAGAUCACCAUUCUUUGAUGGGAAUGAUUAUCCAUGUUGGAAAAUUAUGAUAAGAAUUUAUUUGCAAGCAUUAUAUUAUGAAAUAUAGGAAGUUGAUUGUGAUGGUCCAUUCAUGCCUACUGCUAAAAAUGAAGAAGGGAAAGAAAUUCUAAAACCUUCACAAGAAUGGAAUGAGUUGGAAAAGAGAAAAGAUUCUCUUAAUUUCAAAGUCAUGAAUGCUUUGUUUUGUGCCUUAGAUAAAAAAAAAUUCUAUAGAGUUUAAGGUUGUUCCAAUGCUUAUGAAAUUUGGAAAAAACAUAAAGUCAUUUAUAAAGCUACAAAUCAAGUCAAAUAAUAUAAAAUUAGUAAAUAUAGUAGGCAAUACGAAUUGCUAUAAAUGGAACAAAAUGAGAGUGUUAAUCCCAUAUACACUAGAUUAACAGACAUUAUAAACACUUUAGGAACUCUUAGAAAGACCUUUUCAAACAGCGAGAAGGUAAAAAAAAUCAGAAGGUCUUUACCAAAAGAAUGGAGACCUAAGAAAAUUGCCAUUAAGGAAGCCAAUGAUACUUUAUUUAUUGAUGAUUUAAUUAGUUCAUUUAUUUCUUAUGAAAAGGAUUUGACAACUGAAAAAUAUAUUGAAGACUAGAAGAAGAAGAGUAUUUCCUUAAAAGCAUCAAGAUCUAAAAGUGACAACGAAAGUGAGAUCGAAAAUGAAGACAUGGCUAUGAUAGCUGGAAAAAUCAAAAUAAUUUUCAAGAAAUCCAUCGAGCGAAGGAAAUUCAAAAAUCAGAAAGAGAAGAAGGAGGCAAUUAUUUGCUUUAAAUGCAGGAAGCCUAGGCACAUAAAACUAGCAUGUCCUUUUCUCAAAAAAUUAAAGAAGAAAGCCAUGGUAGCAACACGGGAUGAUAGCGAUAAGGAGACUAUAGAUGAAGAGUAGUCCCAUGAAGUGUCAAAUUUGGCACUUAUGGUUAUAGGAGAUGAUUAUAGGAGAUGAACUUGAUGAGGUAAACCUCUUAGGAUGAGUUGUUUGAAGUAUUCUCUAAAUUGCAUAAAGAUUUAAAGAAGAUUGAAAUGUAAAAUGUUUCUCUUGGAAAGAAAAAAGUAGAACUUUUAAAUGAGAAUGACACUUUGAAUAAAAAGAUUAAGUGCCUAGAAGUAUUUGUGAAGAAAUUGCAUCUUUUAAAGAAAAAACAAAAUGUUUCAUCUAAGAAUAAAGGUUUACUUGUAAAUGAUUUGAAAAAGAAAAAUGAAAUAUAUUGCUUUAGAAUUUGCUUAGUAUUAGUAAAUUGUGUGAUAAAGGUUACAAAGUUAUUUUUAUGUGAUAAAGGCUAUAGAGUUAUUUUUUAUAAAACAAAAUGUAUUAUUAAAAAUGCAUGUGAUGACAAAGUUUUAUUUGUUAGAUAAAGAUGUGUUAAUGUAUACACCAUUGAUAUAGAUAGUGUAUCAACUUAUGAUAAAUAUUUUUUUCACAUUACAUGAUGAUAGUUGAUAUGGCAUGGAAGACUAGGUCAUGCGAGCAUGGAUUUGAUUUCAAAAUUUUUUUAAAAUGAUUUGGUUAUAGGUCUUCUAAAAAUUGGUUCUAAAAAAGAUAGAAUUUGUGAAGUUUGCCAAUUUAGAAAACAAAUAAAACGUCCUUUAAAAAUAAAAUUCAUAUUUCUACUUCAAAACCACUUUAACUUUUUCACAUGGAUUUGUUUGAAUUUUCUAAAUAUGCUAGUUUAAGUGGUAAAUAUUAUGCAUUUAUAAUUAUAGAUGAUUAUUCUAUAUACACAUGGUAUUACUCUCAACUAAUAAAGAUGACACCUUUAAUGCUUUCAAAAUUUCUAUAAAAAGAUUCAAAAUGAAAAAUGAUAUGUUAUUUCUUCCAUUAGAAGUGAUCAUGGUGGAGAAUUUGAAAAUUAUAUUUUGAAAAUUUUUACAAUAACUUUGGCAUUGAGCAUCAAUUCUUGUCACCAAGAACUCCACAAUAAAAUUGAGUAGUUGAGAGAAAGAAUAUGUCUAUCCAAGAAAUGGCUAGGACCAUGUUAAAUGAAAAUACUUUACUAGAAUAUUUUUGGGUUGGAGCCGUCAACAUUGUUUGUUAUAUUUUAAAUCAUGCAUUGAUUAGACCUUAUCUCAAUAAAACUCCUUAUGAGCUUUGGAAAAAUAGAAAAACAUUGACUAUUUCAAAGUUUUUGGUUGCAAAUGUUUUCUAUUGAAUACAAAAGACAAUCUUGGUAAAUUUAAUCUAAAAUCUUAUGUUGAUAUUUUUCUUGGGUAUUCAAAUACAAGCAAAACUUAUAGAGUGUAUAAUAAAAUAUCCUUGGUCGCUAAAGAAUCUAUACAUGUUAUGUUUGAUGAAUCUAACUUUUCUUCUAUGAAGAAAGUUGUUGUUGAUGAUGAUGCAUAUGAAGAGUUACAAAAACAAAAAGUCUUUAAAAGACAAACAAUAUGAUUUACCAGGUAAAAAUCAAGAUGAGCAACAAGAAGAACAAGUUAAACAGAUUCAAAAUAAAGGUAAUUCACAAACACUCUCUAAGGAGCUAAGGUAUGUCUCUUCACACCCUAAAGACUUAAUCUUAGGAGAUCCUUCAUGAGGUGUAACUACGAGAUAAUCACUUAGAAAUACAUGUGAACAUACUGUAUUCAUAUCUCAAGUUGAACCAAAAUCCUUUUCAGAUGUGGAAAAUGAUGAAUCUUGGAUUAUAGCAAUACAAGAAGAGUUAAAUCAAUUUGAAUGAAACAAUGUAUGGAAACUUAUUCAUAAACCAUAACAUCAAUCUGUAAUAGGCAGUAAAUGGGUAUUUAUGAAUAAAAUUGAUGAAUCUAGUGUGGUUGUAAGGAAUAAAGUUAGAUUAGUAGCUCAAUGAUGCAACCAAAAAGAAGAAAUUGAUUUUGAUGAAACCUUUGCACAUGUAUCUAGAUUAGAAUCCAUUACAUGCUUUUAUUAUUUGCAUAUCAUAAUGAUUUUAUUUUAUAUUAAAUGGAUGCUAAAAGCACCUUUCUAAAUAGUUGUAUUAUGAAGGAAGCUUAAGUGAAACAACCCCCUCAUUUUAAAAACGAAAAAUGUUUUUGGAUCAUGUUUACAAAUUGUCCAAAGUUUUAUAUAGUUUAAAGUAAGCAUCUAGAGCAUGAUAUGAUAGACUUAGUAAAUUUCUUUUAGAAAAUAGUUUUUCAAUGGGUAAAGCGAAUACUACUCUAUUUGUUAAAUACAAGGAUCAAGGUAUACUUGUUCAAAUUUAUAUUGAUGAUAUUAUCUUUAGUUCUACUAAUGAGUUUCUGUGUAAGGAAUUUUCAUCUUGCAUGAGUAGAGAAUUUGAGAUGAGCAUGAUGGAAGAAUUGAAGUACUUUCUUGGACUUAAAAUUUAAGAGAAAAAAAAGAAUUCAUUAAUCAAGCCAAGUAUUUCAGAGAUCUACUCAAAAGAUUUUGCAUUCAAGACUAAGGACACUCCAAUGAGUACUACAAUCAUGCUCGAUAAGGAUAAAAAAAGUAAAGAUGUUGUAUCAAACGAUAUCGAGGUAUGAUCAUAUCUUUACUUUACUUUACUGCUAGUAGACAUUACUUUAGUGUAUGUUUGUGUGCAUGAUUUCAACCAUAUCUCAAAGAAUCUCAUUUUCUUGCAGUUAAAAGAAUUUUUCAUUAUUUAUGAGGAACAAUUGAUCUUGGUCUAAGGGAACUCAUAUAAAUUAUUAGCUCAAUAAAUUUGUCAAAGAAUCUCAUUGAACAUUCUAGGACCAAACAUAUUGAAACUAGGCAUUAUUUCUCACGUGAUCAUGUUCAAAUGAGAGAUAUUGCUUUAGAAUUUGUUUCUAUGGAAAAAUAACUUGCUGAUAUUUUUACAAACCCUUUUUGUGAAGAAUAGUUUUCAAAGAUUUAGAUUGAGUUUGGAAUGAUGACAUUUUCACAUCAAUAUUUCAUUGCAUGAUAUUGAGACUACAAAUUUGCUUAAUUUUCUAUCUUGAUUGAUUGUACGAUAAAAACUUGAUUUUAAUGUGUUAUAUGCUUGAAUUUACUUCUUUGAAUGUUUAUCAUCAUAUCUUAUGCAUUAAAAAUGGCUUUUAAAAUACUUCAGGAUCACAAAAUGGUCUCAAAAUUAAUUAAAUUUUGGCCAAAAAGCAAAAUCGUGCAAAAUCUAGGGGAACUAGCUAACCGUUAACCACAAGCAACUAGCCAAUUGUGAGGCAGAAACUAGCUGGCCAGCCGGCUCAAAGCAAACGGUUAAUUGCUUGGUUUCUAAAAAUGAAACAGUUAACUGCUUUCUUCAAGAGGCUAGCUGGCUUCACGUUUUCAAAUGUUGUUCAUCUUCUUUUUCCCACUUUUAGUUGUUACCCUCUCUCUAUCACUGUCAUCUCUCAUUUCUUUUAACCUCUCUCUAAAAUCUUCCAUUUUUACAUCACUUUUGUGUCAAGUUAAACUUUCCAAAUCAUUUCCCAUCAAUUAAUCUUCACACAUUUGCUUUUAAAACACAAUCUAAUCACUCUUCUCUCAAAAUCUUAAAGCUUAAGUCACCAGUUUCAAUAUUCUCAAAUUUGAACCAUUAUUUGACCAUUUUCGACCAAAAUAAACCCAUACAUUCCUUAGAUCUUCUCAAAGAACAUUUUAAUCGGUUCAAAGUCAUCUAUUUCUUUAAAAACUUUGUGAACUCGAAUUUGUGCAAUUUUGGACACAUUUUGAUAAUUUCUUAAUGGCUAGUGGUGAGAAGUCCAAGGGUAAGCAUAUGCCUAAAAUGUAAAAAAAAAAAAGAUUCAUAAAGACAUUAUGAAAUUCAUUUCCACCCACUUCCCAAAUCCGCCUCAAUGGAAUGAUUCUCUGAUCGAUUUAUGACAAGGUCAGUCCUCCCAUACUAUAUAUGUUAAUCUUGAUUAAUUAGAAAAUUUGUCAUGUUGUAGCAAAACUCUUAGAACUUUACUUGCUGAAUUGGGUUGGACAAAUGUCUUAGUUCUUAAGGAACAUAUUUGUCCUAAUUUGGUACGAGUAUUUUAUUCGAACAUGCUUAUUUCUACAAAUACUGCCAAUAUGAUUAUUACUAAUGUUAUUGGGAUUCCUAUUAAGUUUACUGUAGAAGAUUUAAACAUGAAUCUCAUAUGAUAGGUUGCAUUUGUAUACAUCUAGGACUAAAAUUGAUUAUCCCUGGUAUUUAGUUGUAGAUGAUGUUUGAAACAUAGAUGUUCGAAACAUAUGUAGGUGAUCUGAUCUAUCCAUGGAGCUUUUUAACUCCUCUCUUAGAUCACAAGUGUUGCCUCUUCAAGUUCGGAUCCUACAUAGUGUCCUUCAGCUUGUGAUCAGUCCUCGCAAGGGACAUGGUGCUGAGGUUACACGCUUAGAUGUUACUUUAUUAGAUAGCAUCCUUGAGGGUAAAAGCUAAAUGUGCGAAUAUUAUCAUUCAGCACAUGCUUAAUACACUGAGUAUAGGAAACCGAUCCUUUUCGGUCUGUAGUGUCAUUACCCAUAUCCUUCAAUAUUUUUGGGUCCCUAUAGCUGAACCAUCUCAUGAUGAACCCAAGGAGUUAAGGGAUGAGGUCAUUGCUAGCUUAGGAUUUGGGUGGGUAGAUGACCAAUAGGUUAAAAAUCAGAACUUGUUGAGCAAACCCACAAAGCUGGCUCUUUUUUAUCAUUGCAUCUUUAACGAUGUGCUUCCCCUUACUGGGUUCUUGAUCUUAGUUCUUCCCUGAGGUCACAAGCUCUGCAUUGGCCUUCUGAUGCUCCACCAUCAUCAUCUUCAGCCAUUCCCAAUAACCCAAUCUAGCAGUUGUUGAAUAAAGUGUGUUCCAUAUCCGAACAGUAAAGCGAGCUUAAGAUAUCGUUCGCAGCAUUCCAGGAUCAUUUUCUUUCUGAGCAGCAACAUCUCUUUCUUCAACAAUAACAAAUUCUAGACCAUCACCAGCUUAUUUUCAUUGCUCUUAAAUUUUCACCACCAUCCUUAUUAUCAUGUUUGCUGCUUCAUCAGUGAUUUUCUUUUAUCUCUUUUGCUUCCUUGUUUUAUGCACCGACAUUAUUUAUCAUAUGCAUUUUCGUUUUUAGCAUUAUGGAUACUUGAUGGAUGUUAUUUUACUUAUGCAUUAUGGAUACUUGAGUUGAUAUGGAUUAUCUUUAUGCAUUCUAGUUAUUGAUUGUGGUAUCUUUAUUAAUUAUCUUUAUGGAUUAUCUUUAUUGAUUAUGGAUUAUGUAUAUGGAUACUUGAUUAAUGGUCAUGUGUGGAUUUUCGAUUGAUGAUAUUUGUGGGGGAUAAUUAUUGAUAAUAUUUGUAUAAUAGAGGAGUGAUUUUUCAUGAUGAAGGGAGAGAAGAUAUUGACAUGUAUUUUGAAGUGUUUUGACAUGUUUUUGGCUCAUGGGGGUUGAUUGAGUGUUUGUAGUAUUUUAGUUACUUUCUGAGUCACUCAAGGAGAGUUUACAAAUGUUGUACAAUUAUAUGGAUCAUGUACUUAGAGGGAGUGAGUUUAUAUAUUUGGUUAUAUUUUUUGAAUUAUGUCAUAUACUCAAGGGCAAUAGAAAUGUCAAAAUACAUAGGGUGUUUGUCAUCAUAAAAAAAGGAGAGAUUGUUGGGGUAAACGACUAUAUGAUCCUUAAUUUUGAUGAUAACAAACCACAUAAGGUAAAAUGAUAAAUUUAUUUCUCACAAUCUGACAAGUUCUUGAAGGACAAAAAUCAUUCAAGUGAGAUCAAUUUCAAGUCACUCAAUGGACAACAACAAUCAAGGAUGAAUACUAAAGGUACUAGCUUAAUUAAUCUUCAUAGCUAUAUUUCUUAUAAAGCUAAUAUGAUUUAAUGUAUGCAUGAUUUAGUAUUUAAGAGUUCAAGAUAUUUUUCAUACAAUUUUCAAAUUAAAUCAUCAUUUUCUAUAAUAUAAAAGUUUUAAACGUAAAUAAAAAUGAUUUUAUAAAAUUAAUUGUUUUCAAAUUUAUGGACUAAAUUGAAAAGUUUUGAGAACUUUGAAAUUAAUUAGUAAUGUAUUAAAUUCUUGAAGUGGACCUAUUUGUAAAUAUUUCAAAAUUUUAGGCCAUAGUAUAAUUUUAGGAACUUUUAGUUUAAAUCUAUAAAAUUUGAAACAGUAGUGACUAACCACUUAACGAAUAGUGGCUAACUGCUUCAGGUCCAAAAACAUAGCUGCUAACCAUUUAAAUCAAGCGACGAUUUGCUUAGGCAAAAAAGUUUUUAAAUUUUAUUUGUAACGGUAACUUGCCACAUCAAUAUAGCGACUAACUUCUUUAUUUUAGCAGCAAUCCGGUAGGUCCUCAGAAAGUCAAUUAUGACUAGUUUGAUUGUUUAAACUAGAAGAACCCAAAUCAAACUCAAAUCUAACAACUUUUUCAAUCCCAAUUAAGUUAAAACUUGUUCAUACAACUAAUCUUGAGCUUUCAUUUUACUUAUUUACAUGCAUUUAAUCAUUAUUGAGUUAUCAUUUGCUUAUACACUCUUAUAGAGAUUAAUCUUUGUAAUCUUCAAUUAAAUAUCAAAAUUUUGUGAGUAUAAGAGUGGGAAACACUUGGGGAAAGAGGUAUGUGUACACAUCACUACUAUAAAAGUUUAUUGACACAUUAAAAGCCAAUUGUAAAAUCUUGGAGCCUGAGAAGGCUUGGAUAGUGGAAUCCUCAAACUUAGUUUGCUCGAGGCAUAAACAUAGGCGAGUUUUGCCGAAACACGUAAAAAUUCAUUUGUUUGUUAUCUUCUCCCUUAUUUUUUUAAUUGCAUUCAUUGUUAAAUUUACUAUUAUAAAUUUCUUAAAGCAUUUGUUUAAUUUGUUUUGUAUUUUUGUAAGUAUAAUUUUAAUACCCAAUUCACCGCCCUCUUGGGUUGUGUAGAUAGAAUUUCACAUUUGUUGUACAACAACAACAACAACAACAAUAACAAUAACAAUAAUAAUUGUUAUAAUGGUUGGAACAAUUACUAUUGAAAAACUUUUAUUGUUAAUAAUAGUAGAAAAUAAGAACAAAAAAGGAAAUUAUCCAAUAACCAUGUAAUCUUUGGGUCUUUUUUAAAAAUACACAGAAACGUUUUUCUUUGUAGAAAUCCACCUAGAGUUUAUUAAUUAUUCACUGUCAUCUUAGCUCAUUAGAAUCUUGUUGAUGUCAUAAGAUUAAAAUUAUCAUUUUACUUGAACACCUAAGAUUAAAGUUAUCCUUUAGAGUUUCUUUCGCUGGGGCUGGUGACCUUAGUGGUUAGAUUUGCUAGAUAUGGUCGUGAGAAACUCGACAAUGGCCGAGGAUUGGCUGGAUUCACGGUGGUUUGGUCAAAAAGUUGACUUGAAUUGGCAUAUGUGGUGCUUCAUUCAUGUUAGAGAUUUCGAUUGCGAUUUGGAUAUCGACAAUGAGAAAGUGGCGUUUGCGGUGGCGCUAGGUGAGGCCCGGGUUUUGGGUUAGCAUUGUGGCGGUUUAUGGCGGUGAUCAUUGGUGGGUUUUGUCAAGUUAUGACCAGUGGAAUCUAGCAAGUUUAGUGGUGGUCUUGGUUGACAGUGAAGAUGGUUGGUUUCACGGUGGCAGCUGGUGGAUGCUCCCAGUUUUUAGGUCUAGAUGAUUUAUAGUAGGUACAAGCGGCGAUUGAUGGCAGGAGUGGCUAAGGUUUGGUAAGUAGUGGCUAAUGAGUUUGGUAGAGGGAUUAGCCAAUGAUGAACUAUUAGUGAAGAGUGGCAGUGGCGGUGGGCGGCUGCUAAGGUUUUGUAAUUUUGUAAUAUUUUUUUGUUGGAUAAACAAUGAUGGAUUUGGUGGGGAUGGAUAUGGGUAGCCAGGAAAACUGUGCAAUUGGCAUUGAACCACUCUAAUACAAACUAACAAAUUGGAAUAGCGGAAGUGGAAUUGAUAGGUCGGAAAUAUUAGCUAUUGUUAUAAUACUGGCUAAGGUAAUGUGGAUAGUUUACGUCCUAAUCGAAACGUGUAGAUCUCAUUCUAACAAUGGCUCAAUGAGAUUUUAAUAACGCAUAAAGCGAGAUUAGACGACGUUCUAAUCCAAAUAACUUUGCAAGAGAGAUUUUAAUAAAUAAUUUUAGAGGGAAUUAUUAAAAAGGGCUUUAUUAGUUGAUCAAUAGUUGAAGUUACAAUAAUAAGAUUUUGAUUUAUAAUAUAAUAAACCUACUUCACUAAGUUAACUUAAAAAGAAAAACUAAAUCACAAUUUUAAUAGAAAUAAAAAAACUAAGACAUAUACCAUAGUUGACUAUAAUUAAAAUAGAAAACGAUAAAAUAAUAAAAAUUAUAAAAUCCUAAAACAAUGUCUACAUCAUAUCCUCACUAAAAUAAAAAUAUAAAAGUAAAGCAAAUUGUGGUAUAACAGACUUUAAUUCUAUCACUCUUCAAUUUUUUUGUUUAUUAAUUAAUAUUGGUGUCUAUGGUUAAAUUUGUUAUUUUUUAUAACAAUUUUAUUUGUUAAUUGAAAUAUUUAGUCUAUGUAAACAAAAAAAAAUGGUUGGAGAGAAUGAGAGAGGAAGGGGGGGAGAGAGAGAGAACAAAGUCAAACAAAUAAUUUAAUGAAUUAUAUUUUUAAAAUUAAAUUUUAAUUUGAUUAAAUAAAUGAUGUAGUGAGAAAAUGAGUAGGUUCAAAUAGCUUUACUUAUAUUUAUUUCAUUAAUGGCUCAAAAUUUAAUGAAAAUAAAUGGUUUUAAAAAAUUGCAUUUAAGUUGCAUAAUUCAAUGAGUAGUGCCACACAUCCUAAAUCUUUUAUCUUAAAAAAUUAUCCCAAAUGAUAUAGUAUUCAUCAAUAGAUUGAAGAGAUAAUACAAUUAAUUCACUCAAAUCUUGAAAGAAUUACCUACUAUUCAAGUAAUGACACACCAUUUGGGAUAUCUAUCAUUACUCUAAUUGAAAAUAAACCUAUCACUGGAUGAUUAAUUAUGGUAGGUUUGCUUAAUACUAAAAUGCCACUCAUAAGUUUUGUUUGGAUUUGUAAUUGAUUUAUCUUAAUCCUUCAACUUGACAUAAGGUCGUUCUCCUCGUUUCUGUACACUUAAAAGUCACCCAGAUCAAAACUAGAUCUAUCGUUGCAUUUGCUUGAAAAAUAAUUUACAAGUAAUAAGUUCUCGUGAUUAAGCAACAUUUUUAAAGGGUUAUGAUAGUAGUGGAACCGUGAUACAAUUUGUAAAUAUUAGAUGGAUUGUUGAAAACAAUAAAAAAUGCUUGUAUGUUUUUUAUAAGGAUCUCCCUAUCUUACAUGCAUGUAAGAUAGGAAUUGCCUUUUUAUAAAGGCUAAAAGAUAAAGUGGUGCAUGGAUAAUUACUUUUUUUUUCCCUUUUUAUCUUAAUCAUGUUUGAACGACAUCCUUUUAUAGUUCCCAGACAUUCUGCAACUAUAAUAGACAAUUUUAAUAGGAACUACAGAGAAAAUAUUAAUAUUUUUAUACUUAUUCACUUACCUGAUGGAUAGUUAGAUAAGUGUUACUUUUCACACAACUAGACCAAAUUAGUACCCUUUUUGGUUUGUGAAAACGUGAUUUUUAUGAAUAUGCUAUAGAUGCUUUCAAAUGUUUCUACAGUUUACGAAUUUACGCAUUAAACGAAAACCUCCAACUAUCAAAUAAAAAGGUGAAAAUUCAAUAGAAUCGACAACUUCUCAGACUCACGUAGGUGGUGGUUCAAGUUUCUAAACUACUAUUAUUAUUAACAGUUUUGAAAAGCAAAUAGUAACUUCAUUUCACAGCAUCUGCUUUUGAGAAAGCUCAGAUGUAAUCAAAAUUCCAAAACCACUCUAAAUAUGUUAGGGAUAUGACCAUAAAUAGAAGUUAAAUAUGAUAGGAUAUAUAGUUGUUCAUAGCUAACAUUUGAUGGUUUAAUUAUUUGUUCUAGGGAUUAUGCGCUGAUUAGUGUUUUUUGUUAUCCGAUGAAUGAUAUUCAGUUUUUCUUACAUGCUCAUAGGCAAGAGCAUUUUCUAAGUACUUUCCUUGCCUUCAAAUUUUGAAAGAAAGAUAGAUAUGAUAUGUGACGCAAGCCCAAUGAAAUAAGCAAAUAAAAUAGAAUAAACGAAGCAAAAAUAUUUCUAGAAACAAGAAAUGACAAAGGAAACACGAAUACAACUUUUUUCUUGUUUUCCUUAUUUUCCUCUGUUAAGCUCCAAAAUGAAUAACUUUAUUCUACCAUCUCUCAAAUAAUAACAUCAACAGCACAUAAUCGUCAUCAAUAAUAAUAAUAAUAAUAACAAUAAUAAUUUAACUUUGUAGGAUGGAGCUCUCGCAAAUCUUCAAGACACAAAAUGUGCUUGACCCCGUUGUUGUUAUUAUAAUUUCAAAAUCAUUUGUAUUAUAUAAAAUUAGGGAAUAAAACAUAGCAAAAUUGAUGGUACAAAUGUUGCAAUAUAUUUUUUCAUGUAGCAACACAUUGAAGUAAAGAAAAGCAAAACAACGAAAAAUGUAACGGGAGAGCUCUCAUUAUGUAGAUUUUCAAUAGAAGUAAUGAAAAUUUCACAAGGACAAUGGCCUUAUUUCGAAUGCUACACCUGGGGAAUGGCUUGAAUCUUUUAUAGAACUCACACUAUUAUAAAAAACGCUAAACAAUGACAAAAAUUUUAUAACAUAUAUCGAUAUGUCAAAAUCAUUUGAUGGUACAUUUUAUAACAAAAAAUGAAAAAUGUAACGGGAGAGCUCUCAUUAUGUAGAUUUUCAAUAGAAGUAAUGAAAAUUUCACAAGGGCAAUGACCUUAUUUCGAAUGAUGCACCUGAGGAAUGACUUAAAUCUUUUAUAGAACUCACACUACUAAAAAAACGUUAAAUAAUGACAGAAAUUUUAUUACAUAUAUAGAUAUGUAACAAAUGUAUCAUGAAAGUGUGAUAGAUUUGUAACAUAUAUUCAUAUGUCUAGAGUUUAUGACAUAUUCAUGACUUAUAACUUAGGGAAAUUUACGAAAAUAACCAUUAAUAUUUUAUUAUUUUCGCAAUUAAUCCUGUCAACUUUUUUCUAUCAACAUUAGCCAAACACAAGCCUUUCUUCCCAAAUUACCCUUCUUUACAGAACAAAACCAACAUUGUUUCUCCCAUGUCGCCAAACCAAAAGCAGCUUGUCACUCUUGAAUCAUCAGCCAACGGCGACCACAAAAGACAACGAUAAAAGUGAUAUCCGAUCAUAAUCUAUCCGGAUCCAACACAAAUCGACAUCAUUUAGUGGUAUGAAUUAUUUUCUGAACUUACUGAACUGAGUUGGGUGAAUCUGAAUCUGCCGACAGGCUAAUGUCGCAGUAAAACUCGGUGCGACAGGCGCCUGUCGCACCGAGCAAGGUGCGACAGGCACCCUGUCGCACCAAGAUUCGGGCGACAGGUUGUCUGUCGCACCCACCCUGGAGAUUCAUUAAAACUGUAUUAUUUUAAUAGGACUGAAAUAAAUUUUUUUUUAUAAUUUCAGGCUUAAUGGAUUCAGUUGUACUUGAAUUGUGUUACGAUGGUUGGUGGGAGACAUUAGAGAAUGGUCGUAUGGAGCAUGUGAAUGGUAAAAAUCGAGCUUUUUUGGUUGGAAAAAAUUAUCUGUUUGAUCAGUUAUUGGCAAGAGUAUACGAGGUGUUACAAAUAAACCCUAAUGAUUAUAGUAUCACAAUGAAGAUAACUUUGAGGUCUAGUAACACAUUAUAUCGUAUAUGUGCAAUGCCCAUGGAUAUAUGUGAUGAUGAAAUGGUGAGGGUUGUGUUGCAUAUGGCAUUUGACGUAGCUAAUGUUGGAUGCAUUCCUAUAUUCGUGACCACAUCACCUUGAGUUCCGAGCGAAGGUAUUGAGCCACUUGUCGAUACAGAAACUUCGUUUAGAGCAAAUAUGUCUGGCCCCGAUAAUGAUGAAGAGGUGUUGCCAAGGACAAUAUCGUUGCAGCAAUAUUACUCUCCAAUCCACGAAAAUUAUGACAACAUUGAUGAUAAUGGCGUUACGUUACAGGAUGUUGGAGCAACGGUAUUUCCAAUAACAACGUCGUUGGAGCAACGAUAUUCUCCGUAUCACAACAAUGAUUUUCGGGACAAUGAUGAUUUUAAUAAUGAGACAGAGGGGGAUAAUGUUUGUGCAGAACCUUCUAAUAAUACGAGGCGGGGCACUCGUUUCAAUAAUGAUGGUGAUGAUAGAGGAGCCGGUCCUUCGAAUGUUCCGUCGUUUCAGCAUGAGGAUGAGUGUGAAGACAAUACUCCUGUGAAUAACAGAGGCAAUAGACCUAUUCCUUCUACGGUUCGAUCGAGAAGGAGAAUUGACCCCCUUACAAGUCUUGCUCCAACUUUGCCUUCGAACAUGGUUGCUCCAAGCUUUGUUAGCAAUUGUGACUCAGAUGAUAUCAGCGUGGGUAAGCUAUUUGCUGAGAAGAAUGAGCUUAUAUUACAACUACGCAAGGUGGCCUUUAGAGAUAAGUUUGAUUUCAAGAUUGCACAGUCUACUAUGACACGUUUCGAGGCUCACUGUUGUUCAGAAUCAUGUAAAUGGCGUAUUCGAGCAACUAGAAGUUCGAACGAGCAAAAUGUUCCUUGGGUGGUGAAGAGAAUUGAUAAUGUACACACUUGUCAUAAUGAGGUAUUGGUUGAUGGACGUCAUCAAGUAAGGAGCCGGGUUGUCGGUCAUAUUAUCGCAGAAAAAUAUAUUCAAGAUAAGAGGAUUUAUACUCCCAAUGACAUAAGAGCAGAUAUGCAACAGGAAUACGGUGUUCAGUUAACAUACCAGCAGGCAUAUAGGGCGAGAGAAGUUGGUCUUGAAAUAGUUCGCGACAACCCUGCAGAGUCAUACAACUUGCUCCCUAAAUACUCUCACGUACUAACUACAGCGAAUGAGGGUACAGUCACUCACCUCAAGCAAGAUGGAGAUGGUAAUUUCUUAUACUAUUUUGUAGCACUCGGAUCUUCCAUCAAGGGGUUUAUGCAGUACAUUCGGCCUGUCAUUGCUGUAGAUGGUACUCAUCUGAAGGGACUAUAUCGUGGAAGCAUGUUCGUGGCAACAUGUCUUGAUGGUAACAAUCAAUUGUAUCCGUUAGCUAUUGGGAUCAUGGAUUCAGAAAACAAUGAUGCUUGGGAAUGGUUUAUGAUGAAGUUACACGAAGUGAUUGGUGAUAGACCUGAGUUGGUAAUUAUCUCUAAUCGAUGCACUACCAUAAGGAGAGCCGUUCUUAAAGUAUUUCACAAUGCAACUCAUGGCGUUUGUUUUUACCACGUCAAAGGUAACAUUAAGUCACAAUUUAGAAUGUCCAAAGCUCUUUGGGAUGAAUUUGAGCCUGCCUUUAUUAAUGCAGCAAAAGCAUAUGGCCAUGAGGAAUUUAAGAGACAACUUGAGGGGUUGUGGAUGGAUCCACUCGGGUGCGGCUGAUUACCUAGAAAAUAAUGUCGGUACGUGUAAUUGGGCAAGGUCUCAGUUUGAAGGUAGGAGGUACAACAUUCUUACCACCAACAUCGCGGAGAGUGUUAAUGCUUUCAUGAGGGAACCUCAAAAAUUUCCUGUUACUCAUCUUGUUGAUCACUUUAGGAAAACAUUGCAGCAAUGGUUUUAUGAUAGAAAAAUUGUGGCUGAAUCAAUGACUACUCGGCUAACAACAUGGGCGGAUGAAAUAGUCACUGAGAGGAGAACUAUAGCUGAAAGAAUGAUAGUUCGGCCGGUGUCUCCGCAUCGCUUUCAAGUUAUAGGCGGUGGGCUUAAGGAAGGGUUGGUUGACUUGCAAAAGAGAAUUUGCUCCUGCAGAGUGUUUCAGCUUGAUCAGCUUGUGUGUGCUCAUGCAAUUGCGGCGUGUCUAACAUACCGGGUGGAUUUUAUUAACCUUUGUUCAGACUUUUACACUACAGAAUCGUUGGCGAUGGCUUAUGCACAACCAGUGGAGCCAGUUGGUGAUGUGGCUGAUUGGGAAGUUCCAGAUGAAAUUCAGGAGAUGCAAGUAUACCCACCAGUUGAGGCACCACCACCUGGCCGUCGUAAAGAGCUCAGAAUACCCUCGGCUGGCGAGGACGUUGACCGGCGGACUGUAAGAUGCUGCCGGUGUCAUGAACUAGGCCAUAAUAGUAAGCGAUGUAAGAAUCCUAUUGCGUCGACUCGAAGUUAGUUGUAUUUUGUGUGUUAUUCGGUGGUUAAAACUAUUAUUGUUUUUGUGUUUCGUUGGUUAAAACUGUUAUUGUUUUUUGUAUUUCGUUGCUUAAAACUGUUAUUGUUUUUUGUAUUUCGUUGCUUAAAACUGUUAUUGUUUUUUGUAUUUCGUUGGUUAAAACUGUUAUUGUUUUUUGUGUAUUGUACACUUAUAUUUCAUAAAACUUUAUUUUAUUUUAAAGUUCAAAAUGUGAGGCAUUAAAAUUAUAUAAACUUAAGUGCGCAAAUUAAAAAAAAAUUCAAAUUUCAACAUUAAAAUUACUACAUAGGUCUAUAAUAUAAUAUCGUCAUUAAAUAUAUCAACCGCAAUCUUCUUUCUAAAGUACUCGACAUGACUAGCGUUAAACUCCAAUCUAAGCCCAAACAUUAAAUACAUCGUAACCAUCAAUACAAAAACACCGCAAUCGCCAGUUCCGGGCUCUUGUUGCGGCGCGCUCUUAACUGCGAUAACUUUCCACGGGUCUUCACUCCGCAACUCAGGUCGGAUAUUGUAGAAGCCAACAUAUUCCAACCAGCGAGGGAAUAUAACUUCAAGUGGCUUGAAUUUCAACUUGUACCUUUUGUCGUCGCGAAAUGUGAGUAAUGAGUCAUAGAUCCAGACUUUAUUUUUCCGAAAGUCAACUCGUGCUAGUACCCAAUGCGCGCCGUCCAAGUUAACAGGGAUGAGUAAAUGCAUAUAAAAAUUGAAAAACAUGUUCGUUAUAUAUGCAAUUGAAAUACAACAAAGAAAAAGCAACAACUCGAAUAUUUUCAUUAUAGAACAUGUGAAAUGUAAUAAAAUACAUACCAUAUCGACAUCUGUCAUUGAUUUUGACAUUGUGUGCUGUCGCCCACAAAGAUAACUAUUUAAGCGGUCGUCGAAUACUAUUGAAUCGACUGCACAAUUCUCGUUAUUCCAUAACUGAUUCAAGAACACCUAGUACAUAGAUAACCAAGAAAUGCAUAAAUUAAUAAAACUUAAAGGCAAUAAUUAAAAAAAAAUUAAAUAGUAUUUAUAAGUUUUGUCGGCACGUUACCCAAAAAAAUGUGUCAGUAUGUGUGACACGUUGGAGUAAGGCAUUUGGAUACUGCCGUUGUUUCUCGCUAAUCAAGCGGAGAUACUCGUGAAUAUGCUGUAGAGAAACAGAAAUAUUACGAUUUAAAAAAAAUUAUACACAAAUCCACAAUAGAAUACACCACGAGGAAAAUAUAAAUACCUCAUCGCCUAGCCAUCCCAUCGAAGCUGUCCCCAAAAUUAUUUGAAAGAAUGACCGCGGGUGCUGGACUCUCCGGCGGACUCUGCUAUCACCAGUGAACCAUCGAUCAAACUCAGCAAACAAACUAGAGUCCUCCAAUUCUCUAAGUGGAUUUACAUCCACACUUGUACUCAUGUCAAUCGCAUGCUCCAUGAUUUGGGGUCGAGGUAAGGGCCGGACGUUCUGUCCUCGCCUGACCGGAGGAAUCAUGUAAGGACUGUUAUAAACAUAUGACGGUAUGUACGCGCGGCCGAACUUACUAAAGCCCGGAGGCACCUCUGUGAACACCUGCACGCUCUCCCCACUAACAUCCCCGUAGAAACUAUACAAUGACGUGGGCGUAGACAAAUUUUCAUUGCCCACGUCAGUAUACACUCCAUAGUCAUCCGGGGCCUAUACAUUCGCCAAAAAGAACAUAUUAAAUAACUAUCAAAUUAAAAGUUAAACGAACAUAAUUAUUAAAUUUAAAUUAGCUUACCGCAUACGAGCGUGCAGUGGGAGAAUCCUUAUUUGGACGUUUAGAAAAUGUGUCGAUGAAGCCAACAACGGUUUCUUUAAAAUCUUUUAAUUCGGACUUUAUUUCAUACACGUUACGAUCAAUCUUAUCCAGCCGUCGUUGUACAUAAUCAUUAAACUGCUUUGUCCUCGACUAUUACAAAAGAAAAAAAUAAAACUUUAGAAUAACAAUAAAAAAAUAAUAAUUUAUAAAGGAAAAAUAUCGUAUAUUAUUUCUAACCUCAGAAUCCCGUGUGUCAUCAGAGUUGUCUGUUUGCUGGUGGUGGUCAUCAACAGCCACCUCAUCCUCAAAAGUGUCAUGACCCACCUCAUCCUCAAAAGUGUCAUGACGCUGCUCUGGUAUUGGGUUUGGUAUGUCGUCAUGAUCGUCAUGCUCGUCUGAUUGCCUUGUAACCGACGGCAUCGCGUUGAUCGAGGGUUGGUGCUGUAUAAAGUAUCAUUUAAAAUUAGUAAAUGAAAAGCCAAAAAUUUCGAUUAACAAAUUUUUAGUACUUAGAGUAUACCGACCUUAUGAACCCAGUCUGGAAUGCUUGGCAAGUAAUUCUUCACAGAGAGCCAAUAUUUUCUGCUACUCUCCUUUGAAUUUGGCUCAAGAGUUUGUAAAAAGUCCCCCUGCCAUAAAUUCAAUUGAAAAUUUUAAGUAAGUAUACAUAACUUAAAUUUAGUAAAGUUAAAAAAAUAAGUAAUACAUAUUACUUACAAGACGAGAUUCGUCGUUGAAGAACGAAUAAACCUCCGCAAAGUUGAUUCUCGAAGACGCCAUGGGAUUCCAUUGCAGAAUGCGGGGAAUCUUAUUCUUCGUUUUGACGACCCAUGUUGAUGGCAACCCUCCGAUUGCUUCGUAAAUCCAAGCCUACAACAACCAAAGUGAAAAAUCAAAUAAAACAACUAUCAAAUAUUUAAUACUAUAAAACUUAUUAAUAAACAAAAAAAAAAAGCACCUGAACCCCAGACGUAAAGCCGUAAAGAUUGUAUAUUUCAAUAUUAUGAUUUGGAUUUUUCAACCGAGUCUUCUUAAAUUUCUCGUCUUUCUCGAACAGUGCAUUGUCAAGACUCUCGUAAAUCAUUUCCCACGACAAUAGACCCCAUGGACGUUUUCGGAAGUACUGUACAUCAUCAACUUGGUCAAGCCAAUCGAAAUUAAUUUGACAGUGAUUUUUUCUUGCAUUUAGUACUCUGUCCGUAAAAUAAAACAGCGUAAUCUUUAAUGCGUCCAUAUCGUCCAUUUCCUCGAAUUUCAACUUCUUAAAUACUGCAUCGAAUUGCUUCACAUUAAUCUUACGAUGCACACCACCAAAAUACGUAUUCCGUAGCCUCUGCUCCAUUUCAUCAUUUUUUUCAUUGGUAUCAACACCAAAUGAAAGUCCAGUAACCAAGCACCAUUCGACAAUUGACAAGCGAAUCAAACGCUUACCAAUUUGAAACCAUAACUGAUCCUCACGGCUAUCGUCUUCAUGGGCCACUUGCCGCAGUAAAAGAUUGUGCAAAAUUACCCCACUAAACGAAAAACUUCGACACUCCAAGAAAUGCUCAAAUAUAUCCUUUUUGAACAUACUCAACUGCCGCAUUGUUAAUUUUUCCUCGAUGGCUUUUACGACCGAAGAUAACAUACACAUGCUCGAAAUUCGACCAGGAAAGUGAUCAGCAUAACGAAAAUACAUCUUGCCUACUUCAAUAUCCGGUGAUUCUGAUUUCGCCAUGUAUCUGUAAUAUUUAUAAAAUUAUUACAUUACAUUUACAGAAAAAAUAUACUCGUUAAAAAAAAAUUAUAAUUUUUGGUCCAAAGCUGGUGCGACAAUGCCUGCUGUCGCACCAAAUCUGGUGCGACAGCGUGCCGCGCAUGGGUGCGCGCGCGCCCCCUGCCCCCCUCCCUCCCCACCCCCAAAAUUAAGCGCAAUCACUCCAAAAUCGAAAACAAUACUCCCAAACACCACCAACCACCACAAACAUCAUCACCACCACUAUUAUUCUCAAGCUAUAACUAUUAUUAUUCUAAAAUCUCAUUUUAAAUUAAUGAAAAUAAGAAAAAUGACUAACCUAGGUUUUGUUGAAGGUUGUAGAUCGUAGAUCGGAUGCCGGUGAGAGAUGGAGCCGCCGCCGACGAGGGUUGAUGUCGCCGCCGAUGAUGGGAGUUGGAUCGGUUUGGGAGAGAUGAGUGCAAGAGAGUGUUGGGGGAGAGAUGAGGGAGGGAUAUUUUGGUCUCAAAUGUUGUUUUAUGGCUAAUGUUGAUAGAAAUAUUUUUGGGGGGGUAAGAUGAAAAAAAGUAAAAUUUUUUUGGUUAUUACUGUAAAUUUCCCUAUAACUUAACUAACAUAAAUAAAUGAUAGAUAUGAGUAAUGUUCAAGUUUUGUGGAUUUAAUAUUUUAAAAUGAUGCCGUUUAAAUUAACGACGCCGUUUUUAUGAAACUUAAAACAUAUCAACACUUCAGCCAAUUAUCGACCAAGUGUUGAAUAAACCCCUCUCGCUGCAACCUAAAAUCAUUGAACUUUGAGCCACUCUUAACAACAUUGUGUGGAACCCUAACCCUAAGCCUCAUUUCCACCACCGAUAAAGCUAAGAAAGUUUCCCGUAUAUCAGAACUAUGGCGAAUUGCCUUCAGUCCUUAGGACCCAUAAAAAAUCUUGUAUUCCCUCGCUUUUACUUCGCUAAUUUUUUGUAUUAUUCCAUCUCUUUCACUUUAAUAACCCAAAAUCUCUCCUCUGUUUCAAUCGAAAGAAAACCCUAGCUUAAAUUAAGCUGAAAUUUACAUAUCAAAGCUCUCGCUCAACUUCCCUCCUUCAAUUGAAACAAAAUGCAGCCAUAAAACCCCAAUACGCCACACCCUUUUGUCUCAGGCCAACAUUCAUUUAAACCCCACCUUUCGGUUCAAUGCCAUUUAAUGCGAUUGCAGAUGCCGUUUCAACUCAUUAUUUAGUUAACGCCAUUCAGUUCUUUGCUGUCAGCCUUAACCCUAAUAACUAAUCGACUGUGGUAGCACGUUGCUGACUCGGGCUGAGGAUACAUGAAUUAAAUAUAUGAAUUGGGUGAUGUCAGUGAUUCAUCCUCCUAUUUGCCGUGAAUUGAGAUUUGUGUAUAAUGUUUGUAAGAUUGUUAAAAAUUUCAUGUUCCAGUCGAAUUUCUUGCUCUCUCUCUAUAUAUAUAUAUAUAUUAUCUUCUUUAUAGUCAGGCUCUGGCUUUGCUGCUAUGCUUAGUGCAGUAUAUGGUUUCAAGACUAAAUUAGGUUUAUUUGACGACAUCGAUAUCUUACCUAGCUCUGCUUGAAAAUGAAAAUGUUGUACUAGUAAUCAUAGACUUUGUUUAUUCAGUUGAUAUUUUAAUUAUAUGUAUAAGAAUGAAGCUUUAUUUGGGAAAAAAAGAAAUAAAGAAAUAGGCUCUGUUGAAGCUAAUUAAUACUUCAUUCUUUCUAUACGUGCGACCUGUGGUGGAAACAUGAUAUGAAAAUGUGUUACUGGUGAGGUUGCUGCUUGAGAUGAGAAUGAUGAGAAUGCCUUCUAUUCGGAAAUCCUUGGUAGGUAUUAUAUAAUUAUAUUUGAUGGAAUAUUAAAUAGCUAAAGAACCUCUGAUAUUGUCUUUGUUCAAUGGUUACUGUAGUAGUGUUUGUUGGUCUUUUUCUGGUUGGCGUUUGGAUGUUAAUGUCAUCAUCAGUUGUACUGGUGUGGGAUCCAGGAUGUUGUCCUCUUAAGAGCCUAUAAGCAAAGUGAAACAGAGAGUAUCUGAGUUUUGUCUGGGCCUUUCGUAGAAAAUCAAGGUGAUGAAUGACAGGAUUCAACAAUGGGGAUGGGGAUGAUGUUCCUGUUGAAAAGUUAGAGAAUAGAGUGGAAGAUAAUCACGAAGAGAUGAAUAUGUAUGAGGGUGAUGGUGAGACGAGUGAAUCUAAGAAUAUGGUUAAUCAAAACCAGGAAGAGAAUUUAGUGAAGGAGAGUUUUGAUGAGAAUACUGAGUCUGAAGAGGAAUCUAAGGCGGUGUCUAAAAAUUACGAUGUUAGAAAAAGGGAAGAUAAGGAAUCUAAAAGUGAAGGUGGAGAUUCGAAUUCAGAAGCUGGAGAAACAGAAGGCGGCGAAUUGAAUAAAAUUGAGCAAAUUGAAUCAGAGAAGAGCUUGGAUGAAAAUAAAUGGAUGAGGCUAGUCAGAUUGAAAAGGAGAAGGAUUCUCAAGAUCAAGAUAAUGACACUGAGAGUCGUUGAAAGGAUCAGGCUUCAACUGAGAUUUUUCCUUUUGGUGACUAGUCAGAAAUUCUGAAGGAAACUAAUGCUCAGAAUGGGGCUUGCUCAACUCAACCUAUUGAGUCAUAGAAUCAGAAAAUAUCACAACAAACUUCUAUAUCUAAGGACCCGUAUGGUCAUCGCUGGAAAGUGUGUAAUGCCACUGCUAGGCCAGAUUGCAUCCCUUGCCUGGACAAUUUGCAAGCAAUUAGAAUGCUUUCCAGCACAAAAGCAUUAUGAACAUCGAGAGAGGUAUUGCCCUGAAGAAGCUUGUACCUGUAUUGCUCCUUUACCGGAAGGAUACAAACACUCAAUUAAGUGGCCCCAAAGCAGGGAUAGGGUAUGAUCUUAUAUUAUGCAUUAUAAAAUAUAUACUUGAGUACUUUUAAUUCACUUGGGCUAAGAUUUGUUCUCAUGCUGUGUGGGAUAGAUUUGGUAUUAUAAUUUUCCCCACACAAAGCUUGCAGAAGUUAAGGGUUAGCAAAAUGGGGUUAAAGUUACUGGUGAAUACCACAUUUUUCCAGGUGGCAGAACUGAAUUUGAGCUCUUCAUUACAUUGACUUCAUUCUGAAGGUGAGCAUUUUUCAUUUAUCAUUUUAUGUCUGUUGUUAGCUUCAAUUAAUACGUGGCUUAUUCUUUUCUUUGUAUGAACCAUGGGCGGUCCAUUUCAUUUUAUAAGCUAUUUCUUGGGUUUUAGCAAGACAAAUAAUAAGAUUUGUGCUGUUUUUGUUUUAUGCGUCUAUAUAAAUUGUGUGUGCGCAUAUCAUACUAGGGGAGUAUUGCUUUAAUGCUAUAUACAGUCAAGGACACACGGUGGGUCACAUUCUGACUCGUUUCAAUGCUUAUUUUAUAAAUAUUUACUUGUAUAUAUUUUGUAGUACUUUUAGAGAUGUAUUCUGCACUGGAUUUUUUAAGUGCUUUUAAUGUAGACUACUGUCUUUGUCUUUAUCUCUCUUUCUGUGAAACUGAAAGGUUCAUAGAAUUUUUUAGAAACCAGUAAUCUUACAAAAAAUUUUAACCUGUUAAUUAAUGCGGUUUCAUUAUCUUGAAAAAUUUUCAAGCGUGCUUGCUUUUUUCUUUUUCUUUCUUCUGAAAUAAUUGUUGAUAUUCCCCUUCUCUUCUAUCAAGUUUCUGAUUCUCUAAAGCCCACAUUAUUUUUGUCUUUCUUUAUACAGGCCUUUAUCAUUUAUUGGCCAGCACCCUUUCCUCGGUUCUAUAUAAGAAUGUAAUUUCGUCCGAAUCUGCCAAAAACCGUGUGCUAUUGUCAACAACAAAUCAGAAUUCCAUCUCCACCUCCUGACAAACCAUGCGUCACCACCUGCUUAGGAAUCCAAAGCCUUUGCUGGUGUUGAUAGUAUGUUCUCUCUCUAUCUCUGUUUUUCCUCGGUUGAGAAUUUAAAACAACAUCAUACUCAUCAUAUACUCUGUUUGGAUUCCUUGAAAUAAUAUUUUUUUAAUUUUUAUUGUUAUUUUGAAUUGUUUCUACAUAUUUUGAAUCAGAGUUGUUUGAGUAAAAUUUAAAUAUCAAUAUUACUGAUACGUGUCUAAUCUGAACUUCUUACCUUAAUAGCUUACUCACCUGUGCUUUUUUUUCUCCCCCCUUUUAAGAAUUCAAAAGCUAUAUUAUGGAUUUUGUUUUUGUUGUUUAUUGUCAUGAAGUAGGAGUGGGCAGAAAAUUGAAGAACCGUAUCAGAUUCGGUUCGAUAUUUGAUUCGGUUGUGCAAUAACCUAAAUUGGACGGUUUCAUUUCGGUUGGGAUGAAUGAAAACCGAAACCGAACCAAUAAUAAAAUUAACAAGCAAACCAAAUGAAAGUCCCAAAACAGUAACAAAACAAACACAGGUUUCUUAUCAAAUUUCACAGCACGACAUGGUCGCUCUAUUUGGUAAAAAAAUAGAAAAAAGAAUAAUGGGUCUCGAAAAUUUUUUAGAGUAUUUCUGUCGCUUACAUUUUUUUCCAUCGAUUAAUGUUAGUUGUAGGUGAAUGAUUGUUGCAAAUCCAUGUUAGCUUGUGAUUGAUUGAAAAUGGCUUGUGAUUUGUUAUGCUGCCAUGUGACAGAUUGAAAAUGGCUCUGAAAUUUUUUUAUUUGUUUAAGGUAUUACUGCUGAUUAUUGAACAGAGAUUCAUGCUAGUUUUUGUUAAAUUGAAGAUGAGAUUUUUUUUAGGAGAUCUGCAAAACCUUCUCUACUAUAGAUUUGGCUUCUAGCAUACCUGGUUGGCUGGAAAUAAUUGUUUAUACAGUCAUUGCUGCCUAUAUUAAUCAGGAAUAUUGAUUAGCAAUGUACUGGGUUAGAGAUUGGUAUAAUUUUGGAAAAUUAGUUGUAGAUGCAACCUGAUUAUGGUCUCAAAUAGUGUGAUCUGUCAAUUUUGUUUGCUCUGGCCUAAUAACCUUGAAUAUGAGCUAUGCCACUAUACAAAGUCUUGACCUAAUCACACUUGUUAGCCAAUGUCCAAAAUUGCAGUGUCUUUAGAUAAGUCCUUUCUUAUUUGUUUCGGUUAUAAAUGAAAAUUGCAGUGUCUUUGGAAAAUCAUGCUGAAUGUUGAAGUUAUGGACGAGAGGAGACCCCCAGAUUCAAGGCCGGAGCUCCCUGUUAAGAAGCUUUACAAAUAUAGGAUUGUCGCCUGGCAGAGGAUUGCUAUGCCUGGUUUUGUUUGGAAUAUGGAUGAAGAUUUUGCAUUGAGGCUUUUUUGAUAGAUCAUUUGGCAAAUCAAGCUCCAUGUAUCUAUCUUCAGACUCUUGGAUAUUUAUAAAGCAGGUGCAUGCUCCAUAUGUUACUCAAUGUAUCACGAUUAUUUUUCUAUUGCUUAAUAUAUUUGCAGUCCUUGAUGAAGUUGACAACUUAUGGAGGGUAUACAGAGGCUCAAGAGCUCAAUCGCCAUUCAUUUUANNNNNNNNNNNNNNNNNNNNNNNNNNNNNNNNNNNNNNNNNNNNNNNNNNNNNNNNNNNNNNNNNNNNNNNNNNNNNNNNNNNNNNNNNNNNNNNNNNNNGGAUUUUGUUUUUGUUGUUUAUUGUCAUGAAGUAGGAGUGGGCAGAAAAUUGAAGAACCGUAUCAGAUUCGGUUCGAUAUUUGAUUCGGUUGUGCAAUAACCUAAAUUGGACGGUUUCAUUUCGGUUGGGAUGAAUGAAAACCGAAACCGAACCAAUAAUAAAAUUAACAAGCAAACCAAAUGAAAGUCCCAAAACAGUAACAAAACAAACACAGGUUUCUUAUCAAAUUUCACAGCACGACAUGGUCGCUCUAUUUGGUAAAAAAAUAGAAAAAAGAAUAAUGGGUCUCGAAAAUUUUUUAGAGUAUUUCUGUCGCUUACAUUUUUUUCCAUCGAUUAAUGUUAGUUGUAGGUGAAUGAUUGUUGCAAAUCCAUGUUAGCUUGUGAUUGAUUGAAAAUGGCUUGUGAUUUGUUAUGCUGCCAUGUGACAGAUUGAAAAUGGCUCUGAAAUUUUUUUAUUUGUUUAAGGUAUUACUGCUGAUUAUUGAACAGAGAUUCAUGCUAGUUUUUGUUAAAUUGAAGAUGAGAUUUUUUUUAGGAGAUCUGCAAAACCUUCUCUACUAUAGAUUUGGCUUCUAGCAUACCUGGUUGGCUGGAAAUAAUUGUUUAUACAGUCAUUGCUGCCUAUAUUAAUCAGGAAUAUUGAUUAGCAAUGUACUGGGUUAGAGAUUGGUAUAAUUUUGGAAAAUUAGUUGUAGAUGCAACCUGAUUAUGGUCUCAAAUAGUGUGAUCUGUCAAUUUUGUUUGCUCUGGCCUAAUAACCUUGAAUAUGAGCUAUGCCACUAUACAAAGUCUUGACCUAAUCACACUUGUUAGCCAAUGUCCAAAAUUGCAGUGUCUUUAGAUAAGUCCUUUCUUAUUUGUUUGAGUUAUAAAUGAAAAUUGCAGUGUCUUUGGGAAAUCAUGCUGAAUGUUGAAAUUAUGGGCGAGGGGAGACCCCCAGAAUUCAAGCCGGGAGCUCCCCGGUAAGGAAGCUUUCCAAAUAUAGGAUUGUCGCCUGGCAGAGGGUUGCUAUGCCUGGUUUUGUUUGGGAAUAUGGAUGAAGAUUUUGCAUUGAGGCUUUUUGGAUAGAUCAUUGGGCAAAUCAAGCUCCAUGUAUCUAUCUUCAGACUCUUGGAUAUUUAUAAAGCAGGUGCAUGCUCCAUAUGUUACUCAAUGUAUCACGAUUAUUUUUCUAUUGCUUAAUAUAUUUGCAGUCCUUGAUGAAGUUGACAACUUAUGGAGGGUAUACAGAGGCUCAAGAGCUCAAUCGCCAUUCAUUUUACACUUGGCUGGGCUAUAGCAUACCAACUAGUGAUUAAUAAAGAGAGGGUAUGAAGGUCCUGUUGCUGGUGGUAUUAUCAAUCAGAAUUGUUAUUUUACUUGGUCAUACUUACCAUGUAUACUAUUCGUAGGCUUUUUUCAUUUUCAUGCAUUCGCAUCAUCUUCUUGUUAAGCUACAGAUGGUUGAUUUGUGUACUCAUUUGUAUCACUUGUAGCUCUUGAGGAAUAAAAUUUAAAAUUAUGUUGCAUCUCUUGUACUAAAUAGUAAUUUUGUUGGCUUUAUGUAUGGGAAAUGGUUUGUUGUCUUAUUUCUUUGAUGUGUAUGGUGUUACACUGUCUAAAGUUCAGAAGUAUUUCUAUCACUUGUGUAAAAAACAACCUACUUUUUUCGUUCUUCUUAUAUUGAAUAAAAGAGGGACACCAAGAUUGAACGAAAUUUGAUUCAGACAGCAUAGCAAUUAGGCCAGCGCAAAACAGCUUCCUUCUGAUUCUUUGAUAUUUGACUUAAAUCUUUUGUUUGUUUCAUUUAUCAAAGUCAUUUUGGAAAGUAACGGGGGUGAUUUGAUAUUUUCAUUGCAUUCACAUCCCUUGGCACCAAAACAAACAUGCUGGUACUAACCAACAAUUUUUUAUUUUCAGUAUACAAAUUUUUUUUUUUCUAAAUUAAGGGUAUUAAGAAAAGGUAUACUAGCACCAGAGGAGGUAUUUGAGAAUACACAAAUAUAAUCUAUCAAAUUGAGAAUACGCCAAAUCUCCGGAGAGGUUUUUGAUAAAUCCUUUUUUUUCUUUUUCCUCCAUUCACUAUAGGUUCAAUUUAGGGUGGUUGUUAAGUUAUAUCAUUGUGUAACAUAGAUCAAUUCAACAGUUGUUACCAGUAACACAAAAGUAUAACGAACAAAAACUAAUUGUGUUACUGGUAGUAACUAUUAAAUUGAUGUAUGUUACAUAAUUAUGUAACUUAACAAGGUCUUCAAUUUAGACACGGUUGACCAAACUGAAGGUUUAGGUUGGUAAACGCACUAGUGUUAAUGUCAACAACCCAAGGGGCUUCAUGGUCCUCUAGGCCGAAAUAGCGUAAUUAUUAAUUCUCCUCCACUGAAAGUCUUUAUCAUCUUGGGACAAAUAAUUACAAAUUGACAUUAUAGCUGUGGAAAUUUGGAGGUGUAACAACCGGAAAAAUAAAAAUCUUAAGAGACUUUAAAUAAAAAAGAUAACACCUUCAAUUUGCUAAAAGUAAUGGUAUCAUUUCUUGUAUGGAUAAUGGAUGAUUAUAUUUUGUUUUUGGUUAUCUGACGAAGGAUAUUAAGUUGUUCUUUAUGUGUUCAUAGGCAAGAGCAUGAGCAUAUGCAUGAUUUGACAUAUGGUUCUUGCAUUUUCUAAUUAAGUGCUCUUUUUCCUUGCCUUCUUAGUUUGAAAGAAAGAUGUGAAGCAAAGCAAACCCAGUGAAAUGUACAGAGAAACAGAACCAUCAGAGGAAAAACUAAAUAACAGAACUACAAUUGAACCAAACAAAAUCAAAUAAACGGACGCAACAGAUGCCCUGAACCUAGUAAUUACUCAAGAGUUGAGGAGUUGGAAUGAUUUGGUAUUCAUAUCUUCACAAAUCAUAUGCUUUAAUGCAGAAUCGACAGCUUUAUAUUAUUUUAUUCAAAAAACGAUAAAGCAGGAAAACCACAAUAAUCCACCAACUUUUGAUACUUGUAGGAAUUUUUUUUAGUCAAAUUAAGUUUCAUGAUAACACAAGUGGCUCGUCCACACACUUGCACUUGCUUGAAUAUUUGUGCCGACAUUUUCGUAUGUGAUGGUACUUCUUAGCCAGUAGAUAUGUUGAAAUACUACAAAACAGAGUAUUUGAUGAAGUUUUGCUACUUUCGUAUCCCCUUUUUUUGUUGCAUAACUAAAUUCUUUAUAAACACAAAUUAGAAAGAUACAAAUAAUACAGUAGCUUGAAUUUAUAUGCUUUUAUGAUUAUUUGAUAAUCUAGUGCUGAUCAUAUGUGAUGAUAAACUUAGCUAGUAGUUUUAUAUUUGUUUUCGCAGUUUCCUUAGCGUUCACAUUUUGAUGAGUAAAUUAAGGAUUUCCAGAUGAAGUACAUAAUUAGAUGAAUGCAAAGGAACUGAAGUUUGAUUAAUUGAAAACAAAAAUAAUAAUGCAGGUAAUUGCGAAAAUGAGCAAUGCAGAAGUAGUCCCUAUAGUAUUUCUAAAUUUUCUCUUGGGGUUCCUUAGUAUUCCUUAAUAUUUUUAAAAAAUGACAUGACGAUCUUUGAGUUGACGAAUCUUGGCCUGCUGCUUAGUACCCUUCCAACAUAUAAAGUACUAGAUGUUUUACUGAGAAAAUGACGAGAUCAUUUACCAAAUUUCUUGCCCAUAUAUACGUAUGUAUACGAGAAAUGAGAAUCAGUGAUUAUAAGACCUUGCAAUGAGACAAUAAUACAUCAUCAAAUCUAAAAAUACACAAGAAAUUCGGGACAUAUAUAUAACAAAAGACCUCUCAUUGAGUCAUACAUAUUGAGAAUAAAAUGUCAAAAUGCAUACAAAGAGCUUAUACAAAAAAUGAAUUUACACAUAUUUAGAAUAAACUGUCUUUGAACUUUCGAUGGUCAAACAAAGGAAACAGACAGGAUAUAAUACACGCCGUCAUAGAUGUAGCGACACGGUGAAGUAAAUCACAUGAAGAUGGAAACGGAAACCCUUCACAACAUAAAAUUUGAAUAGAGGGGGAAAAAAGGCUUCAUUUCGAAUGUUGCACAAAACUAGAAUAACAGACAAAAUAUUGUGCUUCUAUACUUGUCACAAAACUAGACCAAAUUAGUUUCCUUUUUGGUUUGUGAAAACUUGAUAUUUUUGAAAAUUCUAUCCAAUGCUUUCAAACAAUAUUUCCAUAAUAUAGUUGUUCAUAGCUAACCUUUGAUGGUUUAAGCAUUUGUUGUAGGCAUGACGGGCUAAUUAGAUUAUUAUUUUUUUUAUCCGAUGAAUGAUAUUCAGCUGUUCUUAAUUAUGUGUUAAUAGGCAAGAGCAUUUUCUUAAGCACUUUCGUUGCCUUCCAAGUUUCCAAAGAACAAACAGAGCACAAACAAAUUUAACGGAACAGUAACGAUGACAAUAAAUAAUUGGCAAGGAAAGAAAGAAAAAAGUUUGCAUGAUUUCAAGGAAUUAUAAAAUCUGAACACUUUCAACAUGCAAGUGUUGCCCCUCUUAAUGAAAUUUCAUCAUAAAAUGCUUGCAAGGAAUUAUAAAAUUUUAGAGAACAAGCGAAUUAAAUUAAAUUAGACCAAAAGACGCUCAAUGACGCAAAAUCUGCCCAUAAAAGCCUGAACGAAUCAUGAAAAGUGCAUUCCAUAUUGACAGUAAACCAAGUGACCCAUUCUAAACAAUUGAGAUGAAAUUGUGAAACAACCCACGAGAUCAAAUAAAUAAAAUAAGAAUUAAUUACCAGCUGGGACUUUCUUCUUCAAAUUCGUAACUCCAAGUCAUAAGAAGCCUAUGAAAUUAGUCGUAAUCCACAGAGUAUGACGACGACCCCGCCAACAGCUGAAAAUAAAAUUCUUAUUCAUCAAUUUAAACUAACUUUAUAACAAAUAUCUUAUCGAUAUUUUAUUUAAAAAGAAAAAGAAAAUUUUGUAAAAAUUUAUCAUGGGAGAUAGAGAGUAAUAUGUACAUACGUACCUUCUCAGCAUGUAAUUGUUGUAUGGUCGUGUUAAGAUCAUUACCAGCCCAACGCCGUUGAUUCGAUGUCUCUCCAUACCAGACGUUUACUCUUGGAGGCGUGAUUGAUUCUCCUGUAGUGAAAAAAUUCAUCUUGGGACAACCAAUCACACACAACUCUUGCAAAGAUGGGAAUUCAAAGGUGUAAUUGGCAGAGCAGAAACUUGUGAGGCUGUCUAAAUCGCGCAGUUCCAACCUCUUCAAUUUGCGGAAAACAAUCUCUUCUUUUUCAACCCCGUCUUUGUCAUUUAUUACCACCUCUGUCAUUGCUCUGCAUCCAUAUAUACUCACUUUGACGAGUCGCACUAGAGUUUUUGCUGUGGAGGAUGUUACCAAGUGCAUCAAUCCCUUGCAACCGAAAGCUAAAAGUUUUGUUAGGUUCCGAAAAGAUACCGAUGAUGAUGGCAAUAGAAUUAACAGACUUUGACAAUGAUGUACUCCUAGAAUUUCAAGAUACUGAAAAAUGGGGCCAAGUUUGGAGUCUUGUUUGCACAGCUGCUUCAGAUGAUAGUGCCAGCGCAGCUCUAAUGCUUUUAUCAUUGCCAACUUCCCCACAUGUUUCUCUAAGCAUCCUUCCAUCGAAAAUAGCUCUUCGUGGGAUGAAAAAUUAAACAGAGUGAGUAUUUCGAUAUUGUGAAAUCUCUCCAGUACGUUCCAGAUUGGAAAACAAGCUGAGUCAUCUCCAAUAAUCUCUAGUUGUUUAAGACUGCCAAAAAGGUGUUGUGGGAAAUCGGCCUGCAAAAUCAUCUUCACAUCUUUUCCACUUAGUGAUAGUUUCUUCAAGUUGGGUACGAUCUGAUCAUCAUCAAUCAUAAUAACUAAUGAGGUCAAUGAUGAGCUUUUUUUCAUUUUUUAAAACAAAAAUAUAAAAGGUUUUUUAAAAUUUUUAAAAAAUAAUUUUUUAAGAANNNNNNNNNNNNNNNNNNNNNNNNNNNNNNNNNNNNNNNNNNNNNNNNNNNNNNNNNNNNNNNNNNNNNNNNNNNNNNNNNNNNNNNNNNNNNNNNNNNNGUUCAGCUGGCUGACCUAAUUUUUUGUUUCUAGGUAACAGGCUUUAUAUAUCUGUAAUUGAUAGCCAAGUGAAGUUCUCAGCUGUGGUGAGGAUAUUUCUUUACAGAAGGUAUUGCAAACUGUUUUUUAGAUUAAUUAUUAUUGUAUAUAUACUUUAAUUUUCACAUCUUUUUCUCUGAUUCUUGUGGCUUUGCUUGCUUCCAUAUAUAUAAAACCAUAAAAUUGUAUAAUAAUUUUUUUUAUUAUAUUGCGAAACUGCGCACACAUGAAAAUAUCUUGUUUAGUAGUAGAAAUGAAGAAUUAAAGUGAUUUAUUUAACUAAUUUUUCUAGUGCAAUAAAAGGAGAUAGUCAUGGACCAGAGUUGGGUUGGUUUGCCAAAUAGAUAUCCAAUUCAUAUACUGAUGGGGGUCAAAAAAUUUAUAGAUUUUGCAUUUGAGAAUGUUGUUGGUGAUAAAAGAAUUUAUUGUCCUUCUAAGAGGUGUUGUAAUAUCGAUAUUUCAUUAUAAGGAAAGUGGCAAGAGACCAUAUCAUUAUAAAUGGCUAUUGGUUAAAGUAUUAAAACUGGAUAUUGGAGGGUGAGCCAUCUUCAUCUUUGAAAUCUAACUAAGAAACAGGUUAGUCAUGACUCGGGUAGUGAUGCUAGUAUGGUUGGAAUGGUGCAUAAUGCAUCACGUAAUCAAAUGUUCAAGUCACACGCAGCAUUGUUAUGGACUAUCUCCGACUUUCUAGCAUAUGCCAACUUGUUUGGGUGGAGUAUUAAAGGUAAAUAAGCAUUUCUUGUUUGCCAACAAAACACUAGAUCUAAUUGGUUGAUACAUAGUAGAAAAUUGUCACGUGGGUCACCGUCGAUUUUUACCAACAAAUCAUAGGUUCCGAAAAUAUAGUGCCAUCUGAUAAAACUAGAGAGUGGGGACAAGCACCUUCUCGGUUGUCUGGAGCUGAGGUGAAAAAGCAGUUCAGUAAUGUACUUACUGAGUAUAAGAUUGAAGACUUGAAAAGAGGAGAAUGAAUAAAAUAAAAGAAAUGAUAAGAUUACUUGGAAGAAGAAAAGCAUUUUUUAUGAACUAACGUAUUGGGAGUUCAAUUUGAUUCAUCAUAAUCUUGAUGUCAUGCACCGUUUUGAUUUUUGUUAUGAACUCAGAUCAAAAGUUUAAUGUGAUCAAAAUUUCUUAAAAAUAGUGAAAACGACUCCUCCUAAUAAUAUGGAAGAUGGCUAUAAAAGAUAAUUUCUUAAAAGUUUAAUGUGAUCAAAAUUGCUUGUGAACGCAAGGGUUUUAGUCACACUGUCAACGCUGUCAAUGUAGUGAUACAAUGAAGAUGAAGUAAAGCAUUAGUAGAAUAAUGAAGUUGACCAGUAACACAGUAAAGCAAAUUUUAUUCCAGAGCAUGAAAACUUUUAAACAGUAACACAGCUCUUAUUCCAUAGGCUGCACACGAGUGACCUGAAUCUUCUUCAGAACUUUCAAAUUUUAUCAAGCAAAGCUUUCAAAAUCCUUGCCUUCCUAAGUUAGGAAAGAUAGAUGUGGAGCAACCCAAAUGAAAUAAAUGGGUAAACAGAACAAGCAGGGCAAAAAUUAAAAAUGAUGGCAAUUAACAAAUUAAUAGCAAUGUUACAUUUGACUCUUUAGCCAUUUGUUCCUUCUCUUAGCAUUCUUCAAAGGUUUUGAAAAUUGGAUGUGAAGCAAACAAAAUAAAAUAAAUUUAGACAACACAUACCCUGUAUUCAGCAUCAUAUAUAUGUCGAAUAUCUAAUAUAAUAAAUUUCACAUCCAAAAUACUAGAAUUUCAAACAGUACUAGUAGUAAAAAAAUGACGACAACAACAAAAAUAGAAAAUUACAAGACUGCUGAUAAAAUUUCAUUUGCGUGCAUGUCUGACAAAAUUUCCGUGGUUUAAUGUGCGUUCAUGCAGGCAAGUCCUAACGUUUCUGUGAUCACAAAAUGAAACUGAAGAUAAACCUUUCAAGCUUGACGAAGCCAUGAGAAUUCAUAGCUCAGGCUCUGAUACCAAGUUAAAGUUUCUAAUCUGUUUGAUAAGUAAGAAAAUGAGAGAAAAUGAAAGAAAGAACAGAGAUCAUCUAAGAGCUGGAUUUGAUGAAUAAAUCUGAAUCAUCCAUUCUUUAGCUGAUUACAAAUGUAUUUAUACAAGGUUUCUAAGCACCUGAGAGUUGAAUAACUUAUGCCAGCUCAGCUAACACGUCAGUAACUCUACCUAUCUUGCUUAACAAACUGAAACAAUAACUAACCAUUUUAACUAUCUUAACAAUCCCAAUAAUUUCUCCGUUUGUGUGUUUUUUUGAUUCAUAAUCAAAUGGGUAAAUGUUGCAACUAUUUUUUUUANNNNNNNNNNNNNNNNNNNNNNNNNNNNNNNNNNNNNNNNNNNNNNNNNNNNNNNNNNNNNNNNNNNNNNNNNNNNNNNNNNNNNNNNNNNNNNNNNNNNNNNNNNNNNNNNNACUAACUUGAAUUUAUAUGCUUUUAGGAUUAUUUGAUAAUCAAAUGGGUAAAUGACAGGAAGAACUUUGAGUUUAAAAAUCUGGGCCUGAUGCCUGGUAGCCCUCCAACCUAUGAAGCACUAGAUGUUUUAAUGAGAAAACGACAAGACCAUUUAUCAAAUUUCUUGUGGAUAUAAAUACAUACACAUAGACGAGACCAACCUCCUCAAAUGAGAAUCAGAGUGAUUACAAGACCUUGCAAUGAGACAAUAAUACACCAUCAAAUCUCAAAAUACAAUAGAAAUUCAUGACAUAUAUAUAAUAAAAGACCACUCAUUGAGUCAUAUAUAUUGAGAAUAAAAUUUUUUUAAUACAUACAAAGAGCUUAGCUAGAAUGAAAUGUCUUUGGACUUGCGAUGAUCAAACAAAGGAAACAGACAGGUUGCAACUCACACUAUCACAGAUGUAGCGACACGAUGCAGUGAAUCACAAGAAGAUCACGAAGAUGGAAACGGGAACCCCUCAUAAUGUAAACUUUGAAUAGAGGAAAAAAGAAAAACGACCUUAUUCACAGAAGAAGAGUGACUUAAAUCUUCAUCAGUAUCCAGACAUUCUGCAAUCAUAGAGUAGAGAAAUUUUAACAGGAACAACAGAGAAAAUAUUAUGAAUAUGCUACACCAAAUUAUCCCUUUUUUGGUUUGUGAAAACUUGAUUUUUUAUGAAAUAUUUUCAAUCAAUAUUUCCACAAUAUACUUGUUCAUAGCUAACAUUUGAUGGUUUAAGGAUUUGUUAUAGGAACAAUGCACUGAUUACGUUUUUUUUUUAAUUUUUUUAAUCCGAUUAAUGAUAUUCAGCUGUUCUUUAAUUAUGUGUUCAUAGGGAAGAACAUUUUCUAAGUACUUUCCUUGCCUUCUAACUUUCCAAGGAAAGAUAGGUGUGAAGAAAAGCAAACCCAAUGAACAAACAGAGCACAAACUAAAAUAAAAGAACAGCAAUGAUGAGAAUAAAUAAUUGGCAAAGAAAGAAUGGAAAAAGUAUGCACGUUUUCAAGGAAUUAUAAAAUACGAAGGCUUUUAAUGAAAUUUUAUCAUAAAACUUAUGCAAGGAGUUCUAAAAUUUUAGAAGACGAGGGGAGCUCGCAAAAAAAAAGAAAAAGACUCAAAUUAAACUAGACUAAAAAGACAUUCAAUUAUGCAAAAUCUGUCCAUAAAAGUCUGAAAGGAUCAUUAAAAUUGCACUGCAAAUUUAACAGUAAACCGAGGGACCCAUUCUAAAUAAUUCAGAUGAAAUUGCGAAACAAGCUAUGGGAUUAAAUAAAUGAAAUAAAAUUAAUUACCAGUUGAGACUUUCUUCUAAAAAUCGCAACUCCAAGUCAUAAGAAGCUAUGAAAUUAGUCGUACUGCAUAGAGUAUAUCGACGGCACCGCCAACAGCUGAAAAUAAAAUUCUUAUUCAUCAAUUUAAACUAACUUUAUAACAAAUAUCUUAUCGAUAUUUUAUUUAAAAAGAAAAAGAAAAUUUUGUAAAAAUUUAUCAUGGGAGAUAGAGAGUAAUAUGUACAUACGUACCUUCUCAGCAUGUAAUUGUUGUAUGGUCGUGUUAAGAUCAUUACCAGCCCAACGCCGUUGAUUCGAUGUCUCUCCAUACCAGACGUUUACUCUUGGAGGCGUGAUUGAUUCUCCUGUAGUGAAAAAAUUCAUCUUGGGACAACCAAUCACACACAACUCUUGCAAAGAUGGGAAUUCAAAGGUGUAAUUGGCAGAGCAGAAACUUGUGAGGCUGUCUAAAUCACGCAGUUCCAACCUCUUCAAUUUGCGGAAAACAAUCUCUUCUUUUUCAACCCCGUCUUUGUCAUUUUUUACCACCUCUGUCAUUGCUCUGCAUCCAUAUAUACUCACUGUGACGAGUCGCACCAGAGUUUUUGCUGUGGAGAAUGUUACCAUGUGUAACAAUUUCUUGCAACCGAAAGCCACCAGAGCUGUUAGGUUCUGAAAAGAUACCGAUGAUGAUGGCAAUAGAAUUAACAGACUUUGACAAUGAUAUACUUCUAGACUUUCAAGAUACUGAAAAAUGGGGCCAAGUUUGGAGUCUUGUUUGCACAGCUGCUUCAGAUGAUAGUGCCAGUACAGCUCUAAUUCUUUUAUCAUUGCCAACUUCCCCACAUGUUUCUCUAAGCAUCCUUCCAUCGAAAAUACCUCUUCGUGGGAUGGAAAAAAAAGCAGUGAGAGCAUUUCGAGAUUGUGAAAUCUCUCAAGUACGUUCCAGAUUGGAAAACAAGCUGAGUCAUCUCCAGCAAUCUGUAGAUGUCUAAGACUGCCAAAAAGGUGUUGUGGGAAAUCGGCCUGCAAAAUCAUCUUCACAUCUUUUCCACUUAGUGAUAGUUCCUUCAAGUUGGGUACGAUCUGAUCAUCAUUAAUCAUAAUAACUAAUGAGGUCAAUUGAUGAUCUACGGUCACACGCAGUGACUUUAUAGCAUUUGUUUUAUAUUAUAUUUUAAAAAAAUUGAAUUAUUGAUAAAAUUUAUUUUAUAUGUUAAUUUUAGAGGUAAAAAAGAAAUUAGAGAAAAAGGUUGAUUUAUACUGGCUCAAAAUUAUUUUAUUGCACAAUAAUAAAUUACUAAUUUAUUUUGUAAGUUCUUCUAAAUGGAAAGACUGAGGAUUCUUUUAUAAAUACUAUGCCUAAAAAAGUUCAUAUAAUUAUGAAUCUACCAUAUUGAUCCCUUAGUCUAGACUAGCAAAGAUUAUUGUAUAAUAAAAGUUUUCAAUUUAUUGAGCAUUAAUUUAUCGAUGCUUUGUCAUAUUUUUCAAAGUUAAAAAUAAGCUAUUGAUAAAAAAUCUAGAAAAUGGCUUCAUACCUUUCCCAACGGCAAUGGGAGCUGUUGUGCAGGAAUACCAAGUUGAUCAUUCUCAUUAUUCUGCGAUAAAUCUGCAGCGAAUAUCUUUAAUUUGUCACAACGAUACACUACAAGAAUUUCUAGCGCGGGCCAUUCCGAAGUAUGCUUUCCAGGGUACAAACAUCUAAGUUUUGGUAGAACUUGGAGUAUCAGAGUGGUGAGCUGUGGAAAGACAAAAUAAGGGAUCACUUGAUCUGCUCUGUUUUCAGAAAUGAUCUCCUGUAAAUUCUCACAGAACCAUACUUCUAGGCGUUGGAGCUGCUUAAGGCUUCUGAUCAUAGACGCUGAAAAUAUGUAUUUUAAUUUGUGACAAUGCCACACAAUCAAUCGUGUUAAAUUUUGAAAGCGAGGAAACGUGACCGGAAGAUGAUUGUAGUGCCAAAUCUGGUCGACAUUAAUUUCAGAUAUCUCCAAAACCUCCAAGUUAGGCAACGCAACCUAAAAAAAUAAGAAUUUCUCGUUAGAUCCAAUAUCCAUAUGGGAAGCACUUGUUGAAAUUUUCUUCUUUGAUUACAAAUUAAUGCAAGUCAGAAUCAAUUUCCAACUGACAGCUGAGUAUGCAUUCUAAUUGAUACUACUUGUUAAGAGCUCAAUUAGUGAGCGCGUGAGAUUCUUUUUAUCCUUUUUUCCAUUUUCUUUCCAUUCUUUAAAUGAUUUAAUUAUUUUCCACGUAUGACAUCAAAAGAGAACGCAUUAUAGAAUAAAGAAAAUGUUAGCCUACGCACCUUCUCGUUGAAAAGUAGAGUUGAAAUAUCCAAAGUGAUUUCGCUGGAGCAAUACAUAGCCGUCGAUUCCUCUUGCGACACUUGUCUGUUCGGUGAUGCUGAAGGAGUCUCCACCUCACAGCAAAAACUUGUAACCUCUGGAAGAUUCCCCAGACUCAAAGAUCUUAAUUGAGCAAACUCUAUCUUCUCAAUUGCAUUAUCAACUUCUUCCCCAAUUGAAAAAAUUUCUUUCAUCUUGCUGCAAUUAAUAACUGCAAUUCUCUCAAGUCUUGGAAGGCAUUUUGUAGUAGAGAACCAAAAGAUAUUGCUCAACUUAUCACAAUUAUAUGCUUCUAUGUUUUUGAGUUGGUUGAAAGACUCUACUUUGAGCCGAUCAAUACAUAACCUCUCCAUGUUGAUCAAAUUGUGAAGGAUAAGUGACUGCAAAAGAGGAAAGGCAUCACAACCGACCAUCUCCCUUGAAUCGACGAUACAAAAGAUGUCAGGAUUAUUUUGAACCCAGAGAAGCUUCAAUUGUGAAAAGCCCUCCGUGUCCAAAUUGAAAAGAACAUUCUCGAUGCCUUGCAGCUUGUCCAACCAUAAGCAUUCAACGUUAUUGAUGCCCUGCAAUUUCGUGGAGCAAAUGUCCAUAAAAUCAAGCUUGAGCUUCAAUUCUCUUAAACUCUCACGAUUACUGUUGAUCAAAAAGUGCGGCCGGCUUUGAAACCAUUCUCUUGUAAUACUCUUGGGAGGCAUGAAUGACUCAUUUCCAAUGGAUAUUUUGAACCUUUCGAGCUUUCUGGCCAAAAAACCUUCUGGUAAAAUACUGUCAUUUUUAACGUCAAUUUCUAGAGUGGUUAGCCGAGGUAAAUGCAUCAAUUCAUCAAGGCUAGCAUUACUUCUUUCCCUGUUGUCUCUUUCAACCUCCCAUUCAAUGCAGCAAUUACCCAUAUACAGCUCUUCUAAUCGAGUUAAGCUUGAUAUGAGAUUGGGCGCAAUAACUUUUAGAUGGAAACAAUUGGUUAAAUCUAACAAUCUCAACUUAUUCAAUUGACCUAGUUCUUCUGGCAACUGCAUAAUAUCAGACAUCAGAAAGCUAAGGACUUCUAGAUUCUUCAACUUCCCAAUGAUUUCUAUGUCCCCCAACGCACUUUGAUCCAGACAUAGUGUGUGAAGAUUUACUAGAAGAUCAAUUGAAGAUGGAAAUGAAGAAAACUGCAUUCGAGUAAAAUCUAGAACUCUAAGCUUUUUCAUCCCUACAAAAAAGUUCUCAGGAAUAUUGAUUUCAAGAGAAAAAUCUUUGAGAGAGAUAUAUAAAAAUUCAAGGUUUGGGCAUUCUAAUCCUUCAGGAAAUUCACGAUUACUAUUAUUUCUUAAAGAGACAGCAUUGCAUUUUCGAAGUGCAUCCUCAUCUGGCCAGUCCCACACAUCCUCAUUUCUCACCGAAAACACAUGUUGGUGGCGGCAUGCAAUUGAUAUUGCGACAUCGCGAACAACAUCAUGCAUUGAAAAUUCUUCAUUGCUAUCACCCUCAAGCAACAAACAAGAGUCUCUAAGUUCAUGGACCAAUGCAUAUAAUUUGUCUCGUGCAUCUUCCAUCUUAUUGACUCCUUUAAAUAUACCCAAACCCAUGGAGUACUUAAACAGGUCCAAAGUAUGAAUACGGUUACCCAUUAGACUACAGAGGAGAAAAAUUUUCUUGAGUUGCUCACCUUUUAAAUGGUUGAAACUCAGCUCAAUACUUGAAUAAGUCUCUGCAGAUACUCCUUCGAAGUUCACCAUUGAAGGCGUUCGGAGUUCUCGCAAGGAAUUCUUCCAUUCAUGCAGACUCUUGCUUCUCAGUGCCUUUGCUACUGUGGUCAAGGCAAUGGGCAAACCUCCACAUGCCCUGGCGACGUCUAUUGCUGUAGAUUUCAACUCACGAUUUUCAACAUCAUCACCGGCCAUCAUCUUAAACAAUCUCCAGGCUUCUUCUUCAUUUAAAUUGUUUAUCAAAAAGUUGUCUUUAGAACCCAUUUUUAAAAGGACACUACGAUCUCUUGCCGUCAGCAGUAGUUUGCAGCCUUUAUGGUCUUCUCCAAAAGGAAUUCCAACUGUCUCCAAAUCAAGGUGUUUCCAAAUGUUAUCUAAAACCACAAGGAUCUUCUUGUGAUUUCUCAAUCGCUCAAAUAGUCUACUUGCUCUUCUAGAUUCAACUUCCUCGUGCAACUCCAGGCCCAACUUCUCGGCAAUUUCCUGUUGAAUCUUUUUUAUGUCUGGAGUUUGCGAAACCUCUGAAAAGACCACCAUAUCAAAGAGCUUGUCUUCCAUAGCUUGCCUGGCGACCUUCUUCACCAGUGUCGUCUUUCCAAUGCCGCCCAUGCCGUACACCCCAACGACACUAACAUUAACAUCGAUCAAUGCAUUUUGUAUGGCCUUCAAAGAAGAAAGUCUUGACUCGAAGGCCUCGUAGCCUUUGUGAGACUUGAGCCAUAUCUCCUCCGGAAUGGUACGGUAGGAAAUUCUAUCAUCAAAUCUUGCAGCUUCUUCUCGGAUUUUGACAAGUGCCUUCACCUCUGCCUCUGCUUUCUUGCUAAGCUGAUAGCGGGUCUUCAGAUUAGGGCACAGACCCUUGAGACAUAGCUUAUUUGUUGCCUCCUCGUCGUCAAUGAAUUUGUCUGCAUGGUCAAUGAUCUUGUUCGCAUUAACCAGCCAUUUCUCAACCUCCUCUUCAAUCUUUUCUCCUUUUCUUUCAUCCUCUGAAACUCUGCGUUGAAUGCUCCUACUUUUAUCCUUGAGCUUCUCGAUUUCAGCCUUGAGAUUCUCAAAGUUGUCAUUGGAGCAACGCAAGUAACGAAGUUGGUGUUGUGCUGGAGGAGCCAAGCAUUUUACAACCUCUAAAACGACAGUAACAAUGGAUUCCAUCACCUUCAAUACUUUUUCUUUUCUUUUUUUUUUUUUGGGGGGGGGGGGGUUUGUGGGAGGAUGGAUUGAUCUGAAGUGAAAGAAACAGAAAAAGAACAGGGGAAACGACUGGACAAUUGUUAAUCAAUGAAGAAGCCGAAGAAAAAACAGAUGACGGUGAAAGGGAACGGGACUAAAUUAGGAAGAGAAAUUGUAUUUGAGCAAAACAAGGAAAAAAUCAGUGUAAUAGAUGAGAAUCAAAGUGUUGUUGCGAUCAGAAAAUUGAAACAAGAAAAGGGUUUCUUGAUCCAAUGAGUAUACAGAGAGGUGAUGGCAGAAGGGAGCAAAGCUAGGUCAGGAGAGGGUUUCUUGAUUGAGAAUUGAACGCAAAGAGUAGGAGCUGAUGAAUUAUAACUGGUAAAACUGAUUUGAAGCAAUUCUAUUGAGCGAUCUGAAAAAAAUUAUUUUGUUCAAUAUCAUACAGUAAAAGGAACAAAACAGUAAAAAGAAAUUAUUUAUUUAUUUUGUCAAAUGUGAAUACAGAGAGUAUCCAAACGAGCAAUUAUUUCUUUCUCGUCUCAGUAAACUAUAACGACAAAACAGCAAAAGAGAAAAUUAUUGUCAAACGUGAAUCACGUUUCUAAUCUAUUAAUUAAAAUGAUGUUAUACAAAAAAUGCUAAUGCUGGGAUGAUUUAACUUCUAACUGAAAAUUGCUAAUAUCAAUGUCGGGGGUGAAGGACAUAAAUUAUUCGUAAUUGCGAUGUAACAUUUGCUGGCAUAUUAUGAAUGAAAGAUAAAUUAUAAUCAUCGAAAUGUGUGGGGUCAGCUGUCAGUUGUAAUAAAAUGAAAGUUUUAAUUUUUGAAAUAAAAAUUAAUAAUACCUGAUAAAGUGGUACCAUUGAAUCAGUCUACGGAAGUCAUCAGAGUUGUCAAUGGUUAGACCCAACUAUAAUAUGGUCCAACUAUGGUAUCCCAUUAAAUGAGCCCUAAAACUAAACUCAAAGCCACAAUUGCUAGAAGAGAAAUUUACACGAGAUAGGUCAUGAUGAACUUCUCUAAUGAUAUUUUCUCAUGUGCUAUAGUGAGACUCACAAUAAACCUUACUAAUUUUUUAAAUAUAAAAUCUUAUGAAUCCCAUUAUAAAACACAUCUAUAAUUUCGCUUUGAAAUUUACUGCUCUGCACGUCUAAGCUAAGCGGAGAAUAGACUUCAUCAACAACGCUUUUGUGAAUAUGUGUUGCAUUACAACACUCCAAUGUGAUCCUCAUCCAAUAUCCAUUAUUUGUGAUCCUUAUUCCUCUGCGUCAAUUAAAUAUUGUUCCAUGAAUUUUUAAUUAUUUGUCAGCUAAUAAUUAAGUCAUAUAAACAAAUUAAUAAUCUGAAUUAGUCUUUAGGUAUUAUAAAUAUUUGUAGAUUUUUAAUUAUAAUAUCAUUAUUUAAAAGUAAUGCUUCACUUACAUUAGUGGCAUGCCAUUACCACUGUCAUAAAACAUGUGAUCCUCAUCCAAUAGCCAUUAUUUGUGAUCCUUAAUCAAUGAAAUAUCUGACAAUAUCUGCGUCAAUUACAGUCCAGUCCAAUGCUGCCAUCAUUAUCGAACAGUCGAUAUCCAACACUUGCAUGAAGAUUCCAAGAAGUUGCAUGGCUGCCGACUUUUAGAUGCUAAGCCUCAUUGUGUCGAUGAUACACGAAACAGAGCUUAGAACUAAACAGUAGCUUAGUCGGAAAAUCAAACGCCAGUGCCGGUAAAAUGACCGAUAAAAAUAUAAGGAAAUAAAAAUUUUAAAGUUUUACUUCAUUGCUUUUUUAAUCUUAUUACUAUUUCUUCUUGCACUUCUAAAGAAAUCAAAGCUUUAAAAGAAAUCAGCCAAAUCACGAAGAUUGAAGUGAACAAAAAUUUUAGGUUUUAUACAACAUCUCUUUUUUUUUUUUUUUUGGUUCUAUUUGAAGUGAACGAAAUAAAAAUACAACAGGGUCAGCGACUGGGCAAUUGAUAGUCAAGUAGAAGCAAAUCAAGGCUAAAUGGGAAAGAGAAAUAAUAUUUGUACAAAACAAAGAGAAAAUUAGUGUAACAGAAGAGAAUCAAAGUGCUUUGGGAUCAGAAAUUGAAACAAGAAAAGGGUCGCUUGAUCCAAUGAAAAUGCUAAGAGCUGAUGGCAAAAGGGAACAAAGUUCAACAAGAAAACAAAUAGCACUAGCAGCGACCAAAAUAAACAGAAAAUUUGAGAUGGAUUUACAAUAUUUCUGCCUUUCUUUAUGCUUUAACAAAUAUUGCUCUAUCAAUAUAUAUAUAUAUAUAUAUUGAGCGUUUUUAUUAUUGGAGUCACAAAAGACCUACACAAUAUAGCAAGUGGCUAGGAAUAAAUAAGAUAUAUAACUUUCUCUCUAAUUCUCGCUCGGGCUUUUAAUUGUCACUCAAAACCCAGAAUUCAUACUUAAAAUUGUAAGCAAGUCAGACAUGACAGCGUCUGGUUGUCAUACGCGCCUUCUAGUUUCCGGAUGACAUGGCAUACACUUAUUCUGUAAAUCCAACAUGACAUGCCGUACUCUUUGUUUUGAGAUCAUAUUUCAAACUCUUCAUGCAAUGAAUGAAACAUAAACUACAAUCAUCAAAACUUUAGUGUUUGUUUGGUAAUGUAACGUCACGGUUGUUGUGAAUUGAAAUUAUUUCUGUAAAAUAAAAGGAUUUGGGUCAUUGAUUGUUAUUUCUGGCAAUAUUUGUUAAAUAUUAAAAAAAUAAAUUUAUAUUUAUUAAGUAUAAAAAAUAAAUAAACAAACAAAAAUAAAAGAAAAAAUUUAUACAUUACGUAAAAUAAUAAGAACAAUAUCAAUAUUUCACACUCUAUAAUUGAGUGAUGUGUUGUCCAACUGCCAUACAUUGGUCCCAAACAGAGACUUAAAUAUUAAAGUCCAAAGUUAUUGUGAUGAUGACUUAUAAUCGCCAAACUUGACAUACGGGUAAUCAUACAUUAUAAGGCGCUGAUUUCUUCCUAUCGGAACCUUAUUUUUCAUUUACAAAUAAAUAAAUUAUGUGACUUCACGGUUGGCGGGGUCCUUUGUGUCAUUUGGGCAUUUCACUAAAUGAUUGAUUGUAGCAGGAAGAUUCCUGGAAGUUGCCAUAAUGCUACUAACAUUUUAAAACUUGGAAAACCCUUCUAUCAAUCUUUUAGUGGUAGGCUCUGGUAGCUUGGUUUGAUUAUGGCGUAUGAUUAUUUGAUAAUAAAGUUAGAGGAUGUAUUAAUAUAAAAUUUGUUUAUUGGUGUUGAAGUUAAUUAUCUCAUUAAUAAUAGUAUAAAAAAUUAAUUACUAAGAAACACAUAACAGUAGUUAAUUGGUGUUAUAUUAUUGGGAUUCUGGGAUAUAAUUUUAUAUCAUAACUUUGUAGGUGUAUACUUACUCAUCAAACUAAUAAAAUUAUUUAAAAAUUUCAGUUGGAAAACAUAAAUUAUAUUAUUUUCAUUUCAAAUAAUCUAUAAGUUAACUCAAAACAUAAUCAAGCUGAGAAUUAAAAUAAUGCUACUGUAUGAGAGGAUUUUUAUUUUUUCCCGAAGUUUCACUAGGAAAUUAUUGAUACAUAGCUUUAUUCGGAUCAUCUCAGUUCAAACGACAAAUAAUUGAAAGACUAAGCUAAAUAGACCAGCCAACAACUUUGUACAAGAGAGUUCAAAAAUUAAAGUCAUGGUAUUAAAGUGUUCUAUAUUGAAAAGUACAGUGUAGUAAUAAAAUAAAAACUAAUAGUCUUUGGUAAGAUAUGACAUUUAAAUAAUAAUUUUCACAAAAAUACAAAGAAUAUUUAUAAAGUACUUCUAUAAUGAGGAGACCCUCACUUUGUUAAAGUGAAAAUAUCAAUAAUAUAAAAAAGACAUAUAUUUUAACACAUUAAAAAUUAUAUUUUUUUUUGUCUAUUGGUGUAUUGAAAUGUGUGUUAUUUAGUUUGUUAAUAAUAUAAUCACUUUGUUAAAAUGAGGAUGUCGUUGCUAGAGAAUCAUUAUAUAUACAUAUAUAUAUAAAGUGCUUCUGUCCAAGACCUACACUUUAUUAAAAUUUAAGAAAGCAAAUAUAUUUUAUAUGGUAUAAUAGUGUAAUUACAUCACACUAUUAUAUCAUAUAGAGUAAUAAUUUUUCGAACUUUAAUAAAGUUCAAGAUUAUAGAAUAAAUAAUUUAUAUAUAUUAUAAAUUUUUUUUAUCAUAAAGUGGAGGACAAAAUUAACAUAUUUAUUAAAUUAUAAUAAGUAUUUAUCAAAUAAUUUAACAUUGCAAUUUCUCCUAACUAGUAUAGUAAAUAAUACGACCUAGGAGGUACAUUCAAAAGCAUUUCAUAAGUUAGCUGAUAAUAAUAAAUGAUAUAUGCAGCCCAAUCAUCAUUGUACGGUGAGUAAUUUUUGAUGACUUAAUUUAGUGGGAUCAAAAUCAACAUUGAAUUUUUGACCAGCUGCCAACAACUUGUGAGCAGUUCACAGUGGGUACUGCACAUGAUGCCUGUUUCUCCUUUUGCAUCUAUUUUUGUUGUUAACAUUAAUUUCAAUAGCAGCUCGUUAAUCCCAUUUGUUGAUUUGGGACUAGAUAAGAAUUUAUCUUGGAACUCCAAUUCUCCAAUUAUUUUAGUUGACAAUAUAUUUAACAUUAUUAAUUGCAUAUUAUUUAAUUAUCAGUAUAUAAUAUUCUUUAAUUUUCUAAUUUUAUAGGAUUAGACACAAAAUUGAUUAUGCCUUUUGAAAUUUAAGGGUUAUGUCAAUUGAAUAGAAAACUUGGAGUUAAACUUGUGGAUGUUUUUGUUGAUUAUCAGUUUAUGCAUGAAUUUUUGUACGUUUACUUUGGUUUAUAAUUAUUACUUUUAAACAUUUUUAUUGGUUUGAUUUAUGGUCAAUUUGGUAAUCCUGUAGCUUUUAAAAUAAUUGCAAUUAGCUAUACUGUAGAAAUUGAUCAAUCGUCAAGAAAAUCAGCUGAACAUUUAGUAAAAUUUAUUUUUAAAAGUACUUUUAGUUUUGAAAGCGUCGUAUGAAUGAAACUGUUACACUAAAAAUUAAAUGUAUUGCCCACUUGGGUAAAUAAAGCUAUAUAUUACAACUGUUACACUAAAAAUUAAAUGUAUCUUAAACCCAAACUUCUUCUUCUUUUUUUUUUUUGACUAACAAAAUUAAAAACAAUAGUGAACACAUUCUUUAAUAAACAAUAAGUAAUAACUAAAAUCAUGUUAAAUUUCUUAAAAAAUUUCUUUCACGGUUUGCUAAAUAUUUUUAUUAGUAUUUUGAAUAAAUAAAAAUAGUUGAUUUAAUUUUUUUAAAUAAACUUAUUAGGUUCAUGUAAAGAUGUUUUUGUUAUUUUAAAAAGUGUAGAAAGUACUCCUAAAAAAAAGCGUAGAAAGUAAAACUUAAUUUUUUAAAUUUAUUUGCUGAGUGCAUAAAUAAUUGAGUGUUCAUAAUGAUUUUUAAAGUAUAGAUAGUCGGACCCUAAUUUUUUAAUAUAUGGAAAUUUUGCUAAUAUGUUAAUGAGAAUUAAAAAGAUAAUUAAGGGAGGCAAUCGAGACAUUCAGGAUAGUUAGGAUGGGACAUGAUUGUGAGCGGUUUGAUAUUGGUCCUAAUUUUGAUCACAAAUAUAUAAACAGGACGAGUUUAUCUCUACUUACAUUCCAUUUGAUAAUUAAGAUGAGAACGGAAUUGUCAAAUCUCAAAUCAUCCCGAACCAUUGCCAUCAAAGGUACUCUCACUAAUAAUAUCUAAAGAAAAAUCUACAUCUAUUUCAUACUCUUUUUUUUUAAAUGGAAAGAGCCCUCAUGGGGCUUGAAAUGUUAUCCUAAAUAGUAUUCAGAAUAUCAAGCCAUGAUUGGGUUUGAGACAAACAAAUAUUACAUAGUUAGGAUACGUAGUUAUAGUGUCCCAAUUUAUGUAGUAUCUAUCAUUUAGUGCACAUAUAAAAUAUUUGGACAUAUAAAAUAUUAAUCAACUUAAUUAAUUUAUAAAAUUUAAAUCUAAUUAAUAAGUGAUACAUAAAUGCCAAGUGCAAUACUGUAUAUGCAAAUCAUGUUUGUGGAUCAUUACAAAACUGGCUCUUGAAAACAAGCAAGAAAGCUUAAUUAAGAACUUAAAACAAAAAGAAUUAGAUUGAAAACAGUCAAGCUUUAUUUUUUCAAGGAUGGAGCUUAUAAAUCUUCAAGUACCAACAUAUGCUUGGUGUUGUGCAAAUUUUAAUGUACUCGCAAGCGCACGAAUCUAUUGUAGUAUCGAUCAAUGGUGACGAGUGUCGAUCCCACGAGAAGGUGGAUUUUAAUUGUGUAGAAUUAAUUUUGUAAAUGGGUGAUUGGAUUUGUGGUGGAAAUGAUUUGGAAUAUGCUAAAACUUAAAUUAAAAUGGCAAGAAUAAAUUUUAAAAUUGGUAUUGAAAUGGCGAGAAUAAAUUGAAGAGAAUUCUAUUGAAAUGACGUACUUGGGUAUCUGGAUCCGUAUCAACAUGCAUCAUGGGCUAAAUAAUCCUUAUUAAUGCCAAUUAAAUCAUGAGGGGGGAAUCCACACCUCAUGAACCACGCUCUAAUCAAUAUUGUGCUAAGGGCUUAUCGUGCCAAAUAAUAAUAACCUUGUACUAGGGGGCCGGUGAAACCAAGGCGGUACUAGACAAGAUUAGUAUUAUUUUUCGACGAGAAGUCAAAACAUCCACAAAAACUAGAGGGGAAGAGAAAAUAAAUUUACCAAAUAAGCCAUGACACAUGUUGAGACUUCACCUUCAACCCAAGCUUGAAAGAAAAUUAGCCACUCAUAAUUGAACUAGGGGCAAAAUGGAAAUUUAUUAAAAUAUGAAGAAAAUACAAGAUGGAGAAGGAAUUACAGAAAAUGGAUCCCAAAAAUGGAUUCAGAGAUCUCAAAUUAGGGGGGAGAGGCCCGCUUUUUAUAGAUACAUGGAGUAAAUCAUGACCAUCGGAUUAAAAACAGUUUGGACGCUCAGGAUUACGCCACGUCAUCAGUCAACAGUACGCGGUUUGACCACGCGGAUGAACAGUAAUGCGGUUUGGUUGAAAAUAAUCCUGUGUGAUGCAUGUACCGUACGCGAGAUUUUUCGUCCACUGAUAUGCUGCCACGUCACCAUCAACAAUUCAUAAGAAUUUUAGCCCAAUAGGAUCGUGACACCUCAUCAGUCAAUGCCACAUCAUCGGUCAAUGCCACGUCAUCGAUCCGUAUAUGUAAACAGUGUCGUGAACAGUAACGUAGACAGUACUGUACACAUGAAUAGUACCGUACAUGUGAAUAGUGCCAUUUUUCCUUUUAUGCUCCUCCUAAGGUUUUCGACCGUCCUGAGUUCAAAAGUGAUGUCCGUUUUGCCGUCUGACCUCUCCUUUAUUGUGAAAUGACUAUAAUGCCCCUAAAAUACAUAAAAUACUUAAUUAAAAUAAAACACAUGUAAUUAAAUCACAAGAAGAUUAAAUACAUAAAAGUAAGGGUUGUUAGUAAGACUUGAAAUGUAAAAUGAUGGUUUUCUCCUUUAUAAAUAUGCAUUUUCUAACACUCAACACACCCCCCAACUAGCUUAUUGCUAGUCCCUAGCAAAUAAAGCGAAAAUAAAAUUCAAAUUCAAAAUGAUUUUUUUUUUUUUAGAAACACUCGUGUUUAUUCAAUCAGAUUAAUGAUAGCAAUCAAAUAAAAGUAUAAGCAUUAUCUCCAGUCUAAAGCAACAUCACACCCACAUCAACCAUCCACAUGAAUCAGCCCAGUAGACUUCGUUAUAGCUACUUUCAAGAAUGACAUGUCAAACCCCAAAAUCUCACUGGAAGUAGUGACACUCUCACAAAGAAAUUAAAACCAAUAAAAAUAGUCACUCCAAUGAAUGUAAUUGAGAGAGAAAAUAAUAAAGAAGUGAUAUCACAUGCUCUCACCAAGAUGAAAUAAAUAUGCCCCCAGCUUAGAAAUAAUACGAUCUCAAGUCAAAUAAAAAUGCUAGUCAACCCAAUUUAUUUAUCUUUUUUUUUCUUUUAUUUAUUUAUUUAUUUUUAUUAUGCACCACUACAUCUUUUUAGCCCAUAUAACUAGUUUCUACUUCAGAUUAUAGUUCCCUAAAAUCGGGAAGGACUUUUAUUAGGAUGUAACGUAGGCUAGGGACAUGGUUAACAAAGAAGGGAAAUAAGGAAAACAAAGUGUAUGUUUGAGAAAAAUGCAGAGGAAAUUUUUUUUUUUUUGGAAGUUACAAGGUGGAUUUCACCUAUUAUUGUUAUUAUUAUUAUUAUUUUUUUUUUUUGCUUUUGCUUGGCACAAUGUCACUAAAUAAAAUAAUUAUUUACAUUUUCUCAAACAUAAAUAGGUGAUGGAACUUAUAAGACAUCGGGUAAUACUCCAAAUCGGAGUGGGUCAAGAUGAUAAGUUGACAAAGAAAAUAUAUAUAUAUAUUUUUAAAGGCUCAAAAGGGUUAACUAUGGAUAUUUAAUAAAAGGGAUGGUUAGAAAGGCUCAAACGGAUCAAAGAUGGCCUUUCCAUCGUCUUUUAGGGCUCUAAAUAAUCAUCUAUAUCUACUAGUUAGAUGGGCCUCCAAAUGUAGCUACACACAUUUUUUUUCUUUUUUUUUUAAUUUUAUAAUUUUUUUUUUAAGGGUUAACUCAAAAGAAAUCUAGAGAUCGUGUAUACAAUAAUAAACUGUUAAGCUGUAUAAAGAAUGGGCAAAAGGGUUACUCUCCAAGAAAAAUGAUAAUCUCAAAAACUCACUUGGUACUUAUUAUGACAUGUUCAUUCCUUCAAGCAACUCAUAUUUGUCUCCGACAUCAACAUGUAGAGUAGCAAACAUAAUGUAACAUCACUUAAGACCAAAGAUAAUACAAAUACUAAAAUUUGAAAUUAAUCAUGUCAUCCAAUGUUAAAACAAAUCACACAAUUUUUUUUUUAAACAACAUUCUACCCCCCAACCUAUUCUAAACGUGAAAGGAAAAUAUGCAUGCAGAAAUGUGAAAAUGAUGCAUAAAAACUAAUUAAAAAAAGUUACACGUAAAAUGAUAGAAAACGAAAAUGGUUUUUUUUUUUAAGAAGAUGUGUUUCUAGAGGCACUACACUCCAUAUUCAGCCAUCUUCGACUCAUAAGUUGGAAAAUGUAUAUUUAUAGAGGAGAAAUUAAAAAGAAGAAAAAUAAACAUAAAAACAGAAUAAAGAAAAAGAAAAUGUCUGAAUUUUUUUUUUGUUUUUUAAUUUUUUUUUAAACGAUGAAGAUGCGUUUCUAGAGUCACUACACUCCAUAUUCAGCCAUCUUCAACACAAAAAGUUAGCAACAGUUAGUUUCUACAACAAAAAAUUAGUAAAAACUUAACCAAAAUUUCACAAUUGUCGACUAUUCCCUCCCCCCAACCAGAACGAAACAUUGUCCUCAAUGUUUGAAAGGAAAGAAGUAGAGUUUAGAAGACAUCAACUGGGUGGUGCAACACAGAAAACAAUAUUUACAAGUGGAGAGUUAAAUCUAAUUUGUACUUCUUACUGCGGCUACUGUUACCAUCAUUAUUUGGAUGCUCCAACACAAAGGUCCAGGGGUCUGGCUCCGGUCUAUAAGCUUGUAACAUAUCAAGUAGCUCAUUAGCAGUGUGAGCACAAAUAAAGAGUUUUUUCGCAUUAGAGGGAAUGAAAUAGUUUUUUAUUGCAUGGUUAAGAAAUGCGAUAAAGCCAUCAUAAAAGUUAUUGACAUUUAACAAACCAAUGGGUUUCUGGUGGAUGUGCAGAUGGGCCCAAGAUGCUAGUGUGAUAAGUGCCUCUAGUGUUGCAAGAUCUCCUGGAAGGAAAAUAAAAUGAUUAAGCAUUUCAGUUAUUCUUUCAUGCAUACUUGAGACGACUAACUCUUCUCCAGUUGAUGAGUCAGACGAACUGUCCAAAGGUUUUAGGGCUCUUGGGAUGAUGCCUAACACUUGGCUGCCUCUGAUAAAAGCUGCUUCUGAGACCAUUUUUGAUAACCCUCGAUUACCUCCUCCAUACACCAAGUGUAAUUUUCUCUCUGCUAUACUUCGACCAAGAUCGAUGGCUGCCUCAACGAACUCUUUAUGUUUGCCAUAGGUAAAUCCAGAAAUCACACAAAUGUUCUUGAAUUGUCUAUUUGGAGGAGCUACCAUUGUGAUACUUCUCAAAAAAUAAUUUGUGAGUGCUUGACAAAAAAAAAUCACAUUUAAGAGUCUUGGUGACAGUGGGUCACAGUUGUGUAUGAGGUAACACGUCAGUGUCAAAUAACGCGUAAAGCACGUGGCUCGCGAGUCAAAAAGGAAACAGUAAAAAGGAAAAAGCAAACAGUAAUAAGGAAAAAGUAAACAGUAAUAAAAUUAUUAAAGACAAUAAUGCACACAAUAAAACAAUAGUGAAAUAAAAUAACAGUAAAGUGAAAGGAUAUUUACAGGUAGUUGCGACUGUAGCUCACAUCUUCCUCUGGUUUUACGUCCAGAAACGGCUUAAACGCCCUCUAUGGGUCGAGGAUAGGCUUCCUAUCUAGUUUUCUUAUAAACUGGCAAACAGGGUCGUUUAUAGUCAGAUUCCCGAGACUAUAUCGUGCAUGCUCUUUCUGGAAUAAUGGCCAUAACUGGAGAAUCGCUCCUUGCACAUAUCCAUUGGGAUGCGUUUCAAGAGAUAAAAGGAUAUCAUCCAAUGACUCCUUAUUCAAGCCAUCCCUAAUGAAUUGAAUCUUAUAUUCCCUGUUAUCAGACACCAUUCCUAAAGAACAUGGGUUUUUAUUCCUGCUCAUUCUGGCACACUUAUGACAAGCAACAGAAAUUCUUCGAGCUCGUCGUUUUCUUGCAUAAUUUCCUUUACCACAACCAGGCAUGUAUGCAAUAAAUUUUGGAGGUAACUCACCUGCCGAUCGUACUUUAGCCUCGAUUAACCAACGGAUGUCAGCAGGUAUGUUAUUCCUCAUGAGUAAUCGCAUGCGUUCGGACCGAGCUUUAUAGAUCGUAAGGAGGGCAUUCUGAGGAAGUGAAGGGAAUCGCUUGUGAAGCUUCGCUAGAAUCUCGUUUCUGUCCAUACUUUCACCUCAGAAUAUCAGUUAUUAUGAGAAACUGAAGUAACCGACUUGAUUGUCACGGAGUACCGUUAUCCGCCACUUCACCGGGGUAACAAACUAAAGCACACAAACAGAAAAAUAAAUUAAAACACACAAAGAAAAUUAAAAUUGUCCUCUUAUUGAAUUUACCUCAAGCUCCAACUGGAUGUCGUAAACACUUCUCUCAAUGUCUCUGAGUUGUCUUUCUAAACCCUCAACAUAGGCUACUAACUCUGGUGGUUGUAGAGCCCAAAUGCGAUGUGUUUUACAAAAUUGAAUCUGCCUUUUGAGAUGAGUUUUGACACAUUGAAGUGGUUUAAGAAUGUUCAGGAGGAACGGUCUAAGUAAGGUACUCAUGAUUAAAAACGAUAAAAGAAAACUUAAUAGUUAAACAAACACAUUUAUGCAAAAAUAAUUUCAAUUAGCAGAAGAAUAAUAUAAAGAAAAAAAAAUCAAAUCAACGAAAAGAAAAAAAAUCAAUUCAAAUCUGGUGGGUCACUCAAAUUUAUUUCGGUGUCUUCUCCAUGUGGUUGGUACUCUAGAUAUGGCUUUAAUCUUUGACCAUUAACUUUAAACGUGACACCGUUGUUUGGGUCCUUAAUUUCAAUUGCCCCAUGUGGAAAAACAGUAUGACCAAUAAAGGGACCAGACCAUCGAGAACGUAACUUACCUGGGAAUAGGUGCAAGCGAGAAUUGAAUAAAAGCACUUUCUAACCUGGAGUGAAUGAUUUUCUCAUAAUUUGCUUGUCAUGGAAGACUUUCAUCCGUUGCUUGUAAAUCUUGGUAUUUUCGUAUGCGUCAUUGCGAAUUUCUUCAAGUUCUGCCAGUUGUAAUCUUCUUUCUGAGCUGGCUUGCUGCAUGUCAAAGUUGAAUUUCUUGAUGGCCCAAUACGCACGAUGCUCGAGUUCCACAGGUGGGUGGCAAGCUUUUCCAUACACUAGCCUGUAGGGUGACAUCCCAAUCGGGGUCUUGAAAGCCGUUCUAUAUGCCCAUAAUGCAUCAUCAAGUCUUAAUGACCAAUCUUUUCUGUCCGGCUUCACCGUCUUUUCUAAUAUGUGCUUUAUUUCUCGAUUGGAGAUCUCAACUUGGCCACUGGUUUGCGGAUGAUACGGGGUCGCCACUUUGUGUGUGAUUGAAUACUUUGUCAAAAGAGUUUUGAAUGCUUUGUUACAAAAGUGGGCACCACCAUCACUGAUUAUUGCUCGAGGGAAUCCAAAGCGCGAAACAAUGUUGCUUUUCAAAAAUCCUAUCACCACCUUGUGAUCAUUGGUUCUACAUGGAAUUGCUUCUACCCAUUUCGAUACGUAGUCAACACCAACCAAUAUGUAUUGAUGGCCAAAAGAAGGGGGAAAGGGUCCCAUAAAGUCGAUACCCCAUAUGUCAAAAAUCUCAACCACUAAAAUUGGAUUUAGUGGCAUCAUGUUCCUUCGUGUAAUGCUCCCCAUUCGUUGACACCUAUCACAUGAAGAACAGAAAGUGUAAGCAUCUCGAAAUAUAGUUGGCCAAUAGAAACCACAUUGUAAAACUUUAGUUGCUGUUUUCUUAGCACUAAAAUGGCCUCCACAAGCUUGUUCAUGGCAGAAUGAAAGGAUAUUCUGAAUUUCACUUUCUGGGACACAUCGUCUAACAAUUUGGUCUGCACAAUACUUGAACAAAUACGGGUCAUCCCAAAAGAAAUUCUUUAUCUCUGCAAAGAAUUUAGCCUUAUCUUGCUUGGGCCAAUGCUCUGCAAGUUUACCUGUAACAAGAUAAUUAACUAUAUCAGCAUACCAUGGUAAUACUUCCACAUUCAUUAAUUGUUCAUCUGGAAAUGACUCAUUCAAUAUUAAUGGCUCUGUAAUUGUGUCAAAAUGGAGACGAGAGAGGUGGUCCGCCACAACAUUUUCUGUCCCUUUCUUAUCUUUGAAUUCCAAGUCAAAUUCCUGCAAAAGUAACACCCAACGAAUUAGUCUAGUUUUUGCAUCUUUCUUUGUGAGAAGAUAUUUAAGAGCAGCAUGAUCUGUGAAUACAAUUAUUUUACAACCAAUGAGAUAAGAUCGAAAUUUCUCUAAUGCAAACACUACUGCUAGCAUUUUUUUUUCAGUAGUUGAAUAGUUCAACUGUGCAUCAUUCAAUGUCAUACUAGCAUAGUAAAUAAUGUGGGGAAUUCGAUCAACUCUUUGUCCUAAUACUGCUCCUACUGCAUAAUCAGAUGCAUCACACAUGAGCUCAAAUGGUAAGCUCCAGUUUGGGGGCUGAAUAAUGGGUGAUGAUGUCAACAACUGCUUUAGUUUUUCAAAUGCCACAAGACAUAAAUCAUCAAAGAUAAAAGGUACAUCCUUAGCAAGUAAAUUGCAUAAGGGUCUAGAAACUUUGCUAAAAUCUUUAAUGAAACGUCUAUAGAAACCAGCAUGCCCAAGGAAAGAUCUUACCUCUCUGACUGUUUUGGGUGGAGGAAGAUUAGAAAUGAGAUCCACCUUGGCUUUGUCAACCUCAAUACCUUUGCUCGAAAUGAUGUGACCGAGAACAAUACUUUGUUUUACCAUAAAAUGACACUUCUCCCAAUUUAAGACCAAGUUCUUCUCGAUACAUCUCUGCAGAACUAAUGUUAGAUGAUGUAAACAUUGAUCAAACGAGUCACCAAAGACAGAAAAAUCAUCCAUAAAGACUUCAAGGAAUCGUUCAAACAUAUCAGAAAAAAUGUUCAACAUGCAUCGUUGAAAUGUAGCAGGUGCAUUACAUAAUCCAAAUGGCAUUCUCUUAUAUGCAAAUGUGCCAAAAGGGCAAGUGAAAGUAGUUUUCUCUUGAUAUUUUGGUGUUAUGGGAAUCUGAUUAUAUCCUGAGUAGCCAUCUAGAAAGCAAUAAAAUUCAUGGCCUACCAAUCUAUCAAGCAUUUGAUCGAUAAAUGGUAAAGGAAAAUGGUCUUUACGUGUGAUAGAAUUCAAUUUUCUAUAAUCAAUGCAUACACGCCAUCCUGUAGUUACUCUAGUUGGUAUCAAUUCAUUAUCAGCAUUGGUAACUACUGUGACUCCUGACUUUUUGGGGACAACUUGUACAUGACUGACCCAUGAACUAUCAGAAAUGGGGUAAAUGAUACCUGCAUCUAAUAGCUUAAGGACUUCAGUUCUAACAACUUCUUUCAUGUUAGGAUUUAACCGACGUUGCAUUUCCCUAGUAGAUUUAGCAUUUUCAUCAAGGUGAAUGUAAUGCAUGCAGUCUAUUGGGUUUAUAACUUUUAUGUCUGCUAUGGUCCAUCCUAAUGCUCCUUUAUGCUCUUUUAAAAUAUCCAACAACUUACCUUUUUGUUCGUCAUUUAGGGAUGAUGAUAUGAUUACCGGCAGAGUACUUUCUUCUCCCAAAAAUGCAUAUUCCGGAGUGUUGGGUAAUGGUUUGAGCUCAAGUUUCGGUGGUGAUUCUGAUGAUGGGAUGAGUUUCUUCUCUGAUGGUGCUAGUUGUUCAACUCUUGACUUUCAUUUAUUAGUGUCCAUGGAUGGUGCUGAGUCAAGUAGGGCGUUGACCUCAUCAACUGAUCUGUCAAUAUCAAAAUCCAAACCAAAGUGAGUUAAACAUGUUUGUAAAGGAUCAUCACUAAUGUUUGAAAGAAAAGUAUUAUCAACUAUUGUUUCUAUUAAAUCCACAUCAACAAUUCCAUCAUCUGCACUGUGAGGUUGUUUGGCAAUGUUGAAGAUGUUCAGUUCCAUAGUCAUGUUGCCGAAGGACAACUGCAUAUUUCCUGUCCUGCAUUGAAUGUGAGCAUCCGCAGUUGCCAAGAAAGGUCGGCCUAGAAUAAUGGGGAUGUGCUUCCUUGAAUCCUGUAUUGGUUGAGUGUCAAUUACAAUGAAAUCAACAAGAAAAUAAAAUUUGUCUACCUGGAUAAGCACGUCCUCCACAAUGCCACAAGGUAUUUUCGUGGACCGAUCUGCAAGCUGUAACACCACUGGGGUUAGGUGUAAUUCUCCAAGUCCAAGUUUCACGAAUACAGAGUAAGGCAAAAAAUUUACACUAGCUCCUAAAUCCAACAAAGCAUUCUCAAUUGUGUGGUUCCCUAUGCUACAUGAGAUAGUGGGAGAGCCUGGGUCUUUGCAUUUUAGAGGAAUUUUAUGUUGGAGGAUAGAACUAACGUUUUCUGUUAAAAAUGCCUUCUUUUGAACAUGCAUAUUUCUCUUUUUAGUACAAAGGUCUUUAAGAAACUUGGCAUAAGAUGGAACUUGCUUUAUAGCAUCAAGUAAAGGGAUGUUAACACUUACCUGUUUGAAGAUUUCAAGAAUCUCACCUGUGGAUUUUCCCUUUUUGCUUUUAGCUAACCUCUGAGGAAAUGGAGCUUUGGGAACGUAUUCUCGUGAGUUGCUCGUCCUCUCUCUGGGUAAACUCCGAGAUUUCCUUGCGAAUAGCAUUGGUUUUAUGCACUGGGAAAUAUUUAUUCAAAAAUUUUGUAACCAUUUAUUCCCCAUGAUGCAAUGCUAUUAGCAGGCAAUGUAUUAAGCCAUGAACAAGAUCUAUCCUUUAAAGAAAAUGGGAAUAGUCUAAGUUUAACAUCAUCGUCUGAAAAAUUUUCAUAUUUAAAUGUUUGACAAAUGGCAUGAAAAUCAUUCAAAUGAUUAUAUGGGUCCUCAUUUUCUAGGCUAUAAAAUGUUGGGAGACAAUUUAGCACACUAGGUUUUAGUUCAAAACUCCUAGCAGCUACAUUUGGGUAUCUUAUGCAUGAUGUGCUCAAAUUAGCUAAAGGACUAAAAUAAUCCUUAAAUGGCCUCUCAUGUGGUGCUUGUAAAUCCAUUUUAUGUUUAACGUGUUUGUGUGUGCGAAGUGUUUUCUCAAGUUCAAGGUCUAUAGGUUCAAGAUUAGGUAAUAAUGACCUACGACCAUGCAUGCAAAACAAAUAAAAUAAAAAUAAAGAUGAGAACAAAACAAAUAAAGAAGAGGGAGAUAUUACGAUACUAACCUUAUUGCGCUAUUACAACAUUUCUAUAAAAAUACACAAAAACAAAUACGUGAAAUAAAUUAACUAAAAAUUAAAUUAAUAAAAUAAACAAAAAUUACAAAGAAAAAUAAAUUGAAAAUUAAAUUACAGAAUUUUAAAGAAGAGAAAAAGAAAAGAAAUACUAACCUUUAUAUGUAGAUUCACUUUUUUUUUCUUUUUUUUUAAUAAUUAAAAAAAUACAAGAAAACAAAUAAAAGAAAUUAUUCACAAAAAUUAAUUCUAUGAAUUAAAAUUACUUACCUCCCCGGCAGCGGCGCCAAAAACUUGUUGUGCAAAUUUUAAUGUACUCGCAAGCGCACGAAUCUAUUGUAGUAUAGAUCAAUGGUGACGAGUGUCGAUCCCACGAGGAGGUGGAUUUUAAUUGUGUAGAAUUAAUUUUGUAAAUGGGUGAUUGGAUUUGUGGUGGAAAUGAUUUGGAAUAUGCUAAAACUUAAAUUAAAAUGGCAAGAAUAAAUUCUAAAAUUGGUAUUGAAAUGGCGAGAAUAAAUUGAAGAGAAUUCUAUUGAAAUGACGUACUUGGGUAUCUGGAUCCGUAUCAACAUGCAUCAUGGGCUAAAUAAUCCUUAUUAAUGCCAAUUAAAUCAUGAGGGGGGAAUCCACACCACAUGAACCACGGUCUAAUCAAUAUGGUGCUAAGGGCUUAUCGUGCCAAAUAAUAAUAACCUUGUACUAGGGGGCCGGUGAAACCAAGGCGGUACUAGACAAGAUUAGUAUUAUUUGUCGACGAGAAGUCAAAACAUCCACAAAAACUAGAGGGGAAGAGAAAAUAAAUUUACCAAAUAAAGCCCAUGACACAUGUUGAGACUUCACCUUCAACCCAAGCUUGAAAGAAAAUUAGCCACUCAUAAUUGAACUAGGGGCAAAAUGGGAAUUUAUUAAAAUACGAAGAAAAUACAAGAUGGAGAAGGAAUUACAGAAAAUGGAUCCCAAAAAUGGAUUCAAAGAUCUCAAAUUAGGGGGGAGAGGCCCCCUUUUUAUAGAUACAUGGAGUAAAUCAUGGCCAUCGGAUUAAAAACAGUUUGGACGCUCAGGAUUGCGCCACGUCAUCAGUCAACAGUACGUGGUUUGACCACGCGGAUGAACAGUAACACGGUUUGACCCGGAUGAACAGUAACACAGUUUGGUUGAAAAUAAUCCUGUGUGAUGCAUGUACCGUACGCGAGAUUUUUCGUCCACUGAUAUGCUGCCACGUCACCAUCAACAAUUCAUAAGAAUUUUAACCCAACAGGAUCGUGACACCUCAUCAGUCAAUGCCACAUCAUCGGUCAAUGCCACGUCAUUGAUCCGUAUAUGUAAACAGUGUCGUGAACAGUAACGUAGACAGUACCGUACAUGUGAAUAGUGCCAUUUUUCCUUUUAUGCUCCUCCUAAGGUUUUCGACCGUCCUGAGUUCAAAAGUGAUGUCCGUUUUGCCGUCUGAUCUCUCUUUUAUUGUGAAAUGACUAUAAUGCCCCUAAAAUACAUAAAAUAUUUAAUUAAAAUAAAACACAUGUAAUUAAAUCACAAGAAGGUUAAAUACAUAAAAGUAAGGGUUGUUAGUAAGACUUGAAAUGUAAAAUAACGGUUUUCUCCUUUAUAAAUAUGCAUUUUCUAACACUCAACACUUGGCCCAAUUGUUGUUAUUAAAAUUUCAAUAUACAUAUAUAAGUAUGAUAUAGCAAAAAUUUGAUGGUACAUAUCUCGGAAUAUACUAGUUCAUGGAUGCAUUUGAUUAUUAUUUCCAUAAAUUUGAACCGAGAAGGAUGACAUGAUAAAAUUUGAUUUUAUGGUAUGGUUGAUUUCAGAUCUCAUGCCCUCAUUUCUUAAGAUAAUCAAAUUUUCUCUGGCAUCUUUUGCAACUGUGGAAAUAUCAAUUAUGAUCAAUCAAAACGAUUUCAAAACCUUUCAAUGAGACAUAUUUAUAAUACAAUAUUGUGAAAAUUACAACAAAAAUUUAAUUUAUUAAAUAAUAUAUUACUAUCCAACAAGCACACAAAAAUGAAUUCGUACAAAUCUAAAAUACUUAGCAAUUUUCAAAUAGAAUUUACCAUGUACUACAAGAAAAUAGGGUAUAUGUGACCCCUAAUGUGAAUGCAAAUUUGCAAAAGCAGCCAUUACGCAUGCCACUAACUUCUAACUUUGUAACCUCGAGUUGCUUUUGUUACCCUUUAUGUGACGGCCGCUGUCACAUAUGUUACUAACCACUCGUCACGGGAUGAGUAUUUUGCGCAGCUAACCCGUGCGGCACUUAGACAACUUUACCAAAUGUUGCUAAGUAAGCCUAGAGCUUCUCGAACUAGAGAAGAGAGCAAUUGAGCUGAAUGAGAAAACUUGUAUUGCACAAAGAGAGAAUACAAUGCUUGAGUUGCUUACAAAGCUUGUUGUUGUGAGUUUGUUGGAUGCAAAUGCCUAAUGCCAUCCCAUAUUUAUAGGGGAGGCUUGCCAAGCUCUAGAGAUUCUAGAGAAUUCUACCAUUUCCUAGCUAUUUACAUGUGCUGGAAAUGUAAAGAGAAUUCUAGAGUAUUUACAAGCUCACAUGUGCUAGAGUUGCCUAGAACUUUCCGGAAUUGGGCCAAGCUAGAACUCUUGGCCUUGUGUUGGCUCUCUAGCCCAAAAUUGUGGGUAAUUGGGCUAGCGAAUUGGGCGGACCGUAACAUCCUCCCCCACCUAAGCUCGCGGCGUCCUCGUCGCGAUCUCGUCCUUGCUCCUUUAGGGACUUGUUCCGCGAUUUGUCGUUAGUCUUCUUGUGCUUCACUCUUGGGGAGGUUCCGCCACUUGCUCCGCAUAUGAUCGUUUCCUUCUUUCGGUUGGUGUUGCGGCGUCCCCUCUUGUGUUUCCACAACUCAUCAUGCUCGGAUGGCUUUGUGCGUUGCUCAACCACUUGUCUUGAUGGGAGCUUCGGAGGCAUGGCGUCCUUGCCUUUAUCAUGGACGGUUCGUGCUUGUUGUGGGACUUGGCUUGGAGGGCUUUUGGAAUCCUCUCCCUUGUGGUGUUGCCGGAUGGAGACCAAGUGGUCCGAAUUCUUCUUGAAUCCUCAUCUGCAUUGCAUGACCGAGACCGCCUUUUUUACGGGUUGUGCACGCUCGACCGGUGCCACGCAUGCCUUACUCCCAUCGAAGAUGCUAAGGGAGUUCGUUGCUGGAAGUGGGAAGGCAUGUACCUUGUCGAAGAAUUCCAUGCCAAGGAUCAUUGCGAAGUCAUCCAUCGGCACAAUCGAGAAGUCGAGCUUCCCAUUCCAUGUCCCAAGCGUAACGUGUACGCCUCGUGUGGUUCCCCUAAAUGGCUUGGCGGGUGAGUUUACAGCCUUGAUGGUGCCUCCGUCUUGCGUUACCUUAAGGCCUAGACAUUUAGCCUCUUCUUCGGAGAUGAAGUUGUGUGCUGCUUCGGUGUCAAGGAGCGCACGAACGGUUUGACCAUUGAUGAGCACACUUACGAACAUGAGCCCUUUCCUUGUAGGUGUUGGUGGUUGGCUCACGAGUGUGCUAAGACGUUGGAGCGAACCCAAGUUGUGUUGAGGUUCCUCCGUAGGCGGUGUGUGUCGGCCCUUGAGUUGUGCCACGAGGGCACUCAGCGACUUUUUAUCCAGGCAGUCGCGCACUCAAUGAGGACCGUUGCAUAUGAAGCAUGGGCUUCGCGGCUUGGGUGACUUCUCGGAUUUACUUUGCCCGCCCUUGCCGCUUGGAAGCUUUUUCUUGCUCCACUCCUUGCAAUUGCGGUCGUUGUCCUCAUGGCUCUCUCCCCCACCUUGAUCGUAGCUAGACCUCUUGUCCUUGAGAUGGGCGGAGUAUUCGGUGAGAGACUCCGCAAUAGCAAUGGCGUCGUCAAGUGUUUGUAUGCCACGCCUGUCAAGCUCGGUCUUAGCCCAAUCCUUGAGGCCAUCUUGGAAGUAGAAGAGCGAAUCCUUGUCGGACAUGUUGCUUAUCUCCAACAUAAGGGUAGUGAACUCAUUGAUAUAGUCCCGAAUGCUACCCGAAUGCUUGAGGCGACGUAAGCGCGCUCGCGCUUCCUUCUCCGCAUUGCUUGGGGCGAACUGCUUUCGGAGUUCUUGCUUGAAGUCGGCCCAAGUGUCGAUGGUACAAAUGCCUUUGCCCAUCUCGCCAUGCUUGCGACGCCACCAUAGUUGUGCAGGGCCUCUAAGAUAGGUGGGUGCAGUGCACACUUUCGAUGCCUCAUCACGGACACCCAUGGCAUCGAAGUAUUGAUCCAGCCCGAAUAGGAAGUUGUCCACGAUUGUGGCAUUGUGUGUGCCAUCGUAUGUGUCGGGCUUUGGCACAUCAAUACGGUGCGCAUCACUCGAGUUUGUGGAAGCUGGACUUGCGGAGAGUGUGCGCUUGUGCCAUGCCCAAUCUGAGCGGACUUCAUCCACUUCCGCACGGACAGCGUGUAGUUCGUCCUGAACAAAACUACGAAGUUUGAGCAACUCAUCAUGGAAAGAACGAAACUCACCUCGGAGAGUGUUCGCUUGCUCUUGGAUGAGAGCUUUUGUUGCCACCGUGAACUCGGCGUAUUCCCCCUCGAGACUGUCCACUCGUUCCUCCAAUCCCUCGAGGCUAUCUUGAGCGGCGGACAAUGCGAUUUCGAGAGUAGUCACACGAGGCUCCAACGCAUCCACUGAUGCGGCUUUGGACUUGCCGCGAGUCUUGCUUUGGGCGCGUUCUCCCUCUCGGCUGCAGCUUGGUUCCGAUGGAACAUCCACACCAACAACACCCUCUUGUGCUACGUUCGAAGGGUUGGCCAUUGCUCGUGAGCUAACUUGCGUGCGUGCAAACCUUAGCUCUGAUACCACUUGUCACGGGAUGAGUAUUUUGCGCAGCUAACCCGUGCGGCACUUAGAUAACAUUGCCAAAUGUUGCUAAGUAAGUCUAGAGCUUCUCGAACUAGAGAAGAGAGCAAUUGAGCCGAAUGAGAAAACUUGUAUUGCACAAAGAGAGAAUACAAUGCUUGAGUUGCUUACAAAGCUUGUUGUUGUGAGUUUGUUGGAUGCAAAUGCCUAAUGUCAUCCCAUAUUUAUAGGGGAGGCUUGCCAAGCUCUAGAGAUUCUAGAGAAUUCUACUACUUCCUAGCUAUUUACAUGUGCUGGAAAUGUAAAGAGAAUUCUAGAGUAUUUACAAGCUCACAUGUGCUAGAGUUGCCUAGACCUUUCCGAAAUUGGGCCAAGAUAGCACUCUUGGUCUUGUGUUGGUUCUCUAGUCCGAAAUUGUGGGCAAUUGGGCUAGCGAAUUGGGCAGACCGUAACAACGUGACGGUACAGAGCCGUUCGGUAUAGCACUAUUUUAGAAAUUUAAAUUUAUUUCCAGUUAGAAAACUAUUCGCUGGACUAGCCACCAUCGUAAACCUAACUGGUUGCCGGCGAACGACAUAAAACACCGGGCAUCUUCUUCUUCAUCGUAUUCUCCCUUCAUCUUUUGAGGUAAGCUUGUGAUUAUGAGUUUCUUCUCUUACUUAGCUUGUAAUUAUAGAUUUUGAUUUUUUUUUAAAAUUCGUAUUGUAGCCAUUAUUGUCAAUUUUUGUCCCGCCAGCAAUAUUUUUUUAUUCGUACAAGUUGAAGCCCCUUUGUUCUUGUUCCAUUGGUGAGUUUGCUCACUCAAAUUAAUUUUGUUCUGCGGAAUUUACAAAGUUCAAAUGGAUUCAUUUGAAUUACUAUUGAAUUUAGCUUUAAUUCCAACAUCCAUUCUAAUGUUUUGCUAUUAGAUUUAGUUUAAUUUUAUGUUUAAAGCAUCUACAAUGAAUAGCGGAGCUUGGGUUUUAGUUUCAUUUUCUGGAUAACUUGUUUUAGUUUAUCUUGUAUGGUCACCAAGUGCUUGUUAUAUUGUCUGAUAAGUUAUAUACAUUGCUGAUUCUAUAUUAAUAAUGUUACGUUCUAUUUUCAGAAAUUAUAAUACAAAAGUUUUUACAAUGGCGUGCAUCUACAAACUGAAUUGACUUGUAGAAUAAGAGCUUGGAGUAAAUGAAAGUUCAUAUUGUGUAAGAGCAUGUAGAUGUAAAGCAUCAUUACCAUAUCUACAAAGUGCUUUCAUUAUGUUCAGAUGCUCUUCUUGAACUUUGAAAGGUGCCUCGUUCAAGUCCUAGCUAUAACUACUAGCUUUGAUUAAUUAAGUUCCUAUACUAGCUGAAAUAGAUUUAUUUAAUUAAUUAAUUGUGUAUGUUCUAAUUAUAUUAAAAGUAUAUGAAUUUUUUUUUAACAUGAAUGACUUGUAAAUGACUUAAAAACCUAAAGGAUGUGUGAAAUAAUGCUCAUUUCACUUGAAUGAGCCUAUUAAUACUUUUAUGUCUAUGAUUGUCAAAAUUGGCUUAAGCACUUCAGUUAAGUGGUUUACCUAACAGAGAAAAAAAUUUAAUAGGAAACUUCAGAGUUCUAACAGAAAUAUAGUUCACCAUGCAGAUAUAGUUAUUUUACGGUAUACAAAUCAAGUUGUCCUAAUCUCAAUGUCCUAUCACCGAUUUUAUUUGAUAUAGUCAUUAAUUUUUACCAUGGUUUUUUGUGUUUAUGAGUAUGAAAUAGUGGGAUUUGGUGUACCUUAGCAUCUUUUGGAAAUUCUCUUUAAGUGUGGCCAACAGAAAUAUACAUAUAAUCAAGUUUCUUAAUUGUGUAUAUUAGUUUUGGGUACGAAUGUUCCUAUUCUAGUUCUAGACAAAGCUUCUUCGUUUUGGUCUUCAGAUUUCCAGUAGGUUAAGUUAAUCAACUAUCAUAACUGGCUAGCUAGUUAUUGUCUGCCUUGGCGCCAUUACCCAGGCCAUUAUAUUGCAUAGCAUAAGGAAUAGUGAUUAGGUGAUUAUUAGUGAUUUGUUGAGCUUAUUAUUGACCAAACAAACAUAUUCACCUUUGCCCACAACUUAGUUUGAUUAGUUUUAGACCACAAAGAGCCUUGAUCUAUUCAUUGGCUUUAUUAUUUUUAUUUGGUUUUUCUUUCAACAUAAUUGUUGAUUUCUUAUAAAAAUAUUCAUUGGUUUUUAAACACCUAGUCAUUGGCUAUAUGAAGCAAAUUAAAACUUAGGCUUUGGAUCAAUUUCUUCUAACAAGAUACAAAUGAGCAUAACCUUUCUCCUCUAAGUAAUUUUUUUUAAUAUCCUUGAUUUGUAAGGAUCUGGAGGCGUGAAAUCCUCUAGAUUUUUUUUAACACUGUCAAUGUCCUUUUUAUUCUGAAAAGGAAAUAAAAGGUUUUAUCUUUCAUACCCUAAUAGUAAGCUGGCCUUGUCUUAACAUGGCUUCUUGAGGAUUUGCAAGAUUCGUUUAGAUGAUUAGAAUGAAACUAAGCGACUGGAAAGAGUGGAUGGUAGACUAAAGAGAAAGUGAUUGAUUAUUUUAUGAGGCCAAUUAACGUAAUGACAGAUCCGGUUUCGAUGUUUGUAAUUUGAGUAUGAGGUAAAUCGAUUCUUUGUCGAGCCAGUCAAAUACAAAGGCAAAUUAGUAAAACAAGAGCCAGCAACUUUUACUCACACAUAAGGCAAUAAUAUAUUGAGAUCACGCAACAUUGCAAUAAAGUUAUCAUCAAGUUGUAGCCUUCUUAUUCAAUCAAUUAUAGCAUUAUCUCUAGCUCUGUAUUUUUCAAAAAAAAAUUAUUCAAAAGAUGUCUGUCAUUAGUUUUUCAAUGAUUAAAAUUAUAAUUUUUGUUUAAUAUAUAUAACGUAAAAUUUUAAAAGAAUCAGACAUGCAUUAGGGUAAAAAUAAAAAAUAUGGAGGUAGCUUUUAACUAGGCAAUUGGCUCAACUAUGGAUCAGUGUGAGAUCGCUAUUUUUCUUAUAAAAAAAAUAUUCCAGCCAAACAAUUGUCGCAAAAUUUUAAUCGAAAUUACAAAAUAUAUAUAUUUUGAAUACCUGUAAAUAAACCACUUAGAAAGCUAUCGAAACACGAAUAUUAAUUUUUUAAAAUAUAUAUUUUUUCAAGCAAAUGCAGUGACAGAUCUGGUUUUGAUCCUCGUGACUUUUGGGUGUAACUGUGUAAGUACGGGUGAACGACUCUCUAGUCCAGGACAACUUGCACGUGACAUUUUAGUAUUAAGCAAACGGAAUUUUUUUAAAUUAAAUUAAUCUCAAAGUGAUAGGCUUCUCAUGAAUCAUGUAAUGUUGUCGUUUUUCAAGACAUGACAUUGCCCAUCACUUGUUUGUCACAAUGUCCAAAUAAAUAAUUUUUUUUUAAAAAAAAAGUUAUUUUCAUUCUUUCUUUUCAAGUAUCCUAAUUCCUUUCGCAGUUUGAUUCCUCUUUUCCUGAAAUUUGUUCCUUCCAUUAAACUAAUAAUUUAUUUAAAGGUAAUUAAGCGUCAGCCCCAAUUAUUUAGUAUUUCACACAGCACACCCACAUCUUUCGAUCAUGUGCACCUCUUCCUUAUUUCCGUUAAAAAAUCAACUAUCAACUAAUUCUAACUGUUUAGGCUGUUAUAAAUUUAAAAGACUAUACUACCCCUAUUUUGAAAUGAAUUGGGUAUAUAAGUACUAAAAUACCCUUACAACUAAUAAAAUUUAAAUCAAAAAGUAAAAAUUUAUUAUAAUAUUUUUAAAAUUACAUGGAAACAAUUUUUUUUCCGGAUUACGAACCCAAGAUUAUAAACCUAGUAAAUUACAAAAUCAGAGGCAAAGCAUGAUUCCAAUGUGAAAGAAAAAAAUCAAACACACAUUCAUCAAUACAUUACAAAAUAAGUCCAAUAAUCCCACCAAAACAAAUAAAACCCAAUAAGAAAGAAACCCGAAACUAAUGAUACCAAAAUCCAUGACAACAAAUUUCAUUGUAAAAUUCUAUUACAAAAUAAAUUCAUACUAAGAAAAUUCAAUAAAAAGAAACUCAAUAAUCAAAAAUCCUAAGACUAAAGAUAUCAAACCCUAAAUUAAAUUAUAGAGGCGGCGAAGGAAAAAGGGGUUUUUUUUUAUUAUAUAAAUUAUUUUAAUCUUGUAUUAAUUACCAUUCUACCCUUCUUUCCGUUAACGUUAGAUUUGAAAGAAAUGGGGGUGGUGGACGUGGUCAGAAGAUUGGAGGCACAAUGCAAAAUGUCGAAACAAUUGGGGCUAACGCUAAAUUACACAUUAUUUAAAUUAAAUUAUCCUAGUUGUAUUUGACUGUGACUGUGACUGUGACCGGAACCGUUACAAUCACUUAGUAUUUUUAUUAAUUAAUUAACAAUUUGUUUCAUCAUUAGACGGUACUAUGAUAGUUUUGUCACUAUGUUUGGUACCAUCUCUUAAAUCGUGUAACAAAGAUUUCAUGAAAAAUUAGAAAACAGCACGACAUGAUACAAACUCUUUUUUAAUACAUGUAGACCUUAUUUUUAAAAAAUGAACAUACAAACUUUUUUUAAUACGUGUAGACCUUUUUUUGUAUUUAAAAAUAGUUACACAGAUCCUCAAUUUGUGUGUCCCUCAAUAAAUUUUCAUGAUCAUUUUUUAAAAUAAGGGAUUUUUGUGAUUAUUUUGCCACGUCCAAGGAUGCCGCUAUUCUUGUCACCAAAAAUUAUUCUCAUUAAGAGUCAUGAUUAAUUGGACGUCAACAAUGUCCAAAUAAAUAAUUUUUUUUAAAAAAAAGUUAUUUUCAUUCUUUCUUUUCAAGUAUCCUAAUUCCUUUCGCAGUUUGAUUCCUCUUUUCCUGAAUUAUGUUCCUUCCAUUAAACUAAUAAUUUAUUUAAGGGUAAUUAAGCGUCAGCCCCCAAUUGUUCAGUAUUUCACACAACGCACCCACAUCUUUCGACCAUGUGCACCUCGCCCCUAUUUUCAUUAAAAAAAUCAACUAAUUCUCACUAUUACUGUUAUAAAUUUAAAAGACUAUACUACCCCCAUUUCGAAAUGAAUUGGGUAUAUAAGUACUAAAAUACCGUUACAACUUAUAAAAUUUAUAUCAAAAAGUACAAAUUUAUUAUAAUAUUUUUAAAAUUAUAUGGAAACGAAUUUUUUCCGGAUUACGAACCCAAGAUUAUAACCCUAGUAAAUUACAAAAUCAUAGGCAAAGCAUGAUUCCAAUGUGAAAGAAGAAAAUCAAACACACAUUCAUCAGUACAUUACAAAAAAUUGAUGGUUUAGCUUAUAGAGUCAUGUCUAUUAUUAUUACCUUGUAAACAAGUCAAAUGUCUCAAUAAUUUGACACCUCAAUAACUGAAACAAUUUAAACCCUUGUUUAGUAUUAAAGUUGGGCAGGUGUAGCUUAAAAGUUACAGUACCAAAGUGUUUAGUAAACACUAGCUAUUGCCGCUUAGAAAUUAAGUUGAUUUGAUCUCACACUUGUAUGACAAAACCUAUAGUGUCUUUAUUAUUUUUGUCAAAUUAUUAUUUAAUAAUUAUUUUAUUAUACAUUAUCAACUUUUAUUUAAUAGUUGCAACUUCUUUUUCUUUUUUCUUACUAUGCUAUAGCAUUUCAAUAUCAAAUAGGGCUUAAAUGAGAAACAACUUCUAAAUUAAAUGCGACGUCUCUCUUCUUAUUAUUUGCAUAAGUUUGCCUAGUGGAUUAAAUGAGCAUUGGUAACCAUAAAUUAUGUAGAAUUAUUUUAUUGAUAUAUUUUUUCUAUGAUUUUCAAAUUAUACACAAGAGCCAAAACGUUUUCAUGAUGGCAGAUUUAUUGAGAAAAAAAGUGUUCAUUCAAAUAAACCUCAUGAAUAUUCACAUGAAUUUAUGUGAUGAGAAAGGGAAAAAAAAUUCUUCCAUUCAUUCAUAUGAACAUCUUUAACUAUUUCCUAAAAUUUAGGAGGAAAAAAAUGAAUUCUUCAUUUAUUCAUAUAUCGAGUUUCAUAAUCACUCGUACUAGGUUCCUGGGUGUAAAUGACUGAGAUUUACGAUUUGAGGACAAUUUUGAUAUUUCAAUAGACUACAAAUGCAUGUUGCGUUCAUUUCACACCAUCUGAUACGAAAAAAAAAAUUGAUGUUUUGGCUUCUAGAAUCAUGUCAAUUAUUGCCAUAUAAAUAGGUCAAUUGUCUCAAUAUCAGACCUUUUAAGAAGCCAAACAAAUUAAAAAUCAGUUUAAUAGUGCUGUAGUUUUUAAAAUAAUUACUGUUAGCAGUACUGUAAAAAUAAUUAGUUGUAAAAAGAAUCAGUUAAAUAUUUGAUAAAAUUUCUUUUUAAAAUUACUGCAAAUUUUAAAAGUAGUCGUUUGUGUUUAGUAAAUUUUACUAUUAAACUGCUGUAAAAAUAUAAAUAAAUCAAUUGAACACAAUAUUGAAUAAAAUUUAUUUACGCAUUUAUAAACAUGUAUGAAAUUUUUUUUAUUGUGUAUAUAUGAUAAUUGAUAACUAAAAUAAAUAUUUUAAAUUAUUGAUUUUAUUUUUUUAUUUGGUUAUCUUAAUAUAAUUGGUAAUAAUAAUCUCUUUAAAUUAAUGAUUUUAUUUCCUAAUUAAUAAGGAUAAUUGUAGAUUUUUAUAAUAUAAUUGAAUAUAUAUAUAUGAAAUUGUACUAACUGUAAAACUGAUUUUCAAAAUCCGAUUAUGAAAAGAUACUCCUUCCACGCUUUUCAAAACCUGCUAUAGGACGGGGUGAUUUAGCUAAAAGUAAUUUUAAAAAAAAAUUGUCAAACACCAAAAUUGACAUUUAGUUUUUUAAAAUUACUUUUGGGAACUCCCAAAAGCAAUUUCAAACGGGCUUCAAGGUCUUAUUUGAUACUAAAGUUGGGCAGUUAUAUCUUAAAAGUUACAGCUAUUUAGUAUAUAAUAGUUGUUGUGAUAUUGAAAAUACAAAUUGAAGGACUCUUUUUGUCCCAAAACUGAUAUUGAAAUCCGAAAAGUUACAGAAAUGGUGUGUCCACGUAUAAAAGUGAAGAGACAUAUUUGAUUUUAGGUUUAAAACUCAGGGUCCACGUACUGAAACUUCCGUAAUAAACAUAGGGCGAUUUUAUUGCAAUGGUCACCUACACUGGCCUACUUAUUUAUUUGAGUUGGCACCGAGCUUGAAAACUGCGGGAAAGCAAACUGACUGACAAUGACAAUACGAAGCUUGGCCUUUGGCCGGAACCACAUUUCACCACACAUUAUGAUAUUAGAUCUUUCAUUAUUGAUCACAUAUUCACAUUAUCUAACUUCAACGGAAAAUUACCUUCUAGAAAGUGCUCGUAUAAUUGUUUAUAUAUAAGCAGUCUCCAAACUUAUCAUCAAUUUUCCAGAUUCACCGAAAAAUGAGCUGGCGCUGGGCAGGUAGUAUUGGCGCUGCUAAGGUAAAGAUCAACCCUCUAAUUAAGUCUCUUCACUUGAAAAGCUUAUAGAUACACGUAACAUGCUGAUAUUUAAAAUAAUGUUUGUUUAAUUUUCGCUGUACAGAACAAAUUGGAAGAAGAUGCGCGACUUCAAGACUACCAGAACGUGGGACUUGUAGUAGGCGUGACAGGAAUUGUAGGCAACAGCCUAGCUGAGAUUUUGCCCCGAUCAGAUACCCCCGGUGGCCCGUGGAAGAUCUACGGGGUGGCGCGACGUCCCAGGCCUAACUGGAACGCCAAGUACCCUAUUGAUUACAUCCAAUGCGACGUUUCCGACCCAGACGAUACGCAAGCCAAGCUCUCAAAACUCGCUGACGUCACCCACAUAUUCUAUGUGACGUGGGCCAGCCGUCCCACUGAAGCCGAGAAUUGUCAGAUCAACGGCGCCAUGUUUCGUAACGUGCUCCGUUCUGUAAUCCCGAAUGCGCCUAAUCUCCGCCACAUCUGUCUCCAAACGGGAGGCAAACAUUACGUCGGUCCAUUCGAGUGUAUUGGCAAGAUACCGUCUCACGAUCCGCCUUUUACUGAGGAUUUGCCAAGACUAAACGUAUCACUUUUUUACUAUAAUCAGGAAGAUAUAUUGUUUGAAGAAGUUGACAAAAGACGGGGUUUGACUUGGUCCAUACACCGACCUUCCGGAAUAUUUGGGUUUUCACCUCAUAGUUUGAUGAAUAUUAUAGGCACUCUCUGCGUGUACGCAGCUAUUUGUAAACACGAAGGUGCUCCUCUUGUAUUUCAUGGGACUAGAGAUGCUUGGGAAGGUUUCCAAGAAUUUUCAGACGCAGAGUUGGUUGCGGAGCAGGAAAUUUGGGGGGCAGUGGAUCCUAAUGCAAGAAACGAAGCUUUCAAUUGCACCAAUGGAGAUGUUUUUAAGUGGAAGCAUUUAUGGAAAGUGUUGGCUGAGCAGUUUGAGAUUGAGAAUUAUGGGUUUGGAGAAGAAAUGGGUAGUGAGAGGGUGAGAUUGGAGGAAGUUAUGAAAGGUAAAGAAAGUGCGUGGGAGGAGAUUGUGAGAGAGAAUCAGCUGCAGCCAACAAAAUUGAAUGAGGUUGCUGUUUGGUCAUAUGCAGAUGUGGUGUUGAAUAUUGGUGCGGGUUAUUUUGUUAGCAUGAACAAGAGUAAGGAGCACGGGUUCUUGGGUUUCAGGAACUCUAAGAAUUCGUUUAUCACAUGGAUUAAUAGGUUGAAAAGUCACAGGAUUGUGCCUUAAGUAUUUUUUUUUUUUUUUCACUUUUUGAUUUGGUGCCUCGAGUAAUUGAAAAGCCACGAAAAAUUAAUAGUUCAACCCGUGAUUGGUUUGGCUGGAAAUUGUACCCUUUUGUUAGAUCCUUGUUUUGUUAAUCAAAGAAUUUUACCUCAGGUAGAAAAAAAAAAAAAAAGAUGCCUUUGUUGUUGCUAAAGAGUUAAUAAAUAAAUACAGUACUGAAUUAUCAACCUUAGAAAACCUCCAUUAUACAUUUCUGAAUCACGUACCUUCAAGUUAUAACGACCCAAUGUUCAAGUAAUGCCUAAUCCUAGUAGUCUAAAGCUUCUUUAAAUGGUUCGUGUGUCGAAAGCACUCUCUUUCGAACCAACCGAUUCACUAGACCAGGAAAAAAAAAAGAUUGACUGUGAAAAUAUUAAAAAUUAAAAAUGAAGUCUUUCGAAAUUUUUUAACCGGACAGCAUUUGUUAGAAAGGGGAGAGAGAGAGCAAAGGGUAAGAAAAGAAAAUUAAAAUAAAGUUUAUGGACAUUUAUCAUUUUACAUUAAUUAUUCGUUAUAAUUAAAGGAUGAAAUUAUAAUUUUAUUUGGUCAAAUUGGUCAACACUUUCAUUUAAUAGAAAAUCUAAAAGACCAAGCCUAUUCUCAGGCAUUCUUGGGGAAGAAUAAACUAUUUAUGUCUAUUUUAAAACUUUGAUGGUAGAUCUAUACUAAACUAAAAAUUGUUACGGGAGAUUCUUGUACCACUACGUAGCUCGAAAGAGGAAGACUGAAGUGGUACUAAAUUUGCUAUGAAAUGAGUUUAACGACCGCAUGCAAACGAACAAUUAUAAGAAAAGUUUAGUUGAGGAGCGAGCAAAGAUAUGCUGACCAAUACAAUAUUUGAAAAAUAUAAACAUAUGUUUUUAAACUAUUAUUAUUAGGCUAAUGCUAAGUUACAUGCAUGUGACUUAUAACCCUCUCACAUAAAUAGUGAAUAAUGUUGGUCCACUCACUAUUAAUGUGAGAUGGUUGUAAGUUACAUGCAUGUAACUUAGGGAGAUCUUAUUAUUAUCAUCAUCAUCAUCAAAUAAAUAUAGUGCAAACAUGUCUAAAAACAGGCGGGAGCCGGGUUUGAUUUAUGUUGUAUACUUGUGUAGGCCGCUGUUCAGAUAUAGUCCAGCCCAAUGGAAGCAAUAUGUAAGCCCAACACGGGUCUUCAUCGAUUUAUGCAAUGCAGUAAAAAAACAUAUCUAAUGGAAACAUCUACUGAAUUUGAAUCAGUUACUGCAAUUAAAGUUACCAACCUUGUAUGAUUGAACGAAAAUAUUAAUAUUAAGUAUACAUUAUUGGUAGAAGAAAAAUGACAUUUUUUGGAGAAAUUCUAUAAUGCAUUAGAAGUAUUAUAACAGUUAUAUAACAAGUAAAUGAUACUGUGAUAUUUAUGUAUUUAUUGUGAAAGAUCAUUAUGUAAAAUAAUGGUUACAUUAAAUUUAAUUAUACAUGUCAUGCAUACAUCAAUCGAUUAUAUUACUACUAAUGAAUUAUAAAAUUUCUCAAUUCGCUGAUAUUAUGUUUAAUAUUAAAUAAAAAAAUAUCAGUAUUUGAUGACUUACGUAGUUUUUAACAUUUUUAACGUACCAGCAUCAACAGUUAUUGAUAUUAUAGGAUCAUAAACCUUCACUCAUGCGAAGAUUUUAUAUUUUAUUUUAUUUUGAAAUUUAUUAUUUCAUUUAUUCUUAACGAUGUCGUUUUGGACAUAAAAUUUAGAUAAAUUAUUAAGUCUUCAUCUUCUCUUUCUUCACAAAAUCGUUUCCCUCUCUUUCCUGACACAGUAUCUCAACAAAACAAAAUACCAAAAUAAAACAAAGGCCAAAACCAAAAGCAGAAACAGAUCAAGCAGCUCAACCUCUCUAGCCUCUUAAUGAAUAAUGAUAGAUCGAACCAGAAGCAAAACAGUUGAGUUGAAGAUCGAAGCUCUAGGUCAAAACACACUCUCUCUUUCUCAAUUUUUGUAGUUUUUUCUUUCGACUUCAUCAAAGUCUAAACCCUAAAUGCUCGCCUUCUCAAGCACAACAACUUCAAAAGGAUUUAUCAUUUUCUUGGAGAUCUUAUAGAGUCGUAUUCUUAGCAUCAUCAAAGUCAGCCGCGUCGAGCCGUCAUGGUCUGUGUGACAAGCUAAAAGGUCACAUUGACUUGAGCAAAAGAAUAGUUAAGCUUGUAAAUAGAGGCAGAACAAUUAGCAAGCUCGUUCACUCUAUCGUGCGACCCGUGCCUGAGACUCUUGGAAUCGAAUUAGAGGUAUUGAUUUUGAUUUGAUUGUCGACAUAUUUUUGUUUUUAGAUUUUUUUUUUUUUUAUAUUUUAUAGUGUUUAAUUAGCAAUAAAUUUGAAUUUCUAGAGUAAUUUAGGUGUACUGGCGAAUUAAAUGUUGAUUUUAUGUAUUUACUUUUUGAUUUGAAAUCCGCUUUCUCUUAAGUGUUAUUCGUUUGUGUUUCGAAUGCAGGUUUAGUGCUUGAUGAAUUGCCUCAUUCGGGUCUACUUUUUAUGAUGCAGAAAACUUAUUGUUUUUUUUUUCUAUCUAAAUUUGGUUGUUAUUAAUUAAUAAAAGUAGAGAGAUUCAGUUGUUAUUCUUGGUUCUUUAUGCAGAUGGUGCUCUUGCUUUUCUUCUGUGUUCUAUUCUUUUUGUUCAAGAUAUUUAUAGUUGUCGAUCCAAUAUUUAUUUAUUCAUUAGUUUUUACUGAAAGCAUAAAUACUCUUCCACUCGCCAAAAAUUAUUUUAUUCCAGUAGUUUUUCAAUUGUAAUGCCAGCUAGGUCCUACCAAUGCUAUUAUUUUAUGCCAGUAGUUUGAGUUCAGGUUCCCAGUGGUUUUCUUCAUUUUAAACGUGGUUAGGCAAUUGGAGUAUUGAUAACAUUCAAGCCGUUUUUAGUUCAACGCCGCAACUAGAGAAAGAUCCUUUUAAUUUUCAAGCCAAUUAAGUUUUCGGAAUGCUUCAACCAAGUUAUUUCUUUGGGGUUCCACAUCAGUUUUUGGGGUAGCCAUAAACUUAUGAUGAUGAUGAUGAUGAUGAUGCUCUCGCCAAUUGAUUAUUGCUAAUUUUCUUUGUACCUAUUAGCUGUUCCAGGCUAUCUUAUUGCCAUUUUUACAAUGUUACUAAAAUUUGUUGGUAUAGCAGUGCCCUUUCAUUAUAGUUGGCCUCUUAUGAGUGUAAUUAAUCUCAAAUAUCAACAUUAUAAAUUAUGAGUGUAAUUGAUUGGGUAAAUACUCGUUUAAUCCCUAAAUUUUGAUAUAAGUGUCCGUUUAAUCUCCAAAUUUUAAAAAGUGCGUAAAAACACUCUUAUUGUUCAAUAUGUUACAUUCUUAUCAUUGUUUGUUUCUUUUCUUUUACAAUAAUAAUAUUGCAACAAUAUUCUUGACAUUAAUUAAUUUAUUUAUAAAAAAAUUAAUUAGCAAAUUAACCAAUAAAUAUAAGUGUGAAAGAACUAAUAUUUUUUGUAUCUGUUAAACAAUCUUACUAAUAAUUUUUUAUAAAUAAAUUAAUAUUAGCCUACUUAAAGUAAUGUCUAAUAUUUUUACAAUAAUUUUACUAAUAAUUAUCACGUCGGUAACGUCGAUUUUUACCGACGAAUCAUAGGUUUCGAAAAUAUAGUGCCUUUUGAUAAAUCGAGAGAGUGGGGACAAGCACCUUCUCGGAUGUCUGGAGCUGAAGUGAAAAAGCAGUUGAAUAAUAUCCUUACUGAGUUUAAGAUUGAAGACUUGAAAAGUGGAGAAUGAAUAAAAUGAGAGAAAUGACAAGAUUACUUGGAAGAAGAAAAGCAUAUUUUAUGAACUACCGUGUUGGGAGUUCAAUUUGAUUCAUCAUAAAAUGUGAGACAUGAGGGAGAGACAAAAGCUCAGGCUUGUCUGCAACCAUGUGGGCCCUCAUAAGCAAUUCGUGUACACAACUUGGUUCACCAAGCCCAACAACUUGAAGCAGGCAAAAUCCGGGAACGAUCCUUCUCCUUCGCAACCCUGGCAGCCUUAACCUUGUAUUUCUGAUAUUUAGUUAAAGAGUAAGAAGAUUGCUCCUCUGUCAAUUACCUUCGAGAGAGACUUUCUUUUUCAUUAAUCGAUGCUUGCUUGUGAAAGCAAGGGUUUUAGUUACACUUUCAACGCUGUCAAUGUAGUGAAGUAAAGCAUUCGUAGAAUAAUGAAGAUGGAAGCCCCACAGCAUGAAAACUUUUAAACAGUAACACAGCUCUUAUUCCAGAGGCUGCACGCGAGUGACCUGAAUCUUCUUCAGAACUUUCAAAUUUUAUCAAGCAAAGCUUUCAAAAUUUCUCAACAAAUUGAUUAUUUGGUGUGGUUGCCACAUUUUGAGUAACUGCUAUUUGUUCUCAAGUACAAAAUCCUUGCCCUCCUAAGUUAGGAAAUAUAGAUGUGAAGCAAACCAAAUGAAAUAAAUGGGUAAACAGAACAAACAGUGCAAAAAUUAAAAAUGAUGGCAAUUAACAAAUUAACUUGUAUUUCUGAUAUUUAGUUAAAGAGUAAGAAGAUUGCUCCUCUGUCAAUUACCUUCGAGAGAGACUUUCUUUUUCAUUCACCAAAAUAAAAUAAAUUUAGAAUUUCAAACAGUACUAGUAGUAAAAAAAUGACGACAACAACAAAAAUAGAAAAUUACAAGACUGCUGAUAAAAUUUCACUUGCAGGCAUUUCUCACAAAAUUUCUGUGAUUUAAUGUGCUUUCAUGCACGCAAGUCCUAACGUUUCUGUGAUCACAAAUGAAACUGAAGAUAAAACAGAACAACUACCAAACCUUUCAAGCGUGACGAAGCCAUGAGAAUUGAUAGCUCAAUGUCAUGGGAUGAGUGUUUUGUCACUAAAACAGAACAAUAAUUUUGAACACACCAUGUGGCAUUUAGACCAUUUGAUAGUUUGUUUCAAACAUAUUUGUUUAUAAAAUACUUUUCUUCAUGGUUUUGGUCCCAUAAUUUUCUAUGUAUGUACAGGUUUUAUCGAUACCGCUUUUGACAAGUUACACUUACAUAGCAAUGCCCUUUUUGAUAAACUGUGCUUCUGUGAUGAAGAAUGUUUUAGCUGUAAGUGGAUAUCCUAAUCAUUGAUCCAUAUACUUAGGUUAUAUUAUCCAUCAGCAAGUAUGUAUAAAAUUAUUUUGUGUCUUUUUUUAUUAGAAAUGUUGUAAUUCUAUUUUACUCUUCCUGAAUUAUAACAUCAGGUGUCUAUAAUAACUAGGUUAUUCCUUCUGCAAAACAGAGCAGUGGUAAAUAUUUUUUUUCUUUUGUUUGUUUAGUACAUUUACAUGCUUUCAGCUUUUUCAAAUUUUGUAUGUGUCAAAGUUUAAAUUUAAUUUGUUGGUUUAUGCCACAACAAAAGGAACAGCAUCAAAGAGGAGCUGCUAAUGGACUUGCUAUGACUGUAGUGUCGCUUACCAAAACUGCCGGUCCAGCUGUAGGAGGUGCUCUGUGAGUGUCCUGUUGAUUUUGUAAAACUAUAUGUAAAUGAAGUUAUAAUUUUUUUUUUCAUUAAUUGGGGUUCUGGCAGAUUUUCUUGAUCACAAAAGCAUCAAGAUGCUGGUUUCCUCCCAGGUAUGAUGAUCUACUAAUGAAAUUUCUCACGAGUUGGUGAAUUACUUUGUGCUAAUUAGCUUAGUUAGCUGCUUAAACUAAAGUGCAGGUAACCAGAUGAUUUUUUUCAUUUUGAAUUUGGUCGAGGCACUAGGAGUAAUAUUGACAUUCAAACCAUUUCUAACUCAACGUGCCCCGUGAGUAGAGAAAAGAUGCAUCUGUUGAAAUAUUCAAAUAUAUGUCGAGCAAAUUAAAGCUUUCAAAAUCUAUCAACAAUUUGAUUAUUUGAUGUGGUUUGCCACUUGCCGUAUUUUGUUUUGCUGUUCUAAAGGCUUAAAUAUGAAAAUGGUGGUUGGCGCUCACACCAAUCGAUUGCUGUUAACAUUAAUUGUUCAGUACUUUUCUCUGUCGACAUUUAUACUUGUUCAUUGUCAGAACUACGACAAUUUAUCUUUACAAUGAUGCAAGCUAGAAAGAAUUUUUCAUGUUAAGUAAAAUAUUGAAGCCACAAAGAGUCUGAAUUAAGUACUAAGUUUUCUGCCAUGCUUUCAACGGUAACACAUUUGUAGCUCUUAUUCCAGGGGCUUCACAGUAGAGAGACCUGAUUUCGACCUUCUUCAGAACUUGGGGAUUCCGUAAUAACAGAGGACAACAGUUAUAUAAGAAUAUUAUUUUGUACAAUUUUCGUAUAACCUGACCAAUGCAAGUAUAAUUUGAUGAUCUUAACUCAGAUCAAAAGACCUUCAAUGAUGUAAAAUUUGAACAUAAAGAUGAGAACCAAACAUUAGAACUUAUGAUGAAACGGAAACAAAAACAUUGAGAUUGAAAAGAUAGAGAAACACAAGCUUUUUAAAAGGAAUAAAUAUUCAUUUAGUCUCUAUAUUUUGACUUAAGAGCGCAUUUAGUUCUUAUAUUUUAAAAAGUGCCUCAACCUCAAGACACCCCUACUGUGUUGGAAUAAUAUUUUUGGGAAUAUCAAUGAAAAGAAACGAAUGGUAAUUCAUCUAGCCAGCCUUAAACAAAAUAAAUAUUAAUAAAAACUUUUAUGUUAUUAUUUUAGUUUUAGGACUAAUUUCGUAAAUUAAUUUUUUUAUGCAUUUAUUAGUAAGAUUGCUUUAAGAAUAUUAAACAUUACUUUAAGAUGGCUGCUAUUGAUUUAUUUAUAAAGAAUUAUUGGCAAGAUUGUUGUAAAAGUACAAAAAAAUACUGGUUAUUUCAUAUUGAUAUUUAUUGAUUAAUUUUCCAAUUAAAUUUUUUAUAAAUAAAUGAAAUUAAUUUAAGAAUAUUAUUGCCAAGAUAUUAUUGUAAAAGUAAAUAAAAUUUAAGGAAAAAUGUAACGUAUUUAAUAUCAAGGUAUAUUGAGGUAUUUUUUAAAAUAUAAUAACUAAACGAGCAUUGAAGUUAAAAUAUAGGUACCAGACGAACAUUUUCUCUUUUAGAAAGUUUUAUAUUUUAUUAAUGAAAGUCUGAAUAACAAAAUUAAGGUUUUGGACUUCUUUUAAACUAAACUUAAAUAUAACAAAUUUACCAAAAUAACUAAACCUAACAUAUUACUACAUAAUAACAUUCUCCUAAUUGAAAUAAGAUAAAUGUUACUCAAAUUCUAUAUCUAGAAAAAAAAAAGAUAAAAAUCCUAAAAACAAUAGGAAAAUAGAUCUUAAACUUGUAAAAUAAUAUGAAAUAAAUAUAAUUUUCAAUCGAACCACGAGACUAAUGCGGCGCUACAGUAUUAGAUUAGUUUCCCCUCGUCGCGAACUUCGAAAUGUAUAUUAUACACCCUAAAUAGAUACUUAUAGCUCAAGUUGUUACCCUAGAGAGAUACUCCACUCAUCCUACGCAACCUAGAGAGAUACUCCACUCAUCCUACGCAACCAUCCGCUGCAUCAAAUUCGUUCCAAAAUUAAGAAUAAACCAGCUGAUGCAUUCCAAAUAAUUUAGAUGAAACGAUAAAAUAAACCUAGAGAUCAAAUAACAUGAAAUGAAAAAGAUAAUUACCUUGGACUGAAGCUCAUACAAAUUCAUUAUUUGACACCUGCGGCAAUUGUUGAAAUAAUAGUUAAUGAAAUAUAAAAUAAGACAAGUACAUAUUAAUGAAACACCACUGUGAAUCGAUAGCUAAGGACGGAGUAAAAUUUAAUUGUAAAUUAGGACAGUAGAGCAAGCAUCCAUAAACAUAACAUGAACGUAAUACAUCAAUUGAAAUAUCAUAGGAUAAAUUGGGACAUCAGAGAAAGAAAUAAGUAAAUAAAUCAGCAAAGGAAACAUGCAUAAACAAAUAAAAAAACAAAGACAAAAUAAGGAAGAGUUUGUGAUAAUUUUCUUCUAUGGUCAUUGAAGUCCAAAAACUAAUAAGGAUCGAGCAAUUGAACGGUUGCAAACUCAAUGGAAAUACAAUGGAACCUUAAAAAUGAACAGUGAAGGAAAAUGAAGAAAUCUGCAGGAAAUAAGACGAGUGAGAGUGAAGAAUUAAUUACCACUGAGUAAAUGCGAAUGAAGAAUGGAGACAGAUCCUUCUUCGCCCCAUUGAGAAGUGAGAUUCAUAGAUUGCAUUGAAAUUGAGAGUUGAGAUCAAGAAGCGAUUCUUCUUCUCCGUAAUUUCCUUUUUCUUUUAAUGUUGUUAUUAUUAUUAUUUUUUUUUUUUUUCAAUUUCAUGAUAUCUUUUUUGUUUUAAACAGUAUUGGCAUAUUACAUUUAUUUAUGUUAAUUUUACAAUACCUCCCUUCAGAUUGCACAAAUUACAUUAAAAAAAAAAGUGCUUUAUGUAUAAAACUUUCAAACAAAUUGGGCCAAAAUCUAACUUUACCAAGUUUAGAGUAAUUUUGGGCUCGACAUUCCAUUUCCGACAAACGAUUUUUCUUGGCGUUUGAUUUUUCUUUAUACUUUUCAUAUUUAUCCAACGGCUCGUCAAUGACAAUACCUUUGUAAAAAGUACUUAUUUUGAAUAUUAUAUUGUGGAAAUGUCUGGUCGGUAAUACAACUAUUUCUUAUAGUGUAAAACUGAUACACUAGCGUUCACAUUUUGAUGAGUAAAUUAAGGAUUUCAAGAUGAAGUACAUAAUUAGAUUAAUGCUAAGAAACUGAAGUUUGAUCGAUUGAAAAUGAAAAUAAUAAUGAAGGUAAUUAAGAAAAUGAACAAUAUAUGCAGAAGCGGUCCUAUUAGGACUUCUAGAUUUUCUCUUGGGCUUUCCUUAUUAUUGUUAAAAAAUGACACGAAGAACUUUGAGUUUAAAAAUCUGGCCCUGAUGCCUGGUAGCCCUCCAUGAAGCACCAGAUGUUUUGAUGAGAAAUGACAAGACCAUUUAUCAAAUUUCUUGUGGAUAUAAAUACAUACACAUAGACGAGACCAACCUCCUCAAAUGAGAAUCAGAGUGAUUAAAAGACCUUGCAAUGAGACAAUGAUACACCAUCAAAUGUCAAAAUACAAUAGAAAUUCACGACAUAUAUAUAAUAAAAGACCUCUCAUUGAGUCAUAUAUAUUGAGAAUAAAAAUGUUAUAAUACAUACACAGAGCUUAGCUAGAAUAAAAUGUCUUUGAACUUGCGAUGAUCAAACAAAGGAAACAGACAGGUUGUAACUCACACUAUCACAAGAAGAUCACGAAGAUGAAAAUGGGAACCCAUCAGAAUGGAAACUUUGAAUAGAUGAAAAAAGAAAAACGACCUUAUUCACAGAAGAAGAGUGACUUAAAUCUUCAUCAGUAUCCAGACAUUUUGCAAUCAUAGAGUAGAGAAAUUUUAACAGGAACAGCAGAGAAAAUAUUAUGAAUAUGCUAUAGACCAAUAUACUUGUUCAUAGCUAACGUUUGAUGGUUUAAGGAUUUGUUCUAGGAAUAAUGGGCUGAUUACUUUCUUUUUAUUUUAAUUUUUUUUUAAUCCAAUGAAUGAUAUUCAGCUGUUAAUUAUGUGUUCAUAGGGAAGAACAUUUUCUAAGUACUUUCCUUGCCUUCUAACUUUCCGAAAAGCAAACCCAAUGAGCAAACAGAGCACAAACUAAAAUAAAAGAACAGCAAUGAUAACAAUAAAUAAUUGGCAAAGAAAAAAAGGAAAAAGUAUGCACGUUUUCAAGGAAUUAUAAAAUAUGAAGGCUUUUAAUGAAACUUUAUCAUACAAAGUAUGCAAGGAAUUAUAAAAUUUUAGAAAACAAGGGGAGCUCUCAAAAAAAAAUGAAAAACUCAAAUUAAACUAGACUAAAAGACAUUCAAUUUUGCAAAAUCUGUCCAUAAAAGUCUGAAAGGAUCAUUAAAAUUGCAUUGCAAAUUUAACAGUAAACCGAGGGACCCAUUCUAAAUAAUUCAGAUGAAAUUGCGAAACAAGACAUGGGAUUAAAUAAAUGAAACAAUCUAAUAAAAAAAAAAUAAAUGAAACAAAAAUUAAUUACCAGUUGAGACUUUCUUCUAAAAAUUCGCAACUCCAAGUCACAAGAAGCCUAUGAAAUUAGUCGUACUGCGUAGAGUAUGACGACGACACCGCCAACAGCCGACGACACCGCCAACAGCUGAAAGUAAAAUUCUUAUUCAUCAAAUAUCUUAUCAAUAUUGUAUUUAAGAAAGCAAAUUUUGUAAAAAUUUAUCAUGGGAGAUAAGAGUAAUAUGUAUAUACGUACCUUCUCAGCAUGUAAUGUUGUAUGGUUGUGUUUAGAUAAUUAUUAGCCCAGCGCCGUUGAUCCGCUGUCUCUCCAUACCAGACAUUUACUCUUGGAGGCGUGAUUGCUUCUCCUGUAGUGAAAAUCUUCAUCUUGGGACAACCAAUCACCCACAACUCUUGCAAAGAUGGGAAUUGGAAGGUGUAAUUGGCAGAGCAGAAACUUGUGAGGCUAUCUAAAUCACGCAGUUCCAACGUCUUCAAUUUGCGGAAAACAAUCUCUUCUUUUUCAACUCCAUCUUUGUCAUUUAUUACCACCUCUGUCAUUGCUCUGCAUCCAUAUAUUUCUAUUGCUACGAGUCGCACCAGAGUUUUUGCUGUGGAGGAUGUUACCAUGUGUAACAAUUUCUUGCAACCGAAAGCCACCAGAGCUGUUAGGUUCUGAAAAGAUACCGAUGAUGAUGGCAAUAGAAUUAACAGACUUUGACAACGAUAUGCUUUUAGAAUUUCAAGAUACUGAAAAGUGGGGCCAAGUUUGGAGUCUUGUUUGCACAGCUGCUUCAGAUGAUAGUGCCAGCGCAGCUCUAAUGUUUUUAUCAUUGCCAACUUCCCCGCAUGUUUCUCUAAGCUUCCUUCCUCCGAAAAUACCUCUUCGUGGAAUGAAAAUUGAAACAGUGAGAGUAUUUCAAGAUUGUGAAAUCUCUCAAGUACAUUCCAGAUUGGAAAACAAGCUGAGUUAUCUUCGGCAAUCUCUAGUUGUUUAAGACUGCCAAAAAGGUGUUGUGGGAAAUCGGCCUGCAAAAUCAUCUUCACGUCUUUUCCAUUCAAUGAUAGGUCCUUCAAGUUGGGUAAGAUCUGAUCAUCAUAAAUCAUAAUAACUAAUGAGGUCAAUUGAUGUUCUCUCAAAUGAUUUUGAGUAAUCCAAUUACAAGCAGUGACUUUAUUGUAUCUGUUUUAUAUUAAUUUUACCCCCAAAAAAAAUUGAAUUAGUGAUAAAAUUCAUUAUAUGAUUUUUUAUAUGUUAAUUUUAGAGGUAAAAAAGAAAUUAGGGAAAAAUGGUUGAUUUAUAUUUGCAUGAAAAUAUUUUAUUUCACAACAAUAAAUUAUUAAUUUAUAUUGUAAGUCCUUGUAUAAAGAAAAACUAAGGAUUCUUUACCUAAAAAAGUUCAUAUAAUUAUUAAUCUCCCACAUUGAUCCCUUAGUCAAGACUAGCAAAGAUUAUUAUGUAAUAAAAAUUUUUAAUUUAUUAAGUAUUAAUUUAUCAGUGUUUUGUUACAUUUUUCAAAGUCAAAAGUCGUCAAUGAGCUAUUGAAAAAAAUAUCUAGAAAAUGACUUCAUACCUUUUCGAACGGCAAUAAGGGCUGUUGUGCAGGAAUAUCAAGUUGAUUAUUCUCUUUAUUCUGCGAUAAAUCUUCAGCAAAUAUUUUUAAUUUGUCACAACGACACACUGCAAAAUUUUCUAGUGCUGGCCAUUCCGAAGUAUGCAUUCCUGGGUAUAAACAUCUAAGUUUUGGUAGACCUUGGAGUAUCAGAACGGUGGGUUGUGGAAAGACAAAAUAAGGGAUCACUUCAUCUGCUCUGUUUUCAAAACGAUCUCCUGUAAAUCCUUACAGUCUCAUAUAUCUAAGUGCUGGAGCUGCUUGAGGUUUCCGAUCAUAGACGCUGAAAAUAUGUAUUUCAGUUUGUCACAGUACCACACAACUAAUCGUGUUAAACUUUGAAAGUGAGGAAACACGGCCGCCAGAAUUUGAUUGUAAUGCCAAAUCUUGUCGACAUUAAUUGCAGAUAUCUCCAAAGCCACCAAGUUAGGCAACGCAACCUAAAAAAAUAAGAAUUUCUCGUUAGAUCCAAUAUCCAUAUAGGAAGCACUUGUUGAAAUUUUCUUCUUUGAUUACAAAUUGUUGAAAGUCAGAAUCAAUUUCCAACUGACAGCUGAGUUUGAUGCAUUCUAAUUCAUACUACUUGUUAAGAGCUCAAUUAGUGAGCGUGUUGUUAAGAGCUCAAUUAGUGAGCGUGUGAGAUUCUUUUUAUCCUUUUUUCCAUUUUCUUUCAAUUCUUAAAUGAUUUAAUUAUUUUCCACGUAUGACGUCAAAAGAGAACGCAUGAUAGAAUAAAAUCUGUUAUAUAUAUAUAUAUAUAUAUGAAGAAAAUGUUAGCCUACUAUCACGGGAUGAGUAUUUUGCGCAGCUAACCCGUGCGGUACUUAGACAACUUUGCCGAAUGUUGCUAAGUAAGCCUAGAGCUUCUCGAACUAGAGAAGAGAGCAAUUGAGCCGAAUAAGAGACAUUGUAUUGCACAAAGAGAGAUUACAAUGCUUGUUGUUGUGUUUGUUGGAUACAAAUGCCUAAUGCCAUCCCAUAUUUAUAGGGGAGGCUUGCCAAGCUAGAGGCUCUAGAGAUUCUAGAGAAUUCUACCAUUUCCUAGCUAUUUACAUGUGCUGGAAUUGUAAGGAGAAUUCUAGAGUAUUUGCAAGCUCACAUGUGCUAGAAUUGCCAAGAACUUUCCGGAAUUGGGCCAAGCUAGCACUCUUGGCCUUGUGUUGGCUCUCUAGCCCGAAAUUGUUGGCAAUUGGGCUAGCGAAUUGGGCGGUCCGCAACAUCCUCCCCCACCUAAGCUCGCGGCGUCCUCGUCGCGCUCUCGUGCUUGAAAUUCUAGAUGUGCUCAGCGAAUUGCCAUAAGUCAUCUUCACGUUCCCAAGUGGCUUCGCUCUCGGGGAGGUUUUUCCACUUCACCAAGUACUUGCUAUGUGCUGGCACGCCCCUCCUCGAAACCGUGCGGUCCGCAAUGAUGUAGUCCACAUCUUUGUCGAAUGCGGUGACAAGCAGUUGGCACGCGCCUCGAUUCUCCGCGACUUGGUUCUCCCAUGUCUUCGUGAUAUGGCUUGAGAAGGCUCACAUGGAAGACCGGAUGGAUCUUGAGUCUUGGCGGAAGUUGGAGUUGAUAUGAGACGUUGCCCACACGUCGAACAACUCGGAAGGGUCCCUCAUAGCGCCUCACUAACCCCUUGUGGACUUUCCGCAAUGUCUUGAAUUGUUGGGGUAGGAGCUUGAUCAUGACUUGAUCUCAUUCAUUGUACUCAACAUGCCGUCUCCUUGUAUCCGCCCAUUUCUUCAUUUUCCUCGCGGCUUUGUCGAGGUAGGCUCGCGUGAUGUCCGCUUCCUCAUGCCAUUCGCGGGCGAACUUGUGUGCCGCGGGGCUUUUCCCGCCGUAAGUCGAGGCUAUGGCGUUGGGGGUCAUGGGCUGGAAUCCCAUGAUGAUCUCGAACGGACUCUUGCCCGUAGCCUCACUUCGCUGCAAGUUAUAAGAAAAUUGGACGAUGUCGAGUAGCUUCGCCCAAUCCCACUGAUGAGCGCUCACAUAAUGCCUCAAGUACAUUUCGAGGAGGCCAUUGAUGCACUCGGUCUGCCCAUCCGUUUGUGGGUGGAAGCUUGUCGAGAACUUGAGAUCGGUCCCCAACAUCUUGAAGAGCUCCGUCCAAAAACGCCCAGUGAACCGAGGGUCUCACAAUGCUCCUUGGAACUCCCCAAAGCUUCACAAUGUGCUUGAUGAAUAGGCAGGCUGCCUCAUCCGCUUUACAAUCGAUUGGUGCGGCAAUGAAUGUGGCGUACUUGCUGUAUCGGUCGACAACGACCAUGAUGCUUCCGCAACCUUCGGAUUUGGGCAGCGAAGUAAUGAAGUCCAUGGAGACAUUUUCCCAUGGCCUUGUUGCUAGUGGUAGCGGCUCCAAUAAUCCCGCUGGAAGUUGAUGAUCCACCUUGUCUUGUUGGCACACAAGACAAGUUCGCACAUCUGCUUCGAUGUCGUCCCUCAUGUACGGCCAAAAAUACGAGGCUUGAACUAGUGCGGUGGUGCGCUCGAUUCCUGGGUGACCAGCCCACUUAGAGUCGUGGCACUCCUUGAUUACCUCCUUCCGUAAGUUUCCCCACCUUGGCACGAACAGCCGAUCUCCCUUGGUGUGGAGGAUGCCUUCCUCUUGCCAAAAUCGCCUUGUCUUGCCUUCGAGCACCUUCUCCAGCAAAUCCUUUGCUAGCGGAUCUUGUUGGAGGCCUUCCUUGAUGCGUGAGACAAGGUCGGACUUUGGUUGGCUCAUGCUAAUUGUUGCCAAUUCGGCCUUACGGCUUAGAGCGUCUGCAACGACAUUGGCUUUCCUCGGUUUGUACUCGAGCCAAUAGUCGAAUUCCGUAAGGAAAUCUUGCCACCGUGCUUGCUUCGGGCUCAACUUUUUUUGUGUUUGAAAGUAGCUCGUCGCUACGUUGUCCAUCAUAGUCAUGAAGUGAGAGCCUAGCAAGUAAUGUCGCCACACCCGCAAGCAAUGUAUGAUUGCGGUCAUCUCCUUCUCUUGCACCGUGUAGCGGCGUUCCGUAUCGUUUAGCUUUCGACUCUCGAACGCUAUGGGAUGGCCUUCUUGCAUAAGGACUCCACCUAUGGCGAAAUCCGAGGCAUCCGUUUGAACUUCGAAGGGUUUAGUGUGGUCCAGAAGAGCGUGGACGGGUUCCUCCGAAAUUGCCUUCUUCAACUGCUCGAAUGCGCGUUGGCACUCUUCGGACCAAUGCCACGUUCUGUUUUUCUUGAGCAUAUCCGUCAAGGGUGCUGCCUUGGCUGAGUAGCCCUCGAUGAAGCGGCGGUAGCAGUUCACCAACCCAAGGAAUGAGCGAAGCUCGGGUACUUUCGAGGGAGGUUCCCAUUCGAGGAUGGCCUUUACUUUGGCAUUCUCCAUCAUGAUCUUUCCGCCCGCAACCUUGUGGCUAAGGAACUCCACUUCUUGUUGGGCAAACGAGCACUUCUCCAACUUGAGGAAGAGCUCGUUGUCUCGGAGUACUUGGAGGACUUGUCGUAAGUGUUGGGCAUAAUCCUCGAGUGUGGUGCUAUACACCACUAUGUCGUCCAAGUACACGACCACGAAGCGGUCGAGGAAUGGUUGGAGUAUCUUGUUCAUGAGCGUGCAAAAUGUAACAGGUGCAUUAGUAAGGCCAAAAGGCAUCACAAGGAAUUCGAAAGACCCAUACCUUGUAGUGCACGCUGUCUUCGGUUCGUCUCCCUUGGCGAUGCGCACUUGAUAGUACCCGGAGCGCAAGUCAAGUUUGGUGAAGUACCGCACUUUGCCAAGUUGGUCGAACAAGUCCGCGAUCAAGGGAAUCAGAUACUUGUUCUUGAUGGUGAUCUUGUUGAGCGAUCUAUAGUCGAUGCACAUCCGCAGCGAUCCAUCCUUUUUCUUUUGGAAGAGGACCGGUGCACCGAAUAGGGCCUUUGAGGGGUGAAUGUAGCCUGCGUCCAGCAAGUCUUUGAGUUGUCUCCGCAACUCCUCUAAUUCGGGUGGCGCCAUGCGGUAGGGCGCCAAGGCUGGUGGCUUCGCGCCUUGUUCCAGCUCGAUCGCAUGAUCUACCUCUCGCCGAGGUGGGAGCUUCUUCGGAAGUUCCAGAGGCAUCACGUCCUUGUAUUCAUUGAGAACGGCUUGAAUUCGCGAAGGGACUUGGCUUGGCGACGUUCUGCUCUUUCCUUCCUUGUUUAGUUCCCGGAUGGAGACCAAGAAGCUUGGGUCCUUCUUGAAAGCCCUUUUGAAUUGCAUGGCGGAGAGUGUCUUCUCCUCGGACUUGCCUCGCUCCGUGGGUACCAUGCAUGCUUUGCUCCCGUCGAGGAUGCUUAGGGAGUUUGUAGCGGGCAGUGGGAAGGCAUGGACUUGGUCGAAAAAUUCCAUGCCGAGGACUAUCUUGAAGUCAUCCAUGGGGAUGAUGGAGAAAUCAAGCUUUCCGCUCCACGUACCGAGUGUUAAGUGCACGCCUUGUGCAAUUCCCGCAAUUGGCUUGGCGGGUGAGUUUACUGCCUUCAUUGUGCUUCGUGAGCUAACUUGCGUGCGUGCAAACCUUAGCUCCGAUACCACUUGUCACGGGAUGAGUAUUUUGCGCAGCUAACCCGUGCGGCACUUAGACAACUUUGCCGAAUGUUGCUAAGUAAGCCUAGAGCUUCUCGAACUAGAGAAGAGAGCAAUUGAGCCGAAUAAGAGAAAUUGUAUUGCACAAAGAGAGAUUACAAUGCUUGUUGUUGUGUUUGUUGGAUACAAAUGCCUAAUGCCAUCCCAUAUUUAUAGGGGAGGCUUGCCAAGCUCUAGAGAUUCUAGAGAAUUCUACCAUUUCCUAGCUAUUUACAUGUGCUGGAAUUGUAAGGAGAAUUCUAGAGUAUUUGCAAGCUCACAUGUGCUAGAAUUGCCUAGAACUUUCCGGAAUUGGGCCAAGCUAGCACUCUUGGCCUUGUGUUGGCUCUCUAGCCCGAAAUUGUGGGCAAUUGGGCUAGCGAAUUGGGCGGUCCGCAACAUCCUCCCCCACCUAAGCUCGCGGCGUCCUCGUCGCGCUCUCGUGCUUGAAAUUCUGGAUGUGCUCAGCGAAUUGCCAUAAGUCAUCUUCACGUUCCCAAGUGGCUUCGCUCUCGGGGAGGUUUUUCCACUUCACCAAGUACUUGCUAUGUGCUGGCACGCCCCUCCUCGAAACCGUGCGGUCCGCAAUGAUGUAGUCCACAUCUUUGUCGAAUGCGGUGACAAGCAGUUGGCACGCGCCUCGAUUCUCCGCGACUUGGUUCUCCCAUGUCUUCGUGAUAUGGCUUGAGAAGGCUCACAUGGAAGACCGGAUGGAUCUUGAGUCUUGGCGGAAGUUGGAGUUGAUAUGAGACGUUGCCCACACGUCGAACAACUCGGAAGGGUCCCUCGUAGCGCCUCACUAACCCCUUGUGGACUUUCCGCAACGUCUUGAAUUGUUGGGGUAGGAGCUUGAUCAUGACUUGAUCUCAUUCCUUGUAUUCAACAUGCCGUCUCCUUGUAUCUGCCCAUUUCUUCAUUUUCCUCGCGGCAUUGUCGAGGUAGGCUCGCGUGAUGUCCGCUUCCUCAUGCCAUUCGCGGGCGAGCUUGUGUGUGACGAUGGUCUGUUUGGUGAUGCUGAAGGAGUCUUUACUUCACGGCAGAAAUUUGUAACCUCUGGAAGAUUCCCCAGACUCAAAGAUCUUAAUUGAGCAAACUCUAUCUUCUCAAUUGCAUUAUCAACUUCUUCCCCAAUUGCAAAAAUCUCUUUCAUCUUGCUGCAAUCAACAACUGCAAUUCUCUCAAGUCUUGGAAGGCAUUUUGUAGUAGAGAGCCAAAAGAUAUUACUCAAUUUAUCACAAUUAUAUGCUUGUAUGAUUUUGGGUUCGUUCAAAGACUCUACUUUGAGCUGAUCAAUACAUAUCCUCUCCAUGUUGAUCAAAUUGUGAAGGAUAAGUGACUCCAAAAGAGGAAAGGCUUCACAAGCUACCAUCUCCAUUGAGUCCACGAUACACAGGAAGUUAGGAUUAUUUUGAACAUGGAGAUGCUUCAAUUGUGAAAAACCUUCUGUGUCCAAAUCAAAAAGAACAUUCUUGACACCUUGCAGCUUGUCCAACCAUAGGUAUUCAACGUUAUUGAUGCCCUGCAAUUUCAUGGAGAAAAUGUCCAUAAAAUCAAGCUUGAGCUUCAAUUCUCUUAAACUCUCACGAUUACUGUUGAUCAAAAAGUGCGGCCGGCUUUGAAACCAUUCUCUUGUAACACUCUUGGGAGGCAUGAAUGACUCAUUUCCAAUGGAUAUUUUGAACCUUUCGAGCUUUCUGGCCAAAAAGCCUUCCGGUAAAAUACUGUCAUUUUUAACAUCAAUUUCUAGAGUGGUUGGCCAAGGUAAAAGCAUCAAUUCAUCAAGGCUAGCAUUACUUCUUUCACUGUUGGCUCUUUCAACCUCCCAUUCAACGGAGCAAUUACCCAUAUACAAUUCUUCUAAUCGGAUUAAGCUCGAUAAGACAUUUGGGGCAAUAACUUUUAGAUGGAAACAGUCUCUUAAAUCUAACAGCCUUAGCUUAGUCAGUUGCCCUAGUGCUUUAGGUAACUGUACAAUAUCAGACCGCACAAAGCCAAGGAUUUCUAGAUUUUCCAACUUUCCAAUAAUGGCUGUGUCCAUGUCUCCCAAAUGCUUUGAUUAAGACAAAGUGUCCGAAGAUUUACUAGAAGAUCAAUUGAAGAUGGCAAUGACAAUAACCGCAUUCUAGUCAAAUCCAAAACCCGAAGCUUUUUCGUCCUUUUGAAGAAGUUCUCAGGAACAUUGGGCCCAACAAAAGAGUUCUUGGGUGACAUGAAUAAAAAUUCAAGUUGUGUAGAUUCCAACACUUCAGGAAUGUCAUUAAUAAUACUAUCUUUUAAACAAAUUGCAAAAUAUUUUUUUAGUGCAUCUGCAUCUGGCCAGUUCCACACAUCCUCAUUUCUCACCGCAAAUGCAAUUUUGUCACGACGUGCUAUUGAAAUGGCAACAUCGCGAACAACAUCAUGCAUGGAAAAGAAUUUACUGCCACCAUCCUCAAGCAACAAACAAGAGUCUCUUAGUUGAUGGACCCAUGCAUGUAAUUUGUUAUGUGCAUCUUCUAUCUUAUGGACACUUUCAAAUGCACCCAAGCCUAUGCUAUAUUUGAACAAGUCCAUAAUUGAAGUUGGUGUAAUUAGACUACACAGUAAAAAAGUUUUCUUUAGUUGCUCACCUCUUAAAUACUUGUAACUUAGCUCAAUUGUUGAGUAUGCCUCUACUGGUACUCCUUCAUCGAAGCUUGCCUCUGAAGGCGUUUGGAGUUCUUGCAAGGCGUUCUUCCACACAGGCAGCUCUUUGUUUCUCAGUGCCUUUGCUACUGUGGUUAGAGCAAUAGGCAAACCUCCACAUGCCUUGGCUACAUUUGUUGCUGUAGAUUUUAACUCACGAUUUUCAACAAAAUUACCAGCCAUUAUCUUGAACAACCUCCAAGCUUCAUGCUCAUUUAGAAUGCCAAUCAAGAAGUUAUUUUCAGAUCCCAUACUUAACAAGACAUUACGAUCCCUUGCUGUUAAUAAUAAUUUGCAUCCUCUAUGAUCAUCGUCAAAAGGAAUUCCAACAGUCUCUAAAUCAAGAUAUUUCCAGAUGUUAUCCAGAAUCACAAGGAUCAUCUUCUCUUUCUUCAAUCGUUCAUAAAGUCUACUAGCUCUUCUAGAUUCAGCCUCCUCGGACAACUCCAGACCUAGUUUCUCUGCAAUUUCCCCUUGAAUCUUUUUUAUGUCUGGAGUUUGGGAAACCUCUGAAAAAACCACCUGAUCAAAGAGUUUCUCUUCACUGGCUUGCGUUGCAAACUCCUUCACCAGUGUUGUCUUUCCAAUGCCGCCCAUGCCGUAUACCCCAACGAUGCUGACAUUGACAUCAGUCAAUGCAUCUUGUCUAGACUUCAGAGUAGAAAGUCUUGAUUUAAAGGCCUCGUAACCUUUGUUAGACUUUAGCCAUACCUCCUCCGCAAUGGUACGGUAGAAAAUUCUAUCAUCAAAUCUCCUAGCUUCUUCUUUGAGUUCAACAAGGGCCUUCACCUCUGUUUCUGCUUUCUUGCUAAGCUGAUAGCGGGUCUUGAAAUUAGGACACAAGCCCUUGAAACAUCGCUUACUUGUUGUCUCCCCAUCUUCAAUGAAUUUGGCUGCCUGCUCAAUGGUGUUGUUCGCACUAACCAGCCAGUUCUCAACCUUCUCUUCAAUCUUUUCUCCUUUUCUUUCAGCCUCAGAAACUCUGUGCUGAAUGCUCUUACUUUCAUCCUUGAGCUUGUCUAUUUCUGCCUUGAGAUUCUCAAAGUUGGCUUUAUAGUUACGCAAAUAACAAAGUUGGCGUUCUGUUGGAGGAGCGAAGCAUUUCACAACUUCUAACAGAACAGUAACAAUGCUUUCCACCAUCUUCGAUCCUCUUUUUUUCAAAGUUCCGAAAUGAAAAUAAACGACGAGCGAAACACAAAGAGAAAGAGAGGCAAAAAAAAAAAAAAAGAAAAACGAAAAAAAGAAAAUGAAACAACAAAGAUGACAAGUGUAUCUGGUUGUGGAAGCGGAGAAAUCAAAGAAAGCUUAAAAACUGUUGUGAAUCUGGUGAGAAGAUGGAAACAAGGAAAAGGUUUCUAGUUCAAAAGUGAUUGAAUUGAUAUAAGGAAUGAUUUAGAUAAUAGAGGAAAAGUGAAUCAGUCAAAAUAACUUAUGUAUUGACCAGAAGAAAGAUGCAAACAAUAUUAGAGACAACAACCGCGCUGUUGAUGCCCAAAUCUGAUCUAGUCUAUCAGCGACUUAAUGUCAGAUUUCUACACCAGUAUUAGAUUUAUUUGGUAGAGAAUCGAUUGGUCAAUCGUCAAGAUGUCCUGCAACCACUAGCGAUUAACCUAGGAAUACCUGAAAUCAUAGAAGAAGGUUAGAGGCGCCGGAAGUUUUUCCGGCGUGAACCCUCCGACACUCAAGUUAGUUUCUAGGCCUUUCGGAAAAACUUGUGCCACCACUCAUGUGGCUUAAUAAACAUUGCCUUAAAACCCAAGGCUUUUCGAGUAAUUUACAGAAAGUAAAGCAGAGUGUCAAAGAAAGAAUUUUCCAUGAGAGGAAGAGAGCCCAAAAAGCCCCCCUAGCUAACUCCCCACUCCCCUCUUUCCCCCCUUGUUCUCUCCCACUUUCGGAAGUUAAGGAUGAGAUAAAAGUAAUGCCCCCACUCUCCUUUUUUUCCUCCUUUUUCCGUUACCAAACACGCGCUAUUGACUGGUAAAAGAGAUGGAGAAAAAGAUAUAUCUUCACACGGUGGAAGUACAAAGGGUAGAUAUGGAACCAAACAGAGACAACAACAUGCCACAACUAGAUUGGGAAUGGAGAGAAACAAAUUAACAAAGACUGGAGAUUACAACAGAACAGAUGCCAAGAGAAAAGGGUUUCUUCAUCCAGUGAAAUUCAAGUGAGUUGACAGCAAAAGGGAGCAUAUGUGUUUCUUGAUUGAGAACGAGUGCAAAGGAUGACUUUUUAAUGAGGUUCUGAAGCUGACGGAUAACGAUUUGCUAAAAUUUUGAGAAAGUUAUAUAUUUCGUAACUUCAACAAGUGAAGAAUAAAAGAAUAAUAGUUCGUCAUCUUCACAAUGAAGAUCAUGGCCGAGAUUAAAAGCUAAAACUAGUCCAUUUGAAAAGCCAAAGUUCAAGUUCCUUGGCUAAGUUCAGAAGUGAAGCAAAGAAUAAAUAAAUAAAGAUCAAGGGAUGGGAAUAAAGUCACCCCCAGACAGUUGCAGAAAGAUUAUUAUUUGGUAAGCGUAGUUGAUUAUUAGUACAAAACAGAGUAGGUGAAACACAUCCUUUCUAUUUAGACUGAUCAGCAUCUAAAAUUUUAUGAAUUAUAAGUUGCAUUUUACUUUGUACAUUAUGUUAACACAUUUUAAUUUAGCCAAUUUUUCAAUAAAUGUUAUUGAUGUAUUAAAUUGCAACAACAAAACACAAUUAUUGGUUUUAAAGAAUGAAAAAAAAAAUACAAAAAUAGAAAAUGAAUUGAAUUCCACUCAUCGUCAUCUUGGCAAAUCAAGUCAAAAAAUAAAAAUCCAUAUGCUUUUGUUAAAGUUAAAAGCUACAUAAAUAAUAUCACAGAAGCUUCUGCUAAGGUUCAUGUGAAGUCACAGCUUUGAUACUUGUAAUACAAGGAGCACGGAGAAACCAUAAACUUCAGUUUAGGUAUAUACAUUGCUUGUCUUUCAAACUUGAAUUGAUAAGGGGGAAAAAAAUAAUACUAAAGCAAACAGAAGGAUCAUUUAGUUGACAAAAUUAUUAUUAUUUUUAAAUUCGGGUCAUUCAGUUACUUUCAUUUCAGUUUCACUACUGAUUCAAUUUAACCAGUUAACGUUGACAAAAAUAAAAUGCAAAUAUAAGGCUAAGGCUGCUAAUUUGAUGAACUAAUUAUCUCAGGAACCAAAGCAUCUAUAAGCAUGCAUGGGUGGCAACACCAUAAUUACUCAAGACUGGAGGAGUAAAAAGAUUGGAGAUGAUAAACAUUAAAUUUCAGGAAAAUCAUUCACAAAUAUGCUUUUAUAAAAGUUUUGCUGGUAAAGUUCGAGAAAUGCAUACAUGUCAAAUUUCCAUUUCUUGUGAGCAUUUCACCAAAUAGCUGAUAUGCAUUAAUAACUCCUAUCCUAUACUAUUGGCCAGUAGGUUGUUGCUGCUUCCCCAUUUUUAAUGAUGCGAACGUCUCAUACUUAGAAAUAAGGGCGGAGCCUGGAGAUUGAUUUAUAAGAUAAUCUUUUGAAUAAAAAUAAAAACAAUUACAGAUUUCAAAUGUGAGAAAAAUAAAAUUGCGUUAUAAAAUUAAUCCCACUAAGAAAGUCGUCUACGAAAUUGCCACAUUAAAAGAAAAUUUUUCCAUAAAUUAAAAUAAAAUUAAAUGAAAACUAUUUUUCAGUAAAGUCAAUUGCCCACGCUAGGCUAAGGCGUUUGUUUAUUUGUUUGUUUGUUUUUAUAAUCUGAAUAGGUAUAAAUUUUUCGUAAGCAUGAAUGAGCUGAGUACAAAUAUAUGAAUGAUAUAUUUAUUUUUCUUUUUCUUAAUACCCAAAUAUAAGUGACAUCUUAUUUAUCUUAAAUAUGGUUAUUUGAUAUUUAUAUUUUUACAAAUAAAAACAAAAAAAAGUAGUUAGAUUUUAUAGUUUAAGAAAUAAAUAUAUUUUAUAAAAAUAUUUUUAGAAUAUAUAUUUAAUUCUUAUUUAGACUUUUUCCUAUUCAAUAAAAGUCACAAAAGUUACUUUUUCUAUUCAAAUGUAAAUGCUUAAAAAUCAGAUAUAAGUCACAAAAAAAAUAAAUUUUAGAAAAAGUCAUAAAUUAAUAAAAUUUCAUAUAUUUAACUCCCAAUGCAGAUCCGCCCCUAUCAGUGUUAGGAAAUUGACUGGUGAAGUAGGUUCACAGCUAAAAUGAAAUUGGAAGAAAAUGAAGAACAAGCACAUAGAGGACACCAAAAAUUACAUGGUUCGACUUUUAGCCUACGUCUACGGGUAAAGACAAAAGGAUAAAACUUUACUGGUGAAAUGAGGAUUACUAGUAUUAUAAUAUUUUGUUUCACUUCCUAGAACCCCAAUCCACUCAAUCUCUUAAAACACUAAUCACUCAAGAGCAUUAAAACUCUUAGUCUCUCACUCUAGAAUUGAAGAAGAAAAGAAUGAAAUGCAGGGGUGAACCCCUCAUUUAUAGUUAAAAAUUUGGGCACUAUUUAUAUUUUUAUAUAUUUUUUUUAAAUUAAAAGUUUGAACUUGACAUUCAAACUUUGAAUAUCAAAAGGUAUUGGUCACUCUUCUAGAAAAGUGACAUUGACUUUGACAUUCUCCCACUUAGAAAUUUGAUUGAGAAUCAAUCAAUCUCCACACCAUCCUUUCUGCUUCGUCGCUAUCAUGUUGCUUAUGUCUCUACUAGGCCAUAAAAUGAUCUACUCCAAACAAAUUUAUCAGCAUUGAUAGGCUUGGGCAAAACAUUUGUUAAGUUCUCCUUGGUAUCCACUCUUGUAUCUUUCACUACUUCACGAAGAAGUGAUAUUGUACUCCUAUAUUCUUUGUCCUGAAAUAAAAGGUUGGAUUCCUUGCAUUCUAACUAUCACAAACCAUAAAAAUUUUUAUGCCCAAGCUCUUUCAGUAACCUUUGUAUCCAAAUAGCCCUUCCAAGCUUGUGUAGCUGCUAUGUAAUCUGCUUCUGUUGUUGAUAAAGCCACAAUGGUCUGCAAUUUUGAAAUCCAACUAACAAUUUCGCCUUCUGGUGUAAAUACUUAGCCAGUAGUGGGUUUCCUUUUAUUAAGAUUUUCUGCAAAAUCUGAAUGCACAAAGCCCUUGACAGUAAAUUCUAAUCCUUCGCAGCAUAAUGCAACAUCUGAUGUUCCUCUGAUAUUUCUCAGAAUCCUCUUAAUAGUCUUCCAAUGUUCUUUGCAAGGAUUCGCUAUGUAUCGACUAACUGCUCCCACUACUUGUACAAAUCAUAGCAAACCUUAAAUUUUCCACUGCUGAUGCAUACAGUACUCAAGACAUCUCUUCUUCUCUACUUCAUUACUAGAUGAAUACUUAAGAAUAACUUGAAAUUAAUAAGAAGCGGGGUAGAAAGCCAAAUCUUCUUGCUAUUACUAUCUCGGUGAAUUUGCAUCCCUAAAAUCUUGUUUGCUGGUUCUAAGUCUUUUAUUUCAAACUCCCUAGUUAACUGUGCCUUCAGUUCUUGGACUCGAUCUUUGUUGGGGCUUGCUACCAAUAUGUCAUCCACAUACCACAGUAGAAUGAUGAAAUCAUUAUUAUAAAACUUGUUGUAAUAUGUACAACAGUAUGAAAUGAUUCUAUUGUAUCCAAGGUUUAUGAUGAAAUGAUCAAUUCUCUUAUAUCAACAUCUCGGUGCAUGUUUGAGAUCGUAUAGAGAUUUGUUCAACUUGCAAACCAAGUGUCCCUUUUUAGUAAAACCUUCUAGUUAGAGCAUAUAAAUCUUUCCUUCAAGUUCUCCAUGAAGAAAUGAAAAUUUCACAUCUAACUGCUCCAAAUAUAGGUCAAAUGUAGCACACAUCGACAAGACCACUCUGACUGUCCUGGGUCAAAUCACUGGAGAAAAUAUCUCAUUGACGUUAAUACAUUCUUUCACCACCAAUCUUUCACGAUAUCGCUCCACUAGGUUAUUACCAUCACGUUUGAUCUUGUGAACCCAUUUGCAACCAAUGGUUUUUUUUUAUAUGGUAGUAGUACGAGUUCCUAUGUCAUAAUCUUGUGUAGAGCCUUAAUUUCUUCCUGCAUUGCUAUCAUUCACAAAGUAACAUCUGAGCUGUUUAAAAUUUCAUAGAAAGUUGAUGGCUUUCCAUUCUCUAUUAAAAGACAGUAUGCAAAAUUGAUAUCUGUGACAUAAUCCAAAUGCCACACAUACAUUUAUCUAUCACGAGUUGACCAACAAACUUUUGGGGCCUCAGACUUGAUUGGUUCUUGUUCUCAUACUUUGGUGCUGCUUCAAAAAAAUCUGAAUCUUCAUUUUCCAGAUUAUUUUCAACAUAUAUUAGCACAAUCUCUAAAUUUUAAUAGUGCUAUCAUCCAUAUCUCUCUUUUGCAUUUGAUCUUCUACAAAGACAAUAUCUCUGCUAAUAACGAUCUUGUGGGCAUUGAGGUCCCACAGAUAAUACCCUUUCACUCCAUCAAUAGAUUCUAAGAAGAUACAUCUCUUGGAUUUUGGAUCCAUCUUUAAUCUCACUUGGGUAUCGUAUAUCACGUAAAAGGACAUCAAAAUGCCUGAGAUGAGAGUAAUCAGUUGGCUUUCCUGUCCAUUUUUCCAUUGGAAUCUUCAACCCGAUUGCCUUGAAUGAUGACCCACUUACCACAUAAUAAGUAGUUUUUGCUACUUCCGCCUAGAAUGAGUUGGUAGACCAGCAGUUCUCAACAUAACUCUUAUUUUUUCUAUAAGAGUCAUGUUCUUUCACUCUACUACUCUAUUUUAUUGAGGAGUGUAUGCCACUGUAAAUUAUCUCUAGAUACUUUCUUACUUACAUAUGCAAGAAACAUGCUAUCUGUAUACUCUCCACCAUUGUCUGUCCUCAGGCACUUGAUCCCUUGCCCUGAUUUAAGUUCAAUCUACGCUUUGAAUUCUUUGAACAAUAGAAAUACAUUUGACCUUUUCUUGACUGGAUACACCAAAUAUCUCCUAGAAUAAUCAUCAAUAAAAGUCACCAAAUACUUUGCACCUCCCAUAGAUAUAUCAAUUGAUUCCCAAACAUUAGAAUGAAUCAAGUCUAAAAUACAUUUACUUUUGAAAGUGGAUCUGCUAAACUUUCAUCUAUGUUGCUUUCUUGUUUCGACAUGUGGCCAAGUUUAAGAUGCCACAUCAUCGCUGAAUUUUCUCUAUUUGAUGUGACACACACAAAAGUUUUCUGUAGUGUUUCCAUUUAAGCAUGAAUAGAUUAGCACCGAUCUUUUCCACCUUCAUUAAUGCAAGUGUGCCUUUGACUAUCUUUAUGAUCCCAUUUUCUACAUGAGUUUUGUGCACAAGGCUAUCUAUUUGUCCUAAAGACAAGAGAUAUUUUUCAAGUCUUUGACAUGUCUUACCUUCUCAAUUGUGCGAACCAUACCAUUAAACAUAUUUAUUUUGACAGUACCAAUAUCAAUGAUCUCAAAGGCAUGAUUAUCACCUAUGUAUACAGAUUCUCUUGAAAUAGGUUCAUAUUUGUGAAAUCAUUCUCUUGGAGAGAUCAUGUGCCAAACAACUAUUAAGUCUAUAAGCCAGACGUCAUAUAGUGGUUUUCUGCCUUUUGAAGCAGUUGUUGCCUUACUGUAGAGAAUUUUUCCAUUAUACGAGGUACUUACUACAUACCCUUGAGCAUUUGAUGACUCAGGAUCUUUACCCUCUCUUCUCUUCUAGUUGUUCCAAUACUCUUCCUUGACAUGCUCUUUCUUGCCACAGUUGUUGCAUUUAACAUUCUUCUUACUUCUUGAUUUCGAUCUACUGUGAUUGUGGCUCUCACUAGGGCCACGUUCCAUGGAUCUUCCUUUCAUCAUCAAUAGCGCUUCUACUUGCUGCGAACUUGUCUGUCUAUCUUUUUUAUUUUUUGCUACUCUCCUCAUUUAAUACGGAGGCUGCCAUAUUGUCAAAGACUAACUUGUUUGCUCGAUUGUUAUUAGUUAGAUUAAUGACGAAUUAAUCAUACGAAUCUGGUAAACCUUGAAGUAAAAGCUCUACAUGAUCAUUUUCCUCUAUUUUAUGACCCAACGUUGUAAGUUAUGAAAAUAAAGUCUUUAAAGUGUUGAUAUGGUCGAUCACUGAUGUAGAUUCCGUCAUUCGAAGAGUAUAAAGCCUCCUCUUUAAAAAGAUUUUAUUUUGUAGUGAUUUGACCUCGUAUAGUCUUGUGAGAGUAAACCAUAUUUCCUUUGCUCUCUUUUACUCUACCACAUUGAAUAAUACCUUAUUUGAAAGUGGUAUGUGUAGAUUUGCAAUGGCAUUAUUGUCUAUCUCAUUCCACUUGUCAUCAUCAGUUAUCUUUGUGAGCCUCUCUUCAAUUGUUGCCAAGCAAUUACUCUUCCUCAAUACAACUUUCAUCUUCAUUUUUCAUGACGAAAAAUUAUUUUUGUUGAACUUCUCAAUUUUGUAUUUUUCCGCCAUCAUUGUUCACCACGAGCUACCUUUGCUAAGAUCGAUUCCUACCAUUUCAUAUGAGCAGUAACUGUAUAUAUGAAUAAAGUGUUGUAUACAGAAACAAUAUCAUAUACAUGAACAGUACAAUAUAUGUAAACAGUAUCUUGACCCCAAAAAAUACAACCCGACUCUGAUACCACUAUUAGAAAAUUAAUUUGUGAAGUAGGGCCGCGACUAAAAUGAAAUUGGAAGAAAAUGAAGAGCAAGCACACUGAGGACACCAUAAAUUAUUUGGUUCGACUUUUAACUUAUGCCCAUAGGUAAGGACAAAAGGAUAAAACUUUACUAGUGAAAUGAGGAUUAUAAGUAUUUUAGUAUUUUGUUUCACUUCUCAAAACCUUAAUACACCCAAUCUCUCCAAACACUAGUCACUCAAGAGUAUAAAACUCUUAAUCUCUCAUUAUAGAACUAAAGAAGAAAAGAAUAGAAUGAAUGAAAUGAGGGGGUGAACCCCUCUAUUUAUAGCUAAAAAUUUGGGCACUUUUUAUAUUUAUUAUUAUUAUUAUUUCAAAAUUUAAAGUUUGAACUUGAUAUUCAAACUUUGAAUAUCAAAAGAUACGGGUUGUUCUUCUAGAAGAACGGCACCAACCUUGACUCUUAGGCAGACCUUUAGAGCUUUAAAUAAAGAAAAAGCUUUUAAAAAUGCCAUGUGUACUUGAUUAUACAAUAAUCUCCACCACAUAGAAUGAUUUGAUAAAAGAAAUUUUUUAUUUUUAAUUUUACUUUUAUCAGGCACGGUGCAUUUCCCCUUGGGCUCAUAUGUAAGGAUGUCAAUAAGAUGCGAAGGAGAGGGGAUUGAUUUCCCCAUACUCAUCUUUAAUACUCUGUCUAUCUCUUUGUACUCUAGACAUUUCCUUCAAAAUUACUUGAAACGAGGGGUUGGAUGUUUCUAAAUAAUACAAAGGGAUCUCUUAUGGCAUCCGAUCUCUGAUUAUUUAAUUUCUUUUUUUUCUUAAUUUAAUCAUCUUAAAGUAAAAAUAUAAAAUCAUAUUAACACAAAAAAUAUCAAAUUAACUAAAGUGAUUAAAAUCAUUUCCAUCAAAUUAAGUCAAUGUCAUCAAAUGAGAAGAUAAUCUUUGAACUAAUUAAGCAAAAGUAAAUCUUCAAAGUUGAACUCAUCCAUAAAUGUCAUAUAGUAUAAACCAUCAAUUAAAUUAUCUUUGUCAAUUUUAAAGUGUUUAUAUUUACUUUAUAUUGGCUGUUAUUUAUAUUAUUUUUAUAAAUGUAUUAUGAUAUUUUUUAUUUACAUCACACUAUUACAAUUGAAAUUUUAAAUGUAUUUACUAUAAAUUUGAAAAAAAAAAGAAUUAAAAAUAGAAACUAAAGAUGGAAAUAGAAAAAUGUGGAGCCAAAUAAAAUAUUAGGGCAAACACUAAAUUAUACACCCACACAUAUUAAUUUAUCAGAUUCUUGUCUCCACAUAGAAAAAUUAGAUCUAAAAUUAUCAAACUCCCGAAUGAGGAAGAUCCCUCGGGGCCAUCGUCCCUGUGGAAAUUUCUGCAUCCCUGCAGUCUACAACGCCUAAUAAUGAAUUGAACGGUUGAAAUCCCUCUAAAUUUUUGAUAAUUUCUAAUCGCCCCUCCAUAUUUGAUUGAACAUCAAAACUAUUGAGUCCAAAUUUAUAACUUUGAUUUAUCUUCCAUUCCAUAGUUUUCAAGUUCUCUCUCUCUCUCUCUUUUAAUCCUUUUUACUGCAACCACCAUCAAAGCCUAGUAGUUAAUAUGUAUGCUGCUUUGCUUUCAAAAUCGGACACUACUGGUAUUUAUGGUUUUUAUUCUUUAUUUGACACAAAAUUUGGCGAUAUCUCCGCGGAAAAACACUACUGGUGUAUUCAAUUUUAUCCGGUAAUGAUUAAAUUGAUUAUUACAUGAACCGUAACUUCGCCAAGCCCAAAAUACAUAUUAAGUUAUAAAGCGUGGCACUCAUUAUUUUUCGCAAAAAGUUUCGCCCAAAAUACAUAUAUUUUUUUAAUUUUUUCUGUGAAAAAAACUACUGUUAUAUUCAAUUUUAUCAUUAAAAACUACUGUUNNNNNNNNNNNNNNNNNNNNNNNNNNNNNNNNNNNNNNNNNNNNNNNNNNNNNNNNNNNNNNNNNNNNNNNNNNNNNNNNNNNNNNNNNNNNNNNNNNNNNNNNNNNNNNNNNNNNNNNNNNNNNNNNNNNNNNNNNNNNNNNNNNNNNNNNNNNNNNNNNNNNNNNNNNNNNNNNNNNNNNNNNNNNNNNNNNNNNNNNNNNNNNNNNNNNNNNNNNNNNNNNNNNNNNNNNNNNNNNNNNNNNNNNNNNNNNNNNNNNNNNNNNNNNNNNNNNNNNNNNNNNNNNNNNNNNNNNNNNNNNNNNNNNNNNNNNNNNNNNNNNNNNNNNNNNNNNNNNNNNNNNNNNNNNNNNNNNNNNNNNNNNNNNNNNNNNNNNNNNNNNNNNNNNNNNNNNNNNNNNNNNNNNNNNNNNNNNNNNNNNNNNNNNNNNNNNNNNNNNNNNNNNNNNNNNNNNNNNNNNNNNNNNNNNNNNNNNNNNNNNNNNNNNNNNNNNNNNNNNNNNNNNNNNNNNNNNNNNNNNNNNNNNNNNNNNNNNNNNNNNNNNNNNNNNNNNNNNNNNNNNNNNNNNNNNNNNNNNNNNNNNNNNNNNNNNNNNNNNNNNNNNNNNNNUCUAAGUUUUGAAAGAAAGGUUGAAAUAAACAGAGAAACAGGACAAACAGAAGAAGACUGAAUUAACAGAUCAACAAAGAUGGCAACUAACAAAUGGAAAAGUUCUCUUGUAAUCAAACUAUAGCAAACAGAUGACACCAUUACCAUAUAUCUUAAUGAGUAGAUUGAUUCUAAACAUAUAUGUUAGGAUACAUUUGGUUGUUUAAUAGUUUGAAAUAAGGAGGAUGAGAUGGUUUCCACAUAAAAGUGCUGGCCCUUUCAAUGACAUUUUCAAGGAAUUAUAAAAUUCAAAAUUAAAAAAAAAUAGCACAUUAUAAAGCCACACCGUCAAAUAAAUAAAUAAAUAAGUGAAGACCAAACUAAGUCACUAAGACCUUUAAUGAUAUAAAAUAAGCAUAUAAAUCUCAGAACAAAACAUUAAAACUCAUUCUAAAAGUAAAAAUAAACUAGUGGUGUAUUCCAAACAAUUUAGAUGAAGCGAUAAAACAAGCCAAGAAAUCAAAUAAAAUGAAAUGAAAUUGAAUUACCUGGGACUUUGUUUUUCAAAUUCACAACUCGAUUGUAAUUAAAGUAAAAUGCCAUUGCCAUUAGGACAUACACAUCAUUGAAUAAGAUGAGGACCCCUCCAACAGCUGAAAGUAAAAUUUUCAUUCAUUAGUUUCAAUUAAAAGUAAAGCACACAGAUUUGCAGGGAAGCAAGAGAUUUAAUAAAUUUAACAACAGCAAUUUAAUUUGACAGGACUUCCAUACAGUAAUGAAGCUAAAACUUAAUGAUUAACGAAUUUUUGUAAUUGAAUGAAUAAGAUUCUCUGAUUUUGGAUAAUUGAAUGAAUAUGAUUCUCUAACUCUUGUGAAAAUAUCAAUUUUAAAUAGGGUAGAGUUUCAAGAAUUAAGCACAUAUGUAUCCCAAGGCUGUUGAUCAUCUCUCUCUCCAUAGUAGAAGUUUACUCUCAGAGGCGCGUUUAAUUCUCCUUUAGUGAAAAUCUUCAUCUUGGGACAACCAAUUAUAGAUAAAUCUUCCAAAGAUGGGAAUUUGAAGGUGUAAUUGGCAGAGCAGAAACUUCUGAGACUAUCAGCAGAAACUUGUGAGACUAUCCAAAUCAUACAGAUACAAAAUCUUCAAUUUGGUGAAAACAAUCUCUUCUUCAAAAUUUGCUGCUCCAUCUUCUUCAUUUAUCACCACCUCUCUCAUUGCUCUGCAUCCAUAUACCAACAUUGAUAAGAGUCUCUGUAGAGUUUGGAGUGACAGAUUCGAUAAUGAUAAACUCCAAAUACUCGCCAAGAUCGCAAAUCAAACAACCAAGAUGCAAAAAGAAUCAAUCCAGAACAAAUCACAGAGACACUUAAGAACCUAAAAGAAUUAAAGAAUUAGCGGCAAAGACAAAAGAAUUAACGUGGUUCAGCUAGCUUUCACUAGCUUACAUCCACAGGAAAAACCAGGAUCAAGUUUAUUGAUUUUCAGAAGAUGAUUACAGAGAGUUUUAAGAGCUAAUAACAGAGUAUUUCUUGAAGCCUUCUCACGAAUCUUCUAAUCACUCAAUAGCUCUCACGCACAUGCCUCCUGUUGCACCAGAAGAAGCUGUUUAUAACAGCUUCUUCAACAAACCAAAAUGAACCCAGAAACUCACGUGAUUGGCAUGCGUUAUAACAGACUCAUAACGACCUUGAGCAGCUUCUUCGAGCACGUGUUUCUCUCGUGCUUUACUUAAAUUCCAGAGACAAAACAAAUUGCUCUUCAAAACGCAAUCAGCAAUUGUCGUAUUGUAGUUUACUUAAGCUGCAAAACGCAAGUCCAACUUGUCGUUUCAAAUAUCUUGAUUUGCUUCACAACACAACAGUCGCUCUAGACUUUUUGCUGUGGAGGAGGUUGCUAAGCUCAUCAAAUUCCUUGCAACGAAGAACUAGAAGUUCUUUUAGGUUCCCAAAAGAUACCGAUGAUGAUGGCCAUAGAUAUAACAGAUUUUGACAAUAAUGUACAUUUAGAAUUUCAAGGCAUUGAACAAAGGAGUCCAAUUUGGAGUCUUGUUUCCACAAUUGCUUCAGAUGAUUAAAUUUGUGCAGAUGUAAAUGUUUUAUCAUUGUAAACUUCCUCGCAUGUUUCUUCAAGUAUCCUCCAUUCGAAAAUACCUCUUCGCAUGAACAACGACGCCGUAUGAGAGUUUCCAGAUUAUGAAAUCUCUCAAGUAAAUCAAGUGGAAAACAAGUUGAGUCAUCAUCCAUUGUUUGUGGCAGUUUAAGACUGCCAAAAAGGUGUCGUGGGAAAUCGCUUUGCAAAGUCAUCCUCGGGUCUUUUCCACUUAAUGCCCGUUCCUCCAAGUUGGGUAAGCUCUGAUCAUUAUCAAUCACGCAAUAACUUAUUAAGUCAAUUCAUAUUCUCUCAAAUAACUUUUAAUGGCUAACACUAAGUUACGUUUAACGUAACAUACAUUCAGAUAACGAAAAUAUCUGUUAGCACCCCUAAACUUAAUGGAAACUACAUUAAUAGAGUUAAAAGAAAUACUUUUAAAUCUUAAAGAGGAAAUAAAAGAAAUUAAACAGGAAAUAGGAAAAAUAAAAAUAGAAAUGACUGUAAUACAAAUGAAUCAAAAGAAAAAUAAAAAAUUAGAAAGGUUUGAAAUAAUAAAAUCAAGAAUAAUUGGAACAAGUUUUAAGAAGCCCACACAAAAACCACAAGCAGGUAGUUAUGAUGCAUGGUUUAUGGACACCCAGUAUCCUAAAAUACUAAGAGCAUCACCAAAAAACUCUUCAAAUAAGAUUUUAUUACUUAUUUGAAGAGCUACAUCAACAUUUAAGGCUCCAAAAGACACUCCAAUUAAGAUUCUUGAAAUAAGAAAUGAUCAUCUCUCUUCAAAUUUGAAGAGUUACUUUCUCCCUCUUCAAUUUAUAUUUUAUUACUUUUUGUUGAAGAAAAAGAGAAAUGUGUUUUAAUUACUAUUGACUUUUCCUUUAAAAAAAUAGUUAUUUAUUUAAAAUAAUAUUAACUCAUUUCUAUUUGAAGAGUCUUUUGGAGAACAAUAUCUUUUUUCACUCAUCUAUUUGCCACAUAGGUAAGCAAAUGAAUAUUUGAAGAGUAAAAUUUAUAGAGCCUUUUGGAGAUGCUCUAAAAGAAACAGAAGAAUUAAGAGCAGAAUUAAAAAAUAAAGAAAAAGGAAAAGAAAAACUAGAAAUAAAAGAAACAACUCCUAGUGAUUCAGAUUAAUGGAAAACACAUUAGAAGAAUUAACUGAAAAAUUCAGUGAAAUAAACCUUAGUGAUUUAGAAGACUUUGAAAAAGAAUAUCAUAUAAAAAUGAAUACUUCUGGAGGACCAGAAUUGAAACCUGACAUAGGAGAACCAAGUCAUAGAUAUGCAACAAACAAAAAGAAAAAUAGACCAUUUUUUGAGUAUAUACCACCCGUUAAAAAUACUCCUUGGAAAAAAGAAUAUCAACCUAACAAUGAUAAUUUAACACCAAUAAGUAAUGCAGGAACAUUUUUAAAUCUAGACUGCAAAAUAAACCCCCAUAAGGUUUUAAUUGAAUGGGGAAUGCAAAUGUGAUUAUUUUUUCUAUAUAAUGGCUCUAAAGUCGAUUGGAAUGUAGAAACAGAAGAAGAAAAAAUAAAUUUAUUCGCUGACAUCCUCAUAGCCAGUUUUACAGGUAAUGUAUUUAACUGGUGGAAAGGAUUAAGUGAAGACACUCAAAGACUAAUAAAAGAUUCAACUAAAAUAGCUUUAGCCAGAAGUAGAGGAUUAGGAAUUGAAAGAAUAAUCGAAUAUAUUGCUAAUGAAUUCUUAGGAGAAAACUGGUUAGAAAAUACAGAAAGAGAAACAAAAAAUGAAAAAUUAGAGGCAAGGAUGAAAUUAAUAAACUUAACAAUUUGUAACAUGUGUUUCGUGAAAGAAUAUACCUGUGAAUUUAGUAAAUAUUAUUAUACACAAUUCUAUAGCCAAGAAGAUCAAAAUAUUUAUAAAAAUUUAUAUUAUUCCAAAUUACCAUAUCCCUGGAAUGGAUAUUUUAUAAAUGAGUAUGAGAAAAAUAGUACUGCUAAUAGAUCUCCAGACACAUUAGGAUCUAGAAUAAGGUUUUUGAAUACAAGAUUAAGUGAAAUAUGCAUUCAAAGAAAUUUAAUGAAAAAGAGUAAAAAUAUAGGAGAUACAUGUUGUGGAAAAACAGAAAUGCCAACCCAAUGGGGUUGUUAUACACCAUAUAAACGAAAAAGAAAGUUAUAUAAGAAAGAGAAAAAAUAUAAAAAAUACAAUAACUUUAAAAGAAAAUAUAGAAAACUGGAAAGAAAAUACUAUAAAAGAAAAUAUAAAAACCAAAAAAGAAAAUUAGAUAAAUCUAAAUGUAAAUGCUGGAAUUGUGGAGAAAUAGAACAUAUUAGCACAGAUUGUACAAAAAAGAAAGUAAGACUCUUAGAAGAAGAUUUUGAAAAUAUAAAAAAUGACUUAGAAGAAAUAAGUGAUAUAUCAGACUAUGAAGGAAAAGAAGUUUACAUGGUGAAAGAAUUAGAUGAUGAGUCAGAAUAAAGACGAAAUUAUAGAAAAUGAAAGAAUAGAAGAAAUAGAAGAAAUAGAAAAAGAAGAAAAUAAAAGUGGAUAUAGUCUUGUUGCCACUUUUAAUAAUGAAAAAUAUAAUAAACUUUUGAAAAUAAAUAUGGAAAAACCAGAAUAUGGAAUAAUACAUAAACUUAGAGAUAUGUUUAAAAGAAAAAGAAUAGUAUUACAUGAAUAUUAUGAACAAGAAAAAGUUGUUACAAUUACACAAGCUGAAGGAAAUAUCAGAUUCAGUUUAAUAAAUAAAAGAUCUAUAGAUUUAGCAUUAAGAAAGAUAAAAAAUGAAUCAACAAAAGAAAAAAUUCAAUAUGUAUAUCUAGCAGAAAUUCAAAUCUUAAUAAAAUCUCUUUUCAAAGAAGGCAUAGAUAGUCCCAUAGUAUUGUCACUACAUGAUCAAAGAUUUAAUGACCCUAGUACAGGACAUUUAGGAACAAUAGAAGGAAACUUAUGUUAUACUAAGUUAUUAUUCACAUGUCAUCCUAGAUAUUGUGUACAUAUAAAAGAUAAAAAUAUAGAUGAAACGCUAAGCUUACAUUUUAAACUACUAAAAAGAAACUUAAUGAAAGAAGGGAAUAGAAUAAUGACAAUACAUUAUUCUGCACUAUAUAGUUUUUGCAAUUCAAAUUACGGAGAAGUAUAUGGGAAUAAGCCUUACAUCGAAAUAAAUAAAGAAUGUGAAGAUAUAGCAACAUUCAUAGAACCAACAAUCCAGGAAUAUAAAAUUCCUAUAAACUAUGAGCUAAACAUAGAUGACAAAAAACAAUUUUUAGAUAUUGCUAACGAAAACUCCAUAAUCCCCAUAAGCUUUGCAGGAAGAACCUUAGUAAGAGGAGGUUCAUCUAGAAGGUUAAGUACUGAUAAACAAAUAACUAGAUCUAUAGUAACUAAUAACGUAAUAAAAAUAUUUGGACAAUAUUUUAAUGGAAUAGAUUAUACAACAAAAAUACCUAUAUUGGUAGAUACAGGUACAAGUCAUAAUUAUAUGAAUCACACAAAAAAUAAAGGACUCUUAAUAAAAGAAAAAGAAAUCCCGUAUCAAUAUACUGAUUUUAAUGGUAAUAAACAUAUUUGUAAACAAGAAGUUAAAGUCCCUAUAAUUAUAGAAGGAUUUAGAAUAAUAGUAUCUUGCUAUAUAGAUUCGUUCAUGACCACAGACCCAGAAAAACAUAUAGUACUAGGAAAUAGUUUUUUAAAUGAUUUAGAAUACUACAAAAUUGAAAAACAUAAAGUAACUCUACAAAUAGAAGGUAAAAAGAUAGUAUGUGAAACAUGUUAAAACAAGCUUAUAUAAAAUACCCUAUGUCCGUAUAUAUACAAAUAAACAUAACAGAAAAAGAUAUAGAUACAUGUGCCUUAAUAGACGGCAGUGAAAUAACGAUUAUGAAAUCCUUUCUAUCAAACCAAUGGAAACCAAACGAGAAAUUAAAAAUCAUUGGAAUAACAGGCGAUAAACAACAAGUAAACCAAUCUUUAAUAAACUUUGAAAUACUCUUAGGUAGUAAGAUAGUAUGUAUCAACCAAAUAUAUCAAUAUGAUGGUAUGGAUUGCGAUAUACUCCUAGGAAAUGACUUUAUACAAUAAUUCCAAUAUUAUCAACAAACUACCUAUAUGGUCACUUUAAAAACCCAUUGUAAUCAUAUUCUUCGCAUUCCUCGUGAAUUUAAACCUUAUCGAGUUCGGCCAGCCCAGCGUGGUGAUACAUUUAUUUAUGAAAAACAUUAUCUAAUACAAAAAUGACAGAGUUACAAUAUACAACUAGAAACAAUAAAAUCACAGCUUGAACAAGUCUAUAAAGAAAAUCCAUUAGCAUUAUGGAAACCAGAACAUCCUAGAGCAAAGAUAGAAUUAAUCGAAAAUAGAAUAAUAAGACUCAAACCUAUGAUGCACACAGAGGAAGAUAGAGAAGAAUUUAAAAUUCAAAUAAAAGAAUUAUUAAAUUUAAAGUUAAUUAGAACUAGCAACAGCCCACAUAAUAGCCCAGCCUUUAUGGUUAGGAAAAGAUCAGAACAGGUAAGAGGAAAAGCAAGAAUGGUAAUAAAUUAUAAAGAGUUAAAUAAAUACACAAAAUUUGACGGAUAUUUCCUCUCAAAUAAAGAAGUAUUAAUAAAUCUUGUAAAAAAUAAAACAUACUACUCAAAAUUUGAUUGUAAAUCAGGAUUUUGGCAAAUAAUAACAGGCGAUAAACAACAAGUAAACCAAUCUUUAAUAAACUUUGAAAUACUCUUAGGUAGUAAGAUAGUACGUAUCAACCAAAUAUAUCAAUAUGAUGGUAUGGAUUGCGAUAUACUCCUAGGAAAUGACUUUAUAUAAUAAUUCCAAUAUUAUCAACAAACUACCUAUAUGGUCACUUUAAAAACCCCUUGUAAUCAUAUUCUUCGCAUUCCUCGUGAAUUUAAACCUUAUCGAGUUCGGCCAGCCCAGCGUGGUGAUACAUUUAUUUAUGAAAAACAUUAUCUAAUACAAAAAGGACAGAGUUACAAUAUACAACUAGAAACAAUAAAAUCAUAGCUUGAACAAGUUUAUAAAGAAAAUCCAUUAGCAUUAUGGAAACCAGAACAUCCUAGAGCAAAGAUAGAAUUAAUCGAAAAUAGAAUAAUAAGACUCAAACCUAUGAUGCACACAGAGGAAGAUAGAGAAGAAUUUAAAAUUCAAAUAAAAGAAUUAUUAAAUUUAAAGUUAAUUAGAACUAGCAACAGCCCACAUAAUAGCCCAGCCUUUAUGGUUAGGAAAAGAUCAGAACAGGUAAGAGGAAAAGCAAGAAUGGUAAUAAAUUAUAAAGAGUUAAAUAAAUACACAAAAUUUGACGGGUAUUUCCUCCCAAAUAAAGAAGUAUUAAUAAAUCUUGUAAAAAAUAAAACAUACUACUCAAAAUUUGAUUGUAAAUCAGGAUUUUGGCAAAUAAAAAUGGAAGAAAACAGUAUCCCUUAUACAGCAUUUAGCACUCCACAAGGACAUUACGAAUGGAUAGUAAUGCCUUUUGGACUAAAAAAUGCCCCUCAAAUAUUUCAAAGUCGAAUGGAUAAAAUAUUUAGAGAUUAUAGCUAUAUCAUAGUCUAUGUUGAUGACAUAUUAAUAGCAUCAGAAACAUUAGAAGACCAUAGAACCCAUUUAAAAGAAUUCGUUAACGUAUGUAUUAGAGAAGGUAUAGUAUUAUCAGAAAGAAAAGCAGUCAUAGAACAUAAAAAAUAAAAUUUUUAGGAAUGAUUCUUGAUAAAAAAGGAAUAAGACUCCAAAGCCAUAUAGGAAAAAAGAUUACAGAAUUCCCAAAUAAAUUGGAAAAUAAACAACAAAUACAAAAAUUCUUAGGUUGUUUAAACUAUGCAGAAGGAUUCAUAAAAGACUUAGCAAAAAAGAGAAAUAUACUCCAGAAACUACUUAGAAAAAAUAAUACUAAAGGAUGGAACGAAGAACAUACGGAAACUGUAAUAAAUCUAAAAGAAGAAUGUAAAAACCUCCCAGCAUUAAGGUUACCAGAAGAAAAUGAUAAGUUAGUAAUACAAACUGAUGCAUCUGAUUUAUAUUGGGGAGCAAUACUUAAAACUGAUAUAAAUGAAAUUUGCUGAUAUACUAGUGGAACAUUUAAUCAAGCACAAGUUAAUUACCCAGUUCAUGAAAAAGAACUCCUUGCAAUAUAUAAAUGAAUAAAAAAGUUCUCGUUAUUUUUACUCCAGAAAUAAUUUAUUGUAGAAACAGAUAAUUCUCAGGUAAGUUCACUUAUUAGUAGAAUUUUGCCAAAUGAACCCCAAUACAGGCGACUGCAUAGAUGGCAAGCUUAUUUAUCUUAUUAUAAUUUCAAAAUCAUACAUAUAAAAGGAACUAACAAUUUUCUUGCAGAUUUCCUAAGCAGGAACAUAGAAUUCAGAGAAUGAAUGCAGAAGUAAAUAAAAUCAUUUCUGUAAUAAACACAGAAAUACAAAGGCUCAAAGCUGAAGCAUCAGACAUGCUUGAUGCCAUAAAUUACAUAAAAGAAGCCACAGAGGCUCAUGAGAAGGGAAUACAUUUGUUAGAGUCAUACAUAAACGACCUAACAAAAGGGCUUUCAAUAAACACUAGCCCAAUAGAGAUAGGAAGUAGUAGUGGACCACUCCCACAACAAGAACCAGUCUCUGACCCAUCAUCCAGCCGAACCAUAUCCAUAAGUGUUGAAUCACCUAAAGCAACUUCUUCAAAAAAGUUUAUCAAAAUAAACAACACUCCCUCAGAAGAAGAAGAAAAACCUUCUCCACUAAAUCCAAGAGAAGAAGAGUAUAAACAGUUCUCCACAUGGGUAUACUCUACAUGUACCCACAACAACACCAUUUUCAAAGCCCCUGGCAAAAAUAUAUAUCCCAGAAUGAUAGCCAUAAAAGGAGCAGAUCCUCUCCUUAUUGGAAAAAUAGCAAAAUACGGAUAUCUAGAUUUAAUAUAUCCAGAUACAGACCUAAGAGAAAUAGCCAGUUUAGAUGAGCUAUUAGUCAAAGAAGUCUCAAAAUUUGCCCAAAAAAGGCCCAUAUACUUAAAAUUUUACACUAUUAGCCCAGAAUACCACCAAAAUGUCGAAUACCAAGCAUUUUACAUGAUCUCUGUAGGCCACCUCACAAAAAAUUUUCAGAUAGAAGUAGGAACUGAAUAUACAAAUGUUCCUCAAAUAACCAAAGCAUGGAUCAGAACCCGUAGAGCCCGAGGAAUAAAAGCAAUAUGGAGUAUUGCAAAAGACCUUUAUAAAAGAAACUUUAGAACAAUCAUCCGAUUCCAAAAUUAUAUCCUCGUAACUUCUGAAGAUAGCCAUACACCAUCAAAUAUCUUCUUGGAACUCAUGAACGAAAUCAGCACCAUGAGAUUCCCCAGCAGUAGUGAGACCAUGCAGCAAGCUUAUCAGCUUAUGGAGAUGAAGAUGCCCGACAAAUAAAGUUGUUCGUGGCAGACAAAGAAGAUAUGUGGCAGACAAGAAGAUAAAAAGAAGAUAAAAAAGUUGUACGUGGCAGACAAGAAGAUGCUCGUGAUAAAAAACAGAGAAAAAGAAGAUGCUCGUAAAAAGCAAGAAGACAAGAAGACAAGAAUUCAAGAACCUCUUGUAAUGAUAGAGUGAUGAUGUAAGCAGUGUGAUCAGAAAGCAAUAAUGUAAAUCAAUAAUGGGAUCAUCUUUUCUAAUAUAAAUAGAAAGAGAAGGAGAAAGCAGAAAAAGCUUUCGAAGACAUUCGAUAACUCUCGAUCCAAAAAAUUCUCUGAAAAAGAAUGAAGCUCUAAACACUCUCUUGCUCGAAAUCCAAAAUCAGUACAUCAUAAACCAAAAACAAAAACCAUUAGAGAAAGAGACGAGAAACCUAACUUCACUCAAUACCUCUUUAACAAGAAGAUCGAAAUCUAUACAGUAAAGCCAUCUGAGUCCACAGAUCCCGCUGAGGCAGGAGGCCGUUAAGGGAACAGGACAACCAGGCUGCAGGUCACUGGAAGGAGAUCAGAAAUCAAAGAAGUAACAGUGAGCUAGGUAAUAAUACUCAACUCUUAUCUCUUGGUGGUGGUUGUUGAUGGUGGUUGAUGGAAUGAUUUUUGGAGAAAGAGCAGAUUCUUAAACUGAAGCAGAUCUGUAAUUAAUUUUAUGACAUGAAUCACAGAAUUUACUUAGGAGAAUCUAAAGAAUACAUGAUAAACCCAACUACUAAAAUAACUUAUAAUGAGUACAUGAUGAUAAUAGACUUCGAUUUAGGUUCAUUUAAACAAAGUUCUUAUCUAUUCAGUAAACAAGAACUUGUUAGAACAGAAGACCUAUUAGCCAUAGACCUUCUUAAGUUACCCCAAGAAAUAAAAAGAAAAAUUAUAAAUAACAUUGAAACAGAUAACCUAAAACAUAAUAUAAUUAUGUUGACAAUAGAAGAAGGAAUAGAUGUAGCAAAAGCCUAUUUAGAGCAAAAAACUUAUGAAUCUGGACCUUCAUAUAUCUAUGAUUCAGAUAACGAAGAAUUUGAAAUAUAACUGUGAAAGGUAUAUAGGCUGGGAACCUCUUCGGGUUGCGGACUACUAGUCCAAAGGGCGACCUGGAUCGCUGUACCUAGAGGUAAAACAACGCCACGUACUUUUCUAAUAAAAAUUUAGGACAGAUAAAGAUAGAUAAACAUCAAUUUGAUAAUUAUAAUCAAUAAUAAUCCUGAAUGGUUGAUUUUGUUUUACUGCUCUUGUAAUUUUAUUUUGAAUAUAUUUGUCUAGUCUUGUCAUAUUUUUAUAAUUCUGUUUGUACUUUUGUAUUUGUAAUUUUGUAAUUUUAUUUGUAUUUUUGUAAUUUGUAUUUUUGUUUGAAUUUGUAAUUUCGUAUUUUUGUUUUAAAUACACACCUGAAAAUGGUAUCAGAGCCAGCAGAAUCAUAAGACAUGGACCCUAUACAAGCAAUAGUAGAUAGCUUAUAUACAUUAAAGGUAUAUAAUAAAGAAGAAAUAAAAAAUUUAAUAAAGGCCAUCAAAACUGACAAAAAUAAUAUAAGAAAUAUAGAACUUGAGUUAACUCAGGAGCUUAGAGAAAGAUUUAUAGAAACAACAGGAGGAGAAAUUUUAAUAGAAAAGAAAAUGAAAUUUAUAGAUAAAUUUAUAAAGUUUUUAAUAUAUUGGUGUAAAACAGAAACAUUAUGAAUCAACAGGCUGUUAAUGUAAUACAGGGAUUGGCAAGCUGCAUAGAUCACCUACUCUUAGGAUGGGAAAAUACAGUAAAUGCAUAUAUAAAUCUAAUAAACCAAAAAAUAGAUUUAUUAGAACAAGAAAGGAUAGGACUGGUAAAUUUAGGACCAGAGGUCUAUUAUGAAUUUGUAGAUUUAUAUGAAUUUGAUAACCAUAUAUUGCUGUUUAAAGAAAUAAAAUAAAGUUCUCGAAAGAUUAAAAAAUAGAUGUGCAGGGAUGGAAGAAGACAAAUACAUCCAGGAUUAUAAAAAUUGGAAAUAGAAAGAAUUAUAAGAAUCCUUAUGAAAUUAACCAGGAGAAUAAGACAAAAUUAUAAGAUACAAUCAACGUAAGUUAGAGGCCCCCACUUUUAAUAAUCCAAUCAUAUACAGUGACUUUAAUAUAAAUGCAUAAUAUUUUACCAAAAAAAAGGGAAAAAAUCGAAUUAGAGGUAAAAGUUAUUCUACGAUUUUAUUUUUUGUAUAUAUCUUGCAUGCUAUUCCCAAAAGCAAUCAUAAACGGCCCUUAAAACAAUUUUACAAAAGCGGCUGUUACUUAUAUCACCAACUUUGUUAGGGAUGACAAUGGGGAGGGGAGAGGAGGAGACCAAUCUUGUAGUAUCUAUCCCUGAUAUUUUGCGUAUAUUCUCGUUCUCUCUCCAUCCCCGACAAAAUUACUUUAGGGAAUCACCUCCUCUCCCUGAAUAAUAAUAUGGGAUCUCCGUGGGUCAUUGAUCCCUGAAUAACUGAUAUGUUUUUAGUUUUUUAUUUUAAUUUAAUCAUAUUAAAAUAAAAAUUUAAAUAAAAAUAAAGUUUGAUGAUAUAUCUCACAUUAGCAUUAAUCCAUUACAAAAGUCACAUUACAAAGUAUAAAUCACCACAAUAAUUAUCUUCGUCAAUUUUCAAAAUCCUACAAUAAAAAAAAAAGAAAUUACUUUUAUAUCAACAAUGAAAUAAAUAAAAUAAAUAUAAAUAAAUACUUAAUCAAUAUUUCUAAUAAAAGUAUUUACCUCUUGCGUCUCUUGCUCCUCUUGUUCUUCCUCGAUGAAUGUGGCAAAUUGAAAGAUAGCCUCAGAUUUCAAAUUUAAAACAAUAAAAAUAAUAGAAGUAAUGUAACUUAUAAGCGAAAAUAUUAAUUAUUAUAUAAUAUAAUUACAAUGUAAAAUAAACUCAUACUGCCAUUUUAAGCUUGUAGCUUAUUUUGACAACACAUUAAAUCCUCCAAUGUGCUUGAAUGAAGCGUGUUACGAUACUCUACUAAUGGUGUUAAAAGUUGAUUCAGAAGCAACAGUUGUAAUUGGAAUUGUCAAAAUAUCUCUAGCAAUUCGUGCCAAUAUAUGAUACCUAUGGACAUUUGUUUUUAACCAACUCAAAAUAUUAAAAUCUUUCAUCUGUAGCAUAACUUUCUCAUCCAAAUAUUAAUGCAGUCAAUUAGGCCUAAAAGUUUAAUAAUAUAAUUAUUUUGAUAUUUUUUAUUUAUACUAAUAUUUAAUAUUUUAUAAUUUACAUUUUAUUAUUUAUUUACAAAUAAUUUAUAAAAUUAAAAUUAAAAUUAAAAUCAAUAAAUUAGGAGGGGAUGAGGAUUCUACUGUAUCCUCAUCCCUUUCUCGAAUAAGAAAUUGGGUAAAAAAUUAUUCUCGUCCCUUCCUUGAAUAAGAAAUUGGAUAAAAAAUUAUCUCUUUACCCUCUCCGAAUGGAGAAAAAUUCCGAGAAUCCCUAUCCCUGCGGGGAUUUCUGCCACCCCUAAACUUUGCAACAGCCAGUUGCUUUUGUGACCAUUUAUGUGACGGAUAGACUGCUCUCACUUAUGUUACUAAUAAGCUUGGCAAAAUCAGGGUCCGGUCCGGGCUUCUAAGCCCGCAUGUGAUAACUUUAAUUUUUUUCUUCAAUUUUUUCUUUCAUUUCUCUAACAAUGCAAAUUUUAAAAAAGAAAAUAGUCAAAUAAAUUCAUUCAAUCUCAAGCUUUAGAAAAGAAAAUAGUCAAAUAUAAAUAUAUAACAUACUAACAAUGCAAAUUUUACACAAAUAAUAAAUAAAAAUUGUUUCAAUCUACUUUAUAAUACCUAAAUUCAUCUAAUUUCUAACCUAAACUCAUUCAAUCUAUAUAAAAAUAAAAUAAAUUCAACAACACAAUAGUCACACAAUAAAUCUAAAUAACAUCCAACAUAUCAUAAAAUUCAUAAUUAUAUAUUUAUAUAUAAUAUAUUUAUAUAUUUUUUUUAAUUUAUUAAGAAAUCGGGUCUGAGUCUAGCUUCCUGGUUUUUGGUGUUGAGAAUUUCAAAUCCGGGUCUGGUUUUUUGUGUAUGCGGUCCGGGUUUUACCCGACUGGAUUGCCUGGGUUCGGUUCGGACGAGCUUUUUUGACGCCCUUACUAACGGGCUUUUUUGACGCCCUUACUAACCACGUGACGGUAGAGAGCCAAUUGGCAUGCUAUUAGUUUAGAGUUAUAAAUUGGAAAAUGAGACUCUUAGAGCAUCACCAAAAGGCUCUUCAAAUAAGAUUUUAUUACUUAUUUGAAGGGCCACAUUAAUAUUUAAAGCUCCAAAAGACACUUCAAUUAAAAUUCUUCAAAUAAGAAUUGAUUCUCUCUCUUCAAAUUUGGAGAGUUAAUUUCUCCCUCUUCAAUUUGUAUUUUAUUACUUUUUAUUGAAGAAAAAGAGAGAAAUACUUUAAUUGUUAUUGACUUUUCCUUUAAAAAAAUAAUUAUUUGAUUAAAAUAAUAUUAAUUUAUUUUCAUUUGAAGAGUUUUUUGGAGAAUAUUAUAUUUUUUUACCCUUCUAUUUACCACAUAAGUAAGUAAAUAGAUAUUUAAAGAGUAAAAUUUAGAGAGACUUUCGGAGAUGCUCUUACAACAUUAAGCACAACACAUAGCACCGAACGGUGCGUUUAAAGGCAACUAUAAAAGGUCACAGUAAUCGACAAUUGCAACACACACGUUCUCAACUACAGCACACGCUCUCUCCCUCACAUUCUUCCUCACGCUCUCUCUGUUCUCCCUCACAACACACGGCUCUCUCUCUCCCCCCUCCAAAUCCAACAGCCGUGGGUUACUCUCGCUCUUCGCCCUCCAAAUCCAAGACCUAUGGAUGCAUAAUAGAGUAAAUAGCAAUUCCCAUCCACUCUAGUAACAGAAAAUGACAGCUUCUGUGAUUGUGGUGAAAAGUUUCCCCUAGUAAUGCUAAGUACAGCGAGGAAACCAGCAAGGAAACCAUCAAUUCUGUACACAUAUAGAUGCCAAAAACAAGCAGUGAAUUGCAUCAGAUAUUAGUGAAGAAUAAUUACCAGCCGUAAACUCAGCUCCUUCGGUUGCUAGUGUACAAUAGAGCAAUAGGUUGUGUUUGGGGAUGUUAGAUGUCGAAAUAAUUGAGGCAAAAUUCUUUUAUGCAAUAGUUGGCUUGUGUCGACUUUUGAAAGGAAACUUAUUUUUGUGCUGUCAAUGUUACUUAUUUGUUAGUUUAUUUCUUAGGUUUUGUUGUUCGGGAUAUUAUGUAUUGGAUUUCAUUUCCUUUUGCCUCUGGUAUGGCCCCUAAUAGAACUUGACGUAAUUCUUUUUGGGAUAUGUUUUUCUGAACUAGAGAUGACAUCACUAGCAUCUGGUCUUUCUCUUUGAGACAGCCGAGAGAGUGAGGUGCCGUGAGAGAUGCAAUCGAUGGGGGGUGGAGAGAGGUAGCCGACAGUGAGAAUGGUAAGGAAGAACGGAGCGUAGUGAGAUUAGUGGAUUGGUGAGGAAGAGCGUGAGGGAGAGAAUGAGAGAGCAUGUGUUGUGGUUGAGAAUGUUGCAAUUGAGAAUUUACUGUGACCUUUUAUGCUUGCCUCAAAACUCACCGUUUUGUGCUAACUGUUGUACUCAAUGUUGUAAGAAUAUCGGAACUGUUAUAAAUUUGUUUCUAAAUAGAAAACUCUUUUGUGGAGUCAAUAUUUUGAAAACCAAAGUCUCGAGUUCUUUCUCGUGCGUGCCUGGCCAGCAUCCUAAACCUUACUGGUAGCCGGAGAAUGGCGUAAAACGGCGGCGAUCUUCUUCUUCAUCUUAUUCUCUCUGUCAUCGUUUCAGGUAACCUUGUGAUUAUGAGUUUCUUCUCUUUCUUAGCUUGCAAAAAUAGGUUUUGAUUUCUUUAAUUCGUAUUGUAGCCAUUAAUAUCAAAUUUUGUCCUGCCGGCAAUAUUUUUUUGUUCCUAGAGGUUGAAGCCCUUCUGUUCUUGUUCCAUUGGUGACUUUGCUCACUCAAAUUAAUUUUGUUCUGCAGAAUUUACAAAGUUCAAAUGGAUUCGUUUGGAUUACUAUUGAAUUUAGCUUUCAUUUCAACAUUCAUUCUAAUGUUUUACAAUUAUGUAUUUAGAUUUACUUUAAUUUUAUGUUUAAAGCUUCUGCAAUGAAUAGCUGAGCUUGGGUCUUAGUUUCAUUUUCUAAUUAACUUGUUUUAGUUUAUCUUAUAUGCUCACCAAGUGCUUGUUAUAUUGUCUGAUAGGUUAUAUAACAUAGCUGAUUAUAUAAUAAUAAUGUCAUGUUCCAUUUUCAGAAAUUAUAAUAUAAAAGUUUUUACAAUGGGGUGCAUCUACAAACUGAAUUGACUUGUAGAGUAAGAGCUUGGAGUAGUGUGCAUUCUUGAAUAAAUGAAAGUUCAUAUUGUGUAAGAGCAUGUAGAUGUAAAGCAUCAUUACCAUUUCUACCAAGUGCUUUCAUUCUGUUCAGAUGCUCCUCUUGAACUUUGGAAGGUGCCUCAUUCAAGUCCUAGCUAUAACUAAUUGCUCUGAUUAAUUAAGUUCAUAUGCUAGCUGAAACAGAUUUAAUUAAUUAAUUAAUUAAUUGUGUAUGUACUAAUUAUAUUGAAAGUAUAUGAAGAAAUUGUUUAACAUGAAUGACUUCUAAAUGACUUAAAAGCCUAGAGGAUAUGUGAAAUAAUGCUCAUUUCACUUGAACGAGCCUAUUAAUACUUGUAUGUCUAUGAUUGUCAAUAUUGCUUAAGUGUUUCAGUUAAGUGGUUUACCUAGCAGGGAAAAAAAUUUAAUGGAAAACCUUAGAGUUUUAAUAGAAAUAUAGUUGACUAUGCAGAUAUAGUUAUUUUACGGUAUAUAAAUCAUGUUGUCCUAUUCUCAAUGUCCUACAACCUAUUUUAUUUUAUAUAGUCAUUCAUUUUACGAUGGUUUUUUGUGUUUAUGAGUAUGGAAAUAGUGGGAUUUGGUGUACCUUAGCAUCUUUCGAAAAUUCUCUUUAAAUGCGGCAAACAGAAAUAUACAUAUAAUCAAGUUUCUUAAUCAUGUAUAUUAGGUUUGGGUGUGAAUGUUUUCCUAUUCUAGUUCUAGGCAAAGUUUCUUCAUUUUGGUCUUCAGAUUUCCAGUAGGUUAAGCUAAUCAACUAUCAUAACUGGCUAGCUAGUUAUUGCCUGCCUUGUCGCCAUUACCGACGCCAUUACAUUGCAUGGCAUAGGGAAUAGUAACUAUGUGAUUAUUGGUGAUUUGUUGAGCUUAUUAUUGACCAAACAAACAUAUUCGCCUUUACCCACAACUUGGUUUGAUUAGUUACUGGACAAUAAAGAGCCUUAAUCUAUGCAUUGGCUUUCUUAUUUUUAUUUGGUUUUUCUUUCAACAAUAUUGUUGAUUUCUUAUAUCAUUGGCUAUUUAAUGAAGCUAAUUAAAACUAAGGCUUCGGAUCACUUUCUUCUAACAACAAACAAAUGAGGAUAACCUAUCUCCUCUAAGCAAAUUUUUCUAAUAUCCUUGAUUUGUUAGGACCUGGAGGCCUGAAAUCCUCUAGAUUUUUUUAGCACUGCCAAUGUUCCUUUUAUUCUGAAAAGGAAAAAAAGGUUAUAUCGUUUAUACCCUAACAGUAAAAUGGCCUUUGACUUAACAUGCCUUCCUGAGGAUUUGCAAGAUUCACAAGCAGCCUAGCCACCCCCCAACGCAAAAAAAAUAAAAAAAAUAAAAAACUAAUAAAAAUAAAAAAUAAAACAACCCAAAUAGGAAGACUUUGCAACAUUCACAACGUGGUUACAUUUAAGUUAUUAAUUGUGUGUGUGUGUACUAGUUAUAUGUUGAUAGUAUAGGAAGAAGUAUUUUAACAUGGAUGACUUAAAACUUAUUGCUCAGUAAACAUAGUCUGCAUCAGUGCUAGAAAAUGUAUUUAUUGUUUGUAUUUUUUAUGGUUUUGAUUAAGAAAUGAAAUGUGAAAAAAUGCUACAUUGUAUUAGGAAUAAAUUGAAGAGAUUUAUGAUAUUUAUGUGUUAUUCAAGUUUCAGAUUCAAUUUUAAACUUUUGAUACAUGCAUUGAAAGCUUAAACUCCUUUAAGAAGUUAUUGAUAGACACAUGUUUUAUUAGUGUCAUCUUUGGAUGAUAGUGAGGAUCUUAUGUCUAUUAAUAAUUCUUGAAUUAUCCAGGCUCGGACAUUUUGGUAAUGCAUAGUUUUCUAUGGUAGCUAGUACCUGAAAUUUUUUUCCCACUAAAAAUGGGCUUUUCAGUAGCUGCUCCUCAUAUUCUGGGUGCAUACUAGACGAAUGGGUGUCGUUUUGUUUUGGGAUAACACAUAAACACUCAUAUAUCUAUGUCAUGUACUUGAAGAACUAUAGGGAGAUGCUUCCGAAAUUUCUAUAAACGUAGAGGAAAACUUUAGAUACUUAAGAUUGAAGAAACUUAUGCAUUCUUGAGUGGGAUAUAGAGGACCACUUACCUUUUGUAAUAUGAAGGGAAUGUUGGAUAUAUUGAUGGGAGUGGAGGAGCUGAGUGGGAUGAAUGUAAUCGGUUAUGAUUUUGCUGAGUUGACUUGGUUUUGAGUCUUGUAAUUUUGUUUAUAAAUGGAGUACUAUCUCCAAUGUUGGUUUAUAAAUAUUGUUUCAGCUGGCUGACCUAAUUUUUUAUUUCUAGGUAACAGGCUUUAUAUAUUCGUAAUUGAUAGCCAAGUGAAGUUCUCAGCAGUGGGUGAGGAUAUUUCUUUACAGAAGGUAUUGGAAACUGUUUUUCACAUUAAUUAGUAUUGUAUACAUACUUUAAUUUCACAUCUUUUUCUCUGAUUCUUGUGGCUUUGCUUGCUUUCAUAUAUAUAAACAUUCUAAUGAGAUUAACAUAAAAUUGUAUAAUGAUUUUUUUUAAUUAUAAAUUGCGCGCACACGAAAAUAUCUUGUUUAGUAGUAGAAAUGAAGAACUAAAAUGAUUUAUUUAACUAAUUUUUCUAGUGCAUUAAAAGGAGAUAGUCAUGGACAAGAGUUGGGUUGGUUUGCCAAAUAGAUAUCCAAGUCAUAUACUGAUGGGGUUGAAAAAUUUAUAGAUUUUGCAUUUGAGAAUGUUGUUGGUGAUAAAAGAAUUUAUUGUCCUUGUAAGAAGUGUCGUAAUAUCGAUAUUUCAUUAUAAGGGAAGUGGCAAGAGACCAUAUCAUUACAAAUGGCUUUUGGUUAAAGUAUUGAAACUGGAUAUUGCAGGGUGAGCCAUCUUCAUCUUUGAAAUCUAACUAAGAAACAGGUUAGUCAUGACUCGGGUGCUGAUGAUAGUAUGGUUGGAGUGAUACACGAUGCAUCACAUAAUCAAGUGUUCAAGUUACACACAGCAUUGUUAUGUUAUGGACUAUCAGUGACUUUCUAACAUAUGCCAACUUGUUUGGGUAGAGUAUUAAAGGUAAAUAAGCAUUUCUUGUUUGCCAACAAAACACUAGAUCUAAUUGGUUGAUACAUAAUAGAAAAUUUUGUUACUGGGUUACGGUCGAUUCUUACCAACGAAUCAUAGGUUUCGAAAAUAUAGUGUCUUUUGAUAAAACUAGGGGGUAGGGAUAAGCGCCUUCUCGGUUGUCUUGAACUGACGUGAAAAAGCAGGUGAAUAAUAUAUUUACUAAGUAUAAGAUUGAAGACUUGAAAAGAGGAGAAUGAAUAAAAUGAAAGAAAUGAUAAGAUUACUUGGAAGAAGAAAAGCAUUUUUUAUGAACUAACGUAUUGGGAGUUCAACUUGAUUCAUCAUAAUCUUGAUGUCAUGCAUAUGAUCUACUUUCUUUCAUUUUCUCACCUCCCAAACAUCCAUUAUACAAUAAAGUUUUUUUAGAUUUUAUUGUUUCAUAGAAUUAUAUUUUGCAUAUGAUGAAAUAACUUAACAUUUUAGUAUUCAUUUGCAUAUAAUAAUUAUAAGUAAGAAAAAAUAUUUGUUUACAAUCACUACUAGUUUUAUUGUCGUGAUUACAAAUAAAUUGCUCAAAUUUUCUGCUUCAGCUAUCAAACCUUUUAGCUGCUUCCAGACAUGAAGAAAUUAAACCCAUAAUUUCUAGGUACAAUUGCAUUCGUAUAUGCCAUGAUACAUAUGAUAUGAUUAGAACCAAAAGGAGAAAUAAAUUUUUGGGACUUAUUGUGAUGGUGAUUAAUCUUUUUCUACCUUAACUUUGAUAAGGUUAUAAUUAAAUUUUAUAUGAUUAAAGUGGUCAAUGGUUAAAUAAAUAAAUAAAUAAAACAGAUGAGGAUGGACUAAUGAAAUGACCCACCCCGAACUCCACAAGGUGAGUCUAUGUAAUAUCGUCUUACUUGACUGAUAAUAAUCUAAUUAGUAAGGAUUUUGCCGAAAAUUUGAUAGAGUCUCCACUUUGAAUAUAACAUUUCCAACCUGCAAAUGUGUAAAACAAGCACUCUCAAAUAAAUCAGUAUACAACCAACUUCAUUGAUCAACCUCCUCAACUAUAUUACUGAAUAUUACCCAAAAUAUCUACAAAGUAUCAAAAGAUUAUAUUAUACCUACUGUUGACAUAUAUUAAACUAUUUUUAAUCACAAAAAAUAUUAAAAAAUUAUAUAAUCCAAAAAAUAAGAAAUCAAAAUGCCCUGACAAUAUAAUCUAUAUCUCCUAGUACCAUCACAUGGCCAAAUUUCAAAAUACUAUAGUUGCUAAGUCAACUGGUGUCUUGCAACCUCCUGAGGGGUGGGAGCGAAUUAUAACAAAACGGGUGAGUAUAAAACUCAGUGAGCUCGGUGAGUGGAUAAUAGUUUUUGAAAAUAACUUACCAUAAAUAAUUAUACCACUUUUAUAUAUGAUUUUAUCAAACUAUAUGUAAGAAACAUGAAUAAAUUAUUUAACCUUUGAAUCAAGUAAUUGACAUUGAAAAGAAUACAUUAAGAGGUGCAUAAUAAUCAUGGAAAUUGUAUCACAAUAUAAAAUACAUGAUUAUGAAAUUAUCACAAAACAAGUACCUAAGGGAAUAAUCUUGUCGUACCUAGAGCUCAUACGGGCAAUGCAAUGACAUAUUCUCUAGGUACUGUCAUCCUCGGAGCUAGCACCGGUAGAUCAAUGAAGUGUCAUCUUAUAUAUCUUAUCAUAUCUUUGCAUGCAUAAACUAGUCCCCAAAAGACAAAGGUGUCCAAGCACAUAAUCCAAGGCCUCUAUGAGCCCCAAAGGCCCCUAUUUCAUUUGUAUCUUAGUAACUGAAUCUUUGUUAUCAUCAUAUUUCAUGCAUAAGCGCCCAAAAGGCAAAAGUGCCUAAAUAGACGGCCCAAAGCCUCCCUGUGUGUUCAGACGGGCCCCAAAGUCCUCUCAUCUCAUCUGUAUAAUUGUAAUUGGAGGGGAAGGGCAUUGUUCAACGAGUUUGAGAACAAACUUAUAUAUAUACACACAUAAACAUUUUAAUCAUACUUUAAACUCUUAUUUCCUUUUCAUUACAUACUUUAAAUUUGAUUUUCUUUUCUUUAUAUUACUCUCAUGUAUAUACUCAAAAUCGAUAAUAAAACCAAUAAUCAUACUUUUUAAUAAUAAAUAUCAAUACUUAAAUAAAACCUAUUUCUAGAAAAUCAUUAGAUCGGAGCAUUAAACACUUAUUUCCCAAACCUGCUUUACUAUACUUUAAAAUCAUAAUAAAAUAUGAAAAAUAGGUUUUGCUUAUUUCACUCACCGUGACGAUACUCAAACUCGGCUAUCAUUAAUGUCUGCAGGAUGGGUCUCACUCACUAUUCCUCCUAAAUCAAGGAUACGACAUAAUUACUUUCCAUAAAUGUGAAAUACAACUAACUGUAUGUAAUAUACUCGAAACGAACAUCUAUCCACAAUAUGCUACUCCUAUGUCUGUAACGUUACCAAAAAUACCCCCAAAAUCAUAAAUUGUCAAACAACCCUCAAAAUCAUAAAUUACCAAACUAUCCUCUAUAAAAUAUUAUUAAAAUAUCCACAAAGUCAGAAAUUAAAAAAUUACCAUCAAAAUAUAAAUUUAUCAAAAUGCCUUUGUUGGUCAAUGGUGAUCGGGAGUCAAGUGAUGGUGGUUGGAAUGGUCAAGAUAAAUGCUUUGGACCACGCUGAAUUUAAUGGUGGCAAAUUGACCAUUUCUGGUGACAUGGGUGAUUAAAAAUUGUAGAGGGUGUCGUGAGGGAGAAAACUAAGCAGUAGUGUGCCACAAGUUCGACGAAAUCCCAUCGAAUCGAGGUGGUAGUACCAAAGCUCUUCACAUUCUUGAUUGGUGGUCUUUUAGCAGUUAUUUAGUGACCAUGAUGGUUGGGGAAUGACUAGCAUUGGUUAAGGAUUCGAUCGAUACCUUCUGUUGUCGAUAGAGUGGCCGAAAAUAGUAGUUAGCGGCGGGUGGGGUUUCAAGUCUAUCAGUUAGGUUGAUAGCUCUUCCUCUCUUUGUUUUUCUCUUCCCCUCGAUUCCGUGUCAUAACAAGUUUAAACUAGUCCAAACUCGAACCAUUUAACAAGCGUGUCAAAUUUAACAACCCACACAUUUAUUCAUGUUGAGUAAUUGAGUCGUGUCAAAUCUGCCAAUAACAAUUAUAAUAAUGACUUUUAAAACUUCAAGUCAAAGAGGAGGAUAAAAUAAUGCAUUUGAUUAAACAUAAAAUGCAUAUGUUACAACUAAUCACUAUUCAAAAUAUUAAGAGUGGAGUAGCAAAUGUCAAUUUAUUUGGUUGCAGUCAAAUUUAUCCUAUGAUAAAUAGUGAUUAUUAAAUAAUAUAUAGAUCUAUUAUAUAGUCAAUUAAUAAUAUAUAUUAAUGAAAAUUUAAAAAUAAAUUAUUUAAAAAAGUCAAACUAGGUAAUGGACUUAAAUGUGAAAAUUUAAAAUAAUUUGGAGUUAUGUGUUAAAAUAUUGAAACUUUGUCAUUUUUUAAUGUGCAAGCAAAUAAUAGGGACUAUAGACUUAAUAAACUAUUAAAUCCAUCUAAGCCACUAAGCUACGUUUAUGUUAAAUCUAAUGGUUAGUAAUAGCUAAUAAGAAAAGGACAAAAAUUGGGGUAUGAUGUCACAGGGACACCAUAGUCGGACCCAUUAUUAAUGUUUAGUACAAGUAUUUUCUGAAAUAACAACUACAUAAUUAUUAUCUUAUGUAUCUAAUGAGAUUAUUAAUUUAGUAUAUUAGCCCAAGUUAGGAACGUAAGAUUUUGUUAUUUAAUCAAGUAUAUUAAUUUAUAAAACAUUCAUUUAUUGAGAUUUUAUUGUAUAUUACAUUUGCACACUUUCUUUUUAAUGUGAAGUAAAAACUAAUGUUACACAUGAACUUAUUGCUGACAACAUUAGUACAUAAUUGCUGUCAUAAGAAAAUUUAUCAAUCCAGGAAUUUUGGAUUUUAUAAAGUCUUUACAAGUGAAAAGAGUAGUUUAUAACAUUGUAAAUGUGACCUCGACCUGGAAGCGAACUCGGCUGUCAUAAAUUGAUCAAAGCCACACUUAACUUCUACUACUACUUGCAUUGUUACCACCGUCUUCAGCCUUCUGCUUUGCCCAUUCAAAAAAAAAAAAAAAUUAUAUAACUUUUGUCAGCCAACAAUUAUAAUAAACUAAAAACAUGUCCAAAGAUUCAAAAAAAAAUUUUUCCCUUUUUUUGGUUUUAGCUCCUCUGACAUAUCAAAUCCUAUUGCCGUGAAAAGUUUCCCUUGCAGCGCAUAAUUUUGCCACAGCAUCUCUCAUCUCCAUUCGCUCAGUUGGAGACUCCAUUGAGCAGGAAACCCCAAUUCCAAUUACAGCAGACAAGCAUUGCUCAGUCCUGACUCUUAUCUCUCCAUCAGUAUUUCUUGCAAUUUCCUCAGUUAGAAGUGAAGGCUCAACAAUAUUCACCACUUCUUCUGGCAAAGCCCUUUUGGCAAAUUCAUGGAGAGUUAAGCCAUCAUUGAACAUACUGUCCGUGGGCCGCUUUCCUGUGAACAUUUCUAGCAAAAGAAUUCCGAAGCUGUACACAUCACCUCGCAUGGAGACUUCGCCACCCGUACCGUACUCUGAAAAAAACAUGUUAGAUAUAUUACUCAGUUAGUUGCCACAUAUACGAGUUCUAACAAACAGCAGAUUAAUUCAAAAAAUGUAAAAUUACAAUAUCAAAAUAUCUAUCUAAAGAGGAAUAUAUAUAAUUACCUGGAGCUACAUAACCGACUGUUCCUUUUAUCCCAAUUGAGCUUGAUUGAGAUUGAGGAGCAGUCACCCACAUGGGCAACCAUGUCAUGAUCAAAAAGAAUAUUGCUGGGCUUUAGAUCACCAUGAAUUAUUGGUGGUUGACUGUGGUGGUGGAGAUACUCGAUUGCAGAAGCUACAUCAAUGGCUAUGUCCAGUCUUUGAAUGAGACUUACAUUGCACGCUUCUAGGUGAUCAUUCCUCUGAUGCAACCACUCCUCUAGACUUCCGUUUUCCAUGUAUUCGUAAACGAGAGCCUUGAAAUCAGCUCCUUUAGAAUCAAUGCUUGAGCAAAUAGUGAUGAUUUUAAUGAGAUUCCGGUGGCGAAUAUUUCUCAAAGCUUCACAUUCUGCUACAAAACUCCUGAAACCCCCUUUCUGAUUAAGAUUGAUCACCUUCACAGCAACUACCAUUCCAUUUUCACUAAAAAUUCCCUUGUAAACAAUGCCAAAGCUUCCUUGACCAAUCAUGUUUGAUGUUGAAAAUUCAUUAGUUGCCUUCCUUAGCGCCGCGUACGAGACAAAUGGGAACUUUUGUUCUAUUAGCAACGAAUUAGAAUCUUUGUGUGCUGAUCUCCUUCUUCGAGCAUAAACAACAAGAAAGCAUGCUGAUAAGAUUAAACAUGACAUAAUGACUGGAAAUAUCACUUUGACUAGGAAAGUAACUUUUGAUUUUCUUGAUCCUUUCAAAGGACAUGAUGGUAAAUGCAAUUCAUCCAACCCUCCACAAAGAUUCUCAUUCCCAACCAGUGAAAUGCUUGUCUUAUUGUGAAAAACUCCUUUUGCUGGUACCUGGCCCUCAAAAUGAUUGUAAGAAAGAUCCAAAUAUUGCAAGAAUGGUAGAUUCUCAAGAUAUUCUGGAAUCUUGCCGGACAAAUUGUUACGGGAUAGAUCUAACACUUUCAAGCUUUUCAAGGAAAUCAGAGAAAGAGGAAUCCUUCCUCCAAAGGAAUUGCCUUGCAUAUAAAGAUAUUCUAAGCUUGUACAAGCACUUAGAGUCGCAGGAAUCUCACCAAAAAAAUGGUUCAUGGAAAUAUCUAAUCGAGCGAGAUUCUUCAAGUUUCCCACCCGAAAAGGAAGAUAGCCACUGAGAAGGUUAUUAGACAAAUCUAGUUGAAAUGAAAGGGUCCUUAUUUCAAGAAUUUGUUGUGGCAAAGUUCCAUUAAGCUUAUUGUGAGAGACAAUCAAUUCCAUCAAAUUCUGACAACUUCCGAGGGAUGAGGGGAUAUUUCCUUGCAAGUUGUUGAAGUCCAGUGCAAGCUUUGUUAGUAGUGUUAGAUUACCUAGAGAGGAGGGUAUGUUCCCUUCUAAAGAGUUUCCAUACAGAUAUAGUAAUUGUAAGUUUUAAGACUACCGAUAACAUGAGGAAUAGUGCCAAUUAAUUGGUUUAAAUGUAAAGAAAAUAAAUUUAGAUUGACAAGAUUUCCUAUCCCAAGAGGUAUGGUUCCAGAUAAUUUAUUCUCCCCCAUGUCGAUUAUGGUCAUUGUUUUUGAGAGAUUGGCUAUAAAAUGCGGCAGGUUUCCUCCAAAUUGAUUCUUACGUAACUCAAGCCAUUCCAAUUUGCUACAGUUUGUCAGGGAGAAUACAAAAUCAAGGUCAUUGCUAGCCUCAGCUCCUAAAUUAUUAGCCUCAAAACUUAGCCAAGCUAGAUCCGAAAGACCGUUAAAAUCUAUGCUCACUUUUCCUGUGAAAUGAUUUUGUCCAAGGUUAAGCUCUAUGAGAUUUGAAGCAUUGGACAAUGAAUGUGGGAUAGGUCCUGUCAGAUUGUUUUGAGCUACAAUAAGAGAUUUCAGGUUUGGAAGAUUGAAACCUAUAUUAAGGGGAAGAAUACCUUCGAGUCUGUUUGACGGUAGAAAAAUCAUCUCAAGCGAUGAGAUGUUGUAAAUUGAAACAGGAACCAUACCGGAGAAAUUAUUUUCUUCUACGUUAAGAAACUUUAAGCUUCUUAAUUGACCAAGACUUUCAGGAAUUCUCCCGUGCAGUGUAUUCUCUCCAACAUCAAAUGCCUGCAGAGCAGAAAGAUUCCCAAUGGAAGCAGGGAGCUGUCCUCUCAAAUGAUUGACAGCAAUGGACAGUUUCUCAAGCUUCGACCAGCUGCUGUAACCGAUAUCAGCUGGAAUUUCUCCCACGAGGUUGUUUUUAUGGGAUAAAAAGUUGAUGAGGUUGGAGCAACGGGACAAAUUUGUUGGUAUUUUCCCUGAAAAAGAAUUAUUUGCCACGACUAGAGUUUCAAGUCUGGAAAGACGACCAACCUCAUCCGGAAUUUCGCCAUCGAAAUUGUUGUCUCCCAGGUGGAUUAACUUGAGGAAGCUAAGAUUGCCAACAUAAGGAGACAAGGUACCUCCUAGACUUUGGUUCCUCAGAUACAACUCGGUUACCCUUUGAUGCCGACGACCACAAGUCACUCCUGUCCACUGGCAUAAGUUUACAGAAGUGUCCCACGAACUUGUUACUUCUAGUGGAUCAUGGAACUGUGACUUUAUAGCAAGUAAUGCUAGACGAUCUGUCUCGUUUGUGUGGACAGAAAAGCUGUGUGAACUAAGCAACAAACUGAAGCACCAUAUAAGAGUUGCAAGGCUGGUAGUGGUAGUAAAAAUGGAGCUAAACAUGUUUAGCGGCUGCAGGGUAUAAGAUAAUAAGACUAAUGAAAAGCGUGGCGUGAUCGUUGAAGUUCAUGUGAAGGGUUUUUAAAGUCGAAAAAUGAGUGUACGGUAAAAUCUCUUUAUAGUUAUAAUAUGAAGAGUAAAUUAUUUUUAUGAGAAGGUUAUAAUUUAAUUAAGGUUUAGUUAAAAAAACUUAUUAUUUUGGUAUAGUUAACCUUAGUGCAAGUGACAUAGAGAUAAAGUAUGCUUUAUAUUAAUAGUCAACUGCUAGAACACGUCAAAUUGAAUAUAUAAACAUUGACAAAAGAGAUAGACAUAAUUUCAAAAAGCUAUCAUAAAUUUUUUACAAUAUAAAGGUAGUUAUUAUUAUUUUAUGGAGGCAAGUUCAUGAAGAGGAAUUUAAAAAAAUUUAGACUGUUACAAUAUAAAAUUUAGGGCUUGUUUGGGAUUGUUUUUGGGAGACUCAAAAGAUAUUUUGAAAAGUUAAAAAUUAAUUUUAAUAUUUGAUAUAUUUUUUAAGAAUUAGUUUUGAAAAAAUUACUCUAUCGUACAAUAGAUUUUAAAAAGUAAAGAAUAGUUUUUUAAAAGAUGAUUUUGAAAAUCAUUCUUAUAUUGAAUACAAGUUUAUAUAUAUUCUCAUUUAUAUUAUAAAAAUUCAAAAUUAUCCUUUUUAAUUAAGAAGUAGAAUCAUUAAAUUUUAAAAGAUAUUAUUACUACCACUUAUAUUGAGAUAACUAAAUUAAAAUUAAAAUUAAUAAUAUAAAACAUUUAUUUUAGCUAUCAAUUAUUAUAUGUUAUAAAAAAAUUUUAUACACAUAUUUAUAAAUGUUUAAAUAAAUUUUAACUAACAUUAUAUCUAAUUGAGUCAUUUACAUGAUUACAACAAUUUAACGUCAAGAUUUAUCAAACUAAUUGUUUUUAAAAAUCACAAUACUUUUAAAAAUUUAUUUUACUAAAUGUUUAACUGAUUUCGUCGUAGCUGAUUAUUUCUAUAUUACAAUCAAUAAUAAUUAUUUUAAAAAUUAUAGUAUUACCAAACUAACCCAUAUUCUUAUUUAUAACCGAUCAAAUUGUUACCGAGAUUUUUAAAAUUAUGUGAAAAUGACUUUUAUGGAAUAUCAUUGUAAAAGAAUUUUAUCAAUACAUAUAUUUUUUUCAACUGCGGCUGCGGGAUUAGGCAAGGCUAAUGAAAGCUUUUGUUAAAAAUGUGUGGGUGGUCGUUAAAAGUCACGGGCACUCCAGUUCCUUGAUUAGAUUGAUUCUCGUCGUUGUUCUGAGUGCAAGUUGCCUUAGCACUUUCGUGAGUGAAUGAGAUUUUUCCUUUGUUGCUUUGGCAAGAGGUCGCUUUGGUGUGAUGUCAACUUGUGAAAUAGUCAAGGGUCUUUGGCUCUUUGCUACCUUUACAUCGCAUGCAAAGAUUUGACAAGUGAGCAAUUAGAAUUUCUCUACCUUUACGAUAGAGAAAAGCGAAAACAGUUCCCGUCCGGUCACACAACUGGCUUCAAGAGUUCCUCGCUGGUUGCAAAAAUUAAUUUCUUUUUAAUCUUUGUAAUUUGUUACAUAAAUAAAAAACAAUUUUUGAAAUAAAAAUGAUAAAUAUAGUUGAACCUCAAUGAAUUGAUUACCAGGAUUAAAUAAUAGUUUUUAUUGGUCUCAAAUUGGGUCAACAUAUUAAAUUAAUAAUUUGAUAAAUUUAUUAAUAAUAAAAAUAAAUAUUUUAUAUUUACUAAAAUAUUAAGACUGAUCUACUAUAUAAAUUAAUAAUUUAUUAACUUGAAACUAAGGUACUGUUCAUUUUUUAACUUAAUGAAUUAAUUGAUUAAUUUUAAUUAAACCAUUGAAUCUUUUCAUUUUUUUCAACCUAAUGAAAUUUUAAUGUAAAUUGUGCAAAUUCUUGUAGUAUUAAGGGAAAAAGAUAUCUACACCCAAAGGUUUAGAGAAAAAGUCAAGUAAAUCCUUAAGUUUUCAAUAAGGAAUAUCAAAACUCCCUUUAAUUGUAAUAUCUUUUGUAAAUAGUAAUUAAAAAUUUUACUUCAAAAUUUUUUAAUAAACACAAAUAUAAUUUAAACAGUUUAAUUUGUCAAGUAGACUAAUAAUAUUAGGAUAUUUUUAAUAUAUAAUAUAAUUUUUAAAGUGUAAAUUAGUGUAUUUAUUUUAAUAAUAUAUGUUAUUUAUUAUAAAAUUUUAAUUAAAUGUUUCGGUUAAAUUGAUUUUAUAGUUAAUAAAAUAUAUCUCAUGUAUUCAUAAUAUCUAAAUUAUUUUAUAUAAUAUUCAAAAUAAUGUAAAUUUUUAAAAAAUUUGUUAUAAAAUUUAGUUUAAUAUAAUAUAAGAUUGUAAAGUAUUAAAAUAUUUUUUAAAUAUUAAAAUUACCUUAAAAUGUUUAUAUUAUUAUAUUUAUUUUAAUAUUAUAUUUCUAUUUAAUAUAAAACAUUAGAGUUAAUUUUUUUUGAAUUAAUAGAACCAAAAGUUAUUAUAGUCAAAAGAGAAUUUUAAUAUCUUUUAUUAAGAACUUGAAAUUUAUAUGAUUAUUUUUCUAAAUUUUGAAGGUAUAAAUAUCAUUUCUCAUAUUAUUAAUGUCGCUUUAAAAUAGAGUACCCAAUAUUUCUAGUUCACCAAUUAUUGAAAAACAUUUUGACUCAUUACAGCCUGUUAUUAGUUUUGGUCAUAUUAUUUUCCAUCACUCGGUUAUUGAUUUUCAAAUCUACCGAUUAGUAACUAUUCUUAGGCCAUAAAUAAUAUUGAGGUACUAUAACUUUUAAGUUAUAGUUAUUAUAAAAAAAGUAUAAUAAUGAAAUAAUAAUUUAUAAUUUAUAAUAAAUAUAAUUUUUAAAUAAUAAUUUUAAUAAAAAUACAAUAAAAUUAUUAAAUUUUUUCAUGUAAGUAUAAAAUUAAAUUAAUUUAAUUUUUAAACUAUAAUAAUUAGUAUAUUUUAUAGAUGUCCAAUCUCAAUUUUAAUCACAGCCUUAAUAAUAUAAGUUAGCCAUGGCCAAAAAAUCAAAUAUCAAUUGUCAAACCUGCUGUGUACGCUAUGUUGCCGUGUACGCUAUGUUUAAGUCUAGCUGUGUGGAAUUUGUUUGUCCAUGUAUUUUAUAGACUUCAUUGAUCCAAUUCCAAUCUUUUUUCCUGUGGAAAACCCUCUUUUUCCGCAAAUCAAUUAAAUCAAUCAUGGAAUUAAAUACUAUACGGGAUAUUGGUGUAAAUAUUUGAAGAUGAAGCCACGUUUGGAAGACAUGUUCGCAUGUUCAAUAAAUGCAAAAACAGCCAGUUCUGUGCAUGGCUUUAAUGCAUGCAUCGAGAGUAGUAACUUCCACGUGAUGGCAAGUUGACGAUUGGCAAUUGGUGCUCCUUUUGUCAAGAUUUGCUUGAGAUAGCGGCUGUUUCACUAGAUUUUUUACCGUAAAGUUUGAUUUCUCAAUCCAUCCUGAUACUAUAAAUAGAGCUUAAUAUAUUCUCGAGAGUAAAUCAUCCCGUUUGCGAGGGAUAAAAGUUUAUUUAGUCCCUAUAUUUUAAGAUUAGUGUCUAUUUAGUUUUUAUAUUUUUAAAAAUAUUUUGAAACAUCUCUACUGUUAAAGUAUUGAUACCCCUAUUGUUACUUUUUAUUUUUUAUUUACUUUUACAAUAUUAUCUUUUUAUAAUAAUGUUUUUGUUUAGACAUUAAUUAAAAAAUAAUUAAAUUAUCAAUUUAAUUCUAAAAAAUAAAAAUAAAAAAUUACAUUAAUUUUUAAUUGUCAAAAAUUAAAUUAUCAAAAAAGUCAAAAAUUAUAUACAAACUACCAAGCGUGCAAAUAGUACUUGCAAAAAAAUUAAUAAAUUUUUUAUUUUUAUUUUUUAGGAUUAAAUUGAUAAUUUAAUUAUUUUUUUUAUUAAUAUCCAAAUAAAAAAAUUAUUAUAAAAAGAUAAUAUUGUAAAAGUAAGCCAAAAGAAAUAAAAAAUAACGGCAGAGAUAUUAAUACUUUAACGGUAUGAAUGUUUCGAGGUAUUUUUAAAAAUACAAGAAUUAAAUAAAUACUAAUUAUAAAAUAUAGAGACUAAAUGAACUUUUACCCGUUUGCGAGAGUUGCGAGCAUUUAAAUAUUGAUGGGCAAACAGAUCAGCUGUCAACAACUCAUUCCUAUAAUCCCAUGUGAGUAAUUCACAUUGAGUACUGCACGUGACGCCUGUUUCUCUACUUUUCAUGUUAACAUUAUUUUCAGUAGCAGCCGGUUAUGUAGGCAACAUUUCAAAAUUAAUUAAAAAAUAAAAAUUAGUUCAGCUGACUAAAUUUGAGAGAAUGAAUUUACUGUUGGUUAAAAAUUAUUUUGCAGCAAAAUUUUUGAAUCGUAACUCUUUUACAAUAUAUAGAAUUAUCAUAAUUUAUAAAUUACAUCUUUGCUUUUUUUGUGAUAGUAAUUCAGAUUCUCAAGUUACGAUUUAAACUGAAAAAAUAAAACUAUGAGUAAGAAUUGUUUUAUGAGAAUUAAAAUAAUUGAUAAAUAACUGAGAGGGAUAAUUUUGAAAGAUUUAAAUUCUAAUAUGAUAACAAUUUUAAUUUUUCACCCUCUGGUAAGGAAUCGAAAAUCACAAUUUAUUAGAUUAGCACAUAAAAUAAUUGAGUAUUCAGAAUAAUUUUUGAAGUACAAAUAAUUGGACCCUAAUAUUUUUAAUAUAUGAAAAUCUUACUAAUAUGUUGAUGAGAAUUAAAUUAAUAAUUAAGGGAGACAUUAAGACAUUUAGAAUAGUUGAGAUGAGACCGGAUUUUACGUUAUCCGAAAUUGAUCCUAAUUUUGAUCACAAAUGUAUUAAAAAGACGAGUUUCGGUCCAUAAUUAUGUGCCAUUUGAGUAAUUAAAAUGGGAAUGUGAUUGUCGAAUUCCAAACUUUCCCGAACCAUUGCCAUCUUUACCCAAAACACUAAAAAUAUCUAAAGAAAAGUCUGCACCUAUUCCAUUUUUUUUUAUCAAAUAGGAAAGAGCCCUCACGUGGCGUGAACUGGUAUCCUAAAUAAUUUUAAGAGUAUCAGCCCAUGAUUGGGUUUGUGACAAAUAAAUUACAUAUUUGAGGUACAUAGUUAUUGGUGUCCUAGUUUAGGUGGCACCUACCAUUUAUUGCACAUAUAAGGUAUUAAUUGACUUAAUUAAUAUACAAAGUUUAAAAUCUAAUUAAUUAGCGACACAAAUGCCAAGUACAGUAUAUGUAAAUCAUAUUUGUCGAUUAUCACAAAACGAGCUCUUGAAAAUAAGUAAGAAAGCUUAAUUUGUUGAAAUGAACUCAAACUCGUCAAUCGAUUUGUCGUCUAAAGGUUGGAAAAAUGAGUGAUAUGUCAUUUCAAGCUGAUCAUGGAUCCAGAACCGACGACUUGGUGCUGUUGUUCAAGGUCGUUAAACUCUCACGUGAAUAACAUACGCCUGUCUUAAGUCUAAAACGGCACGCCUUGUCGUCGUUUUAGGAAGGGUUUAAGUUUCACGUGAAAGGCUCUUGAUCAAGCAGUUAAGUUUGUCGGUUUUGGAGGGAAUCAUCUGGAUCUGUAACACCAACAGCAGCUGAUAUAUAUGUUGGUUCUGGUUUCAUCUAGAUCGAUUGAAGAGAGAGUGAUAAGGAAGCAUUAGAGAGAGUGAAACUUUUCUGGGUGUUCUCUGUAUUGUGUUUGUCACCUUUGUAACCAUUGAAGCUUAAUAAAAUUACUCCCUGAGUUGUUUUCUCCAGUGCACGUAGGCACUGUUAAAGGUGCUGAACCACUUAAGUCUUUGUGUGUUCUUGAUUCUUUGUGUUGAUUUUUCUUUGAUCUGGUGAUUGUUACGACUUGCUUAGACUUGGUUCUUAAAUCUUAGAGUCUUAAUUAGAUCUUGGGGUGAGAUAAAUCUGGUGUAAAGAGGGUUUGUUUCACAACAAUUGGUAUCAGAGCUUUAAUUCUGAUUCCAAGGUUCAAGAAUGGCUUCAAAGGUGGAUCUUGAGAAGUUUACAGGGCAAAAUGACUUUAAUAUGUGGAAGAUCAAGAUGGAGGCUUUGUUGAUCACUCAGGGUCUGGGAGAUGCCAUAGAGCUAGUCUCUAAACUUGAAGGAAAUGAAGCUUCAUCAUCCAAGACUCCAGAACAAGCAGUAGAGAUAGACAAGAAUGCUAGAAGCACAAUUAUUAUGAGUAUGGGUGACUCUGUAAUCAGAAAAGUGGCAAAAGAAAAGAUUGUUGCUGGUUUAUGGGCCAAGUUGGAGAAUUUGUAUUUGACAAAGUCUUUAGCUAAUAGGCUUUACAUCAAGAAGAAGAUGUUCUCACUAAAGAUGAUUGAAGGAGCAUUACUUGAUGAGCAUAUAGAUGAGUUCAAUAAGGUUUGUGAUGAAUUGGAAACCAUUGAUGAAAACUGAGUGAUGAGAGCAAGGCUCUGCUGUUAAUUAGUUCUUUACCAGAGUCAUACGAGCACUUUGUGGAUGCCUUGUUAUAUGGGAGACAAACACUCUCUCUGGAAGAGGUUAAAUCUACUCUUGGCACCAAGAAGUUGAAAGACAAGCAAGAUAAUCCAGAAAGUGAAUCAAGUGAGGGGUUGAUGGUUAGAGGCAGAUCUGAAAAAAAGGGAAAACAAGGGAAAUAAACAAGGCAGAUCAAAGUCCAAAUAGAAGCAUUUGAAGUGUUUUCAUUGCCAUAAAGAAUGGCAUUUAAAAAGAGAUUGCCCUGAAAGAAAGAACAAAAAUAAAGAAACCAAGGAAAAGACAAGAAAUGCAGCCAUAACCACAAAAGUUCCAAGCUUUGAAACAACUGGAGUGCUCAUUGCCUCAAAUGAAAAAUUUCAAGGUCACUGGGUUCUUGACUCAGGUUGUACCUUCCAUGUGUCCAAAUAGAAGCUAUAUUACUACAUAUCAGUUGUGUGAUGGGGUAUGAUUUUAAUGGGUAAUAACUAAAUGUGUAAAGUGGUUGGUAUUGGGAUUGUUAGCCUUAAAAAGUUUGAUGGUGUGGUGAAGGAAUUAACACAUGUUAGGUUUGUUCCUGACUUGAAAAGAAACUUGAUCUCAAUUGGCAUGCUAGAUCCAAUAGGUUGUGUCAUUAGGGCUAAAAAAUAAGUGUUGAGGAUAAUUAAAGGCUCAAUGGUGAUUAUGAAAUGUAUAAAAGAAAAUAGCUUGUAUGUGUUGGAUGGACAUACUGCUGUUGGAGAGGCAAGUGUAACUGAUAGUGGUGGGAACAAAUUAGUGUUGUGGCAUUUUAGGCUGGGGCAUAUGAGUGAGAGAGGCUUAAAAGAACUACAAUGGAACAUUGAGGAUAGAUAAUGGCUUGAAGGUGAAAACAUUGAGGACAGAUAAUGGCUUGGAGUACUGUAAUAAGUUGUUUGAAGGAGUACUGUGAGAAGAAAGGGAUUUAGAGGCACAAAACUAUCACCUAUACUCCUCAACCAAAUGGCCUUGCUAAGAGGAUGAACAGAACCUUGGUGGAGAAAGUAAGGUGCAUGUUGAUCUACUCUAAACUUCCAAAAACUCUAUGGGUAGAAACUUUAAACAUUGUAUGCUAUCUAGUCAAUAGGAGCCCAUCAACUGCCAUAAGAUGUAAAAAACCAAUGGAACUGUGGUUAGGAAGAAUAGCUGACUAUUCAAAACUCAAAAUCUUUGGCUGCAUAGCAUAUGCUCAUGUAAAGUAAGGUAAGCUGGAACCAAGAGCAUUAAAGUGUAGGUUUCUAGGGUAUCCAGAAGGUGUCAAAGGCUAUAGAUUGUUGUGUGUUGAUUCCAAGCCACCUCAGUGUCUAAUAAAUAGAGAUGUAACUUUCCAUGAAGAUGAGAUCUUGAAUCAAUCAAGGAGUCUUGUCAACGGCUCUGAAUUAGGUGAUGAGUCUAAUAAAGUGAAGUUUCAAGUGGAGCCUCAUACCUUGAAAAAGCUUGAUCUAGAAAUUAAGAGUGCUAAAAAAGAACUUGAAGCUGGUGUUGAGCAUGAAUCAGUAGAAAGUGAAGAGGACACCUAUCAAUUGGUAAGAGACAGAAAAAGAAAGAUUAUUAGACCACCUAAGAGAUAUGCAAUGGCUGAUUUAAUUGCAUAUGAUUUGACUGUUACUCAAAAGUUGAAUGUUGAUGAACUAGGACUUAUCAAGAAGCUAUCACAAGCAAAAGCAAGAUGGAAUGGAGGAAGGCAAUGGAUGAGGAGAUGGCAUCUCUAAUGAAGAAUAAAACUUGGGAAAUGAUUAUAAAACCAUAAAAGAGGAAGAUAGUAAGCUAUAAAUAAAUCUUCAAGAUAAAAAAAAAAGGGAUAUCUGGUGCUGAGCCUAGAAUAUGUAAAGCUAAACUGGUGGCAAGGGGUUUCACACAAAAGGAAGGUAUUGACUUCACUGAAGUUUUAUCCCCAGUGGUGAGACAUGCUUCCAUCAAAAUUAUUCUUGCACUUGUUGUUGUUCAGGACAUGUAUCUUGAGCAAAUGGAUGUCAAAACAACUUUUUUGCAUGGUAAGUUACAAGAAUAGAUUAUAAUGCAGCAGCCAAAGCGUAUGUGGUUUUUGGUAAAGAAGAUCAUGUUUGUUAUUUAAGAAGUCUCUAUAUGGUUUGAAGCAAUCACCUAGACAAUGGUAUUUGAGGUUUGACAACUUCAUGAUAACACAUGCCUUUAAUAAAUGCAGUUAUAAUUGUUGUGUGUAUUUCAAGAAGAUAAGUGGAGGAAGGAUGAUAUAUCUCUUAGUGCAUGCAGAUGAUAUGCUGAUUGCAUGUCAUGACAAGAAAGAAAAUGAUCAUCUGAAGAAACUCUUAAGCAGGGAAUUUGAAAUGAAGGAACUUGGGGAACCUAAGAGGAUUUUAGGGAUGGAUAUUAUCAGGGAUAGGAGCAAGAAGGUUUUGUUUUUAACUCAACAGAGCUACAUUAAAAGGGUUCUAGUGAGGUUUGGAAUAAAUGAUGCGAAGCAAGUGCAGACACCAUUGGCAAACCAUUUCAAGUUGUCUGCUGCACAAUGCCCCCAAACUGAUGCAGAACAAUAGAAAAUGGCUUGUAUACCCUACUCAAGUGUUGUGGGUAGCCUCAUGUACGCCAUGGUACUCACCAGGCCUAAUAUCUCACAUGCUGUGAGUAUGGUAAGUAGGUUUAUGGCAAAUCUAGGCUAGGAACAUUGGAAAGUUGUUCAGUGGAUUAUGAGAUACCUCAAAGGGACUUUGGAGGUUACUUUGAUUUAUGGUGGAAAGGAUAGCAAUGGACACACAUUGAUUGGUUAUGUAGAUGUUGACUUUGCUGGUGACCUUGAUAAAAAGAAGUCACAAACAGGGUAUAUGUUUACUCUGGGGGGAUGCACAGUUAGCUGGAAAGCAACAUUACAGAACAUAGUGGCUUUGUCCACUACAGAGGCAGAGUAUACUGCAGCAGCUGAAGCCUUUAAAGAAGCCAUUUUGCUGAAAGGCAUGAUAACUGAGCUAGGAGCUGAGCAAGGGACUAUAACAGUAUACAGUGAUAGCAAGAGUGCCAUACAUCUUAGUAAAAAUCAAACUCAUCACGAGAAGACAAAACAUAUAGAUGUUAAGUUACACUUUGUGAGACUUGAAGUGUCAAGGGGGGCUGUUAAGUUGCUGAAAAUUCAUACUGAAGAAAAUCUAGCUGACAUGUUAACCAAGGUUGUUCCCACUACCAAGUUCAUCCUUUGCAUGUAUUUAGCAGGAAUCUGCAGGUUUUAAGAAGCUGCAGAUGAGGAGAAAACAAACAAAGAAGAGGGAGCUAUGAGUGUUGGGUUCAAGGUGGAGAUUGUUAAAAUAAACUCCAAUGAACUCAAACUCGUCAAUUGAUUUGUCGUUUAAAGGUUGGAAAAACGAGUGACAUGUCAUUUCAAGCUUAUCAUGGAUCCAGAACCGACAACUUGGUGCUAUCGUCCAAGGUCAUUAAACUCUCACGUGAGUAACAGAUGCAUGUCUUAAGUCUAAACGGCACGCCUUGUCGUCGUUUUCGGAAGGGCUUAAGUUUCACGUGAAAGGCUCUUGAUCAAGCAGUUAAGUUUGUUGGUUUUGGAGGGAAUCAUCUGGAUCUGUAAUGCCAGCAGCAGCUGAUAUAUAUGCUGGUUCUGGUUUCAUCUAGAUCGAUUGAAGAGAGAGUGAUAAGGAAGCAUUAGAGAGAGUGAAACUUUUCUGAGUGUUCCAUGUAUUGUGUUUGUCACCUCUGUAACCAUUGAAGCUUAAUAAAAUUACUCCAUGAGUUGUGUUCUCCAAUGGAUGUAGGCAUUGUUAAAAGUGCUGAACCACUUAAGUCUUUGUGUUCUUGAUUCUUUGUGUUGCUUUUUCUUUGAUCUGGCGAUUGUUACGACUUGCUUAGAGUUGGUUCUUAAAUCUUAGAGUCUUAAUUAGAUCUUGGGGUGAAAUAAAUCUAGUGUAAAGAGGGUUUGUUUCACAACAUAAUUAAUAACUUAAAAUUAAAGGAAUUAGAUUGAGAAUAGUCUUUUUUUUAGGAUGGAGGCUCCUAAAUCUUCAAGAAUCAUUAUGUGCUUAUUAAAAUUUCAAAAUCAUUUGGAUUAUGACAUAGCAAAAAUUUGAUAGUACACAUGUUGGAAUACACCAAUUCAUAGAUGCAUUUGAUUAUUGUUUUCAUAAAUUUUAACUAGGAAGGAUGACAUGAUAAAAUUUGAUUUUAUUGUAUGGUUGAUUUCAUAUUUCAUGUGCUCAUUUCUUAAUAUAAUCAAAUUUGAUCUAGCAUAUUUUGCAACUGUAUAAAUAUCAAUUAUGAUCAAUCAAAAUGAUUUCAACACCUUUCAACCAGACAUAUUUAUAAUACAAUAUUGUCAAACUUACACCAGAAAUUUAGUUUAUUACAUAUUAUUAUCCAAUGAGCACACAAAAAUGAAUUUGUACAAAUUUAGUUUUGGAAUGCUGUAGCUCUUAAAAUAAUUGUUGUUAGUUGUGCUAUAGAAAUAAUUUACUGUGAAAAGAAUCAGUUAAUUGUUGGGUAAAUUUUAUUUUCAGAAAUACUGUGAGUUUUGAAAACAGUUACGGAAAUUUGGUAAAUUUUACUGUUAAAUUGCUGAAAGAAAACAAAUGAUUAAAAUGUAUAUAAUGUAGAAUAAAAUUUACUUAUACAUAUAAAAAUAUGUACAUAUAAUAUUUUUAAUUAUAUAUUAUAAUAAUUUUUACUAAAAAUAAAAUUUAUAAUAUAUUGAUUUUUUUUUAUAUUUUUACCUUAAAAUAAUUGUUAAUUAAAUUUGUAAUAUAGUGAAACAAGUUUAAUAAUAAUUCGACCAACAAAUUGAUAUUAAUAAAUUUAUAUUGAUGAAUUACAAUAAAAAUUUAUUAAAAUAUUAUUUUUUUCAAUUUCAAUAAGGAUAAUUUUGGAUUUACAUAAUAAUUUUGAAGAUAUUUAUAAAAUUAUAUUAAAAGAUAAAAUUAAUUCUCAAAAUCAGAAUCUAAAAAAUACUCCAUCCCUACUUUUCAAAAUCAACUAUAGAAGAAGUUGAUUUUGACAAAAAUAAUUUAAAUUUUUUUACUAAAUACUAAAAUUAACUUUUAAUUUUUUAAAAUUAAUUUUAAACCACAAAUUCAGACGACCCUUAAACCAAUUUUGCAAAAGCAGCCGUUACAUGUAUCACCAACUUUUUAACAGUCAGCUGCUUUUGUGACCGUUAUGCGACGGCUAGACUGCUGUCACUUAUGUUACUAUCACGUGACGGUUAAGAGCCAAUUGGCAUACUAUUUUUUUAAAGUUUUAAAUUUGUUUCUAAAUAGAAAACUAUUCGCUGGUGUCAAUAUUUUGAAAACCAAAGUCCCAAAUUCUCUCUUGUGCGUGCCGGGCCAGCAUCCUAAACCUUACUGGUUGCCGGAGAAUGGCGUAAAACGGCGGUGAUCUUCUUCUUCAUCUUAUUCUCUCUCAUCGUUUCAGGUAAGCUUGUGAUAAUGAGUUUCUUGUCUUUCUUAGCUUGUAAUUAUAGAUUUUGAUUUUUUAAUUCGUAUUGUAGCCGUUAAUGUAAAUUUUUGUCCCGCUGGCAAAUUUUUUUGUUCCUACAAGUUGAAGCCCUUCUGUUCUUGUUCCAUUGGUGACUUUGCUCACUCAAAUUAAUUUCGUUCGGCGGAAUUUACAAAGUUCAAAUGGAUUCAUUUGGAUUACUAUUGAAUUUAGCUUUCAUUUCUACAUUCAUUCUAAUGUUUUACAAUUAUGUAUUUAGAUUUACUUUGAUUUUAUGUUUAAAGCUUCUACAUUGAAUAGCUGAGCUUGGGUCUUAGUUUCAUUUUCUAAUUAACUUGUUUUGGUUUAUCUUAUAUGCUCACCAAGGGCUUGUUAUAUUGUCAGAUAAGUUAUAUAACAUUGCUGAUUCUAUAUUAAUAACGUCAUGUUUUAUUUUCAGAAAUUAUAAUAUAAAAGUUUUUACAAUGGCAAGCAUCUACAAACUGAAUUGAUUUGUAGAAUAAGAGCUUCGAGUAGUGUUAUGAUCUUGAAUAAAUGAAAGUUCAUAUUGUGUAAGAGCAUGUAGAUGUAAAGCAUCAUUACCAUUUCUGCAAAGUGCUUUCAUUCUGUUCAGAUGCUUCUCUUGAACUUUGAAAUGUGCCUCGUUGAAGUCCUAGCUAUAACUACUAGCUUUGAUUAAUUAAGUUCCUAUACUAGCUGAAACAGAUUUAUUUAAUUAAUUAAUUGUGUAUGUACUAAUUAUAUUGAAAGUAUUUGAAAACUUUUUUAUCAUGAAUGACUUCUAAAUGACUUAAAAACCUAAAGGAUAUGUGAAAUAAUGCUCAUUUCACUUGAACGAGCCUAUUAAUACUUGUAUGUCUAUGAUUGUUAAUAUUGGCUUAAGCGUUUCAGUUAAAUGGUUUACAUAACAAGGAAAAUAAUUUAAUGGAAAACUUUCGAGUUCUAACAGAAAUAUAAUUGACUAUGCAGAUAUAGUUAUUUUAUGGUAAUACAAAUCAUGUUGCCUUAAUCUCAAUGUCCUAUGACCUAUUUUAUUUUAUAGAGUCAUUCAUUUUUGCCAUGGCUUUUUGUGUUUAUAAGUAUGGAAAUAGUGGGAUUUGGUGUAUCUUAGCAUCUUUGGAAAAUUCUCUUUAAAUGUGGCAAACAAAAAUAUACAUAUAAUCAAGUUUGUUAAUCAACUAUCAUAACUGGCUAGCUAGUUCUUGCCUGCCUUGCUGCCAUUACCCAGGCCAUUACAUUGCAUAGCAUAAGGAAUAGUGAUUAGGUGAUUAUUAGUGACUCGUUGAGCUUAUUAUUGACCAAACAAACAUAUUCCCCUUUACCCACAACUUAGUUUGAUUAGUUAUUAGACCAUAAAGAGCGUUAAUCUGUUCAUUGGCUUUGUUAUUUUUAUUAGGUUUUUCUGUCAACAAAACUGUUGAUUUCUUAUAAAAAUAUUCAUUGAUUUUUAAACACCUAAUCAUUGGCUAUAAUGAAGCUAAUUGAAACUGAGGCUUUGGAUCAAUUUCUUCUAGCAAGAUACAAAUGAGCAGAACCUAUAUCCUCUAAGUAAAUUUUUCUAAUAUCCUUGAUUUGGUAGUAUCUGGCGGCCUGAAAUCCUCUAGAUUUUUUUAACACUGUCAAUGUUCUUUUUACUCUUAAAAGGGAAAAAAAAGGUUAUAUCUUUCAUACCCUAAUAGUAAGUUGGCCUUGACUUAACAUGCCUUCCUGAGGAUUUCCAAGAUUCACAAGCAGCCCCCCCCCAAAAAAAAAAAACAAAUAUGAUUUUGCAAGAUUCACAACCAGGCUAUAUUUAAUUUAUUGAUUGUGUGCACGUACUAGUUAUAUGUUGAAAGAAUAGGAAAAAGUAUUUUAACAUGAAUGACUUAAAACUUAUUGCUCAGUAAACAAAAUCUGCAUCAGUGCUAGAAAAUGUAUUUAUUGUUUGUAUUUUUUAUGGAUUUGCUUAAGAAAUGAUACGCGAAAUAAUGCUACAUUGUAUUAGGAAUAAAUUGAAGAGAUUUAUGUGUUAUUUAAAUUUCAGAUUGAAUUUUAAACUUUCAAUACAUGCAUUGAAAGCUUAGAUUGUUUAAGAAAUUAUUAAUAGACACAUGUUUUAUUAGUGUCAUCUAUGGAUGAUAGUGAGGAUCAUAUGUCUAUUAAUAAUUCUUGAAUUGUCUAGGCUUGAACUGUUUGGGAAUGCAUAGUUUUCUAUGGUAGCUAGUAGCUGAAGUUUUUUUCCCACGUAAAAAUGGGUUUUUCGCUGGCUGCUUCUCAUCUUCUGUGGGUGCAUACUAGAUAACACAUAAACACUCAUAUAUCUAUGUCGUGUGCUUGGAGAACUAUAGGGAGAUGCUGCCGAAAUUUCUAUAAACGUAGAAAUCCCAUUGGACCACUUACCUUUUGUAAAUAUGAAGGGAGUGUUGGACAUAUUGAUGGGAGUGAAGGAGCUGAGUUGGAUGGAUGUAAUCGGUUAUGGUUUUGCUGAGUUAACUUGGCUUUGAGCUUGUAAUUUUGUUUAUAAAUGGAGUACUAUCUCCAAUGUUGGUUUAUAAAUAUGUUUCAGCUGGCUGACCUAAUUUUUUGUUUCUAGGUAACAGGCUUUAUAUCUGUAAUUGAUAGCCAACUGAAGUUCUCAACUGUGGGUGAGAAUAUUUCUUUACAGAAGGUAUUGGAAACUGUUUUUUACGUUAAUUAUUGUUGUAUAUAUACUUUAAUUUUCACAUCUUUUUCUCUGAUUCUUGUCGCUUUGCUUGCUUUCAUAUGUAUAACUAAAAUGAUUUAUCUAACUAAUUUUUGUAGUGCAUUAAACGGAGAUGGUAAUGGAGAAGAGUUGGGUUGGUUUGGCAAAUUGAUAUCCAAGUUAUAUACUGAUGGGGUUGAAAAAUUUAUAGAUUUUGCAUUUGAGAAUGUUGUUGGUGAGGCAAGAAUUUAUUAUCCUUGUAAGAACUGUCGAAUCUUUCGUUUUAAGGGAAGUUGCAAGAGACCAUAUCAUUAUAAAUGGUUUUUGGUUAAAGUAUUAAAACUGGAUAUUGCAUGGUGAGCCAUCUUCAUCUUUGGAAUCUAACCAAGAAACAGGUUAGUCAUGACUCGGGUGCUGAUGAUGAUAUGGUUGGAAUGAUACAUGAUACAUCACGUAAUCAAAUAUUCAAUUCACACACAGCAUUGUUAUGGACUAUCAGUGACUUUCUAGCACAUGCCAACUUGUCUGAGUGGAGUAUUAAAGGUAAAUAAGCAUUCUUGUUUGCCAACAAAACACUAGAUCUAAUUGGUUGAUACAUAGUAGAAAAUUUUGUCACGUCGGUAACGUCGAUUUUUACCGACGAAUUAUAGGUUUCGAAAAUAUAGUGCCUUUUGAUAAAUCUAGAGAGUGGGGACAAGCACCUUCUCGGAUGUCUGGAGCUGAAGUGAAAAAGCAGUUGAAUAAUAUCCUUACUGAGUUUAAGAUUGAAGACUUGAAAAGUGGAGAAUGAAAAAAAUGAGAGAAAUGACAAGAUUACUUGGAAGAAGAAAAUCAUAUUUUAUGAACUACCGUGUUGGGAGUUCAAUUUGAUUCAUCAUAAAAUGUGAGACAUGAGGGAGAGACAAAAGCUCAGGCUUGUCUGCAACCAUGUGGGCCCUCAUAAGCAAUUCGUGUACACAACUUGGUUCACCAAGCCCAACAACUUGAAGCAGGCAAAAUCCGGGAACGAUCCUUCUCCUUCGCAACCCUAGCUGCCUUAACCUUGUAUUUCUGAUAUUUAGUUAAAGAGUAAGAAGAUUGCUCCUCUGUCAAUUACCUUCGAGAGAGACUUUCUUUUUCAUUCACCGAUGCUUGCUUGUGAAAGCAAGGGUUUUAGUUACGCUUUCAACGCUGUCAAUGUAGUGAAGUUAAGCAUUCGUAGAAUAGUGAAGUUAAGCAUUCGUAGAAUAGUGAAGUAAAGCAUUCGUAGAAUAAUGAAGAUGGAAGCCCCACAGCAUGAAAACUUUUAAACAGUAACACAGCUCUUAUUCCAGAGGCUGCACGCGAGUGACCUGAAUCUUCUUCAGAACUUUCAAAUUUUAUCAAGCGAAGCUUUCAAAAUUUCUCAACAAAUUGAUUAUUUGGUGUGGUUGCCACAUUUUGAGUAACCGCUAUUUGUUCUCAAGUACAAAAUCCUUGCCUUCCUAAGUUAGGAAAUAUAAAUGUGAAGCAAACCAAAUGAAAUAAAUGGGUAAACAGAACAAGCAGGGCAAAAAUUAAAAAUGAUGGCAAUUAACAAAUUAAUAGCAAUGUUACAUUUGACUCUUUAGCCCUUUGUUCCUUCUCUUAGCAUUCUUCAAAGGUUUUGAAAAUAGGACGUGAAGCAAACAAAAUAAAAUAAAUUUAGACAACACAUGCCCUGUAUUCAGCAUCAUAUAUAUCUCGCAUAUCUAAUAUAAUAAAUUUCACAUCUAAAAUACUAGAAUUUCAAACAGAAUAUCUAAUAAUAGUAAAAAAAUGACGACAACAACAAAAAUAGAAAAUUACAAGACUGCUGAUAAAAUUUCAUUUGCAUGCAUGUCUGACAAAAUUUCCGUGGUUUAAUGUGCUUUCAUGAACGCAAGUCCUAACGUUUCUGUGAUCACAAAAUAAAACUGAAGAUAAAACAGAACAACUACCAAACCUUUCAAGCUUGACGAAGCCAUGAGAAUUGAUAGCUCAGGCACUGAUACCAAGUUAAAGUUUCUAAUCUGUUUGGUAAGUAAGAAAAUGUGAGAAAAUGAAAGAAAGAACAGAGAUCAUCUAAGAGCUGGAUUUGAUAAGUAAAUAUGAAUCAUCCAUUCAUUAGUUGAUUGCAAAUGUAUUUAUACGAGGUUCCUGAACAUUUCAGAUUCUAUAUGCUCGAGCUAAGCACCUGAGAGUUGAGCAGUGUGCACUAACAAACUGCUAACAAAAUAACUAACUUAUGCCAGCUCAGCUAACACGUCAGUAACUCUUAACUAUCUUGCUUAACAAACUGAAACAAUAACUAACCAUUUUAACUAUCUUAACAAUCCCAAUAAUUUUUCCAUUUGUGUAUUUUUUUGAAUCAUAAUCAAAUGCGUAAAUGUUGCAACUAUUUUUUUUAGAUAUUUUCACUUUGGGCUGUCAGCCCGAGGAAGUACGGGGGUCUGAGUUAUUCAACUGAAAAUGUCGGCCAAGUUCUUGUGUUAGUUUUAGUAUAUUGUGUAAAAAUGAUACACUAACUUGAAUUUAUAUGCUUUUAUGACUAUUUGAUAAUCAAAUGGGUAAAUGACACGAAGAACUUUGAGUUUAAAAAUCUGGCCCUGAUGCCUGGUAGCCCUCCAACCUAUGAAGCACUAGAUGUUUUAAUGAGAAAACGACAAGACCAUUUAUCAAAUUUCUUGUGGAUAUAACUACAUACACAAAGACGAGACCAACCUCCUCAAAUGAGAAUUAGAGUGAUUCAAAUCUCAAAAUACAAUAGAAAUUCAUGACAUAUAUAUAAUAAAAGACCUCUCAUUGAGUCAUAUAUAUUGAGAAUAAAUUUUUUUUAAUACAUACAAAGAGCUUAGCUACAAUGAAAUGUCUUUGGACUUGCAAUGAUCAAACAAAGGAAACAGACAGGUUGCAACUCACACUAUCACAAAUGUAGCGACACGAUGCAGUGAAUCACAAGAAGAUCACGAAGAUGGAAACGGGAACCCCUCAGAAUGUAAACUUUGAAUAGAGGAAAAAAGAAAAACGACCUUAUUUCAAAUUGCGCACAGAAGAAGAGUGACUUAAAUCGUCAUCAGUAUCCAGACAUUCUGCAAUCAUAGAGUAGAGAAAUUUUAACAGGAACAGUGGAGAAAAUAUUAUGUAUAUGCUAGACCAAAUUAGUCCCUUUUUUGGUUUGUGAAAACUUGAUUUUUUAUGAAAUAUUUUCAAACAAUAUUUCCACAAUACACUUGUUGAUAGCCAACAUUUGAUGGUUUAAGGAUUUUUUAUGGGAACAAUGCACUGAUUACGUUUUUUUUUUUUAAUUUUUUUAAUGCGAUGAAUGAUAUUCAGCUGUUCUUUAAUUAUGUGUUCAUAGGGAAGAACAUUUUAUAAGUACUUUCCUUGCCUUCUAACUUUCCAAGGAAAUAUAGGUGUGAAGAAAAGCAAACCCAAUGAACAAACAGAACACAAACUAAAAUAAAAGAACAGCAAUGAUGAGAAUAAAUAAUUGGCAAAGAAAGAAUGGAAAAAGUAUGCACGUUUUCAAGGAAUUAUAAAAUACGAAGGCUUUUAAUGAAAUUUUAUCAUAAAAACGUACGCAAGGAGUUAUAAAAAUUUUAGAAGACGAAGGGAGCUCCCAAAAAAAAAAAAAAAGAAGAAAAAGACUCAAAUUAAACUAGACUAAAAAGACAUUCAAUUAUGCAAAAUCUGUCCAUAAAAGUCUGAAAGGAUCAUUAAAAUUGCAUUGCAAAUUUAACAGUAAACAGAGGGACCCAUUCUAAAUAAUUCAGAUGAAAUUGCGAAACAAGCCAUGGGAUUAAAUAAAUGAAAUAAAAAUUAAUUACCAGUUGAGACUUUCUUCUAAAAAUUCGCAACUCCAAGUCAUAAGAAGCCUAUGAAAUUAGUCGUACUGCGUAGAGUAUAUCGACGACCCCGCCAACAGCUGAAAAUAAAAUUCUUAUUCAUCAAUUUAAACUUUUACUUUAUAACAAACAUUUUAUUUAAAAAGAAAAAGCAAAUUUUGUAAAAAUUUAUCAUGGGAGAUAGAGAGUAAUAUGUAUAUCCGUACCUUCUCAGCAUGUAAUUGUUGUAUGGUUGUGUUUAGAUCAUUAUUAGCCCAACGCCGUUGAUUCAAUGUCUCUCCAUACUGGACGUUUACUCUCGGAGGCGUGAUUGAUUCUCCUGUAGUGAAAAUCUUCAUCUUGGGACAACCAGUCACUCCCAGAUAUUCCAAAGAUGGGAAUCUGAAGGUGUAAUUGGCAUAGCAGAAACUUGUGAGGCUAUCUAAAUCACGCAGAGCCAACGUCUUCAAUUUGCGGAAAACAAUCUCUUCUUUUUCAACUCCAUCUUUGUCAUUUGUUACCACCUCUGUCAUUGCUCUGCAUCCAUAUACUUGCACUUUGACGAGUUGCACUAGAGUUUUUGCUGUGGAAAAUGUUACCAUGUGUAACAAUUUCUUGCAACCGAAAGCUACAAGUUUUGUUAGGUUCCGAAAAGAUACCGAUGAUGAUGGCAAUAGAAUUAACAGACGUUGACAAUGAUAUACUCCUAGAAUUUCAAGAUACUGAAAAAUGGGGUCAAGUUUGGAGUCUUGUUUCCACAGCUGCUUCAGAUGAUAGUGCCGGUGCAGCUCUAAUGUUUUUAUCAUUGCCAACUUCCCCACAUGUUUCUCUAAGCUUCCUUCCUCCGAAAAUACCUCUUUGUUGAAUGCAAAAAAAGACAGUAUGAGUUUUUCAAGAUUGUGAAAUCUCUCAAGUACGUUCCAGAUUGGAAAACAAGCUGAGUUAUCUGAACCAAUCUCUAGUUCUCUAAGACUGCCAAAAAGGUGUUGUGGGAAAUCGGCCCGCAAAAUCAUCUCCACAUCUUUUCCACUUAGUGAUAGUUCCUUCAAGUUGGGUACGAUCUGAUCAUCAUCAAUCAUAAUAACUAAUGAGGUCAAUUGAUGUUCUUUCAAAUGAUUUUGAGUAAUCCAAUCACAAGCAGUGACUUUAUAGUAUUUAUUUUAUAUUAAUUUUACCCCUAAAAAAAAUGAAUUAGUGAUAAAAUUCAUUAUAUGAUUUUUUUUAUAUGUUAGUUUUAGAGGUAAUAAAGAAAUUAGGGAAAAAAACGAAAUUAUUUUAUUGCAUGAUAGUAAAUUACUAAUUUAUUUUGUAAGUUUUUCUGUAUGGAAAGACUAAGGAUUCUUUUAUAAAUGCUAUACCUAAAAAAGAUUAUUGUAUAACAAAAGUUUUCAAUUUAUUGAGCAUUAAUUUAUCGAUACUUUGUCAUAUUUUUCAAAGUUAAAAAUAAGCUAUAGAUAAAAAAUCUAGAAAAUGGCUUCAUACCUUUUCCAAUGGCAAUAGGGGCUGUUGUGCAGGAAUACCAAGUUGAAAAUCUGCAGCGAAUAUCUUUAAUUUGUCACAACCAUGCACUAAAAGAAUUUCUAGUGCGGGCCAUUCCGAAGUAUGCAUUCCAGGGUACAAACAUCUAAGUUUUGGUAGAUCUUGGAGUUUCAGAGUGGUGAGCUGUGGAAAGACAAAAUAAGGGAUCACUUGAUCUGCUCUGUUUUCAGAAAUGAUCUCCUGUAAAUCCUCACAGAAGCGUAUAUCUAGGUGUUGGAGCUGCUUAAGGCUUUCGAUCAUAGACGCUGAAAAUAUGUAUUUUAAUUUAUGACAACGCUGCACAGUCAAUCGUGUUAAAUUUUGAAAGCGAGGAAACAUGACCGGAAGAUGAUUGUAGUGCCAAAUCUUGU
This 469784-nucleotide long non-coding RNA is filed under the name Citrus x clementina. Its description in RNAcentral is "Citrus clementina (C. clementina) long non-coding RNA (CCLE_LNC002731)". The stretch from base 227940 to 228045 matches the Rfam family "Plant small nucleolar RNA R71". Lineage: Eukaryota; Viridiplantae; Streptophyta; Magnoliopsida; Sapindales; Rutaceae. The record is from RNAcentral.